CUUAUUAUCUAAUAUAUACUAUUGUAGGUGGAGAAUCAACAAAAUUAUCAUCACUAUCACAACUAAUAUAUGUCCUAAUCAGUCGAGGUUCACUAUGCACAGUUCUCUUCGUUCGAAAUAUUACACUGUUCUUUGGAGGUUGAUCAACAAAAUUGUCGUCGCUGUCACCGGUAUCAGAGAUUGUAGUUUUUGAAACCACGUUCACUCGUAAUUGAUUUACACUUGUACGCAAAGCACAUUUUCGGCCCGUACUUAAUAACUUGGAGUGCGAUUUUCUGUACAUGCUUUGAAACUCGACCUACAAUAUUUAGGAUCAAUUACACAAUAUUACACUUAGGAGUGUAAACGAGCCGAACACGAGCGAGCUGGGGUCGGCUCGUGUUCGACGAGCUGGCUCGUUAAAGUAUCGAGCCGAAACAUUCAGCUCGUGUUUGGCUCGUUUAUUAACGAGCCGAAGACGAGCUGGCUCACGAGCCGAAACAUUCAGCUCGUGUUUUUCCAUGACGAGAGCAUGCGAUUAUUACAUAUGUAGCCUUACCAUCGGUCAUUUUUGUUGACCUCUUUACAACUGCAAAUUCUAUUUCUUGUGCAUAAUGCUUAUAGAAAUUAAAAAAGGCAUCAAAAUUGAUAAAAGUCAGUCCAAUUUCUGGUGCCGAUAUAUUUACAUCCCUAACCUCACUGUUUCUUUCUUCAUCCAUCUCAAAAAUAUUAAAUCCAAAUAAUCACUCAACUAAACAAAUUUAAGUAAAUUGCUCACCUGUAAGACAUUAUAUAGAGUUGGAAUACUAAAUUAGAAUAAUAGUGAGCAGGAAAACUAUUUGUCAAAAUUUAGACAUCUAAAGAUUCUACUAUGCCCUAAAAAUAUAUUAUCUAUUAACAUAUAGAUCAUACAUCAAAUCAGUGAUGAAAUUAAUCAAAUAAUUCAUCACAAUUAAAAAUAAAUAAUUUACUAAAAAAUUAAACAUCUCAUACCUGGUUAUAUAUGUGGCAGUGUACGAAUCGUUGAGCUCGGGGUAAACCACGUCGUUCAAUUUUGCCGCAUCCUCGAUUGUCGCCUCCGUACUUGCCGCGUCCAAUUUGAUCGCAGAAUCCGCCUUCGCGCUUCUUUCUCUUCCUCUCGUUCUCCCUGUUUCUAGCACAGCACAACUCCUCUCGCUCCCUCUCGCGCCCUGCCCUCGCUCUCUCUCGCGCCCUGCUCCCGCUCCCGCUCGAGCUCUCCUCUCUCUCUCGGUCGCUCGCUCGCUCGCCUCUCUCUCUUUAGGUCGCUGGCUCGCUCGCUCGCCUCUCUCUCUCAGUCGCUGGCGCGCUCGCCUCUCUCUCUCUUUAGCUCGCUGGCGCCAAAAAUUAGGGAAAAAGAGGGAAAAGGUGAGGGGCUAAAAUGUGGGAGUGAGGUUAACACUGUUUUUUUUUUUUUUAAACCAAGUUUAUAUCACCCGUUGGAUCAAAGAGUUGUAGGAUCUACAACUCAAUAUGGGGUGUAUGGGUAGCACGACUCACAUUUUAAACCACAGGGGAGCAAAUUGAGAAACUACGAAACCACAUAGGGGGUUUUUAAAGUUUUCCUUCUUUUUUUUGUACUUUUGGCCCCUAACCAUGCCAGACGUCCUUACUUUGAAAAAGUCUGCAAUGAAAUCCUUACAUUGCCAACGUAGUAUAUCCGGCCAAUCAAAAUACAUCUCUAGAGAUUACCUAUCUAAUCAUGUGUCACGCGCUCAGCACACAGCAAAAGUCUCCGGGCGCAUCAACAAAUUCGUCACAUGUGCGAAAAUGUAUCCUGCAUAUGCGAAGCGUUCUAAAACUCUAUCAGCAGGCAACAAUUCUAACAAUCCAUAAUUAAACAAGUCCUAAAAAUUUAUAGCUAACAAGUAUCACUGCAAAAAAUAAAACUAGACCAAUCAAAUUAUUACUAUAUACAAAUCACUACAACUAACAACUUCAAAAUAUAAAUACAAACAAAGGACCCUAAGCAUCACCAGUCCCAAACCCUACCAAAGUGCUACGCUAGCUUGUGGUCCUCCUUUAUCGCCGCACCCAUUGGUAUCUACUACGUGAUCUUCUUACCUCAGUCGGAUGCCGGCGCUAAGGGGUCUGAAAAGUAAACCACGUGAGGUCGUAAGAACUACUGAACAGUAGUCUCCAAUAGUGGGUACAAUCGAUGACAAUAGCGGCCUACCUAUUAGGUCUACUAGAGGUAAAAUAUAGAAAAUAAACUGAAUAAGUACGUGAAAUAACUGAACUAUAUACUAACAAGUCUAUCAUGCCUUUAGUUGAUAAUACAAAGUAGUAAAUGACUGCCUCAUACAUUAGUUAAAGUAUUCAUGAUAAAUGUACAGUAUAACCCUAUCAAAUACUGACUGAUUCAAUAGUCUGCUCAAGCCAACGUCACCUCGUAUCUAGCCCUAACUUAUAGUGGUCCGCUACACAUAAGCUACUAUUGUCAUGCCCGGGCCGCAGCGGAAGCCUGCCCGAUGCGUGCAUCGAGCGUCCCCGAUGCUUACAAGGCGUCUACAAAAAUAAGGAAUAAAUAAGGAUAAAUUCCUAACAAGGCUAUCAGAGCAAGAAAAUAAGUCUACUAGGAAUGUCCACAACAAUAACAACAAACUCAAGAUAUACAAUAGUUCUAAAUACAAUUAAAUACAUAAGACAGCUAGAAAAUCUCUAAAUCAGUACAUAAUAUAUCUUUCAACUAUAACAAAAAAAAAGAUGAUAACGGGUCCAUCUAUGAUCACUCCGCAAAGGCUCUAGCUAGUCGCUAACCCCUUGCCACGAUCGCUAACCUCUCCCGUUGCGAAAGGCUCUGAAACAAAAAUAAACAACCAAUAGGGGUGAGAACUAUUAAACAAUAGUUUCUAAUGGGUAAGCCGCCAAGAGUGGCGAAAUACACCACUAGAUCAACUCAGACAUGCUAUAAUACAAUAGGUAAACAAACAUAAAGUUAACAAGUAAAAUUAAACAGUUUCAUUUCAAGUCAUGCCUCUACUUGAUGAAGUUAACUAUCAUGUAUGUGAUGUUCUAAUGCCACAUAUUCAGUUAUAUGUUUAUGCAGGUUUACAUGCAUAUUCAUCUUUACUAUAAUACCGCAAAGAGUAAAUUAUGCCUUUCAUUUUCAUCAAAUCAUGCAUCUAUACUAAUCAAUAUAGGUGUGGGUUCACUACCACUAAAGAUGUCAAUGUCAAUAAUGACUAACAUAAAGUCUAUUGCUAGAAAUGCAUCAAAAAAGCCACGAGAUAGUAACCCACUAGUAUGUCCAUCUACUAUAUAUGCAUCAACCACGUUGAUGUUCAAUAUCAAGUUAAGUCUCAUUACCCAAUUAACGAGGGACUUACUCGUAGUAACGUCCCGACUCGUGCCAUACCUAAUGGCCCCGUAGUAGCAUACACUCCUCACGGCGGUCCACUUCGGUGCCCAAUCCCGCACGGGCGAUCUAUCGUCGCAAGGCCAACUCCGGAGUGCCGGCUUGUAGGGAGCGACCCUCACAAGCAUGUGCAAAUGAGCACAAUGGCAAGCAAGUGUGAUCAUAGCUAGCGUAGGGUCCACAAAUCGAAUACUCAAUCAUCAUGUCUAAAACAUGAAAUUUCACUCAUCGACUCGACGGUCGGAUACUUGAUCUUUCAUAUCAUGAUUCGUUCACAAUUACUUGGGUGGUAUGCUCCUACCAACACAUAAUAUGCCUCAACUAUGCAUUAGUUCAUAUUUCUAUAUCCUAUGUAGAAUGAUUCACUAUUUUAGUCAAAACUCAAUAAGGUUCCAUAAACAUGCAAUUCCCACUAUAGUUAAGGAAGUCAUUUUCUCAUGCCAUAUGCAAAACUAUUACCAAAUGUUCACAAGAUUCAUAAUGUAUGUCAUGCAUAUCUUUUUCUACCAAAGUCCCCACUACAUGGAGUAGAAGUGUCAUCAUGCAAGCAAUUUCAUUCUCCUACUAUUAUAUGUCAUUAUCCCUACUAUGGAUUGCCCUAAAGGCGUUGAAAUCUUAUUCCUCAUGUCUAAAACAUGAAAAAUAAUUAACGAUCUCUAGGUCGAACACAAUAUCAUAAGGUCAAGAUCUAAUUGUUCAACUAGGUCAAAUGCACCAUACUUAGCUUCAUGUUUACCUUAUCAUGCACCAUGUCACAAUGUCACAUUUACUUUGUCUAUAACAAAUAUGUAGUCAAUAUGCAAAUUAAACACUUUUCUAUUUCAUUCACUAUGGAUGCACCCAAUGAUGAACCAUUAGUCCUUUCUAACAUACUUCCUAAGAUUACAUAAGAGAAAGUUAUCAUGAAGUGCUAAUUAAUGCACAAAUCCACAUUGUAAACCUCUACUUUAUAGAGCAUAAAUUUUCUACACAUAAUAUGUAUGAAGCAUGUAUUCAAAAAUUCUAUCAUAUCAUAUUUAGAAUGAAUAUGCAUCUAAUUGUGUCUUAAAAUCAUAGGAAAGACAUUGAGAAAGUUCACCCAUUUUAGUGAGGUCAAACCCACCAGAUACUCCUCGAACCCUUUCGUUUUUUCGAACGAAGUUGUCCACCAAGCUUCUAGCACCCUAAAAGAAUUUCUAAAAGGGUUACAAGUUUCGAACGAACCUCAUACAAAAAUAUCCAAAAAUCAAGUCUAAAUAGGUAGAAAAAUAUCUUUACCCAAGAAGAACUUGAUCAAAAUCCAAAUUGAAGUUACAAAGUCUCAAAUCCCACCUAAAAAAGAGUUCUACACUCAUCAAUUAGGUUCCAAAAGCCUCAUAACAAGAAACCCCAAAAUAAACCCUAUUUCUUCCAAAACUAGAUUUUUAUCUACAAAUCUUACAAAAUUCACCAAUAGAUAUUGCAAGAUGAGUAUUAACCUUAAGAAAAGCUCCAAAUCAAGCUAACUUGAGCUAGGGUUGGAGUGUAACAUGCCGAACUUUUAUAGUUAGGAAGUUAUGGCAGAUGUUAGUUUGGAAAGCUGUUCAUGGUGUAGUUCCGGUGACGUUCGGGAGCAUCCGAGUGUUUUCGGUGCAUGAUGGACACGGAAACGGAACUCGAAUAGCUAUGUUAAACUUUGAAUUAAAUCCGACAAAGCGUGGAUGAAAAGAGGAUCUAAACGCGCUCAAAAAUAUGUUUUAGGGGUCUCGGAACGAUUAGAGAUGAAUCGGAGGCCCAACGAGUGAAAACGAAGCAAACCGGAGAAAAUUGGAAAAAAAAAAAAGGGUUGAUUUUUGGGUUUUGGACCUACGGGGUCCGGACACUAGGGCCAGGGUCCGAACCCCGAGCCCGAAAACUGCCCGGGUGGGCUAGGGCUAUUUUGGUAAUUUGAGGGGUUGCUUUUUAAAAGAAGGCCUCCACCCUUCUUCUUCCUCCUUCCAGAGCAAACCCACACACGCACACACCUUGGGGUAGAGAGAGAAGCUCCUCUCUCUCUCUCUAGCAUUCCCACUUUUCCUCUCUAGAUCUCUCUCUCAAAUUCGCUGGCUUGGCGGAGAGCGAGCUUGGGAACACGUUGGGAGCGACGGAUCGAGUCUUCGUGCGCCCGGUUGAGCGGCGUGCUUCCGACUCGAAGUUCGCAUUUUGGUGAGUGUUUAGGAUUUUGGUUAAAUCCUUUGAGCAUGGUAUGUUAGUGAUCCCUAGACUAUUCUAAGCAUGCUCUCCAUGAAUUUCAUAGGGUAUUUGGAUAAAUGGGAGAUCUAGGGCUUAGAAUGGGGGUUUUGGGCAAAUAAGGUUUUGAUCUAAAUCAACCCUAUGUUUCUCUAAUUAAAGGUUAGAGAAAAGGGUCCCUAACAACUCUAGGUUGCGGAUUGACCGGUGUUCGGUGAUAGAUUGUGAGUUCGAGCCAAACCGGAUAACGCGUGCCGCAGGAGGCCGAUUGCAAGUGUCAACAAACAAUCGGAGAGCAUUGCGAGAUUGGUUGUGCUUUACCGAAGUGAUUAGGUCACUUCCAUGUCAAAGUGAAGUGUGGUUUGUCAUUGAUGCAUGUAGCGGUAGUUAAUUACAUAUAUGAAUACAUAAGGUAGAUGCCAUGUGAAUGCAUGAAAUGAUAUGUAUUAACUAUCCUUGAUGACAAAGAAUAUGCAUGUUGGCAUAUUAUAGCAUUUGCUAGAAAGUAUAUGCAUGUGGAUUUAUUGUGGAAUAUUCUAGAAAGUAUAUGUAUGUUGGCAAGUUGUAGAAUAUGCUAGUUCAUAUAAGUUGAACAUGGGUCGAUAAUUCUAGGUUGAUUAGAGAACUCGACAGUUGGAAAAUAAGAACAUGAAAUCUAUGAAUCCUAGGUGUGGACAACUAGGAUGACAAGUAGAUCAAAUAGAUCGAGUGGCAUGAACCUAGUGUCAUUGAACAUAGGUUGAACAAGUAAACCUAGAGUCGAGAUCUAGGUGGAAAUGACAUAGAACCUAGCGUGGUUGAACCUAGGCUGUGGAUUAUAGUGGUAGCAGGGCCACUAGGAUGUGCAUGGGUCGAACCUAGAUAGGUCGACAGCAUAGGGGGUGUGACUACCCUUUGUAAGAUAUGGAUCUCGAGGAUCUAAAAGGUAAGUAACACCUAGAGGGGGGUGAAUAGGUGUAACAACGGCAAACUCAAAAAUCUCGAUGCGAAUAAAACAAAAUAGCGGAAAAGAAAACAGCACACCGAGAAUUUAACGUGGGAAAGCUCCAAAUCGGAGUGAAAAACCCACGGGACCAAUCACGCAAAGAAAAUCCACCAAGAAAACAUGAGUACAAGUGAUUUUGACCAAAACACACGACUCAAUUUACCGAUUUCCCGUAGAUGACGAUCUUCGCCGGUACUCGAUCGAUAGGAAUCCUCCAAUCGACCUUGCCGCAACUCCUCGCAGCGUCAACGCCUCAAUUCCUCGAAGCGUCCACCGAAUCCUCGGCUUCACGCGAGAUCCACGCGUCGAACCUCCUUCCGGAGCUUGUAGAAUCGAAGAUUUGUGAUGAUUUAACCUUUGAAUACCAUAAGCUAUGAGGGUUCACCUUUAAUCAAACAUCUACUUGAUUCUCGUAUGGGUUAUCGAGUAAAAACAAAGAAUCAAGCCGAUUGUUGAUUGUUGGAAACUCGUUAUGUGGAUCAAAGCAUUGAAACGGAGAAAAUCAGUUUCUAGGGUUUUUAACCAGUAAAUAUUCAAAGCUCUCUCCUUUUAGAUGACCCACAUAGCUUAUUUAUAUGUUUAGAAGACUUAGAAGUAGACUAGGAUUGUAAAAACUCUUUUUUAAAAACCUAUGUCGUCCUAAGAGACCGGUCCUCUGGAGGAGACCGGUCUGUGAGAGACCGGUCUCUCAAGUGAGGAACCAGUCCCUCGCUGCGUGACCAAAAUCACAACGUUCGGGAAUCGGUCUCUCAAGCUUGAGACCGGUCCCUUGCUGCGCGACAGAAAUACCAAUGUUCGGGAACCGGUCUCUCAUCACAGGGGACCGGUUGCAUCAAGGUUCACGUAGUGAGGACCUUAGGGGAACCGGUCUCUUGAACUCUGACACCGGUCCCAGAACACAGAAAAGUUCAGUAAAGUAGUUUUAACACCAUCUAAGCCUUCUGAACUUAUUCUAACUAGGUAUCUUCACCACAAAUGAUCUUUUCUUCAUACCUUAGGUGUCGAGCUUUCCGAAUGAGUCUUAUUUCUUCAAUUUGAAUCUUUUCUUCAAAACUUCUGCGAUCAACUCUUCAAGACUCCAACCAACUUUACGAAAUUCGCCAACCUAUAAAAUCCUUAACAAUCUCCCUCUUUGGCGAUUUUGUGACAAAAUAUACUAUAAAUUCGUACACAACGCAGAAAUAAUAAAAAGAAGAUCAUCGCAAUCACCAAACGAUAAUCUCCUGCAUGAUCGAUCCAAUAAAUAAAAAUUACAAUUUUCAUAAUCUUAAUACAAACUCUAUGACUUAGACAUGGAGUCUUGAAGUCUUGAAUUAUUCCUGCAAAAACAUUCUCAAAACAUAAUUCAAAAUUCUAAAUCAGAUCAAACAAAGUAUCAAGUCAUAGUUCAUAUAUCAAACACCUAAAGCACUAACAAACAAAUUCAUCUAAAGUUCAUCACUAAACAAAUGACCAUCAAAGCUAAAUACAUCAUUAUCAAGAUCAAGAGCAAUCAUCAUCAAGACUAAAAAACUAACUAAGCAUAAAAAUGCAUCAUCAUUGCAUCAUCACAUCAAAGACCACCAUCUCCAUCUCCCCCUUUUUGUCAAAAGCGCAAAAAUGACAAAAGAAGAGAACCCAGUAACCUAAUUCGACAGCAUCCUGGAGUAAAAUCUGCUCCGGCAACAGCCUAACUUGUCAAAAAUCAUAUUAAAUAAGCGCUUCAUCUUGCUUACAUCCUUCCGAAUCGCAGCUUGCUCCGCAGACAAUUUCUAAAGCUCCUCAGAUAGACUGUUGCUCACUGAUACACAGAGGAAACGGAGAUAUCUUCCUCAGAAACGUCUAAUAAAGGACGUGAAAAGUAAAGCAGUAGCAGGAGGUGGAGCACAGAAGGGGAAGAUGCACGCUGAGACGGUUAACGAAGCGGCACCGAGACUUCACAAAUGUCCGUUCAUUUAUCCGAACGACCACAACUGUGCUCAUAAGAGUGUACACACGACAUCCACAUCACGAAGUCCAGCAGAAUCUCAUGAUUUAUCAAGUGAAAUGCAGCCUUUCAUUUUGUCCAAAGUUUUGAUGUCUUUUGCCAUCCUCCGCAGAUUAAGAACGGAAUAUUCAUGUUAAUAUUCUUUGCACUCACAAUAUCUGGCCUGCUCGCAGUCAAGUACAAAAGUGCUACCAAUCAUCUUCCUGUAUUGUUUCUCAUCCACACUUCUGACCUCUGAAUUCAAUCCCAGUCCUUUGUUGCUUGACCAGCAUUGGAGAGUCAAAAUCCUUUGCAUUUUCCAAUCCAAAUUUUGAAUCCUAGAUGUGUCCAUCAAGUCCAUGUGAAGUAACUCUAAAGGCUUAGUUGUCCCCAAGUGGUUCAAGUUCUUAUAGUGUGGAUCUAGUUUGUUCCCAAUUGCAACCCCCACACACAGUGUUCUCUUUAAAAUCAAUCUAGGUACACCUCUAACUACCUCCCUUUGGUUAUCUUUGAUAGCUCCUUUAAAGUUAUGUACCUACUAGUCGUUCAUCGCCAUAAAGUUUCAGUUUCUAAUGACGCUAGGUUACAAUGUUCAGCUGGACGAACUAGAAACUAACAUAACAAUUUCUGAGAUCUAAUGCCCUUAAAAACAAUUUUCAUCACGAGUCACAUGGCAUUCUUUAUCAGAAAAGUUCACAGAAUACCAUCAUCACACAGUUGGCUUAUGCUUACGAGAUUAGAUUUGAGCCCUCAACAUAAAAAAUAUCGUUCAACGUAGGGCCAUCUGAAAUAGUCACUGUUCAUUUUCCAACAAUUUUUACGACGACCGUCCCCAAAAACAACAAGUCCUCCGGAGAUUUUGGUCAAAGAAGUAAACCAAUUUUUAUCUCCGGUCAUGUGACGCGGAACAGCCACUAUCCAGAUACCAUGAUAGUUAUCGUAAGCAUGAAGCGAAGUGUGAAUGACUAGGCAUGGAAGAGUUCACCUUGCGCACCCAAACCUUACGUGUUUUGGGCUUGUCAGUUCGCUUGCUUUUUGUGAUCGUGGCUUGUCGACGAUUUAAUUGACUUCUUCUUCAUAUCCUCUCUCUUUGGUUUCCAUGCCUGUUUUGCCUUUGAUUCCGAGCAUUGGUGUACAUGUUCAUUUCUUCUUAUAAUCAACCUUCUUUGGAGUCCAAGUUGACUUCCCUCUUGAUUUAAGAUCAUUCUUCAUACGUGAUGUUCUUUGAUUCAAGGCGUUGAUGAGCUCAUUCCUUUUGUUUGCAGAACUUCUUGAUGUCCUAGAGCACCACAAACAUGCAAGCUUUGUAGUCAAAUUGUUUUGAGAGGGACGAACUUACCAUAAGAGCUUAGGAACAGCAGUGAUGAAUGUCCGCCAUCUUUCUUUGUUGUUUGGUCAACAUAGGUCCUUCGUACCCAAGUCCAAGUUUUUUUGUUUGACAAGUCCAAGCAUCUUGUCGAUUUACUUGAUCCAGACGAAAAUUGUUCAAAUCUGACUUUAGUUGAAUAAUCGUCUUGGUGAAUUCCAUAUUCGCUUCUCUACUUCCGAGUAUUGCUUGUGAGAAAAGUGAUAUCUCCCACUUGAGUCUCUUUUUCCUUUUCAAGUAAUGAACCACUUUUCGAUCAAUGAAUUAUAGCUUUGUCAAACCAUCUCUCUCUUGUUCUAAAUCCUUUGUUAGAGAGGCCAACUUUGAAUUUUCUUGUUCCAACUCAUUAUAGGCUUCGCCGCUGUCUCUUGUUAUGUUUAGCCAUCUUCUUUGAUUCAACAACCAAUUGUUGAUAUGCGCGACCAAUGUCAUCAUUCGUCCGAUUCUUCAUCUGAUGAGUUCUCCGAAGAAUGUACUUCUCUUGUAUAGAUUCGUAGAAUCGAGUCAGCAGAUGCUAACACAUAGAAAGUUGAAUCCUGUGCAAUAUGUCCGUGGCAUUUACAUCCUCUUCACUUGAAAGUGGAAUCGUCAGAUGAGGAGUCGUCCCAAUGAUAGCUUGCAUCGCUUUCUUCUCAACGACUUUUAUUAGGAAGUCAGAUGCGAUAUGACUAAAGCCUCUACACUUGUAGCAUUGAAUUUGACCUUCACUGCUUUUCUACUCUUUUGUGGAGUUCCUUUUGAGAGUUAUCAGAUUCUGUAUUUUGAUGAGGAAGAGGAAGACGAACCCCUUUAGAUUUGUUUGUCUUGAAAGAAGUAGACUUGGGAGGAAACUUCUUUCUAAAGUUCCGACGAAACUUCUUUGUAAGAAGUGCUAGUGCUUUUCAAAGUCCUCCAGGCUUUGCUCCGACUCUGAAUCUGAUGAAUUGAAGUGACAUCUCCUUUUUGAUUUUAGAGCCAUCCCUAAGGCUUUAAAAAAAGACUUGAGAAGACGAAUUAGAAGGAAAAGUCAUUUCAUAAUUGUAAAGAGCACCUACUAAUUCUUCUACUUGAGUUCAUCAGGAUGUUUGACCGUUUCAAUAGCUGCAACCUUAGGACGGAAUCGUUCGGGAAGGGUUCUCAAAUUUUCGAAUAAUUUUGGAAUCGGAAUUUUCUCGCCCAAGUAGCACACAUGUUUACAAUGUCUUGCAGACGAGUAUAGUACUCGGUAAAAGAUUCAUGUUCUUCCAUACGAAUGGAAUCAAAUCUACUAGUAAGCAUUGGCAAUUUUUUGAAUCUUAACAAGCUUGUACCCUCUGUGUUAACUCCAAAUGUCCCAAUCUCUUUGGCGGUUUCGCACGCCGAGACGCGAGAAAAUUCAGUUUGGUUUAAAGCAUUGAAUAAAGCAUUGAUACCUUUUCGUUGAACGAAGAUAGUCAUUUUCUCUUUCGUCCAUUUAUUCCUAGGUUUCGCACGGUAACAUUCUCGACAACUUCGGUAGGUUUUUCCAUUCCAAUUCAAUGCUUGCCAACACCGCUCGUCGAUAGCAAUAAGAAACCCCUCAUACGGACUUUCCAAUAAAUAGUUAGUGCCAUCGAAGAGCGGAGGUCGAUUGAUGUUACCGCCCUCAGCCAUGAAUUACAACCUAUACCCGCUCUGAUACACUUGUAAGAUAUGGAUCCCGAGGAUCUAAAAGUAAGUAACACCUAGAGGGGUGAAUAGGUGUAACAACGGCAAACUCAAAAAUCUCGAUGCGAAAAAACAAAAUAGCGGAAAAGAAAAACAGCACACCGAGAAUUUAACGUGGAAAAACUCCAAAUCGGAGUGAAAAACCCAGGACCAAUCACGCAAAAGAAAAUCCACUAAGAAACAUGAGUACAAGAUUUUGACCAAAAUACACGACUCAAUUACCGAUUUCCGUAGAUGACGAUCUUCGCCGGUCCUCGAUCGAUAGAAUUCCUCCAAUCGACCUUGCCGCAACUCCUCGCAGCGUCAACGCUCAUUCCUCCUGAAGCGUCCACCGAAUCAUCGGCUUCACACGAGAUCCACGCGUCGAACCUCCUUCCGGAGCUUGUAGAAUCGAAGAUUGUGAUGAUUUAACCUUUGAAUACCAUAACUAUGAGGGUUCACCUUUAAUCAAAAAUCUACUUGAUUCUCGUAUGGGUUAUCGAGUAAAAACAAAGAAUCAAGCCGAUUGUUGAUUGUUGAAACUCGUUAUGUGGAUUCAAAGCAUUGAAACGGAGAAAAUCAGUUUCUAGGGUUUAACCAGUAAAUAUUCAAAGCUCUCUCUUUAGAUGACCCACAUAGCUUAUUUAUAUGUUUAGAAAACUUAGAAGUAAUUAGAUUGUAAAACUCUUUUUAAAAACCUAUGUCGUCCUCAGAGAACCCGGUCUGUGAGAGACCGGUCUCUCAAGUGAGGAACCGGUCCCUCGCUGCGUGACCAAAAUCACAACGUUCGGGAACCGGUCUCUCAAGCUUGAGACCGGUCCCUUGCUGCGCGACAGAAAUACCAAUGUUCGGGAACCGGUCUCUCAUCACAGGGGACCGGUUGCAUCAAGGUUCACACAGUGAGGACCUUAGGGGAACCGGUCUCUUGAACUCUGACACCGGUCCCAGAACACAGAAAAGUUCAGUAAAGUAGUUUUAACACCAUCUAAACCUUCUGAACUUAUUCUAACUAGGUAUCUUCACCACAAAUGAUCUUUUCUUCAUACCUUAGGUGUCGAGCUUUCCGAAUGAGUCUUAUUUCUUCAAUUUGAAUCUUUUCUUCAAAACUUCUGUGAUCAACUCUUCAAGACUCCAACCAACUUUACGAAAUUCGCCAACCUAUAAAAUCCUUAACACCCUUGAGACUUGGAAAGUGGAUUCCGGAAUCCCGGGACUUGUGGAACUCGAUAGUUCUUGGCCGCGGGGGCUGUGUGGCAUAUUCCCUUCCUACCGGAAGAACUUCGAUGAUAGGAUUAUAGAAGAUUCUUGGCUGCGGGGGCUGUGUGGCAUAUUCCCCUCCCACCGGAAGAAUCUUGGAUUGCUAGGGUGCCUGUGGCAUAUUCCCCUCCCACCGGAAAGAUCCCUGACCACAGGUGUACGCGGUUCUUUGCGACCCGUUGGGCGAUGUGGUUUGUGGAUUUAGGGCUGAGGUGCAUAUGAGACAUCCUUUGCCUCCGGCCCGACAGAGCGCGGUAUUCCGCAGAUGAUUGACUCGAGGCCGAGUCGGGUGGCUAGCUUGGUUAAGAUAGAUGAAACCUUAAGAGCAAGUGGUAAAUGGCAUGGAUCUAAGGUAGUAGAAAUCUUAGAAGCUAGUUGGAUAUGAGCUAUGGAUAGCGAAAUAGAGAGUAGUAUCGGUUGAUCGACUUAGUUUAUUGUAUUGUUGCAUGAUUUGCAUAUUGCAUGUCUUGAGGCAUAUGUAUGUAAUUUAAUAUUAUUUGCAUAAAAUAUCUGUUGGACUAACAUGUUUGCAGUGCCUCCUUUGGACCUGGUGAGUCGAGCUUUUCCUUUCGGUUGCCAUACCCACUAGGAACUAUGGACAUAGUUCUCACCCCACGUUAUUUUGGAGGAUUUCAGGUUCACACGCGAGCAGCGCGGCGGCACGAGAAAAUGGCGUAGCUCCGUAGAUAGUGCCCUACCAUUGUGACCAGAGAUAGCGGUAACCCGAAAUGGUCUAGCUUAAGGGUGGAAAUGAAAAGAACAAAUUUGUAAUAACUAGAUUGUAUUUGGAGGUUAAUGUAAUGUAAUGUAAAACUGAGAUGAAUGCUUGUAAUACUUUAGCAUUUAUGUUUUGGAUACCUUCUUUAUGCAAUCUGUGUUUGAAUAUUGUUCUUGGUUGGAACCUCGUGUAUUGUAUUGAUUGCGACGCCUUGAACGUACAGGAAAAACUCUGUCCGUUCGGCGGUCUGCUGGCAUGCCCGAAUCCGACCAAACAGGCGUGUCUCGGGGGCGUGACAGAUUGAAUGGUAUCAGAGCAUAAAGAGAAUAAUAGAAAUGAUUUAGAUGGACCUAGGAGACCCUAGGAUAGUAAACCAUAGAGGUUAAGGCUUGUGAGAGACGAGGACUUGUGACUUGCGGCGAAAGGUUAAUGGAUUCGGUUGUGUUGUACACCUCUAAAAUAGAUGUUAGAGGUAGAUUCAAGGCGNACCUAGGAGACCCUAGGAUAGUAAACCAUAGAGGUUAAGGCUUGUGAGAGACGAGGACUUGUGACUUGCGGCGAAAGGUUAAUGGAUUCGGUUGUGUUGUACACCUCUAAAAUAGAUGUUAGAGGUAGAUUCAAGGCGUGGUGUAUUCUCACCCAAGUGUGUUCAUGUUGGCGCGCGACAACAUGAAACCGAGUGAUGAGAAUAGAUGUCUUUGCGUGACUUUCGCCCAAUUUGAGUCGGUGUUAAUUGUUUCGUGUUCGACCCAGAGAGUCAAGGAUUAACUGAGUUGUCGUGUUUCAGGAAAUGAUGGCACCGCGUAGGCGAUCUUCAUCUAGAUCGGCGUGGGAUAGGACAAGUGAUGUCCUUGAGCAGUCCGAGGUGAGCAGAGACUUGGAACUUCACGAGCAGUUCGCCACACUCGGGGAGUGGUGAGGCAACAAGUCGAUGUGGUGUAGCGACAGGAGGAGGCUGUCAUGCACCAGGAGGAGCGGUUAGAGAGACUCCAGGAAACGGUGGAUCAGCUGGUGACCGCACCAGUUUUGGCUCGUCAAGUACGGUCGGGAGUCGCGGCGGAGGCAUUUCCGUCGAGGUCGGGCAAUCCGACUUCUAGCACUUCAGAAGUGGAGGCGGAGAGGGAGCGAGCUUUGGCGGCCCUCAUGACCUUCAAAAAAUUUGAUCCACCUACCUUUGAUGGAGAGGAUGUAGAUCUGUGGACCGUGGAGUUGUGGAUCGACUCCAUGGAGACUCUCUUUGAGAACCUGUACACUGUGGAGCGGGACAAGGUACACUUGGUUGUGCAUUGUUUGCAACAGUCGGCGAAGGUGUGGUGGAAAGGCGUGAGCGGAACCAAUCGCCUAGUCUCCCUCCUAUGACUUGGGAAGAGUUUCGGGGAUUGAUAUUCUCUACCUAUUUCCCCGAUAGUGAAAAGAGAAAGCUUCAAGAAAGAUUUAGGAAGCUGCGGCAAGGAGACCGCACUGUGAGGCAAUACGAGCGGGAAUUCUCCUGUAUCGUGAAUUGUGUCCCAAAUGUGGUACGGGAUGAUAAGGAUAUGGCCGAUUGCUUUGUGCAGGGACUUCAGCCGGACAUUUUCAAAGUUGUACACAAUCUGAAGUUGUAGACUUUUCACGAAGUCUUGGAUCGUGCCUUGUGGGUGGAACAAGGCAAUGCAUUUGUGCGGGAGGAGCGCGAGUCUUAUUACAAGGAAAAGAAAAAAGGACAGCCAACGAGUGGAUCCGGUGGCAAGUCAAGUUCUCAACAAACUUCGAUGUGUUCGCGCUCGCGAUCCCGAGCCCCGGGGACUUACCGCACUGGGUCCUCGGCAAGAUGUGUUGUUUGUGGGGGUCCUUAUUACCCACAACAGUGUGAGCAGCGAGAGGGCAAGUGCUAUAGGUGUGGGCAAACGGGCCAUGCGCGGGACGAGUGUCCGCAAGGUGAUAGCCGGGCCCUGACACUGGCGACGAUCUUUUUCUCUUCGGGACAGCCUGCAAGUGUGUCACCUGCGGCAUGGUCGGAAGAGUGGGCGUUGAGGAUGAUGCAACCGGAGAGUUCACGGCGGAUGCCAGGUGGCCAUGGAUACCCGACCCGGGUUGUGGAGCCUGCUGCUACCGACGAUGUCAUGGCAGGUAUGGUUUAGUUGAAGCAAACAUAUGUUCCUGCAUGACGUAAAGCUGGUGCAUUGCAUGCAUUUAUCAUGUGGUCAAUUACUACUAUUUAUACAUUGUAUAAUAGGGACCAUGGGGACGGGUAGGUAUAGAUACUCGGGCAUGCUCACGCAGUGAGAGCGUAGCACCUGCCGGUGCAGGUAGAGAACUAGAUGGCACUAGCAAAUUGCUAGUAAUGGUCUAAUGGUGAGACUCGUGGUAGAUAUGGAAUUGGCGGACCGACUCUCAAAAUAAUGUGAGUUGCUGAUGGCGAGUGUCGAGUCGUGAUGUUCAUAGAUCUCUUGAGAGUUCGAAAAUUUUGAAUGUUGCUCCAGUAGAUCGAACAGUGAAAGUGGAAUCACUAUUGAGAGAAUAAUUAGUUAGUGGCCUAGUUAGUGGCCAAGUGCGGGCACGUGGGCCUAGUAGUACCUCGAAUUGAGGUAGGUGAGUCGUGCUCGUGUGGUCGGUAUGCAUAGGCAAGAUUGCCUAAUGCCGGACUUAGUGUGGAAUGCUAUAGAGACGUGCGACGCUCAAGUGUAGGUACUCGUGUAGUGAGAUCAGUCGGGAGAGUGAGUUGGCAGUAGCACUUGAGCAUUACUAAGUGUGAAGCGUGCCAUGGAUCACUCGUAAGGCUGGUGGCUCGCACUAGGUGCUUAGGAGCCGGUAGUGGUACGUGUUGCUUGAUAGAGCGUGUCGUGUGAGACGACGGUUGUGGGUAUUGCUUGAGGACGAUCCGUGCAUGGACCACUUGUGUACUACAGAGCCUGGGGCCAUAUGGGCAGGCGCAGUCAGCUGUGUGUGAUAGCGGCACGGUACUUACGUGUAGGGCAGAGGUUUGGUCCGGGAGGUAGUUCGAGCUUGGACCCGGCUACGUGGAAUGCCACAUGUUAGAUCGUGUGAUCGAUGAUGCACCGAGAGUGCGGCUGUGACCCAACCCGAGGAUUUGUAGUGGUUUAGGGUCAUGGUUGCUCCUGGUUGGAGUGUGUGCGAAUUCCCAAGUGAGAAUUUCGCCCAGUAAUGAUGAUUGGGUCUACGCUUGCGAGCGAGUAACGUCGCGCGUAUUGCGAUAGGUUUAGAUUGUAGGCCUACGUAGGAUUGGUGACCUUUAGUCCACCUGUGGAAACCGAAGUAAGCGAUUUGGCCGAUCACUCUGUCGAGGAGUUUGGCUUGGAUUCACGAACAGAGUGUUCAUGUGAGUUUGUUGUAAGAACGAGUUGGUGUUGGCCUUGGCAAUUGAAAGAGAAAGUGAAGUGGUCUCUAGGAGACACUUGGAUCAUGGAUAGCCACGCAGAAUUGAGACUAAUGCUCUUUAGAGGAUUGACAUUGGAGAUGUGCCGGAGUGUGCCAUCUCGCUAUAGAGCAAAAAUUCGAUUGUGAUGGGAACUCUCGCGAUUGGACGAUGCACCUCUGAUAUUGCUUCUAAGCAAUGCCGAUGAUCGAAGGAUUCGGUGGAAUUGUGAAGGAGUAGGUCCUUCUUGUGCUGGGUAGUGAGUGGUGUUGGAGCGUGUAGAGUCGUCGAGUAUUGACUUGCGCUGCCACUAUGACUCGCAAGACCCAUGAUGCACUUCUGGUAUCACAUUCCGCUAUUGUGAUUGCGAUUGAACCCACAUCUUUCGGUAUGAGCCGCUUAAGCAGUCACAAUAGUGUGAAGCCGCUCUGGAGUGGGAAAGUGCAUUGGUGUCCUCGAUUGCUCGAUAAGUCGAGUUAAAGUGUGGUUUAGAUUUCGAGGACGAAACUCUUUUUAAGGAGGGGAGGAUGUAACAUGCCGAACUUCUAUAGUUAGGAAGUUACGGCGAAUGUUAGUUUGGAAAGCUGUUCAUGGUGUAGUUCCGGUGAUGUUCGGGAGCAUCCGAGUGUUUUCAGUGCGUGUUGGAUGCGGAAACGGAACUCGAAUAGCUAUGUUAAACUUUGGAUUAAAUCCGGCAAAGCGUGAAAGAGGAUCUAAACGCGCUCAAAAAUGUGUUUUAGGGGUCUCGAAACAAUUAGAGAUGAAUCGGAGGACCAACGAGCGAAAACGAAGCAAACCGGAGAAAAUUGGAAAAAAAGGGCUGAUUUUUGGGUUUCGGACCUACGGGGUCCGGACCUCGAGCUCGAAAACUGCCCAGGUAGGCUGGGGCUAUUUUGGUAAUUUGAGGGGUUGCUUUUUAAAAGAAGGCCUCCACCAUUCUUCUUUCUCCUUCCACAGCAAACCCACACACACACACCCCUUGGGGUAGAGAGAGAAGCUUCUCUCUCUCUCUAGCUUUCCCACUUUCCCUUUCUAGAUCUCUCUCUCAAAUUCACGGGUUGGCGGAGAGCGAGCUUGGGAACACGUUGGGAGCGACGGAUCGAGUCUUCGUGCGUCCGGUUGAGCGACGUGCUUCCGACUCGAGGUUCGCAUUUUGGUGAGCGUUUACGAUUUUGGUUAAAUCCUUUGAGCAUGGUAUGCUAGUGAUCCCUAGACUAUUCUAAGCAUGCUCUCUAUGAAUUUCAUAGAGUAUUUGGAGAAAUGGGAGAUCUAGGCGUAGAAUGGGGGUUUUGGGCAAAUGAGAGUUUUUAUCUAAAUUAACCCUAUGUUUCUCUAAUUAAAGGUUAAAGAAGGGUCCCUGACAACUCUAGGUUGCGGAUUGACCGAUGCUCGGUGAUCGAUUGCGAGUUCGAGCCGAACCGGAUAACACGUGCCGCGGGAAGCCGAUUGCAAGUGUCGACAAGCAAUCAGAGAGCAUUGCGAGGUAGGUUGUGCUUCACCGAAGUGAUUAGGUCACUUUCAUGCCAAAGUGAAGUGUGGUUUGUCAUUGAUGCAUGUAGCGAUAGUUAAUUCCAUAUAUAAAUGCAUAAGGUAAAUGCCAUGUGAAUGCAUGAGAUGAUAUGUAUUAACUAUCCUUGGAUGACAAAGAAUAUGAAGUGUGGUUGGCUUUAUUAUUUUAUUUUAUUUGUUACUGUUUUUUUUAUCGUAUCGCACGCGUCUGUUACGCGCGCGCGCUCGUGCUUCGCUCACUCUCAUGCGCAAGAGGCGGAGAGACGUUGCAUCGUAGAACGUGGCCAACAUUCUAAUUUUUACCCACUUUAUUAUAAAGCUUCACUAUUCACCUGUUUACACAUGACAGUGAGAAAGCUUGUCUUCCAUAGAAACAAAAAAGAAAUAUUGUGGAGAGUUAAUCAAAUUCUCUUUUUAUUUUAAUAUAAUUUUGGCUUGAUAUUUUUUUUAUCAUCGGGUGUUGAAAGAAGCUUCGUCAACCUCUUCCGCGUUCGUGUCCGUAGGAGGAGAAAUUCCGGUCGUAUCUUGGGGCGGUGUUUUCGGUUAAUCCUGCACGAAGGACAGGCAAACGCCUUAGGGUAGUGCCUCGCACGCUUCCGGAGCUAAUUAAUUUUGGAUUUCCUUUUCUGGGAUAUAGCGAAUAUCUGUAAGUUGAUUUUAUUAAUUCCAUCACAAAAUUAGUUAGAUUUGUAUCACAAUCGGAUUUUCGUUGCAGUUUUUUCCCCAACAAUCUUAGGCGUAUUUCGAUUUGAUUGCGAUUAAAAUCUAACGAGUGCUAAUCCGGAAAAAAAAAAAGAGAAAAAAUUAUCGUGCAUAUUAUUGUUUGACAACUUGUUUGUAUGAUUGACAUACAAAUAUAAAUAAAUUGGGAUUAGCAUUCUCAAAUUCUAAUUGCAUAUAGUUUAUUUGCAAAUUAUUACUUCUCUUAUUUGCUUUGGGGUGUUUUUAAUUAGGAUUUAUAAAGGAUUUUACUGUUCUACUAUAGGUUUUAAAAAACAUAUAUUGCUACAGUAAUUUUUAUGUUAGUUGUACGGAUAUUUAAAAAAUUGCUACAGUAAUUUUUUAAAAAAAAAGGUUGCUAAAGUUUUUUCUUUUGCACAGUUUGGAUCUUUUUUUAAAACUUAAUUUUGAAAAAAAAGGGUUUUUGUUAUAGUAAAAAUAAAUUUUCCCUCGUAUCGUUUUUUGAGUUUGCUACAGUAAAAUUUUUUUGAAAGAAAAAAAAAGAAAACAAAAAAUCUAUUUUGAGUAGGAAUCAAACCAUCAACUGGUUAGCUCAACUACUUUAUAAAAUCAAGCCCUCACCAGCAAGCCCAAUUUCAAUUUUGUAAUCUUUUUUGUUUCAGUAUUUAUAUAUAAUCUGUUUGCUGCAUAAAGAGUUUUUGAUUGCAUAUAUCUGUUCAAGAUUACUUAAUUGAAAUCAAACAUUAAAUUGUUUGGGACAUAUAUUUGCUGCUGAACGAACUUUUAUAAGAGAUUAAGUUUAAACACUUAAAUCCUAAAAUAUUAUGGUUGACUAGGGUAAAAACUUUAACAACAUGUUUGUUUUUCUAAAAAGGUUUUUUGAACCUUUUUUGCAGCUCUUUUCAAUCAUCCUUAGUUUUCUUACUCCCUCAACUAGAUUGUUUAGAAUGGCUUUUGAUGAUACUUCUAGCCUUAAACCAGAAAAAUUUAAAGGGAUAGGAUUUUUGAGGUGGCAAGAACAGUUAGAGGCUUGGCUUAUCACCUUAGGCCUUAUAACUGUAAUUGGAAAAACACCUCCUUAUCCUACUUCUAAAAAUUCUUCUGGUCCUCCCAUAGUAACUCCUCCAUCAGAUUCUUCUAAAUCUGCUACCACCUCAGUUACAGAACCUAAAUCAGAUAAAUCUCCCGAGGAAAUUGAAUUUCACUGAAGGUUUAGAAUACUUAGCUGCCUAUUUGACGAAUUUUAUGAACCUAUAGGAAAUAUCAAACUGCCAAAGAUUUAUAGUUUGUCCUAGAAGAUGCCUACAUUAGAGAUAAUAAAGGUGUGGCCAGAUUUACCAUUACCGAUUUUAACAAUUUUAAAAUAGUAGACAACAUUCCUAUAAACGAUCAAAUCCACCAAUUUCAGAAUUUUGUCCAAGAGAUUCAUAGAAAUGGAUCAACCCUAGAUGAAACCUAUCAGGCAACCUGUCUAUUGGAUAAAUUACCUCCUUCCUGGACCAAAUUUGCCCAAGAUCUUAGACGUUCCAAGGAAACUCUUAAACUUAGAUCGGUAAUCCAAGCUGUUAGAAUAGAAGACCAAUAUCGACUUAGGGAGAUUAAACCGUCCAAUAACCGAUCAAACAUAAACCUGACCAAGAUUCAGAACAAGAGCCAUGAGCUUAAACCCAAAGGUAAAAAUUUUAAACCUAAAGGUAAAAGUUUUAAAGGUAGGAACCCAAAUCGAAACUGGAACCAUACCUAGAAACCCAAUUUGAACCAAUCUAAUGGGAAUAAGAAGAAGGAUGGUUUCUGUUAUGUAUGUGGCCAUGACAACCAUUUUGCUUCAAAAUAUUUUUAUCGAAAAAAAAAGAAGGUUGUCUACAAGAAGAGCCAAAACAAUCAGAACAAAGGUUGUCUACAAGAAGAGCCAAAACAAUCAGAACAACUAUCCUAAACCUCAGGUCAACAUGAUUGAGGGUGAACCUUCCAACUCCACUUUUAGGUCAGUCUCCUUUGUACCUAAUGUUAACCUUACCUAUUAUAAUUUGGAUUGGUAGUUAGACUCUGGAGCCAAUGUCCAUGUUUGCACUAAUAGGUCCCUAUUCUCCUCUUAUCAGGACACAAGUGGAGGAUGUGUGACUGUUGGAGAUGGAAAAGCUGUCAAUGUGUUGGGGAUCGGAACAGUCAAGCUGAAGUUAACUUCAGGAAAGACUUUAAUCCUUCAUAAUGUGCAGCAUUCUCCUGAAAUCCGACGAAACUUGAUUAGUGAAUCUUUAUUAGUGCAAUUAGGAUAUAAGAUUGUAUUAGAAUCCAAUAAAGUUGUAAUUUCUAAGGGAGAAAUAUUCAUUGGAAAAGGUUUUGUAUCUAAGGGUUUGUUCAAACUGAAUGUACUUUCUUUUACCGAUAAUAAAAAUUCUUCUUCUUCUACUUCUUCUACUGUUGUUUUGAAUACUGAAUCUUGUGAUAUAUGGCAUGACAGAUUAGGGCAUGUGAAUCUUAGAUCUAUUAUGAGAUUAUCCAAUCUUAACCUUGUACCCAAAUUCAAGAUUGAUCAUAUAUCCAAAUGUGAGAUUUGUACCCAAGCUAAGCAGCCUAGGAAACCUUUUAAAUUUGUUCAUCAUAGGGAUACCCAGCUUCUUGAACUAAUUCAUAGUGAUGUUUGUGAUUCCAAUAGAGGUCCUACUCGUGGAGGAAGUCGUUACUUUGUGACCUUUAUAGACGAUUACUCCAAAUAUUGUUACACCUAUCUCUUGAAGACCAAAGAUGAAGUCCUCUAUAAGUUUAAAGCCUUUAAAGCAGAGGCUAAAAACCAAUUGGAGAAGAGAAUUAAAAUUUUAAGGUCUGAUAGAGGAUGCGAGUAUACUUAAAAUGAGUUAAAUUUGUUCUGCGAGGAAUAUGGAAUAAUUCAUGAAGUAACUGCUCCAUACUCACCUCAGUCUAAUGGUGUAGCUGAAAGAAAGAGCCGAACCCUGUUAGGCAUGGUUAAUGCUAUGAUUUUAAGUUCUAGUGUAUCUCAGAACUUGUGGGGGGAGGCUCUUUUAUCAGCUUGUUAUAUCCUCAAUAGAAUUCCUUCUAAGGAUAGAACCCGGACACCUUAUGAACUUUGGAAGGGAAGAGCACCUAGGCUGAGUUACUUCUGAGUGUGGGGGUGCUUAGCUAAGGUGUCUAUUCCUGAACCCAAAAGAAAGAAGAUUGGUCCUAAAACAGUAGAUGCCAUUUUCAUUGGAUAUUCUCUAAAUAGUAACACCUACAGAUUGCUUAUAACCAACUCUGAGAUUUCUGAGAUUUCCAAUGAUACCUUGAUUGAAUCUAGAGAUGCAACAUUCUUUGAAAACAUCUUUCCUUUCAAAACUCGCAUCUCUAGAUCAGCACCUGAUUAUCAACCUACAGUUGAUCAUGCAUCUACAUCUGAUGAUUUAUUUGCAUCUGAUUUAUCAUAUAGUUUAGAUCCUGUAGAACCUAACCCACCAGCUGAACUGAGAAGAAGCAAAAGAGCUCAUAUCGAGAAGAACUUUGGUGAAGAUUUCUUUACUUUCUUAGUUGAAAGUACACCUUCAUCAUACGAGGAAGCUAUGAGUUCUUCUGAAGCUUCUUUUUGGAAGGAGGCUAUAAACAGUGAGAUCGAGUCAAUUAUUGGCAAUAACACUUGGAUCCUCACUGAUUUACCUCCUAGAAACCAACCCUUAGGAUGUAAGUGGAUCUUUAAAAAGAAGCUUAGGACCGACGGAUCGGUAGAAAAGUAUAAGGCCGGCUUGUAGCUCAAGGUUUUCGACAAAAAGCUGAAGUUGAUUACUUUGACACAUAUGUGCCUAUUGCUCGCACUACUACUAUCCGAGUCAUCCUUGCAUUAGCAUCUAUUCAUAAGCUUUUGAUUCAUCAGAUGGAUGUCAAAACGGCUUUCCUUCAUGAAGAUCUUGAAGAAGAAAUUUAUGUGACUCAACCUGAAGGUUUCUCUGUGCCUGAUCAAGAAAAUAAGGUGUGUAAAUUAGUCCGCUUUUUGUAUGGACUAAAACAAGCACCUAACCAGUGGCACGAGAAAUGCGAAAAUGUUAUUGAAUAUAUGGAUUUCAGACAAAAGAUUUUGACAACUGUCUCUAUUUCAAGAGAUUUGAUGAUCGUUGUGUUCUUCUUUGCCUCUAUGUUGAUGACAUCCUGAUUCUUGCACCUGAUCUUGAUCUGAUUAACCAAGUUAAAUCCUUUUUAUCGACUCAUUUUGAUAUGAAGGAUCUUGGUGAAGCAGAUGUGAUUUUAGGAAUGAAGAUUCUUAAAUCAUCUAAUUUUAUUCUUUUAACCCAAUCUCAUUAUACCCAAAUAGUUCUUGAUAAAUUUGGAUAUUCUGAUUGCUUUCCUGUUUCUACUUCUUUUGAUCCUAGUGUUCAACUUGUGAAGAACACUGGUAAUUCUAUGAAUCGGGAGAGAUAUGCCCAGAUUAUUGAUUAUUUGAUGUACCUAACCAAUAGGACUAGACCUAAUAUUGCCUAUGCCAUAUCGAGAUUGAGCAGAUAUACUAGUAAUCCUAGUAUAACUCAUUGGAUUACUUUGGAAAGAGUAUUUCGUUACCUUAAAGGUACUAUCUCUUAUUCACUUUAUUUUAUUGGCUAUCCUGCUGUAAUUGAGGGAUACAGUGAUGCCAAUUGGAUUUCGGAUUCUUUGGAUAUCAAAUACACUUCUGGUUAUGUUUUCAUUCUUGGUGGAGGUGCAGUUUCUUGGCAAUCCACCAAACAGACUAUAAUAGCUAGAAGUACUAUGGAGGCUGAGUUAGUUGCUCUUAAUACUACUUGUCUUGAAGCCGAGUGGCUCAAGAACCUACUGUCAUCGAUUCCUUUGAUUUCUUCUCAUAUUCCACCUAUUUCUAUUCGAUGUGACUCUCGAGCUGCAAUUGAUUUUUGUAAAAAGAAAUUGAUAAAUUCUAAAGCUAGUAGACAUAUUAAAUUGAGACAAAAGUCUGUUAGAUGGCUAACCUCUCGUGAUAUUGUUUCUUUGAGUUUUAUCAGAUCUGAUCAGAAUCUUGCAGAUUGCUUGACAAAAGGCCUGAAUAGGACUAAGGUCCUGGAGUCAUCGAGGGGGAUGGGACUUUGCCGGUAAAAGGUCAUCCUGCAGUAGGAACUCAACCUUUGUGAUAGGAGAUCCCUUGAAGAAGGUUCAAUGUGGUAAAAACAAGCUGCUAGGUUGGCCAAAGAGCACUUUCUACAGUUUAUAUAGAGGAGCUUUAGCUCUAAUCCCAUCCCUAUGGUGAAUAGUGCUCUGUAUAGUGGUUCAGGCUGAGUUUAUAGCUCUUAAUGGGAUCCGAGGCGAUAAUUUCCGCGAGAUGUGACUCUACACACAUCCCCGGAGAAAACCACCUAUAUAAGAGUAUCCAUAUGUGGCCGCGGCUGUGGGAUGUGGGCUGUCCAUAGAAACUCUUAUGAAAAAUCAAGGUACUAUGCAUGGCCAUUAACGCACAGACCCGCGACGGAGAAUUCUGUACUAUGUGUAUGGUAGUUGAAGUCAGGGUCAAAGAAACGUAGUUCAAGACCUGGUUCACUCCGAUUCUUUCUGAUGAAAACUAUUUACACUGAGUGAGGUUAAGUCUCUUAAAGACAUCUUACCUAUUGCAUAGUAUAAACACCCGGUGAUCUAUUUAUUUAUUAAUUUGUUUUCGAGUUUAAUUCCCAUUUUGAAAUUUUUGAAUUUUGUGGGGGAUUGUUGAUGAAAAUUCAAAAUUCUUUAGUAUUUAUUUAUUAUUUUAUUUGAUUUAUUUUAUUUUAUUUAUUAAUUUUUUUUUAUCGUAUCAAACGCGUCUGUUACGUGCGCGCACUCGCGCUUUGCUCGCUCUCAUGCGUAAGAGGCGGAGAGACGUUGCAUCAUAGAACAUGGCCAACGUUCUAAUUUUGACCCACUUUAUUAUAAAGCUUCACUGUUCAUAUGUUUACAUAUGACAUUGAGAAAGCUUGUCUUUCGGAGAAACAAAAAAGAAAUAUUAUGGAGAGUUAAUCAAAUUCUCUUAUUAUUUUAAUAUAAUUUUGGCUUGAUAUUUUUUUUAUCAUCGAGUGUUGAAAGAAGCUUCGUCAACCUCUUCCGCGUUCGUGUCCGUAGGAGGAGGAAUUCCGGUCGUAUUUUAGGGCGAUGUUUCCAGUUAAUCCCGCACGAAGGACGGGAAUACGCCUUAGGGCAGUGCCUCGCAUGCUUCCGGAGCUAAUUAAUUUUGGAUUUCCUUUUCUGGGAUUUAACGAAUAUCUGUAAGUUGAUUUUAUUAAUUCCAUCACAAAAUUAGUUAGAUUUGUAUCACAAUUGGAUUUUUGUUGCAGUUUUUUCCCCAAUAGUGAUUAGGUCACUUCCAUGCCAAAGUGAAGUGUGGUUUGUCAUUGAUGCAUAUAGCGGUAGUUAAUUACAUAUAUGAAUGCAUAAGGUAGAUGCCAUUUGAAUACAUGAAAUGAUAUGUAUUAACUAUCCAUGGAUGAUAAAGAAUAUGCAUGUUGGCAUAUUAUAGUAUUUGCUAGAAAGUAUAUGCAUGUGGAUUUAUUGUGGAAUAUGCUAGAAAGUAUAUGUAUGUUGGCAAGUUGUAGAAUAUGCUAGAUUCAUAUAAAUUGAACAUGGGUCGAUAACUCUAGGUUGAUUAGAGAACUCGACAGUUGGAAAAUAAGAAUAUGAAAUCUAUGAAUCCUAGGUGUGGACAACUAGGAUGACAAGUAGAUCAAAUAGAUCGAGUGGCAUGAACCUAGUGUCAUUGAACAUAGGUUGAACAAGUGAACCUAGAGUCGAGAUCUAGGUGGAAAUGACAUAGAACCUAGCAUGGUUGAACCUAGACUGUGGAUUAUAGUGGUAGCAGGGCCACUAGGAUGUGCAUGGGCCGAACCUAGAUAGGUCGACAGCAUAGGGUGUGUGACUACCCUUGAGACUUGAAAAGUAAAUUCCAGAAUCACAGGACUUGUGGAACUCGACAGUUCUUGGCCGCCGGGGCUGUGUGGCAUAUUCUCCUCCCACCGGAAGAACUUCGAGGAUAGGAUUAUGGAAGAUUCUUGGCCGCGGGGGCUGUGUGGCAUAUUCCCCUCCCACUAAAAAAAUCUUGGAUCGCUAGGGUGCGUGUGGCAUAUUCCCCUUCCUAUUGGAGGUUUUGUGCCGCGGGUGCGUGUGGCGUAUUCCCCUCCCACCGGAAAGAUCUCUGACCACAGGUGUACGCAGUUCUUCGCGACCCAUUGGGCGAUGUGGUUUGUGGAUUUAGGGCUGAGGUGCAUGUGAGACGUCCUUCGCAUAGAGCCCGAUAGAGCGCGGUAUUCCGUAGAUGAUUGACUCGAGGCCGAGUCGGGUGGCUAGCUUUGUUAAGCUAGAUGAAAUCUUAAGAGCAAGUGGUAAAUGGUAUGGAUCUAAAAUAGUAGAAAUCUUAGAAGCUAGUUGGAUAUGAGCUAUGGAUAGCGAGAUAGAGAGUAGUAUCGGUUGAUCUAUUUAGUUUAUUGCAUUGUUGCAUGAUUUGAAUAUUGCAUGUCUUGAGGCAUACGCAUGUAAUUUAAUAUUUGCAUAAAAUAUCUGUUGGACUAACAUGUUUGCAGUGCCUCCUUUAGACCUGGUGAGUCGAGCUUUUCCCUUGGGUGGCCGUACCUACUGGGAAUUAUGGACAUAGUUCUCAUCCCAUGUUGUUUUGGGGGAUUUCAAGUUCACACGCGAGCGGCGCGGCGGCACGAGGAAAUAGCGUAACUCCGUAGAUAGCGCCCUACCAUUGUGACGAGAGAUAGCGGUACCCCGAAGUGGUCUAGCUUAGGGGUGGAAAUGAAAAGAACAAAUUUGUAAUAACUAGAUUGUAUUUGGAGGUUAAUGUAAUUUAAUGUAAAACUGAGAUGAAUGCUUGUAAUAGUUUAGCAUUUAUGUUUUGGAUACCUUCCUUAUGCAAUCUGUGUUUGAAUAUUGUUCCUGGUUGGAACCUCGUGUAUUGUAUUGAUUGCGACGUCUUGAACGUACAGAAAAAAUUCUGUCCGUUCGGCGGUCUGUUGGCGUACCCGAAUCCGACCAAAUCGGAGGCAUGACAUGGAAUUUAAUUCUCAACAAAGCUCUCUUCUUCACUUCCAAACUUCUUCUAGGGUUCAUCAAACAAGCCACCAUGGAAAGGAAGGAGAAAACAAGAUCAAAACCCAAAUCAAAAGGGGUUUGGAGAAGAAAUCUAGAGAGAGAAAAAAGGGGUUUGGAGAAGAAAUCUAGAGAGAGAAAAGGGAAAAAACCCUACCUCUUCCUUCCUCAACCUCAGCAUAAGAGAGGGGCAUGUGGGGGAGAGGAUGUAUUUUAUACAAGUUGUAACAAUUCCCUCAAAACCUUUCAAAACUUCAAAAAUUGCAAACUGCACGAAAUGCAGUUUCUGCACUGCGUACCGGUACUCGAAGAUGAGGAUUCAACUUCUUGUUCUAAGUUGUAAAAAAGUAUCUGCUUUGGGAUAUCUCAGAAAUUGUUCUGUUAUAUGUUGGUAUCUAACAAUAUUGAACGUAAGAUGAGAUCCUAGUUACAAUAUAAAUGUAGAGAUUAGAGGAGAUUGCUCUCUUUUAGCUAACAAAAAAAAAGAAAGAAUAAUAUGAAGCUAGAGCCUGCAGAGAUUAUGAGACAAAUAAAUAUUUAGAGAAAUUAGAUGAUUAUUCUUUUUAUACUGCAUUAGGAAGACAAAAAAUUAUUUAAUGAAAGAUUAAAAUUAAUAAAGCAAAACUUAAAAUUUUAUAAUAGAUCAAUGCACAUGAUAAAUUAUUUAACACUUGAAUUCUUUUAUUAUAAUCAGAUUCUAAUACUUUAAAUAUGGAAUAGUAUAUAUGAGAGAUCAAUGAGUUUAUUGAGAAUUUGUCCACAAAUGGUGUGCUAUUUUUCGUAUAAAUAGCUUUUGUCCAAUUCCAGCAUAGAUCAUAUAACUUCAACUUUGAACAAUCUACUAUAACUUACUAUAAACGGUUAAUUUUUAAACAUUUUACUUUAGAAAAUGAUAUAUGAUGGAAUAAAAAAUUUCUUACAUAUUGUCCAAGUACUUCAAUGUGUGUAUUCUUAUAUAGGAUGAAUGAAUAAACACUCCUUGCCUUUUAGGCCUUUGGUAAAUAGUUUCAUGAACUUUUAUUUGUGGAAAUUAGUUCUUCGAAAUUUUAUCAAAUGGUUCAAUUAAUUAUUGAUCUCAAAUAGUUUAAUUGUUUCUUAUCCUCAAAUAAAAUUAUUAUUUAAAUAGCUUGUGCUGGUGGCAUGCUUUAUUGGUAAUUUUUAAAAGAUUUAAAACAUAAAAAAUAUACUUAUCUUUUAGAAGAUAUAAAAAAAGCAUCAAAAUUCAAGAAUUUGGUGGAUCCAUUUUAUUACUUAUUUAAAGCAUGAGAAUAAACAAAAUAUACUUUGCUGUACUAUGAAGCUUUAUAGGAUCAUACUCAGAAAAUGUGUUAAGAAUUAUUGUUUAAUAAAUAAUUUUGUUUGAAACAAAGAACAUAUUAAAACUAUUUUGUAAGGCCAAUUAAAAAAUGUAAAAGUUUAAAAGGCUGUUUGCCAAACUAUGAAGUUCAUGAAACAUUUAUUUAUUUAUCCUUUUCUUAAAUUGAAGUACUAAUUCAAACUUUCAAUCUCAUCAAACUUUUACUCUUAGGUAAAUUUUUACAUACUCUCAUAAAAUGAAAAAAAAUGUGUCGAAAUUUUACAUAUACAAGAAAUUAUAAUAUAACAAAAAAAUAGAGGAUCUAUCAUAAGUAAUUCCUUUUAUAAAACUCUCAUAAUUAAUUACUUCAAUAUAACAAAAAUAUCUCAUCCCUUUUAUUUCUUUACUGACAAUUCAAUAAAAGUUGAAUAUAGUUACAUACUAAUUAACUUAUACUGUUUGCAAUUCUAGGAAAAAAUAUAGAAAAUCCACAAAAGACCCACAUCCAAGGCCAUGUGAUGAUCUGAGAGAGAAAGAGAUAGAUAGAGAGAAAGACCUAUUUUUACGAGAAACGAUGUCAAAUGGCAAGCGCGUAACGAGGACCACUGGCAAUAAGCAUCAAUUUCUAGCAGCAAGCCGAUAACGUGAACCACCGACAAUAAGCAACAAAAUAUUUGAAGUACCAUACGAGAAGAAAAAUAAGAAAGCAAUGAAAAUCGGGGGGGAGAAGUCACUCAAAAAAAUUAGAAGGGAAGCUAUGCGUGCUGGAAAUAAUUUCAGAAACCGCUUGUAAUUUCAGAACCCGCUCGUGAAGUUGAGGGCGUUAAUUGAGGACGAAGGAGCAAGCUAAUUAAUUAAAGAGUUUGUCUAGGAUUUUUUAAUUAGGAAUAUGAUAUUCUCGUCUUCUUUAGUUUUAGUCAUUUUUUAUUUAUAUAUACUCUAUUAAAGUAGGGCUACUAUACUCUUAUGAGUAGAAAGCCCUUUGUACUCAUAAGUUAUUUUCGAUGAUGGAGCUUCUGAAUCGACGAUCCAUUCCGUUAAAUAUGAUCUAAAGUAUUUGAAACUUCUAAAAAAUAAAUUUCGUAAUUUUUCGAAAUCAUAAUAAAAUCUAUUAAGCGAGUAUAAAAUAAACGGUCAGAAUUGAAUGACGUCCUAAAAAUAAAUGAUCGAAUCAUUUAAUUUAAGAUCAGAAUUACUGACCUAUAUCUAGAUAGUAGAUAGAAUUUUCUAUAAAAAAUUCAACUAAUUUCGAUUCUUUUACACCUUUAAACUAUCAAGUAUUCCAAACCGCUCGUUAAAAGUUGUUAAUUUUGAGAUUUUUUUUAAUCAUAAGGUAAAUAAUGUCAAAAAAUUAUAAAAUUUGAUUUCUAGAUAUUUUAAAUGCCCUAGAUAAUAUUUAACGGUAUGCAUUGUAAAUUCGAAAGCUCUAUCAUCGAAAAUGACUUAUGAGUACGAAGGCUAUCGUACUCAUAAGAAUGUAGUAGUCAGACUCCACUCUAUUAUUGUAUAAUAUAUAAUAUCAAGAGUAUAAAUAACAUAUCUGAAAAUGUAUUGUUAAAUUAACACUAAUAUAUCUAUCUGUCAAAACAAUAAGGAUUAAUAUACUAGCCAAUUUAUUACAACAAAAUUAAUUAACGAUAGCAAAUAUGAAAUUACAAAAAUACGGCAGUGUUAUAAUAUUUUCUAAUUACACCUGAAAUUGCUGCUAAGAAAUAAAUAGCAGCGGUAAUUAUAAAGGUUGCUAUAUCUUUAGUUUAGCGACAUGUUUUAAGCCUAUCAUAAAAGAAAUUACCGCUAUAUGGCUUAUUUUUUAUAGUGUUUCUCAAAUUCUUCAGUACCCUCACCUUUACUGCCCUGCUUACGAGAACGAGGAAGGCCGAAAAAAGUGCAGCGGACGGUGGAGAUAUGGGCGAGGUAAGGUGGAGAAGUGUGAUGACCACGUAGGGGCUAGGGGCGACGAGGAGAAUGCAAGAGAGGAAGUGAGAGAAGAAAGAAAGGAAAGAAAAAUAAGGGAGAGAAUUAGGUGUUUUUAUAAAUUUUUUAAAAAUUUUGUCCAAAUAUACAAAUUAAAAAAUAGACUGAUUUUAUAAAAAUACCAAAAAAAAAGGGUUAAAAUAAGUGGAUAUUUUUUUUUAGUUAAAUUAAAAAUAAAAAAAUGCGCAUGAAAAAUAGCUUAAAAAAAAGGCCAAUUUGCAUAAAAAAAUCACUUAUUUUGGGCUUUUGCAAAAUUGGGCCACAUUUUUCAUUUUUGCAGAUUCGGUCCGCUUUUUCAGCAAACUGACCAAAAUACCCUUAUUACUUUUUCUCUUUCCUCUUUCUCUCUCUUCUUCGUUUCUCUCGUUCUUUUUUUUUUUCUCGCCGGUAGAGCGGAGGUGGAGCGGAGGUAGAAACGGUCCGUCUCGCCUCUCACCGUCAUGCUCUCGCCCUCGCCCUUGCCCUCGUCCAUGCACCUCCCACCUUCCUCGCCUCCGACCCCGUUAAGGCCGCGCCGCGACUUUUUUUUUUUGCUUUUUUCUUUUCUUUUCUUCUCCGACUCUUCUCCACCGUCUCCGACGACGACGCCUCUCGCCCUUCCCCGCCCUUCUCAUCUCUCCCUCUCCCUCAUUUUCUGCCGCCUCCGAUGACGAUUUAUCUUCGCCGGCGCCGAUGUCGAAACCGUAGAGGUCACUGCGGCGCUAUAGCCUCGGAGCGGGGGGUCCUUAGCGGCGUCGUCACCGGCGCCGUCACCGGCGCCGUAGCUAUUGGCAGAGAAGGUGACAAAAAAAUUAUAGAAAAAACAGAAAAAAAAAAUAAAGAUAAAAAAUUAUAUAAAAAGAAGGAUGAAGAUGAAAUUACAUCGUUAAUUACAAAAAAAAUUAUAAGUUGCACUAUUUAAGAUGUAAACUGCUGCUUUAAGAUAAAAAUUAUACUCUUUGAACGAAAAUUAUACUAUUUUUUAUCUUAAACUGCAUCCUUUUAAGUGAUAUUUAUACUGUUUCUCCUCUUGUAUCCAUGUUUCGCGCUAGUUGUUCACUAUUUCUCCUCUUAUUUACACAGAAAUGGUGCAACAUAGAGGAGAAACAGGUGCAAUAACAGGAGAAACAGUAUAAAUAUCUCUUAAAAGGUGCAGUUUCUCCUCUUAUUGCAUUGUUUCUCCUCUUGUUGCACUAUUUCCUGUUGUUUACACAGAAAUGGGGUGCAGCAAGAGAGAGAAACAGUGCCAACAAAGAGAAGAAACAGUAGAUAUAUCUCUUAAAACAGUGCCAGUUUCUCCUCUUGUUGCCACUAUUCUCCUCUUGUUUACACAGAAAUGGGCCAACAAGAGGAGAAACAGUAUAUAUAUUCUUAAAACAGUGCAGUUUCUUUCUUCUUGCACUGUUUCUCCUCUUGUUGCCACUAUUUCUUUUCUUAUUUACACAGAAAUGGUGCAAUAAGAGGAGAAACAGUAUAAAUAUCCUUUAAAAGUGCAGUUUAAGAUAAAAAUAGUGUAACAAGAGAAAAUUAUGCAACAAGAGGAGAACAGUGCAACUUUUGUUUUAAGGAUGUUAACUUUCAUCUUAAUGGAUGCAGUUUACAUCUGAAAGAGUGUAAUAAGAGAGAAACAGGUUAAAUAAUUUUUCAAGAGUGUAAUUUUCGUUUUUAGUGUGGUUUUCAUUUAAAAGCUGCAGUUUAAUCUUAAAUAGUGGUAACUUAUAAUUUUUUUUGCAUAGUAACGAUACAAUUUGAUGUUCAUCCUUCUUUUAUAUAAUUUUUUUAUCUUUAUUUUUUUUUUCUGUUUUUUCUAUAAUUUUUUUGUCACCUUCUCUGCAACAGCCACGGUGUGGCGACGACACCGCUAAGGACCCGCUCCGAGCCUGUAACGCGCAGUGACCUUCACGGUGUCGCGUCGGCGCCGGCGAAGAUGCAUCUCGUUGGAGGCGGCAGAGAAUGAGAAAGAGAGAGGGGGAUGAGAAGGUGGGAAAGAUGAGAAGGACGAGAGAUGCAUCGUCGUCGGAGACGGGGGAGAAGGUCGGAGAAGAAAGAAAAGAAAAAAACAAAAAAAAAAAAGUCGUGGCGCCGGCCUUGGGGGGUGGAGCGAGAAGGUGGGCUUGCUGUGGACGAGAGCAAGGGUGAGGGCUAAGAGAAUGAAGUGAUGAGGCAAGACGGACCGUUUCCGCCUCCGCUCUUGUAACGCGCCCAACUUCCCACGGGUCACCCAUCCUAAGGAUACUCCCGUACCUAGCACGCUUAUUCUCUUAACUUUUUGGGCCUUUCACCACCAAAAUGUUAAGCCGGCGUUAAGAGUUUAAUCCUAUUAUAAUCUAUUAUAGGACUAUCUGGGGUCUCACAAUCUCCCCUCCUUUAAGCCCUGACGUCCUCGUCAGGCUCAGACUCACAAGUACCAGGCGAUGUGAGACUCAUCUCGCUAGCCCGUCAUCCAGAUCCUGGCUCAGCCGAGAGUCAUCUCACACUUCCGGCUGGUAAUUGGCUCUGAUACCAUCUGUAACGCCCCAACUUCCCAGGGGGUCACCCAUCCUAGGACUACUCCCGUCCUAGCACGCUUAAUUCUCUUAACCUCUUGGGCCUUGCCACCACCCAAAAUGCUUAAGCCGGGUUAAGAGUUUAAUCCUAUUAUAUCUUAUAUAUAGGACUAUCUGGGGUCUCACAGCUCUGCCGGCGAGAAAAAAAAAGAACGAGAGAAACGAAGAGGAGAGAGAAAGAGGAAAGAGAAAAAGUAAAAAGGGUAUUUUGGUAAGUUUGCUGAAAAAGUGGACUGAAUCUGCAAAAAUGAAAAAGGUGGCCCGGUUUUGCAAAAGCUCAAAAUAAGUGAAUUUUUUAUGCAAAUUGGCCUAAAAAAAAUAAUGAAACACAAAAAGGAAACAGAAGAAAAUUGAGAAAAUCUCCAUAAGGGCAGUUCUCACGGUGCAACAGGAGGGGAAAAACGAGAGGAAAAGGCGAGAGAGAGAGCGAGAGAGAGCGAGAGAGAGAGAGAGGAAAAGAGUAGAAACACUCAGGCGCACGUUCCUGGGACGACGAGUCGCUCCUCGUCGGCGUUUCUUUCUCGAGGACUCCGCCGCGACCGAGUCGCCCUCGUCUCCCUCCCCGCCGCCCCCAUCUCCUCCCCGAAUCUCGUAGAUCUCCCACAGGUGACUCGGCAAUCCCUCAUUCCUCCUCCCUCACUUCUUUGAUCUCGAAACCCUAACUUUCCUUUCCUUUCUCCAUUUUUGAGAUCCCAGGCUUUCUUCCGCAGAUCGAGCAUGGCGAGGUAUCAGGUGGAUGGUAAGGUGGUGCAGGGAGUGGACUUGUUGAGGAAGAAGCACUGGGUAUGGCGAUUAGACGUGUGGCCCUUCGCGAUUCUCUACUCCUUAUGGCUCUUCCUGGUCGUCCCCAGCAUCGAUUUCACUGACGCCUUGAUCGUCCUCGCGGGGAUCGCCGUCGUUCACAUCCUCACGCUACUCUUCACGGCGUGGUCCGUCGAUUUCAGAUGCUUCGUUCAGUUCAGCAAGGUGUGCUGGAUUUCUCGGUUUUGAUAUACAAGAAUGGAUCUGAACUUUUUAUUUGCGCAACCAUGUCUUAGGUUCAAUUUGUCAUAAACUCAGCUUUGAUUGGCAGGUGAACGACAUCCAUUCUGCGAAUGCGUGCAAGAUCAUCCCUGCCAAAUUUUCCGGCCCGAAAGAAGUCACGCCGCUGCAUUUCCGGAGAACUGUAAGUUUACUGUUAUAUUUUUGUGCAUAUCUGGACAACCGUGAGGCAAGUCAAUUUGUAAAAUGGAUAAACUAAACUUAUUUAUGCAAACGUUGAAACCCCUUUUCUGCUAUAUUUGUUAGGAGUUGUAUAGGCUGGAAUGAAAUUCUCUUAUGAAGUUUUAAGAUCAAGUUACAUAAUCCUACCUUUAUAACAAAUAGUGCAUACACCCAUAUGUGCAUCUGCAAAUGUGAAAUGUGGUUACUUCACCACACCGCAUAGACUGCAUUUGCAUAUAUGGCUCGGGCAGCGAGCGCCAUGUAAAUAAGCACAUGAGCAAGCUACCUAGUAUCUUGAACUUAAAAUGUGUAUAGGUAGAUUUAUCAUAACAUGUCUAUAUAUUAGCUACUUAUGCAUUUUAAUCUAUUUGAUAUAAAAUGCUUUAUAAAUUUUCAUUACUUGUUAGAUUUUAGACUGAAUUCUUUUUACAAAAUAAGGUAUUCGAAAUGUGACAUUAUUUUACAGUGCUGGAAUGCUCUGUAACACUUUUUGAAUUCGUGAUUCUUAAAUUUAUUGUAUUUAUGUGGACUGCAUAGGCACCUGUAUAUGCGACCGCCUCCACAUGGGCGCUAUGUGAUACCUUAGCUGCCUGCAUACUGCUUUAUGCAUUUUAGAACAUAUAAUAAUUUAAUUAGAGCUGCUGAACUUGUAAAAUUACAAAUGCUUCUGUCCUCAAGAGGGACUUCAUAUGUUUUUUUUUUUUUUUUGGUAAAAUUGAGUUUAUAGUUAUUUUUGAGAUGGUGAUGCUACUGUUUUUAGAACCUUUUUCUUCUUAUUCAUGCAAUCUUAUUCCUACAUGUAAUUGUUCUAGUUUGAUGGUGAUAGAACAAUGUGGUGUAUAUUUGAAACUGAUUUCUAAAUAGACCAAUUUUGAAAUGAAAUAUUCAUCAAGAGUUGUUCAAUCAUAAAGAAUUUAGAAAAAGAUAGCAUCAAAUGUGCUGCAAAGCAAUUUUUGAUGCAGCAAUCCUUACUAAUAAUUUAUGCAAAGAUGAAAACCCAACUAAAUUUUGUUUGUUUGAUAUAGACCUUUAGGAAAAGAAAUAACCAACCUAGAAAAUAAUAAGUUCAUAUACAUUUUGGUAGACAAAACACUUUAGGAUAAGGAUAAUUUUCUGUAGAUUAGUAGCUUAGGGGUUUAAGUUUGUUGCUGAAAUUGGAUAUGGAAAGUUUCAAAAGUUUAAUGCAAGGAUUUCAUCCCUUUAGUUUUCUAAAGAAGAUUGUAAGAUGUGCCAAUAAGAAGUUCCCAAAUAGCUUGAAAUAGAUGGGUAUAGUGUUCUGAUAGGUUGCUAUGGAUGCAAAUAUUAUUACUCACUGACAACUUUUCGAUGCAAACUAAGGGUUGCAAAAUCUGAAUUUUCAACUUUGUUUUAGUCUGUUGCUAUCCCUUGAAAUAAACUAGGUUCAAUUUAUUGAUGCUGGAGAAAUUUACUACAAUUAAAGCAAGGAAGCUAGAAAAUUUCAGCAAGACAAAAUUAAAAACAAAUUGAAGCAAUAUUAAGAUGGUAAUAAACAUUCAAUAUAUGAGAUAUUAAUGACCAAGUGAAAAUACAUAUAAAAGUUUCAAAUAAAAAGGUAAGGUUUUAUCGGACUUGAAACUUUUAUACUUGGUUGUUUCGGCAAAAAUGGUUGGUAAUAGUGGAAGGCUAGACUGAAUGGGAUAAUGGGAUACUAAGAUGAGGGAGAAGGUAAGAUGCAAGAAUUGCACCGAUUAUACAAUUGCUGGGGAUCCACAAUUGACAAGGAGGCGAUAUACCAUGGGUAGAACUUCUGCAAUGGGGAAGAAAAAGAAAAGGUAGGGAUUCAAAAGAAGAGGAGGCAGGAAUUCGAAAGAAGUGGAUGUAGGAAUUUGAAAGAAGAGGGGUAGGAGCAGAAGCCAAAGAAGAGGAGGCAGGGAUUCGAAAGAAGAGGAGGGGGUAGGAGCAGAAGACGAUCUUGCCUUGAGGAGGAAGCGACAACUAUCAAGUUGAGAAAGAAGACGAUCUCGACGUGAGGAAGACGCGUUGACGAUCGCACUUGGAAGAAGGUCACCAUGGCAAUGGCAAACAAGAGUAGGAAUUUCUAUUCAUCAAAUCUGCCUCACAAAACAAUGCAACAUCAAGAACCAGGUAUUUAUAGUGUCAAGAGCCAUUCUUGUAAUAAAUUUCUCGUCUCUUUGUCCUCAACACAGCGUGGUCUCCCAAGAGUCUUCCGAGGAGAGUGGCAUAGAAGACGAGGCAAUUUUAGGAACCCGAAAGGUCUUUGGGGUUUUGGAUUUGUUUUUAGUGGGAAAUCAGGUUUUGGGCUUAUUUUUAUUGAAGAAAAGGGGUUUAGAUUAGCUGAACCAACUAAAACUAAAUAAUUUAAACCCAAAUUAGACACAAACUUGUAAAAUUACAUUAAAAAAUAAAAGGAUUUUUAUUUUCUGCAUCAUUUUUCUCUGGAAGGAGAACAAUGCAUCAAAACUGAUAAUAAGUGAAUUUGCUGUUUAGAAAAAGGAGACUAAAAAACAAUCAUUUUUGAAGAAGCUUUGAGGGAUUUUGACUAUAAGAGUUUCUUAGGAAGCAAUUACUAUUGUCUUAAAUUUACUUAUUUUGGGAACAACUACAUGCAAAGAGAAGCCUUGUAUCUUAACCUAUUCAGCCCUUAAAUUUAGGGGCAGGUCUAGGUUUUCCUCACUGGAGGACCCAAGUAAUUUCUAAACACAAAUGGAAAAAUUGUAAAAAUAUUUUCAUAAAUAAAAUUUCUGAUGAUGAUAAAUGCACAAACUAUGUUAUGUAAAUAAUCAAACAAAACUUAUUUAUGCAUUCUUGAUCAAUAGUAAAUAGUUGAACACAAUACUAGUUUUUCAAAAUAGCGAUACAAAAAUUGGAGAUGGUUACAUUAUUUGUGAACCAACAUUAAACCUAAGAAGAAAAAAUAGAGUGCGAGGAGACACUUGAAACUUUAUUUGAAGAGAUGAAAGGCUAGAAUGUCUUUUAUUCUUACUCUUAAAUUAUUCCCUUAUUUCAUUGGGCUUUAAUAUUCUCCUUUUUAUGCAAGACGUAGUCAUGUAAAGGUGGACGUGGGAGCUAAUGACAUAAAGGGAGGAGAGGAACAAAAAAAGAGAAAUAUACUGCCUAGAAGAUUUUAUCGGGCUACCUUUUCCUUUUUUUGUUUGAGGAUUGUUUUAAAAAAUCUGUUAAAAAUUAGAAUAAUUUUGUUCUUAUCUUUUUUUGAUAACUUAGAUAGGGCACUAUCUAUAUAAAGUUUGUUAAUCCUUAUGGUAAGUUUUAUUAAAAAAAAAUCUUUUUGGUAAGUUAUGAAUGCCUUACUUUAUUCCAAAUCUUCUCGUUCAAUAUGUGUCGAAUCAUACCAAAUUUAGGAGGGCUCCAUAAAAUCAAAUAAUGAUGAACAUGGAGUGAAUGAGAUAAUUAUGAUUUAGGAAGGUAAGAUUCAUACCACUGUUUAAUUGGUGUGGGAUUCUUUCACUAAAGUAAAUAUGGGAUGAACAAGUAAUUGGAGUAAUAAAAGAAUCUACGUAACUACUUGGAGAUUUGUGGCUCUGGCCUGCCCACUUGAUUCCAUCAUUGCUUUUAUUAAAUUGGCUAUAGCGAACAACGAUUGUUGUGGCACCAGCAUGGGGCAUGCUCAUGCGCCAUCAGCACGACAUAGCAUGCCGGCACACUUGGGCACACACCCAUCUUAUAUGUGGCAUGGUUGGUGCAGGUGGCAUGAGCCUAUCAGCACGAGCAGCACAAGCGGCUUGCCGUGUUAGAUUCUGCUGACUGGCAUGACAAUCCUUGAUAGGGAAUGUUACAAAAUAAAAUGGGUAAAUUAGAGUAGGGAUAAGCUAGCAAUAAGAGAAGUAAUUUGUCCUAGUGUAAUAAUGUAGUUGGUUGAACCAUGGAUAGUUUCCUUCAGAAUGUACACAAAGAAACCAAAUUUUUACAGAAUUUCUUGAUUCUAGAACAAAGCCUUCAAAUUACUUGAUUGACAGCCAGGAUAUACAAUUAAAAUGGCUGUGGUAACUUAAAGAAUAGCAAAAACUAAAAAAUGAUGAUGAAAAUAAUUUGACAGAUUAAGGAGCGACAACAUUAGUUUUCACUUAGUGGUUGGGAGAGAAGAAAGGUGGUUGUAGAAGUAAAACUCAAUGGUAGGUGGAGAAUCAGGUGGUUUCCACUACAAUAAUGGAUGAAGGUUAAAAUCAUAUAUUUGAAAUUAUCAAGAAAUUAACUAGUAAAUAAUCCGCUGAAAGAAGUUGUACAAUAAUGGAUAAUAAAGGGAAAGAUAUACAAUUAUAGGACUUCCAUACUGGAAUAUUGGUUAAAUCUAAGCAUUAAGCUGGAAUGGAAAUGUUUGAAUGAAUAUUUCUUCUAUGCAGAUUUCAGUGCCAUCAUCAUCUUCAACGGCGAACAAAGAAGAAAUCUAUUUUGAUUUCAGAAAGCAACGCUUCAUUUUCUCAGCAGAAAAGGAUACCUUUUGCAAGCUUCCUUACCCUACAAAGGAAUCAUUUGGGUACUAUCUCAAGAGUAGUGGACAUGGAUCAGAAACUAAACUAACUGCUGCUACGGAUAAGUGGGGAAGAAAUGUGUAAGUUUUAAUUACUCAUUCUUUUUUUUGUUAAUUAAAUUAUCCAAUAUUCAUAAAACUAAGAGAUACUAAAAGAUUUUCUAGGUCAAGGAUUUAAAUGCCCAUCGGCAUGGGCUGCAUCUAUUGUGCCAUAUCGUGCCAACAAGAUAGCGGCACGAUACAGACCCUGUGUCAAUGGCAUAGCUCAAAACUCUCUUUUCUUUAAAUUAGUAAGUAAUUUUCUCAAUAAAAUUCAAAAGAUUUGAUAAGAUAUAUAAUAAGCAAUUAGAAUAUUGUUUUGCUAAAAAAAAAUAAAUAUUUCAUGCCAUUAUGUAUCGGCACACAUGUAUUUUUUAUGACCGGCAUGCAUUGGCACGGCCUGGCACGCAUCGUGCGGUAAGUAUUCGGCACGACCCCGUACCUCACACUUAAAUUCUUGUUCUGGGUUAUAUGUUAAUGUAUAACAGAAAACAAAUUUGAGAUCUACAAAAACAAACCAACCUAAAGCUUCUUUUUUGUGUGAGUCACUAAAAUCUGUCUCAUGGGGAAAUACACUGACUUUGAAAAUGUUGGAUGAUUUAAAUCGAAGAAUAAUGUUUUGAUCGUCAUAGGUGGGCAUGUGCCGAUGAGCACUGAAUGUGGAAGUUCUGUGCACCUGCUUGUCCGCAUAUCUAUGUCACGUGCUUUGCAAUUGUUAUCUAGUAUGGGGACACACCAUGUCAAGCAAAAUUUGUGGCUUGGAUAUAGUCAUGCGGCUCAUUACCUCAUACGGCUUCAUUUGGCCUUUUUAAGAGAAUUUCUAAGAUUUUCUGCCCACUGUUUCUUAUCAAGCAACAUUACUUUUUGUUUUGUGAUGAUGGCGAGUGCCAAGUUUUCUACCCACUGUUGCUUAUCAAGCGACAUUACUUGUUGCUAUGUGAUGAUGGCAAGUGUCAAGUUUCUUGCACCCCUUAUUUAUAAACAGUAGGUGUUUCCAAACAAAAAUAGUCUUCUUUUUCCAGUUCCGGAUUAAUUUUUGAAUUUUAAGUGUAUCAGACAAUUUUUCAUCUCUAUAGUUUAUACCAUGCUAUGAUUAUUUGUUGUAGUCCUAUUCAUGUCAAACAUGGACCUUUGUGCCGUUGACAACUUUGUGCUUAUUCUCAUGUCAAGCGUGCACCUUACUGCCGUUGGCAACUUUAUGCAUCAGAUUGACAACUUUAUGUAUCAUCAGGCUGUCCUUUUUUUUCAAUAUUUUAAGUAGUUUUAUUAGUUUACACGGGGAAACUAGAUGAAUGAUCAUAUGCCAAACAUUAAGAUUUGAACAGCAGUUGAAUUAUUAACAAAGGUGCGAACCUUUUGGCAAAUUACUUCUAUACUCAGUUUAGUUCAAGAUGGUUCCAAUAUCUAAUGAUAAGUGAUUUGAAAGGAUAGAGAAUAGAUAAGUAAUUUAGAAGGUGUAAUCAGUUUUACAUUCUUUGAUAGAGUAGCUUUCUGAAAGCACAUCAGAUGGUGCCCCUAUUAUUCUAACUUUUUUCUGUUGGGUCCUACCUACGAUGGAUGUCUAAAGAAUUUAUUCAUAAAGUUGUGCUUAAUAUACAAUUUUAUAGAGGAGGCCUUGAUUUUUGUUGGAGGCAAAGUCUAAUUGCAUGUUGAGACCUUGCAUUGACAGCAUGAACCUGCAAAAUACACCUGUAAAGCUAGUAAGUGUUGUAAUUGUCAUGUUCCUAUCAAGUAUUAUCAUGCUAUAUGUUCAGGUCUUAUUUACUAUAACAUAGAUCAUGCAGUAACAGAGAAGGAAAAUAUUUAUUACUAGCUCAAGUUUACCGAGCAAAGUGCUUGCCAUAAUGAAGAAUGUUGUUGUUGCAGAACUUUUUCUAGGAGUUGGUUAAGUGAGAAUCGUGGAAAGCCUGUUCAGCUUAGUAUCGCAGCAUGCAUUUUAGAAAGCCUCUUCAGCUUUCUUCUUAUUGGAUUUAGUUUCGCUUAAUGUAAGCGGCAUAUUAGAUUUAUGCAGUCACUGUUUUAGUCCAUUGUGCUGCAAGCUUAGGACUGGGUGUAAAGUUGUUAACCUUGUGGAUGUGUAAUUUUGUGUACUUGCCUUAGGUUCUAAUUUAUUGCUUUUAUUCAUUUGUAACCAGUUGGUCUCAAGAGCACACUGUUAAAUACUAGUCAAGGUUUGACUGGCUUCUUUUUCCUAAAUGUAACUGCAGAUUUGAGUAUCCACAGCCCACAUUUCAGAAGUUAAUGAAAGAACAUUGCAUGGAGCCAUUUUUCGUCUUUCAGGUUUAUAUCGUUUGCAGUCUUUUGAACACCAGCAGAUCAAAGUUCAAUUUGCUUGUUUCUGAGCUCUUUUUUUUUUUUGUAGGUCUUUUGCGUGGGCCUCUGGUGUUUGGAUGAAUAUUGGUACUACAGUUUGUUCACACUUUUUAUGCUUUUCCUAUUUGAAUCGACCAUGGCCAAGAGUCGGUUAAAAACUUUAACGGAGCUUAGGCGUGUAAGAGUUGAUAACCAGAUUUUGUUAGUGCAUCGAUGUGGGAGGUCUGAGUUUGUUCUUUUGAGUUAGUUAUUCGUUUCUUCGCAAUGAAGAGAAAUAACAUAUUCUUGAUAACUCUUUUCUUUCUUAGAUGGGUGAAACUUCCGGGGACAGAACUUGUUCCAGGAGAUGUUGUCUCCAUAGGACGCUCUUCUACUGGUGAAGAUAAAUCUGUACCAGCAGACAUGCUAUUAUUAGCCGGAAGUGCCAUAGUGAAUGAAGCUAUUUUAACGGGCGAGUCUACUCCACAGUGGAAGGUCAUUUUCUUCCUAUUGUUAACUUUUAACUUUCGUGGCAACUUUUAUAUUUUAAUUUGAAAUUCAUAAUGAGUAUCAGGCUUAUUUAUAAUUUCCUUACAUUUUAUUCAACUGAAAAAGGUAGAUCUUUGAUAUGUGAAGUUAUAUUCCAAUAUGAAGUAUUGAAUAGGCAUAUAUGACACACAUUAAGUGUUUUUUGUGUUGCUCAUAAAGUGCUUUUACACUUUUGGCUUUGUUCUUUUUUUUUGGCGCAUUUCACCAUCCAAUUGUGUAUCUCAUGCUGUACUUGUGCACAAGGCUAUUUGGUGUGAAGUUUGAAUUCUCUAGCCUGAACUAGAUCAUGGAGGAGCUACUUUUUUCAGCAAUUAAGUAAAUCGAACUGAUCUGAUUCUUAGAUCUGAUAGCUCAUGUCAAUGGUAACAGAUCUUGGCUCAUGCAAUAUAUACUUAACAUGAAAUGAUCAAAUGUUUGAAAUUGAUGACAUUUUUGAUAUGUGAUGCUAAUUUCUGCAACCUAGGGUCAAUUUAGAAAAACUAGUGUUGCUAUCAUUUUAGUUGUUUUGGAGUUACUGCAUUUUGUAUUUUGUAGUUAGUACCUAGUAGCAAUUGGUGGGGAUUUACAGGUUCAUAUUAGUUGUAAUAUUGCAAACUUGCAGGAUUAAUAGGUAAAUAAGUAAAUCUCUAUCAUGUGCUUCAACAGUUGCCUUUCGUGUCUAUUGAUCUUCGAGAAGUAGUGUUGGAGUAGAGAUUAGACUUGCUCCUAGCAAUUCAUCAUCUUCACUCUUAUUUAUUAGAUUAAUUGUAGAAGUCGUAGAGAACUAGUGUAUUGAAUGAAAGGAAAAAAAUGUAGGUAUACAGAACUUUUUUCUUGUGGCAUAUAGAGUCUGUGCAAGAGUCUUAUUUUAAUUUCUUACUUCAUGUGUGCCUUGUCUAGUUGUAAUCACCUUUUGUCACCAUUAUCUUGUAUCCUGUAUGCUAUUUCUUAUUCUUUGCAAGUGUCUUUAUUUCCUUUUUGUUUAUUAUAAUUUUCUUUUGGCUAUUCUUAUUUGCUAUGUAUUACUACAGACUUCAGUUUUUGCUUGCACUGCGGAGGAUAGACUAUCAAUUAAACGAGAUAAGAAUCAUGUCCUAUUUGGUGGAACAAAAAUAUUGCAGCAUACUCCAGAUAAGGUAUGCUGUUGAGGCCAUCAAGUAAUAAAAUAAGGCUAUUUAGAAUUGCUAACUUGUUUUUUCUCAAAAUCUAGUUAUUUCCACUGAAAACUCCUGAUGGGGGAUGCUUGGCUUAUGUGCUGAGAACUGGAUUUGAGACAAGCCAGGGCAAGCUGAUGCGGACAAUCUUAUUUUCCACCGAAAGGGUAAGUUCUGGUCUCCAGUCAGGAAAUGGUCCUAGGAUGAUUGGGACCCAAUGAUACCUAUUAACUAAACAUUUGUUUUGUUUUUUCCUUUUAUUCUAGGUGACUGCAAAUAGCUGGGAAAGUGGCUUGUUUAUUCUUUUCUUGGUUUUCUUUGCCAUCAUUGCUGCAGGCUAUGUGCUCAAGAAGGUAAAGCCUUCAUUUACCUUGUGACAUUAUAUUUUUGGUGUUAGUUGAACUAAUAUUAUUUUAGUUAUUUGUUAACAGUUGUCACUCAUUUUUUCCAGCAAUUUAAAAUAUAUUAUUUGCUUACCCACCUUUUUGAACUGUUUACAAUUAGGGUCUGGAGGAUCCAACAAGGAGCAAAUACAAGCUUUUCUUGAGUUGUUCAUUGAUUAUCACUUCUGUUAUUCCCCCAGAGUUGCCAAUGGAGCUAUCAAUAGCAGUCAAUACAUCUUUAAUUGCAUUAGCACGCCGUGGUAUUUUCUGCACAGAACCAUUUAGAAUACCCUUUGCUGGGAAGGUUAGCACGUGGCACUUCAUUAGAGCUCCUGCCGGAUAGAGCUAGUUUGAUAAAAUUUAAUGCUGUCAACAUACUUUAUUGGUUGCAGGUUGACAUCUGUUGCUUUGACAAAACUGGAACUCUCACAUCAGAUGAUAUGGUAUGCAAGUUGGAGUUUUAACUAGGAUUCGAAAUAUUUCUUGGCAGCUAUGCAUUAACAAGAAGCUCCUUAUAUAUUUCAGGAGUUUCAAGGGGUGGUUGGCGUUGAUAAUAAUGGAGAUUUAGUAUCUGAUACUACUAAAUUGCCUCUUCGGACUGUUCAAGUGUUGGCGGCCUGUCAUGCAUUAGUUUUUGUGGAGAAUAAACUGGUACAUCAAUAAGCAAUCUUGAGCUUCUCGUUGAUAUUAUAUCAUGAUUAAUUAUUGCCGAGAGCAUCUGCAAAAACUGUUCUAGUGUUAAUACACUUUCUUGUGCAUGUAGGUAGGUGAUCCUCUUGAAAAGGCUGCGCUAAAAGGAAUAGACUGGAUAUACACCUCUGAUGAGAAGGCCAUGCCUAAAAAGUAUGCUGCGAUGUCCGUAAAUUCUAGAUACUUUUAUGCUCUUCAUUCUGAUUGGUUUUGCAUCAUUACCCCAAUGUUUGUAAGUCGUAGUGAUCCUAGUAGAUUGUUGAUGUAUGAACAACGGUGUCUAUUUAAUUGUAUGAUUGGAGGGUGAAUGUUUAAUUGCCGUCCCCCCUCAUUUUGAGCUAGCUACUUGUGUUUUCAGCCUCGGCAUCCUAAUCUCUUGGUACAAUGAAAAUUGAUGCAGUACUGGAUUCUUUUGGCUGUACAUUUUGAAAUGUAUUUUAUCUGAUAUAUUUUUUAUUCCAGGUCAGGUGGACAAGCUGUGCAGAUUGUUCAUAGGUUUCAUUUUGCAUCUCACUUGAAAAGAAUGGCAGUCAUUGUCCGUGUUCAGGAAGAGUUCUUAGCAUUUGUAAAGGUUGGUCAUGGUAGCAAUACUCAGGAAUUGUCUUCUGGAUUAUCAUGUUUAAUUGCAAUACUUUUUGCCUUAAGAUUAAGUGUUCAGUAGGUUUCUUGGGUUAAAUAUGGUCCGUUCUUCUUUUUCUUCUUUUUUUCUUUGUUUGGUUGCCUCUUGUCAUUGGAGCCUUUACUCCUGAUCUUUUUUUCAGUUGGUUAAUUUUGCUAGUUAGAAUAUUUUCGGAAGAAACUUAUUGAUGAAACGGUAUAUCUUUCUCUUAUAAAAAGUUUGAUCUUUUAAUAUUUGCAUAAGUUUUCCCCGGAAUUUCUCCUUAAGGCCCUGAUUGGAUGUCGAAAUAAGUUAUCCAAGGAUAACUUAUUCGGUAUAAGAAUUUUCUUGUAGGAUUGUUAGUAGGAAGUUGAUUCUUUUGCUUCUUGAAAGGUCUUGCUAUCCAGCGUACUUAACCUACGAGGUGAUUUAUUUUAUUCUUAAAAAAAUGACUUGAAGGCCGAAUAUGAUUCCAUUCCGAACAUCUGAUCACACUUCUCAUCAUCCCAAUGUAUAAACUUCUUGAGUAAAUCAAGAAGAUAUACUGAACAAGAUACAUGCAUCCAAACAGGGCCUUAGUUCUUUAAUUGCAAAAUUACCAAUUGGUCAUGUACAAAUUUCUAUUUAUCAUUUCCAAUAUGCUGCUGUAUUGCCUUCUCUCUUUCUCAUCUCUUUCUUCUUGUCUUCAUUUGUGUGGACAUGCGCAUUUUGGGCCUGGCCCAAGUUCUCUGGCAAUCUUGCUGUGAUAAUCGUCUUAUCUGAAACCUUAAGUUUAGGAUGGGUCUAACCUUGAAAACAUCUGAAUUUAUUCCUAAUAAACGAGCUCAAAUUGGGCCUGGAUUUUGGAUCAAAUAUAAUGUACAAUCAUUUAUAAUCCUUGACUAAUAAACUAAAUUUCAGUUUGGGCCUGCUUUACUUCCUAGCUUGGUUUAUUGAUUAGUUGUCAUCCAUGAUCUUUUUAGUAACUAAUCUUCAUUAUGUUUGCAGGGUGCACCAGAAACUCUUCAAGAAAGGAUAGCUGAUUUGCCUGCUACAUAUGUGGAGAUCUACAAGAAAUAUACUCGUCAAGGGUCUCGUGUUCUGGCUCUUGCGUACAAGACUCUUCCAGACAUGACUGUAAGCUAGCAUGUUAUGAUGUUUUACUUUUAAAUGAGACCUUUGUUUGAUUUGAAACCUUAACUGCUUUUGAUUGUUAGGGAUGAAUAACAUAAUUAAAAAAGGAAUAGGCUUCAUUGUGUCUCAUAAUAGUUUAGUGUCAAUUACAGGACAAAUGCAAAAUGGCCGUCUCAUUUAUUAAAACAAAGCAUGAUGCAUUGAUUCUAAUGAUGAUAUGUCUCUAAAUUUUCAAUUUUCUAAUUAUACUUGAGCCAAACAAAUUAUGGAUGGCUCUAUUGUUUACCUGGAAUGGGAUACACUCUGAUACGUGGUACGAGUAUAGAGACGUGGUAUGCUAGUGUCUCAGGAACAUGGUAUGAGAGGGGUAUGAUUAGUUUGAACGAUUUUCAUUUGGAACAUUAAUAUGGAUUGACAUAUAUAAAAAGUUAAUAACUUACCUUUGUUACUAUAUAGCUGUUUUCUUUCAUUAAGAUCCGAUGAGGUAUUGUUUUCUUCUAACCAAAACCGGCUCUCUUUUUUCAUAUGAAUAUGAUUAUUUUGUAUUAUUUUUCCUUGUAAAACACAUUUGUUUAAGGUAACCUAACAAACUAGAUCUAGAAAAUUGUAUUAUUCACUAUUCUUGGUUUGUCACGUUCUACUAUUUGGAUUGAGAACCCAACACGAAUCAGAAUGUGUGAUCUUUAUUGCUUUUCGGAGAGGGGUUUUGCAAUCCCGAUAAUUCGGUGCUAAAGCAAACGAUCCAUGAUUUGAACCAAAUUGGUUCGGCAGUGAGACCGGUUCUGGCAUGCAGUUUGCAGUUUUCAGACUGAUUCUUUAAAUGUAGUUUAUUCAAAGUAGUUUCAGAAAUUUUCUAAACUUAUUAUAAUACAACUUGUUUAGGGACUUUGAAAUUAUUUAGAGGAAUGGAGUACCACAGAUCCAAAUUAUAGUUCUAAGCAAUAAUGGAUGGUCUUCAGACUCCUUGUUUGGACCACUUAAUUGGAUAAACAUGAAAUUUUAGAGGCAGUCUCUGUUUAUUAAAAUCAAGUUCCAGUUAAAAAUUGUGAUUUUUUGCACCCUUUUCACUUGCUAGCCAAAAUAUAAUUCUGAUCGAAAUUAGUGCCUUUUUCAGCUGCUUAAAAAGCCAUAGUUAAAUCUUAUUUAGUACUGAUUACGUCUGAGAUUGUGCAUAUAUCGGUGAUUCUGCGUGUAUAAACAUCUCUAUUGUUGAUUAAUUUGUAUGACUUGGUUGUCAAGUAUUAUUUAUUUUGUAAUCUUUAGUGAUGAUGAAAGGGCGUUAGUCAUUGGAUAUACACAUUCCUUUUUGUUUCAUUUUCCAUACUUUGCAAUUUGGGAGCCGUGUUGUUUGUAGUUUGUUUUGGUCAAUUUAGCCUCUCCGUUCUUUGAUGUUGACUAGCUUCAUAAUACAGUAUUGAGUGUUUUUUUUCCAUAAACCAACUAAACCCUUCACCAACUGCUUGAAUUUAUCUGUUUGCAUGCUGGUCCACUGGAUAAGAAGCUCCUAGGAUGUAGUUUACAUUGGAACAUGACUUAACUUUUAAUAUCCAUUAUGAAGUUCUUGAAUCUUGAAAUUUUGAGAACAUUUAUGAUUUUGUUUGUGUUUCAUUUGCUGCCCUGUUGUCCUACCCUACAGCUCUCUGAUGCCUGUUAUAUUGUUGACAUCCCUUCUUGAUUUCUUUGUAUGAUUACAUCAUCUAUUAGAAUAUAUGAAUUCUCAGUAUAGGUGGGUCACAUCAAAAAAAAAAUAAAGAGCCACGUCACCCAUGAUCAAUGAACUAAUAAGUUGUCAAAUGUCCAAUAAAAAUUUGGAUGCACCGAUUGCACCGUAGGCCAACUCUAAAAUACGCAUUAAAAAUAAAUUUAUACUAUACAAUAAACUAUUUAAAUAUAUUAUAUUAUAUUAUAUUUUACAGUACUAAUUAUGAAAUAUUUUAUCAACCAUUUAAUAUACUGUGCGGUAUAUGGAGUCUUAGUAUACACGAGUUGCAAGCAAAGAUUUAUCCUCUUUCUUUCUUGAAAUUAUGAGUGCAUCCUAUUAAGUAUUCUCUAUAUCAAGUGUAUAUAUAUACAUCACCACACGCUUAAAGCCCUUUAAUAGAGAUUUUAAAAUCUAAUUUGUUAAAUAUAAUUUAAAUUAUUAGACUUUGUAGAUCAUAUGUAUUUUAAGUUUUGAUAUUAAAAUAUUUGUUAUUAAUAUAAGUUGCGGUGUAUGGAAUGUUAAUAUACAUCAGGUGCAAGCAAUAAUUUCUUCUUUUUCUAAUCAAUUUUAACAAGAUAAAGACAUCUUGGUCUUUUCGGCAAUUUAAAAUAAGUCCUCCAAUUUUUAUUUUUUAGUUAAAAAAUUAUUUAUGGGAUAGCAAUCAAAACUAUUAAAUUUAAUUGAACUUUCCAAAAAUGUUAUUAGAAUAAUUUAACUCUUCAAAUACUAAAAAAUAAAAAAAUUAUUAAUAAAAGAAGUUAUUUUUUAUAAUGUACAUAAGUUUAUUUUAUAGAUUUUUUUUCCUUAAUUAUAAUUUUUCAAUCUUAAAGUUUUAAUAAUUAUAUAUUUUCAUUGGCUAAAAUACUAUCCGCCGCGAAGCACGGGCUCUGCACUAGUAAAAUAAUGAAACCUCAGUUCAAUACAGGUGGCACUAAGGGGGAGUGGGUAGGGAUUGGGGGUGCGGGAGGGGUCCAGCCAGAUAGGGUGAGGGUGGGUCUGGCCCUUUUUUCUCUCUAUCUCUCUCUCCACUAUUAUGGACAGAGUGAUUUGGGCUCUUUUUUUUUUUAAUUUAAUCUAAUUCUUCUUUCUCUCAUUAUAAAAAUUUAAAAUAUAUAAAUUUGUACACAUAACUUUUAAAUAGUUUAGAUUUCAUGCAUUAAAUGUAAAUUUUGAUUUUAUAAUAUUGAUCACUUAGAUAUAGAUUGUACAAUAAAAAAUAAAAGAGAUUGAUGGAGUUUUUAAGUUAAUUAUUGAUUUUAAUAAAUUUUAGUUGCAAGAAUCGCAUGAAGUAUACUAGCUAAAUCUGUAGAACUAAACAAUGUAUUCAAAUUUUGAAGUCAAAAGUAGCAUUGAUUGGCUCAAAUCUAACAUAUAGAAAGGUUGGAUAAUAAAAACAAAAUUUUGAAAGGUUAGAUAGCGGAUUCAAAAUAGUUCAUAGCUCAGAGAAGUUUUAUAUAUUUUCACUUUGAUUUUAAUAUCAAAUUUCAAUGCCAUAUUUCUAGUAUGAUGAGCGAUCAAUUUCACAUUUAAAAUUUUUUGGAAUAUCCAAAAUGCGAUCGGUCUACUUUUAAUUUUAAUAAAUAGACAUUCUAAAAUUUAUUAGAUAGUUUAAUAUAUUCUUUCCUCAUAUGAAAUUACUAAUUGAACAAAACCGAUUAAUGCUCAACUUUGUUUUCGUUUGGAAUAAAAAUAAAACAUAAAAAAAUGAUAAAUUAUGCUUUUGGUCCUCAAACUAUAAGACGUGUGAAACUUUAGUCGAACUUUCAUGCGUUCUAAUUUCUUGCUCAAACUAUGAAGCACAUGAAGUUUCCUCGAAUUUUCAUGCGUUAUAAUUUCUUGCUCAAACUAUGAGGCACAUGAUGCUUUAUUCCUUAAACUUUAAUCCUUAAUUUUUACUGCUGGUAUAUAUAUAAUUUAUCAUUCUUAUGAUUUUUUCUUUUUUUUUUUUUUAUCCUUUAUACUUUUAUUAUUUUGUUUUUACUGCUGCAACUGCUGUUUCUUCGUUAAUUUUUUCUAUUUGUAUUCUUUUUUAUUCUUUGACUCUUUUUUUUUUUAAUUUUUUUUGUUGUUUCUUCUUUUUUUUUAACUUUAUUUAUUUACUUAAGCGUGGGUGCCUUCACUAGUUUUAUUCUUAAGUUCAAGUCUGAAGGACAUUAGUUGGGAUUUGACAUUUGAACCAUCAUUACCAUCUAGAAUGAGAAGCUAUGGACAAUUUAAAAAAGAAGGCUCCAUAUCUAACAUUUUCUUUACUAGCAGGGGUGGAGCUAGAACUUGUAUACAACAGGGUCAAAACAAGAAGCAAAUAGUGCACUAACUUUUUUUUAUUCUUAAGAUAAAUUUGAUCUACAUAUAAUUUAAAUCCUAUGAAUCAUAAAGUUUUAUAUUCUAAAUAGAUAUUAAAGAUUUUUAAAUAUGGAUUUUAGCACUAAAAAUUGACAAAACUUGCUUAUGUUGGUGGUUGGUAAUAACUCUAUAAUGGAAGCGUCUAAGAGUUAAUUGUCCAACUGUACACAAUCUUUUUUUUUUUUUUUUAAACCACUUGCAUUUUUUUUGUCUUUUAGUUUCUCUAUCUUAACCAAUGUGACUUUAUCCCAAAGCAGGGUGGGUACAUGCCAAUGUAUACCCACUCUUCCCUCAGCCCGUGUACCAGACAUGACAUUGAGAUCUAGUAACUAGUGCCAAUUUAAAUGGCCAUAAGGAAUUUACAAGAUAAGGGCAUUCGACGAAUUGUAGGCUCCAAAAGGGAUGGCUUUGUGAAUGUCAAGUUAGUAUUACUGUGCAACAAGCAUCUCAAAUUACUUCCGAAAUCUAGUAUUAUUCUUGCCUGCGUCUGCUCCUUUAAGGUUUUUCCUUGAAAGGAAAAAAGAGACCUUUGUUUCCUGUAGAUUGCCUUCUAUCAUAACAUAUCUUUUUGGUGAAUCUAAAUCUAUGAAAAUCACUGUUAUAUCCAUGUAAAUGUUCCGUUUUGCUUGCCGUCACUAUCCAUUUUUUGCACGUUAUCUAAUUUGACCUUGGUUGUGGCAAAUCAGGUUAGUGAAGCUAGGAGCCUGGAUAGAGAUUUUGUUGAGCGUGAUUUGACCUUUGCUGGUUUCGCGGUAAUGGAGCCCACAGUCCUAUAAUUUGCAUUCUUUCUAUUGACUAUAAGUUGUUUCAAACUUUUCAUUUUCUAGGCUUUCUGGUAUGUUGAGACUAUUAAAUAUCUGCAGGUAUUUAACUGUCCUAUCAGGCCUGACUCUGGUUCCGUUUUACAUGAACUGAAAGGAUCAUCUCAUGAUUUGGUAGGUUCUUUGAUCCGUGUAUCGGUUGAUUUUGCUUUGAUUAAACAUCAUUUUAUUUAAAAUCUUGUUAAACAUGCUCUAGGUAGCUUUCAUAAUUACAAAUUAGCAUAUUUUGUUGAAUAUAGGACUCCUACCUGUAAGUGUAAAUGUUUAUUGUAGUUCAUCAGAAAUGUCAAUAAUUUUAUGAUUUUUUGCUUGCUUCUGAUUUUCUUUUAUAUUAUUGUUAGUAUCUUUUUUGAUUCAGUUUUUUAGGCUUAAUUUUUGGAGCUUGACGUUUUUAACUUUUUUCUUUUCACCUUAUAGGCAGUGUGAAUAAGAAAAUUGAAUUUCAUCCGAGUAUUUAGCAUAGAGAAUGGUUCUUUGUUUCCCUGAUGAGUAUUUAUCGUAACUGCUGUAGAAAAUCGUGGGCACUUGUUUGCAUUCCUUCAAGCUGUACACUAACUGAUAUCAUGAUAUUAGGUUAUGAUUACUGGUGACCAAGCUCUGACUGCUUGCCACGUUGCUAGUCAAGUUCAUAUAAUUUCCAAGCCUGCUUUGAUCUUGGUACGCAAAAAGACUCGUGAUGAUUUUGAAUGGCUUUCCCCUGAUGAAUCUGAGACAACCUUGUACAGGUAAAGAAGUUCUAGGGUGGUUUCUAUCUUGUUUGGUUUAAGCUAAUUGGUUUUUAAUACGAACUACAGUUGGUUUUAUGAAUAGUCUGGUUGUUUUAUUACUUUAAUAUCUUUUUUAUUUUUGGGUGGUAAUCUUCCCCUAUUUUGUUUUAUGAGCAUGCUAUUCUUUUUUUUCCCUAUCCAAUAUCUCUGAAGUUGAUAACACUUACAAAAUUGUAACACCUGAGAGUUAUCAUGGUUACAGUGAGAAGCAGGUGGAAUCAUUGUCAGAAUCACAUGACCUUUGCAUAAGUGGAGACUGCUUUGAAAUGUUACAGAGGACUGCAGCUGUUCUUCAAGUUAUUCCGUAUGUGAAGGUUGGUAGGAACUGUUUAAUUUUUUGUGCAAACGGAACCUGUUUUGUUGUUUCGGUGUGUUGAUCUUAUUGCAAGUAUCAAUUUGUUUCAGGUCUUUGCACGUGUUGCUCCUGAACAGAAGGAACUCAUCUUGACAACUUUUAAAACAGUUGGAAGGAUGACCUUAAUGUGUGGAGAUGGAACCAAUGAUGUUGGGGCACUGAAGCAGGUAAAAAUGUAUAUUUUAUUAAAUGCCUUUCACCAAUCAAAUUAUGGCACUGUGCUGUUGGGUGGUUUUCCUUAUCCAAAAAAUCAAUCUCCGUUUCUCUUUUUUAUUUCUGAACCUCACAAUAAAAGUAUUAUAAAAUGUGCAGGCUCAUGUCGGCAUCGCAUUGUUGAAUGCUGCACCGCCGGCACAAACAGGAGAUUCUGCACCACAAUCACAGCCACCGAAACCUGAAAGUAAAUCAGGAAAAUCAAAGAAACAGAAACCCACUACUGAACUGCCUCCACCAUCUCCAUCUGCAAAUAGUAGUUCCCCAGGGCCAUCGUCAAGCAACCGCCACCUCACCGCAGCCGAGAGACAGCAGCAGCGUCUGAGGAAGAUGCUGGACGAGAUGAAUGAGGAGGGUGAGGGCCGCUCUGCGCCAAUUGUGAAGCUUGGGGAUGCCUCCAUGGCCUCGCCCUUCACAGCCAAGCAUGCGUCGGUUGCCCCCACCCUUGACAUCAUUCGCCAGGGCCGUAGUACCCUCGUCACCACCCUCCAGAUGUUCAAGAUCCUAGGCCUCAAUUGCCUCGCCACUGCCUAUGUCCUCAGUGUCAUGUACCUGGAUGGUGUCAAGCUUGGCGAUGUCCAGGCCACCAUCAGCGGUAUCUUCACUGCCGCCUUCUUCCUCUUUAUUUCCCACGCCCGCCCUUUACCAACACUCUCUGCUGCCCGCCCGCAUCCCAAUAUUUUCUGCGCCUACGUCCUCCUCUCUCUCCUCGGUCAAUUUGCAAUGCACUUGCUCUUUCUGAUAUCGGUUGUUAAUGAGGCCUCAAAAUACAUGCCAGAGGAGUGUAUCGAGCCGGACUCGGACUUCCAUCCGAACAUGGUGAACACAGUCUCGUACAUGGUCAACAUGAUGAUCCAGGUGGCUACAUUUGCAGUGAACUACAUGGGCCACCCCUUCAACCAGAGUAUAUCGGAGAACAAGCCUUUCAAGUAUGCACUGUUUGCUGCAGUAGGUUUCUUCACAGUGAUCACGUCGGAUAUGUUUAGGGACCUGAAUGACUGGUUGAAGCUCGUGCCCCUGCCGGAGGGGAUGAGGGCCAAGCUGAUGUUCUGGGCUAUACUCAUGUUCCUGGGUUGUUAUGGGUGGGAGAGGCUGCUGAGAUGGGCCUUCCCAGGCAGGAUGCCAUCAUGGAAGAGGCGGCAAAAGCAGGCAGUGGCUGCCUUGGAGAAGAAGAAUUUAUAACAUUUUGUUCUGUUUCUCGUUCCAAUAUGUUUUGUUAUUGAAGGGGCAAUUUUGAUGAUGGCAGCACUAAAUUCACUUCGUAAGAUGGUGGAGCUGCUGAUUUAGCACUUUCGCGUUCAAAGACUUUGGCCCUCCUUUCUGGUUAGCAGGACAAUUUUGUUCAGUUGAUCUAUCAUUUGAUUCACUUAAUUUUCCUCAAGUUUUGGAAAGUUCUUACAACGACUGUUGGGAGCAUUGCUGAACUUGGUGUAUCAUUAAUCCUUCUCACAGGUCAUAUAGCAACCUUACGUAAAAAAGCAUUUAAUGAUAAAGCUAAAGAUGUUUUAAAUCACUGAAGUAGAGAAGGCCUGUACUUUGUUGUAAUAGCUGUUUGUCAAUUUCGUGGAGGUUUCUUGAUUGUUUGGUUGUUAUACAUCUUUUCUUUUCUGUGUAGCAGGAUGGAUGCAUCCUCGUAGUAGCUAUGUUUUGUUAUUUGUCUCUUUUGUGAUUCCUCUUUAGAAAUUUGUGAUAAUUGAUGUUUUUCUUCUAAAUAUUUAUUGAUUUGCACAAGCAGCAGCCUUGUGAAUGAACUCAUUAUAGGGGUGGAAACGAGCCGAGCUCGAGCGAGCCUAAUUUCGAGUCGAGCGAGCUCGAGCCCUAAACGAGCGGCUUGAAAUUCUCAAUAUCAUACGAUCAAUAGUUUAAUUUAUAUAGAACAUUAUUUAUAAUUUGAUACAAAAAUAUAUUUAAUAGCUCAAAGUACAAAAUAAUUAUAUAAAAUAUAGUAUUAUAAUAUGAAAAAAAUAAUUUAUGAGUUGAAUAUCUAAUCUUUUCAGGCUCACAUGUCUUUUCUUCCGCCUUCAAUCUUCAUAUUAUUCAUUUUCAUUUAUGCAGUCAAAAAUAAAUAAAUUACAUAGAUAAAUAUUUGAUUAAACUAUCCAAUCAUAUAUAACAAAAAUUAAAAUUUUAUAUGAAUAAUAAUUUUUUACUUUAAAAAUAUUUUGUAUAUUUUCUCAAGCAUACAAUUAAUAGCAAGGUAGGCAACGGUAAACAUAUACUGUUACUUGGUAACUUGGAGGGCUUCCGGCUUGGCCGCUUAGGGUGAAAGACAGAAAAAGAGAGAGAGAAACAUAUUGAAAAUUUAGAAUUCUGUGAAAAAAAGAAAGAAAGGAAAAAUGUAUAAAUUUACUGAAAUUUUGCUCUUUUAUUUGUCUAUUGGGUUUAUUUUUAUGGGCCAACAAUAUUGGCCCAAUUUUAACUAAACUCCGAUUAUUCACUCAGCCUAUAUAUAAUUAAAAUAUAUUAUAUUUUUAUAUUUUUUAAUAUAUAUAUAUAGAGUUGACUUGAUACUUUUACAAGUAUCACCGUCAUGGUGCUAUUAGUUUUAAGCCAUUGGAUAUACUUUUUGAUUAUUAAUAGCCCUUGGAUUAAAUACUAUCCAUCUACCACCACCUACACCACUACCACCAUCAUCUCAACCUCACAUCUUCUCCAUCAAGGGCUAAAAACAACAAGUACCACCCCCAUGAUACUUUUACAAGUAUUCUAGCUACUCUAUAUAUAUAUAUAAUUAUAUAUAAUAUAUAUAUAUAGAAUGAGCUAGAAUACUUUUAAAAGUAUCAUCCCAUUGUGCUUUUAGGUUUAAAGCUCUUGGAUCUAACCCUUGAUUACUAAUAGCCAUUGAUCAAACACUAUUCACCUACCAAACUACCACAUCAUCACAAUCUUAAUUCCCAUCCAAUGGUUAAAAACUCAAAGCACCACCUCAUUGGUGCUUUGGAGUAUUCUAGUUCAACUUCUCUUUCUCUCUCUCUCUCUCUCUCUCUCUCUCUCUAUAUAUAUAUAUAUAUAUAGUAGGGCUACUAUACUAUUAUGAGUAGUGGGCCCUUAGUACUCAUAAGUUGUUUUCGAUGAUGGAGCUUCCGAAUUAACUAUACACUCCGUUAAAUAUGAUCUAGAUUAUUUGAAACUUUUAGAAAAUAAAUUUCGUAACUUUUCGAAAUCAUAAUAAAGUCCAUUAAGCGGGCAUAAAAUGAAUGGUCAAAAUCGAACGACGUCCUAAAAAUGGAUGAUCGGAUCCUUUAAUUUAAGAUCGGAGUUAUUAAUCUUUAUCUAGGUAGUUAAUAGAAUUUUCUAUAAAAAAUUCAACCUAUUCCGAUUCUUUUCCACCGUUAAACUAGCAAGUAUUCCAUACCGGCCGUAAAAAAUUGUCAAUUUUGUGAGCUUUUGAUCGUAAGGUAAAUGAUGUCGAAAAAUUAUGAAAUUUAAUUUCUAGCAGUUUUAAAUGCACUAUAUAACAUUUAACUGUGUGGAUUGUCGUUUCGGAAGCUCUAUCAUGGAAAACAACGUAUGAGUACGAGGGCGAUCGUACUCAUGUGUAUAGUAGCCGGACUCUCUCUCUCUCUCUCUCUCUCUCUCUCUAUAUAUAUAUAUAUAUAUAGUGUAGAACUAUUAUGCUAUCGAAAAUAUAGAGAAUUUGAUGCUUUCGAAUUUUUGACCCUUUAAUUAAGAAUUGUAUGUUUUGGAUGAUUGCGGUCCCCCUAGGAUUAAAUAAUAUCUCUAGAAUUGAGUGGUCCCUACAAGAUAAUAAUAGUAUUAAUUUAAAGAAAUGAUUAAAGGGGUUGAUCUAAGAAUCAAAAAAUCGAAAGCACCAUAUCCUCUAUAANUCAAUCUAUCCACAAUUACCCAAAUUGCAUCAUGACCUGCCUGUGAGCGAGGUAAUCCAACAAUAAAAUCCAUAGUAAUCCUCUCCCACUUCCACACUGGUGUGGGUAAACUUUGUAGUUUCCCUGCAGAAAGUCGAUGUUCAGCCUUAACCUACUGACAGGUUAAGCAUCUGGCCACAAAAUUAGCAACUUCCUUUUUCAUUCCAGGCCACCAGUAAGUUGACUUCAGAUCUUUAUACAUUUUUGUACUCCCAGGGUGUAAAGUAUACGGUGCCCGAUGUGCUUCCUUUAAAAUCUCCUCUUUAGUAUCUGGAUCGGCAGGCACACAAAUUCUAUCACCGAAUUUUAGCAAUCCCUGAUCAUCCACUCGAAAAUCGCCAAUUGGAUCAACAGUGAUCUUUGCUCGAAUCUUUUGUAGGGACUCAUCUUGAGCUUGUUUUUCUUUAAUUCGAUCGAUCAGGGUAGGUUGCAUUCACCAAUGACAUAAGUCUCCAAGGUGUAUCAGGAGCUACAACUUCCAAACUCAAUUGCUCCAUUUCCUUUACCAACAGGGGUUGCAUAGUUAUCGACAUCGCCAAAUUUUUCGUCGAUUUUCGACUUAAAGCAUCUGCUACAACAUUAGCUUUUUCUGGAUGAUAAAGGAUAGUCAAAUCAUAGUCCUUGAGCAACUCCAACCAUCUACGUUGUCUCAAGUUUAAUUCCUUCUGCGUAAACAGAUACUUUAAGCUUUUAUGAUCAGUGUAGACUUUGCAACGCUCGCCGUAGAGGUAGUCACGCCAAAGCUUUAAGGCAAAAACUACAGCAGCCAGCUCUAGAUCAUGCAUAGGGUAGUUCUUUUCAUAAUCCUUUAAUUGGCGAGAUGCAUAAGCAAUUACUCUGCCAUUUUGCAUCAGAACACACCAUAAUCCAUUCAACGACGCAUCGCUGUAAAUCACAUAAUCUACUCCAGUAACAGGUAAUGCCAGAAUCGGGGCGGUGGUCAAUCGUUCCUUCAGCUCUUGAAAGCUUCUUUAACAAGCCUCAUUCCACAGAAACUUAGCCCCUUUAUGCGUCAGUUGGGUAAGCGGUGUAGACAUCUUUGCAAAUCCUUCUACAAAUCUUCGAUAGUAUCUUGCCAAACCAAGGAAACUCCGAAUUUCUGUGACACUGGUCGGCCUAGGCCAAUCUUUAAUCGCUUUAACCUUCUUUGGAUCCACAGCUAUCCCAACCUCUGAAAUGACGUGACCCAGAAAUGCUACUUCUCGAAGCCAAAAUUCGCAUUUCUUUAACUUUGCAAACAGUUUCUUUUCUCGAAGUACUUGUAACACCACUCUUAAAUGGUUUUCAUGCUCCUCAUCACUUCGAGAAUAUAUUAGGAUAUCGUCGAUGAACACGACCACAAACCUGUCCAAAUAGGGCUUAAAGACACGGUGCAUUAAAUCCAUAAAGACUGCUGGGGCAUUUGUUAGUCCAAAUGGCAUAACUGUAAAUUCAUAAUGCCCAUACCGUGUUCUAAAAGCGGUCUUGAAAACCUCUUCAGGCUUAAUCUUAAGCUGAUGAUAACCUGACUGCAAAUCAAUCUUUGAAUAUACUUUCGAUCCUUGCAGCUGAUCGAAUAAAUCAUCGAUUCUGGGUAAUGGGUAUUUAUUCUUGAUUGUGACUUUGUUGAUUUCUCGAUAAUCCACACACAAUCGAAGAGAUCCAUCUUUCUUCUUAACAAACAACACCGGGACUCCCCAGGGAGAUACACUCGGUCGAAUAAAACCCUUAUCUAACAAAUCUUGCAAUUGUGCCUUCAGCUCUUUCAACUCAGCGGGUGCCAUCCUAUAGGGUGCUUUUGAGAUAGGGGUAGUCCCAGGGACAAGAUCAAUAACAAACUCAACUUUCCUAUCAGGUGGCAUACCCGGCAACUCAGCUGGAAACACAUUCCCGAAUUCUCGCACAACUGGGAUAUCUUCAAUCUUGACGGCUUCUACGUUACUUACAGAAAUACUAGCCAAAUAGGCUACACAACCCCUCCGAAUCAAUUGUUGCGCUCGCGAAGAGCUAAUAGUCAUUGCGAACAAUGAACUCUGACACCCUUUAUAAACAAACUCUUGCUGACCCGGUUCCCUAAAGGUCACCGUUCUGUUCGUGCAAUCAAUAGUGGCAUAAUACUGAGUCAACCAAUCCAUACCCAAUACUACAUCAAACUCCCCUAAUUUGUGUAGUGCCAAAAGAUCCACUGGCAUAAUCCAGUCGCCUACCCGAACAGGGCAGCGAGGGCAAAACUCACGAACAUCUAGGGUAUGGUCGGGUACGAUCACUCGUCCCAGAUGCAAAGUAGGUACUACUUGAAUGCUAUGCAACUCGGCGAACUGCCGAUCAAUAAAAGAAUGCGAAGCACCAGUAUCAAAUAAUGCACGAACACGAAUAUAUAAAGCAUAAUGAUACCUGCUACGACCUCCUCUGCUGCUGCGGCCUCCUCAGUCUGGGCGGCAUACAUACGCCUACUCGAACCCUGCCGAGAACUCUCAGACGGCCACUGUCCCGGUGAUCGUCUAUAUUGAGAUGGUGCUGACGGGGUCCCCUGGCUCGGAGCUGAAGAUGCAGGUGUUGAUGCUGAUGAGGGUGCAGGUGAAGAACCUCUCGGGCACUCUGAGCGAAAGUGGCCCUCCUGGCCGCAGAGAAAACACCUGCCCCCACGUUGUGGACACUGUGGUGAAAAAUGAGGCCCACCACAAAUGACACAACGUGGCUGUCGACGACGCUCAGGUGCUCCACGGGGUGCUAAAGAACCUUGACCUCUCGACUGACCCGGCUGGCCCCUCGGAUACUUGGGCGGUCUCCUGAAGGGUUGCUGACCAUUGCUCUCAGCUGCUGGCCUUUUUCCUUUAUUUCGAUCAACAGCAUCUCUUUCCUUCAUAAUUCCAGCCCCCUUCUCCAUAAUAAAAGCCUGGUUCACUACUUCCCUGUAAGUGGAACGGUUUGACGCCUGGACCAAUCUGAAAAUCGCAGGCCGCAAACCUACCUGGAAAAUCUGAGCCUUGUCCUCAUCAUCUCUGACCACAAAAGGAACACAGUGCAGUAAACGGGAAAACUCUCGCUCAUACUCAGCUACUGUCCUGUCCCCCUGCCUCAGAUUUCUCAAAUCCCUUUCCAUUUGCCUCUUUACACACUGCGGAAAAUAGGUUGUCAAUAAUAAUUCCUUGAACCUGUUCCACGUGAUAGCGGACAAAUCAGUACGGGGAUCCUCACGAAUGUCCACCCACCACCUGUAAGCCUCGCCGUCAAGGUGGUGUGUCACAAACCAAACCCAAUAUCGCUCCUCGACGAACGUAUCAUAGAAUAGCUUCUCCAUAUGCAUUAGCCAUUUCUCGACCACCCAAUGAUCAGCUUUUUCUCCGUCAAAAAAACGAGGGUUGCAACGACGGAAUUCAUUCAAUUGUUCCAUCAUCCGCUCUCGCUCCUCAGCCCCCACCAUCUCUGGUAACACUGUCCCUGAUGCCGCUACAUGUACUGGUGGUGGUACUACUGUCUCCUGUCGGGUCUCUACCCUCGGAGCUACUAGGGGUGUAUCUGGGACUGGUGACUGUGCUCUCACUAUCGCAUCCCUGUCUGGUACUGUGGGUAUAGGAUCAGGAAUCUCUCUGUCGGUCGUCUGCCGCAAUAGUAAAUCCUCUAACCUCUUCAUCCUGUCCUCCUGCCGACGCGUGGCAUCCAUCUGCUGUCGCACUGCCGCAGCCUGUUGAGCAACCAAAUCCGUCAGCUUCGCAAGCUGAUCCUGUAACUCAUGGAUCCCACUAGAUCCAGAAGUAACGGAGGUCCCCACUUCCUCUGCAUCCGCCGCCUUAGCAGCCCCGGCGGCUUGCGAACGAGUCAAAGGCAUCUUGAGCUGCAGCACAAAAACAACUAUAGAUUAAUAAAACCUAUACUAUUGAACCUUUACUUCAUGUAUAAACCAACUAAUUAAGCGAAAGUAAUGAAAUGUAACGCGUACUAACUUCCGAUGUCACGUUGUCGGCCGCCAACGUGGCCCUUUGCAAAGUUAGUAAUUGCACAUUCCGAUCAAACUCCUACCAUUCGAAGUUUAUAAAUUACCCAAUCGAAAUACUUUCGCUAACAACAAACUCAACUUGACCUCGUCUCCCACGAGCCUAUCCUUAUAGUCAAACCAGCCUAAGAUUUGCUAGGUCUACUAAGACUCAACCCUAGGCUCUGAUACCACUAUAAUUUGUCAUGCCUGGGUACCAGCGGAAGCAUAUCCGGUACGUGCACAGACCCGCCAUACACCUGCAGUAUAUAAGGCGUCUACAAGAAACAAGUCGAUAGGAGUAAAUACAUAACAUAAUCCUAUCCUGAUAUCAGAGUAUAGUAAAAGUCACAAAGACUAUCAACAAAAGAACGAGAGUGACCAACUCAAAAUAUAAGUACAAAAGAAAGUACUAAAACUGCCACAUCUGGAUCCAAAACAUAUAUACAACACAGGGUACACAAAAUAUCUGUACAAUGGUAGUCUCUCUAUAAACUGGACAUCACCCUCGGCCGUAACCCGAGUAUCAAGGUGAUCGACUAGCACGCUCCUAGCAAUGUCUAGCUAGACGCGACUCCCUUGCCACGGUCCCUAGCCUCUACUGUAGAUGGCUCUGUAAAAACAACAAUAAAAAGGGCGUGAGAACUAUUAACAAUAGUUCCCAGUGGGUAAGCCGCCAGCCUCGGCGAAUUACACCACUAGGCUCAUGAUGUACUAAAUGAAAGUAAAAGCGAUAAUUACAUGAUAUAUAUAUGCAAUGCUAACAGGCAAUAGGCAUGUAAUCACAUGUAAUCAUGAUUUCUGCAGUAAUGAAUCAGUUGAGUAAUAGAAGCAUAGCAACUACUAUAAACACAAGCAUGAACAUGGAUGUGUAAGUAAAUACUGUACACUAUAACUGAUGAGCAUUCAUUACUGUCCUUUGUCAUUUAGUACUUUCUUUUCAUUCAUAAGAAUCUACCCAAGGUAGUCCAUCUUGCGCCGCGCCUAAUGGCCCCGUGGUAGUAUACACUCCCCACGGCAAUCCACUUCGGCACCCAAUCCCGCACGGGCGAGCAACUGUCGCGUAGGCCAACUUCGGAGUGCCGGUUUGUAGGGAACGACCCUCACAAGCGUGUGCGAAUGAGCACGAUGGCAAGCAAGCAUAUUCCAUUGUCCACAUGUCUCAAUUAUCAUGUUUUCAUUUGUAAUGUUCUCAGUCUCGAUCCUUGAUCGGAAAUUUCAAUAUCACAAAUAGUAAUAACAACUAGAAUCCACUAGUUUAGUAAGCAUGCAAGAGUAAUGCUCAUUUACACCUGGCAUUAGAAUCUUUUCACUAUCAUGGCACUACCAAUAUAGUCACAAAGCAUGUCAUAGUUCUCUACUUUAUAAGUGCAUCCUAUACUUGCGCAUAAGGUAUUCAACUGAAUUGAAUAUAAAUAUAAAUACUUUCAUGUAUAUACGUUCUCUACUUUAUAGAGAUUUCAUUCUACUUAAGCAUCAAAUAUUACGGUGCCAUGUUCCAAAUUCUCUAUCAAUCACAUAAUCACUAAAUGCACCUAUGCGAUAAUUCUUUAGGUACAUAUAGAACAUAGGAGAGCUUCACUUGCUUUUGUUAGGUCAAACCCACCUAUCACUAAGCUCAAAACAGCCCAACAGAAGUUCCAAACAUAGCUCAAACGAUCUCCGGACCUGCUGAAAACAAAGCAUCAAAACUGCGUCGAAACGAUUACUUAAUAAUCCAAUUUCGGCUCCAAUCGGACAUAGUACAAAGUAAUAACUUAAUUCCCUGCUUCGGCUAGCUUAAUACCUCAAGAAGAGUCUCCAAGAGCUCUCUCAAGUCAACUAAAACGAUCCAAGGCUCGAUCGUACUCUCGCUGCGAACAACAUCGCAACGGCAUCAAUGUAGUCGAUUAUAGGCUAAUACAAUCGAAUUCUAGCGAAAUUAAAUUUCUAGCUGGAAUUCCUGCUUACCCCUUGUUAGAACACCUUUUAAUUCAGUCCCCAAAGUCACCAAUUAAGCUUAAUUUGGUUCAACAACCUGCUGCGAACAGAACAAUUUCCAAACUGCAUUAGUUAUGCAAUUAAACUUCAUAUAGCUCCAACUAGCUUCAUAAUGAACUAAUUAUCUCUAUUAACCUUCAAAGAAGCUUAUCCCUGAUCUAAGGAGGUUAAUUCACAGCUAAUUCAUUCAUCUUUAAUUGCUGAAAUCUCAGUUUAAAGCAGUUGGAAGCAAAAACCUGAAAUCAAUACCCAAAUCGACUAAUAGAGCGCCGAUAACGGGAAAAUCUCGUUCGUCGUCUCAGUCGACGACGCCCUGUCGUCCCAAUAAAACCUGAAAAGUGGAGAACAAGAAUAGAUAAAGUCAGGUCGUGCUGGUCCCUACGAACGACCUCACACGAUCUCGACUCCCCUCGACGGAACGUGGAAAGAGAGAGAGAGAGAGAGAGAGAGAGAUCCUAGAAAGAGAGAGAUGUUCCUAAGUUGCUAAAGCGAGCAAAAGCAGCGUAGCGCGCAAGAAGCGACCACCGCUCGCAGCGUCUCGGAUGCACCAGCACACCCCCUCACAAAACCUUCUUAAAAGCGUUGGGACCUGGUCACUCCACGACCAACCUUCGAACUCUUCCAUUCGCUGAGNAAACAGUUGGAAGCAAAAACCUGAAAUCAAUACCCAAAUCGACUAAUAGAGCGCUGAUAACGGGAAAAUCGAGUCGCUUACCUUCUCAAGCUUCCAACCAGCACCUCACUGGUCCAGGGCUACGAAAAUUCUUCCAAAACACUCCCCCACAUGACCACGUAGGCUCUGCGACGCUCGCCACCAGCGAAGAACGCGCGAUGCGACGAAAACGAGCGAAAUCGUCGAAUCCUUGUAGAGAGAGAAAGAUCCUAGAGAGAGAGAGAGAGAGAAAGGUGCAGGGUAGCUCCCCUGAGCUCUAGCACACUCCAGCAAGCAUCCCUGGUCGUGCUGGGCUGAAAUAGAUAAGAACAAGAGGUGAAAAGUCCAAAAUAACCCUGCUGUCCCGUAGUAGCUGACUCUGCUGCUUGCUGUACCGGUACAGCAUUAUGCUUGUACCGGUACACCAAUGCAGAAAAUGCCAAUUUCGCGAUUUGAAUGCACUUUCUCACUUCUAGCUUUCCAAUCAUCCUCUAACUUGACCAAAAACUUGUCCAAGCCUUUUAGAAUAUGUAGGAUAGAUCCACAUAUCGUUCCUCACACUCGAAUUUCGCAAUUUGCAAAAAUUCAGUGUAUUACAAUAAUGCUAAUGACUCAAGUGAAAACAAAGUGGAGUGUAAAGAACACGAAUGCUAGAGAUAGCCAAAAGUAAAGACAUGUACAGAACAUGAUUGCUAGAGUAGCAACAUAAAGUGACGUAAAGAACACUAGAGUUAGUGUAAAGUCAAGAUUGAACAUAUAAUCCUUUGAGUUAAGGAUUCGAUCAUACUUGCUAUGAGUUCCGUGCUCGAGGGCGGUCGCUCCCCCUCGGGCGAUGCGCUCCGGAGUUAUGCAUCACGGGUUGGAGUAAACCCGAAGGACGGUCCUAGCGGGUGAGUUCCUACGAUGAUGGACUUAAUGUGAAGCAAGUUAAUAUGGCGAAACCCCCGGGUUAGCCUUCAGAUUAAAGAACAAAGAGUAAAGAACAGAGAACAAAGAACAAAGUGUAAAGUGUAAAGAAUGAAAAAACUUGCAUAAUUUGCAUAUGUUUAAUGUUGAGCAUAUUUCCUGCUUAUUGUUCAGGCAUAUUAGCAUCAUGUUAUAGAUUGGUUACGAUAUACAGCUUAUCCUUUCUAUUAUGCCUGAGUUAGUCCUAGUGGGAAAGUCGGUGAUGUUGAGGCCGAACCCACUAGGAACUUUGUUGUAGUUCUCACCCCCACUAUUUCCACAGAGCCGGGACCGAGCGAGCCGGCGAGCGACCGAGGUAAAGGUAUCGCGCCUUAGUCAGAGGCCACCAGAGUUGGGUUACAUUUUCGUAGUAGUACCCUUUUAUUAUCUUUUGUACUUGAUGAUUAGUGAUGUAAAUGAAGAAUGUAAAGAACCCUUUUGAGGAUAAUGUGAUGUAAGAAAGAAAUGAUGAAAUGAAAUGUAAGGGAUUCAAAAAUGUAGAAGAUGAAUGCAAUGUAUAUGAUCAAAAAUGAAUCAUAGUACAAGUGAAUGUUUAGUUUCCUUUUCUUUCACUCGUGGCUAUUGCUUACCCUCGUGUGAGCCGUAUUUGUAUGUUUCCGCUAGUGCACUUCUUGUUUGAAAAUGUACAUGUGAUGAGCCUUGGGCGGACAGAGGAAACUUUGUCCGUUCGGCGUCUGUUUGACGUGCUCGGGCCCGCCCAAAUUGGUAUCGGUCCCGGGGCGUGACAUUGGCUAUACCUUCUCAAAUUCAGGAUGGGAUCGUACUCACAUGUAUCGGUUCCGGCUUGUGCGAGGUCGCUCCUCUACAGGCGGUGUACUCCGGAGUAUAGACACCACGGGUGAGAGUGCCCGGCGAAGAUCCCUCGGGUGACAGUGCCUUGUGCCUUCCCUGGUAAACGGGAUGGAUCUCUCGGGGGCAUUUCCUAAUGCUAAUCCCGGUAGAUAGGACAUGUGAGAUGUGAGCUUGGGGCGAACAUGAUGAACCUCGAAAAGAUUGGGUAAAGGCCAAAGUGAAUGUGUGAAAGUAUGUAUUAUGAGCUAUAGAAUUGGUAUUCCAGUUGAGUGGAUUUAUGGCUGAGGUGCAUGUGGGACGUCCUUCACCUCGAGCCUGGAUGCAUGCGGUAUUCCGCAGAUAAUUGACUCGAGAUCGAGUCGGGUGGUUAGCUUGGCUAGGGUAGAGGAAAACCUUAGGAGCAAAUAACUAAUGAUGUAAAGUGACAAGAUAUAUAAAUUAUGGAAAAGCUAUGGAUAGCAUGAUAGAAAGUAAAAUCAUUUAUUUUACUUCUAUAGUUUCAUGGUUUCAUAUUGCAUAUCGCGAGGCAUGACAUGUAGUUCAAUAUCGAAUAAAUGUUUAAGUAUCUGUUAUAUGUUAUUGGACUAACCUGUUGCAGUGCCUCAUUAGACCUAUUAGUUGAGCUUUUUCCUUGGGUGGCCGUACCCACUGGGAACUAUGGAGUUGGUUCUCACCCCACGUUGUUUUGGGGUGUUACAGGUUCACACGUGAGUGGCGCGGCAGCGCAAGGCGAGGGUGUAGGUCCGUAGUUAGCGCCCUACCACCGAGACCAGAGAUAGCGGUACCUUGAGUCGACUACUUAGGGAUGUAAGAAAAUGAAAGGAAUAAGAUUGCAAUAAUUUGUAAUGGAAGCAUGAUUGUAUUUCGAAGUUAAAUGUAAUAUGUAAUUGUGAUGUAAAAUGUAUCUAGUGAAUGUGAAUGCUUAUAAUAACAAGUAGAUUAUGUUUUUGAUACUUCCUUAUGCAAUCUUUGAUUGAAAUGUGUUCCUGGUUGGAACUUCGUACAUUGUAUUGAUUGCGACGCCUUGAAUGUACAGGGGAGACUCUGUCCGCGGUACAGGAAAAACCCUAUCCGUUCGGCGAUCUGUUGGCGUGCUCGAUGAAAGUUUUGAGGAGCCCAAGGAUCUAUCUAGAUUGUAUCUAUCACCUAGAGGGGGGGGUGAAUAGGUGUAAUGGCCAAAAACCACAAAUCUCGAUGCAAUAAAAAUAAAUGCAGAAAAUAAAAAGCACACCGAGAUUUAUGUGGGAAAACUCCAACUUGGAGAAAAACCCACGGGACCAACACGCGAAAAAACAAUCCACUAAGAGCAAAGAUUACAAGGUGAUUUACCGACUCUACGGACUCAACCUCUCUUGACCUCCUAUGGAUCUCGCGCAAUCCUCUGGGUUGUCCACGCCCUCACGUCCGAAUCCACGAACGCCCCCACUUCGAAUCCACGAAGCUCCAAUCACGCCGAAUCCACGACGCCACUCGAAUCCACGAGCCCACGAUCCGAAUCCACGAACCGCCGUCAAACACGCCGAAUCCACGACGCCGUCAUGAAGAGCAUCAUGAUUAUGGUGAUCCUUCGCUUAGGAGUAUCGUAGAAAACCANNNNNNNNNNNNNNNNNNNNNNNNNNNNNNNNNNNNNNNNNNNNNNNNNNNNNNNNNNNNNNNNNNNNNNNNNNNNNNNNNNNNNNNNNNNNNNNNNNNNNNNNNNNNNNNNNNNNNNNNNNNNNNNNNNNNNNNNNNNNNNNNNNNNNNNNNNNNNNNNNNNNNNNNNNNNNNNNNNNNNNNNNNNNNNNNNNNNNNNNNNNNNNNNNNNNNNNNNNNNNNNNNNNNNNNNNNNNNNNNNNNNNNNNNNNNNNNNNNNNNNNNNNNNNNNNNNNNNNNNNNNNNNNNNNNNNNNNNNNNNNNNNNNNNNNNNNNNNNNNNNNNNNNNNNNNNNNNNNNNNNNNNNNNNNNNNNNNNNNNNNNNNNNNNNNNNNNNNNNNNNNNNNNNNNNNNNNNNNNNNNNNNNNNNNNNNNNNNNNNNNNNNNNNNNNNNNNNNNNNNNNNNNNNNNNNNNNNNNNNNNNNNNNNNNNNNNNNNNNNNNNNNNNNNNNNNNNNNNNNNNNNNNNNNNNNNNNNNNNNNNNNNNNNNNNNNNNNNNNNNNNNNNNNNNNNNNNNNNNNNNNNNNNNNNNNNNNNNNNNNNNNNNNNNNNNNNNNNNNNNNNNNNNNNNNNNNNNNNNNNNNNNNNNNNNNNNNNNNNNNNNNNNNNNNNNNNNNNNNNNNNNNNNNNNNNNNNNNNNNNNNNNNNNNNNNNNNNNNNNNNNNNNNNNNNNNNNNNNNNNNNNNNNNNNNNNNNNNNNNNNNNNNNNNNNNNNNNNNNNNNNNNNNNNNNNNNNNNNNNNNNNNNNNNNNNNNNNNNNNNNNNNNNNNNNNNNNNNNNNNNNNNNNNNNNNNNNNNNNNNNNNNNNNNNNNNNNNNNNNNNNNNNNNNNNNNNNNNNNNNNNNNNNNNNNNNNNNNNNNNNNNNNNNNNNNNNNNNNNNNNNNNNNNNNNNNNNNNNNNNNNNNNNNNNNNNNNNNNNNNNNNNNNNNNNNNNNNNNNNNNNNNNNNNNNNNNNNNNNNNNNNNNNNNNNNNNNNNNNNNNNNNNNNNNNNNNNNNNNNNNNNNNNNNNNNNNNNNNNNNNNNNNNNNNNNNNNNNNNNNNNNNNNNNNNNNNNNNNNNNNNNNNNNNNNNNNNNNNNNNNNNNNNNNNNNNNNNNNNNNNNNNNNNNNNNNNNNNNNNNNNNNNNNNNNNNNNNNNNNNNNNNNNNNNNNNNNNNNNNNNNNNNNNNNNNNNNNNNNNNNNNNNNNNNNNNNNNNNNNNNNNNNNNNNNNNNNNNNNNNNNNNNNNNNNNNNNNNNNNNNNNNNNNNNNNNNNNNNNNNNNNNNNNNNNNNNNNNNNNNNNNNNNNNNNNNNNNNNNNNNNNNNNNNNNNNNNNNNNNNNNNNNNNNNNNNNNNNNNNNNNNNNNNNNNNNNNNNNNNNNNNNNNNNNNNNNNNNNNNNNNNNNNNNNNNNNNNNNNNNNNNNNNNNNNNNNNNNNNNNNNNNNNNNNNNNNNNNNNNNNNNNNNNNNNNNNNNNNNNNNNNNNNNNNNNNNNNNNNNNNNNNNNNNNNNNNNNNNNNNNNNNNNNNNNNNNNNNNNNNNNNNNNNNNNNNNNNNNNNNNNNGGAUAUCAAAUUACAAUAUUCCGAUUUGACCUAAAAGAGGCUAAUAUGUAGAAAAUAGGUUUUAGAUGAAAUCCGAGCCUCUAGGGUUUCUCAAAUAUUUAUUUUCGUGAUGCUUGAUGAGUUAGAGAAGCCCAACAGCUUAUUUAUAGACUUUAGAAUCAAUUGGAGUCGGAUUAGAAUGUUUUCACGAUUUUACACUGUGUACGCGUACGCGAAAUGCUGUCACCGGUUACACAAUGACGGAACAAAAAUUCGAAGCCAAAGUUGAUGGCUGUACCGGUACGGGNNNNNNNNNNNNNNNNNNNNNNNNNNNNNNNNNNNNNNNNNNNNNNNNNNNNNNNNNNNNNNNNNNNNNNNNNNNNNNNNNNNNNNNNNNNNNNNNNNNNAGGCAGGGAUCACCCAGGCUCGACCUGGGUGACUGCUGCUGGCCGCAGGGAGUUCGGGCAGCUCCGGCGUGGCACGGGGACGGCGGAGGCCGGCGGGGACUGCGCCGGGAAAGGGUCUCAGCCGAGGGAAAGGCUUCCUAGGGUGUCUUGGACCUUCUCUGAUGUCGAAAGCCGAAGGGGUGGUGGCAAGGUGGAGGAAAGAGGUUGACCAAGCAAUUCCGGCGGCCGGGGAAGCUCGCCGACGGCCGGGGUGCGCACACUGCUAGAGCAUGGACCUGCAGAUGGCGGCUAGGGCACAGAUGGGGCGCUGGGUCGAGUAGAUCUAGGGUUUCAUGCAUAGAAACCCUAGAUGCACAUUGAAUACAGAGUGCAAUUUUGCACAAAAGUCCACCGAAGCUUGGUAUUUCAUACCUAGUCCUUUAUAGUGGGUAACAAUCGCGUAUUCGCACCUACAUAUUCGAUCUCGUGCAAUUCGGUACAUAAAAUAUUACGACUUUUGCGAAUUUUCCGAUUUUCCACUCUCGACCCCUUAGCGAACUUAUCGCCAUUCCCAAAGAUCCGUCCAUCGGAUUUCCGAUCGGAUCACGCCAACGCGUUCAGCACGUCGAGGCAUCGAAUCUAGCAUUUCGUUUCGUCAGAUUUGAUCUCCGAUUCACGACGAAAUCCAUUCUCUCUCCAAAAGGCCAAAGUGAUGCACAAUUACAUAAGCAACAUGUAAUUUCAGAUUUUCUCGAAUAUCGUGCGUCAAACUCAAAAUCCAUCAGCGCCACUAGUUCCAGAACAGCUGAACCGGUCGAAACGAGCUAUUGGACUGAUAUGAACGGAGUCCGAUACGCACCAGAAGCCAACUCUACUCCGUGGCUUCUCCGGAAAACCGGAGUUACUAUUCACUUAAGUGAAAACUAAUAAUCGCGUAACUUCUCCGUUUAAGCUCAUUUUCUCCUAAAACUUGACGAGUGCUUAUGUAAUUAAAUUACACACAUAAACAUCAUCAACAGAGAGUUUAGUUGCACUGUCAAAAAUCUCAGUCCUUACAGUAUAAGAAUCUAAUGUUUUGAUGUAAUUUCUUAGAUAAAUUGUUUUGCAGGAAAUCAAGACUUCAAGACUCCUAGUGUCUAAAUCAUAGAGUCUGUAUUAAGGUUGUGAAAAAUAUAAUUUUCUUUUAUUGGAUCGAUCAUGCAGGAGAUCGUCGUUUGGUGAUUGCGAUGAUCUUCUUUUUAUUGUUUCUGAGUUGUGUACGAGCAUGGUAGUAUAUUUUGUCACGAAAUCGCCAAAGGGGGAGAUUGUUAAGGAUUUUAUAGGUUGGCGGAUUUCGUAAAGUUGAAUGGAGUCUUGAAGAGUUGAUCGCGGAAGUUUUGAAGAAAAGAUUCAAAUAGAAGAACAAAGACUCAUUCGGAAAGCUCGGCACCUCAGGUAUGAAGAAUAGAUCAUUUGUGGUGAAGGUACUUAAUUGGAAUAAGUUUAGAAGGCUUAGAUUACUUUAAAACUCAUUUACUGAACUUUUCUGUGUUCUGGGACCGGUCCCAGAGUUGAAGAGACCGGUUCCCCUAAGGUCCUCACUGCGUGAAUAUUGAUGCAACCGGUCCCCUGAGAUGAGAGACCGGUUCCCGAACCUUCGUAUUUCUGUCGCGCAGCGAGGGACCGAUCUCUGGCUUGAGAGACCGGUUCCCGAACGUUGUGAUUUUUGGUAACGCAGCGAGGGACCGGUUCCUCACUUGAGAGACCGGUCUCUCACAGACCAGUCUCCUCGAGAGGACCGGUCCCUGAGGACGACACAAGUUUUUUAAAAAGGACUUUUUGCAAUCCUAGUCUACUUCUAAGUCUUCUAAACAUAUAAAUAAGCCAUGGGGUCAUCUUAAAGUUUAAGGCUUUGAAUUUCUACUCAUUCUAAACCCUAGAAACUUAUUUUUUCGUUCUUAUGGUUCUAUUUCAAUAACAAGUUUCUAAUAAUCAACGAUUGACUUGAUUCUUCAUUUUUACUCAUGAACUUAUACGAGAAUCAAGUAGAUGUUUGAUUAAAAGGUAGACCCUCAUCGCUUAUGGGAUUCUAAGGCUUAUUCACCACAAAUCUUCGAUUCUACAAGCUCCGGAAGGAGAUUCAGCGUGUGGAUCUCGCGUGAAGCCAAGGAUUCGGUGGACGCUUCGAGGAGUUGAGGCGUUGACGCUGCAAGGAGUUGCGGCGAGGUCGAUUGGAGGAUUCNAUAAACUUAGAAAAGAAGUUUUGAAGGCGCUAGUUGAGAAGUUCUGAGGUAAGUUGAAAUGCUUUAGGCGGUUGGAUAUUUUAGGAAUUGUUAGAGGGGGAAACCGCUAAAGCACUGUUUUAUAUGAUGGUACGAGCAUGUGUUGAGUCUUUGUUAUUUUUCUUCUAGUAGCGUUAGUGGUUUGCUGCUAGAGGACGUACUAGCUAGGUUAUUUUCUUUUAAUAUAAAAAGUGUUGGAAUUAUGUCUGAGAUACUAAAUCUGUGAUCCUCAGAACUUCAGAACUAAAGGACGUUUUGUUAAAUAGAUUCUUUAAUGUAGUUUUGUAAUCUAAGAAUAUGACAUUCCUGACUCUAAAAACUGUCACGUUGAUUUGAGAGACAACUACUACAAAUACACACAUUAAAUUAAUGUAUUCGUGAGCAGUUCAAAAUCCGAAGAACAAAGACUCAUUCGGAAAGCUCGGCACCUCAGGUAUGAAGAAUAGAUCAUUUGUGGUGAAGGUACUUAAUUGGAAUAAGUUCAGAAGCCCUAAAUUACUUUAAAACUCUUUUACUGAACUUUUCUGUGUUUUGAAACCGAUCCCAGAGUUGAAGAGACCGGAUCCCCUAAGGUCCUCACUGCGUGAAUUUUGAUGCACUCCUAGUCUACUUCUAAGUCUUCUAAACAUCUAAAUAAGCCAUGGGGGUCAUCUUAAAGUUUAAGGCUUUGAAUUUCUACUCAUUCUAAACCCUAGAAACUUGUUUUUUCCGUUCUUAUGGUUCUAUUUCAAUAAUAAGUUUCUAAUAAUCAACGAUCGACUUGAUUCUUUAUUUUUUUUUUAUUUGUGAACUUAUACGAGAAUCAAGUAGAUGUUUGAUUAAAAGGUAGACCCUCAUCGCUUAUGGGAUUCUAAGGCUUAAUCACCACAAAUCUUCGAUUCUACAAGCUCUGGAAGGAGAUUCAGCGUGUGGAUCUCGUGUGAAGCCGAGGAUUCGGUGGACGCUUCGAGGAGUUGAGGCGUUGACGCUGCAAGGAGUUGCGGCGAGGUCGAUUGGAGGAUUCCUAUCGAUCGAGGACCGGCGAAGAUCACCAUCAACGGGAAUUCGGUAAAUUGAGUCGUGUAUUUUUGUCAAAAUCACUUAUACUCAAGUUUUCUUAGUGGAUUUUUUUCGCGUGAUCGGUCCCGUGGGUUUUUCACUCUGAAUUGGAGUUUUCCCACGUUAAAUUCUCGGUGUGUUGUUUUAUUUUUCGCUAUUUCAUUUUAUUUGCAUCGAGAUUUUUGAGUUUGCCGUUUUUACACCUAUUCACCCCCCUCUAGGUGUUACUUACCUUUUAGAUCCUCGAGAUCUAUAUCUUACAGAACUAGUGCCAUUGGUCAGAAUGGAGAAAAGAGAGUGAAGAAGAAGCCGAAGAAAGCUAGGAGAGACAGAGAAGGCGAAGAGGAUGAAGAAAAACAGAGAAGGUGAAAAAGGCGAAGCCUGAGGGAAAAGGAAGCUUGGUGAAGAAGGAAAAGAGCCGCCGCGUCGAAAUAGUUUCCCGAGAUCGGCUAUAAUGAUGAAAAGAUGGCGGCAAUUAAGGUGACCUAAUUAAUGCCGCACAUAAGACAAAAAGAAUGACAGAAUCGUAACCGUAGAAAAGAAAUGGACGGCCGAGACUAAACCAUAUAGAGGGUUUGGAAUUAAUUGAAUCGAGGAUCGCGCCUCGGAUUACGUCAGCUACUCGUACAGAGAAUUUGAAAUUGAUUGGAUCGAGAACCACGCCUCGGAUCGUGCUUGUUAUUUAAGCGAUGGCGGAAUUUUAGCAGUAGAAAGAAGCAGACGGUUGAGACGAAACCGUACUAGGGAUUUGAAAGUAAUCGCGCCUCGGAUUAUGCUAGCUAUCAAAACGUUACUUCGAAAGCUGCCGAGGGGGCAAUUGUUGAGCCAAUUAGGCGCGGACAGGUGGUACGCCGAUAUUCCAUUUAAAGGCAGCAAUCUUGCUAUACACCGGGAGCAUUGGAAGGGUUUUUAAGGAAUGAACCGCCGCGCAAAUUGAGGGAGGUUACAGUAACCACAAGCAGUUGCAAGCGAUUCCGAUCGGCUGAAAGUGGUCCGAAAAAUCAGGAAUAGUGGCCGAUCAUGUAUAGGUAAUAACUGAUCACAAGGGGCGAUCUAUAAAUAAGUCAAUAACGCCCUAAAAAGAGGUCUUUUUUCUGUGAACAAAAGACCACCCUUAUUUCCCUACAAUUUCCCUCAUUUUAUACGAGUAGUCUACUUGUAACUUUUACUUUCGUGCAUUUAUUAUUUUUCCCUAGGAGUAGUUCCUAAGUAGAACAACCGAGUCUGUAUGCCAUUCGGCACACUUAACCCUUGUACUUUUCCUCAAGCUUAAUUUCUAAGGCUUUCGGCUCUUCAAGCCGACCAACUGGUGUAUGUUUCUUCUAUUCGGCUCAUCUACCGAGUCAAAUCUGUAGCUGGUCCGCACAUUCGGCUCAUUUCAGCCAAACCGAAUAUUUAAUAGAGUUUUCGAAUUCGGCUGAUCCGAUCCCUCGUCAGCCGAAUCGCUUGAUCUAGUUGAAGGGCACAAACUUCGAGGGUCACUAUUCGAAGCUGUUUUUCAUCCCUACACGUUCUUCGAGGAGGAUCUUUGAUCAGGCCAAGGGUCAGGGAAUUCGGCACGCAACACAACCUUUCCUCUUAUGCCAUAUAACUGCAGCGGUAAUCAAGAGCGGAGAAGCAUGUGUUUAUGCAAUUGAUUCCCCCCUCUUUUGAAAUUAUAUUGAUACUCCCAUUUCGGAGGUAAGUGUUGCAGGGCCUAUUCAAAUUUGUAUUUAGUUAUCAUUUGAGUGGAUUAUCAUAUUAUUUACGUAGGAACUAUGCAGAUUUGCAUUCAGUUAUUCAUUUGAGUGGAUUAUCUCAAGAAUAGUAGUCUUAUAUUGAAUAGAAACAAAUAUCCUACUCUGUACAAUAUGUUCAAGUAUUUUGUCAUUUGUCAUCAGAUUAAACUUGUGUUGGUUUGAGUGUUUGACUGCGGUAUCACUGUUUAGCUCACAUAAUCGUCUGAAGCUGGCCCAAUGGCCACAUCCUAGACAGUAAUGUCGAACGCACGGAAGUGUUUGUAUCAUGUUCUAGUAGUUUCUAAUAUGUGCUUGUUCUCCAAAUUACUAGUGAUUUAAUACAGCGUUUAUUUCACAUGUCUUGUUCUGCCCAAUUAUAAUCCCCUUAAAUUUAAUAAAAUCAUCAAAACUACUCAUAUUAUUCAUACUAGUGAAGGCCCGCGCUUCGCGGCGGAAAAUUUAUGCAAUUUUCAAAAUACUUUGAACUAUUUUUUUAUUUUUUAAUUUUCAAAUCUAAUUUUAAAUUUUAAACUUUAAAAAAUUGAAGAGAGGAAAAUUAAAAACAUUAUUUAAAUAUAGAAGGAUAAAAAAAUUUGAAGUUUGAAACCUGAUUUAUUAUAUGUAUUAUUAAUAAAUUAAUUAAUUACAUAUUAUAUAACAUUAUUAAUAAAGGUAAUUAAUUAAUUAAUUUUAUAGAGUUUUGAGAUAAAAAAUUUUAAAGUUUGAAGUUUAAAAUUAAAAUAAAUAUUACAUGUUAAUAUUUAAAUUUAAAAUUUAAAUGGAAAAUAUAAAUUUGAAAAUUAAAAUUUUAUUAUAUGUAUUAUUAAUAAAUUAAUUAAUUACAUAUUAUAUAACUUUAUUAAUAAAUGUAAUUAAUUAAUUAAUUAUAUAUAGUUUAAAGAUUAAAAAUUUUAAACUUUGAAGUUUAAAAUUAAAAUAAAUAUUAUAUGUUAAUAUUUAAAUUUAAAAUUUAAAUAUAAAAUAUAAAAUUUGAAAAUUAUAAUUUUAAAAGUCCCUCUCUCUCUCCCUCUCUCUCUCUUUCUCACUCUCUCCCUUUCUCCCCCUGGCUCAUCCCUCUCUUUCUCUCUCUCCCUCUCUCUCUCCCUCUCCCUCUCUCNNNNNNNNNNNNNNNNNNNNNNNNNNNNNNNNNNNNNNNNNNNNNNNNNNNNNNNNNNNNNNNNNNNNNNNNNNNNNNNNNNNNNNNNNNNNNNNNNNNNNNNNNNNNNNNNNNNNNNNNNNNNNNNNNNNNNNNNNNNNNNNNNNNNNNNNNNNNNNNNNNNNNNNNNNNNNNNNNNNNNNNNNNNNNNNNNNNNNNNNNNNNNNNNNNNNNNNNNNNNNNNNNNNNNNNNNNNNNNNNNNNNNNNNNNNNNNNNNNNNNNNNNNNNNNNNNNNNNNNNNNNNNNNNNNNNNNNNNNNNNNNNNNNNNNNNNNNNNNNNNNNNNNNNNNNNNNNNNNNNNNNNNNNNNNNNNNNNNNNNNNNNNNNNNNNNNNNNNNNNNNNNNNNNNNNNNNNNNNNNNNNNNNNNNNNNNNNNNNNNNNNNNNNNNNNNNNNNNNNNNNNNNNNNNNNNNNNNNNNNNNNNNNNNNNNNNNNNNNNNNNNNNNNNNNNNNNNNNNNNNNNNNNNNNNNNNNNNNNNNNNNNNNNNNNNNNNNNNNNNNNNNNNNNNNNNNNNNNNNNNNNNNNNNNNNNNNNNNNNNNNNNNNNNNNNNNNNNNNNNNNNNNNNNNNNNNNNNNNNNNNNNNNNNNNNNNNNNNNNNNNNNNNNNNNNNNNNNNNNNNNNNNNNNNNNNNNNNNNNNNNNNNNNNNNNNNNNNNNNNNNNNNNNNNNNNNNNNNNNNNNNNNNNNNNNNNNNNNNNNNNNNNNNNNNNNNNNNNNNNNNNNNNNNNNNNNNNNNNNNNNNNNNNNNNNNNNNNNNNNNNNNNNNNNNNNNNNNNNNNNNNNNNNNNNNNNNNNNNNNNNNNNNNNNNNNNNNNNNNNNNNNNNNNNNNNNNNNNNNNNNNNNNNNNNNNNNNNNNNNNGAGUGAGAGAGAGAGAGAGAAAAAGCAAAAAAAAAAAAAAAUGGUCGGCCCCGCCGAAGCCCCCCGCCAAACGCAGGGAGGCUUCGGAGAGAACCCAAGAAUUAUUAUUUCUAUAGAUUCCACCAAAUAUUUGGCUUAAAUGCCCUUUUACCCUUUCACACUUUCAAUUUUUGUAAUACAUGUUGUGAUCAAGAUUCUAUGCAUUUAUUAUUGAUACUUGGGCUUUUUUUGCAAAUAGCCCUUUCACAAAAUUUUAUUUUAAAAUUGGCCCUGUCAAAAAUUUAUUUGCAAAAAUGGCCCUGCCCCCGCCACGCAAGCGUCACAUCAGCGCCACGCGGGCGAGGUAGGAGUUUAAGUUGAACACCAUGAAUGGUUCACCAUGUCCAAUACAAAUAAUUAGACACGGUGAAAGGUUCACCGUGUCUAAUACUAAUACAGCCUUAGCCAAAAAUGACUAAGUCCUAGGUAGUUAUAUUGGACACGGUGAAUGAUUUACCGUGUCCAAUACAAAUAUGUCGAUCUUAGCUAUUUUGUAUUGGACAACCGUGUCCAAUACAAAAACUUUGUAUUGAACACGGUGAAUGGUUUACCGUGUUCAACUUAACCAUCUGGCCCAGCCCCGCCUGCGUGGCGCUGACGUGGCGCUUCCGUGGCGGGGCCAGGACCAUUUUUGCAAAUAAAUUUUUGACAUGGCCAAUUUUAAAAAAAAAAAAUUGUAAGGAGGCUGUUUGCAAAAAAAGCCCGAGUGCUUAUCAAGGCCUUCACAUGUAGAAAGUGGGCACUUAAUCUUACCAAAGCCUUUGACUAAUAUACUUGUCUAAAACAGGUUGCACUGUUAGAUUAGUUGAGGAUUUGGGCUUUUUUUGCAAAUAGCCCCCUAAAAAAUUUUAUUUUCGAAAAUAGCCCUGUGUAAAAAUUAUUUGCAAAAAUGGCCCUGGCCCCGCCCCGUCAGCGCCACGUCAGCGCCACGCGGGCGGGGCUGGGCCAAUUGUAUAAGUUGAACACGGUGAACCAUUCACCGUGUUCAAUAUAAGAUUUUUGUAUUGGACACNUGGGGCAGGAGUUUAAGUUGAACACGGUGAAUGGUUCACCGUGUCCAAUACAAAUAUCAUAUUGGACACGGUGAACCAUUCACCGUAUUCAAUACUAAUACAGCCUUAGUCAAAAAAUGACUAAGUCCUAGGUAGUUGUAUUGGACACGGUGAACCGUGUCCAAUACAACUAACUCGGCUUAGCCAAUUUUUGGCUAAGUGAGGAUAUUUGUAUUGGACACGGUGAAUGGUUCACCGUGUCCAAUAUGAUAUUUGUAUUGGACACGGUGAACCAUUCACCGUGUUCAACUUAAACUCCUGCCCCGCCCGGGUGGCGCCGACGUGGCGCUUGCGUGGCAGGGGCUGGGCCAUUUUUGCAAAUAAAUUUUUAACAGGGCCAAUUUUAAAAUAAAAUUUUAUCAGGAGGUUAUUUGCAAAAAAAACCCUUGAUACUUUUAUAGUCUAAUUUAAUUAUUUUAAUAUAUUUUAUUUGACAAAUUUAGUAUGACUUUAUAUUACUGCAUUUAGCUGGUAUACAUACUCUUAUGAGCAAUGCUUCUAUACACCAACAGAUCUUAGCCUUUAAAUUUUCUAAAAUGAAUGGUGAGGAUGCCUUUUAUUUAAGAGGGUGAUCGCUUUUGUUGUAUUAGGUACCGUUCACCUUCUUAUCGAGGGCAAAAUAUUUUCUCAUAAUGUAAAGUUAGUAUCAAGGGCUUUUUGGGAAAUUUUUAUUUUCAUUCCCAUAAUGCCUCUUUAGUAAAUAUAGAACAUUCCAUUCCAUUUUUGUCCAUUUUGCUUUCCUUUUUGAAGUAAUAGCUAAUCUACAUUUAUAAUUUUUAAUUGAAUUUAUUUGUACCGACCGUCCCUAGAGCAAGUGGCAAAGGGUUUGGUGGUUGGUACCCGAGACCCAAGUUCGAAUCCUAGUUGAUUCACAUUUCCAGCUAAGUUUAUUUCUAAAUGAAAUAAACGAAGCGGGUAGCGUGCUACCUAUCUCUCUAAAAAAAAAUUGAAUUUAUUUGUAUGAUUUGAUUAUAAAAUAAAAUUUUAAAUUUGUCUCAUAUUUAAAAUUUUUUUGCAUAAAAAAUUUUAUGCAAAUAUAAAAAUUGCAAUUAACAAAUUAUAUUAUGCAAUCUCUAAGUAAUUGACUAUGAAAUAUUGUCCCCAAGUGAAUGUUUAAAAAAUUUUGAAUUUGACUUUGUGAUCAAUAGUUCUAACAAAUUCAGUUCAACAUCUUAAUUAAAAUAAAUUAAACUUUUAUAAUCUUCACAAGUUUUAGUAUACAUUACACACUUUAUUCUCAAAUUAUAAGAAGCGUAAUACUUUGGUUGUCCAACUUUAUUCAAAAUUUUUAAAUUAUUGAAUUGAGCUUCACGCUUCAAUUUAGAUGGCUGAAUGAUGAGUUAAAGUUGAUGUGGUCAAAAUUCAUGACAAAACUCUUAAUAAAUUGAAAUUGGAUGGUCCAAACUAAAAUUCAAUUAGAAAGAAUGUAAUAUAUUGAUAUAUAUAUUUUAACUUUUGAACAUAGAUAGUUGAUCCGAAGUUGACUGUUCGAGUUAUGAUUAUUUGAUUGGAUAGCUCAACCAGUGUUAUAUUAAACUGAUUAAUUUAAUUGUUAUUUUAUCAGAAAAUCCUAUGUCAAAAUAGGUGGUAAAGAAAAUUUUUUAAAGAAUAAUGUGGUUACAAAGUGAAAAUUGUGCUAAACUUUGCAUGGGCGCAAAGUGAUGUUUUAGACCAUGGAAAAACCAUUUAAAUUGACCUUAUGAUCCAAGUCAGAUGAUCCAAAUCAAAUGAAUUUAAUGUAUUAUUUAAACAAGUUAAAAACCAUUUUAAAGAUAAUUUGAAAUUUUAAUAGCUAAAAUUAAAUUCAGAUUUAUAAUAUAAAGUUAAUUUUCAAAUAUUGAAACGUUUAGUUUAAAUAGUUAACAAAAUUUAUUUUUUUAACUAUAAUAUAAAUCAAAUCUAAAUUUAAAAUUUAAUUUUAAUCAAUAUUUUUGAACUUUAAUGUUGUUUUCACUAUUGAAUAAACAAGUUGAAUUUAAUUUUAAAAGCCUUUUAUUUAAAUAAAUAAUAAAAUUUGGAUUUAUAAGUACAACAUAAUUUACAAUUUAAAAUAAGUUAAUAUAUUUGAAUUUUCAUGUUAUUUUAAUAUUAGAUUAACAAUUUGAAUUGAAAUGUACUACUCAUUUAAACAGAAUUUUUUUCUUUCUGAAAAUUAAAAUUAAAAUUAAAAUUGAAUUUAAUGUAUACAAUUAUAAAGUUUAAGCUCAAAUUAAAUUUUAAAUUCAAUUUUAUGAAGGUUUAUUACUUAUCAAAUUAGCGAAUAUCUAAUUUGGUAAAUAACAAAAUUAAAUAAGGAAAUAAAUAUUUAUUUAGGGUUUAUCAAAUUUGGUAAUUCGCUAAUAUUUAUUUUCCAAUAUUACCCUUACUAUUGAUCUUGAAUGGUGACUUGUUGAGCAGGUUACUACUGUCUAAAAGUCAAUCUUGCCUUUAAAAUAUGAAAGGCUAGAUUUAAUUUAGCCAGUGUAUUGAAACAUUCCUCUACAUUUAUUAUAUUUUUUUAGACAUGGAAGGAAAAAUUAGAUACUUUUUAUUAGAUUUAUUUUGAGGUCUUUAUAUUAUUUUACAUGUAGUUCGAUAGUUCUUUAUUUUAGUUUCCAUUUAUAUUACUAUCCAUUUGUUUCAAAUUUGUAUUUGUAUGGUGUACUUUAAUUAUUUUUUAUCUCUAUAUUAUACCAGAUGCAUGUAGUUUGAACGUCCUUUAUUUUAGCUUUGAUUUAUAUUACUAUGCUUUUAUCUCAAUUUGUACUUUUAAAGUUUACUUUGCUUACUCUUAUUUGUACUGUUUUAUGUCUAAUAAAUAAAAACACUAUCUUAAGUGGCAUAAAUUAAAUAGAAAGUUAGAAAUUAUACGAUAAUUAACUAUUAUGAGGGAUAAAUAGGUCAUUUUGUAAUUUAAACAAAUGAAAAACUGACAACAAAGAUGUUUACGAUAUUAAAUACAAAUUUAUAGGGGUAAUAUUAAUAUUGACAAUUUUGAAAGGGUGUUUGUGAUAAUUUUCAAAAUUUUGGGUGUUCGAAAUUGCCCCUUUAAUAUAGCAGCGCAAAUGCUACAUGUACAUCUUGAGCCUAGGUAUAAAUCUUUUUACAUCUUAGACUUUCUAUGGUUAGGAUUAGUCGAUUAGUCUUAUCAACGUUUUUUUUUUUAAAAUAAAAUUUAUUUAGAAUUUUAUAGGCUCUAAAUUGAAAUAGUGUAAGAUAUACAACCCUAUAUAGCGUGUGCAAGUAAUUAUUCUAAUAUAAUUUUGUCCUUCUAAUAAACCUGUUAGGUACAGCAUCUGUAGGUGUUAUGGUUUAAUAUCUGAACCUUACUUGCACAACGGCACGAACUUAAUGGAAAAAGAAAUAAAAAAGCAAACAAAAAAAAUGUACUAGGAACCCAUCGACUGAAGGCGAUGUUGAAAUAAGCCCCUCAAACAUUGUUAAUUUUCUUUCACUGACAUGUUAUUAGGGUUUGAGUGUUUUUUCUUAGUUAAGUUGAGAAUCCUGUCUAAUUUGGUAGUUACAUCAGCUAUUACUCGAUAGGUAUAUUUGCUAAAAUGUAAUUUAAAAUAUUUAAUAGAAUUACUUGUCACGCCCUGAAUUUUUUGGUGAAAGCCAAUUCGAAAUCGGAUUAUCUUCGAAAAUACAGAAUAAGUGAAAAAACGCCAUUUUUUUUUUAACUUUGACCCCACGGUGCAACAAACCCGCUACAAAUAUAAAAAUUUUUCGACAUAAACGGAUAGAGUCUCUUCUAUAUUUGCACAAUAUAGCACAUGUACAAUUUAACAACCAUAUCUCUACUCACACACAUAACAACUGGAUGUAUAAGAAGUAUCAUAAUACAUCAAACAGCUAGCCGUCCUUAGUCACAUCCAUUCCACAUUCAUUCACAUUCGUCUUAGAAGUUAAAAUUGUCUCCCACACGAAGACUUCUUUUUUAAAACUUUAACUUUGCAAAAAACCUCGAAAAAUUUAUUUAAAAAUAUUUCAUACACAGAAACCAUUAUUUUAAAAAAUGCUACUACAAAGGGUAGAAAACUAUCGAUGGGAAUCUGAUUCCAAAAUCACAUGUGUUCAAAAAUCACAAAUGUCCAAAACUAUGAGCAUCAAAACCCCCCAUAAGUACAAUAUCCAAAAUUAUAAAAUAUCAACUGAAUCACAAAUAAAUGUCUAGUAGCAGGUGUAGAGGUAAACUAUGUGUAACACACUGAACCUGUGCAAAUUGCAAGGUUCGAGUGUUUGACUUGAGUUCCGAGCUUUGCCACGCUUUGUGGAGGGUCGUAGAAUGUAUUCCGACCUAAAAAGUUCAAAUUCUGAAUUUUGGCAAGUCCUGAGAGUUUUUACUCUCGGGGACCGGUCCCUGGUGGGAGAGACCGGUCCCCUCGGAAUAGUGUCGCGGCCAGGCUUGAGGCAACCGAUCCCUGGCGGAUGAGACCGGUUCCCGAGCACGAUUUUGCGGGGAGAGACCGGUCCCAUGCGGGGAGAGACCGGUUCCUGAGAGCAGGUUUUGCGGGAUGGACCUGAGAGACCGGUCCCACCUGGGAGAGACCGGUCCCUCUGGGCGAAAAUUACCCAAUUUGAGCUGAUGCACAGGAUGGAUUGUUGGGGGACCUAAGUAGAUAUUGUUACUUGGGAGGGCUUAUAGGCCAUUUCCUCUUUCUCUCUCACACCCUCUAGAAAGAGAAGAAGAAGGAGAAGGAGGAGAGGAGGAGCUUGCUUGAGGGAGCUUGGAGCAUCAACCCUUUCUCUCUUUCUUCAUCAUUGGAGGCUUGGAGCUUAGGCUAGGAGCUUGAUAGAGGAUCAAUCUUCAACCCUUGAGCAUUUUGAGCUUGGUUUGGAGCUACCAAGGAGGUUAGUAUGUUUAAUCUACUCUUUGGAGUAUGUUUUGGUAGGUUUUAUCAAAUGAAAUCCUAGAUUUUGGGAUUUAGGGUUUAUUUUGGGAAUUUUUGAUUUGGGGGCUUUGGGACCUAAUUGAUGGGUUUAGAACCCUUGUUUAGGUUGGUUUGAAAGGACUCUAACUCCCAUUUGGAGAUCAAGAGAGCUUCCUUCGCAUUCGGUGAGUUUUUCUCCACCUUAGCUUGAGAUGGUUAAUGAUCAACCUUAUGGUUGUUCAUAAGGUUCGUUUAACUCUUGUUCGUACAUCUUUAGGGUGUUAGGAGACUAGUGGACAUUUUUGUCAGAGCAAACGAAGGAGCGCAAGAGUUGUGGUGGAUUUAGCCUCACCAAAAUGGGAUAAAUCAUUCCUAUAAUGGUUUUUACUUAUCGUAAAAUGAAAAUGCAUGCAUAUUCAUGUUAGAUAGAAUUAUUGAGAAUUUUAGAAUGCUUAAAAUACAUAUGUUAUGUAUAAUGCAUUUUUGGACCUCUAUGUAGUAGAGGAUUUCAUGCUGGGCUCGGCCCUAUGGAUAGCAUUCUUAUUGUAACUUUGGAUCAUGUUGCAUAUAGUGAAUUUGACAAGCUUCAUACACUCUUGGACUUAGAAUUCAUGGUUGGCAUAGAUAGUAAGUUAAUGUUAUAAAGAGACAUUAGGCUUGGAAUUGGUAUAGUAAGCUAAUGUCAUAAAGAGGCAUUAGGCUUGGAAUAUGUAUGGACUUAGUAAAUCUAAGGUCACAAAAGGGUAUUGGAAUUAUUGAACGGUUAAACCUUCACUUGGGACAUUGGACUAGACCUAUGAGUUGCUAGCGAUUAUUUUCAUGGUAGAGCCAUGAUGAUCCGAUCGUUAAGACGAUGACUUUGCUUUCUUGCCAUUUGUGCUCAUUCGCACAUGCUUGUGAGGGUCGCUCCCUACAAGCCGGCACUCCGGAGUUGGCCUUUUUCGACACGGUUCGCGCGUGCGGGAUUGAGACGCCUGUAGGGUCGCGUGGGACAGUCUCAUUCCAGCGCGGGAUGAUGAGCUACCACGGGCAGCUAGGCAGCGAGACGCCUGUAGGGCCGUGUGGGAUAGACUCAUUCCUAGUAUGGAAUGAUGGGCUACCACAGGCAGCUAGGCGGCACAAGCUGGACUACCUUGUGUAGGUCCUUAAUUGGGACAUGGAAAUCGACACGGAGUCGUAUAUGAUAUAAUCACUACUUGAUAGUAUAUCGUAGUUGGAUUCUGUGGACAUUGGGACAUUUAGUAUACUUGGUCGCUAUGAUAGUGCAUACUAGAUAUGUAUUAGACACUUGGACAUUUAGUAUACUUGAUAGUAUUGCUUAUUGCAUUUCUUAUAGCAUACUUCGAUGCCGUGAUACAGCAUACUAGACAUGUUUUGGCAUAUUGGAUCAUAAUAGAAUAGAUGUGCUCCAUGUUCAUAUCAUGUAUACUUGUGGCAUAGUAGUAUAGCAUCUCAUUAUAUGCUUUUAUUUCUGCAGUUAUUAUUUCAUUAUCUUUAUCUGCUCAUGAUUUGGGCCUAGUGGUGCAUUUGGCUAAGGUCAGUAAUUGCCCACUGAAAACUAUAAAUUAUAGUUCUCACGCCUCCUGUUUUAUGUUCUAUUUCAGAACCUUCCACUUCGGGAGGGGCUCGGGAUUGCGGGAAAGGUUACGCCUCGAGCUAGCUAUCGAGAGAUUUGGCGAUAGGUGGUCCACCUCUCUUUUAUUUUUCAUUUGGAGAGGUUGUGAGAGUUUUGUACCUUGUUAUGGAGACCACCAUACUUUUGUAUCUUGAGAUUUAUGAUGUAUUAGUUUAUGUUAUACUUUAGUGUUCAGUUUUCUUUUUCCUACUUGUUGUUAGUCUUUAGCUGCUAGUUGCUCUGAUAUUUAUAGUUGUUCUACUUUCCUGGCUUUUAUAUUUCUAUUGUUGUAGACGCCUUAUAUGUGUAGGCGUAUGGCGAGUCUGGGCACGCACCGGGAGGGCCUAUGCCGGGUCCCGGGGCGUGACACUAUGCUAUCACAUGUAUGUCUAUACUAAGUAUGGAAUAUAGUCAAAAUGCAUAUCGAGAUCGAGAGAUCUAAGACCGCCAACUAGCUUCGGCCUUACGCUGUGUCCCGACUAAUUCCACUCGCGUCACCUGUGGAGAAAAGGUGGUGAAAAACCAACAAAGGGUCUCCGAAAGGGUAACGCAAGCCGUCGAGGCAAGUAUACUCAACAAUAACUAGGUAUAUGUACACAAAGGCCUACGGUAAUUGUCAUGCCUCGGGACCGCCGAUUUGGUCGGUUCGGGCACGUCAACAGACGCCGGACGGACAGCACCUUCCCUGCCCGCCCAAGGCUCAACACAAGUAUUAGUAUAGAGUGCAAGAAUUUACCCAGGAAUUUAAAUUCUAAAUGUACACAAUCGCAAUGGCACAAACAGUGCCAACAACAAGAGCAAGUAAUCCACUAAUAAUAUGAGUGAAAAGAAGAGAGAACUUUAUUAACUAUUACAUUAGUUUGCAUUCUUUUAUAUUUACAUCCCUUUCCAAAAUGAAUACUUGAUCAUUUAAAAUACAUAGCUCUCCAAACCUCAUCUAUAUGAAUCUCUCUCAAAUACAUAGGUGUGCUAAUGCAAAAGGAAAGCUACUACUCUACCAAAAAUCCUCACUGGUCGGGCGCGAUGCUCUUACUCUACCAAAAAUCCUCACUGGUUGGGCGCGAUGCUCUUGCCGCGGUCCUCGCCCGGCAAACCUGUACCUAGCCCUGGAAAUAGAGUGGGGUGANAUGAACUAUACUCGGGUAGUCACUAGCUAGGGGGCGAUACCCUUGCCAUGGUCCUCGACCGCCUCGCUCGGAUCUGGAUCUGAAAAAAAUAGUAGGGUGAGAACUAUAAGAAAGUUUCCAGUGGAUUUGGCCGCCAACCCCGCCGACUUUCUCACUAAGUCUAAAUCAGGCAUAAAUAGAAGAAACAUGUAGAUAGAUAACCAUUCUAAAUAGAUGCAGCCACUAUGCCUGAAUAAGAAUGCUAACAAUACAUGAUGCUCAUGAUGCAUGCCAAUUUCCAUUCACAAUACCCAAUCCUCUCGGCUAACCCGUAGGUUUCGCCCAAAAACUCACCAACUCAAAUCCCUGCUAUCGGGGAGAAACUUCUACAACCCGACAGGAUCGUCCUCUGGGGAAACUACAAUCUAGUGAUGACUACUCUGGAGCUCAUCGCUCGAGAGAGUGCGACCGCCCUCAAGCUAAGACUUACAAGUGAGUAUGAUCCAAUCCACAACUCUGAGGAUGCAAUGUUCAAUCCAAUCUUUAACUAUAAGGAUGCUAUAAUCACAAUGCCACAACGCACUAUGUGUUCUAUUCUCUAGCAUUCAUUAUGCUCACUAAUGCUACAAGGUGCUAUUUCACUUACUUGUUACAAUGUCACCAUAUUCUUUACCUCAACUAGGUUCAUAUCUCAAUUCAUACAUAUAUAGGAUUCACAAAUGCUCAAUAACUCAUAUGCAUCUUUAUACUAAAAGCAUGCAAGGGACAUACGUAUAUGAACAUAUUCUCAUUUUAACCCUAUAAUGCAUGAAUCCUAUAUAUACAUAUAUGCUCAAUGGGUGACAUUUAGAUAUAAAAGGAGAUUUGAUGAUUUCGGAUAGCACCACCCACCUCGUAGGGUUGCUAAGGUGCUAAAAUCCAAGUUCCAGAAUUUUUACUCGCCACAAUCCCCCGACCCUCGGCAAACGAAGCCAAAACGGGGUAUUUCCUCGAUUUCUUGACGUAGACUCGAUAGAAUCUCGAUCCGAAUUCCCCGACGCGUCAGCUUACUCGUCAAUUAGGGCUACAAGAGAUCAAAGCCUAGUUAGAUCUCAUAAUUAGCAAAACCCCAAUUUGACCUCUAGGGUUUCCAAUAAUCCACAUAAACCUCAUAAUACAUGGAUGAACAUGAGCUAAUCUACUGUAAUAGCCCAUAGACACAACAACUAGAAGGGAUUAACUCAAAACCCUAGCUUAACCAUGAGAACUCACCUUGAGUUCAAGCUUUCUCCAUAACCUCUUGCAUAAGUGCUAACUCUACCCUCCAAGAAGUCUUCUUCUCUACCAAGCCCCCUCUUGGGCAAACACUAGUGAGAAAAGGAGAGGAAGAGAGAGAGAAGUGAGAGAAGCUCUAGAGAGAGAAAGAGAGUACUUUUCUCUUUGUUUCACAAGUGAGGGAAAUGAGUUUAGGGCAUCAAACUCAUAUAAAAUACCUCCCCAACAACAUUUGCACUUAGGCCCCUCACCAAAAUACUGUACCGAACAAACCCACGACUUUGUGGGUACGGGGUCCGGACCCUACAAGGAGGGUCCGGGCCCUAAGAGCAUUUCCAGCACGAAUUGAGCUGAAAAUUUCUCAGCUUACUCUCCAAGGUCCAUACACCCUGUUUAUACACUCCGAAACACACGGAAUGAAUAACAGAACAUUCUAACUAGUCCCACUCUGCACUUCGGCCAAUUUGACUGAAGUUCAGUACAACCUGCAGAAGUUUCGAUAUAUUACAGUAGUAAUAUAAGUGUGAAGAGAGAUGAACUAUAAGUAAGCAUGCAACAACCGCUACUGUAGCUAUAGGCAUCAACCGGACAAAAAGUCCAAAUGUACUCAAUCUGUACCGUCGUGUCGGUUUAAGGACCUUAGGCAAGCCACAACCACUGUCUAGCAUAUAACCCUAACAUGGCCGCUGGGGUCACAGAUUGGCAACCAACCAUUUUUUCGAAAAAGAACACUAUCCUGUGGCGGAUCAGCCUACUUGCGUUCGUGAAAUGCUCGCGAGCUAUGACGAUCAAUGCGAAUAUGAUCAAUAGCCAACCGUUUGCGAAUAGCCGACAAUCACCGUCUCUCUGGGCACACCGACCAAUAGGUUAUCGAAGCUGUAUGGGAACACAAGUACCGACCACUCAGGUCAACUAGGAUAGACAAGUUCAAUAUCCUCUCAAGUAUGCAAGUACUGACCACUCAGGUCAACUGGAAACUGUGAGAUCAAUGACACUAUAAGUACACAUGCGCUGACAACUUAGGUCAACUGGAAUAUAAAUGCAAAUGUCUCUACCGCUCUACUUCUAUGUCAUGGCAAACGGGAGAGUAUACUAAAUAGAGUAAGGGUCGAAGUCAUGUGAUAAAGAGUUCAAAUACUGAACUGACUUCGGAUUGAAACACCCACCUGUGUCGCAGUUGUACCUAGCUCCUGUGGUGUACAAAAUUGUCGACCGGACCUACGACAAGUCCUCCGAGUUAAAAACCAAACCUACUGACUCAAAAGACAUCGUUCACAAAUCCAAAAUCACACGCGGGAUCUAUUUUCCAAAACCAAUUUUCGAACUCGCCGGGAAUCCCGAAAACGCACCGGGAUGCUUGUAGGACCCACGAAACGUCUUGAAACAAACCGAAUCAUGCCGCGAGUCGCCCACUGCCCUGAAACACAUCUAUUUUGAGUGUCUUGGCAGCAAACACAAGAACCAAGUUAAUGCGGUCGUCGUCGGUAGAUCAUUUUGUUCUGGGCUUUAGAAAAUGUCCACUUUGGCACCGAAAGCCUCCACUGCUCACCUGUCACCUCCGAACACAUGAGAUGACCCCCAACAGCAAGCCAACAAAACUGCAUUCUACCGGUGAUUUCGUUGGAAAACGCACUAAAACCCCUCCAUCGCUUAUCCACCGCCUCCGGUCUUCAAAUGUGGCGGUAGCAACCAGCCAACAAGGCUUGGCCGAGUCUCUAGGGCAUUUGAUUUGCUAAUGUGUGAAAAAUGCAACAUAAACCACGUCCGAUCGGCGAAUUUCUGCCGAACAAAGUCGGGAAACCCCAUUUUCACUCCGCAACGGCUCUCGGACCUUUGGCAAUCAGUUAAGACGUCGCUAAUAGUAAUUACACAUUCUCCGAGGCUAUGCAUGGGGUCCCUAUGCAUACAACUUGCAAACAACCCAAUAUAGCAUUAAUUACUAUACAAAUAAUAUAUAAACUAGAGUUUUGAGCUCGUUACCCCGAUCCGUGUCGCAAUGGAUCCAACCAACCAGUCGAUUUGAUUUGUCUCGACGUAAUGAUGCUCGUGCUCGCUAUCUCAAGCGUAAUCAACGGUCGGAAGGCUUUGAAAUAGUGAAAAAAACCCCUCUAAUUGUUUGCUCCCGAAAGUGGCCAGUCCCACAUUCACAUCGAAGCUUCGUUGAUCGCAGCACAGGUCAGCAUAAGACUCCACAUGACUCUAGGAGUGCGGUGAUCACGUCUACGGCGUUUGCCGAAGCCUUCGAUGGCUGAAAAAUGAAGAUCGCCCAAAUCAGCCCCUCGAAAUCCACCUUGGUAGCAUCCAAUAGGGUAGGGCUCGGAUCUGGCAGUCGACGGCAUGGUAGGCAGAGCUCCGACAAAGGGAGGGUCAUCGCGGGGUAGUGGCUGGCAGCCUUGGCCGGUGGUGGAAGGCGGCGGCAGUGCAGCAGCAGCGAUGGGGGCCAACAAAGGGCUGUGGCUAGGGCAUCACGGAUCUCUGCAGUGGUAGGUUGGGACAGCGAGAGGCAGCGCCGGUGGACGCCCUGGGACCUCCGACGUUGCCUUGUGGUGGGGCGGCGUGGCGGCGGCGGCUGCCUGGUAGCUCCCACGGCUGCACAUGCUCUGCAGAGCUCCACUCUGUUGCGGCGGUUCCCUGGUGCGUGGCGGCACCGGGGGCAACUCGGGGAGUGUCGCUGGAGUCCGGGAUGAUGGUGGUGGUGGUCCUGGUGGCCGGCAACACGAUUACAAGGGUGCUUGGGCUCUCCCUCUCACACUACUCAAAGUUGGAGAGAGAGAGAAAGAGGAAGAAGAAAGGUUCUUUUUCGUCUUCUUUGGCGGUCGGCGACAACAACGGCCGUGGUGGCUGACCUCUUAAGUUAACAAGGAGGAGAGGAUUGUUGGGUUCUAGGGUUUUUGGGUUCCAAAAUCCCCAAAUCCCCAUUUUAAACCCAAAUACUACUAUUCAUAGAGGUAAUAGCUCCGAAGUCCCCCAACUCUCGAAAUUCACAUUCCAGUCCCUCUCUAUUAAGUUUCUCUCACCAGAAGGUCCCUGCCAACGAGUUUUCACGCAAAACAGAGCACCGAUCUCUUCUAAAAAGCAAGAAGAACUCGGAAUAAAUGCCCUCCCAGCGACAAAAGCUAUUUUUCUCGAAACUGUCUGUCAAAUAUAAAAUCUGUCAGUGUCAUUGGUUUCGGCACAGUUGGACCAUUGAAAAUAAGCUAUUGGAUCGCCGAGAACGGAUCCCGAUUCGCGUCCGAAGCCCACCUCUUUCCUUGGCCAUCACUGGAAACACGGAUAUUCACUUUAAGUUAAAAGUAAUAAUCACGUAAAAAUUUUAUUUUAAAUUAUUUUUUGCUAAAAUUUGAUGGGUAAUUUUAAAAUUAAAAUACACAUGAUAAUACUUAAAAGGGUUAAUUUCAUACAGGUCCCUGCAAACACAGUGAAUUGCAGAUAUAUUCCUGCAAAGUUCAACUUUCAGAUCUUAUCCCGCAAAAGUCCUAAUGUUUUUAAAUAUGUCCCUCUGGUUAGGAUCCGUUAGAGAAUUGUUAAUUUUUUAAUAGUAGAGUUGUGAAAUGAUAAUUUUGCCCCCGCCCUCUUUCUCUUCCUCUUUAGGCUGCGGUAGCGGAUGGCGGUGGCGGCGGCGGCGACGGUGACCUUGGGGAGCUUGUCGGAGUUGCGGCCAACGAGGACGAGGAAAAGGCGAAAGGUGAAGGGGCGGCCGAUGCCGUUGGAGGCGCCCUUGACGACGGUCCACGCGGGCACCACGUCGGCAACGACGAUCGGAUCAUUAACGACGACCAUGAAGAAGAAUGAGGAGGAGGAGAAAAAGAGGGGGAAAAUGAGGAUACGAAGAAAAAGAGGAAGAAGAAGAAGAAGGAGAGGAAGAAGAAGAGGGAAAGGAAGAGGAAGAGGAAGAGGAAGAAGAAGAAGAAGGGAAAAAUUGUCAAUUCACAUUAUUAAUUAAUCAUGAUUAAGUAUUUUAAUUGUGGUUAACUAGAUUUCUCUAACAGAUCCUAAUGGCAGGGACAUAUCUAAAUACAUUAGGGCUUUCGCAGGGAUAACUUACGAAAGUUGAACUUUGUAGGAAUAUAUUUGCUAUUCACCAUGUUUGCAGGGACCUGUAUGAAAUUAACUCUAUUUCAAAAGAUGUCAAACAUACAUAGAAAAAAAAUCUCAAUUUUCACAUCAUCCCCCUUCCCCUCCUCCCCCCUUAAAAGAAGUUUCGUACUCGAAAUUUGCUUACACCUCUCCUAUAAUAAAUCUCGAUACCGAUCUAACAUCACCGACUCUAACCCCCGAGUCACAUCACACUCCUUUUGAUCCAACCCGCAAUACCGACACAUAAGGAACCGUCCGAUUCCAAAGUUGCCUUUCAUCGCGUGCCAACACUAGCACUGGAGCCUCCUUGAAGCUCAGAUCCUUGCGAGUCUUAAAAGUCGUAGGGUUGAUCACGUGGGAGGAGCCACGAAUGUACUUGUGAGGCAUAGAGACAACGAAAAUAUAGUGCACUCGGGUGAAACUUGAAAGUAGAGCGAUCUGUACGCCAUCGGACCAACAUGCUCUAGGAUUACGAACGGUCCAACAAACCGUGGACUAAGCUCGUUCUGCAAACCAAACCGUUUGAUUCCCUUGGACGACGAUACCUUGAGUAGCACAUGCUCAUCGACCCAAAAAUUUAGGUCACGCCGUCAUUGGUGCGCAUAGUUCCUCUAUCGGUCAACCACCGCUAUUUAGUGAUACGAAAUCUCGCCUCUGCGUCCUCCAACAAGUCUGGCCUACGGUUGUAAUGCAAGUGUGAAGAGAGAUGAACUGUAAGUAAGCAUGCAAGAACCGCUACUGUAGCUAUAGGCGUGAACAUGACGAAAAGUCCAAAUGUACCUAAUCUAUACUGUUGUGUCAGUUUAAGAAGCCCAGGCAAGUGUCAGUUUAAGGACCUCAGGUAAGCUACAACCGCUCUGUCUGGCAUAUAACCCUAGCAAUGGCCGCUGGGCUUACUGGUUGGCAACCAACCACUUCUAAGUUUUGAGGAGCCCUAGGAUCUAUCUAGAUUGUAUCAAACACCUAGAGGGGGGGUGAAUAGGUGUAACGGCCAAAACCACAAAUCUCAAUGCGAUAAAAAUAAAUGCGGAAAAUAAAAAUCACACUGAGAUUUACGUGAAAAAACUCCAACUUGGAGUAAAAAACUCACGGGACCAACACGCGAAAAAUAAUUCACUAAGAGAAAAGAUUACAAGGUGAUUACCGACUCCACGGACUCGACCUCUCUUAACCUCCUAUGAAUCUCGUGCAAUCCUCCGGGUUGUCCACGCCCUCACGUUCGAAUCCACGAACGCCUCGCACAUGUCCGAAUCCACCAACGCCACUCGAAUCCACGAGCCUACGAUCCAAAUCCUCGAACCGCCUUGAUCAUGCCGAAUCCACGAUGCCGUCCAUGAAAAACAUCAUGCUAUGGUGAUCCUUCGCUUAGAGUAUCGAUAAAACCAGAGAAGAAAACUCCAAGCGAAAACUAGAUCAAAUCGACAUAUAGAUAUCAAAUUAUAAUAUCUCGAUUUGACCUAGAAGAGGCUUCUUUGUAGAAAAUAAGUUUUGGAUGAAAAACUAGCCUCUAGGGUUUCUCAAACAUGAAUUCUCGUAAUGCUUCAUGAGUUAGAGAACCCUAAUAACUUAUUUAUAGACUUUAGAAUCAAUUAGAGUUGGAUUAGAAAGUUUUUAAAUUUUUACACUGUAUACCGGUACAAAAAUAAGUUGUUACCGGUUACACGAGGACGGAACAAAAAACUAAUAAAGCCUCUAAACCGGUUACAAGGUCAAUGUUGUACCGGAACAAUUUUGUACCGGUACACUUUCAAUGUUGUACCGGUACAAAGUGCAUUUUCCAGAUUUUGCACUGUUUCGGGUUUCACAAAGUUCCAAAGCACUUUCUAAUCCACUAAACUUUGAUUUUGAUGAUUCUAAUGCCUAUAACUAACUAUGAAUCACCAUAACAUGAAAUAAAACUUACCUGAGCAUCAUGAUUCACAUCGUGAGUUAUUUCUAUAUUCUUCGAAGUCUUGAAUUCUUCGGCCUUCGUCAAUAUGCAUCGAUCCUUCAAGACUCUGACUCAAUUCACGAAACUUGCCAACACACAAGACUUAACACCACUUUUUCAAAAAAAAAAAAAAACCAUCCUGCGGGGGAUCAGCCCGCUGGUGUUUGUGAAAUACUCUCAAGCUAUGGCGAUCAAUGCGAAUCUGAUCAAUAGUCAACCAUCGGUGAAGUCAACCAUCAAUAGUCAAUCACCGCCCCUCGGGGUACACCAACCAAUAGGUCAUCGAAGCUGUACGGGAACACAAGUACGAACCACUCAGGUCAACUAUGUUGGACAAGCUCAACAUCGUCUCAAGUAUGCAAGUACCGACCACUCAGAUCAACUGAAAAGUGUGAGAUCAAUGACACUAUAAGUACAUGGGCACCGACCACUCAGGUCAGCUAGAAUAUAAAUGAAAGUGUCACUACCGCUUUACUUUUAUGUCAUGAAAAAUAAGAGAGUAUACAAAGUAGAGUAAGGGUUGAAGUCAUGUGGUGAAGAGCUCAAAUACUGAAAAUGUAUAUAUAUAAGCAGUAAAAGGUACGGAUGAAAGGAACAUCUCUGUGAGUGCACCAUUGAACUGACUUCGGAUUGGAACAACCACUUGUGUUGCAGUUGUAGGUAGCUUCUGCAGGGUACAAAACCGUCGACCGGACCUACGAUAGGUCCAUCAAGUCAGAAACCAAACUUACUGACUCAAAAGACAUCGUUCACAAACCCAAAAUCACUUGUGGGAUCAUUUCCCAAAAUCGAUUCUCGAACUCGCCGGUGUUAGAUGUAUGCCCUAGAAGCCAACCAGGCCGACACACGUAUUCUUUCUAGGACAUAAAUUUAUAUUUGACUUUAAACUAUUAUGAAUAAAUUUGGAUUCUUAUUUUCAUUCAUAUUGUGUAUGUGUCCAUGAAUCGUCUAAGGAAUUAAUAAGAUGAUGACAUAUAUUCUCAAGAGUUGAGAAUUUGAGACAUGUGUCAUUGGUGGUUAAUUCGUAAAUGUUCCCGAUCAAUGGAUCAUCAUGAGGAUGGUGAUUGAUCCGGUGAGAUUGGUGCAUAGGUCGCUUUCCUUUUUGGGUAGGCGGGUCUCAAAUCGACAAUGUGGGGACACUAAAGCGAAUAUGUAUGUGGUUGUUAUAGAACAAGGGUACCGAGCGUGACCAACGCAAGAAGUCACUUGGAUAUCUACUCAUUCAUCAGUAACUUACUCAAUGUUGCAGUAGUGUGACUGGUUCUUUGAUCUGCGGUGCCUCGGCUAUUCACAAUUAGGUUACUGUAGUUUGACUGUACAUACACUUGGUCCCUAGCCAUUCGGAUCCUUGCGAUGCAUGUUGGUUGCAGUAGGUUCAUUGUAGGAAUAGGAUGCGCACUUAGAUGGAAUCUAUCUACCUUGGUAGAUAGGGGUGUUAGUCUUAUGUGAUUUAUGAGACCGAGUUUAGAAGACCUUGGCCAGGGCAGAGUUAAUAGCGGAAAAGGGUUUCCGAUAUUAGAAACUCGAGUUAAAUAAAUUUAACAUAUGACAAACGAUGGGGUUUGACGAGUUAUUCAAUAACCUCCGUCUAGUCGGGACUCAUGAUAGAAGGAUUGUAUCACACGGCAACUGCACCAAGAGGUUCAGUAUUCUAUUCUACUGGAAUGCCACUACAUGUUGCUAGGCGUCACUGGUGGAUUGUGAGACUCGUGAGAAUUAUCUAGAUGAUCGAUAGUUCUCAUUGGGCUGAGUUGGAAUUGUUCCAAUCCACUGAAAGGAGUUUCAAUGAUAUUGUUGAUAGUGAUCAAAAUAUAUCUUAAUACGAGAUAGAAUAGAACCUAUGGGGUCAUAUACAUAAAAGGUUGUGAUUGAUCAGAAAGCUAGAUCGCGAUUAUUGAAUCGCUGGAGGACCUAAUUGUCAAUAUGUUGAUAAUUGGACUAAUUCGUAAUUAUUACAAAUUAGUGCUAUUAAAGUGUAAACGUUAUAAGAGAGGCCUUACUAAUAGUUAGUAAAUUAUAAGAGGACUUAUAUGCAAAUGUUGUAUUAUUAAAUUGAUAUGAUCAAAUUAAUAUAAAGUUCAAGUCGAAUCAGAUUAAGAUUUGAUCGAUCAAACCAAUUAAGAAAAUGAUAAAUUUAAAUCUAGAUUUGUACUUAUCCUUAAUGGUUAUUAUAUUAUUAAAAAGAGGAUUAUAUUCCUCUAUAUAAUAUACGGGAGUUUUUAGAAAACCCUAGCCGUCAUCUCUCUUCUCCUCUCUCUUUCAUCUUCUAGCAAAAAGACGUCCUUUGCAAGGGAGCUAGCACCCCGAUGAGGACAUCAAUCAAAUCAUCAACCUCGUGUGGACACCUAUAGAGGCCGGACGUGUGUGUGGCUUCAAGAGAACUCAAUUCUACGAUCAUCAAAUUGAGGUGAAUAUCUAUCCGCGCAAAAUGUAAAUAUUCGAUCUUGCUUUUCUCCUUUAAUCUUAAAGAACACGAGAGAUCCUAAUUGCAUGAUUUUUGAGAUUGGAUCUUGAGAGUUUUCAAAAUCAAAUUUGUUUGAUUUCUUUUUCCGCUGCGUUUUUACCAUAUGCAAUUUUCUAAUAGCCAGGAUUUGCAAAAACGCACCUAGAUGCCCGUNAGUUUCAGUGAUAUUGUUGAUAGUGAUCAAAAUAAAUCUCACUACCAGAUAGAAUAGAACCUAUGGGGUCACACACAUAAGAUGUUGUAAUUGAUCGGAUAGCUAGAUCGUGAUUAUUGAAUUGCUGGAAGACCUAAUUGUCAAUAUGUUGAUAAUUGGACUAAUUUGUAAUUGUUACAAAUUAGUGGUAUUAAGGUGUAAAUGUUACAAGAGAUGACUUACUAAUAGUUAGUAAAUUAUAAAAGGACUUAUGUGCAAAUGUUGUAUUAUUAAUUUGAUAUGAUCAAAUUAAGAUAAAGUUCAAGUCGAAUCAAAUUAGGAUUUGAUCGAUCUAACCAAUUAAGGAAAGGAUAAAUUUAAAUCUAGAUUUGUACUUAUCCUUAAUUGUCAUUAUAUUAUUAAAAAGAGGAUUAUAUUCCUCUAUAUAAUAUACGGGAGUUUUUAGAAAACCCUAGCCGUCAUCUCUCUUCUCCUCUCUCUUUCAUCUUCUAGCAAAAAGACGUCCUUUGCAAGGGAGCUAGCACCCCGAUGAGGACAUCAAUCAAAUCAUCAACCUCGUGUGGACACCUAUAGAGGCCGGACGUGUGUGUGGCUUCAAGAGAACUCAAUUCUACGAUCAUCAAAUUGAGGUGAAUAUCUAUCCGCGCAAAAUGUAAAUAUUCGAUCUUGCUUUUCUCCUUUAAUCUUAAAGAACACGAGAGAUCCUAAUUGCAUGAUUUUUGAGAUUGGAUCUUGAGAGUUUUCAAAAUCAAAUUUGUUUGAUUUCUUUUUCCGCUGCGUUUUUACCAUAUGCAAUUUUCUAAUAGCCAGGAUUUGCAAAAACGCACCUAGAUGCCCGUAGGACUCACGAGACAUCACAAAACACAUCGAGUCAUGCUGUGAGUCAUCUGCUGCCCUGAAACACAUCCAUUUGUGUGUCCGGGCAGCAAACACAAGCACCAAGUCAACUCGGUCAUCGCCGGUCGAUCGUUUCGCUCCGAGUUUCCGAAAGUGUCCACUUGGGCACCGGAAGCCUUCGCCGCUCACCUGUCACCUCCGAACACAUGAGGUGACUCUCGGCGGCAAGCCAACGAGGCUAGGUGAUGAUUUCUGGGGUGACCACGCAGCCGAAAACUCAUCGCAACGCGAAACUAUGUUCUAUUGGUGAUUUUACUAGACAACGCACUAAAACCCCUCCGCCACAUAUCCACCACCUCCGAUCAUUGAAGGUGGUGGUAGCGACUUGCCAACAAGGUUUGGCGGGGUCUCUAGGGUAUUCGAAUUGCUAACGUGCAAAAACUACAACUUAAAUCACGUCCGAUCAGCGAAUUUCUACCGAACGACGUCGUUGGACCUCGUUUUCACUCUGUAAUGGCUCCCAGAACUUUGACGAUUAGUCGAGAGGUCGCUAACUGUAAGGAAGUGAAUUCUCAAAAUCCGAGAGUUGUACUUCGUCCAGAAUCGACUAAUAGUCAAGUGAGAAUCCUUAUGGAAAGUUAAAGUUGUCCAAAACACAAAAAGUGCAUUGGAAACGUGUCCGCGAGAGUAAACAGUGCGAAAACCUGCACUUGGCAGAUUUACUCUUUGGGACCGGUCCCUGAUAGGGAGAGACCGGUCUCAUCGGCUGGUGGUUGCAGGGUUGCUGAUGCAACCGGUCCCUGGCAGGGAGGGACCGGUUCCCGAACGCGACACCAGCGAGAAAAGCCAAAAUUUGGCUAAGUCCCGAAAAUCCAGCUCUCGGGAACUGGUCUCUCAGGUAGGAACCGGUCUCCCGAGGACCGGUCUCCCGGGGAGAGACCGGUUCCCGAACGCGAAGAGGCCCUCUGGCCGUGAGGACUACUCUCGGGGACCGGUCUCCCCGACGAGGGACCGGUCCCUCUGGGCGAAAACUGCCUAGUGAGGACUGUGUACAGGAUAAAAAGUUGAGGGGAUAAAAUGGAUUUUGUUACAUUAGAGAGGCAUAUGGGCCCUCUCUCUCCCUCAGCCUCUCAUUUCCCCCUCUCUCUCUCAUUCUCUUGCUCUCUCUCUCUAGAAAAGAAAGAAUAAAGGAGAGAAAGAAGAAGAAAAGAGGAAGAAGAAGAAGGAAAGAAAGGAGAAGAAAAAGAAGGAGAUCAAAGGGAAGGCUUUGGACAUCUCCAUCUCCCUCUCUUCUUCCCUUGGAGCUAACCUAGAGGUAAGCUCUUGAACCCUAACAUGUAGAAUCUAGGGUUUUUGGGUUUUGAGCUUUUGAAAUGGGGUCAAAUUGACCUCUUGCACCAUUGUUGGUGGAUUAGAGCUAGAGGCUAGGGUUCUAAAUUGCAAAUGGCAAGAUGUGAACGCUUGGGCACCCAAAAUGAGAGUUUUGGUAAAGUAUGAGAUUGAUCUCAUUCGAGGCCUUGUAAACCUAAUUGCUAUGUGUUUAAACGCGGGGGCCAAGUUGGAAUUUCGAUUCGUCGAGCGGGAGAAAAGCUAUCGGCAAAAUAAGGCCGAUUGAGCAUUGUUUUGGACCAAGGAAGCAGAGACCUCGUCGUAACGUUCGGCGAGAGGCAUUUCUAGAACCUCUACAACGAGAAAAGGUGGGGGGUGUCAUCCCGAAGCAACCGGACUCUUUUCUAUGUCUUAGAAUAACAUAUAAUUUCAUCUCUUGCAUGUUGCAUUGUAGAAUUGCAUGUUUAACCUUCUCCUUAUACUUUCUAAAUGGUAACCUAGUGUGCAUGGAAUGCUAGGUGAAUAGGAUAGGUGAGGAUUGGGUCGGGACAGUUGAUCCUAUAGUGCUAAAGAAAAGAGGUGAACGUGAUGGUUAUCUAGUGACAAAGAGUGGCAUCUAAAUAUCUAAAGAACAAACGAGUAGCAUUAAUGUAGUGUACUUGACACUAGAGGUUUGAGAACCUAGGGAUAGGUGAAUCCCUUAGAAAAUGCCUUAUGGACAAUAAACUUAGUAAAGCUAAGUAUCCUCACAUGGAUGAGGAUGUAGAUAAGUUCGUUUUAGAUGUUGGCCCUAGUUCAUAGGGUAUCCUCAUUUGGAGAGGAUAGAUCUAGCUCACGGUCUGUUAUUUGGGGUGGUAUAGCCAUCCAUAUACUCACAUGGAGAGGAUUGUUGUCAAGUACUCCGGAGUGUCGGGCGAUAGGGACCACAUGGAGGUCCACAGAUAGUCCCGGGUUUGGGGGCACAUGGAUCUUCCCUACCCAAAUGGGAUGGAAAAGUGAGUUGAGGGCGAACCCAAGGGUCUCGCCAUAGAUUGGGUAAAUGGAAAACAAGUAUUGUCAUUAAACAUUAUUAUUCGAACAUGGAUCGAACUUGUUAGCAUGGUAGUAAACCUUUACUAUAUGAUGCAUGCAUUUAUUACACAUGUUAUGGGCAUAGUAGCAUAUAUUUUCUAUUAUGUCAUUUACAGCUUUGAGAUAUCUAUCUAUCUAUCUACUUGUUGUUACUUGUGCCCACUUCCACCUAGUGGGGAGACCGGCGGAGUCGGCGGCCGAGUCCACUGGAAACUAUGGAAGAUAGUUCUCACCCCACUCCAUUUCCAGUGGUAGGUACAGGUUUACCAAGCGAGGACCGCGGCAAGGGCAUCGUGCCCGACCAGUGAGACCGUGGUAGUAUAGUAGCUUUCCUUUUUGCAUUAGCACACCUAUGUAUUGAGAGAGAUUCAUGUAGGUGAGGUUCGAGAGCUAUGUAUUUUGAUGAACAAAUGUAUUCAUUUUGGGAAAAAGAUGUGCAUGUAAAAAGAUGCAAAACUAUUGUAUUAAUUAGUAAAGUACUUUCUUUAUUUCACUUAUUUUUACUUGUGGAUUACUUGCUCUUGUUGUUGUUGGCACUGUUUGUGCCCCGUUGAAUGUGUAUGUUUAGAAUUUGAAAUCCCUGGGUAAAUUCUUGUACACAUUCUUGUUGUUGAGCCUUGGGCGGACAGGGGAGGUGUUGUCCGUUCGGUGGUCCGCCUGGGGCGCCCGAAUCGUGCUAAAUUGGUAGUGGUUUCGGGGCGGGGCAUGACACUAACAGUGAUUACAUGCUGUUCGAGGCUGUGCGUGGGAUCCCCAUGCAUACAACUUGCAAACAACACAAUAUAGCAUUAAUUAUUAUACAAAUAAUAGAUAAACAUGAGUUUCGAGCUCGUUAUCUCGAUCUGUGUCACAACUGAUCCAACCAACCAGUCAAUGAUUCGUCUCGACAUGAUGAUGCUCGUGCUCGCUGUCCAGAGCACAAUUGACGACCGGAAGGCUUCGAAAUAUUGGAAAAACCCCUCCAAUUAUUUGCUCCCGAAAGUGGCCAAGUCCCACACACUCACUGGAGCUUCGUUGAUCACAACGACGGUGAGCACGAGACUCCACAUGACUCCAAGAGUGCGGUGCUCAUGUAUCGGGCACUUGCCGAAGCCUCAAGUGAUCGAAAAACGAAGAUCGCCCAAAUCAGCUGCCACGCUCUGCAACCGCCAGUUUGGUCGGUUCGGGUACGCUUAACAGAUGCCGAACAGACAGAAUCUCCCCUGUACGUCCAAAGCUCAACAAACAUCAAUCAUGUAUAUCUAGUUGCCUAGGUAAACAUAGUCAACAGACAUGAAUCAUGCAAGUAUAAUACAAGCAAGAGCAAGAGAGAAAACUAGCUAUUACAUUCACUUUGCAUUUAACCACCAAAAUGCAUACAUUUGGUUUACAACUUUCAUCUCAUGACACAUAUACAUCCACAAGUAACCUCUCCUAAAAUACAUCAAAUCUCUCAUAUACACAUGGUAUUCUAAUGCAAAGGAGGCUACUAACUAGGGCGCUAUGCCCUUACCGCGAUCCUCCGCCAGUCCGCUCGUGCUAGGCCCUGCAACAAAGUGGGAUGAAAACUAACAAAAGUUUCCAGUGGGUUCGACCGCCGACUCCGCCGAUUUUUCUACUAGGUCUAAGCAGACAUAAGUAGAGAUAUAAACAGGGUAAUGAAAUCUGCUAACAUAGUAAUGAAAUCUACCAUCAUGCUAGUAUGCCUCAACAACAUGAUAUGAAUGAAGUAUAUACUAUGCUCAUGAUGCAUGCCAUUCAUAUACUUGUCACCCAAUCAUUUUGGUUAACCCUAAAGUUAAGCCUCAACUCACAACCAAAUCCCAUAGGUGAGGAGACUCUGCGCUACGCUCACCCGAGACCGUCUGCUGGGUAGGUACGUUAACCCAUCGUGUGACAACUCCGGAGCUCACUGCUUGGGUGGAGCAACCACCGCCAAUCUAGGACAGACUAAGUGAGUAUGAUUCAAUCCUCUCAAAUCAAGGAUACGCUACCAACUAGGGAUAACAAUACACUUGGGAAUCCACCUAUCCCAAUAGUCAUGUCAUAAGUGUCACUACUACACUAGUUUCACAUGCCACUCUUUUAUGUCAUUACAUUAUUCAAGUUCAUCACUUGUUCUUGGCAUUAUAGGAUUCCAUAUCAAAACCCAAUCCUCAUGCAUCCACUAGAUCAUGUGUUCAACUCACAAUUCUAUUUUUACCAUGGAAGCAUGCAAGGAAUUGAAAUACAUUUAGCCACAUAUCCUAUAAUGCAUGAUAUCAACAUAUGAACAUAUAUGCUCAACAAUAAUAACUUAGACAUAUAAGGAAAUCCGAUUGCUUCGCAUAGCAUCCCCCAUCUCUUGGUGAUGCCGUGAUGCGAGAAUUCAAGCCUUGCGAUUUAUAGACGACGAUUCGGCUCGACCCAACGCAAACGAACCGAAAAGUGUACUUUUCUUCAACGACUUGCCGCACGUCCGUAGGAACUUCCAUUCGAGUUGCCCACCAUGUCGGUUUUACAUUCAAUUAGGUUUAUAUAGGCUAAAUUUAGAUCAAACCCUAUUAUGAUCAAAAGCCCUCAUAUGAAACCCUGAAAACCGAUUAUUGCAAGAAUAUACACUACACCUUAUGAUUCAUGCAAUAAUCUAGUGUAGCAACACCUAGGGUUCCCAUUCAACUCAUUUAUAAGGGAUUAUAUCAAAACCCUAACUACAUACCACUAAAUCACAUGAAGCUUACCUCCAACACAAGCUUCUCCUCAAGGCAAGGAGGAAGAAGAUGAUGGCUUGACCUCCAAGCAACUCCUCUCCCAGCUAUCUCCACUACUUGGAGCAAACCCUAGGAGAGAGAGAGAGAAGCUUAGAGAGAGAGAGAGAGAGAAGUUUUCUCUUUGGUUGAGAGUUGUGAGGGAAAUGAGAGAAAUGGGUUGAGAACCCAUCCUUAUACACUCUCAUUGCAUAAUUACACCUAGCUCCUCACACAAUUCAAGUUUGGGACAACCCAUCGUUUUCUCGCGUACAGGGUCUGGACCCUACAACCAGGGUUCGGACCCUGAGAGCACUUCCAGCGUGAAAAAUUCUGAAAUUUCUCCAACUUGCUCUCCAUGGUCCUCUACACCCUUAUAAGCCAUUCCCAUCAUUUGGAAUGCUCAACGGACCCUUCCGAAGCAUCCAAUACCACACUUUGGUCAAUUUCGACCGAAGUUUGGUUUUACCACUACAAGAAAAAGAUUCUUUAGUGGCAUAUUUUAUUGUUGCUAAAAGCCCAAAAUAUGCCACUACAAUAUUUAGCAACAUAUAAUGCUUUGUGUUGCCUAUGUUCAUAUUGGUGAUUCUUUUAGCAACAUUUGUUUGAAAUGUUGGUGAUAUGGAUGAAUUAGCAAUAUUACCCAAUUGUUGGUGUAAAAUUAUAUAUAGAGACAUUUGCUAAAUGCCACUAAAUGCUAUAGGUUAAAAAGUCAAUUGUAUUCACCAAAUGCCACUAAAAGAUGGUAUCGUUUAGAAAAUUAUAUACUAAUUGAUGUUAACUAAUCAUCAUAUAUACUAUUUUCUAGUUAUACAAUUUAUAUUUAGAUAAUUUUUAUUAUAAUACUAUAUUUCUUUCUCACAACAAAAGUUCACCAUCCAUAUUAAGAUAACACAUAAUUUUAAAUAAAUUAAGAAGUAAUCAAUCUUCUAAUAAACAAAACAAAAGUAAGAUUUUUUUAAUACAUUCAAUAUCCACAAGGUACCCAAAAUACAAAUUCUUAGAUCCGUAAGCUAUAAUUUACAAAUUAACUACCCUAUUCUAGAUGCAAAAGUGACGAGAAUACAUAACAAAUUUAAAUAUGAUUGUAAAAAAUGAAAAAUUAAGACACUCUGCUCCUCUUUGAUUCCAAGAAUUUUCGAACCAUACAUUGUCAAACUGCUACACCUCCCUUUAGUGCAAAAAUUUUAUUUACGCUAAUCCUGCAAAAAAAGGAAAAAAAAAAGGAAAAAAAUAACAUAUCAUUCACUAUAGUUAAUAAAUAGCAAUAAAAUGCUAAAAAGGAGAAUUUUGCUAUUUUCACCCUUACAAAAACACACCCUACCCAAACGUUCUUCAACACAUAGGAAUCCAAUGGUUCACUAAUUUUUCUACAAUUUUGGAAGUAGUUUGAUGUGCAUAAUUGGCAAAUUAACUAAUAUGUCUCUGCACAAGAGCAAAAAUUUUCAUGGCUAGAUCUUUAAUAGAGAAUGUGAAACUUUUUUAUAUGCAUAACUCUUUAAACACCUCAACUAAUAUGUGCGAGUAUGACAAAUUAGCACAAAAUAUGAGUUCUUGCUGCUAAUUUUUCAUAUCAUUUUCUACUUUAUAAACUACUGUCUAUGAACACUUUUCCAGAUAUUUGAUCAAUAAGUUUUUUGGUAAUUAAAGUUUCUUUACUACUUACACAACUAACAGCCAUGGGAUCUAAAAAAUAAAAAUAUAGCUACUAUUAGGCAUUUCAUCAAACACCUACUAGACAACUUUCACAUACCAACCUUUACAUAGCAUAGCUAUCAUGUAUUGUACAGUGUGGCAUUUUCAUCAGACAUAUUAGGUAAAGUUGUUUUACUUGCAGAGGUUGUCGGCGAUGAGGGGCUUGUCGUCGUCGUUGGUGCCACAUCUAGCAGGAGUGGGUGGCGUUCACCACUUCUAAGCUGCCAUUGCCGAAACUUACCUUCCUGAACUCCGAGAUUAGUGGGGACGACUCCUUGAAGUCCCCCGCAAAAACCCAUGGGUUCGCACCUGAUUGAGUUAGCGAACUCAAAAUAGAGCCACUCGUAUUAGGGGAAGUAGGGGACAGAGUCAAUGUAGGAGCCGAGCUUGCGAACAUAGAUGGAUCUAGCAGCGAGGUCGAAGGAGUAGUGAGACAACAAUACAAGGAGUAGGGAGGGAAUCAAGAAUUUUGGAGGAGAGAUGAUGAAAUAGGGAAAAGAGAGGAGCAGGGUUGUUUCAAAAUUGAAUGGGAAAAUGAAACAUGGGCGGGAAAAGGAUAAAUAUAAGAGUAUUGGGAUAAUUUCAAUAUUAAGUGACAUUAAAUAUAUAUGCCACUAAUAAGAUAUUAUUAGCAACAUUUGUUAAAAAAUGCUGAUAACUAAAGCAACAUAUAAAUAUAUAUGCCACUAAUGCGGCAAUUUUAUCGAUAUAAGUAUUAAAGUGCUGAUAAAUUAUUCUCUUUAGCAACAAUCAACUAAAAAUGUUGCUAAAUAGUAGUUAUAGCAUUAUUUGGUUAAUUGUUGCUAGUUUUAUGUUGCUAAUUUUCAAACUUGUUGUAGUGUACGCGUCGAGAAUUCAUUACCUUACAUUCUCCCUUCCUAAAAGGAGUUUCGUUCUCAAAACUAACUCAACUCUAAUUUAAACUCAUACCUCCACUUAAAUCUUCGAAAAGAUGAGGAUGAUGUUCCUUCAUCGCGUCCUCAAGUUCCCAAGUGGCUUCACGAUCAUCAUGAUUGCUCCGCUGAACUUUGACAUACGGAGUCUCACGGUUCCGCAACUUCCGCACUUCCCAAGCGAUGAUAGAUACCGGAAACUCCUCAUAUGUCAUAUCCUCUUGAAGUUCCGGUGGUUCAUACAAGAGAGUAUGCUCGGGGUCGUGAACAUACUUGCGGAGAUUAGACACGUGAAACACAUUGUGAACUCCCGCAAGCUUAGCCGGUAUGCUACCGCACCAAUUCGUUCUAACACUUCAUACGGUCCGAUAUAUCGGGGACUCAGCUUUUUCCGAACACCAAACCGCUUCACACCCCUCAUGGGUGACAUCUUCAAAAAGACGCGGUCUCCUACCGCGAAUUCAAGAUCCCGUCGGCGCCUAUUCGCAUAACUCUUCUGUCUAGAUUGCGUCGUCAACAACCUUUGGCGAGCAAGGCGGACUUUCUCCUCUGCCUCCCAUAAAACAUUGGGACCAAAAACCAUUCGUUCGCCAACAUCACUCCAAUGUAUAGGAGAUCAGCACUUCCUCCUGUAGAGAGCCUCAAACAGUUCCAUCUCUAUACUCGCUUGGUAGCUAUUGUUGUAGGCGAACUCGACCAUCAGCAAGUGCUCAUGCCAACCACCAUUAUAAUCGAUUACACACGCUCGUAGCAUAUCCUCCAAAACUUGAAUCGUUCUCUCCGAUUGAUCGUCGCUUUGAGGAUGAAACGCGGUGCUAAAAUUGAGCCGUGUGCCAAGCGCUUCUUGUAGACUCUUCUAAAAGUGUGAUGUAAACCGGGGGUCCCGAUCCGACACAAUCAAUGUUGGUACCCCAUGUAGCCUCACCACCUCAUCGAGGUAAAUCUGCACUAACUUAUCACCUGACCAAGUGUUGUGGAUAGGUAGAAAAUGUGCCGACUUCGACAAGCGAUCCACCACCAUCCAAAUAGCAUCGUGGCCACCCGACGAAUGGGAUAAACCCACCACGAAAUCCAUCACUAUAUCCUCCCAUUUACAAACGAUAAUAGGCAGACUCUGAAGUUUCCCCGUUGGAAAUCGGUGCUCCACCUUGACUUGUUGACACACAACACAUUGCGCCACAUAGUGCCCGAUAUCUCUCUUCAUCCCCAACCACCAAUAGUGCAUCUUUAAGUCUUUAUACAUUUUGGUGUCGUCCGGAUGGACACUAUAGGGAGACCAAUGAGCUUCUUGCAAAAUCAACUUUCGGAUUUCUUCAUCAUUCAGCACACACUAUCGGUUCCGAUACAGGAGCGCGCCAUUGAUGCCUAUAUCGAAAUCACCACUGCGCCCACUCUCGAUGUCGCGUCAUACCUUUUGGAGACUCGGGUCUGCAGAUUGCAAACACUUAAUCCUAUCCAACAAGGUCGGUUGGACAACGAGAGCCGUAAGCAUAGCCGGAACCUCCUGAGCUACGAUCUCAAGAUCAAACCGCCACAUCUCUCUCCAUAACGGCUUUUGAUUCGUGACCAACAUUGCAAGAUUUUCUACUGAUUUCCUACUAAGCGCAUCAGCCACUACGUUGGCUUUCCCUGGGUGGUAGAGAAUAGUAAUAUCAUAAUCCUUUAACAACUCUAACCAUUGGCGUUGCCUCAUAUUUAGUUCCUUCUGAGUGAACAAGUAUUUCAGGCUUUUGAGGUCCGCAUAUACCUCGCAACGCGCACCAUGUAAGUAGUGUCUCUAUAACUUCAGAGCGAAGAUUACUGCAACUAACUCUAGGUCAUGGAUGGGAUAGUUCUUCUCAUAGCUUUUCAACUGGCGGGAUGCAUAAGCAAUAACCUUCCUGCACUGCAUCAGAACACACCCAAGACCUUGGUAGGAUGCGUCGCUAAACACCACAAAGUCCUCUCCUUGAACUGGCAGGGCGAGCACCGGAGUCAAGGUCAAUCUUUCCUUCAACUCUUUAAAACUCCGGUUGCACUCGUCACUCCAUAUGAACUUAGUGCUCUUCUGUGUAAGACGGGUAAGUGGGAUAACAAUCUUCGAGAAACCCUCCACAAACCGUCUGUAAUAUCCCGCUAAGCCAAUAAAGCUGCGGACCUCCAUUACUUUCGUCGGACGAGGCCAAUCCUUGGUCGCCUCAACCUUCCUCGGGUCAAUAGAUACUCCACCCUCGAAAAUCACAUGUUCCAAGAAAGCAACUUCACGGAGCCAAAAUUCGCACUUCUUUAACUUAGCAUAAAGCUUCUCCUCCCGAAGGACUUGUAGCACAAUCCUUAAAUGCUUCGCGUGCUCUUCGUUGCUACAAGAGUAGACCAACAUUGUCUAUGAACACUACGACAAAUCGAUCCAAGAAAGCCUUGAAGACACGGUUCAUCAAAUCCAUGAAUGCUGCCGGGGCAUUUGUGAGCCCAAACGGCAUGACCGUGAAUUCGUAGUGCCCAUACCGCGUUUGAAAUGCGGUCUUAUGCACAUCCUCCGACUUUAUCUUCAACUCAUGAUAGCCAGACUGAAGAUCUAUCUUUGAAUACACCUGAGACCUGUAACGACCCAGCCACUAGCAAUAAUAACUUGUUGGGCCCAACCACUGGCCCAGAAUGCUUAAUCCCAGUUAUUAUUACUAGUGUCUAAGUCUCUUAUAUACCCAAUCACAUCCCCAUUCCUAUCCGAAGUGGAAUUAUUGGAGUGUGACAGAAACUCCCCCUGUUAAGGCCCUGACAUCCUCGUCAGUCCAAUCACACACACAGCCCAAGAUCAGAAGUACUUGGAUCCUCUAGGAAUCAUAUUCUGUGAUUUUUGAAAAUUAUUAUGUAGUUUAUCAACUGGCCAUGAAAUAAAUAGUGACAAACAAACAAUUUUGUAAAAAGAAAGCUUAUACCUUGUUUGGUAUCAUUGUCAUUUUCUUAUUCUUUUUAACAAUAAUUUUAUAUAAUUUGAUGUGUUGGAAAAAAGACCUUUUUUUUUAUUGUUAUAAUUGGUUAGUUUACAAUGCAUCUGGCUAAGUGAAAAGUAAUAAUUUAUUUAAAAAAAAUUGAAGAAAAAAAAAAGUUGCUUCGAAGUUUUUAUUUUUUGCUAUCAAAUAAAAAUCUUGGAUGAAAGGAUUGCAUGCAAGCAAUUUAUUGUCCGCUCCGUACAUUUUUGGAUAUGCAAAAGUUUAUUUAAAAAAACAAGAAAUAAAUAUGAUAAUAAACGAUGCCUUACCAUUUCUUAAUUCAAGAUUGUUAUUGCCGGAUAUAAUCUAAAAGGCAACAAAAUUUCAAUUAAUUUAUUAUUUAGCAUUGUGGAAUGAGCAAAUGACUUCCGUAGUUCAUAAAAAAUUGUGUGUUAAAACAUUUCGGUUUCUAUAUGUGUAAAUAAUUUUUGUAAACUACGAAAUUCUAGGAACUUCAAACACUAGUCUUUGUUCAAGAUUGUCCACCCUCUUUUACAGGGAAUGAUUUUGCAUAAGAAUUAGCUAGCUCCUUCUCAGCGGAUAUAAUUAACAAGAAGGUAAAAUGUAUAAAACUACUUUAGAAAUGACUAUAUCAAACCUUCAACAUUUUGAUUUUACUAAACCUCUCAAACUAGCUUUUUUUUUUUUUUUUUUUGAGAGAGAUAGGUAGCACGCUACCCGCUUCGUUUAUUUCAUUUAGAAAUAAACUUAGCUGAAAAUGUGAUUCGAACUCGGGUCUCGGGUACCAACCACCAAGCCCUUUGUCACUUGUUCUAGGGACGGUUGGUACCUUUCAAAUUAGUUUGAUUUGAGUCAUCUGAUAGUUCUGCAAAGUUAUUGUAUACGUAGGUACCUCCUCUCUCUCUCUCUCUCUCUCUCUCUCUCUCUCUCUCUCUCUACAUUUGUGAACCAUACAUUUAUCCGCUUUCCAUUUUAUUUAAUAAUUCAGUCUCUAUUGCUCAUUGGGUCUUGGUUUUACCUCUUUUAGAACUGUACUAUGGUUCAAUUCAAAAUAGAACAUGGAUUAAAAAUGGAUGAAGACAUGAUAUAGAUAUACAAAUGCAUAAACACAUUGAGUGCAAUUAAGUAAUAGUUUCUCAGGCCGGGCAUAUAGAUAAACUAAGGGUGCGUUUGGUUCGCGCUAUCUUUUAAAGAUUCCUAUUAAUCCAAUAGGAAUAAAAAAAUAUGACGGUGUUUGGCUAAACGCACUAAGUAAUCUAGUCGGUAAUAUUGGAUUCACUUGGGAAUAAGAUUCACCCCAAAGUACUAAUCUCAUUUCCUUGAGGGAGGAUGGGUAUCCUCACAUUAAUGGAUUGGGAUAAUCAUAAUGUAUCUAAUAUCUUUCUUUCUUCCUACCCGCCGGCUAAUUGAUAUUAUUUUUCUUUACACUAUAACCUUAUAUCUCUCUCUAAACUUAUUUUUCUCUCUAAAAUUCAACUUUUUUUUUCUCUCUCUAAACUAAGCUCUCUCUCUCUCUCUCUUUCUAAAAUUUCAACUCUCUCACUCCCUCUAAUUUUGACUAUAUUUUUCUUUCUAUUUUUUUAAUUAUGCUCUCUCUCUAACUUAUACUCUCUCUCUCCCUUUUUUCUAAAAAGAGGUUGAAACUUUUGGUAACAUUAUCUAAAAUUAAUUAAAUAAAUAAAUUGUAUAUUUUUUGUAAUAUUAAAUAACAUGGCUAAUUAUAUUACCGUGCGAACCAAACACAGGAAUUCCACAUUCUUAGUAAUAGGAUGAAUAGGAAUAAGAUUCUCGGAUAUCUUUUAUUCCUAGUAAUCUUUCAUAAUGCGAACCAAACGCACCCUAAAAGUGAAGAUAGUGAAAAAAAAGUCAUUAAGGGUCAAUUUGAGUUUAAGGUAUAUUUUUUUAAAUGCUUGCAAAUUGGGGGUCAGAAUUAUGAAAUCCUAUAUUUAUUUUAUGAUCGAAUACUGACUUAGCAUGUAGAAAUUAAAAAAUUUCAUGAAAAAUUAUAAUCCCUUAAAUGUGGGAUAUUUGAAACCAACCUUCUCCCUUGGCAAUUUGUUCUGAAAGAAAAGUGAUUUAAAAAUACUAAAAUUCCUUUUAGCAAAUUUUAUAUCGUAUUUCAAAAUUUUAAAUUGAGUACAAAGACAAAUAAAGUUAUUAAUCCCCUAAAUUUAAGAAUUUUAAAUAGAUUUCAUAUAUGUCAAUAGUUAUGAUUUUUAUAUAGUUAAUUUAGAGGAAAAUAACAUAUAAAAUUAGUCCUUACAAAAAAAGUAUUGUGGUAAUUUACUGAUAUAGUUGGGUAAUUUUUGUGAACCUAAUAUAUUAACAAUAUAUUCCUGAGUAUUCUAAGAUAUUUACCAAAUAAAAAUAUUUCAUAAAACAAAAAUUCAAUUAUAAGAAUAAUUUUUUUUGAAAAGUUAAUUGCGAAUGAAAAUUUUAAAUUACGUGAACCAAACAAGUAAAAUUAAUAGUUGUUUUCAAAUCAACCAAAGUUCAAUGAAGCUCCAAAUACAUUUACCUACUAAAUAUAUCAUAAUUAUAUUUUUGUAAGUUGCAUUCACUAUGGGCCUGUUUGUCUCUCUCUCUUUUUUUUUCUUAAAUUUUUUUUUAUAGGGUUCUCCAGAUAAAUUUAAUAAGAGCUUCUUAUAAAGGAUAUCAUAUGGAAGGGGCUUGGUGUUGUUCAUUAUAAUUUCUUUUUAAUCUCAACCAUCAAACAAUUAAAAAUAGUAGUUGAAUGAAAGGAGUCCAACUUUUUACAAUAUCUUCUACAAGGAAAUCCUCUUGACAUUUUUGUUUCGUUUCUCUCCUCCGUAUAGUUUAGCACUUUGUCCUUGUAGGGAUAGCCGCAACGAAAAAUGUACACUUUUUACAAUUUCUUCCACACAAUUUCUGUUGGUUUUAAUAGUUGUUGAUUGGUUAAUUUUGGUUGACGUACGCGGGGAAAUUACAAGGAUAUAGCGACGGGUAAACCGCGUACUAGCACUAUCGACAGGGAAAUAUAUACGAAUCCCAUUAUAUUCCCCCUCUUCUAUUUUUUCCUUUCAUUCUUUCAUUUGAUAUCUCUCUCUCCUCCCUCCGUCCAAAUCAGUAAAAUGGCAUAGAAUAGAAUGGGAGAAAUUACUUGUGAUCACGUCUUCACCGUUCUCCUUAACUCUAACCAAAAACGCCACCAGUCAACGUGUCUUUCUAUCUCAAUCUACUUAAUAAGAAACUAACAAGGCAAUUCAUUUGCACUAGAUAGCUGUCCCUAAUAAUAGGCCUCUUCGCCACCAUUGCGUAACUACUAACUAAUAAUAACAAUAAUAACAAUGCUCACACCAAUAUAUGAUAAUAUUCCUCCGUCCUUCUCUCCCUCCCUCACAAUUCUACCCACCUCCCAACUAAAGCUUGACCUUCCCUCUCCCGGCCCCAUUCUUCUUCAGCAUUAAUGGCUUCCUCCUCUUUACAUCUCCUACUCCCCCUCUCCCUCUGAUACCUUCCCCUCCUCUUCGGACAGGACUAGGAUGGCCCACCGUUGCCCUCGCCGUAAUGGGGGCCGCCUGUCCUCGUCCUCGUUAUCCAUCCCAUUUUACUCUUUACUUGUCCUUCUCGCGGGCACCGUUAGUCGUGAAGUGCUCGCCACCAACAGCAUUCGUGUGGACAUCAUCCGUCAGCCUUCCCUCUCCUUCCCGGCCUUUCGUGAGGCCCCUGCCUUCCGCAACGGCGAAGAAUGCUCCUUGUCGUCCCGUGUGGACAUUGCUAUGACCCUCGAUGCCAACUACCUCCGCGGCACCAUGGCUGCCGUCCUCUCCAUCCUCCAGCACACCUCCUGUCCGGAGAGUGUGACCUUUCACUUCCUUGUCUCCUCUCCGUCGUCUUCCAAUCUCCUCGCAUCCAUUCGCACCACCUUUCCCUACCUUGACCUUCGUGUCUAUCGAUUUGACCCUUCCUGUGUUCGUGGCCGUAUCUCUCGCUCCAUCCGCCACGCUCUCGACCAGCCGCUCAACUAUGCUCGUAUCUACCUCGCGGACGUCCUCCCGGCCGACGUCACCCGCACCAUCUACCUCGAUUCCGACAUUAUUGUUGUCGACGACAUUCGCCACCUUUGGCAGGUCGAUCUUGAGGGCCGAGUUAUCGCUGCUCCUGAAUACUGCCAUGCCAACUUCACCAAGUACUUCACGGAUGCGUUCUGGUCGGACCCAACACUUGCUACCACAUUCGAGGGGCAACGACCGUGCUAUUUCAACACAGGAGUGAUGGUGAUUGAUGUGGUGAUGUGGAGGAAGCGAGGGUACACGAGGAUGGUGGAGGACUGGAUGGGGGUGCAGAAGCAAAAGAGGAUAUACCACCUUGGCUCGCUGCCGCCCUUCUUGUUGGUGCUUGCCGGCAACAUAAAGGCGGUGGACCACCGUUGGAACCAACAUGGCUUAGGUGGGGAUAAUAUCGAGGGGAAGUGCAGGAGUCUCCACCCAGGGCCCAUUAGCCUCCUCCACUGGAGUGGGAAGGGAAAGCCUUGGUUGAGGCUCGACUCGAGGAAACCUUGUUCCGUUGAUCAUCUCUGGGCUCCCUAUGAUCUUUAUAGGUCUUCAUCACCUACGUUAGAAGAAUGAGUACUUACUUAUAACUAACUCAUUUUAUCAAGAAAGAGAGAGGAAGCCCUAGGGAUAGUGAAAUUAAUAGUCAUAGGGAGAUUAACAAUUUGAUCACUACAGUAAAAUGAGAAAGAAAUGAAGCACAAAAGUUUCAUUGUCAAAUCUUAGAAAAAUGAAAAAGAGAACAAUCGAAAGUCGAGAUUAAGACGGGGGCGACCUAAAAGGAAAAAUAAGUAGAGAUAUUGGAAGGCAAAAAAGAAACUAAAAAAAGAGGGAAAAAUAUUAGAAAAAUAAAGAAAGAAAAGUUAGUUAGAGGAGAGAAGGAACUCAUUUGAUUUUACAAAGUCGGAAAAUCAAGACUUGCGAUAGUAAACAAGCUAGCGAAAAUGGAAAGAUUGUACAAAGAAAAGAAGAGGAGGUAUCAGAGGGUGUGGAGAAUAAAAUGAAGAAGGGGCUAUGAUGUUCAUAAAACUUAAAGCCAAUUUUUUAAAUAGUGACUAAUCAUUGGAAUCCAUAAAGGAAGAGAUGCAUGGGGAUGUCUUGGUAGGACAUGAAGAUGAGAGAGGGAAUAUAUUGAUUCCUCUAUUCUUUGUUUUUCAUUCUUCUAAUAAUUAAAUUUUUUUUUUUUCCCUUUCAUUCAUUAUGUAGGCUUGGAUGUUGAUGCUUUGAACUUUCAUUCAUUAUUUAGGCUUGGAUGUUGAUGCUUUUGUAUCGUAAAGGCACCAACAGAAAAAGAAGAAAAACCAAUAUUAGUCAGGAUUCAGAUCAAUGUAAUGUUGAUACUCAAGUGCAAAGAAUUGGUGGAUUAUGAUCAUGAGCUAUUGUUUGUUUAAACUUUUAACAAGGUGCAAAAGAAAUUUAUGAAGUUUUUAGUUUCCAUUUGUAGUGGGGCAUUUAUUUAUGUACCCUUGCAAGUCUAUCAAGUCACGUGAAUACUCCCGUAACAAAAAUCUUUGAUAUUCCCAUUUACAAUACAAUUUAUUACAAAAAAAUUGUAAGUAUUAAUUUCUAAAAACAAUGAUUUAAAACUUCUAUUUAGCCCUUGGACCUCCUGGGCAGCCUAAAACUCUAUGGGCCUUUCUUGGGUGCCCGUGUUUUGAUUUUCAUAUAUGAGGUUUAGUUCCAUAUUGAAAAUUAAAGACAUGUUGCUACUCUUUAUAUACUCUCUCACUCUCAACUUAGUUGCUUUGGAGAAUAUGAGAAAAAACCUCUCAACUUAACACACGCACGGCACAAGCAUGGGUCGGGUCGAGCAGCGGCACAUGCUGUCUUGGACUCGGUUCACUUAGUCAUUGUAUUUUAUUUUUAUUUUUUAGGAUUUUUAUUUUGGAGCUCAAUGAUUAUCUUACCUUGGUAAGGGCCUUAUCUGGAUUUUGUCCAGAUCCGGUCCAACCUCGCUAAGGGCCAACGGCUUAUCCGAGAUUGAGCCGUUGGACCCUUACUAUUGGACCCUUAUCGUUGGACCUUACCUAUAUACAGAGGAUAUGGUGCACUUGAGGUGCACCAGAAGCAUCAACCCAGAUCUUCAUCUUCCUCCUCUCUUACACUGAGCAUUCUAUCUCUUUACAUCUUGCUAUUUUGCUGGAUCCUUGAAAGCUACUUCGGUUUGUGUUGCGCCACCCUGAAGACGUGCCGAUAGGGUGGACGGUGAUUCUUGUAUCGCUAGGAGUGAUUUGCCGGAGCUUUGCACGUGGAGGGAUAAUCUCGCUUUUAGGACAGUGCUUUUUCACGGCUUGACUCACGUGCCUCAUCUAUUCUCUUCUUCAUAAUAUUUACUUAUUGAUUCUUGUUUGCGGUUUUCAAAACUGAAGUUAAAUUAUUUUCGUUCAAAAUUAUUUAAAAGGAAAUUUUACUAACAAUUUAGAAAGAUUUUUUCAACAAAAAAUUCUCAUAUUAAAUAGUUAGGGCAGCCAUGAAGUUCAAUUAGUGCUUUGGUUUUGAACUAAAAAAGAAGCUACAUGCGAAAGGAUAUUUUUAUAUCAAACCUUUUGGUGCACUACAGUUAGAGGAGGCGAAAGUAGGUUGUCAAAAGGCAAAAAACAGGCCAAUCCGAGCCUAUAGCCAUGUUAAUUUAAGAUGACUUGAUUUAAAGCUGUAAUUUUGUUUUCCGGUGUUGAGUUCAAUUUUUUAUUUAAUUUGGGCCAAAUUUUGCGCAUUUCAUAUUUAGUUUGGAUUUAAUUAACUCUAACUUAAGUUCGGUCUAAUCUAAUAUAAUAUAUAAAACCAAAAAAUUUAGAGUCCGUACGUAGCGGUAUCGCCCGUCUAAAAACAUGUAAAUUUUGCCAAAAUAACGAUAAAGACAAUUUUUUGUUGAUUCCAUGUUGUGAAAUUAUGCUCUUUUCAAUUUAGUUUUCUUAGCAUCCCUUCACGAAAGGAUAUAUAAAUUAUUUAAAAAUUACAUAGUUAUAAUGUCACUCUCCGGACUUCAGCAAAACCCUCCGUCGACAUGUACUGCCUUGAUUCGCCGCAUGUACAGGCCUUUUCUAUACGCACGAAACGAUAAUCAACAAAUACUACAUUUGACUCAUAUACAAUGCGCAUAUAAGGAAAACAUCUGUAAAGGAGUAUUAUCAAACAAUAAAGCAUAAUUAUUCUAUUACAUUUCCAACCCCAAAAUAAAGUUCAACAACUAGUCCAAAGGAGAACAUUCCAAAAAUAUUACAUCUAUGUUUGCAGGGUCCCAAUUCUAAUUUGUAUUAAAAUGAGCAGGGAGCUAUCGACUAGCGAUGCCCUUGCCUGGGUAUCCCACAGGAGAAGAAGACUCCGAAAAAAACAACGACACGGGCAUGAGAACUAUAAAAAAUUAUUUUCAGUGGAUAUAGUCGCUGAGAGGGGCGUUUUACGCCACUAGGUUUAAUGUUGGGAUGCCGUGUCAAGUAGGAUUUUUUACCAUAAAUCCAUCUCAUCAGAAAAAACUAGCACAACCAUAAAAAAAAGAAAAAAUAAAGAUGAACAUACAGGUGAAAUAAGAUUCACUAACCAAGAAAAGAAUUACAUAUGACUCAUUAUAGAUAUUUCUUACUUACAUGCAUUUCUAUUGUAGUAAUAGUUGUUGUUUAUUAUUACUUGCUAUUAAUACAUUCCUUGGACCGAGUGACCGUAUAACGUGACUUUCAGUGGUUGCAGCCAUUGAAAAUUUAUUUAAAGUUCUCACCCUUUUGUUGUUUUUUUUUUUUUCAGAUUCUAUUAACGCCGGUGAGGAGAAGACCACGGCAAGGGUGUCUCGGAAUAGUUAGAUUGAGUAAGAGAUUUAGAGUGUACCCUUGUAUGAACAUGAAAAGACUUGUAUUAUUUUGGAAAGAUAUUAAAUAUUGUCAACUUGAAGAAUAUGGUUGUAGUAGCUUUAAAAAUUUAGAAGUAAUCGCCUUGAUGCUUUUUGUACCCUUAUCAUAUAUGGCAUUGUACAAGUUGGUGCAUGAUACUGCUUCGUGUGGAUAAGAAAAGUCUUGCUUGUAAGGGGGCUCUGUUCACUACAACAAAAAUGCUUUUUAGUGGCGACUUUUUGGUGGCGACAAGUACUGUCGCCACCAAUGUAUUAAAUAUGACGGCGACAUAUAGGAGUCGCCACCGAUACGAGAUUAUUGGCGGCGACAUAUAAAAGUCGCCACCGAUACAGUAUUAUUGGCGGCGACAUAUAAGAGUCGCCACCGAUAUAGGAUUAUUGGCGGCGACAUAUAUGAGUCGCCGCUGAAAAAUGAGCAUUAGUGGCGAUAUUUGUCGCCACGAUAUCUCCUUAUUUACCGCGCCGCAUGUUCCCUCUUUUUUUUUCAGCACUCACCUACCUCUAUGCCUAAAAGACCAAUUUACCCUCACUUACUCUAUGGCGGCGACAUGUAAGAGUCGCCGCCAAUUCAUAAAAAUGGCGGCGACAUAUAGGAAUCGCCACCGAUACGGGUUUCGUUGGCGGCAACAUAUAGGGUCGCCACCGAUAUUGGAUUAUUGGCGGCGACAUAUACGAGUCGCCGCCGAAAAAUGAGUAUUAGUAGCAAUAUUUGUCGCCACAAUAUCUCCUUAUUUACCGCGCCAAAGUUCCCUCCUUUUUUUUUCGGCAGAGACCUCCUCUAUGCAAAAAGACCAAUUUACCCUCACUUACUCUAUAUACAUUGCAUUAAAUUGUAGGGCUUUAUUGUCUUUUUAUAUUUAAAAAUAGUAAAAAAUUUUAACCUUACUUCUAAACCCAUCUCAAACCAUGGUCUCGAUCACUUUCCUCUCUUUCUUAGCCUUUCCCUAGCUCUUCGUCCCCUCCGCCCCCUCCACCCGCGUUUCCAGCAAGCCUCGCGCCUCCGCCAAGCCCUGCGCCUCCAUCCGUCUUCAUCGGAAGCGAGCCCCGGGCCUCCGCCGCCUGUGGCUCUAGCACCCCCACGGGGGGCUUCGCUGCAGGCCAGUAACUUCGUCCCCUCCGCCCCCUCCAUCUGUGUUUCCAGCAAACCUCGCGCCUCCGCCAAGCCCUGCGCCUCCGUCUUCAUCAGAAGCGAGCUCCGGGCCUCCGCCGCCUGUGGCUCUAGCACCCCCUCGGGGGGCUUCGCUGCAGGCCAGUAACUUCGUCCCCUCUGCCCCCUCCACCUGUGUUUCCAGCAAGCCUCGCGCCUCCGCCAAGCCCUGCGCCUCCGUCUUCAUCGGAAGCGAGCCCUGGGCCUCCGCCGCCUGUGGCUCUAGCACCCCCACAGGGGGCUUCGCUGCAGGCCAGUAACUUCUUUCCAGGGUAAAUUACAGAAGCGCGACUAAGCAUUCGAGUUGUUUUAAGGAAUUAAGGAUAAUUAGGACAUCCUUUGUCUUCCUGUGUGCAUGUGUUCUUCUAUUUUCUUGGUGCAGGUUUAGAGAAAGACUCCAUGUAUUGCAUUUUCUUUCUUUUUAUUUUCUAUUGCCAGAUAAGUGAAAAAUGUUUAAGAAAAAAAUUCUCCUCUUUUGGAGCAAAUUAAGAGGUUAAUCUUAAAUGCUUCAACUCUGUUUCCCCUCACUUUAUCUGCAUUUAUCCUAAAGAUAUUUUAACAUUGUUUGAUUCCUGCGCAAGUAGCAAACCUCAUCGCAUGGUGAGGUUGUUUUGUUUGUGUCUUAUCUGAUGAAGUUGUUAAGCUUUUUUGAAGUAGCUUAAGCACCUAAUCUGAAAACUGCUUCUUUGAAGUAGCACCUUACGGCGGCCUCUGCCGCCUGUGGCUCUAGCACCCCCACGGGGGGCUUCACUGCAGGCCAGCAGCACCUCACGGCGGGCUUCGCAGCAGGCCAGCGCACCUUCGCUGCAGGCGAGCCGCAGGUUCAAGCCGCACCUUCGCUGCAGGCUAGCCGCAGGUUCAAGCCGUCACCUGCGCGUCUACAGAUCCGACCCAACUCCUCCACCAUGUAACCCUCCCUCCCUCUCUGUGCCCUAAUUUUCUAAUCUAUUUUCCCCUGUUUUUUUUUCUUUUUCUUUUUCUCUUUAAAUUAACUGGGAAACCAUCCCACUAUCCAGAUCUACGAGGUGUCAUCGUCGUGGUGGAAAUCGCUGAGAAAUCGCUGAAGAAUCGUAGGUUGCUGAAUUGGAGUAGUAAAAAUUACUAAAUCACUCUACUCUUUAAUAUUUUGCCUCAGUUUUUUUUUUUUUCCCUAAUAUUUAAACGUUAAUAAAUGUGGGUCGGGUGGUGCACGAAAAGGGGCUUUUNUUCCUAGCUCUUCGUCCCCUCCGCCCACUCCACCUGCGUUUCCAGCAAGUCUCGCGCCUCCGGCAAGCCCUGUGCCUCCGUCUUCAUCGGAAGCGAGCCCCAGGCCUCCGCCGCCUGUGGCUCUAGCACCCCCCACGGGUGGCUUCGCUGCAGGCCAGUAACUUCGUCCCCUCCGCCCCCUCCACCUGUGUUUCCAGCAAGCCUCGCGCCUCCGCCAAGCCCUGCGCCUCCGUCUUCAGCGGAAGCGAGCCCCGGGCCUCCGCCGCCUGUGGCUUUAGCACCCCCACGGGGGGCUUCGCUGCAGGCCAGUAACUUCUUUCCAGGGUAAAUUACAGAAGCACGACUAAGCAUUCGAGUUGUUUUAAGAAAUUAAGGAUAAUUAGGACAUCCUUUGUCUUCCUGCGUGCAUGUGUUCUUCUAUUUUCUUGGUGCAGGUUUAGAGAAAGACUCCAUGUAUUGCAUUUUCUUUCUUUUUAUUUUCUAUUGCCAGAUAAGUGAAAAAUGUUUAAGAAAGAAAUUCUCCUCUUUUGGAGCAAAUUAAGAGGUUAAUCUUUAAUGCUUCAACUCUGUUUCCCCUCAUUUUAUCUGCAUUUAUCCUAAAGAUAUUUUAACAUUGUUUGAUUCCUGCGCAAGUAGCAAACCUCAUCGCAUGAUGAGGUUGUUUUGUUUGUGUCUUAUCUGAUGAAGUUGUUAAGCUUCUUUGAAGUAGCUUAAACACCUAAUCUGAAAACUGCUUCUUUGAAGUAGCACCUCACGGCGGGCCUCUGCCGCCUGUGGCUCUAGCACCCCCACGGGGGUCUUCGCUGCAGGCUAGCGCACCUGCGCGUCGCCUCGUCGAGCCGCACGUGCGCGUCGCCUCGUCGAGCUGCACCUGCGCGUCGCCUCGUCGAGCCGCAGGUUCAAGCCGCACCUUCGCUGCAGGCGAGCCGCAGGUUCAAGCCGCACCUUCGCUACAGGUGAGCCGCAGGUUCAAGCCGCACCUUCGCCGCAGGUUCAAGCCGCACCUUCGCUGCAGGUGAGCUGCAGGUUCAAGCCGCACCUUCGCUGCAGGCUAGCCGCAGGUUCAAGCCGUCCCUGCGCGUCUACAGAUUCGACCCAACUCGUCCACCAUGUAACCCUCCCUCCCUCUCUGUGGCCUAAUUUUCUAAUCUAUUUUCCCCUAUUUUUUUUUCUUUUUCUUUUUCUCUUUAAAUUAACUGGGGAAUCAUCCCACUAUCCAGAUCUACGAGGUGUCAUCGUCGUGGUGGAAAUCGCUGAGAAAUCGCUGAAGAAUCGUAGGUUGCUGAAUUGGGGUAGUAAAAAUUACUAAAUCACUCUACUCUUUAAUAUUUUGCCUCAGUUUUUAAUUUUUUUUUCUAAUAUUUAAACGUUAAUAAAUGUAGGUCGGGUGGUGCACGAAAAGGGGCUUUUGCCACAACAACGUGAGAAUUCAAUUAUUCGGAAAGCUUUAUGAAGUAGGAGGUAAUAGUGUGGUGAUAUUUUGAGUGCAGAUAACAAUCCAAGGAAUUGCUAGUUAGUAAGGAUUUUUCUCUUGAUAAUUCUUCGCCACCAGAAAAAAGGAAAAAAAAAAAAAAAUUUUGAUAGGAGCUAUAAUUCGCGCCAAAGAAAUGAUCGCAGUAGAAAAAGGAGUGGAAAUUUUUAGGAUAUGUUUGGAAAUUGGAACUGGAGGAAAAUAAGAUUGACAGGUUAAGGAAUGCCUAAUUAAUCGCAUUUAGGUGCGCAGUUAAAUACGUACUUUUAGUGUCUGAUAUUUGAUAGUGUUGCUUGCACAUGAAAUCCAUGCUGUUGGAUGGUGUUCAUUAUUAUGAAAUGCUAGUUUAAACCUAGAGAUUUUAAUAUUUCUUGCUAGGCUACGAUUUUCUAAGUAUUUAUGUAUGUGUCAGUCAUGUCAAUCUUGGUUAGUAGGAAAGGUGCAUUUAAUGGUACAAGUUUAACAUUCGAUGAGCUUUAUGAUUUAUAAAGAACUUUCGAGAUGCCUCAUAAGAAUUUUUGCAGUUAUUAGUGUGGAGGCAUUGGGUAUUGAAUUUGUUGCCUUAAGGUUCAGACAUCACUUGGUUCAUCACCUAGAAGUUGGAGACUUUAUCUGCCUCUCGUUAUUGCUCAGUUGCUUGAAAAUAUCUUGAACCACUUAAAAUCUACUUGUAAUUGUGGUAAAGGCGUUGGAAUGAUCGGUUUAGUUAUGGUUCCUAGGACCCUUACCAUUUCUCUUGUGCAUCAUUUUAUAGGUACAGAUCGUCUGCCGAUUUUGUUGUGCAAGUUGAUGAUUAAAAUCAUGUUAUAAAUAUUAUAGAAUGCUUAUCAAGUAGAUUUGCAAGGUUUCGACAAUUUAACUAGUUACAUUAAUGUGCUAUCUGUAGCAGGGUAUUGAUACUCUUGACUUGCACGCCUAGUUGAAGCUAAGGAACUACUUAGACAAACUGUGAUAGUGCAUGAAACAUGAUUAUGCUGCUCCCAACAAACUUCUACUUUACUGUAAAGCGUCUCACUUCAUUAUAGCGUGCAUAUUGCAGAUCGAUUCUUUGUCCAUUUUAGAUUAGGUAUUCGUCUAUUGCCUCACUAUUUUCUUGGUGGUCAAUAUAUUACUUAUUUUGUGUCUGCCUGCAUGAACAUAUGUAGCGACAAUAUGCAUUAUUACCUCGUCAAUGAUUUGAUAAGAAGUGCACUCAUUUUAUAUGUUGUUAAAUGCUGUAGAAUUGAAUUUCUCACCUAAUAGGUAAUGGCAUAAUCACUUUUCUCAAUGGCCGCGUGCACCAUUUCAAAAUUUAAUAUACGCUGUAGCUAUCUCACUAGUGAUAUUAUAGAACAAAGAUAUAAAUGUUACCCUUGAUAAGUAUUGUGGCCUGGGCCAAUUAAUCCUUUUGGAAAUUUUAGAUCAGUGCAAGUAGUAAUGCUGCUGCUUUCAAUCCUAUAUUAUUUUUCCACUAGUUUUCUGUCCUUUGCUUUGAAAUUUCCUUUUUAGCAGAUGUAAUGUGACCAAGAACUGAACUUUUAUGGCUUUUUCUCUUUUAUAGUACCGCUGAGCAUAGUUCGCGGUGAUUACCAUCAACUGGACAUGUGGUUUAAUGGGAAAUCAAGAGUGGAUUCGUCAUCUUUCGGAAGAUUGUCUACAAUAUUUAGCAAUGCCAUGUUAGUUUUCAUUGACGUUUUAUAUUUAAUUAUGUAAUGGAUCAAGUACCUGUAAGAUGUGGUUGCAGAAACUAAUUUCUUCGUGGUUUAGUGUCAAUUGUGUCAUGGAUGAAAGUUUCACAUGUGCACCUUUCUUUUUCCUAGUGCUACUGCUGCCCGUUCCUUCAUCCUUGAUUUGUUUCGCCAAUACUUCUUAUUUGAUUGUUGUUUAGGUAGUGCGGUCCAAUCAUAUUUAGAUAUCCUGUGUUGGAUUUCAUCAUAUUAAUCUUAGUAACACCAACUAAGUGAUGUUGUUUUAUACAUCAACAUGCCAUUUUGGGCUGCUAUGACCAAAAUGGCAUGUUGAUACAUGUUAGGCCAAUUACAAAUAGCAUGUUAGUUAUGGUGGCAAGAAAACAACUAGUUUAUGCAUGUGGAUCUUUGAUAGUGAUUUGAAUUCGAUUGUACUUAAAAAAUCUAUUCUUGGUAGCCAGGCACUUGAUCCACCAUUUCUUUGUGUGUUGCACAGAUGUGCUGGUUGGAGCAUUCUUUUAUUUAUAUUAAAUAAAACUUUAUAUGUUAGUCUUGUAUACGGUUAUGUGAUUUUUGUUAUUUGUUGUAUUGAUUGUGUGUUUUUCUUCUGUUUGUUUACUCCACCCAAGGAUUUAAAGAAAAAAGAGAAGGAACUCCAAGCAAAGGAGGCAGAACUAAGCAAGAGGGAAAAGGUAUUUGCCAUUGAAGUUCUGCCAGAGACUAGUCUUGUAUGAUUUUGAAACUUCGACAGUUCCAGCAUUACUUCUUUUGCAGAUUAUAGUGUAUCAUUAUGGAUUGUAAUCAAGUCGGUAGAUUGGAUGACACAUCAUUCCCUAUAUAUAUAUAUAUAUAUAUAUAUAGGGAUUCUUUAGUAAGCAAAUAGGAUAUAUAUGAUAGACCUCACAUGAAGCUUCUAGAUCUAGGUGGGAUUUUUGUAUCAAUUUGUUUUCGAAUCAGAGGACACCCUUUGAAUUUUUUUCUCAUUGCAAGUUUCGUACUCCUUUUAUCACCUUUUCAAGUCAUUGGUUCCUCAUUCAUUGGUUCCUUAUUGCAUUAUUUGCAUGUGCUGCUCAGGAACUUAAACGAAGGGAAGAGGCUGCAGCACGCGGUAUGUUCUCAUGGUUCAUUUUGUCUGACUGAUUUCGCAAUAUUUGAUCCAGCUACUUUUUUUCUAUCUCUUAUAGUUCUUUGCUUGGUAACCAGAUUCUUAUUCUGAUGAGUCAGGUCCGUCCUGUGUAGUUUCUACUUUGGCAAGUUUUAGAGAAAAAUUUAUGGGAAAAGCACAACACUGGCUGUGCUUCAUGAUUAGGAGAGUUGGCAGACAGAAUGAUAAAUAUAUUUUAAAAAUGCAUAUAUCUCUCAGAAGAGGAUAUUCGCAUAACCAACUGGUGCACAGAAGUUUUUAAAUUUUGAUUUCAAAAAUUAAUUGUUGCAUUAAUGAUGUGUAUUGAUUAGUCUGGUUUGAGUUUUGAUAAUAAUCAACAAAAUAAAAAAUCAGUAUCUGUUAAUUUCAAGUAUCUGUUACUAUCUUGUAAUGAAUAUCGACAAUCGGUUAUACCAAAAAAUGAGAUUAUUUGACUGUUGUUUACAAUGAAGCAUAGAGCAGGAACAGUUCGAUCAACAGCAAUCAAUUUUGUGAAGAAAAGUAACCUAUAUAACUGUUACUAAUCUGAUCUUUUUUAAGGUGCAGUAAUGGACAAAAUACAUGUGCUUACAUUUCUGAUUUCUAUUUGGCCAUUUCAUAAUCUUUCCCAUGCAUAUUUGUCGAGAUCUGUUCGAUUUAAUACCUUGAUUUCCAGUCUUAUGUUCUAUGUGUUUUGUUCAUCCCUCUCAACAUCGUCAUGUCCGGUGCAUUCAUCUUGUUGGCCAUAUUGUUUCUUUAUAGCUGAAUGUUUAAUACCAUGUACUAUUCAAGUUGGCUAUAACUCUCAGGUUAAAUGGAAAUUUUCCUAGUAGAACAUGUUUAUUGGUUAUUGAAAUUUGAUAUUUUUUAUGUUACUCAUCUGGCACGCUUUCUUUGUCCUAUGUUUUUCCGAGGAAAGAGAAAUGAUAUUUAACUAGUAAUAGUGAGGUAAUUUAUGUCGUUUUAGUUGUUAGUUACAGUAAUGUAAUUUCAAGGAUAAAUUGUAUGUUUGGUCCUCAAACUAUGAGGUAGGUGACACUUUAGGUUCUCAAAUUUUAAUUUAUUGUAAUUUCUGAUUCGAACUUGCAGACUCGUUGCAAUCAAGUCCAAUAAUCUAAUUUAGUUGACUAAAGUUUAACGUGCUGUUGAUAUAAAAGUGAUGUGAUAUCUAAAUUAUUGAUGCCUCAUCGGUCACAACAUGCUACUACAUUGCCUCUAUAUUAGCGAUAAUAAAUAUUUAGCCAACUAAAUUAAGUUAUGGUAUUUAAAUGCAACAAUUUUGAAAGCUUGAAAUAACUUUGAUGAACAGUACGAUUUUAUUCAUUCGGAAUUUUGAUUACUUUGGCCAAAAAAGGGAUCAUAACUAAUACCGUACGAUUAAGAAAAUAAGAUUUGAAGCCCUUCAAAUCUGAUUGUUUUGUUUGUGAUUGAAACAUGAGCUGAAAUAAACGUUACUUGUUACUUCAUUCGCAUUCGUAUCCUGUUUUGUAAUUUCUUUUUAUGUAAUACUAGUCAUAUUUGUAAUUAUUAUUCUAAUUUCUCAAAGUUACUCAGUUUAUUUGUUACUCUUAAUGCUCAAUAUUUGGUUACAUGAAUUGAAUUAAUGUCGGUUUCUGUCUGUUAUAUAGUUCAUAGCCAAUAUUAUUAUCUACGUACUUGGCCUCUUUAUUUCUAUAUUGUUUGCAUUAUCAGUCCAGGGAUCAACAAAUGUUGAAAAGCUAAUUUUUAUUUUUAUUUUUAUUUGCAGAUUUAUAAGAGGUGGUGACGAGAAAUAUUUUGGCAGGUCAUUGGCGAUGUAUUGAAUCAAGUUUAAGAAUUUAGAUAUAUUUUGAAACUUUACAUUUGAUAGCAUGUGGAAAUGAUCAAAAUACUAUUAUUGUGUUUUGUUUUUGGUUGUGUUGGGUGAUUGUAUUACUUAUAUAUGAUGAUUCAGUCUUACUUAUAUAUGUUGUCCCAAACUUUUAUCUGUUGUGAGAGAUACUUCGAUGCAAAAUGUAGGAUUUCUGCUUGUUGAUCUGUGAUUUGUUUGGAAAGCUUUCUAUCAUAUUUAUGAGAAUUGGCUCUUUUUGUCCUAAAUUUUAUUUGGUUUUGAGAGAAUUAAAUUGAAAUUAAAGGUUAAAAAUUAAGAAUGAGAAAUUAUGUUAUUUUUUAGCAAUUUAUAUUAAAUUAAUAAUAUUUAUUACUACUAAUUAUUUUUUAAAAAAAAUUAAUUAAAAAAAAUUAAUUUUAUAUCAGAAAAUGGUGGCAACGACAGUCGCCACCAUAAAUUGUAAAGUUUUCGCGGCGACAGUUCAUCGCCGCUAAUUAUAUACCUUUAGCGGCGACAAACUGUCGCUACCAAAUAUUCUGGUCCGGGUUGUUUUUUCGUGGCGCUGAUAUGUCGCCGCUAAUUAUAUAACUUUAGCGGCGACAAACUGUCGCCAUCAAAUAUUCCGGUCCGGGUUGUUUUUUCGCGGCGCUGAUAUGUCGCCGCUAAUUAUGUAAUUUUUAGCGGCGACGGUACGUCGCCACUAAUUAUCGACUUUUAGCGGCGACACAUUGUCGCCACUAAUUAUCUACUUUUAGCGGCGACUCAUUGUCGCCACCAAAUAGUUUUACCGACGGGGCUUUCGGCGGCGGCGUGCGGCGACCGAUUGUCGCCGCCAAAACAUUUUCCGUGGCGACAAUAUUAGUGGGUUAAUUUAAAUGGAUUUUAGCAUCGUGCGAGACAUAGUAUAAUGUGGUUCUAUAUUAGAACUCUUACUCAUGUAUUGCAAGGUAACACAUAAACUAGUGUGAUUGCGACUUAACUGUAAUGAUAGGAUAGAUGUACAUUUUGGUUGCACAUGUUUAAUUUGAGACACAGUAGAAGACUUAUUUAUGUUCUUUCAGAAGUUUAUUGUAUAUGACUCCUUAUUGCUUUUAUAUUAUAUAUAGCCUUGUUUUGGCUAGUGGAGAAGAGCGAGCUUAGUAAUUGCCAUGGGAAACUAUCAAUUAUAGUUAUAGCUCUUUUCGCGAUGUUUUUCAGAGCCUUCACUCAGGAGAGGGCCAGGGAUCGCGCGAAAGGACGGUUAUCGCCGAGGUAGCGUGAGCUACGAGGAUGUUCGAUAGUGUGGUUAACUCUGUGUUAUCUUUUUGUUGAGAGAGUUGAGUUGACCCGGCAUGUAUAGGAGACCACCAUUUUUGUAAUAGAGACAGAUUUUACUAUUAUGAUUUCCUUUAUUUUAUCAGUAUCUCUUAAUGGGUGUAGAUGUUAUAAAUAUAUUUGUCUGAUUCAUUGAGUUAUGUUAUUUACUCUAUCUACUUGUUUAUUACUUGCUUUUACAUUCUCGCUUUAUGUAGAGCCUUAUAGUGUUGAUAUGGGGGUCUGGACUCGGCCCAUAGGAGGCCUCGCCGGUCGGGCCUGAAUUUCAGUGCCGUAACCCAACGUCAGAGCAUAAUAUGCUCGAUCUUGCUUCAGUUGAACCAUGCCUGGUACCAGUUCAACAAUGAGUAAACUCUCAGUUUGUACUCCCGUUACGACGGUUCCUGUCUCAAUUCCUAAAUCUUCCUUUCAUCUUUCUUUCCUGUCCCAUACUGGAAGUAUCGUGAAUACUAUCUCUCUAAUCUCCCAUAGGAUAAUCGAUGAAGGUGUUAAACCAUCGGCUUUCUUGUGCAUUUGCCACCAUAUUAGGCAUAAAAAUUUUCAAAACAUGCGUGAAAUAACAUGAACCUUAUCCUUUUCCAAGGUAUAUAUAUCUAAACAAGGAUCAUCGAUGUGUAACCGUCUCCAGUAUCCAAGGAUCGGCUUUUUUCACCGUUCGACAUCGGGGAAUGAAACCGAUGAAACACCGUCAGUACUAUAAGAUGACUCGUGCUCGGCCUUGUCGCGGAGAAAUCAGAACUAGAAAGGCCAGGACCACAGGGGAUAACAACUUGGAGGAGGUGGCGAUUACAUUGGCGGGAUCCGGGUAGGUAACAUCCUGGACUCCCAGAAGAUCUGUCGUCGCUGUUGCGACACAAUCCGUGUAGCUUUUUCUAUUUCUCGUUCUUGCAUAACCGAAUACGCGCUACUGAGCCAGCAAUCUAAACCUCAUCAGGAUCACAGAUGCUCUGGCCCACCUCAGAGGUGGAUGCGGAUUGAAUUCUCGUCGCACGCCCGGUGGCAUUUCUCUGAAAUGAACCAUUCAAUUAUUAGACAACCAAUCAGCGAAAGCAUUCAAGUGCAUUAUACUCAACUUAGUUUAUGUUGUGCAUUCAACAUAAUCUUUUGGUUGCAUAUAAAUACACAACUCGUCAGGCCCGUAAUUAAAUUAAGACUUGACUAACAACUAACUCAAUUGUUUGGCUUGUAUUAUUAGAUUCACGCCACUCGUCGUUGCCUGGCCUAGGUUUCCAAUCCUAAGUCUUAAGGUAACCCUAGAUUUCACUAUCACUUGCUCUAUACACUCCUAUCUGUCACGUUCCGUUACGCAUUUGGUUCGAUACCGGGUCAGCGCCAGACUGCGAAUGACGACAACUCGUUCGCCAAGUUAAAAAUGAGUAAUGUAUAAGAAAUAAAUAAUUCCAGGACAUAUUUAAUAUACAUGGCUGCCGAAGGCAAGCAACAAAACAAGUGAUGUAAACUACUGUACAACGAAAUUACUGUAAAUUAAAAUUUUACAGAAUGACUGUAGUAAGACUGGAAAAUUUAUUUAUACAGCUUUUAUAUAUUCUUUACAUGUUCUGUACAUCAAAAGGAUGAACAUGAACUUCAAAUGGUAAUGCCUAAAACUCUGGAAUGUAGCUAGAAUAAGGCAGGCCGCCACGGGAUCUCGGCUCGAAACUGCACUGUAACUGUAUGGUUAAGUGGCUGUGAGAAUACAAGAGUUACGUGGUUGGCUGGCGCUUCGGCGACUACCCACUAGGUAUACUCAGGAUAUGUAGGCAAGAAAAGUAAGCAGUAUACCAACUAUAAAUAUAACUGACUACAAUGCUGUACAAGACUGAAAAGAAAGUAACAAGAUAUGAAAACUGUAAAAAUGAAUGCAUGGUGUGUCAUUAACUUUACCCAUUUUUGGUAUAAACCGUGCUGGUUAACACUGCGAAAGUACGUUAGUCCUGGGGGCAGUAGUUAGCUAAAUUACCAAGCAGUGAGUUAACUUUGGUAACAAAUAACUCACAACGAAAUCCACGGGCCUAAGCUGACCAUCCGAUGGGAGAUCUGUCGGCAGUAGUUAGUCCUGGAGAGUACGUUAGCACAGUGAUACUCCUGGCUCAUGCCUGGGGAAGCGACCCACAGUAAGAAAAAACUAUGUGAGUAGUGAUCUUGAUGCCCCUUUAGGGAUUCACUGAAAACAAUGUCACAAUUUAACGCUAACUAGUUCUUUGAUUAUGUUUCUAAUUGCGAUUUUCGAUGAUACCAAAUCUUAGUCAUGUUGUCCAAGUUACUAUUGUUUGGCUUUAAAGUUUAUACAUUCAUUAGGGUUCUAUGUCAUUUAAUGUUUCCAAAUUUUAUUUGUGAUUAGGAUUCACAUUUUCACUAGUCAAUGCAACACUAAUGCAUACUACAAAUAUAAAUAUGGCUCAACGAAGAAUUAUGGACUAAAAGGUGAUUCAAAGAGUUCGGAUAGCACCACCAUGUAUGGUGUAAUCAUAGAAUCCAAGUCUCGGAAAAGUCGACGACUAUCUUCGCGACUCGUGAAAGUAGGUAGACGGUUUAUACAUUACCGUGCAGAUCGACCUGUCGGAAAGUCCAAAUUUAGAUCUUGGGCAUGUUACUAUUCAUUAUAAAGGAAUUAGAAAAUGAUUAAAUAGAGUCAUUACUCAUAUAUUUACAAGGUAGAUUUCAAUUGCUAUAUAAAGAGGGAAUAUAGUCGAAACUUCUUUUGGCGAUAUCUUUUGCUAGGUUCGGUGAGGUCAUUGUCCGAACGAUCUUCGGCAACGCUUUUUUUACCCUCAAUUUGGUUAUACACGCGGUCAAUUUGCAUUAGGACUUUAUUUUGCAAGUGCAUUGCUAGUAGGUCGUUUUAUUUAACCGAUUUUUAUAGAAACCUAAUUAUUUUGAUCUCUAUUUCACGUUUUUUUUCUUAUUUCUUUUUUCUUUUUUUUGUUCUUUUUUUCUUUCCUUCCUUUUUCUUUAUUUUCUUAUUUCUGGUUUUUUUUCUUUUCUUUUUCUCUGCAGCCCUGAGCUGAGCAGCUGCUGAUGCUUGUUGACUGGCUGACUGCUGGCCACCAGACCAGCUAUGUUGCUGAGACGAGAGCUACUGACUGCUGCAGCAGCUCUGCCUGAUGACUGCUGCAUGCUCUGCUGCCUGCUGCGAUGUGCUGCUGCUGCUGCUGCUGCUGUGUGGCAUGCUGCUGCUGUGCUGCAAGCUGCAGUGUGCUGUCCUGCCAUGCUGUACUAAGCAGUAAAGUGCUGCAGGUGCUUGCUGUUGCUGCUGCAAACUAGCCUGUGCUGCUGUACUACCAGUACCAGCAGGGAGAUGGUGAGAGAAAGAGAUAACAGGAGAGAGAUAUAACCAAAUCAUCGGUUCUUUUUUUUUUUAUUCUUUUCUUUUCUUUUCUUGCUUUUCUUUUCACUUACUUCUCUUUUCUCUGUCUCUGUCUCUCUAGCUAUUGGAUACAGAGGGGAGAUAAGGAUGGAUAAGGCUCCCUGCUGAGUUUAGUGGAAAUCAUAAAUGCCAUUGUGUAAUUACCAAUUGAGCCCUCGAUAAUUUCGUUUAGUCGCACGGAUUAAUACUUUUGCAGGCUUCUAAAGAGUCCGAUUGAGCCUCAAAUUUGACAGAAUGCUGUUUUUAUCUUAAACAAGUCCAUAAAUUGUUAAAUUUCUAGUUUCACCCGUUUGGUCUGAGAACUGUCCCGAAUGUAAUCUUUCAUCAGAUACUUUCGGAUGCUAUUCUCUCUCUACAGGGUCAGGAAUUUUUUAUAUGAAACUUAAAAUCUAGCUAUAAAACUAUGUGACAUCUCCGCAAAAGUUUCAUAAUUUUUACCUGUGCUUUUGUCUGUUAAUUUCUCUAGUCCCGUCUUUACAAAAAUUUAUAAUCUUUCGGUUUGCGCUCGAUUUAAACGAGCAUUAAACUUAUAUAUUUACACCUUAGUCAAAUAAUGUGUUAGACGAUUGUAUUUAUUUUGCUCACUUUAAUUCUUUAAUCAAACUUAGAAGUCGGAAAUCCGCAAUUCCUUUAAAUAUUCGUUUCGCCGGCCCAAUUUGCGCCGAAACUUAUUUUAUCUUUGAAUUAUUCUCACGCGUCCAAAAUCACUCGGGGAGAGUCAACUAGCUCAAUCCUACUUGAUCCUGGAUCAAAGUUGAAUCGCAACUCCAAGGAAUGCCAUAUAUACAAGCUAGCGUGGGCGACGUUUUCAGCUGACGAAUUUAUUACAGAAAUGGGAGUCGUGGUACGACAAUAUGCCACCAUUAAUGUUAAAAAUGCUGAAGUACUUAUGUUAUAAGGAUAAGAUGUGGGUAAUUUAAUGGUAUGAUAUUCAUUUUAAAUUAGUUUUUAACAAAUUAAUAUAUUCUUGUUUGUUAUUUAAAUACAUAGUUAUAUGAUAUGCUUUGAUUAGUUGUAUGUAUUUAUGUUUUUUUAGGAAAUAUGAUGGGAUGCUGGUUUUAGAGAUGAAGUGAUGUAUAAUUUCAAUCAUAUGUAUAGCGAUGGGAACAUCGAGAGCAUCGAUUAUAAGUCGAUUGCUUGACAGGGAUGAAGAUGGUUAAUUGUUCCAGAUGUAUAUGGAUUCGAUGGGCAGUUUAGUUGAAUCUUUGGUUUGAAUAUUUAAGGUUAUUAAUUUAUCAUAAUGUUAUUAGUUGCUGAAGAUUUAUAUUUUAAUGCAAAGUAUGACAUCUACUUAAUUUUUUGGUAGAGUAAUGUCCCCGGCUGCGAAAUAAGCCAAUUCGAGCAACAAUGGCUAGCCAAUGUGUGGAAGGAAAUCAUUCGCUAGGUUUUAUAUGUAUGGUGAUUUUGUCAAUUAAUUCAAUUUAUGGUUAAAUUUUAUAUUAUAUUAAUUUAAUGAACAAGGUUUUAUUUUAAUUGAGGAGGAUCCAAUAACGGAGGUUAGUCAUGUUUAAUGAAUACUGGGAGGCUAACCAUAACGAAGAAUGAUAAUAUUGUGUUUGAUCGGCUAAAAUGCUUAUGGUUAUAGCACAUCUUUGUAGCAUCAACUUUACUAAUUUUUAUAUAUACAUGUAUUAGACUGUGAAAUCUUAGAAUGAAAUUUAGUUUAGUAUUUAUAUAAUUUUUAUAUGUUAGAUUGUGAAGACGAGCAUUUUUUUCUAAAUAUAAAUAUGUUUCAAUAUUAGUUUUGUAUUCAUUGGAAUAGCAGAAACAAUUGAGAUGUUAAGAAAUUCACAAAGAAGUUAGGGAUCCUCAUAUCAACGGGUGAAGAAAUUUAACAAAGACUUUUGGUGCACGCUCGGAUAUUUGUGGUUAGGAUGUGACUAAGCACUAAUUAGCAAGAUUUGAAGCUUAAAGCAUCAAAGGGCUAUGAUAGAGGGACAAAUAGAAGAAUGAAGAAUGAGCUGAAGCAAUCAGAGAGGAGAUGAAGACGAGAAGACGCCUACAAAGGAGAAAGAUGAGAGAGAGGAGAGGUUUAAAAAGAAUUGAAGAGAGUAAAGCACUUCAGUAAGAUGAGAAAGAGUGAGAGGUUUAAAAAAGAAAUUGAAGAUAUUAAGACCCACUUUAAAGCUGAAUUUAUGAAACAAUUAAGAUAAUUGUUCAAUUUAUUAUGGAGCACCGAUACUAUCUCUUCAUCAAAAUCAAUUAGUGAAUUUCUUAAUGAAAGGUAACUAUAUAUUCUAUCUCCGUUAUUCUUUAUUUUUAUAUUUUUGUGCUUUAAAAGUAAAAUUCCAGGUGAUGUGCAAUUAUCUUUGAUGUGCAAUUCAGUUAUUUGCUCUUGUUGCAGAAGUAUGCUAGUUACAUUUAAUAUGUUUAAUAACCUUAAUUGUUUCUUUUUUUUUUUUUUACUGUUGCAAAUUCAUUCGAAGGGAAGUGCCUGGAUUGAUUUUUACUUAUGGGUAUAAGCGAAGUAGAAAGUGUAGUAAUGGUUCAGCAAACAAGUAUAGAUGAUUUGAGGAAUGUGAGUAUAUAUAAGCUAAUUCUAUGUUAGUGUAAACACUUAUGUUAAGCCUGACAAGAUUGAUAAUUUUGCAAUGGAAUAAUAGAAAUUACAAAUCAAAUGAUAGUUUCGAACUAAAUCUUAAUUUACUUUCAUUUGAUAGUGGAUGUGUGUGUGUGGACUGUGUGUGCAUGUGUGUGUUUUGUUAUGUAUUCAUUCAGUGAAACAUGUCAAAGGAUAAGAGGAUUUGGGAGGUAGUGUGGAAUAUUGAACAUACAUUGAGUUGCAUAAUUAAAGCUGACUGACAUACAUAUGAUCACACUUUAGUGUAUACCAAGUUGAAAUAACUACAAAAAUGAUUCAGGAUUUUAAGAUUAGGCCAUUGAUGUAUGCUUAAGGACAAUAUAGUUUGGACUCUGUUUGUUUUUUUUUUGAAGAGAAGUUGGUUGUUCAUGUGAUAUAUAGCUAGUUUCUUAAGUCUAAUAUAGAACACUUGAUAAUUGCUUAUGCAUAGCAUUUGACAAAUUAGCACAGUGGAGUUCUUUUUUUGUUUUUGUUAUAUUACUUCAUGUUUCAAGAAUAAUGUUUACAUUUGUUUACCUUAUUUUUCAUUAUGAUGGAUGUUAGCUUUGCAGAGAAUCAAAGAGGGUUCGAAUGCUGAUGUUGUUUGAAUAUUGAAUAUAGGGUUUUAGGGUUUGUUCUGUGUUUCAGAUUCGUGCUUCAUUUGGGAAAAUGGAAAGGUCAGUGAAUGUUAGUUGACAUAGAUCAGAAUAGAUUUAUAGUUUGGUUUUUGAGGCUAAAAUCAUUUUAUUUUUCUUCUCUAGCCACAGAGGAUAUAGACUUUCAGUUUUUAAAGUGCUUGGCUUACUGAUUCUUUAUUAAAGAUUCCGGAAGUCAGGUAAACGAGUAUAUUCAACAAGCACAAGCUAAACUAAUUAAUGAUUUUAAGCAUAAACUUUCAGUAUGGUUCUCUAAAAUUGCUUCAUGAAAUGCAUGCUGUUCUAUCACCCCCUAGAGAGCUAUAAUCAUGGGUUGUUUUAGAACUUCUUGAUUUUACGUGGAAUUAGAUGUUAUUUAUAAAUUGUUCUUCUAGAACUGUUUAGUGAAUUAUAUCAUUCCUGGGGCAUGGACUUCGUCUUGUCAAAUUUCAGGAUCUCCUUGUACUUAUUUGCAUAAUGUAUGAGUAAAUUAUUGCUUUUGUUUUUUUUCUUUUCUUGCCCUGAGAAAAUUAGUAUGGUGAAAUUAUUUUGUUCCACUUUUCUUUUUUCAUGUUCUCUAAAAACAAUACGGAUGCAGUUAAUUUAUUAAUACAUAUCUAAUGUUUAUGAUAUGAGCUAAAGCAGUAUAUUCUGUCAAGGUCCUGUAUUCUGAUUGAACAUUCGAUUAGUAAGUGUUUGUUGGGCGAGAUUCAAUUUUAGAAGAGUUGCAUGGAAUCGACAAUAGGAGAUUGUUUCACUUAGAGGAUACGAAUUCAAUGCUUGUAAGUAAGUAGGCAUAAACCCUGUCUAUUGCGCGACAAUUAGCUUUUUAUGUUGCUUUUGUUAUGUAGAAGUCUAUACAGAACAAUUUUUAUUUAGUAAGUCAAGACACUGAAACUAGAUUAACAGAAAGAUCCUUAAUUGUGCGUAAGAUGAUGCUUUGUUUACUGUUGGACCCUUUUCUAGGAAUUUUUUAUCAUGUGUUAGGAUCUCUGGGAUUUAAUGUAUGAUAAUCGCCUCUAAAGUUUUAUUCUUAGUUUCAGUUUUGAGAUGGGCUUUAUGCAAUUCUUUAAUAUUAUUCAAUUUUAUAGUAAGAUUUUACUGCUAUGCUAAAUUGUGAUUUUGGCCAAACAGUAGUAGGUCUUGCGGAUUGAUUUCGGAUAUAAGUUCAGGACAACGACAGAAUAGGUUUAUGAACAUGCUUAAACAUUAAAUGUCUAAGUGUCAUAAAGGGGCACUAGACCUAGAGAAUGUUGGAACUUCAUUUGUGACUUAGAACUAGAUCUUCGAGAUGCUAGUGACUAUACCAUGUUAGAGACAUGAGGGUUGGAUACUUGAGCCAUUGACUACGCUUGUUUGCCAUUUGUGCUCAUUCGCACAUGCUUGUGAGGGUCGCUCCCUACAAGCCGGCACUCCGGAGUUAGCCUACGCGACUUUUGUUCGCUCGUGCGGUAUUGAGAAGCCUACGGGGUCGAGUGGGACAGACACAUUCCAAGAGUAGGGAUGUCGGGCUACCACAGGCACUUAGGCGGCACAAGCUGGACUACCUUGGGUAGGUCCCUUAUUGGUAAUAGGAACCGACACGAUAUUGAGUGUGUGAUAAUCACUACUAGACAGAUAGUAGUAGCUUGUCACGCCCCAGGAUCCCUCUUAGUCUAAAAGGUAGCGGAAAAGCGUCUGAAUUUUUUUUUGAAAACCUGACCCCAGAGUGUGCCAGAUCCGCCACAAAUACAGGAGUUCCACUGUUCACACGGACAGAGUCUCCCCUGUAUUUGCACGGCGUCGCACAAGUACAAGAGUUCAAUCAUACAACAACCACAACCAGAUGAACAUACAAAUAACCACAGAUAUACAUUCAUACACCAUUCACCACAGAUUCACAAAUAUACAUUCGCUAUUUAAAUAUAAAUCCACAGAAAAUCUUUUGAAAACUGUUCCCUACACAGGAACUUUUAUCUUUUCAAAACGCUACCACGAGGGGUAGAAAACUAUUUUUAUUUCAAGAAAACACAAAUUCCUUUAUUACAUUCCAAAACCAACUGAAAACUCAGAUAUCCAAAUAGUAAAAUAAAACUGAACCAUAAUAUGUCUAAGUUAGUUAUUUAUUUAANNNNNNNNNNNNNNNNNNNNNNNNNNNNNNNNNNNNNNNNNNNNNNNNNNNNNNNNNNNNNNNNNNNNNNNNNNNNNNNNNNNNNNNNNNNNNNNNNNNNAAGAGCAUCAUGAUUAUGGUGAUCCUUCGCUUAGGAGUAUCGUAGAAAACCAAGGAAGAGAACUCCAAGCGAAGCGGAGAUCAAAUCGACAUAUUGAUAUCGCGAAACGAUAUCUCGAUUUGAUCUAAAUAGGUUUAGAAUAAAAUCCGAGCCUCUAGGGUUUCUCAAACAUGUAUUCUUAUGAUGCUUAAUCAAUUAGAGAACCCCUAUAGCUUAUUUAUAAACUUUAGAAUCAAAACAGAGUAGGAUUAGAAAGUUUCUUUCCAAAAUCAGCACCUUGUACCGGAACAAGGAAUGUUGUCCAGGGUACACCAUGACGGAAGAUUUUUCUGCGAAGCUCCUGUACCCUGGAUAGGCUGUUGCUUGUUCCGGAACAGGGCUUGUACCGGUACAGCAUGAAGCUUGUACCGGAACAACCAUCAAACUUUCUGCCAACGUUGAUGGCUGUACCCUGGACAGAAAAUCCUUGUACCAGUACAGCAAUGCAAUUUUUGCUGAAAAUGCAUUGUUUUGGAUUUUACAAACUCUUAGAAACUUUCUAAUCAAUUACAACUUGAAAACAUGAUUCUAAGAUCUAUAAUUAAGUAUGAAUCACCAUAAACAAGAUUUAAAGCUUACCUACGCAUCGUGAUUCAUGUUUUACGUGUUUUGCAUCCUUUCCGAUUCUUCGAAGUCUUCGAUUCUUCGAUCUUCAAUACUCUGCUCCGAACUUCUUCAAGACUCCGACUCGACCCACGAAACUUGCCAACACAUAGGACCUAACAAACUGUAAAGAAGCACAAGAACCGACCACUCAGGUCAACUAGGAUGGGACAACAUCGACAUCCUCUCAAACAUAUGCAAAUACUGCUCAAUGAACCACAAGGACUGACCACUCAGAUCAACUAGGAUAUGAAACUCGACCAAUCACGUCACAAGUAUAGGAUAUGAAACUCGACCAAUCAUGUCACAAGUAUAGGAUAUGAGUAAAGUAUAAUCAUCCGUCGGCAACUAACCGACAAUCCCACCCCUCAGGGUAUACCGACCUCAACGGUCAUCAGACAACAAAGGUCGAGGAACUCACCGAAUAGGUCACAAAUACUGAAUACUAGAAUCGACCGACUAGAUCGCUAAUCUCACAGAUAAUCACAGAAUCGCUCUACUAUAAAUAUGAAACAGGGUAUGCAGAAUAGCUAAGUAGAGCAACAAGGAAACAUGGUAUCACAUACAGAUAGACUAUACUCCUACACAUGAUACUAAGCAUGGAAACAUCUGAGUAGAGUAUAAUCAAACAACGUGGGUGUAAUGUAAACAAUAGAGGUGCAAAGCUCAACAUAUAAUAUAAGCAUGGAUAAUAACAAAAGAGCAAGGGUAAGAAACCAUCACCGAGCGUGCACCACUGUACCAACGUCGGAUCGAAGUACCCACCUGUAAGGAUGUCGCGCCUGUCUCCCAACUGCGAAAGAAUGACAACCGGACCUACAGAGGGUCCACCGGGUUAGUAUGUAACCCACAACUAAUAUCCACUAAAUCCACAACCCUCAAACCCGUAUCGUUAACUCACAAUUCCAAAAUCAUAGCCCCUCGGGAAUCGGUUUCCCGAAACCAAUUACCGAACAAACCGGAAGUCCCGAAAACCGCACCGAGACUCUGUCGGGACCCACGGACUGUCCCGGAACUCACCGACUCGCACUACGAGUCACCCGCUGCCACUAAAUACAAUUUACAUGUGACAUGGCAGCAAAGACCUUAACUCACUCCAAAACGAUUAUCGUCGGAUAAUCGUUCCGAACCGGGUUCCCGGAAGUGUCUAUUUCGACACAGAAACCCACUGUCGCUCACCCGUCAUUUCCGAACCCUUGAAAUGACACGGGUGACCAGCCAACAAGGCUCAGUGACUACACAAUAGCUCACAAAGCACCGUCGGAACAAUUCCGAACCGAACCCGCAUUCCGUCGGCGGAUUUUGCCGACAAACGGACCGGAAUACCCCUUUUCGAUCUUCGCAAAGGUCCGGGGCCUUGGACAAUCACUCCAGAGGUCACCCACAACUCAUCCAUGCUGCCAACAGCAGCCGCGGCGAACAAGGUUCAAUAAAAGCCCGUCCGAAUACCCGAAAUCGCAUUAUUUCAUGCGAUUUCGGCGCUUUUAUAGUCCGUCUGCACAAACCAGAAGUGAAACAGCGAAGCCGAGACACCCGCUGACAGGUCUCGGCAUGCCGGAAACCGUGCUCACCUUUCGAAGCAAUUUCGGCCACAGAGGGAAGCGCACGAGCAAUGCGAAACUCUGCGAGACUGCGCGCACAGCGCAAAGAUUGCGAUUAACUCGCUAACCAGGGCAUCAUUGCCGCUGUCGGAGGUGAGCACGAUGUUCAGCACGAACCCUAGAUCAUCGUGCUCACUUCCCGGGGUGUCGGGGAGUCAUUGGAUCACCGGAAGGGUGGCCGAAAAGCUAAACUACUGUGCUGGAACACAAAACGGCCUUACCGGAUCCGAGGAGGGCUAGGGUUGGUCGCCAGCGACCGGGAGGCGGGCGGCCCGGCCAGGGAAGGGUGCGGCCGGUCGGUGGGGUUCGGGGCACCUGCUGGCCGGCGGCGGGAGCUGGCCGGUGGCACGGCGGCGCAGCCCAAAACCGCCGAGUUCCUCUCGGGUUCGAGCUUCCCGGCGGCGCGGCGGCGGCCGGAGGAGGUCGGGGCGACGAGGAUCCGGUGCCGGAGACCGAGGGGAAGGUGGUGCACCCCUCGAUGGGCAGUGGCAAUGCUUGGGAGCCGAGCGGGCCCGACCUCGGCCCGCACGGGUCUGGGCGGCCGCAGGAGGUUCCAGCGGCGGCUGGCAGCGUGCAGGGAAGGCGGGACGGCAAGCGGGAGGUUGCCGGGGGUCACCGGAAGGUGGCGCGGCCGAUGGGGAGCGACGGUGGCGCGCCUAGACCGAGGUCACCCAAGCUCGGCCUGGGCUGACCGCAGAUGGCCGCAGGGGACUCGCGGGGCUCCGGCAGGGCACGGGGAUGGCCGGAGUCGGCGGUGAAGAUGCCGGAGAUGGGUCUCGGCCAGGGGAUGGUGAAGCUCGGGUGAAAAAAGCUUCCUUUGCAACUUCGGCGAAGUCAGAGGAGAGGGUGGCCGAGAGAGCAAGAGAAGAGGUCGGGGUGGCUUUUCCGGCGGCCGGGGCGUGCGCACGGGUUGGGCAAGGAGAAGGUGGGGCGGCUAGGGCUCGGUUCGGCUGAGGAGAAGGCCAAAAGCUAGGGUUUCCUCACGAAACCCUAGUGCAACUACUAUUUACAUAUGCACAUCUGCAAGAUAGUCCUCCCAGGGAUAAUAUUCUCAGUCAAGUCCCUCACAGCAUGCGUAUUUUACACAUACGCACCUCCAUGUCCGAUCUCACGCAAUUCGGCACAUAAAAUAUUAUGACUUUUGCGAAUUUCCCGAUUUUCCACUCUCGACCCCUUAGCGAACUUCAUGCAAUAUCCGGCAAUCCGUUCAUCGGAUUUCCGAACGGAUUGCACCAUCGCGUUCAGCACGACGAAGGCAAUGAAACUACUAUUUCGUUUCAUCCGAUUUACUUGCCGAUUUGCGACCAAACCCAACUGCUCUCCAACUAAUCCACAAAUUACACAUAGACCAAUGUAUAAACCCUAAAACCUUUAAUCCAAAUUCAAAUUUGAAUUCGCUACCACCAGUAGGUACCAGAAACAACUCUCACCUAACCCCAGGUCACAAACGUAGAGCACGAGGAGUCUCAUUACGCAAGAACAGCAAAGGGCGAAAAUCCUCUUUUCGAUAAAAUCCCUUUUUCUUGAAAAUCGUGCAUCAGAUCUGAAAUCCGUCAGUGCCAUUGGUUCCAGAAUAGCUGAACCGAUCAAAACGAGCUAUUGGAUCGCUAUGAAGGGAGUCCGAUACGCGUAGAAAGCCAACUCUACUCCGUGGCUUCACCGAAAAACCGGAGUUACUAUUCACUUAAGUGAAAACUAAUAAUCGCGUAACUUCUCCGUUUUAGCUCAUUUUCUCAUGAACUCUGAAACUGGAACGAACAAACGGUAAACACGAGUAAGCGUGUACGAACACUCCCAGCGAGGGAUGUUCGGCCGUGAGGCCUCAAUCGGAUACGCUGAAUACAAGCGAGCACGUCAUAACUCUUCGGAUGCCCCAGCUCACCCUGUCUGUGUAAGGUUCUCAUUCCUACAGCCCGAUGGUGUCCGUGAAUCCGCCGUGUUCGACCUGAUGGAAACCAUCCAGGAAUUAACCUUUACCUUUAGCUGUGCCACAAUUCUUACUUAUUAGUGACGAUCUAUCCGAAUCAUCAACCCAAUGAACUGUGCGAGUACUGUAUCGUAACCCUAUAUAUAUCAUAUGAACGGACAAAGUUAGUAACACAGUAUCAUAUGACCCAGCGUACUAUCUCGAGUAAGAAAUACGUACUGUAGAACCUGUCAUCGUAAAUGAACAACGGUAGCCUGCAUGAACAAAUACGAUCUCAUCUACAUGUAGUAUGAAUGUAGUACGACAUUCCUGACUCUAAAAAUGUCACGUUGAUUUGAGAGACAACUACUACAAAUACACACAUUAAAUUAAUGUAUUCAUAAGUAGUUCAAAGUCCUUNNNNNNNNNNNNNNNNNNNNNNNNNNNNNNNNNNNNNNNNNNNNNNNNNNNNNNNNNNNNNNNNNNNNNNNNNNNNNNNNNNNNNNNNNNNNNNNNNNNNNNNNNNNNNNNNNNNNNNNNNNNNNNNNNNNNNNNNNNNNNNNNNNNNNNNNNNNNNNNNNNNNNNNNNNNNNNNNNNNNNNNNNNNNNNNNNNNNNNNNNNNNNNNNNNNNNNNNNNNNNNNNNNNNNNNNNNNNNNNNNNNNNNNNNNNNNNNNNNNNNNNNNNNNNNNNNNNNNNNNNNNNNNNNNNNNNNNNNNNNNNNNNNNNNNNNNNNNNNNNNNNNNNNNNNNNNNNNNNNNNNNNNNNNNNNNNNNNNNNNNNNNNNNNNNNNNNNNNNNNNNNNNNNNNNNNNNNNNNNNNNNNNNNNNNNNNNNNNNNNNNNNNNNNNNNNNNNNNNNNNNNNNNNNNNNNNNNNNNNNNNNNNNNNNNNNNNNNNNNNNNNNNNNNNNNNNNNNNNNNNNNNNNNNNNNNNNNNNNNNNNNNNNNNNNNNNNNNNNNNNNNNNNNNNNNNNNNNNNNNNNNNNNNNNNNNNNNNNNNNNNNNNNNNNNNNNNNNNNNNNNNNNNNNNNNNNNNNNNNNNNNNNNNNNNNNNNNNNNNNNUCCUGGAUCAACCUAAAAGAAUGUUAUCUCCCAGAUAUACUGGGUAGGUUAGAGAGAAGUGGAGUAAAGAGAAGAGAGUUGAGAGAGAUGUGGGAACUAUCUCUUCUUCUUCUUCUUCCUCUUCCCCUUCUUCCUCCCUUCUUCUUCUUCAAACUCUCGAUGAUCACCUGAACCUCGUAGAAGGAGUGGGAUAGAAGUAGGAACCACGAACCAUGAACCUGAACCUCGAACGUUCUCUCUUCUAGAAGUGGGAAACUCGAACCUAACUUCGAAGAAUCUCCAACCAUCGGGAAAGAGAGGUAGAUCUGAAACCUAAACUCCAAAAGAACACAACCUUGGGAUCUUACUCUAAAAUCCCAACUAAAACCCUGGAAAACUAGAUCCCGAAAACCUCGAACUAGUGAACCUAAUCUCGGAAGGAAACCCAACCUAACCUUCCCUAAAUCGAGAAAAAACCUCGAAUCCUUCUCUAAAACGUGAUCUCCAUUCAAAACUGGGAUAAAAACUCUACCAAUUACAAACUAGGAUAUCAACUAGCAUUACGGGCACAUAGAGAAGCGAGUUAUGAAAGUCCCAUAAAACUCUGAGCACCUGUUGAGUCAAAAAUCCAAUAUUGCAACAGCCCGGUCUGGGCAGUUUUCGCCCAGAGGGACCGGUCUCUCCCCAGCAGGGACCGGUCUCUUGCUGCGAACCCGAGAAACCAACGUUCGGGAACCGAUCUCUCCCUACGCGGGACCGGUCUCUCACUGCGUAGACGCGCUCGGGCGCCCGCCAGGGACUGGUUGCCUCAGGGCUGCCGCAACACUGCUCACUGCGGGACCGGUUUCUCCUUUCAGGGACCGGUCCCCGAGAGUGAAAACUCUCAGGACUCGUCCAGAAUUCAGGUUUUCAAACUUUUUAGGUUGGAAAACAUUCUACGACCCUCCACCAAGUGUGGAAAAGCUCGAAACCCAUCUUGUCACUCGAACCUCGCAAUUUGCGAAGGUCCAGUGUGCUACAAUAAUUUAGAUACAUCACAUUUGUUUACUAGUGUGAUUAGUAUCUUGAUAGUGAGGGUUCCGUUAUUAGCUCACUACAAUUGGUAUCAGAGUAUCAAGGUUGAGUGCAAGGUGUUCGAUAAAUUGUCUCAAUGGCAACAAAUCGAUUAGAAGUGGACAAAUUUGAUGGAAAGAGAAACUUUGAACUUUGGAAGUUAAAAGUUCAUGAUAUAUUAGUACAACAUGGGCAAUACAAAGCUCUACUUGGGAGAGAUAAGAAACCGGAAUGGAUGACCGAUGAUGAAUAGGAGGAGAUGGAGAUGAAAGCUUUAGCCACCAUUCGCAUGUGCUUGGUGGAUGAAGUUCUUUUCAAUAUAAUUGGAGAGAAAAUGGCUUUUGGAUUAUGGGCAAAUUUAGAGAGCUUGUACCAAAACAAAUCAAUUACCAACUGGAUUUUCUUGAAGAGACGGUUGUACUCUUUGAGAAUGAAAGAAGGCACCAAGGUCUCCGAUCACUUGAAUGUAUUCAACAACAUUAUUUCUGAGCUUGAGAGUAUCAGGGAGAAGAUGAAGGAUGAAGAUUGUUAAGGAUUUUAUAGGUUGGCGAAUUUCGUAAAGUUGUUUGGAGUCUUGAAGAGUUGAUCGCNAGAUGGCUCUUUGAGAUUUAGGAACCGGUUAUGCGUUCCUAAGAAUCCAGAUUUUAAAAAUAAAAUUUUGAAGGAGGCCCAUUAUUCGGGAUAUUUAGUGCACCCUGGAGGAACAAAAAUGUACAGAGACUUGAAGAACAUCUUCUGGUGGAGUGACAUGAAAAGGGAGUUGCAGAGUUCGUGGCUAAGUGUUUGACUUGCCAGCGUGUGAAAGUUGAUAAGAAGAGAUCAGCCGGCUUACUUCAGCCCCUUCCUACUCCUGAGUGGAAAUGGGAGAGAAAAACUAUGGAUUUUGUUACUCGACUACCUAGAAGUGAGAAGGGCAAUGACGUAGUUUGGGUCAUAGUUGAUAGAUUGACUACGUCAGCGCACUUUCUGGCUGUAAAGACGGGUAUGACUUUGGAGAAACUAGCGGAGCUCUAUAUUGCACAAAUAGUAUGUCUACAUGGUGUUCCAGUUUCGAUCGUGUCUGAUCGUGAUUCAAGGUUUGUGGCUCACUUCUGGAAAGGAUUACAUAAAGCUUGCAUGCCUGCAGGUCGACUCUAGAGGAUCCCCGGGUACCGAGCUCGAAUUCGCCCUAUAGUGAGUCGUAUUACAAUUCACUGGCCGUNAGAUGGCCAGUCCGAGAGAACGAUUCAAAUUUUCGAAGACAUGUUACGUGCUUAUGUAAUCGAUAUGAGAGGCUCUUGGAAUCAUUACCUACCAUUGGUCGAAUUUGCCUACAAUAAUAGCUUCCAGGCCAGCAUACAAAUGGCUCCCUUUGAAGCCUUGUAUGGACAGAAAUGUAGAUCCCCUCUAUGUUGGGAUGAUGUUGGUGAGAGAAAGCUACUUGGUCCGGAGAUUGUGCAACAAACUAUUGAGAAGGUUCAUUUGAUUAAGGAGCAUCUCAGAGCAGCUCAGAGUCGGCAGAAGAGCUACGCUGAUAAUCGAAGACGACCGCUCGAGUUUGAAGCCGGAGAUCGUGUCUUCUUGAACGUGUCACCCUCAAGAAGUAUUAUGCGCUUUGGAAUCCGUGGGAAGCUUAGCCCUCGUUAUGUGGGCCCUUUUGAGAUACUUGAAAGAAUUGGUGACGUAGCGUACAGACUAGCCUUACCGCCUUCUUUAGCUGGAGUGCACAACGCCUUUCAUGUAUCUAUGUUGAGAAAAUAUGUUCACGAUCCGAGCCACGUUGUAGAGCCGAAACCUUUGCAACUUAGAGAAGAUCUAUCUUAUGAUGAACGGCCGAUACGUAUUGUGGACCGAAAAGAGCAAGUUUUGAGAAGACGGGCCAUUCCAUAUAUUAAAGUCCAGUGGAGCAACCAUUCCGAACGAGAGGCUACUUGGGAACUUAAAGAACAGAUGAGGAAGAAGCACCCUCAACUCUUCGAGAGCUAAGGUGUGUUAAGUUUAGAGGACUAAACUUCUUUUAGGGGGGGGUGGUUGUAACACCCCACACUUUUAACUUCUUAUUUUGACUCCUUUUCUUUUGAAACUUGGACUUUUUUGUAAAUAUUAAGAGUAUUAGGGCUUGGCAGCAUUUUGUUUAUUUAAUCCCUAAUUUAAUUAGAUUUUUUUCCUUUUCUUUUAAUUCCGGAUGAACCCCUCCCCCAACCCGAUCAACCUUUUUCGCCUUUCCCGUACGACACUUUCUCUCUCCCCUCACCGCGUCCGUACGACUUCUGCCACUCCGCUCGUGCGCGCGCGACGCCAUCUGAUCCCUACCGUCGUCGCCGUCAUCCGUAGCGGCUUCCGCCGCAAUCCUCUUUGAUCGUUAUUUUUGGUUCGCUAUCGACGGAAUCUUGCCGUCGUCUUCACCAUUUCGAGAAGGUUUUUCUCUUUCCCUCAUUUUACCUCUAUAUCGAAUCUUGUGAUCAUCCAACCUCUCUAUUCAUCGUUAUAUUAUUAUUAUUUUGAAUACUCGUCUCUUAAUGGUUGAAAAUUGAAACCAUUAAAAUCCGAUUUCGUUAUAUCUAAUCUUCAUCGUUUGAACAGUUUAGUUUCAUAUCUUGUAUCCUCUGUAUGAUCUUGUUGCAUAAAACUUCGCACAUUCUACACAUUUUUGGAAUGCCCAUUAUAUGUUCGAUGAAACGCCUUUGAGAGGGCGAAUUUCGUUUUGUUUCUAAUUUCGAUCUCAUCUAAUUGUAAUUUGCCUAUUAAUAUUCCAACAUCUGAAAACCCUCUGUUUGAGCAUUGAAAUCUUCGUUUAUUAUUUAAAUUUCCGUUCAUGUUAUCUUCUUGGAAUAAUUUAAAUUCUCCAAAAACUCCUUCAUCCCUUUGAUCACUAUUUGAGGUUCGUCGAAUUUAUUAUUCUAAAUCCCUUUGUGCUCCGUCCCGACCUAUUUGCAUACCAUUAUAUUCUCUUUGCAUGUUCAUUUUAGUUAGCUUAUAGAGAAUCGCAUGUUUCUAUUUUAGGUUUCGAUGAUUAAUUUUCUGCGCAGUUUCGACUGGAUAAUUUCUCUCUUUAAAGCUGCGUUAAGGUAAGCGACCGGACACCCGUUAGUUUUUCGUAAGAUAAAUUAGGAAAAUAUUCCGAUUGUACCAAAUCUUAUUUUGUAGAUUUUAAAAUUAAGGGUUAAGCAUAUUGUUUAAUAUUUCUGUAAAUUGAGCUUCAACUGUAAUUGACAGGUCCUUUUAGCAAAAUGAACUUUUGAAAUUUGAUAAUCUGUUUUGUAAAUUAGUGACUGGAUAAUUUUUUUAAUUAUAAUGUCUCAUAGUAUUCUGCUAUGCUAUGUUGGCCAUGUCGACAUGUAUUUUGUUAUAGAAGCAAGCUUCGUCUUUGUAUUGCGCCUUCGGGUGCCUGCGCCUAUCCGCGCCUUUAUUUUGUUUGCGCCUUCGGGUGCCUGCGCUUAUCCGCGCCUUUGUUUUGUUGCAACUUCGGGUGUCUCUGUUUUGUUUACGCCUUCGGGUGUCUUUAGAUCUCGCCAACGGAUCAUAUGAUAUAGUUAAGUGCCGGAGACUUAAUGUUUACGAUUAUCUUUUGCAUGUUAUCUAUCUGAUUCUGUAGCCUUGUAUAUUUACUAAUUUAGUAGAUAUGCGGCAUCUGUUAUGCCUCGGGUUUGGGGCGUGGCAAUAAGGGCGCACAAAGAGAAGGGAUUUCUAUAACUGAUUCAGUAUUUUUAAAGGGAAGAGAGAAACUAAUUGAACUAAAGGUCUCAAAUGGCUACCGAACUCUAGAUCAUGAGCCAAAUUAGGAGGAAAUUGAACUACCUAAAGCUUGCUGAUAAAUAAUAACAAAGACACAGAGACCACGUGAAAACCUAAAAUCUAAUCAAUAAAACUCAAUGCUCCUCCUUUCGAAUAAUGCUCUUGAACCAGUAAGCCGAGUUCUUAGGGUAUCGCUUGAGCGUGUUGAAAUCAACGUAGACUAGGCCGAACCUCGAUGUGUUCCCCAACUGCCACUCAAAAUUGUCGAGCAGGGACCACGCAAAGUAGCCGAUCACAUUGGCGCCCUGCUCCAUCGCACUGCGUAGUUCGGUCAAGUAGCUCCUGUAGUAGUUGAUCCUUGUUGUAUCCUCCAAUGCGUGAGGAAGAGUCACGUUACCAGCUUGGUCCAUUCCUGCAUUCAUCGUCACAAACAACAAAGCAAAGUUUAGUUAAUCAUUAAUUGCCGAUAGAAGUGAACAUAGAGAGAGGGUUAGAAUUGACUUUUAAGUUGUUAAUACCAUUUUCAGCAAGAAUGAUUGUUGGGCUGUUAUAUGCCUCCUUAACGUAAGUCACAGCUUUGUAUAUUCCCCAUGGAACAAUGUAAAGCCAAUAUGAAUUUGCCUGCAUCAAUAAAUCCAAAACUAAUUGAUUUUCAAAAUUCCUUUCAUGUAUGCUAAAUAAAGAAGAUCACGACGUUGUGUAGGUGUCACCUUCUUGUGCUAAAAAACAAGAAUGAUUGAAAUCUAUGAAUGAGAAGAAAUGAAGAUAAUACAGAACUACGAAUGUAAAAGAGAGAGAAAAAAAAAUGAAGAUAAUACCAAACUAUGAUUGUGAAAGAGAGUGAAUAAAAAUAGUCCUUCACAUCUAUGGCUAAGUUAAAUAGUUCAUAAGUCAAUAUCAAUGCUAGUAAUGAGUAUAAAAUUACCAGUUUUCCGAUUUCCACACCAUUACGAUCAUCUACAAAGGAAAGUUCAGAAAUGGAAGGGAUUAGUAUAGCAUUGUUAAAACACCAUCAGCAUGUACUUAAGUCUAUAUAAUCACUCGAGAGGCCAGAGAGAACUCACAAAUAUAAUUAACAUGCCAGUCAUUUGAGUAGCUGACUUCCAUACCACUGGUCGGUUUUUGGUCCCCCAUAUAGUAAGCGGUGUACUGAUUGAUGCCCACGUAAUCGAACGAACCUUUAACAAUCUUAACCUCCUUAGCAGUGAACUUGGGCAACCUGUCCUUGACAAUCUCUUGCAUUGUGUUUGGAUAGUGACCAUACACAAUCGGGUGAAGGAACCUGCAAUAGAUUGAAACCGUGUUUGUAAAUACUCAAUUUUCUUAAUGAUGAUGACAAGUUAGGUAUUAGUUAAAAUAUUUUUGUGAUUUUACCAUCCAAGAUGGAAGUCUCUGGCUCUUUGAGCGGCUGCUUUGUCCUCUGCAGAGUAAGUAUGAGGCUCAUACCAUACAAAGUCCAAGAGUAUUCCAAUCUUUCCCUUUUGAGAAGCCUGAAAAUAGUUAAUUUUCAUAAAUAUUCUGUCGCUUUUUGAUUAACUAACAGCAUCUAAUAUGACAACUGAGAUAGCAGAGCAAUUAGUCGUGCCUUUCACAUGAAAUACACAAGAAACGUUUCCAAUGUAACUAACAAAAGUUACUAUAUGAUUUCCUACGUAACACAAGAAAGGUUUCCAAUGUAACUAACUGCAAGUUGUUCUAUGCUUUCCAAUGUAACACAAGAAACGUUUCCAAUGUAAAAAACAAAGUUGUUCUCAGCUAGAAAUUUGUCCAGGGAAUCUCCAAACAACAAGAUUUUGUUCCAGCAUCCUCUUAUUAAUAAGCCAUUUUUCAAGCUCCCAACUGAGAACAACUUCACAAUAUGAAUGUAAGGAGUAUUCACUAACAAACUUCCUUUUGUGACUUCCUUUUGUGUGUGAUCUACUCUCCAAGAAAAGAGAAAUCUUGUAGGUCAAAUUAGGAAGAAAAUCAGUUCUCAAACUACUGGCAAGCAAGUACAACAAACAAAUUAUUUUGAAAAUAGAUCUUGAUUGACACCUUUCUUGAUUUGUAGGCCCUAUAAAAGUUUAGAAGUUGCAAAAGAAAAUUUCUGAGGUGUAAGAAUAUGAAGAACACCAAGCUGAUAGAGAAAUCGAAGGACAGUUACAUGCUCAGACAUAUACCUGAUACUUCUCACGAUAUCGCUUCACCGCAGCAGCAUGAGAUAAGAUGAGAUGAUGGGCCACAGUGUAGGGCUCUGUACUUGAGUUUCCCCCUGCUUUACAACCAGUACACCUUCCCGGGGCAUGCAAACCGUUAUCAUACCCAAGAGCCGCCACGCACCUCGGCUCAUUCAUUGUGAACCAGUUUUUCACUCUAUCCCCAAAUGUCUUGAAGCAAAAGUCGGCAUAGUCCGCGAAUGCAGGCCUAAAUCAACAUGUCGCGAACACAAAUAUCAAAAUACAGAUAUCAAAAACAAAUAACAAUAAUUACAGUAAGAAAAAAAAAUGAAUGAGAAAAAAAGCUAAUCCAUCUUUGCUUACAGGACAAAUUACUUUUAGGCCCUGUUUGGAUGCAUGAAUAUCUUGUUCAGUAUUUCUCCUUUGAAAUUUCUACAUUUGAUUUAAAGGGAGUGCAAUCAAAUGUUUAGAAUUUGAUACUAUAUUAGGCUUUCAAGUCAUAUUUUGGAUAAGAGAAAUCACAUCGUAGGUAAAAUACGCUAUCCUACCAAAUUAUGGAUAACAAGCCCUUCGAAGGAGUAAAAAUCAAAUUCCUUACUUACAAUCAUGUUACAAAAUUCUUAAACGGAAGAAGUUAGUUUUUGGAUAGCUUAUUCCGACAUCCAAACAAAGCAUUAUGCAGACACCUUGGUCAUACUAUUAUGAAUAAGAAUUAUUUUUACUGUGAAUAGAUAAAAUGUAUCUGGUUAAGAUUUGUGAAAUAUUGCUCUGUCAGUAGCAAAACUAGCUCUAUUAAUAUCAAUUCCCGUCUGUAAAUACAAAUUGCAACUAACGGGACCAUAAUGCUAGAAUGAGUCAAGAAUAAGUAAUAGAAUAGGGAAAGAGAAACGAUUAGCAGAAUAGAACAAUACGGUAAUAGGAUGUAAAAAAAAAAACACACACACACAACUCGAACUUACACUAUCUUCGGGUUUAACCAGCCAAGAUACUCCUCAUGAAGCGCCAAUGGGAGAUCAUAGUGGUAGAGAUUCGCAUACGGAGUGAUGCCUACAAAAUAAUGAAUAUUUCUCAGUUUCUCAGUUUAGUAUAUCAUUUAAGAAUUUAUUGACUUAAAAUCAUCUACUUGAGAACUUUACUUAAAAAAGAAAAAGAAAAAUGCUUCAGAGGGAAUGUACCUUGCUUGAUCAUGUAGUCGAUAAGCCUAUUGUAGUAUGCUACACCCUCCCAAUUGACCUUCCCAACCCCCUCUGAAUAGAUGGAGAACAAGUUUCAAUAAAGAUAUUUGCAAGAACACAAUGCUAUUUCUGUUACGAAUAUGAGGGGCUGUUUGGUUGCUUGCAUUUCAAGUUGCAUUACAGAUGCAACUACUUAGAAACCUAAAUAUUUUGCUCGGUUUGCUGCAGGUGCAUCUGCGUGCUGCAGUUGGAGGCCCAACUGUUGUAUUUCAAACUACAUGCACCUCCAAAUGGUGCCGAAAUACAAGUUUAAAAGAUCACUAAUUGUUGGUACCUGGGAAAAUGCGGGACCAGGAGAUUGAGAAGCGGUAUGCAUCAAAGCCCAUCUCCUUCAUUAUGUCUACAUCUUCCUGUGCCACAAGAAAGCAGAUUAAUCGAUACAAUAAAUAAGAGAAAAAUUAUGAUCCUCGAGGAAAGAACAUUAAAGAAGAAGCAGAUUCUUCAUGCUUAGUUAGUUAUGAACCAAUUUGGGACCUGAAAUUUAAAUUGGGUUUGGGGAUUUUAAUUUUAUCCCAGUUCGAUCCCAUUUUGCAAAAGGCGCAACAGAGAAAGAAACAAUUCAUUUUCAUAAUUACCUUAUAGCGAUGAUACUCGUCGGUUGUGACAUCGGCAGUAGCAUUAUUCGGAAUAUUACCUGCCCAUAAACAAACAAAAUAAUACUACAUAAAUAAAAUACAGCAUAACCAUCAUACAUAUUAAUAUAUAUGAACUAUUAUUUAAUUAACAUGUGAAGAAUAUGACCUGGGAUCUUAACAAAUGCGUCCCAAAUGCUAGGUCCCCUCCCAGCCUUGAGGGCCAUCCCUUCGACCUGGUACGCCGACGACGCCGUGCCGAAGACGAACCCCUCCGGGAAGCUCGCGCGGCUCAGCCCGCCCGUCCCGUUGUAUUCUGCCGCAGAGAAGCGGAUCGCCCCCGCCAGCACCCCGAAAAGGAAGAAGAAGAAGAAGACCGCACUCAACUUCUUCUUCAUCUUCAUCUUCAUCUUCAUCUUCACGGUGUGUCGUCUGCUUAGCAGCUUACUAAUCUUGCUCAGUUGAGUUGAGUACUUGAGUGGCAGUACAGAUAGUAUAAUAAUUGAAGAGUGGAGGGUCGUACUGGUACCGUCCUAUCUUCUUUUAUUUAUAGUAGAAAGAAUAUAAAAAGCGAGAUAAAAACAGAUAGGCAAAAGUAAUUUCGCUGUAAUAACAGAGCCCUAUCUGUGGAAUCAUGUUAGGUACAGUUUCCAAAUUGACAGGCAUGGAAAAUAGGGAUCCGAUAACAACGCCACCCAUUCUCCUGUCUCUUCCUCCCGUGAAUUUCGAUACCAGGCAAUACGAUUCGUACACCAAUAAAAAAUAUUUAUACAUACAGUCAUAAUUAUUUUAAUUUAUUUUAAAUUUAUAUAAAUUUGUAAAUUAUAUUUACCUAAAAAAUUAUAAUAAAAACUAUAUUUUAUAAACUUAUACCUUAUAUUUUACUAAAAAAUAUCUUUAAUAUUCUAUAUUAUCCUUUAAUUUUUUUAUACAUCGAAUAUUUUUAUAAUUUUUUGAAUUUUGAUGAAUCCAUAAUUUAAGUAUGUAUUUACAUUAAAGUUAUCAAAAUUUAAUUUAUAAUUAUUUUAAAAUUUAAAAUUUAAUUUUGAAUUUUAGUUUGUCGAUUGACCCAUUUUUAAUUUGUUUAUGAUUUUUCUUUUUUCUUACGUAAAACAAUUAACGUAACGAAACAAACUUUUAAUUCUUUUCAAAAAAUAUGGAUAGUAGUAAAAUUAACACAUGAUAGCAAAUCAGAAGUGCUCCAAUCAGGAUCGUCGAGAGCUUCUCACUAAAAUUCUAUCCCUGUUCAUCUGAUCAGAGAAAUUUCUCUACCGGUCAUAUCAAUAUGAUUGAUAAAAAAAAAUCCCACUCAUAAAAUAAAUAAAAUAUAAGAUAUAUAUCCAAAAUGAAAUAUGCCGUUGGCAUUUUUCUUUCCAUACAGAGUUGGAUUUUCCAAUGGCGUCUUAACUUCAAAUUUUUUAGUUUUGAAUUUUUAUUUUUUUACUAUUUUUAAUUUUUGAUUUAAACUUUUAUCUUUUAUUAAAUUAUUAUUUUUCGUGUUAAAUAUAUCAUAAAUAUGAAAUAUGCCGUUGGCAUUUUUCUUUCCAUACAGAGUUGGAUUUUCCAAUGGCGUCUUAAAUAUAAAUUUUUUAGUUUUGAAUUUUUAUUUUUUUACUAUUUUUAAUUUUUGAUUUAAACUUUUAUCUUUUAUUAAAUUAUUAUUUUUCGUGUUAAAUAUAUCAUAAAUAUAUAAAAUUUCGUCCCGUUACAAAUAGGUAUAGUUAUUCAACUUAAAAUUUAUAUAUAUUUGGUAUCUAAACUUUUAUUAGGGCAUGUGUGGUUCGAGGUAUUUUAAAAAACUCUAAAAAUGAGGAUUAAGAAUUAUUAAUUUUUAUGUUUGAUUAAUUACAGAAAUCUAACUUGAUAGAAAUUUAUACUUUUUCUGAAUUAGAAACGUGAGAAUUCAAAGCAUGUCCCAUAAAAUUUUAAAUUUUAAAAGCCAAAUAGGUCCUUAAAGUAUGUAACGAACCACUCAGUUGUAGUUCAUCCAUUUAUGGCGAUUAACAGUAGUAGAAUAGCUAAAAUAAAAUAAAAGACCCUUAUUUUCAAUAGUUGAAAGCGUGAUUUUUUCUAAUACCAAUUGUAUAAUCUAAGAUCUAAAAUAGAACAAAAUAAUAUGGAAAAAAAAUAUUGGAGGAGGAAGAAGAUAACUAAACUAAUAAGCAACUAAUUAUAUUCUAAACAACACCUAUGCAGCGUCUACUAUGAUUUAUUCAUCUAAUUAAUUAACCAAUGCCUAACUAUAUAUAGCCAUCAAAUCAUAACAGAUAAUAAAUCCAACUUUUACUUUGGAUAAGUACAAAUCCUAUUCAAUGUAUAAUUUGAAUAUACUCUAUCUCUAACUAAAUUUUAAAUUAAAUUUGGAUUAUUAUUUCCAACAUCCUUCCUUAAUCCAAACUUUAUUUUCAAGCUGCGAACUCCGUGAAAUGCGCAUUUUGAUUUUGCAAUCUCUGUCGCUGUUGUUGUCGUCAUGUUCGAGUUGUGCAGUAUGAUGCCCGUCCAAUAAUAUUGCCAUGGUUGAAAUCUUGGUCACUAAUAAUUUUUAUCAUAUGCAUCAGUCUUUACAAAUUGCCAAUACCUACAAAUAUCUUGAAAAACAUGUAAUUUUGAAAAAAUUGGAUUGAGAUGAAUUUUGUAAUUUUGUGGUAGCCGAGAAAAGUCUGAUCGACACAGAUGUUUAUUCGGUACAUUGAUCUCGUGUGAAUUUUCAUAUGUUUUUUGGUUUCUUUAGUCUAAUUUGUAAUCUGAGUCUUCGAUCACAUCAAAAUAAUGAUAAAUUUUCUCCCUGCUUUACUGCAUAAUUUCUUCAUCAACAGAAAUUUCUUCAAUCAUAUUAUCAUUGUGAACUUUCUCGUCAGCCUAAGUCGCACCAUUUUGAUCAACAUAUUUUUCACGAAUCUGAUCUUCUUUAUGAUUUUGAUUAUAUUCUUCUUUCCAAAUUGAGGUUUCUGUAUUUCGCCGUUUGGUUGAAUUUCUUCUUUUUCUUGAAUUUCAUUCUCUUCCUACAAAUAUUCUCCUCCAAUUUUCGAUAGUAUUCUCCACGCUUCUCGUGCCACCUUUAUCGUUGAAAAUUUUCCAACCAACGAUAAAUCCACUGCUUGAAAAAUAUAUGAUAGAACUUCUCUAUCUCUUUUUCUAAAUUUUUAUUUACCAAAUUCUUUUGCAUAAUUUUUAUUCUCCAGUUCAUCCCACAAAUCUUAGGAUUCAAAAAAACAUCGAAUGAUGAUUUUUCAUCGUUUAAAGUUCGUUCCAUAGAACUUUGGUAAGUUAGGUUGAAUAAACCAAUCUAAAUCCAUAAUGAAAACUUGAAAAUCUGAAAAAUAAGUUUCAAAUUUGUAACUUUCAGUUUGGAUGACGUCCUUAGUUCAUCGAGAUCUCGUCGAAUUUUUUGUAUUUCGGCUUGCUUGCCAAGUGUCACGCCCCGCAACUGCCAAUUUGGUCGGUUCGGGCACGCGCACAGACUGCCGAACGGACAGAAUUUUUUCUGUACCCCCCAAGACUCAACAACAUCAUGUACAUUUAGUUUUGCCCAGGUAAAAACAAAUAACAUAUAUGAUUUGCGCGAGAGAAAUAACAAGAGAAAGAGAGAAAUUUAACUAAACUGUUACAUCCACUCAUUUACUUAACAUUUACAACUCUCCAAAAUACAACUGUUUGAUUUAUACACGAGUUUUCUCACUACAUAUUCUCUCCAAAAUACAACAUAACUCUCACAUGGUAUGUACAAGAUAUACUAAUGCACGGGAAGUCUGCUACCUAGGACGCGAUGCCCUUGCCAUGAUUCUCGGCCACUCCGCUAAGACUAGGAUCUGUACAACAAUGGGGUGAAAACUAAAAGAAGUUUUCAAAGGGUUCGGCCGCCUACCCCGCCUAUUUUUUCACUAGAUCUAAGCAGGCAUAAGUAGAGGAAUAUACAAGAAUAAUAAAUACUAACAUACUAUUAUGCCUCAACAAUAUGAAAUGAAAUAAGUAACCAUUAUACUCAUGAUGCAUGUCAUUCAUAUGUUUGUAACCCAAUCUCACUGGCCAACCCGAAGGUUAAGCCUAACUCACAACCAAUCCCACAAAUGAGGAGACACCCAACUCACUCAUCCGGGACCGUCUGCUGGUUAGAUACGUUAACCCAAAAUGUGACAACUCCGGAGUCCACUGCUCAGGUGGAGCGACCACUGCCAAGCCGACAGACGCUAUGUGAGUAUAAUCUAAUCCUCCAACUAGAGGAUACCCUACCAACUAGGGACAACAAUACUCAGGGAUCUAUCAAUCCCUAACAUCUAAUACCAUGAGUGCUAUCAAUUUCUCUAGCCCAAAUGCCACCAUAUUGUCUAUGUUCACCUUCGGUUCAUGUCAUUAUAAAGAUUCCAUUAUUCAAGACCCAAUCCUUAUGCAUAUACAACUGUGUUCCAUCUCACAUUUUCUACAUUUACCAUAAAAGCAUACAAAAAAUGAGUACAUGACAUACACACUACUCUACAAUGUAUGAGUCUACAUUUAAACAUUAUAUCCAUAUAUGGCCAACAAUAGUAACAUAGACAUAGGGAGAAGUCCGAUUGUUUCGGAUAGUACCACCCACCUUGGUUUGAUGCUAAGAGGCGAGAAACCAAGUCCCGCGAUUUUACGAUACCGUCUUUGCUCGACCCAAGGGUAACAAACGGAAAACGGUGUUCUUCUCCAACGGCUCGACGUAGGCUCGUAAGAACUUAGUUUUGAACUUCCCAACAUGUCGAUUUAUCCUUCAAUUAAAGAAUUAAGGAAUCAAUUUCACUAUAAACCCCAUAUCUACAAAAUCCCUAAUUUCAACCCUAGGAUUUCCUUUAACAUGGUGAAGAACCAAUCCCAUGAGAAACCAUGGAUCAUUCUAGGUUUCUAAUCCACAAGAACCCUAAAAACAUAGAUCCUGGGUCAACCAAAGCAAACCCUAGGUUAUACUUGCAAACCCUUACCUUGGUCACCUCUAAACCUCAAGCUCCAUCUUGUAGAAGAGCCUCUUCUACUCCACCAAGCUCCAAAAUCCUUCCAAAUCCCUCCAAUCCAUCUUGUUGGAGAGAUCCUAGCGAAAGAAGGAGAGGAAGAUGUGAAGAGGGGAAGAAAAAGGGUGUUCUCAGCCUGUGGAGAAGAAAGAAGGGUGUGGGGGCUAUUUAUAAGUUCCCACAAUUGCAAAUAGGUCCUUCAACAAUUUACAUUUGCAACCCUUCAAAAUAUGCACAUUUUACACUGGGUACUGGUACACGGGGUUGGAUACCGGUACCCCCGGGUGGACAUCUCAACCCGAAAGCUGCCUUUCUGCGCAGGCCGCUGGAUACCGGUACACGGGACUGAGUACCGGUACGCGGGUACUCCAGUACCAGUACGCGGUUUCCAAUACCGGUACAUAGCUUCGCUGCAACCAAAGCCGAGAGCAACCCUUCUCGGGUUAUUUGUUGGGUACCGGUACACGGCCAUCAGUACCGGUACCAAAGCUUCCCAGUACCAGUACUGCCUCAAUUCAAUACCGGUACACAGGGCCCCAAACUCAAACCCGAGAGCAGACUUUCUCUGCAUCUAUAUCAGGUACCGGUACUAAGCUACAUUACCGGUACACAGUUCCCAGACUACAAUUUUCCCAGGUUUUGAGUUCGUUUUCUCGUCGGAUAAUGGUAAAACCUCUCAGACACUAUCCGGGGUCUCUUUUAACAAACUGAAACCCUUCGGGACCAGAUACAGAGCAUGUCCCUAGGCUCACUUUACCACACAUUGAUCCAUUUGAUCAAGGUUGGUACGAUACUCCGAGGAGCCGAUACCUUACACCAAGCUCUUCUCGCUAUCUAGUCAAGUCUUCUUGAGUUUCUUCACAGGCUCUCCUUGCUCUCUUUUCGUCAAGCAUCACAACCACCUAUUAUCGUUUGUUGUGCGAAGUCCAACUUUUUCAAAGUGAUUUCUUUACUUUGGUUUCACUGAACGUCACCCUCGUUGAUCAUCUACGAGUCACUUGACUUUGCCGUAGCUAUCCGGUACAUUGGAUCUAUAUUCUUUUCGAAUACGCUAUCAUCUGGUUUAUAAGCCAAAUGGUACUUUCCGGCUCUAAUACCACUUGUUGGAAGCGUGAUUUUCUCUGAUACUAAUUGUAUAACCCAAGAUCUAAAAGCGAAUAAAAUAAUAUGGAGAAAAGAUAUUAGAGGAGGAGGAAGAUAAUUAAACUAAUAAGCAAUUAAUUACAUUUUGGACAACACCUAUAUAAACAGCCAUAUCUACUAUAACUUAUUCAUCUAAUUAACCAAUGCCUAACUAUAUAUAUGUAGAGACCUGGAAUUUUAGCUGAGGCUUGUCGACAGCUCUGGAGAGUGUCGGGACAAGUCCGGGUCGCGUUGGCGCGAAGUGGACGCCAAACGGGCCUUGUGGGAACUUGAGAGUAGCGUGUAUCUUGAAGAUCUGCGAAAUAGCAGAUUUUCAGUGAGCUAUACCGGUACAAAUCUGGGUUUGUACCGGUACAACAUCGAUUGCUAUACCGGUAUAACCACUAGGGCUAUACCGGUAUAGCCCCGCGCAGCUAGGCUCUCGGGUUGCCUGUUUGUACCGGUACAGGGGGGGGUUUUGUACCGGUACAAAGUGGAAGCAGGGUGCAAGUUGACUUUUUGGCCAUCUUGUCAUAUCACCCCCCUUUAACCCUUACCUUGGAGCAGAGAGGAGAGAGAGAGGGGAGCUUCUUCAUGCUGCUGCUGUGCUUCUUCUUCCUCUCCUUCUACUUCCCUUAGCAACCUAGAGUGUUGGAGGAGCUCAAGAGAAGCUCGAGCUUCGUCGACGACGCGCCGCGGAGCGGAUCGAGCGAGUUUUCGACGAGGUGACGCUGCGAGGAGGCCGUGCUACAGCCGAUCCUUGCCAUCCUCGACGAGGUGCUGCUCGCAGGGAGGGUUUGUCGAGGUGAGUGGCUCCUCGAGAUCGCUUUUAUGGCUUUAAACUUCUACGAUUUUCGAACUGCACUGCUGCUGCUGCUGAUUCCAGCGUCGACCCGCAGAGUUUUGACUCGUAUUCCGCGCAGGAGCAUCGGAACGUGACGCGACUUGAUUCGUUGGAACCGAGACUUCGAGACGAAUCCAUAGGAUCCUAAAUUGUAAUCCAAUUAAUAAACUAAACUUAUCUUAUAUAAGUAUUCAAUGCGCAUAAAUACAGAAUUAACAUAAUUCAAAAUAUCAUUAUAAAAUAUACAGUGCCCCUUGAUUUCAAGCCAACACAUAUUCUCAUGGAUGUUUUUCGGGACUUUCUAUAGGUCCGUCUACUCACUGCAAACCAGCGUCAAUCAGCCGAGCUACUAGAACCUACAUUACACCGCGUUCGGCGUGCCGGAGGCCGUGCUACCCUUCGGAGCACUGCGACCACAGUGGAAAGGCGCACAGCACAUGUGAACUUCAGCAAAAUACAGCGAGUCACUUUAAUGCGCGUCAAACCAACGCAAACCGGAAACGUUCCCGACGGAGGGAGCACGAUGUUAGCACGAAGUUAAGAUAUGUGCUACUUCCCGGAUCAUCGAGUGUGCUCGACACCAAGAAGAGGUGACCGGAACCCUAAAAACAACUAUGCAGAAAGCUAAUACGUUAACUCACCGGAGCAUAAGGUAAUGCACGGGAACGGCCUGCGCGCGCGGCCGGAUUGGCUACCAGCCAGGAGGGUGAGGCCAGAGCGUGAGGCCAGGGCGCAGCGUCGCGCCGACGUCGGGCUGGCGGAAGGCGGCGGACGCUGAUCCUAUUGCCGCACAACCCGAGAGAGCUCACGAAGCUCCUCCCCAGUUGACAGGGUUCCGCGCGACAGGCGGGCCGGCCGGCGCGGACGGGAGUGCGGUCCGGCCAGGCGGAGACCGGUGCUCGCCGCGCCGCCCUGGCGGAAGCGCGGCCGCAGAUGCUGGACCAAACGAGACCCACACGUUUACCCACGGGACAUCACUAAGGUAAAGCGCCACGCCAAGGCGGAGACGGAGGAGUCGGGCGACGGCGCCAAGUCGCCGAGGUCGACGGGAAGGUCGCGCACCAUGCCGCGGGCUGGCGCCACGCGCGGUGGUCGAAGAAGACCAAGUCUUCCGGCCGUUAAGUCUGAGCGAGCCCAGAGAGGGAAGAGAAGGCGGCCGGCACCGGGGUCGACCCGACGCAGCGAUGGCGGCGCGGGGGCACCGAGUCACAGCAGGGCGCGCCCGAGAGGAACGGCGGUGGCUGCGCGAGGCAGGGAUACCCCAGCUUCGCUGGGUGGUGUCCCCUGGGCGCCGCAGGCGGUACGACGGUCUCCGGGGCACCGCGAGGGGGUGUCGGCGGUGAGGGUCCGCCGGGCGGGAAGUGGCUCGGGCGUCGGGGCUCACCUCCACUUGAGGCCUGGCGUUCAGGGUGUGGGGUACAUCCUCGGCCAGGUGGAGGAGAGGGAGGGAAGGUUAGAGCUUGNNNNNNNNNNNNNNNNNNNNNNNNNNNNNNNNNNNNNNNNNNNNNNNNNNNNNNNNNNNNNNNNNNNNNNNNNNNNNNNNNNNNNNNNNNNNNNNNNNNNNNNNNNNNNNNNNNNNNNNNNNNNNNNNNNNNNNNNNNNNNNNNNNNNNNNNNNNNNNNNNNNNNNNNNNNNNNNNNNNNNNNNNNNNNNNNNNNNNNNNNNNNNNNNNNNNNNNNNNNNNNNNNNNNNNNNNNNNNNNNNNNNNNNNNNNNNNNNNNNNNNNNNNNNNNNNNNNNNNNNNNNNNNNNNNNNNNNNNNNNNNNNNNNNNNNNNNNNNNNNNNNNNNNNNNNNNNNNNNNNNNNNNNNNNNNNNNNNNNNNNNNNNNNNNNNNNNNNNNNNNNNNNNNNNNNNNNNNNNNNNNNNNNNNNNNNNNNNNNNNNNNNNNNNNNNNNNNNNNNNNNNNNNNNNNNNNNNNNNNNNNNNNNNNNNNNNNNNNNNNNNNNNNNNNNNNNNNNNNNNNNNNNNNNNNNNNNNNNNNNNNNNNNNNNNNNNNNNNNNNNNNNNNNNNNNNNNNNNNNNNNNNNNNNNNNNNNNNNNNNNNNNNNNNNNNNNNNNNNNNNNNNNNNNNNNNNNNNNNNNNNNNNNNNNNNNNNNNNNNNNNNNNNNNNNNNNNNNNNNNNNNNNNNNNNNNNNNNNNNNNNNNNNNNNNNNNNNNNNNNNNNNNNNNNNNNNNNNNNNNNNNNNNNNNNNNNNNNNNNNNNNNNNNNNNNNNNNNNNNNNNNNNNNNNNNNNNNNNNNNNNNNNNNNNNNNNNNNNNNNNNNNNNNNNNNNNNNNNNNNNNNNNNNNNNNNNNNNNNNNNNNNNNNNNNNNNNNNNNNNNNNNNNNNNNNNNNNNNNNNNNNNNNNNNNNNNNNNNNNNNNNNNNNNNNNNNNNNNNNNNNNNNNNNNNNNNNNNNNNNNNNNNNNNNNNNNNNNNNNNNNNNNNNNNNNNNNNNNNNNNNNNNNNNNNNNNNNNNNNNNNNNNNNNNNNNNNNNNNNNNNNNNNNNNNNNNNNNNNNNNNNNNNNNNNNNNNNNNNNNNNNNNNNNNNNNNNNNNNNNNNNNNNNNNNNNNNNNNNNNNNNNNNNNNNNNNNNNNNNNNNNNNNNNNNNNNNNNNNNNNNNNNNNNNNNNNNNNNNNNNNNNNNNNNNNNNNNNNNNNNNNNNNNNNNNNNNNNNNNNNNNNNNNNNNNNNNNNNNNNNNNNNNNNNNNNNNNNNNNNNNNNNNNNNNNNNNNNNNNNNNNNNNNNNNNNNNNNNNNNNNNNNNNNNNNNNNNNNNNNNNNNNNNNNNNNNNNNNNNNNNNNNNNNNNNNNNNNNNNNNNNNNNNNNNNNNNNNNNNNNNNNNNNNNNNNNNNNNNNNNNNNNNNNNNNNNNNNNNNNNNNNNNNNNNNNNNNNNNNNNNNNNNNNNNNNNNNNNNNNNNNNNNNNNNNNNNNNNNNNNNNNNNNNNNNNNNNNNNNNNNNNNNNNNNNNNNNNNNNNNNNNNNNNNNNNNNNNNNNNNNNNNNNNNNNNNNNNNNNNNNNNNNNNNNNNNNNNNNNNNNNNNNNNNNNNNNNNNNNNNNNNNNNNNNNNNNNNNNNNNNNNNNNNNNNNNNNNNNNNNNNNNNNNNNNNNNNNNNNNNNNNNNNNNNNNNNNNNNNNNNNNNNNNNNNNNNNNNNNNNNNNNNNNNNNNNNNNNNNNNNNNNNNNNNNNNNNNNNNNNNNNNNNNNNNNNNNNNNNNNNNNNNNNNNNNNNNNNNNNNNNNNNNNNNNNNNNNNNNNNNNNNNNNNNNNNNNNNNNNNNNNNNNNNNNNNNNNNNNNNNNNNNNNNNNNNNNNNNNNNNNNNNNNNNNNNNNNNNNNNNNNNNNNNNNNNNNNNNNNNNNNNNNNNNNNNNNNNNNNNNNNNNNNNNNNNNNNNNNNNNNNNNNNNNNNNNNNNNNNNNNNNNNNNNNNNNNNNNNNNNNNNNNNNNNNNNNNNNNNNNNNNNNNNNNNNNNNNNNNNNNNNNNNNNNNNNNNNNNNNNNNNNNNNNNNNNNNNNNNNNNNNNNNNNNNNNNNNNNNNNNNNNNNNNNNNNNNNNNNNNNNNNNNNNNNNNNNNNNNNNNNNNNNNNNNNNNNNNNNNNNNNNNNNNNNNNNNNNNNNNNNNNNNNNNNNNNNNNNNNNNNNNNNNNNNNNNNNNNNNNNNNNNNNNNNNNNNNNNNNNNNNNNNNNNNNNNNNNNNNNNNNNNNNNNNNNNNNNNNNNNNNNNNNNNNNNNNNNNNNNNNNNNNNNNNNNNNNNNNNNNNNNNNNNNNNNNNNNNNNNNNNNNNNNNNNNNNNNNNNNNNNNNNNNNNNNNNNNNNNNNNNNNNNNNNNNNNNNNNNNNNNNNNNNNNNNNNNNNNNNNNNNNNNNNNNNNNNNNNNNNNNNNNNNNNNNNNNNNNNNNNNNNNNNNNNNNNNNNNNNNNNNNNNNNNNNNNNNNNNNNNNNNNNNNNNNNNNNNNNNNNNNNNNNNNNNNNNNNNNNNNNNNNNNNNNNNNNNNNNNNNNNNNNNNNNNNNNNNNNNNNNNNNNNNNNNNNNNNNNNNNNNNNNNNNNNNNNNNNNNNNNNNNNNNNNNNNNNNNNNNNNNNNNNNNNNNNNNNNNNNNNNNNNNNNNNNNNNNNNNNNNNNNNNNNNNNNNNNNNNNNNNNNNNNNNNNNNNNNNNNNNNNNNNNNNNNNNNNNNNNNNNNNNNNNNNNNNNNNNNNNNNNNNNNNNNNNNNNNNNNNNNNNNNNNNNNNNNNNNNNNNNNNNNNNNNNNNNNNNNNNNNNNNNNNNNNNNNNNNNNNNNNNNNNNNNNNNNNNNNNNNNNNNNNNNNNNNNNNNNNNNNNNNNNNNNNNNNNNNNNNNNNNNNNNNNNNNNNNNNNNNNNNNNNNNNNNNNNNNNNNNNNNNNNNNNNNNNNNNNNNNNNNNNNNNNNNNNNNNNNNNNNNNNNNNNNNNNNNNNNNNNNNNNNNNNNNNNNNNNNNNNNNNNNNNNNNNNNNNNNNNNNNNNNNNNNNNNNNNNNNNNNNNNNNNNNNNNNNNNNNNNNNNNNNNNNNNNNNNNNNNNNNNNNNNNNNNNNNNNNNNNNNNNNNNNNNNNNNNNNNNNNNNNNNNNNNNNNNNNNNNNNNNNNNNNNNNNNNNNNNNNNNNNNNNNNNNNNNNNNNNNNNNNNNNNNNNNNNNNNNNNNNNNNNNNNNNNNNNNNNNNNNNNNNNNNNNNNNNNNNNNNNNNNNNNNNNNNNNNNNNNNNNNNNNNNNNNNNNNNNNNNNNNNNNNNNNNNNNNNNNNNNNNNNNNNNNNNNNNNNNNNNNNNNNNNNNNNNNNNNNNNNNNNNNNNNNNNNNNNNNNNNNNNNNNNNNNNNNNNNNNNNNNNNNNNNNNNNNNNNNNNNNNNNNNNNNNNNNNNNNNNNNNNNNNNNNNNNNNNNNNNNNNNNNNNNNNNNNNNNNNNNNNNNNNNNNNNNNNNNNNNNNNNNNNNNNNNNNNNNNNNNNNNNNNNNNNNNNNNNNNNNNNNNNNNNNNNNNNNNNNNNNNNNNNNNNNNNNNNNNNNNNNNNNNNNNNNNNNNNNNNNNNNNNNNNNNNNNNNNNNNNNNNNNNNNNNNNNNNNNNNNNNNNNNNNNNNNNNNNNNNNNNNNNNNNNNNNNNNNNNNNNNNNNNNNNNNNNNNNNNNNNNNNNNNNNNNNNNNNNNNNNNNNNNNNNNNNNNNNNNNNNNNNNNNNNNNNNNNNNNNNNNNNNNNNNNNNNNNNNNNNNNNNNNNNNNNNNNNNNNNNNNNNNNNNNNNNNNNNNNNNNNNNNNNNNNNNNNNNNNNNNNNNNNNNNNNNNNNNNNNNNNNNNNNNNNNNNNNNNNNNNNNNNNNNNNNNNNNNNNNNNNNNNNNNNNNNNNNNNNNNNNNNNNNNNNNNNNNNNNNNNNNNNNNNNNNNNNNNNNNNNNNNNNNNNNNNNNNNNNNNNNNNNNNNNNNNNNNNNNNNNNNNNNNNNNNNNNNNNNNNNNNNNNNNNNNNNNNNNNNNNNNNNNNNNNNNNNNNNNNNNNNNNNNNNNNNNNNNNNNNNNNNNNNNNNNNNNNNNNNNNNNNNNNNNNNNNNNNNNNNNNNNNNNNNNNNNNNNNNNNNNNNNNNNNNNNNNNNNNNNNNNNNNNNNNNNNNNNNNNNNNNNNNNNNNNNNNNNNNNNNNNNNNNNNNNNNNNNNNNNNNNNNNNNNNNNNNNNNNNNNNNNNNNNNNNNNNNNNNNNNNNNNNNNNNNNNNNNNNNNNNNNNNNNNNNNNNNNNNNNNNNNNNNNNNNNNNNNNNNNNNNNNNNNNNNNNNNNNNNNNNNNNNNNNNNNNNNNNNNNNNNNNNNNNNNNNNNNNNNNNNNNNNNNNNNNNNNNNNNNNNNNNNNNNNNNNNNNNNNNNNNNNNNNNNNNNNNNNNNNNNNNNNNNNNNNNNNNNNNNNNNNNNNNNNNNNNNNNNNNNNNNNNNNNNNNNNNNNNNNNNNNNNNNNNNNNNNNNNNNNNNNNNNNNNNNNNNNNNNNNNNNNNNNNNNNNNNNNNNNNNNNNNNNNNNNNNNNNNNNNNNNNNNNNNNNNNNNNNNNNNNNNNNNNNNNNNNNNNNNNNNNNNNNNNNNNNNNNNNNNNNNNNNNNNNNNNNNNNNNNNNNNNNNNNNNNNNNNNNNNNNNNNNNNNNNNNNNNNNNNNNNNNNNNNNNNNNNNNNNNNNNNNNNNNNNNNNNNNNNNNNNNNNNNNNNNNNNNNNNNNNNNNNNNNNNNNNNNNNNNNNNNNNNNNNNNNNNNNNNNNNNNNNNNNNNNNNNNNNNNNNNNNNNNNNNNNNNNNNNNNNNNNNNNNNNNNNNNNNNNNNNNNNNNNNNNNNNNNNNNNNNNNNNNNNNNNNNNNNNNNNNNNNNNNNNNNNNNNNNNNNNNNNNNNNNNNNNNNNNNNNNNNNNNNNNNNNNNNNNNNNNNNNNNNNNNNNNNNNNNNNNNNNNNNNNNNNNNNNNNNNNNNNNNNNNNNNNNNNNNNNNNNNNNNNNNNNNNNNNNNNNNNNNNNNNNNNNNNNNNNNNNNNNNNNNNNNNNNNNNNNNNNNNNNNNNNNNNNNNNNNNNNNNNNNNNNNNNNNNNNNNNNNNNNNNNNNNNNNNNNNNNNNNNNNNNNNNNNNNNNNNNNNNNNNNNNNNNNNNNNNNNNNNNNNNNNNNNNNNNNNNNNNNNNNNNNNNNNNNNNNNNNNNNNNNNNNNNNNNNNNNNNNNNNNNNNNNNNNNNNNNNNNNNNNNNNNNNNNNNNNNNNNNNNNNNNNNNNNNNNNNNNNNNNNNNNNNNNNNNNNNNNNNNNNNNNNNNNNNNNNNNNNNNNNNNNNNNNNNNNNNNNNNNNNNNNNNNNNNNNNNNNNNNNNNNNNNNNNNNNNNNNNNNNNNNNNNNNNNNNNNNNNNNNNNNNNNNNNNNNNNNNNNNNNNNNNNNNNNNNNNNNNNNNNNNNNNNNNNNNNNNNNNNNNNNNNNNNNNNNNNNNNNNNNNNNNNNNNNNNNNNNNNNNNNNNNNNNNNNNNNNNNNNNNNNNNNNNNNNNNNNNNNNNNNNNNNNNNNNNNNNNNNNNNNNNNNNNNNNNNNNNNNNNNNNNNNNNNNNNNNNNNNNNNNNNNNNNNNNNNNNNNNNNNNNNNNNNNNNNNNNNNNNNNNNNNNNNNNNNNNNNNNNNNNNNNNNNNNNNNNNNNNNNNNNNNNNNNNNNNNNNNNNNNNNNNNNNNNNNNNNNNNNNNNNNNNNNNNNNNNNNNNNNNNNNNNNNNNNNNNNNNNNNNNNNNNNNNNNNNNNNNNNNNNNNNNNNNNNNNNNNNNNNNNNNNNNNNNNNNNNNNNNNNNNNNNNNNNNNNNNNNNNNNNNNNNNNNNNNNNNNNNNNNNNNNNNNNNNNNNNNNNNNNNNNNNNNNNNNNNNNNNNNNNNNNNNNNNNNNNNNNNNNNNNNNNNNNNNNNNNNNNNNNNNNNNNNNNNNNNNNNNNNNNNNNNNNNNNNNNNNNNNNNNNNNNNNNNNNNNNNNNNNNNNNNNNNNNNNNNNNNNNNNNNNNNNNNNNNNNNNNNNNNNNNNNNNNNNNNNNNNNNNNNNNNNNNNNNNNNNNNNNNNNNNNNNNNNNNNNNNNNNNNNNNNNNNNNNNNNNNNNNNNNNNNNNNNNNNNNNNNNNNNNNNNNNNNNNNNNNNNNNNNNNNNNNNNNNNNNNNNNNNNNNNNNNNNNNNNNNNNNNNNNNNNNNNNNNNNNNNNNNNNNNNNNNNNNNNNNNNNNNNNNNNNNNNNNNNNNNNNNNNNNNNNNNNNNNNNNNNNNNNNNNNNNNNNNNNNNNNNNNNNNNNNNNNNNNNNNNNNNNNNNNNNNNNNNNNNNNNNNNNNNNNNNNNNNNNNNNNNNNNNNNNNNNNNNNNNNNNNNNNNNNNNNNNNNNNNNNNNNNNNNNNNNNNNNNNNNNNNNNNNNNNNNNNNNNNNNNNNNNNNNNNNNNNNNNNNNNNNNNNNNNNNNNNNNNNNNNNNNNNNNNNNNNNNNNNNNNNNNNNNNNNNNNNNNNNNNNNNNNNNNNNNNNNNNNNNNNNNNNNNNNNNNNNNNNNNNNNNNNNNNNNNNNNNNNNNNNNNNNNNNNNNNNNNNNNNNNNNNNNNNNNNNNNNNNNNNNNNNNNNNNNNNNNNNNNNNNNNNNNNNNNNNNNNNNNNNNNNNNNNNNNNNNNNNNNNNNNNNNNNNNNNNNNNNNNNNNNNNNNNNNNNNNNNNNNNNNNNNNNNNNNNNNNNNNNNNNNNNNNNNNNNNNNNNNNNNNNNNNNNNNNNNNNNNNNNNNNNNNNNNNNNNNNNNNNNNNNNNNNNNNNNNNNNNNNNNNNNNNNNNNNNNNNNNNNNNNNNNNNNNNNNNNNNNNNNNNNNNNNNNNNNNNNNNNNNNNNNNNNNNNNNNNNNNNNNNNNNNNNNNNNNNNNNNNNNNNNNNNNNNNNNNNNNNNNNNNNNNNNNNNNNNNNNNNNNNNNNNNNNNNNNNNNNNNNNNNNNNNNNNNNNNNNNNNNNNNNNNNNNNNNNNNNNNNNNNNNNNNNNNNNNNNNNNNNNNNNNNNNNNNNNNNNNNNNNNNNNNNNNNNNNNNNNNNNNNNNNNNNNNNNNNNNNNNNNNNNNNNNNNNNNNNNNNNNNNNNNNNNNNNNNNNNNNNNNNNNNNNNNNNNNNNNNNNNNNNNNNNNNNNNNNNNNNNNNNNNNNNNNNNNNNNNNNNNNNNNNNNNNNNNNNNNNNNNNNNNNNNNNNNNNNNNNNNNNNNNNNNNNNNNNNNNNNNNNNNNNNNNNNNNNNNNNNNNNNNNNNNNNNNNNNNNNNNNNNNNNNNNNNNNNNNNNNNNNNNNNNNNNNNNNNNNNNNNNNNNNNNNNNNNNNNNNNNNNNNNNNNNNNNNNNNNNNNNNNNNNNNNNNNNNNNNNNNNNNNNNNNNNNNNNNNNNNNNNNNNNNNNNNNNNNNNNNNNNNNNNNNNNNNNNNNNNNNNNNNNNNNNNNNNNNNNNNNNNNNNNNNNNNNNNNNNNNNNNNNNNNNNNNNNNNNNNNNNNNNNNNNNNNNNNNNNNNNNNNNNNNNNNNNNNNNNNNNNNNNNNNNNNNNNNNNNNNNNNNNNNNNNNNNNNNNNNNNNNNNNNNNNNNNNNNNNNNNNNNNNNNNNNNNNNNNNNNNNNNNNNNNNNNNNNNNNNNNNNNNNNNNNNNNNNNNNNNNNNNNNNNNNNNNNNNNNNNNNNNNNNNNNNNNNNNNNNNNNNNNNNNNNNNNNNNNNNNNNNNNNNNNNNNNNNNNNNNNNNNNNNNNNNNNNNNNNNNNNNNNNNNNNNNNNNNNNNNNNNNNNNNNNNNNNNNNNNNNNNNNNNNNNNNNNNNNNNNNNNNNNNNNNNNNNNNNNNNNNNNNNNNNNNNNNNNNNNNNNNNNNNNNNNNNNNNNNNNNNNNNNNNNNNNNNNNNNNNNNNNNNNNNNNNNNNNNNNNNNNNNNNNNNNNNNNNNNNNNNNNNNNNNNNNNNNNNNNNNNNNNNNNNNNNNNNNNNNNNNNNNNNNNNNNNNNNNNNNNNNNNNNNNNNNNNNNNNNNNNNNNNNNNNNNNNNNNNNNNNNNNNNNNNNNNNNNNNNNNNNNNNNNNNNNNNNNNNNNNNNNNNNNNNNNNNNNNNNNNNNNNNNNNNNNNNNNNNNNNNNNNNNNNNNNNNNNNNNNNNNNNNNNNNNNNNNNNNNNNNNNNNNNNNNNNNNNNNNNNNNNNNNNNNNNNNNNNNNNNNNNNNNNNNNNNNNNNNNNNNNNNNNNNNNNNNNNNNNNNNNNNNNNNNNNNNNNNNNNNNNNNNNNNNNNNNNNNNNNNNNNNNNNNNNNNNNNNNNNNNNNNNNNNNNNNNNNNNNNNNNNNNNNNNNNNNNNNNNNNNNNNNNNNNNNNNNNNNNNNNNNNNNNNNNNNNNNNNNNNNNNNNNNNNNNNNNNNNNNNNNNNNNNNNNNNNNNNNNNNNNNNNNNNNNNNNNNNNNNNNNNNNNNNNNNNNNNNNNNNNNNNNNNNNNNNNNNNNNNNNNNNNNNNNNNNNNNNNNNNNNNNNNNNNNNNNNNNNNNNNNNNNNNNNNNNNNNNNNNNNNNNNNNNNNNNNNNNNNNNNNNNNNNNNNNNNNNNNNNNNNNNNNNNNNNNNNNNNNNNNNNNNNNNNNNNNNNNNNNNNNNNNNNNNNNNNNNNNNNNNNNNNNNNNNNNNNNNNNNNNNNNNNNNNNNNNNNNNNNNNNNNNNNNNNNNNNNNNNNNNNNNNNNNNNNNNNNNNNNNNNNNNNNNNNNNNNNNNNNNNNNNNNNNNNNNNNNNNNNNNNNNNNNNNNNNNNNNNNNNNNNNNNNNNNNNNNNNNNNNNNNNNNNNNNNNNNNNNNNNNNNNNNNNNNNNNNNNNNNNNNNNNNNNNNNNNNNNNNNNNNNNNNNNNNNNNNNNNNNNNNNNNNNNNNNNNNNNNNNNNNNNNNNNNNNNNNNNNNNNNNNNNNNNNNNNNNNNNNNNNNNNNNNNNNNNNNNNNNNNNNNNNNNNNNNNNNNNNNNNNNNNNNNNNNNNNNNNNNNNNNNNNNNNNNNNNNNNNNNNNNNNNNNNNNNNNNNNNNNNNNNNNNNNNNNNNNNNNNNNNNNNNNNNNNNNNNNNNNNNNNNNNNNNNNNNNNNNNNNNNNNNNNNNNNNNNNNNNNNNNNNNNNNNNNNNNNNNNNNNNNNNNNNNNNNNNNNNNNNNNNNNNNNNNNNNNNNNNNNNNNNNNNNNNNNNNNNNNNNNNNNNNNNNNNNNNNNNNNNNNNNNNNNNNNNNNNNNNNNNNNNNNNNNNNNNNNNNNNNNNNNNNNNNNNNNNNNNNNNNNNNNNNNNNNNNNNNNNNNNNNNNNNNNNNNNNNNNNNNNNNNNNNNNNNNNNNNNNNNNNNNNNNNNNNNNNNNNNNNNNNNNNNNNNNNNNNNNNNNNNNNNNNNNNNNNNNNNNNNNNNNNNNNNNNNNNNNNNNNNNNNNNNNNNNNNNNNNNNNNNNNNNNNNNNNNNNNNNNNNNNNNNNNNNNNNNNNNNNNNNNNNNNNNNNNNNNNNNNNNNNNNNNNNNNNNNNNNNNNNNNNNNNNNNNNNNNNNNNNNNNNNNNNNNNNNNNNNNNNNNNNNNNNNNNNNNNNNNNNNNNNNNNNNNNNNNNNNNNNNNNNNNNNNNNNNNNNNNNNNNNNNNNNNNNNNNNNNNNNNNNNNNNNNNNNNNNNNNNNNNNNNNNNNNNNNNNNNNNNNNNNNNNNNNNNNNNNNNNNNNNNNNNNNNNNNNNNNNNNNNNNNNNNNNNNNNNNNNNNNNNNNNNNNNNNNNNNNNNNNNNNNNNNNNNNNNNNNNNNNNNNNNNNNNNNNNNNNNNNNNNNNNNNNNNNNNNNNNNNNNNNNNNNNNNNNNNNNNNNNNNNNNNNNNNNNNNNNNNUGCCCGAUUCGAGAGAGGUUUGCUCUGUCGAAAUCCCUUUUUACUGAGUUGCUGUUUGCCUAGCAGAAUUUCAGGGAAAAACUUUUCCGGCGACGGCGGCGGCUGCCGGCCGCCGGGGUGCAAGCACGGCGUGGGCAGGGGGCCUCCUAGGCGGCUGGUGCACAGGGAGGGCUAGGGUUAGGGUUUCCCAUGAGCAAACCCUAGAAAAAUCCUAUAUACAAGGUGAAACAUUGCAAGGAAACCCCUCAAGGAUGGAUAAUUCCAAACCCAGUCCUUCACAGCGCGAGUAAUACACACUAAUACCCCUCCAAGAGCGAUCUCAAGCGAAACGGCACAUAAAAUAUUGCGACUUUUGCAAAAAUACCGUUUUCCCCACAACGACCUCUCCUCGAACAACGCGCGAUAUCCGCAGAUCCGUCCGUCAGAUUUGCGAACGGAUUGCACCAGUGCGAUCAGCACGACGGAGACAACAAAGCUACGAUUUCGUUUCGUCUCGAUCGACCACGGAUUCACGACAAAAUCCAACCUUUCGUUCCAAUCGAAAGAAACACACAAAAAUACAUAUAAAACAUGUAUUUUUGGAUUUUCUCGAAAUCCGUGCGUCAAACUCAAAAUCCGUCAGUGCCAUUAGUUCCAGAACAGCUGAACCGGUCGAAACGAGCUAUUGGACUGAUACGAACGGAGUCCGAUACGCACCAGAAGCCAACUCUACUCCGUGGCUUCACCGAAAAACCGGAGUUACUAUUCACUUAAGUGAAAACUAAAAGUCGCGUAUCUUCUCCAUUUUAGCUCAUUUUCGCCCAAAAUUUGACGAGUGCUUAUGUAAUUAAAUUACACACAUAAACAUCAGCAACAGAGAGUUUAGUUGCAUUGUCAAAAAUCUCAGUCCUUACAUUAGAUCUAAGCGAUAAUUAAGCGAUAAGCAAAUCACCGCUUUCUAACUAUGGCAAAUCGUUCACUGCUUAGUUCAAAACAUUAAAAUUGUUUGUUGUGUUUUAUAAAAACGGUAAAUUAUUUAUCGCCUUUAAAAGUAAUAUACAUCUUUUGGAGUUCAUCUUAAAAAAUAUAAUUUACGUAAAUGAGAUGAAUAAUUUAGACAGUAUAUAUCUUUCGAAGUUCAAACAUAGAAAAAAAAAAUAAUCUACGUAAAUACAGUGAAUGAUUUACUGCUUUUAGAAAAAAAAAAAGAAAAAAAAAAGAGAAUCAUCCACAAUUUUAGAAGACGGUGAAUCAUUCAUUGAUUUGGCCUUAUUUUAUGAAUAAAAAUUUUAAAUGCCUAUAUUUAUAAUUAACAAGUUUUAUAAAUUUACUUGCCCAAAAACUUCUUGCUGGUGUGUAUUCUUUGUUAUUUCAUGACCCUUUUGAUAAUUGUUAGCCAAUUUAAGUUGGUAAAACGUAAGCAUAAAUCAUUAAGCAUAUAAAUGAUUAAUGUAAAAAAUGAAAAGCGUGGAUGGCAAUUAUAAAAUAUUUAAAAUUAAGAUGACUACUUGAAAUUGGAAGAAAGUUCUUCUAGUACAAUAAUGUCGAUUUGAAAAAUAAAUUUGCGGGCCAUUUUAGAAUUUUAUCAAACAGUCGCCUAGGUCCCUUUUCUUUUAUUAUUAUUAUUAGGCUAAAUUAUAAAUUUUUUUAAAAAAUAUCUAUUUUUUUACUUUUCAUUCUUGAUCUUUAAAAAUCUAUAUUUUAUUUCCUUAAAAUUUUUAAAAAUAUUUUUAGAAGAGUACGACAUUAAUGGAGAGGAUAAAAUGACCAAAUUACCCUUAUUAUUUCUAUAAGAAAUUUUUUUGAAAUAUAUUUAUAUCAUUUUGAAAAAUAUUUUUGAUAUAAAUUAUAAAAAAUAGACGGAAUUGUGAUUAAAUUCUGAUGGUGGAAGACUAGAUACAACAACUUAAAAUAUUUAGGUGGUUGUUUGGUUCGAAAUCGGAAUCGGUAUCGAAAUCGGAAUGAGAAUAAGCUGGAAAUAGAAUCGGAAUGAUUUAUUAUCUCAUUCUAUUUGGUUCACCAACUGAAUCGGAAUCGGAAUGAGCCAUUCUCGUUGUCGAUGUUUGGUUUAGAUAGAUAUCAGAAACAUAAUCAAAUUAAUAUGUCAAUUUUAUCUUUAUAAUAUAUUAGUUUAAAAUCAAACUGAAAAUUAAAUAUUCAAAAUUUAUAUACAAAUUUUAAAAUGAUGUCAAAAAAUAUUCAAUUUCAAAUUUGAAAUUGAAUGUAUAAUUCAAAAUAUAAAACUAAAUUUUAAUUUAUUCAAAUUCAAACUUAAAAUUAUAAUUUCAAUUUCAAUUUGAAUUCAUAAAUUUAAUUUAAAAUUUAAAUAAAAUUUGAAUAAAACUUUAGAUUUUAAAUUAAAUUUAAAUUUAUAAAUUAGAUUUGAAAUGCUUGAUUGAAUUUUUAAUUUUUAUUUUAAGUUCAAAUUAAAUUUAAAUUUAUAAAUAUAAUUUUUAAAUUUAAACUUAUGUUUUAAUUAAAAAAUAAGAUUGAAAAAGUUAAAUUUAAUCCAAAUAAAUUUAUUCCGCCCGGAUUAAAUUUCCAAUCCGACGUCCUAAGCCUGAUUUAAAAAAGAGAUAAUUAGGGGAUUUCUAUUCACCUCGGAAUCAGAAUCGAAAUGAGAAUUACGCAUACCAAAUACGAACAAAUAAAUUCGUCUAUUCCGAUUUCAACUAAACACCUUUUAAAGUUUCUAAAAGUUAGGAUAAGAAUUUCUUUAAUUUAUCAUUAUUAUUAUUAUUAUUAUUAUUUAACUGAAUCAUGAAGAGCAUGAUUGUCAAUUCGCCAUGGGUAGAAACUAGAAAGAACAGGACAAAAUUAUUGCAUGCACGCCAUGUGUCAUGCACUGGCGCUCUGAAGCCUUACCGAAGAAAAAACAAGCCUUAAAAUUAGAAUUUAGCGUUUCGUAACAUCUAGAAAAUCUAUAGAUUAAAAGUCACAAGUUUGAAUAUAUAUAUAUAUAUAUAUACACUAUUUAUAAGGGGCAAUUACUUAUAUACCUCUAAAAAAUUUCUAACUUUCGAAUUUACUCCUUUUAGAAAGUUAAUAUUGAAAAUACCUUUUUUACGUUCCAACCUAUUUCAAAUAUACCCCUAGGGCAUAUUUGGUUCAUGAUUGGAAUAGGAAUGGAAAAUUAAAUUGAAUUGCUUAGAAAUGAAAAAUGGAAUGACGAAUCAUCCAAAAAUAUUUCGUUUAUUAUUGGAAUGGAAAUCAGAAUGAAAAUUUAAAAUUUUUUAGAGAGAAUUUUGAUUAAGAGACAGAAAAGUGAUAAAGAAAGAGGAGGUAGGUGUUGAUGAAAAAGAAUUUUGAAUAGUUUACUUUGGAAUGAGCCAAUCUGUGAUUCAAAGCCGGAUUAGAUCAUAAAUGGAUUUGGUCAUUCUCAUUCCGGAGUGGAAUGGAUCGAAAUCGGAAUCUGAUUUCUAUAAAACAAACGGUAACUAUUGAAAUCAAUGAAUUCCAAUCCGAUUUCAUAGUCUAAAAUAGGUGAACCAAACAUGCCUUAAUAAACUCUGUUAUCUAUAUAAAAUUACUAUUUUACCCUUUCCAAUAUACCCUUCCACCAUCUCCAAAUUUUCUUAUUUGCCCUCCAACCUAUUUCAAAUAUACCCCUAUAGUUAAAAUUUGUUAAUGAACUCUAUUAUCUGUAUAAAAUUACUAUUUUACCCUUUCAAAUAUACCCUUCUACCAUCACCGACUUUUCUUAUUUGCCCUUAAAUUAGGGGGCACAAAAAAUAUUUUGACUUUUUGUCUUUUCAAAUAUACUCCUCUACCAUCACCAACAUUUCUUAUUUACCCUUAGGGCCCGUUUGGUUCGAGUUAUGUAAUAUUACAAAGUAUCUCGACAUAUUCAGGUAUCUUGGAUUUCUGCGUGAGAUUACUACUAAUGCUGCAUUAGCGCGUUUGGUUUAAUGCAGUAAUGUAAUACUAGAUUACAGUGUUUAUAGCAUUAAUACGUUUGGUUCAGUUUAUAAAAUUUAGUAAUCCUAACAUAAAAAUAUUAUUUCUCCAAAAUUGCCCUUAUUAUGGUCAUUUGAAUAUUAUUUUUUGCGAAAAUGACGAGUGGAGGGAAGGAGAUCAUGAUGAUUACUUGGGAGGACGACGCAAUAGAAGAUGAUAGGUGUUCGUGCGCGAGAGAGAGAGAGAGAGAGAGAGAGCGAGAGAAAGUGGCGUGCGAAAGAGAGGGGGAAGGCGAGAGAGAGAUGAAAAUAAUGCUGUUAAUUAGAUUUGGAGUUGUUAGAGGAUAAAAUUGUCAUUUUACAUAAUAUGUAAUAUUAACGGGUUUCAGUAAUGCAAGAUACACGACCCCCCUCCCGUUAAUAUUUUCGAUGUAAUCCUGCUCGAUUUGUAAUGCUACAUUAACGACUAGAUUACAUAGCGGAUUAACCAAACACAGUUAUCCUGGCAGGAUUGUCUGCAAUCCUGCCAUGAUAACUCGAACCAAACGCACCCUUAAGUUAAGGACAAAAUUGAUAUUUUAAUUAUUUUUAAUUGUGGUAAAUAUUUAACCACGUUUAACCGAAGUUAACUUAACGAGUGGUAACUGUAGCGGUAUUUUGGAAUAACGGAGGAACAUAUUAGGGGUAUAUUGGAAAGAAAAAAAAAGUAUGGAUAAAUGAGAUAUUUUCAAUAUUUUGAGGGGUAUAUAGGCAAUUAUCCCUAUUUAUAAAUUUGAUUAGAUUUAAAUGUAAAAGGAUAGAUAAUUAGGGAAUAAUUUUUCCAUUAUUCUUCGGAAGUCAGUAAUAAUCUUACACCCACUCCAUCCUAAGGUUAUUCUUGUCACAUUAAUUUUUUAAAUUUUACUAAAAACUAAUUUAUUUUUUAUGGCAAAUUUGCAUAAAAAAUUUAUAAAUUUUGAGCUUUUGCAAAACUGUGCCACCUUUUUCUAUUUUGCAGAUUCGGUCCGAAUUUUCAGCGAACUGACCAAAAUACCCUCAUUGCUUUUUCUCUCUCCUCUUUCUCUCUUCUCUUCUUUUCUCUCAUUCAUUUUUUUUCUAUAGGCAGAGGCGGAGGCGGAAACGGCCCGCCUCGCCUCUCACCCUCAUACUCUCGCCCUCGCCCUCGCCCUCGCCCUCGCCCUCGCCCUCGCCCUCGCCGAGGCUACGUUGUGACUCUUUUUNUUUUUUUUUUUUUUCCCUCUCCGACUCUCCUCCACCGUCUCCGACGACCAACGCCUCUCUCACCCUUCCCCGCCCUUCUCGUCCUCUCCUCUACUGCCUCCGACGACGACGCACCUUUGCCGACGCUGACACCGUGGAGGUCGCUGUGGCGCUGCAACCUCGGAGUGGGGGUUCCUGAGCGGCAUCGUUCCGGCGCCGUGGCCGUUGGCAAAGAGGAAUGACCAAAAAAAUUGUAGAAGAAGGAAAAAAAAAAUAAAGACAAAAAUUAUAGAAAAAAAGAGAUGAAGAUGAAAUUGCACCGUUAAAAUAAAAUUGCAUUGUUUUAAAAAAAUGUUGUACUAUUAUGGACAUAAGUUGCACUACUUAGAUGUAAACUGCACCCUUUAAGAUGAAAAUUAUACUCUUUAAACGAAAAUUGCACUCUUUCAGAGAUAUUUACACUCUUUUUUCUCUUAUUGCACUCUUUUAGAUGUAAAUCGUAUCCUUUAAUAUGAAAGUUACACUCUUUAAACGAAAGUUGCACUCUUUGAGAGAUAUUUACACUGUUUCUCCUCUUCUUGCACUCUUUGAUAUAUAAACUGCACCCAUUUAAGAGAUAUUUAUACUGUUGCUCCACUUGUUGCACUAUUUCUCCUUUUGUUAUAAUAUUUUUCUCUUAAAGGGUAUAAUUUAAGAGGAGCAACAGUGUAACAAGAAAAGAAACAGUGCAACAAGAGAAAAAAUAGUGUAACAAGAGUAGAAACAGUGUAAUAAGAGAAAAAACAUAUAAAUAUCUCUUAAAGGGGUACAGUUUACAUCUCAAAGAGUGUAAGAAGAGAAGAAACAGUGUAAAUAUCUCCCAAAGAGUGCUAUUUUUGUUUAAAAAGUAUAAUUUUCAUCUUAAAGGGUGCAGUUUACAUCUUAAGUAGUGCAACUUAUGUCCAUGAAAGUGCAACGCUCUUUUAAAAUAGUGCAAUUUUAUUUUAGCGGUGCAAUUUCAUCUUCAUCUGUAUUUUUCUAUAUUUUUUUGUCUUUAUUUUUUUUCUUCCAUUUUCUACAAUUUUUGUUUGUCAUCCCUCUCUACCAACGGCCACGGCGCUGGCGACGACGACGCUAAGGACCCCCCGCUCCAAGGCUGCAGCGUCGCAGCGACCUCCACGGUAUCGGCGUCGGCGAAAAUGCAUCGUCGUCGGAGGCGGCAGAGGAGGAUAAAGAGGGAGAGGACGAGAAGGGCGGGAAAGGACGAGAGAGGGCGAGAAAAAUAUCGUCGUCGAAGAUGGUGGAGGAGAAUCGGAGAAGGAAAAAAAAAAGAGUCGCGGCGCGGCCUCGGCAGGGUCAGAGGCAAGGAAGGUAGGGGCUGCGCGGGCGAGGGCAAGGACGAGGGCGAGAGCAAGAGGGUGAGAGGCGAGGCGGCCGUUUUCGCCUCCGCAUUUGCCUCCGCUGCCUUCUUCGGCGAGAGAAAAAAAAAUGAACGAGAGAAAAAAAAAAAAAAAAAAAAAAAAGAGAGAAAAAAGAGAGAGAGAAAGUAAUAAGUGUAUUUUAGUCAGUUUGCUGAAAAUUUGGUUCGAAUCUGCAAAAUCGAAAAAAGUGGCUCACUUUUGCAAAAGCACAAAACUGGUGGAUUUUUUUGCAAAUUGGCCAUUUUUUAUCAACCCUGAAAUUACGGGUGUAAAAUAUACACUUUUUUUGAACUAGUGAAGGCCCGCGCUUCGCGGCGAAAAAUUUACGCAAUUUCUAAAAUAUUUUGAAUAAACUAAUAUAUUCCUAUGUUUCCGUUGUUAGCAUUCAUUUUUUUUACUUUUUUAAUUUUCAAAUCUAAUUUUAAAUUUUAAAUUUCAAAAAAUUGAAGAGAGAGAAAAAGUAAAAAAUUAUUUAAAUAGCGAGGAAUAAAAAAAAUUUGAAGAUUGAAGUGCAAUUUAUAUGUAUUAUUAAUAAAUUAAUUAAUUAUAUAAUAUAUAACUAAUUAUUAAUAAAUUUAAUUAAUUAAUUAAUUUUAUAGAGUUUAGAGAUUUAAAAUUUUAAACUCUGAAGCUUAAAAUUGAAAUAUAUAUUAUAAGUUAACAUUAAAAUUUAAAAGUGAAAUAUUUAAAUAUAAAUUGAAAUUUAAAAUUUUUUAUAAUUUCUCUUCGCCUCUCCUUCUCUCUCUCUCUCUUUCUCUCAUUGGCUCCCUCCUCUCUCUUUUCUCUCUCUACCUCUUCUCUAUCUUUCUGCUCUCUCCCCGCAUGCCUGCCCCCCCCUCCCCGGUCUCUCUCUCUCUCCCCCCUCUUUCCGCUCUUACUCCCUCUCCCACCCCCUGGGCUUGCGCCGUGCCACCACCUCGCGCGUGCCAUCCACACCGUGCACCCGCGCCCGCCCGGCGCGCAACCGCCGCCGGCCCCCGCACACCGCGCCUUGUGCCCUGCCCGCUCCCGCAGCCUCCUUAGCAGAGUACCGCGCGCGUGCUAAGCACGAGAUGAGUGCACGGGAAAAGAGGGGGGCUCCGCGCAGAUGGGCGCGCGCGGCGUUGCCGCGCCCCGCCCCCGACUGCUGGCGACCGACGCACCGUGCCAUGCCGUGGGAGACGCCCUCAGCCCGCCGUGUCCGCCGCAGCGGUCAAAAUCCCAUAUCAAUAAUAUUAGUUAUUUCAACAAAUGGAUCACUUUUAACUUUUAGUUUUAAUAUUUAUCUCCCCAUGUCGGAUUUGCUGUAAAUUUUAUACAUUUAUAUAAUAAGUUAAUGAUUUAUCAAAAGAAAUUUCUAUAAUAUAAUAGUGUUGAUUCAAGAUACAUCAUAUACCUUUUACUACUGAAUAUGAAACAAAAAUUUUUACGUUCUCGAAUUUGUUUGUAUGAGAGGGUCUAUCUAUGUGAAUAUCUUUUCCGAUCAUACCAAACUGCCUUUCCACCAAAGGUCAGAACAUAGUAUCGGUGUAGCAUCAAUACAUUUUGCCUAACCCCUUCUCCACUUGACAGCUCAGUUACUCUAUAUUGAUAAACCAAUAUAUCUAUAUUAUAAGGAGAUAUAUUAUAUAUAUAUAUAUAUAUAUAUAUAUUUGAUGUACAUAAAGUUUAAAAUUUCAAAUUCUGAUCUAAACUGCUUCAAGACUAAAUUAAUGACUAGAUUACGUAGCGGAUAAACCAAGCAUAGUAAUUUUGACAGGAUUGCCUGUAAUCCUACCAGGAUAACUUAAACCAAACCCACCCUAAAAAUUUAUUUUACCGCUUAUCAGUGAUAGAAUAAAUUUAUGCCGUUCACAUAUUAUGGUAGAAUUAACACCACGAAUUGUUUCUGUGUGCAGUGCAUGUUAACUGGGUAUCUAAUGAGAUACAAGAUCAAUCCUUGAUGAGUGCAUUAUUUUCUACUAAAUUUAUAUCGAGUACCCAGUUUACGGUAUGGACUAGAUUUAUAUGUUACGGACUUAGCAAAAUCAGUUGUCAAGUCUGUGCGGUGCUCACCUUCUUUUGCCAAUACGAUUAAGUGCAAGAGAGAGAGUUUUGAGAAAAAUAGUAUUAUUUUACUUAAAAGUAGAGAACUAUAACUAAUUUAUUCUGAGAGGGUGGAGGCCACAAGUAUAUAGAGACCAUUUGCGGACCAAGAGAGCAAAUAGAAAGACCCAAAAUGACGCAAAACUACAAGUAAAAAAAAAAAAGAUUGCGAGCUCUUAAGAGCCUACAUUUAUUACAUCUCACUUGGUUCCUCGACUUCCACGUCUGCAGUCUCGAUAUCCGUAGAGAUGCUUCUAGUAAAUUCUAACAAAACCUCUGGUAACAAUCUUCUCCGAAGUAGUUUGGGUGAUUACAAAGAUGAAAACUGGAGAAAAAUUGUACUCUGCUUCAUAGCAUAUACCAGGUCUAUGGAACGCAUUCUCUCUUUCUCUCUCUAAACCACUUGCUCCUUCCAUUGGAAGCACCUUUUUUUCUCAGAGAAGGAACCAAAACUCCGCUCCCUCCCUCUCUCUCCGUACAUUAUAAAACCUCUUCCCUUUCCCCCGCCAUUUUCCUCGUCGUCGUCUCUCUCUCUCUCUCUCUCUCUCUCUUUCUCUCUCAUACUACCCAAUUGCCAUUAAUGUCGUCUUCCAAGCUCAAGGUCGACGAGCUCCGCGCCGAGCUCUCUCGCCGCGGCCUCGACACUUCCGGAACCAAACCCACCCUCGUAAAUCCCCACUUUCUCUCUCUCUCUCUCUCUCUCUCUCUCUAUGAUCGAAAACCCUAACCCCGUUCCCCUCUUUCCUGCUUCUUUCUCAGGUGCGGCGCCUCGAGUCGGCGCUCCGCAAGGAGAAGAAAGCGGAGGCGGCGGCGGCAGCGGUGAGUGACGGUGCCGCUGCAAAUGCUGGGAAGAAGAGGAAGCGGGACGAGUUAGCGGGGGACGGGGACGUGGACGGGGAAGGGGAUGGAGAUAGGAAUGGGGUGAUCGGCGAUGUNGAGAGAGGGGGAGCCGAGGAGGGGGUGGGGAGAGAGAGAGAGAAAGACGAAAAAAAGGGGGGGCCCCACCGAAGCCCCCCGCCAAACGCGGGGAGGCUUUGGCAGGAACCCAUGAUUUAAUAUAUGUAUAGAUGUGCAAGAAACAUUUUUCUUUUUUUAUUGCAUAGAGACCCAUUCAAUUAUCAUUUAUUUUGGUUUAAAUAAUUCAUUAAAUUAAAUUAAUUAUUUUGUUAAAAAUCGAAAUGUUCCAUUAGCUACUAACUAUAAAGUAAAUCUAUAUGAUUUCUAUUGCCAUGUGGUGUGUCCACAUUGAUGGGUCUUAAUCUAACCCAAUCCAUAUAAGAUAUGGAUUGGGAUUUAUUCUAAUAAGUUAAGGAUAAGAAUGAAUUAUACGUUUCUUAUUAGUUAAGAAACUAUCUUCUAGUGGAUAUCUAUUAAGGAUAUUAUAGUGUCUAUGGGGUUUAGCUAUUGGGGCGGCUGCAGCAUCAGUGGUUUAUCGACACAUCUGUAGAGUGUCGGGACUAGUCAGAGACAUUUUGGUGCGAAAUAGAUGCGAAAACGGACUCAAAGCUGUGAGAGUUGGAGUUCGAACACUGAAAUUUGCAAAAGCAGGAUUUUGAGUGCUAUAUACCGGUACCUGAGAGGUGUAUCGCUACCCCAGAAGGAUUACGCAAAGGGGUGGCACGGGGUCGUGCCGAAAGCUUGCCGGCAUGGUACGACACAAUACGUGCCGAGCUGUGCCGAUGCGUGCCGGUCAAAAAAAUUCUUGUGUGCCGACAUAUAAUAGCAUGAAAUAUUUAUUUUCUUCAGCAACAAAAUUUCUAACUAUUUAUUAUGUAAUAUACCGAACUCCUAACAUUAUGAAGUUUUGGUGGGAACAAGUUUAAAAAGCUAGCAGAUAAGUUCCGGUGAAAUUUGGAGAGCAUUUGAGUACUUUCGGCGCAAACCGGAUGCGAAAAAGGGCUCCAAAAGCUAAAUCUGCCUAAGUUGCAAAAUUUGUACUAGGUACCGAUACUGGAAACUGGGUAUCGAUAUGCAGUGGUAAAAUGAGAAAUCUUGCUCUCGGGUUUUGAGGUACUGGAAUCGGGUAUCGGUACUGGAUUGGCCGGGUACCGGUACGCGAACCUGAGUACCGAUACUUAGCCUCCCAGAAUGCUUGUUUUGAGGGGUAUAAGUGUAAUUUCAGUUGGGGGCUUAUAUAAGGGGUCCCCAGCCCCUUCCCUAAGCACAGAACACACAAACGCACACGCGUACACAGUGAGGGAGCGGGAAGAGCUCAUCUCUCUCUCUCUCGUUCUUCUUCUUCUUCUUCGACUCGGAGAUCGCGGUGGAGAUCGAGUUCGGAGAGCUUGGAGGAGCGGUAGAUCGAGCUCUCCAGCGCUUAGUGGCUUAGAAUGCCUUCGACUCGAGGUUCGUAAUUGGGUUGGAAGUUUAGGGUUUGGAUUAAAUCCCUAGAAAUGAGGUUCUAGUGAACCUUAGAUAAUUCUAAACUAGUAUUAUCAUGAUUUCUCCAUAUAUUUUGGGUAUUUUGGAGAAAUAGAAAACCUAGGGUUAUGAUUUGGGGGUUUUGGGGUUUUAAGGUUUUGAACCAAGUUGAUCUCUUAAUUCUCUAAUUGAAUGAUAGGGGAGAGCCCCAAGCAACCAUAGGCUGGAAAUCGACGAGCGUUCGGUGGUCGAUUGCGGGUAGCGAGCCAAACCGGGCGACGUUGGUCGCGGGAGUCUAAUUGCAAGUGUCUACAAGCAAUUAGAAAGCAUUGUGAGAUGAGUUGUGCUUCACCGAAGUGACUAGGUCACUUCCUGUCUAAAGAGUGAAGUUUAAUAUUUACUACUCGUUGAUGCAUGUAUAUAAUGGUAGGUUUUUUAUGUUGUAUAUAUGGAUGCAUAAAACAUAUAUUGCUAGAUGGAAUUACCUACAAUUGAAUGACAAGAACAUAGAGAUGUGGAACAUAUAAGAUGUAUGUAUAUAUAGAUAUAUAUAUAUAUAUAUAUAUAUAUAUAUAUAUAUAUAAUAUUAUAUAUAUAUAUAUAUAUAUAUAUGCCUAGAUGUGGCACAAAAGACUAGAUGGCACGAAAACUAUGAAUCCUAGAUGUAGACAACUAGGAUAGAAAAUAAUUGAUUGGACAUUAAACCUAAUGUCAUUGAACAUAUGUUGGACAUUGAACCUAGAGUCGGGUGAACCUAGGUGGAAGAACAUAGGACCUAGUGUUGUUGAACCUAGGUUAUGAACAUAGUGGUAUUGAACCUAGUGUGUGCAUGUGGAAUGACCACUAGGAUAUGAAUGGCUUGAACCUAGAGAGAUUGACAUUAUAGGAUAUGUGACCAAUCCUUAAGACUUGGAAAGUGGAUUCCGAAAUCCCAGGACUUGUGAAUAUCGACAGUUUUUUGCCGUGGGUGCAUGUGGCAUGUUCCUCUCCCACUGCAAGAACUUCAAGGAUUGUGAUUAAGGAAGAUUCUUGGCCGUGGGUGCAUGUGGCAUGCUCCUCUCCUACCGGAAAAAUCUUCGAGCGCUAGGGUGUAUGUGGCAUAUUCCUCUCCCUAUCGGAGAUCCCGGCUGCGGGUGCAUGUGGCAUGUUCCUCUCCCACUGAGAGAUCCCUGACCAUGAGUGUACGCAGUUCUUCGCUGCCCGUCGGGCGACUUGGUAUAUAGACUGAAGGCUGAGGUGUAUGUGGCAUGUUCCUCUCCUCAGGCCUAAAUGUGAGCGGUAGUCCGUUGGUGAUUGACUCGAGACCGAGUCGGGUGGUACAGCUUGGCUAAGAUAAAAAAACCUUAGGAGCGAAUGGUAAAUAAUAUGGAUUGUGAAAUAGUAAGUAGAAACGGUAGAUCUACUUGUAUUACAUUAUGUUGCAUUAUUGCAUGUUGUGAGGCACAAGCAUAAAUUUAUUUCUCGCAUAAAAACUAUAUGUUUAAUUAUUGGACUAACUUGCUUUUGAUGCCUCCUUUGGACCUGGUGGGUCGAGCUCUUCCCUUGAGUGGCCGUACGCACUGGGAACUAUGUAUAUAGUUCUCACCUCACGUUUUUUAGGUCCACAAAUGUAAGGACUGAGAUUUUUUGCAGUGCAACUAAACUCUCUGUUGAUGAUGUUUAUGUGUGUAAUUUAAUUACAUAAGUACUCGUCAAGUUUCAGGAGAAAAUGAGCUAAAAUGGAGAAGUUACGCGAUUAUUAGUUUUCACUUAAGUGAAUAGUAACUCUGGUUUUUCGGUGAAGCCAUGGAGUAGAGUUGGCUUUCUACGCGUAUUGGACUCCGUUCAUAGCGAUCCAAUAGCUCGUUUUGAUCGGUUCAGCUAUUCUGGAACCAAUGGCACUGACAGAUUUCAGAUCUGAUGCACGGUUUUCGAGAAAAAGGAAUUUUAUCGAAAAGAGGAUUUUCGCUCUUUGCUGUUCUUGCAUAAUGAGACUCCUCGUGCUCUACGUUUGUGACCUGGGGUUAGGUGAGAGUUGUUUCUGGUACCUACUGGUGGUAGGGAAUUCAAAUUUGAAUUUGGAUUAAAGGUUUUAGGGUUUAUACAUAGGUCUAUGUGUAAUUUGUGGAUUAGUUGGAGAGCAGUUGGGUUUGGUCGCAAAUCGGCAAGUAAAUCGGAUGAAACGAAAUCGUAGUGGUUCGAGGUGCCGUUCGGUCGUAGCUGAACGCGAGAUGGUGCAAUCCGUUCGGAAAUCCGAUGAACGGAUUGCCGGAUAUUGCAUGAAGUUCGCUAAGGGGUCGAGAGUGGAAAAUCGGGAAAUUCGCAAAAGUCGUAAUAUUUUAUGCUGCCGAAUUGCGUGAGUCGGACAUGGAGGUGGUGUAUGUGUAAAAUACGGCAUGCUGUGAGGGACUUGACUGAGAAUAUUAUCCCUGGAGGACUAUCUUGCAAAUGUGCAUAUGUAAAUGUAGUUGCACUAGGGUUUCGUGAGGAAACCCUAGCUUUUGGCCUUCUCCUCAGCCGAACCGAGCCCUAGCCGCCCCACCUUCUCCCUGCCCAACCCGUGCGCACGCCCCCCGCCGGAAGAGCCACCCGCGACCUCUUCUCUUGCUCUCUCGGCCACCCUCUCCUCCGACUUCGCGAAGUUGCGAAGGAAGCUUCUUUCACCCGAGCUCACCAUCCCUGGCCGAGACCAUCUCCGGCAUCUUCCCCGCCGACUCGGCCAUCCGCUGUGCCUGCCGGAGCCCCACGAGUCCCCUGCGGCGAUCUGCGGUCAGCCCAGGCGAGCUUGAGUGACCUCGGUCUAGGCGCGCCGCGCGCUCCCAUCAGCCGCGCCGCCUUCCGGUGACCCCGGCAACCUCCGCUUGCCGUCCCGCCGUCCCUGCACACUGCGGCCGCCGCUGGAACCUCCUGCGGCCGCCCAGACCCGUGCGGCCCGAGGUCGGGCCCGCUCGCUCCCAGCGCCGCCACUGCCCACCGAGGGGUGCACACCUCCCCUCGGUCUUCGCCGCGGAUCCUUGCCGCCCCGACCUCCUCCGACCGCCGCCGCGCCCGCCAGGAAGCUCGAACCCGAGAGGAACUCGGCGCUUUGAGUUGAGCCGCCGCGACGGCCACCUCCGCCGCCGGCCAGCAGGUGCUCGAACCCACCGACCGCGCACCCUUCCCUGCCGGGCCGCCGCCUCCGCGUCGCCGACGACCAACCCUAGCCCUCCUCGAUCCGUAAGGCCGUUUUGUGUUCCAGCGCACAGUAGUUUAGCUCCGGCCACCUUCCGGUGAUCAAUGAACUCCCGACACCCGGGAAGUGAGCACGAUGAUCUAGGGUUCGUGCUGAACAUCGUGCUCACCUCCGACAGCGGCAAUGAUGCCCUGGUUAGCGAGUUAAUCGCAAUCUUUGCGCGUGUGCGCGCAGUCUCGCAGAGUUUCGCAUUGCUCGUGCGCUUCCCUCUGUGGCCGGAAUUGCUCCGAAAGGUGAGCACGGUUUCCGGCAUGCCGAGACCUGUCACAGGUGUCUCGGCUUCGCUGUUUCACUUCUGGUUUGUGCAGACGGCACUAUAAAAGCGCCGAAAUCGCAUGAAAUAAUGCGAUUUCGGGUAUUCGGACGGGCUUUUAUGCAACCUUGUUCGUCGCGGCUGCUGUUGGCAGCAUGGAUGAGUUGUGGGUGACCUCUGGACUGAUUGUCCAAGGCCCGGACCUUUCCGAAGAUCGAAAAGGGGCAUUCCGGUGCGUUUGUCGGCAAAAUCCGCCGACGGAACGCGGUUUCGGUUCGGAAUUAUUCCGACGGUGUCUCGGAUGAUUUAUUGUGUUGCUGAGCCUAGUUGGCUGGUCACCCGUGUCAUUCGAGGGUUCGGAAAUGACGGGUUGAGCGACGGUGGGUUCCGGUGUCGAAAUAGACACUUCCGGGAACCCGGUUCGGAACGAUUAUCGACGAUAAUCGUUUUGGAGUGAGUUAGGUCUUUGCGCCAAGUCACAUGUAAAUUGUAUUUAGUGGAGCGGGUGACUCGUAGUGCGAGUGUCGGUGAGUUCCGGGACUAGUCCGUGGGUCCCGCAGAGUCUCGGUGGGGUUUUCGGGACUUCCGGUUUGUUCGGUAAUUGGUUUCGGGAACCGAUUCCGAGGGCUAUGACUUUGGAAUUGUGAGUUAACGAUACGGUUUGAGGGUUGUGGAUUUAGUGGUUAUUAGUUGUGGGUUACAUACUAACCCAGUGGACCCUCUGUAGAUCCGUUGUCAUUCUUUCGCAGUUGGAGAGCAGGCGACAUCCUUAAAGGUGGGUACUUCGAUCCGACGUUGGUACAGUGGUGCACGCUCGGUGAUGGUUUCUUACCCUUGCUCUUUGUAAUUAUCCAUGCAUAUAUUAUAUGUUGAGCUUUGCACCUCUAUCGUUUACAUUACACCCACGUUGUUUGAUUAUACUCUACUCAGACGUUUCCAUGCUUAGUAUCAUGUGUAGGAGUAUAAUCUAUCUGUAUGUGAUACCAUGUUUUCUUGUUACUCUACUUAGCUAUUCUGCAUACGCUGUUUCAUAUUUAUAGUAGAGCGAUUCUGUGAUUAUCUGUGAGAUUAGCGAUCUAGUCGGUCGAUUCUAGUAUCAGUAUUUUGACUAUUCGGUGAGUUCCUCGACCUUUGUUGUCUGAUGACCGUUGAGGUCGGUAUACCCUAAGGGGUGGAUUGUCGGUUAGUUGCGCGACGGAUGAUUAUACUUUACUCAAAUCCUAUACUUGUGAUCAUGAUUGGUCGAGUUUCAUAUCCUAUACUUUAUGACGUGAUUGGUCGAGUUUCAUAUCUAGUUGAUCUGAGUGGUCAGUCCUUGUGGUUCAUUGAGCAGUAUUUGCAUAUGUUGUGAGAGGAUGUCGAUGUUGUCCAUCCUAGUUGAUUUGAGUGGUCGGUUCUUGUGCUUCUUUACAGUUGACGACUAUGCGGUCGAUGGGCCUUGUGGGGCAGGAUUGUCGGCUGGUUGCCGACGUUUGAUCAUUGAGCAUAUUGCAUUGAUCGCCCGAUACUGCGCAUUUCACGAACAUUGGCGGUCUGAUCACCGCAAGGAGUGUUCUUUUCCGGAAAAAGUGGUUUGAAUGGUGACAACCGUGAGCCCUAGAGGGGUAUAUGCACUGGAGAGUAGUAGUGGCACUAGCUUGAGGUCUGCGGUGCUGACCAAAGAGAGCAUUGGUUUCAGAUUGGGUACUUUGGACUUCUUGACCGGUUUGACGCAUAUGUCUAUAGUAGCAGUCGUUGUAUGCAUAUUUACAGUUCUUACUUUAUAGUUAUCUUGCUACUAUAGUAGAUAUUCAUGUAUGUUUUCGGUUCCAGUUACAGUAGCGGUAGCCGUUAUUCAGUCUAGUUCUUACUUUCUUCAGUUUAUUGCUACUAUAUUCGGUAUAUCUGCUCUUUACCUUAUUAUUGUUGCUACUGUAUUCGGUAUAUCUGCUCUUUACCUUAUUAUUGUUGCUACUGUAUUCGGUAUAUCUGCUCUUUACCUUAUUAUUGUUGCUACUGUAUUCGUAUAUCUGCUCUUUACCUUAUUAUUGUUGCUACUGUAUUCGGUAUAUCUGCUCUUUACCUUAUUAUUGUUGCUACUAUAUUUCACUGACCCUUGUUGUUAUUUAGCUCUUCCUGAUCCGGUGAGUAUCCUCGCCUUGCGGUACCCACUGGGAGGGGAGACAUGUUUACAUGUUCUCACCUCCCACCAUUUUUUAGGUAUCGCGGGCGAUGAAUAGGUGGGACGAGAUGUGAGGAUACGUGUGUAGCGGUCGAUAGCGCUUCCUGACUCAGGUUAUUUCGAUUUAGUUAUUACCCUUAUUAUUUCUGUUGAUUUAUAGUUUAGUCGGUUUACAUGGUUCAGUUUUGUGUUAUUAUCUGAAUAUCUGAGUUUUCAGUUGGUUUUGGAAUGUAAUAAAGGAUUUGUGUUUUCUUGAAAUAAAAGAUUUUCUACCCCUCGUGGUAGCGUUUUUAAAGAAUAAAGGUUUCCGUGUAGGAAACAGUUUUCAAAAGGUUUCUGUGGAUUUUGCAUCUUAGUAUUUCAAAACCUAUUUCUGUGGUUGGAAAUAUUUUAACUGAUAGGUGUGGAUUUAUGCAUAAAUGUGAAUCUGUAGUGAAUGGUGUAUGAAUAUAUAUAACGGUUGGUUAUUUGUAUGUUCGUUUGUUGUGGUUGUGCCUGGAUGACUUCUUGUACUUGUGCGACACCGUGCAAAUACAGGAGAGACUCUGUCCGUGUGAACAGUGGAUUCCCUGUAUUUGUGGCGAAUCUGGCAUACUCUGGGGUCAGGUUUUCAAAAAAAAAAUUCAGACGCUUUUCCGCUUUGUUUUAAACUGAAAAGGGACCCCGGGGCGUGACAACACGUGAGCGGAGCGGCAGCGCGAGGAAAGAGCGUAGCUUGGUAGAUAGCUCUUCCCUUGGAUCUACUCCUUGAUUACUAAUAGCCCUUGGAUUAAACACUAUUCCACCUACCACCAUCAUACCAACCUUAUAUUUCUCCAUCCAAGGGUUAAAAACUCAAAAGCACUAACCUCUUGAUGUUUUUGAGAGUAUUCUAGCUCAACUCUAUAUAUAUGUAGAGAGUUAUAUAUAUAUAUAGAGUUGAGCUGGAAUGCUAUCGGUAGCAAAUGGGCUCCGUUGUCACCCAUUUGUUUUUGAUUAUGGAGCCUCCAAAUCGACGAUUGGUACCGUUAAAUAUGAUCUAUACAACUUGAAGUGUUUAGAAAUCAAAUUUCAUGUAUAUUCGAUAUUGUUUUCUUAUCCAUCAAGUAGACACAAAAAUGAACAGCUAAAAAUGAAUAAUCUUUAGAAAGUGAUAAUAGGAGUCUUGUAAUCAAGAUCAGGAGUAUAGAUCUUGUUUUAAAUAGUUUAAAGAAUUUUCUAACAAAAAUUUAUUUGAUUUGGAUAUCUUUGCAUCGUUAAACGAGAAAAUGCAUCAUAUCGACUAUUAAAAUUAUGAAUAUUGAAACCCUUUGAUUAUUAGGCAAAUGAUGUCGAAAGGAUUUGAAAUUUAUUUCUAAACACCUCAAGUGGUAUAGAUCAUAUCAAACAGUGCCGAUCGUCGAUUUGAAGGUUCCAUCAUCGAUAACAAAUGGGUGGCAACGGAGCCCGUUUGCUACCGGUAGCAUUCCAGCUCAACUAUAUAUAUAUAUAUUAUAAGAUAUUAUAGAGUGAGGCUACUAUGCUAUCGAAAGUACGGAGCCUUCGUGCUUCCAGCUCGUUUUCGUAUGUGCGACUUUCGAAUCGUCGAUCGGCCCGUUAAACUUGAUCUAGAGUAUUUGAAAUACUAGAAAAUAAAUUUUAAGAUUUUUCGAUAUCAUUUGCCUAGUGAACGAAGGGGCUCAAAAUCAACGGCUGAAAAUAAAAAUCUUACAAAACGUAAUAAUAUGACAUUAAAAUUUUAAAUCAAAGAUAUUGAUCUUGUUUUAUAUAAUAUAAAGAAUUUUCUAUCAAAAUUUCACGUGAUUUGGAUAUUUCUACACCGUUAAACUUGCAAACGGCUCACUACGGCCAUUGAAAUUUGUUGAUUUUGAACCCCUUCGAUCACUAAGCAAAUGAUAUCGAAAAAUAACAAAAUUUAUUUUCUAGGUACUCCAAAUACUCUAGAUCAAGUUUAACGGAGCCGAUCGACGAUUCGAAAAUCGCAACAUCGAAAAUAAGCUGGAAGCAUGGAAGGCACCGUGCUUCCGAUAGCAUAGUAGCCUCACUCUAUAUAUAUAUAUAUAUAUAUUCGAGGGUAUAAAAAUCGUUAAAAUGCUUGAGCAAAUUAAGCCCAAUUGAUUUAAGCAGUAAUAUUGGGUAAUAGUGGUACAAUCCAUAUUUUAAUUUUAUUAGUAACUUAAAAUUAAUAAUAGUUUAAAAAAUUAUUAAAAUUUAUUCGAUUUUUUCAAAUAAGUGUGACGUGCAUUGCUCAUGUAUACGACUAUUUUAUAUAUUAUAAUAAAGUAUUUAUUUUAUACAUUAUUAUUGAAGCAUUUUAUAUAACAAUAUUGAAGUAUUUUUUAUAAUAAUAUGAUUAUUACAAUAUUAUAUAAUAUAUUAAUUAUUUAAUAUUUAUAUAAUUUAUUAAUUUAUAUGUGCAUUAUUAUUUGUAUAUUAAAAAUAUUUUAUAUAUAAGAGAUAUAGAUAAAAACAAUCUUGACAUUUUAUAUUUUUUUCACUAUCCAAACAUUCUCUUAAUAUUCUAGAAAUUUUAAAAAAAUUAAUCCAAAUAUAAAAUUUUUUAUUUUCGCUCUAUUCUAAAAUAAUAAAUUAUCCUAAAAAAUAAAAAAUUUAUUUUAAAAAUAUUAUUUUAUUAUCCAACGCAGCCUAAAAAUCAGUUAUAUGGAAACUAACAGCCAGCGUACUUCUCCGUUUUGGCUUACGUUAGCUAAACUAUCUGUUCAUCAUUAUAUGCAUGCUCCCAAAUAAGCCGCGUUUAAAUUUGCGCUCCACGUCCCAAGGCAGAGACCAUACUCUCAACCACAUUAAAUGUUCUCAACCUCCUAAGAUUAAAGUGGUGCUCCAUUGCACAAUAAAUGAACAAUUGCUGCAGAGUAAAUGCGCUACAACCAUUUAAAUUUUCGUCCUGUCCUCCAUGCCCAUCCUGUCUCAACAUUAGUCACCUUUAAAAAAAAAUGUAGCUAGCUAGCUGCUUCAUUCAUUAAAAAAAUAAACUAGACUUACAAAAUGAAAGCAGUCAGGACUUCCGAAAGAAAAAAGAGACGGAAAAUGUGAACAAAAGAACAAAAAUAAAAUAAUAAAAGACAACAACAGAACAAGUCAGCAAAGAACAAAACAAAAAGAGUAGGAAGCGGCCAAAAAGGCCGAAAAAGGAGAUGAGCCAGUCAGAGGCCGGCACGUGUUCCAGGCUAAUGUAAGGAGUAGGCCGAAAAAGGAGACGAGCCAGUCAGAGGCACGUGUUCCAGGCUAAUGUAAUGAGUCUGACGCGAUCAAGAGCUCGGGUAGGGUUGGGGAGCUUCUCUCGGAAAAGAAUAUCGUUCCUCUCAGUCCAUACGACCCACCAAAUAGCUGUCAGUAGAGUUAAGGCUUCUAAUCUCCUCUGGGCAUCUAGUAAACUAAGGAGUCUUGUCCACAGAUCUUUCGCCUCCUCCGAGGGCGCCAUCAAGUCUUUCGGACCUUCCACGCAGAAGAGUAGAUAUCGAACGAACACGCAGAAGGUCAUAAGGUGAACACAACUUUCCGGGGUGACGGCAAAGAAAACGCAGAGUUGUUCCACAAGCCAUCCGCGUUUAUGUAAUCUGUCGGCGGUCAAAAUUCUCUUUCGCAGAAGCAACUAUAAAAAGACUUUAAUUUUGACCGGAAUUUUAAGUUUCCAGAUAAAUGAACUUGUUACAUCCUGUAAACCAUCGUCCGUGAGGAACUGGUAUAGGGAUCUGACGGAGAACUGUUGACUUGAGGUCCAUUGCUAUUUGAUCGUGUCCGGUUUGUGACUUGGACAGGUGAGCUGAAGCAUGUCCUUUAGAAGGGUCACUUGUCUGCGACAUGCCGCUGCGGGGGGGCCCGUAGCGCCCCGACAUACGUAACGCUAUCGCCAGCUGUUCGGGUUCCAACAUUCGGCCACCCUAGCCUCCUUGUGCCUUAUAUGGUCAAAGAUAUCCGGAAAGAGAGUGCGUAAUGGGGUUUCGCCAGUCCAGAUGUCUAACCACAUCCUGAUGUCGCUGCAGCCUCCUAGCUCAUAACUUACAGUGCAUUUGAGAAUGUCGCGGCAAUGCAACAUGCCUCUCCACCAUUGUGAGUAAGGUACGAAAGUUCUACCCUCGUGUAAAGGCCUACGCUUGGUGUAAUAGAGAGUUCGGAUUAACUUGUUCCAAAGUAGGCUUGUCUCAUUAAAAAAAAAGCCACCACCAUUUGGUUAGUAAAGUCGUAUUCAUCGAGUUCAACUCCUUGACUCCUAAUCCUCCCUCUUUCUUGCUUUUAUAUAUUAUUUUCCAGUUGACAAGGCAACAUCCCCCCCUCCGGAGAUUUUGGUACCCUUCCAGAAGAAGGCUCUCUCCGCAAAGCUUCGAUUCGUUGCAAAACCCAUUGUGGAGCUUUAAAAAUAGAGAGGCAGUGGAGUGGCAGACUAGUAAGGACAGAGUUGACAAGGGUGAACCGCCCUCCUUGGGAGAGGAGCUUUGCCUUCCAGCCUUCAAUUCUCGUGUUGAUGCGAUUAAUGAUGAUAGCCCAGUCCUCUUUUCUCAAACGUUUGUGGUAAAGCGGAAGGCCCAAGUAACAGAAAGGUAGAUUGCCUACUGCACAGCCCAGAAUAAUAGCAAGUCUGGUCGCUCUAUGUGGGUUAGAGCCGACGUAAUAUAGCUCAGACUUGUCCAUGUUGAUCUUAAGUCCAGAGGCCAAUAUGAAGGUUUUCCAUAAGAAUCGCAGGUUUCUCAUGCAUUGUUUUGUAGAUUGACAGAAGAAGAUUAUGUCAUCUACAUAUUCAAUAAGGGCUAUUUGGCACUCAGCAGAUGGUUCGAUUCCACGUAGGAGGUUGUUCUUUCUGGCAGCAUCAGUCAUUCUUGCCAGGCAGUCAGCCACCAGGAGGAAAAGAUAGGGGGAGAGAAGGUCACCCUGUCUGAGCCUCUUCCGAGUUUUUAACCACUUAGUAGGUGUGUCGUUCACCAGGAUGACAACUUUGGUGUUACAAAUACAUUGUUCGAUCCAAGACCACCAUUUGCCGCUAAAACCAGCCCAAAGCAUUAUUGCCUUCAGGAAGGUCCACCUAACAUUGUCAAAAGCUUUUUCGAAGUCUGCCUUGACACAGACGCAAUCCAAGUUAGAUUUGGAACACCGGCUAACUAUCUCAUUGACAGUCACAUAAGAAUCAGUCAGUAGUCGUCCUUUAAGGAAUGCCGAUUGAGUUGGCGAGAUAAUAAAAGGUAAAACAUUAGCGAGCCUGUUGACUAGGACUUUGGAAAUAAUUUUUUGUAAUCCGUUGAUAAGGCUGAUCGGUCGAAGGUCUUUAAUUUUACGAGCUCCCUCUUUCUUAGGAAUGAGGCAGACGAAGGAGUAAUUAAUUCGGUCGGUGGAUAAUUUACCUUCCUGAAGUUUGGUGAAAAUCUUGAAGAUGUCAUCCUUUACUGUUUCCCAAAAUUUUUGAAAGAAUAAGAGAGGAAACUCGUUCGGUCCGGGAGCUUUAUCUCCACCAAGUUGGAAGGUUGCAUUCUUGACUUCCUCGAUAUUGAAGGGGGACGUAAGAACCUCAAGCUGGGGGAGUCUAUUGGAGUGAUAUAGCGAACUCCAAUCACUGUGGGAUUGAGUUCUCUCCUCCCACUGUCUAAAAAGCCGUCGAAAGUAAUGAUAGCAGCGUGAUCUCUUCAGCUCUUCGUUGCGUAAUUGAUCCCCAGCCUCAUCCUCGAUCACAGUGAUUGAAUUGAUGUGUUUCCUUCCGUUAGCCAUCGCAUGAAAGAAUUUGGUGUUUCUAUCGCCUUCUUUCAACCAAAGUUGUUUGAACCUGGUUUUCCAAAGUAUUUCCUCUUCCACCAGGAUUUGUUGAAGUUGUGAUUUAAGAUCCGUCCUCUUAUCCUAUGCAUCCUUGGUCAGAGUCUGCAGUUCCUCUAAGAAGUCGAUUUUUUGUAUCUCCUCAUGCAAGAGCUUUUUGGUUUUCGCAAUACUGUAGAAAUUCAACUUGCAUCAUUCUUUAAUUCUGGCUCUACAGUGUCGAAGUUUUGCAGAUAAAGUGAGGAUCGCAGUUCGCUUAACACUUACUUCAUUCCACCAGCGAGGUACGUUUGACAGGAAGUCGUCUUUGGUAAGCCAGACUUUCUUGAACCGAAACCUUCGCGUGGUCGGUUGAAGACCAAUGGACAGAAGGAUCGAGGUGUGGUCAGAAGUGAGCCUAGGGAGAGCAAAGACCUUGCUAUGGGGAAAGAUAGAUCCCAUUCCGUGGAAACAAGGAACCUAUCAAGCUUAGCUAAGGUGGGUCUCUGUUGCAUGUUCGACCACGUAUAGGUUUGGUUUGACAGUGGUAAAUCGAUGACCUCUAAGUUAUUGAUGAGGUCAGAGAACAAGGCCAUCGCUUUUCUGCUCCAAGGAAGACCUUUCCGUUCUGAUUGGUUCUUGAUGCAAUUGAAAUCUCCGCAGAUAACCCAGCUGUUAGUGCAGACAUCUUUGAGAGAUAGGAGCUCCAACCAGAAGGCUUCCUUUCCGUCCCAGUUUGGAGGUCCGUAGACAUUUGUGAGGUAGAAGGUCUUGCCACUUGUAAGAUGAGUGAGGAGUAGGGUGAGGGAGUAUGUUCUCUCGGAAACCUCGUUGCAAGAAAAACGAUUUGAGUUCCAGCAAGUGAUUAAGUCGCCCGAGGUCCCUGAAGCCGGUAGAAAUUAAAUGACAUUUAUCGAAGCUUGAUCCGCAACAAGAAUGAAAAAAUGACUGAGACACAGAAUCCACUUUAGUUUCUUGGAGACAUACUACAGCGCGAUAGUAAUUGGACACAACAGACUUAGCCAAACAUCUUUUACGGGGGGCGUUAACGCCUCAGACAUUCCAACAGAGAAUGUCUAACAUCGCAAAAAAACAAAACACAAGAAAAGAGCAACAGAGAGACAAGACUAGAAACCAGCAGAUAGUGACAUCUGAAGCUCCUUCACCUCAGCAGGAGACAGAUUCAUUCCGCAACGGAGACUUUUUUCUCUGAUUUUCUUGACCAAUAGUUUGCGUGCGGAGUAGCCAAGCCCCGAAGUCGCACCCUCACGAAGACUUGCUUUCCUGAUCAUUGCCUGCCCUAAAACACUGUCCUUUGCACUGUUGAAAAGUCUACUGCUGGUCCUGGGGGGGUUGGAGGCGACAUCGUUCAGAGGUGUAAGGUCAGAAGAGUCAACGCUAACGAAGAUAUCCGCAGAGCGUGAUUAAGGUUCCGAGGAGGAGAGGUGCGAACUCCCAAGGGAAGGCUUAGGACGAGGCCUAGUCGGAACGGGGGGGUCCGAGCAAGAGAGAAUCUGGUGCAAUCCUGUUGGGCCCCGCAGCCCAGUCAGCAUGCAAAGGGCCCGAUAGUGGUCUCCGGAGAGGCAAAUGAAAGUGGCCCAAUCUGAUGGGGCCCGAGCCCGGCACGUGGAUAAGAAUGGUCCACCAUGAUUCCAUCGUGUUAAGCCCUACUACAGAAGCAUUUAAAUCUAGGGUCAUAGAUGGCGUGGGGCCCAAGGGCAAAAGACGACAGUUGAAAUUAAUAUGCGGACGAGGCUCCAAGAUCUCGGGCCCCCCAACUUCCCCAAUCCUAUCUUCAGCAGGUGGGCACGAGUCUCGACAUAAGGCUCUACAGGCACGAGGUACUUGAAGGGGGGGCAAUUAAGGCGGGACAUAGGGGGGUGCAAAAAAGAUCGGAGUCAACCGAAAUAGGGAAGUUUAAUCCUGUCGGUCCAAUAUUAUCACCUUCUAUUUGAGCCAGUUUCACAAAUAAGGAAAGACCAGGUGGAGAAGCAAUUUGAAUAGUGUGCAGCAAACUAGCCAGAGCUCCAACGACCAGAGCUCGUCCAUCCUUUGCUCCGUCGGCUGGAGAGAGAGCAGUCGAGUGAAAAUCCCCAGAUUGAGGGGUCCAGCCUGAGGGACAGAGCUCGGACUCAAUGGAGGAUGAGGUGGCAGAGAGUCGAUACAUGUCGAGCGGGCGGUAGGGAAAGGACAGCGCCUCCUGUCUCUGAUCUCGGAGGAGUCCCAGGUGUCGUUCAAAUUGGAGUUGGUGUCGCCCGACACUCUCCUCCCUGAGCAGUCAGCCAAGUUGCGGCGAUCGACUUCGAAGGAUUCCGCUACAAGGUGGUGAUGAUCAGAUCUCUCGUUCGGAGAGACAGGAGGGUUCCCGCAUCCUACGUCGCCAUUGCGGGCCCACCUUUCGAGCUGAAUCAAGAUCGAGAUGGAGAUAUCCCUGAAGGCGAUCUCAACGUUCUUGGGGAUGUCCGAGAGAUGAUUGACGGUCAUGAGACAACGAAAACUCGACAGAUCCACCAUCCACGUGGUGAGAUCAUCCGCUCGGAUGAAACGGCCAAAGCCCCCGACAAGGGCCGCGACAAAACGUGAGGACCAACACUCGUACGGGAGGCUGACCAAUCGAAUCCAUGCUUUGUAUGGAGGAAGGAAUCGUCGGGCACCCCUGUACGGGUUCCACGCGAAGCACCUGAACCUAAGUUCACCCAAACUGAUGAGUUCCCUGCGAAUGAGGGACUCGGCAUAGACCCAUUCGGGGAGAAAGACAAUAAAGUCUCUCUCCCUGUACCUGGCGACCAAGCUCCAAAACGGUUCGCAAGGCCGUGAGCAAUAGUGUCUAGCGGGAAGUGGCCGAGGUACGCCGGGGGUAUCACAUCCACGAGGAUAGCAUUGCGACGCCUAUUUUGCCUAGCGAAGAAGUCUUCAGAUAGGGGAACAAAGGCGCACAUGUAGGCUCGGCGCGCACGCAUCGCACGAUAGGCUUUCAAAGGCAGACGAUCCAUGGAAUCCCGAGCUUUGUGAUCCAUUUUACAUACUGCCAAUUUAUUAGCAGUUGAGUUAAGCAUGUCAAACUAUUGACAGAGUUAAAAUACAUCCAAUUUACAAAUCGGCUCGCAAGAUGUCCCUUGAUUGUGACGACAUCAAGUGAUUCGAUUGAGAAAGGAUCCGCGUAACUAGGUUCCCUCUCAAUGUGUAAAACCUCUUUAUAGAUGAGAUGAAAAUUGAAUCGGCUGAAACUAGAGCGGAACUACUUAUGUUUCAUUAAGUGACGUGUUUGAAAAUUAUAAGAAAAAAUGCCAGGACUUGAUUACAAAGAACUAAAGGCUAAAAACUUCAAACUAAAAGAUAAAAACUUCUAGAAUUAGCAACUACUUCUAGAAAAGCGGUAGAUGCUAGGAAUGAAAAAAGAAGAUUAAAAUAAGCGGUCUUUGGUCUGGAAAAAAAAAACCUCUUACAAGUAACUUCUCACUAUUUAUAGCAUUCCUGCCAAUCUUCAGUUAGUCAUGUAGUUAUUGAAUAAUUCAUUUUUGUAGGAAGUGUUUCAACCACAUCUUUUCGGUUACGAAGUCACUCCCUCGUCUUUCAAACCGUUCCCGCCAAAGUCCAUUCGUUUUUGGAUUUUCUCUCUCAGCUCUUGGCAUACCACGUGUCAUCUCCCUAUUUGACCACAUGAGUCGAGCCGACUACCAGUUGGCACCAUAUUUUUUUUGUGCCAACAAUGUCCUUUAUUAACCUUAACUUUUCAUUUCACAUUAAUGUUGUCUUUAUCAUCAAAAACUUUUUCAAGGCAAAAACCCUUCAUUUUCUCCACCAUUUUUUCAACCUUAGGUUUCAGAGCACUUUUUCUUUUUCUUCCUAUAGACACUUCAAUCGAUUAUUUUCCUUCUUAGUCCACUAGGGCCCUACUCGGAUUCCUCCUUUUUGCCUAUUAGUAUUUGUCUACAUUGAGACUUAUUUAAAAUAUUCUUAGUCCACAUGUGAUAAAAAAUAAAUUCAAAAAGAUAAAUCCUACUAUUGUAACACCCCAUACUUUUAAAUCUCUUGUUUUGAUUCCUAUCUUAUUAAGUUUGGACCUUUUCGUAAUUUCCAAUCAUUGAGGGACUCGAUGGCAUUUUGUUACCUAAUUAGUACCUAACUUAAUUAAUUUACCCUAGACAACCCCACCCAAUCGAUCUCUCUUUUUCCCUCCCGCACGACUCUUUCUCUCUCCCCCUCACCGCGUCCGUACGACCUCUUCCGUUCCGCACGUGCGCGCGCGACAUCAUCUGAUCGCCGCCGUCAUCCGUAGCCGCCUCCGUCGCAAUCCUCUUUGACCGUUAUUUUUGGUUCGCUAUCGUCGGCAUCUUGUCGUCAUCUUCACCAUUUUCGAUAAGGUUUUUCUUUUUCUCUCAUUUUAUCUCUAUAUCGAAUCUUGUGAUCAUCCAACCUCUUUAUUCAUCGUUUUAUUAUUAUUUUGAAUACUUGCCUCAUGAUGAUUGAAAUUUGAAACCAUCAAAAUCUGAAUUCGUUAUAUCUAAUCUUCGUCGUUCGAACCGUUUAAUUUUAUAUCUUGUAUCUUCUGUAUGAUCUAGUUGCAUAAAACUUCACAUAUUGUACACACUUAUUGGAAUGUCCGCUAUAUAUUCGACAAAAUGCCUAAAAGAAUGCAUAUAUUGUUUUUUGUUCCCAUCUUGAUUCUAUCUAAUUAUUGAUUUGCAUAUCAAUGUUUCAACAUCUGAAAACUCUCUUUUUGAGCAUUAGAUCCUUCGUUUAUUAUCUAAAACUUCAUUUAUGUUAUCUUGCUUCUUUAAAAACUUUAAUAUUUGGAACUCAUCAUCCUCUUGAUUGUUAAUUGAGUUUCGUCGAAUUUAUUAUUCUAAAUCUCUUUCGUGAUCCGUCUCAACCUUUUUGCAUGCAUUUGUAGCAGACAUUGUCGACCUAUGUGAACCUAUCCGAAUUCAAAUUUUUGCAUAAGCUUGCUUUCUAAAUGUAUAUAUGUUCUCUUUGUAAGUUUAUUUUAAAUAGCUUAUAGAGAAUAGUGUAUCUCUAUUUUAGGUUUCGACAAUUGAUUUCGUGCAAUUUUUGACUGGAUAGCUUCUCAGCUUAGAAGCCGCUUUUGAGAUAAGCGACCGGACACCUGUUAGUUUUUCGUAAAAUAAUUUAGGAAAUACUUUGAUUAUAUGAAAAUCUUUAUUUUGUAGAUUUUAAAAAUUAAGGGUUAAGUGUAUAUUAAAUAUUUUUGUAAAUUGAGUGUCAACUAUGAUUAAAAGAUUCUUUUAACAGAAAAUUUUGAAAUUUGAUAAUCUGUUCUGUAAGUUAGUGACUAGAUAAUUUAAAUUAUAAUGUCUCUUGGUAUUCUGCUAUGCUAAUGUUGGCCAUGUCGACAUGUAUUUUGUUAUAGAAGCGAGCUUCAUCUUUGUAUUGCGCCUUCGGGUGCCUGCGCCUAUUUGCGCCUCUGCUUUGUUUGCGCCUUUGGGUGCCUUUGUUUUGUACAUGUACCUUCGGUGCCUCUAUUCUGUUUGUGCUUUCGGGUGCCUAUGUUCUGUUUGCGCCUUCGGGUGUCUCUGGAUCUCACCAACGGAUCAUAUGAUAUAGUGAGUUGCCGGAAACUUAAUAUUUGUUUUGUUUAUUUGCUGAAAGAGAAAUGCUUUGUAAAUUUAUAGUUUCGAUUCGAUCUAAAUUUUAAGUUUUGAUAAAUUCUUGUUUUCUGAAAUUUUGCAAAUUAAAAACCAGUCGCUUGAAUUAAUUUUUUGUAUUCAAUUAUUUAUUUGUAUUAUAUGCUUAAUCCGACUAAUGUGGUGUAUGGUUGCUUACCCAGGUACCGAGACUGAUUUGCCGGACGGGGCUGAGACCAAGUGAACGUUAGACGUUGCUAGUUUUGAUUUUAGUCCCUUUUGUUUUUACAUCUAGUAUUUUUGGAUUAUCUAUGAUCGUUUGUUAUCUAUUUUGUUUCAUUAUUUCUUCGUACCCACUUUUAUCACUUAUGGUACUUUGUAGACCGAAUCUCUCUUGUAAUUCGUAGUAAGUUUUAGUUUUAUAGAUGUUAGAAUUCCGUUUGAUUUUAGUUGAAAUUCAAUUUUUUAGUCUCAAGUCGUUCAAGCCCCUCUUCAUUAGGCUCUCGCGGAAUUCCACUUCGAUUCGCAAUCAAAGUCUUCGGCCAAGUUCGAGCCUACCGGACGCCUUGUCUCUUUUCGCUCGCAACUCGCCAUAUCCCAACUCUAGGGAAACCACCCUAAUAAUAAUCGCUGAACGGAACUCAGUUCACUCUCUGCUUAGCCUGAACCGCAAGUCUGAUUGCCACAGCAAUGCCGCCACCCUGCGCGCACCGCCCGAUUCUUUAGAUUUAGUGGAAAAAUUGGUAAUCAUUUUUUUGCUAGUUUCCGUCGGAUUCUGUAGCCUUGCAUAUUUGCUAGUUUAGCAGGUAUACAGCGUCUGUUACGCGCGGCGUCUGUUACGCCUCAGAUUUGGGCGUGACAACUAUAUUUAAAUUUCUAUCUUUGCGGGAUUUAGUUAGAAUCAGAUCAGGAUUAAUGUGUCCCCUAUGACCUAUAAAUAUAUGAGAGAUUGGCCACAAAAGAUAUACAAGAAAAAAAAUUAGAAUAAUCUCUUCGCAGAAAUUCUCUCUUCGGGUUCACUUUAGGGUACCAUCAGAAAUCCUAGGAUUUGGGUGGUGUGCUGCGAUCAACUCUGAUAACCCGGAUUGCGACAAGAAAGAACAAUAUUGAAGACGCAAAAAAUGCUAGAGAUCAAACAGAUUCUAAGCAAUUUAAAGAGCUCGUAAAACAAGACGAGAUCAGAUAAUUACAAUGUUAAUUCUGUGGCGAAAAAGUAUGCAAAAUCUAUGUGAUUUUUUUUUUAUCAUGAUUUGAUUAUUAAUUUUCAUAUGGUAUCAGAGCAUUCCAGUUCUUAUAUUCGCUCAAUCAUCUAUUUUGAUAUCGAAUAUUUCUUUUAAUUUCUUUUGGGCAUUAAAUUUGGCAUUGAUUUGUAUAAAAAAAAACGAAACCGACAUUGUCUCGGGUCGCAAUGGGCGAGAACACACAUAGGUUUCGCGAUUUUAGGCACGCUAAAUUGGCGUGUGGAUGAUGAACGUGAGUCUUCUCAGCCUUUCUCUUAAGCGGUGUAGCACCUAGCCCAAUUCUUGGGCCGCCUGCGAGGCCCGCUUAUGGAUUGCAUUGCCGUUGGGCCUACAAGGUUCCAUCCUUUUAUAAGCCUGCUCACGCAUUGGGCUGAGCAAAAAGGUCCCCCCAAGAAUUAGGCUGCAGAGCCAUUAUGCAUGAUAAGCCAGCCUGGUCACUGGGCCACCGGCACGCUGGGCUAAUGGGCCCAAUCGUGCAAUGGGCCGUGUUGGGCGAGCUUGUGUGUGGGGCCAACUGAGGCCCACUUGCGUUUUUGGGCUGCAUGAUGGGUUAAGCAUAGAGGUCUGGCCCGCGCACACUAGACGGCCUGAGGCCCGCAUGCUGGCCCAUAUACGGAAAUAAGCCACGCUCGAGGUCAGGCCGCAUACAGGCCAGCCUGCAUUAUAGGCCCCAUCCACCAGCCCUCUAUUACUAUUACUAUAUUUUUUUUUAAAAAAAAAAAGAAAAAAAAAAGAGAGAGAUUAAUUGUUGGUUAUGGAAUUCAAACCCACAACCUGUUCAUACAAUGACAAAAUUAUGCAUAUCGUUUCCUUAUAUAUUAUGUUAUGAUAUGUUAUAGUUUCUUGACUAAAUUAUAUUGUGUUUUUUAAGAAAUGUAUGACGUAGAUUUAUUCUUGACCAAUUUGUUAUAUUAUUUAAUCUGCAUUAGAUGAAGUGAUUAUUAACAUUUUCAGAAGCGAAAUUUUGAUCCGAAAAUACAAUGAGAAAUUUUAUUAUCAGAUUAAAAAUAAUUUAAAAUUAUGUGCAUUAUUGUGUAGUGAUAUAUAUAGCUUUCAAAAAAAUUUCCUUCGCUGAUUUGCUAAAUUAAGAUAGAUUUGGUGAAACGAAUUAUGACAUGUGGUAUAGAAAAAUCUAAUAUCUUCUUAAUGAGAAAGGAAUGCUAAACCAUCCGACCAAUACUAUGGUUUGGCUUGAGUAAGGUAUGACGGCUCAGUAUGUACCGUCAUGAUUUGCUUGAGAAAGAUGGGAGUGCACGCUAUACGUACGAUGACUUAAUGAAUUUGAAAAUUAUGAGACUCCUAAAAGUAUAUGGGAGCAGCUCAAAGUAAAAUAUAGUAACACAUCAGCCACAAAGCUUCAUGCCUUUGAAUCUCAAAUUCAAUCAAUACAUGAUGAACCCGAAGCACUCUAUGGCAGAGCACUUAAGGGUGAUAUCUGCUAUGAUUAGACAGCUUAAAGCAGUCAGUUGCGAGCUACUGACGAACAACAGGUUUAUUCAGUUGUAAAGUCGUUACCAAAGUCAUUUUGGGAUCAAGUCAAGUUAGUGUUGAUUCACAAUGAGGAUAUUAAGACUCUCAACGAUAUAGCUCGACAUCAAUUCAAAUCAAAUCUAACUAAUUCCUAACACAUAUACUUAGGAUUUGAUUAAUUUUCACCUUAGGGUCCAUACAUUGAGCUCUAAAGUAUACACUUAGGGUCCAACAAAUUAAUUUGAUUAAUCUUUAACACAUAUAUUUAGAGUUUAAUCAACCUCAGCACCUUAGAAAAUAUAAUUAGGGUGCAAUCAAAAUCCAACUCAAUUGAUCGCAAUCCAAAUUUAGUUUGACUGCUAUGUCAUUAAACUGAGCAACUCAAAUCCAAUUGAUCGCCUUGUAUUUAAAUUGAGCAAUCCAAAUUUAAUCAACUGUUAUAUCGUUAAACUGAACAUGUUUCUGUUGUAUUUAUACGUUAUACAUGUAUACUAACUGGUUAAGCCAUGAAAUGCCCCAACAAUUUAUGUAAUAAAAUUUAUUUUUCAAUCUAUUUCAUCAUCAAUAUUUUGAAAGUCUUUUAAUCAAAGGUUCCCAAUCUUCUGGGAAUAAUUAACAGUAGAUAUUUGUGUCUACUAGAAGCUAUGAAUCCAGAAUACAUGAUACUUCUAUAUAUGCAAAUAUUGAUAUGAAUCAUAAAUACUACCUAUAGGAACCAAAAUUAUUUAACUGUGCGAGAUGAGUCAUUCGUGGUCACAGACAUAUAUAAUGCAAUUUAAUUUAUAUAGAAAAAAUAGUGCAAUAUACUCAUCUAAAUGGUGUAACAUUGUUUCCUAAUAGUGCAACUUUUAAACAAAUAGUGCAAUAUUUAUUUAAAUGAUGCCGUAAUAUGCAUUGUUUAUCUAUAGAAAUAAUAAUUCUUAGGUUCCCUCCGGAGCCUCCUCGCGUUUGGCGGGGGGGGGGGGCUCCGCGGACCCCUUUUUUUCGGCCUUCUCUCUCUCUCUCUAUCACUCUCCUUCCUCAUCCCACUCCGGUCCUUUCUCGCUCUCUCUCUCCUCUCUCUCUCGCCCCCUUGCCUGUCUCUCUCUCUCUUCUCUUUCUCUCCCUCCCUCCUCUCUUUAUCCUUCUCUCCUCUGUCCUCUCCUCUCCCUCUCCUCUCUCUCUCUCACUUUCCCUCUCUUCUCUCUUUCAUCUGCUGGCGCACGAAGGGUGCCAGGCUGCCGCCAUGGACGCCCCCCUCCGGCCUUUAUCUUACUCUUUCCCCUCUCUCCCUUUACCCACCCAGGCCCCACGCGGCUCCGCCAACCCUCGUCUUUCUGCUCUUUCUUCGUCUUUCUCGUCUCUCGCGACCGCCAUGGCUAGCGACGCAACGGCGGUGUGGCGGCUGCCCACGCCUGCGCGUGAGCCGCUCGCGGGUCGCGCACGUCGCGCCCGCGCGCGACGCGGAGAGUGCGAGAGGAGAGAGGAGCUCUCUCUCUCCGGCACUGCGUUUACCUUCCCCCCCCAGCGCCCGUCGCGGCCGGGUUCUCUAUGUUCCCGCCUGGGCCGUCUCGUGCUCCAUUUUGUCUGCUUCCUCGGCGCGCGACUCUCCUGCUCUCGGUCUCGUCUCGUCCUCGUUGCCCAGGGCUUGGGCCGCGGCGAUCGAGAGAAUAGGCGGCUGGUGGGCCUGGGGGCAGGCGCGGCGGCAGGCAGGCGAGCGGGCGGCAGGCAGGCGAGGCCCCCUGGCUCUCUCUCUCUCCUCUCUCUUCCCUCUCCCAGCGGCGACUGCGCGGGGGGGUCGCCGGCGCGGGGGCAAUGGAGCGGGACGGCCGCAGGAGCGGGGCGGCCGCAGGCGCGAGCGCAGGCGUAGUCGUAGUCGCAGCCGCGGGCUGGCGCGGGUCCUCUCUCUCUUCUUCCUUUUUUUUCUCUUUUCUAAUUUUUUUAAAUUAUUUUGUAUGGCUGUUGAUAAAAAAAAUAAUAAUAAAAUCUAAAUUUCAAUUUUAAAUUAAAAUUUAAAUCCGAAUCCGAACUCGAAUCUGAUGGAUUUUACAAAUCCAUAUCCAAAUCUGAACCCGAUCAAGACUCCGAAACUCGGCCCUGAAAAUCCUAACCCGCAAUAAUAUUUAAAUAAUUUUUUUUAAUUUCUCUCUCUCUUCAAUUUUUUUGAAGCUUAAAAUUUAAAAUUAGAUUUGAAAAUUGAAAAAAUUAAAUUUUUGAAAAUAUUUUAGGAAUUGCGUAAAUUUUCUGCCGCGAAGCGCGGGCCUUCACUAGUACACAUAAUUGCAUCAUCUGUAAUAUAUUCUCAUAUAUUAUCCUAUAUGUACAUGAUAUAUUAUAUUAUUUGCAAUUCACUAUAUAAAUUAUAUAGUAUUAUGAUAAAUUGUGUAAAUAUUGCACCAUUAAUUCUAUACAAAAGUUGCACUUUUAUUAUACUAUUGAAAGAAAAUAUUGCACUAUUAGGAGAGAAUGUUGUAUUCUUUCGUCUUAUCAAUUAUAUUGUGAAGAUUGAAAUUUUUACGUUGUAUUUUCAUGUUUUCAGUGGUGUUUUUAUAGGUACCUUAAUUUUAAAUUAUCGAUUUAAUUUCAGAGAAAAAUAAGCUUUUAUUAAAGGUGUUUGGUGACUAGUACUAUUCACUUUAGUGAAUAGUAAUCGAUGUUUUAUUUUGAGGCAUUACCCUAAGGAUGGCUUCGGAUGUGAAUCGAACUCCGUUUCAAAUCAUCCAAUAAGUCGUUUUUCAAUGGUUUGGCUAUGCCGAAGGUGAUGGCACUGCCCGAUUUCAUGUUCGAUGCAUGGUUUUUUAGAAAAUUAGAGUUUAUCGCAGAUUAGCCUUUGAUUACUUGAUGUUCUUGCAUUUUUAGAUGUGUUCGAUGUUCUGUUUUGCGUGAAAAGGCAUGGGUCGGUGCCAUUGGGCAUAUUACACACACUGGUGAGUUUUUGGAACAAAAUUCAAUGAUUGGAGUGCUAAAGUGCUAUUUAUGCAAAGCGUCAAAAUUGAGCACUUUGUAAAGAAGCUAUCAUUUUAUGUAAGAAAGCUUACAGUUUUGGCGUGUGGGGGGAUCUAUUGAUAGUAGACUAAGAGAGGACUUUAUGUCUUAAAUUUAAUGGAAUUCAAGUUUACGUGUGCAUAUUGGCACUAUGUGGAAGUCGAGAGAGUGUUUUAUGAGCGAGUCAUAUUUCGGUACAAAAUGCGCAUUCGUGUAGCAAAACGCACGAAGGAGUAGGACUACUAUGUAAACGCAAGUACUUGAGAGGGCUUGGUACAGAUUUUAAUAAGAUUGUUGUAUUUCUUGCAGUUUUACAUAAGUUUAGAGGGGUAUUUACAUAUAUGUAUGAUAUAUAUAGAGAGAGAGAGUUGAGUUAGAAUACUAUUGAUAACAAACGGGCUCCGUUGCCACCUAUUUGUUUUCGAUGAUAGAGCCUCCAAAUCGACGAUCGGCACCGUUGAAAAUGAUCUAUACCACUUGAAGUAUCAAGAAAUCAAAUUUCAUACUUUUUUGAUAUUGUUCCCUUGUCCAUCAAGUAGGCGUAAAAAUGAACAGCUGAAAAUGAAUAUCCUCUAAAAAAUGAUGAUAGGAAUUUUGUAAUCAAGAUCAAGAGGAUAGAUCUUGUUCUAAAUAGUUUAAAGAAUUUUCUGACCAAAAUUCAAUUGAUUCGGAUAGCUUUACACCAUUAAACGGGAAAAUGUCUCAUAUCUACCAUUAAAAUUAUAAAUUUUGAAACCCUUUGAUCAUUAGGCCAAUGAUGUCGAAAAGAUUUGAAAUUUGGUUUCUAGAUACGUUAAGUGGUGCAGAUUAUGUUUAACGUUACCGAUCGUCGAUUUGAAGGCUCCAUCAUAAAAAACAAAUGGGUGGCAAUGGAGCCUAUUUGCUACCGAUAUCAUUCCAGCUCAACUAUAUAUAUAUAUAUAUAUCAUGUGCAAUGUACAAGUUUGGAGGGUUGAAGAAACCCUAGCCAACCACCCCCUUCCUCCUCUAUGUACGGCAGUCGCACCGUCGCCUUCAUCACCAUCGGUUCCCUUCCGGCGAGCGAGGGAGUAUCAAGAUCCUUCUCUCUCCCUCUCCAUUUCGCUUUUUUUCGCGCUUGCUCCCCAAGUUGGCUUAUACCUGCCGCCCCGCCGCAGCUGAUCGGGAUUGCCACCGCCAUUCCCCUCGGACCCCCGGCGACUCUUCCUGAGCUGCCCUUGGUGCUGUCGUGCGCUAGGAGUAGCUGCAACCUGAGGCGGAGCUCUGGGAGCUCUUGUGGCCGCGGGGAACCACCCAGCCUCCUCCGACGUGCCGCACCGCCGGUCCCGAGGAACCCAUCGGCGCCGCCCCCACCCAUCCCCAAGCCGCCGUAGUGGCGCUUGCAGAUACCCUAGUCGCGGAUCUAUUUUGGUGCUCUGCAGCCGGGCCACGCUGCUGCUGCCUCCCGCCAUUGACUAGGGCCGCCGAUCACCUUCCAUAGGUGCGGCGACCCUACCUUGGUCGGAGCCCGCCCUGCCAUGCCGCCGGCCGCUGGAUUUGAGGUGCCCUAGCCCUGCGAGUUAGGUCCUAUAGGACAAAAUUUUUUGGUGGGCUUGAUUUUUUGGCCACGGACGACGUUGGUGAGCUCCCGAAUCAUGAGCACCGCACUCCAGGGGUUCUGUGGAGUGUCGUGCUCACUUUCGUUGCGAUUAGCGAGGUCCAGUGAGUGCGACAAACUCGGUUGCUUCUAGGAUUAACCAUUUGGAGGGUUUUUUCACUAUUUCACAGCCUUCCGUAGUCGAAUUCACUCCGGAUAGUAAGCACGGUGUUCGGCAUGUCGAGACCUUCUGGAUCUUGCAUUUGUUUGGAUUCCGAAGUGCGGAAUCGGUGGUAUGCCUCUAUGUAUUUUAUAAGUAUAGUAUUUACCACGCACCGGGUGUUCGUUGGAGUGCUACUGUGAUGCUUUUCGAAUCAGUACUGUUCUGGACAGUAUGGUUCAGCUUUGGGAUGUUUGACCUUGAUGUUCGAGAUUUGAGAAUCUUACAAAUGGGAUUUUGUGGUGAGUGGCACCUUAAAUGUGGAUUUAAGUGUGCAUUGUGGGCAUUUUCAGCUUUAUUUUCGCAGAGUGGGUUGUCGUUGCUGGUUGCAGCAGUACGGUAGCCUCGUUGGCUGGCUGGGACCUCGCUGGUGCGGAGUGCGGAUCACCAGUGGACCCUAGGUGGGUUCGGAAACCGCAAAUAAUAAUUUUCAGGACCCUGUAUGGUUGAUUUUGGGGUUUUCAUACUUGGAUAGCACCACUCAGUGUGCGACUGUCCUAAAAAAGUGAUUGUUUCGGGAUAGCGAGGAUGGUUGAUUAAAUUUCAGAGUGUUUUGGAACACUUUCAGAGUGAUUUGGUAAAUCACUUUGUACUCAAUUUUUCAUAGUGGAUUGUUUUGUGUGAUUGGUCCCGCGGAUUUUUUACUCCGAGUUGGAGUUUUUCUAUGUAAAAUCUUGGUGUGUUGAUUUUAUUCUUUCGCAGUUAGUUUUAAUUUGCAUCAAGACGCAUCAAGACUUCUGUUUUGUCGUUUACACCUAUUCAAUCCCCUCUCUCUAUGUGUUAUUUUAUCUUUUAGAUUUUUGGGAUCCAUUACAGCUGCAACCCUCACUGCCCGCAUCACUUGAAAAAUGGUAGGGGGUGAGAACAUGCACACAUGUCUUCCCUCCCAGUGGGUACCGCAAGCCGACGAAGGCAAUGAAUACUCACCGAUAUAGAAAGAGAUAAUCAAAGUCAUGAGCAGAUAUCACAAAUACAGUAGCAAUAAUACCGAAAGAAAAGAGAACAAUAAUAGAAUAUAUAACUACCGCUACUGUAAAGUAGAAUAGAUGCAUACAUGGAUAUCGUAACUACAGUAGCAAUGAUGCAGGGAGUAAACAGCAGUACAGAGGAAUAUAACUAGCCGCUACUAUAAUACAGAACAAAGUACACGUAUGCAUCAACCGGACUAUCAGUCCCAAAGACACCCAAUCCAGAAGUUGCCAUAUCGAUCUGAAAACCUCAGGCUAUGCCACUACCGCUCUAGCAGGGAUUGACCCGAGCAAAUGACUACUGAGGUCUUCCUGGCAUAUAACCCAGCAAAUGACUGUUGAGCUCACGGGUCGGAUGUACGGUCACUUUUUCGAAAAAGAACACCUUCCUGCGGUGGAUCAGACCACUAGUGUAUGUGAAACACAUAUGAGCAGUGGCGAUCAAUGUAAUAUGCUCAAUAGCCCACUAUCCGCGGAUAGCCGAAGUAAAGUCUAACAAAGAGUAACCGACCAGCCAGGACAACCUCUAUCUCAAGGAUAGAACAAUAUCAGAGCAACCGAUCAAUCAGGUCAACCUCUAUCUCAAGGAUAGAACAAUAUCAGUAACCAAUCAGAUCAAAUAGAGCAAGUCAUGCAAUAGGCCACUAGAAAUGUCACCAACCACGAAGUCAACUAAUGUAAAAUAAUGUCAUGUAAUGAUACGAGUGUCACCGACUAUAAAGUCAACUAAUGUCAAAUCAUGUCACGUAUAAAUACGUGUGUUACUGACUUUAAAGUCAACUAAUGUAAAAUAAUGUCAUGUAAGGAUACGAGUGUCACUGACUAUGAAGUCAACUAAUGUCAAAUCAUGUCAUGUAAGAAUAUGAGUGUCACCGACUAUAAGGUCACUAAAGUCAAGAUCGUCUAUUAUAAACAUGUCAUUGAUGAGUCAAUCAUCAGGAAUACCGCUCUACUAUAAGAUCAUAACCAUAAGAAAUAGAAGUACCCGUAGAGCAACGAACAAUGAAGACAAGUGGUAUACGAAAGCUCAAUCAACAUCAAGUAGAUGAUGUCUGCCACCACGAAUGACGCACCUUGCACGGUCGAUGGAAUUUUCGGCCGUGGGGUAGUAUUCAUGAUUUAGAUGAGUAUUUAUAUGUAUGUGUGGGUAUCAGGUAUUGCGAGUCCAUGGCUUCCAAUAGAUGCAAGCAUCUAUUGUUAAUUACCCCCUGUAGAUUGGGGCACCUUCGAUUAAGAGACCUUUAUAGAUUGGAUGAAAUGGAUCGUAUCUCGGUUUAUUGAAUCCUAAGUAUAUGUAUUAGGAUUCAGUUGGAUUUGAGGUUGAUUAGGCCCUAAGUAUAUGUGUUAAGACCUAAUCGAUAUUAAACUCUAUGUAUUAGAGUCUAAUUGGUUCAUGAGAUAUGGGUUUGAGAUCUGGUCAUUGGUUCAUGAGAUUUGGGUAUUGGUUUAUGAGAUUUGGGUAUUGGUUCAUGGGAUAUGGGUAUUAGGUUGGAUGUAUGGUUCAUGGGAUUUGGUCCAUGAGGUUUAGUUGUGGUUCAUGGGAUUUGGUCCAUGAGGUUUGGUUUUGGCUCAUGGGAUUUGGUCCAUGAGAUUUGGUUUUGGCUCAUGGAAUUUGGCCCAUGAGAUUUGGUUUAUGGUUUAUGGAAUUUGAUCCAUGAGGUUUAGUUGUGGUUCAUGGGAUUUGGUCUAUGAACUUGGUUUUGGUUCAUGGGAUUUGGUCCAUGAGAUUUGGUUUUGGCUCAUGGGAUUUGGUCCAUGAGAUUUGGUUUUGGUUCAUAGAAUUUGGUCCAUGAACUUGGUUUUCGCUCAUGGGAUUUGGUCCAUGAGGUUUGGUUUUGGUUCAUGGGAUUUGGUCCAUGAGAUUUGAUUAUGGUUCAUGGGAUUUGGUCCAUGAGAUUUGGUUGGUUCAUGGAAUUUGGUCCAUGAGAUUUGGUUUUGGUUCAUGGGAUUUGGUCCAUGAGGUUUGGUUUUGGCUCAUGGGAUUUGGUCCAUGAGAUUUGGUUUUGGCUCAUGGAUUUGGCCCAUGAGAUUUGGUUUUGGUUUAUGGAAUUUGAUCCAUGAGGUUUAGUUGUGGUUCAUGGGAUUUGGUCUAUGAACUUGGUUUUGGUUCAUGGGAUUUGGUCCAUGAGAUUUGGUUUUGGCUCAUGGAUUUGGUCCAUGAGAUUUGGUUGGUUCAUAGAAUUUGGUCCAUGAACUUGGUUUUCGCUCAUGGGAUUUGGUCCAUGAGGUUUGGUUCUGUUUCAUGGGAUUUGGUCCAUGAGAUUUGAUUAUGGUUCAUGGAUUUGGUCUAUGAGAUUUGGUUGGUUCAUGGGAUUUGGUCUAUGAGAUUUGAUUUUGGUUCAUAGGAUUUGGUCCAUGAGAUUUAGUUCUGUUUCAUGGGAUUUGGUCCAUGAGAUUUGGUUCAUGGGAUUUGGUCCAUGAACUGGGUUUUGGUUCAUGGGAUUUGGGUUUUGGUUUUAUGUGUGGAAUGGGUUCGGAUUUUAUUUGUGGACUUGAUUUGUGUUGGGUUUGCGUUUGAUUUGAGUUUGGGUUUUGGUUUUAUUUGGGGAAUGGGUUUGGGUUUUAUUUGUGGACUUGAUUUGCUUUGGAUUUGGAUUUUAUUUGGAUUUGGGUUCAUAUGUGAACUUGAUUCGGAUUUGCAACUUGAUUUGGAGUCGGAAUUUGAUUUUCCCGUUUGAUUUUGAUUUGAUUUCGGGUCCGAAGAAAUUCCCGUUUGAUCUUGAUUUGAUUUGGGGUCCGAAGAAAUCCCUGUUUGAUUUUGAUUUGGAUUUGAUUUUUCAAUUCGAUUUGGGGUCCGAAGAAAUCCCCGUUUGAUUCAAUUUGAUUUGGGGUCUGAAUAAAUCCCCGUUUGAUUUUGAUUUGGAUUUGAUUUUCCAAUUCGAUUUGGGGUCUGAAGAAAUCCCCGUUUGAUUUCGAUUUGGAUUUGAUUUUUCAAUUCGAUUUGGGGUCCGAAGAAAUCCCCGUUUGAUUCGAUUUAAUUUGGGGUCCGAAGAAAUCCUCGUUUGAUUUGCAAUUAGAUUUGGGGUCCGAAGAAGUCCCCGUUUGAUUUGAAUUUGAAUUUGAUCUUCAAAUUUGGUUCUGAUUUGGGGUCCGAAAAAAUCCCCGUUUUGAUUCCAAUUCGGGGUCCGAAGAAAUCUCCGUUUUAAUUUUGAUUUGGGGUCCGAAGAAACGGGGAAUCAAAGAUUCCCCUCCCCUCUUCUUGCGAUGCUGCGGAUGACGUCGACGAAGUUGAUGACGGUGGCGUGGAUCUGUUCGGCCAUCGGAUUUGAUUUGACAUUUUCGAAUAAGUAUUGAAGGGUCCGAAGAAACGGGGAAUCAAAAAUUCCCCUCCCCUCUUCUUUCGAAAGUAUCAAACCGGCGAUGCUGUAGAUGUCGUUGGUGAUGGUGGCGUGGAUUUGUUCGGUCGGCAAAUUUGAUUCAAUAUUUUCAAAAUGUUUUGAAGGGUCCGAAGAAACGGGGAAUCAAAGAUUCCCCUCCCCUCUUCUUUUCGAAAAGAUCAAAACGGCGAUUGUAGAUGUCGUCGACGGAGUUGUUAACAGUGGCAUGGAUCUGUUCGGCCAACAAAUUUGAUUCGAUAUUUAUCGAAGAAAUGUUGAAGGGUCCGAAGAAACAAGGAAUCAAAGAUCCCCCUCCCCUCUUCUUUCGAAAGUAUCAAACCAAACAUGCUGGAGAUGGUCGCGGCAAUGUAGAUCAUCCAUUCCAUCAUCAACGACUUCGAAUGGGGUAUUGAGAGGUCCGAAGAAACGGGGAAUCAAAGAUUCCCCUCCACUCUCCCACCGAAGCCAUCUAGAUGAUAUGGAUGGCUACGAUCGUCGGACAAAAGAAAAAAAAAAAAGAGAGGGGGAAGAAAAGAGAUCUUUUUUUUUUGUUUUAUUAUUAUUUUUACUUUCUUUCUUUUUUUCUUUCUUUUUUACUACCUGUUGAUGGAUUCGAUGAAGCGGCUCAACGAUCUCUCUUUCUUUCUGCGGCUCGGCGAUUUCUCCUUCUUUCCGCGGCUCGAGUGAUCUCUCCUCCUUUCCGCGGCUCGGCAAUGUCUCCUCCUUUCAGCAGCUCGGCAAUAUCUCCUCCUUUGAAUAUUUUGAACUUGGAAGUGUGUAGCAAUCUAUCUAUCGUGUCGUCUCUCUCCAAAAAAAAAUUCCCUGAAUUUGAUUUCGGUUCCCGUAUUUAUAAUGGGAGGGGAGGAGUUAGUUAAGAAUUCAAAAUUCGAAAUUCGAAUUUUGAAUUAUUUGUUGGAUGGUUGGAGGAUAUUUGGGGAGUGGUUGGGAAUUCAAAAUUCGAAUUCGAAAUCGAAUGAGUUGUUGGAUAGUUGGAAGAUAUUUUGGGAGUUGGUUAGGGAAUUCAAAAUUCGAAAUCGAAUUUUGAAUGGGUUGUUGGAUGAUAUUUUGGGAAUUCAAAAUUCGAAAUUCGAAUUUUGAAUGGAUUAUUGGAGGAUACUUUGGUAAUUUGUUGGGGGUUCAAAAUUCAAAAUUCGAAUUUUGAAUAGAUUAUUAGAUGGUAUUUUGGGAAUUCAAAAUUCGAAAUUCGAAUUUUGAAUGGAUUAUGAUUUGAAAUCGGAUUUCGACUAGAUACUUUAUAAGGUGUGGGUGUGGGCCGUCGUUGAUCAGACCCACCUUAAUUUAUUGGGCUCAAAUUAUAACGGGCUGAAAUAAAGGCCCCCCCUCAUUUUUUCUUUUUUUUUUUUAUUUUUUAUUUAUUUGUUUAGGUUUUCGUAAGGGCUCACCCACUCACAUUUUUUUUUUUAUUUGUUUGGGCUUUCGUAAGGGCCCACCCACUCACAUUUUUAAAUGAACUUAUUGUAUAUUAUAAUUAUUGACCCGAAAAAAUUAAUGAUUAAUACGAGACCUAUUAGGAUUGUAUAAACUCGAAUCUAAUCAUUUUUAGGAUUAGGAUUGUUUCAACCUAUAUAUAUGUAUGACAAGUAUUAUUUUACUUCAAACAGAUGAAAAGAGGUAAAAAGGGUAGAAAUCACCGAGCAUGCACCAUUUUACCAACUUCGGAUCGAAGUACCCACCUGUCAAAGUUGCGUCAGAAUCCUGGAAGCGCAAGAAGUCAACCGGACCUACGAUGGGUCUACCAAGUCAGAGACAAACUUAAAAGACUCAAACUAAAGAUUCACACACUCAAUCCCAAAUCCCAAGAUUAGGCUUCCCAAUAAUCGGUCUUUGUAAACUGCCGGAAGUCCCAAAAUCACACCGGGACGACCUCGGGACCCACAAAAAGUCCCAGAAGGCACCGACUCGCCCUACGAGUCAACCGCUGCCCCGAAACACAUCCAUUUGGAUGUUCCAACAAGAACCACUACAUUCCACGCCGAAAUGGUUAUCGUCGGAUAACAGUCCCGAUCCGGGUUCCCGAAAGGGUCGUUUUCGACAUCGGAAUCCACCGUCGCUCACCCAUCAUCUCCGGGCUUUCGGAACGACAUAAGUGACCAGCCAAAAAGGCUCAGCAGCAAAACAUAACUCACUUUAGCACCGUGAGAAGAAAUCCAAACCAAAAUGGUGUUCCGUCGGCGAAUUUUGCCGAAAAACGUAUCGAAAAUCGAUACACGAUUUCCGCGAAGACUUUGGAUAAUCAGUCCAAAGGUCACCUGUAGCACACACGUACUACCCAUAGCACCCACGGAGUGCACAAUUGACAAAAGCCCUUACUAUUCCUUAAAAUCAUAUUAUUUUAUUUGAUUUACCGGGUUUUAUGGGUCGUUACAGCAAACUGAGGGCUUUCGAGGUCUGCUGAGACAUGUACUGACAAGUCUCAACGUGCCAGAGGCCGUGCUUAUGAUUCAGAGCACAACUGCCCAUUGUGGAGAGUGCGGGAGCAACUCGAAAAUCUGCGAAACCUGCGGGCUGAAAACUAAAACGCGACUAAUUCACCAAUCCGGGGCUCAUUGACCCUAAAUGAGGUGAGCACUGUGAUCAGCGCUGACCAACGAUCACUGUGCUGUCCUUCAGAGGCAUUGGAAUAGCCCCGAGUUACCGAAACAGUGAUCCCAAUCUGAAACACUGUACAAAUACACUAAAAUAAAGCUCACUAGGCAAAAGAGGCUAGGGCAUGGCCGGCGUGGCUCGGUGGUGGGCGAGUCGGCGAAAGACGGGUGCAGCUGGCAAGGAGAGGUAGGGGCACGCGUCGGCCGGUGACGGAAGGGCGACGGCGGCGGCGAGCAAUGAUGCCCUAGCCGCACGGGAUGACGAAGAGCUCGGCUCAAGUCCGACCGGCAGGGGGCUCCGGCGUCGGAAGCGCCGACGGCAGGCGGGUGCAGCCAACCAUGCAGGGAGAGCCAGUGCGCACGUCAGCCGGCGGCAGGAGGCAACGGGAGGGGUGAGCGACGAUGCCUUAGCUUGCACGAGGCGAGGAGAGCUAGGGCUCGGCUUCUCCUACAGCGAUGGCCAAGGGGCAGCGCCGAUCGGCUGCGGGGGUCUCCCGGGGUUGCGAGGAGGGGACGCAGGGCACCGAGUGACGGUGCGUGACCACACACAGACACCAGAGCUUAGCUCGGUCAGAGGGUGGCUGCGGUGGCGCCCUAGGUGCGCGGCGGCCACGGCGGCCACUCCGGUCGUGCGCGGGGAAGACCGAGGACCGAGAAGACGGUGGGGCAAGCUUCGGGACACACGGGGGAAGUCAGCGCAAGCUCCUGCCACGCGCACACUGCUUUAGCUGCUCCCUGCAGGCCGCAAAUGCAGCGGCAACACACGACGGGGAUGCGGCGGCCGCGGAGCCUAGACGGAGGUCCGGCGACGCCAACAUUGUCGAGAGAGGGAGGGAGAGGUGCUGGAUUAGGGUUGUAUGAAGAGAAACCCUAGAAACUCUCAUAUAUGGCAACGAGUAAAUCGUGCGUAACUCCCUCAAACCGCGACGUUUGCAGCCAAGACCCUGACCAUGAAUGUAUGACUGCCUCGCGCCACGAUCCACCGAGUUCCAUGAAAUUUCGCGCAUAAAAUAUAGGGUGUUUCGCACAAAAUACGAAAAUAAUCAAUUUGACCCUUCCUCGAUAAACGCGUGAUAUCUAGCGACCAGUCCGUCAGAUUUUCGAACGGGUUGUGCCAACAUAUUCAGCACGAUUGAGUCAUCGAACCCACAAUUUUGUUUUGUUCGAUUUGGUCGCUGAUUCGCGGCGAAAGCCAUUCUCUCUUUGAUUCUCCAAAACCCUCUUUGCGAUACAAUCCCUUUUUUCUCGAAAAUCGUGCAUCAAAGCCAAAUCCGUCAGUGCCAUUGGGUCCAAGACAGUCGAACCAUUGAAAACAAGCUAUUGUAUCACUAUAAACGGAGUCCAAUACGCACCAGACGCCAUCACUACUCACAGGCCUCUUCGGAAAAUCCGAGUUACUAUUCACUUUAAAUGAUUAGUAAAGAUCGCGUAACUUCUCUACCCUAACUCGUUUUCUCUCGGAACUUGACGAGUCCUUAUGUAAUUUAAUUACACACAAAAAUAUCGUUAACAAGAAAUUUAGCUAUAUAGCAAAAUUCUCAGUUUUCACACAUUGGUGGUGCGGUAGCUCUUUUGUGUGACCUACUGGGGCUGACCAUCCCAAGGGUAGUGCAAUGGUGGUAGGAUGGUGUAGGCUUGACCGAACAUGAUAGGCGGUCAUUCGGAUUGGAUUUGAAUAGUUAGUAACCGAUAGUUAGUUGAUACAUUCAUUAUACCUUAUAGUUGCAUUUUGAGCACUAGUAUUAAAGAUGCAUAGUAGCUAUAAUUUUUUUUUUUCCAGCUUUUAUUAUUUUUGGCUCUUUUACUUACCCAGCUCUUUAACUUUCACUUUUGUGGACCUAGUAGGUAGCCCUUUGUUACUAUCUGUUCUUGCAGAGCCUUCCGUCCCUAUCGUUGCUACUGAUCGAGGUAAGAGAGUCGCGAGUUAGUUUCCUAUUUUCUUGUGUUGGUUGGUUAGAAGAUCACCUAUUUAGCUGGUUUUGAAGAGUAGUUUAUUGUAUAUACUUUUAGCUUAUGUUUUUUACUUUCAAUUUUCAGAGGUGAUUUUAUACUUGAUGGAUAAACACCGAUUGUUCUAUUUUGAGACUUGUAUGUACAGUGGAUUACUUUUUAGCUUUUAGCAAUUUUAUUUCGUCUCUAAUAUUUGCUUGUAAUAGCUCUUGUAUUAUUUACAAAUACUUUUUUUGGUUCGUGUGCAUAAGAUUUUUUGUAUAAGCGGUGGUCUGUUGACGAGUCCGGAUUUGGCUGCAAUUCGGGACGUGACAAUAAAUUUUAAAUUAUUUUAAAAUAAACUUAAGCAAAAAAAAAAAAUUAUUUGUAAAUAGCAAAAAAAUUUUGCCAAAUAAUUUUAUAAAAUUAUUUAACAAAAAUUACUUUUUUAUCUAAAUUUUAUCACACGCUUUACAGCUUUUUGAUUAAAAUCAAUUCUUCAGAUUAAAAUUAAUUAUUAUGCAAAAAUCACGUUUUGACAUAAAUAGUCUACCCGCAAUGGGGAACUAAAUUUACCUUCCCUGGUCGUCCAGUUUGCGGUAAACUUUGUGAAUCAAUCGCACGAGUGGAAAGGAAUGGGCAUUUCGACGAGCACCAGCGAGGCGCCGCUGCAACAACCCUCCUCCUCCUCCUCCUCCUCUUCCUCCUCAGUUUCUCCUCAUCCUCCGUCGCCGUCGCCGUCGCCGUCGCCGACGCCGUCGCCGACUCUCCAUCAGACGGACGCCGACGAAGAGGACGAGAACGUGAAGCAGCUCAAAGAGUGCUCCUCCAUCUACCUCUCUCUUCAGGCAACUUUAACCCCUCUCCCUCUUAAUUCGCACUCCCAUUCCCCUCUCUUUUGUAUAUUCAUCAUUUGUUUCUCUAUUCUCUGUAUCUUCUUUCCCUCUCCCAAUCUCAUUUCAGGAAUGCCUCGCUGAAACCAACAGGAACUGGAAGGCCUGCCAGCGAGGUACUUAACCAACACACUCUUCCCCCCUUCUUCUCUCUCUCUGUUAUAAUAUACAUACCCAUGAUUUAAUUUACUUAGAUAUGCUGGAGGGCUCCAAUGAAUUGGUAGAUCAUGUCAUUCUUCUUCCAAUGCUGCUAAAAAUUUACAUGAGAAUUGUCCCGCACCGAAUAAAUUAAUAAAAGAAUAAAAGCCUCAUGUACACUAAUUAGGCUCAAGUUUUUAGGUCGAACAAAUUAUAUUAGAUAUGUCGCUUCCUCCGAAUCAUAAAAGCUGAUGAUCUAGCAAUCCUGGGCUACUCAUCUACCAAUGGACCUAGAACUGAAAGGCUUAAGCAUCAUUGCAACACAUGGGACUGGGCUAAUCUCGGGGAUGUUAUUUGAGAGUUCGCAUAUGUGCAAUUUCACUUAGGAAAUUGCUAUAGGAUUGAUAUAUUCUAGUGGAGCUACACACAACAAGCUUAAGCUUUUAGAUUAAAUGGAUUUCAUUAGAUAUGUCACAUCUCUAGAACAAUGUGGUACUGGGCUGAACCCAAAAUUCCUUAACAACCUCUAUAGUAAAUGAGCCAUAAAAUUUCUUGCUACAAUUGUUGGGUGAAGAUGUCUUUGUCGCUGCAACAGUAGGGCAAAGAUGACAAGUCUGAUGGGUACAAAAUCCAAGGAGAAUUAAGAAAAGAAAGAAGAAUUUAAAGAGCAUAAGUGCACAGCUGAUCUAGGUGGUCCCUGUAUAUAUAUAUAUAUAUAUAUAUAUAGAGUGAGGCUACUAUGCUAUCGGAAGCACGGAGCCUUCCGUGCUUCCAGCUCGUUUUCGAUGUUGCGACUUUCGAAUCGUCGAUCAGCUCCGUUAAACUUGAUCUAGAGUAUUUGAAAUACCUAGAAAAUAAAUUUUAUGAUUUUACGAUAUCAUUUGCCUAGUGAACGAAGGGGCUUAAAAUCAACGGCUGAAAAUAAAAAUCUUACAAAAUGUGAUAAUAUGAUAUUAAAAUUUUAAAUCAAAAAUAUUGAUCUUGUUUUAUAUAGUAUAAAUAAUUUUCUAUCAAAAUUUCACGUGAUUUGGAUGUUUCUACACCGUUAAACUCGCAAACGGCUUACUACGACCAUUAAAAUUUGUUGAUUUGAGCACAUUCGAUCACUAGGCAAAUGAUAUCGAAAAAUAAUAAAAUUUAUUUUCUAGGUACUUCAAAUACUCUAGAUCAAGUUUAACGGAGCCGAUCGACGAUUCGAAAGUCGCAACAUCGAAAACGACCUGGAAGCCACGAAGGCUCCGUGCUUCCGAUAGCAUAGUAGCCUCACUCUAUAUAUAUAUAUAUAUAUAUAUUAUAUAUAUAUAAUAUAUAUAAUAUUUUUUUUUUUUUUUCUCUUUUUGCUAAAUUUGCGGGAGGGUAACUUGGAGCUGAUAAUCCAAGAAUUUGAGAUUCAAUUAGCAUUUGUAUUUUUUUUUAUUUUUCUUCUUGUACAUACUAAGUAAGAAAAGAUAAGUAAAAGUAGGAAAGUGAAUCAUGGACCUAGGUCUUAGGCUUUUUGUCAUACUGCGGUGCUUAAGUGUCUCUCUAGAUGGAAGUAAAUUUAGAGAAAAAUAUGAAACAAUGAAAUCUUGAUCCCACGAACAAUACUUCUAUGCUAUGUGUUAUUCAUAUAGAAGUGAAAAGAACCAUUUGUUUUCAUUUGUUAGGUACGAUGAAAUUCUUUGAAAUAGAAAAUUCGAGUGAAAAGAUCUUCCUAACACAAAUAAAUUGAUUGUAGAAAAAGAGUCCCCAAGCUUUAGAUUUCAUUCUGAUGGCUUAGGAUACUAAUUUCGGGGGCUUGUUGAGAUAAACACUGUUUUUGAAGACUAAAAAAGUGUAUAGAUAUUUGAAGGACAUUCUUAUAUCCUCUAUGGCUAGAUAGCCGUUGUAUAGAGAGACAUAACAUUUAAUUUUUGAAGAAUACAGUCCAUCUUAAGAAACAGUUUUUUGCACUUGCAAAGAAGUGUUCACAUGUGCUUGAAUGAAGUUUUCUUGAAUUAGUUUAGUACAGGAAAUUGAAAGUGGGGUUUCACAAAUCUCAAAGGAUAACAAUUAUGAAACUUGACAUAGUUAUUUGUGAAAUAACAAAAUUGCUUGAACAAUGUGGACCUUUAAAGUUGCAUCCCAAUUCACAUUCACAGGUUCAUUCAGUAAAAGCUGUGUAAGUUGACCGGGUUUAAAUGUACGGAAACAUUUAUAUUUCUAAGAUCAUUAAAAAGUGUAGAAAAAGUUGUCAAUUGCCUGUUAGUUAUUUUGAUUGCUUUUUUUAUGUUUGUUAAGGCGGUUCUUAAUAAUAAAUGUCUAUGUUAAUACAUUAUGCGAUCUGUUAUUUUAUCUUAUUUGAGCUUAUGUACUGUUAGUCAAAUACUAAACUCUUAGUUUUAUUAUAUCAUCUCUUUCUUACUUCUCAAAUCUCUUAUUCUGCAUUAGAAGGAAAGUUUCAAAAUGUCCACAUUCAAUUUAUUCUAUUUCUGAAUCAUCCAUGCAGAGGCAAUAUAUUUUGCUUAAUGUUCUGUUUCUCUAGCAAAUCAUGUGCUAAUAGUAAUAAUAUAUUUUGACAUUGUAGUAUAUUUCGUUAGCUUCCAAUUAAGAGGUUCAUUUUAUUCUUUCUGGAAAAGCAGAAGUGCAAGCCUUAAAAGCCUGUCAUGCUAGGAGAAACAAGAGUAGAGAGAAGUGAAAAGCAUUGCAAGCUGCUUGCUGCAUAUCUUGUAAGUGAUUGCAGUUGAUAUAUCCACUUAUUUAACUUUUUUGGUGACGUUUGACAUCUUUCAUUUUUCAUUUUACAUAAUGUCAAAUGUUGUUUGCUUCCUGACAUAUAUUUAUUAUCUUAUAUCCUCUCUUGGCAAUGAAGAACAUUUAGUUACAAGCAUGUCUGUGUGGUGCUCAGAAAGCAAGGGAACCCUUUCCUUGAGUCACACAGAAAGCAAGGGAACCCUUUCCUUGGAUGACUCAAAUUGGUUGAUUAUAGUAAUAAUGAUUUUUCUGAAUAGUAGUAGUUUCUUUUUGAAAUAUUAACGAGUCUAGAAAGAAGUAUUUAUCAAUUUCAUAGAUUAGUUCAUUAGGGAUACACAAUUGUGGGUGGGCAUAACAUGUCUCAAAGAACAUUCAUAUUAUAUCAGUGAGAUUGGUCCGAAGUGAUAUAACUAGUUUGCUGGUAAACCAAUGAUGUGGCUAUAUAAUUCAAAUGCUUGUGGAUUGAAAUUUUCUACAGAGAUAUUAUCUCUUUGGCAAGCCUGCAGCACACAUUCAGUUUUAACCAUUGAUGCUCUGGAAAAGCGCGUGUGAAGCAUUUUGGCUGUUUUUCAUGGUUUUGAAUUUUAUGUGAACCCUGUGUUAGGUUUCGUGUGCUUUCAAAAGAACAAGCUGACAAUCACUUUAGGAAGGCAUUCUCAACAAGCAAAUCAAGUUUCGUGGUUUCUAUCUUAAAAUAAAUUCAUUUGGUAGAAGUUAUUGUGUGUCUUUGACAUCUAAAUUUCAUCAACUCUGCAGAGAAGAACAGCUGUUAGUCAAUAAUUUCCACUUUUUUUUUGGAAGGUGAGAGGUGCAUUUCUUGUUUGAAUAAUCUCUUUUUUGUCCUGUGUCGUGUAGUUUCCGAAUGUUAGAUAUUAAUUCAGCUAAACCUGAUGGAACUUGGAAGAUAUCUUAUUUUUCAGGUGCAUGUUACAUCAAUGCAUUGUUUGAGAAUAGGAAGAAAAUUGAGGUUUAGCAAGUUGUCUGCAAGUCAUUUAACCAUCUAUAAAUUAAGUGGUUUAUGUCAGUGUCAGAUACUUUUUUUUUUUUGUAUACAAUAUGAAUGUUAAUGGCAGUGUCGCAAAAAUAGUAAUAGUAGCAGCCUAAAAGUAGUGAUCUAAUUUAUCUAACGGGGUUAAAAUUACAGAGUAAAAAUACUUGAAAUCAAUUCCAGCAUACUUAUUUGGUGGUGUUGUACAAAAAUUUGAAAUUUAUAUAACUAGUCCUGUCAUCCAAAUCUACUCUUCAAUGUCAUCAUCACAUAUAGAACAAGUUAAUAUUAUAGAAUUGUGUAUCUAUCACCGCUAGGCCGAGUUUGGAUUGCUUUGCUUGCUGCAGCCACUCUGAAUGCUCUAGAAAUCCAUGGAAACACAAAGUCUCUAGAGCUCCACUGAUUUUGUGUGCCUGAUCAAAGUGGAAGGGUGAUGGAACCUUGGGUUGAGGAAGCACUGGCUCAGGGGCUUUUUCAAUAAAAGGGCCAACCACCUUCUAAUUGUGAUCUGACAUAUAAGUAGAACGGAUCUCUAGGGACUUUUAGACUUUUUAGUGAGCAAGAGAACCCUUAAAGCUAUUGCUGUAGACAAAGCCUCUUUUAGCAUCGUAGAUAAUACUCAUGCUCCGGCUGAUCCAAAUUGGCACAAACUGGCGUGGCAUCUAGGUUACAGUUACACAGACUCCUCUCCAAGGAAGCUCCAUCCACGUCCGAGGGGAUGCGCAGCGGAUGCGCAUCUGCUGCGCAACGACGUGCGUCCGCUACGUAUCCGAGAAUUUGAAAAAGAAAAAAAGACCUAGAGAGGACUCAUGUGUGUCACAUGAAUCCUCUCUGCACAAGUUCCCAAGACGUUCAAAGCGGGAAAUAUUUUUGCUCGCUCCCGGUGUAUCUUUUAUUCAUAAUACACCACAAUCAAUUUGCUUAAUGCUUUGGAGUUAAAAUCUAAAUUAACAUAUAUGAUGUACAAUAUCUAAGAGAUAUAUAUAUAUAUAUAUAUAUAUAUAUAUAUAUAUAGAGAGAGAGAGAGAGAGAGAGAGAGAGAGAGAGAGAGAGAGAGAGAGAGAGAGAGAGAGUGCAGCUACUAUACUUUACUGAGUAUAGUAGCUGCACUACUCAUAAGUUCUCCUCUAUCAGAUCUGUUUUUAGAUCCGUGACAGAUUUGAUGGAAAAGAGAGAUAACGGAUGGCUCUAUUAAACCCAUCCCGUUUCUCUGCUACCCAUAUUUUUUCCUUUUUUUUUUUCUUCCCCCCAAAUUAGACCUUCCAUUUUCCCAAUGCAACUCUUCCUCCUCCCUCAUCCCUCACCCUUAUCACAGAUAGCCUCGCCCUACCAGGCCUCACCACCUCUAACCUCCACGGGUGAAGUAGUAGCAGCGUGCGGCCGAGUCGGAGCUGGCCCCCCCCCCCAACCCCCCUAUGUGCUUAGCCACCUGGUUUGGUAUUUUGUUCAGACAUAUAGAACCAGGCGGCUAAUUCCCUGAACAAAACCCUAAUUGGGAACAAGAACAAGAACAAAACUCGUAAGAUUUUUCUGGAUUUUUUGGUAUUUUUUCUGUCUGGAAAUGUUGCUGUCGAAAAUUAAUGAAGUUACUAUGCACGAUAACUAUGCAUACAGUAGCUUCACGUGGGAUUUUUUUUUUUUUUUUUUUUUUUUUUAACUUUUUAAGUUUAGUAUGCAAGAGAGAGAGAGGCACUAAUAUGUCGGCUACUCUGACAAAGGGAGGUUCAAAACUCGGAGAGCGUGGGAAUAUUUCUGAUUUUUAAGAUUUUAUAUAAAUGUUAUACAACAAGAGAGGUCGAGAGAGGGAGAGAUGCGUAUUAGUCAAGUGACUAUGCACGGUGUUUUCUUUUUUUGUGUUUUUAUCUUUUUAAACUUUCGUUUAAGAGAAAGGCUUUAAAAACUUAAGUAAAGUGUUUUUGAAGGCGCGGAAACAAUGAUGUAACGUGGGUGUUAAAUACAAUAAAUAGGGGAAAGAUGUUUAAGAUAGAGAUUGUUAAUAAAUAGACAGUUGCAAGUAGACAUAAAGGAUAGAAGAAAUAGAUAGUAUGUCGUUAAUAGAUAAUUUUAGUAUUAACAUAAAUAGAGAAGUGCAAAUUAAUACAAUGAUAUUAAUAAGAAAAAAACUGUAUACAACUCUUUUUAAAGUAGGUCCCCGUCUGGCUAGCACAAACUUCUAAGAAAUCACGAUAAGAAAUCUUCUCAGAUGUUUUUAUAUUUCUAAAGGGACUCUUUAUCUCAGUAAAUCUUCUGAUGACUGUGCAAUUAUUUCUAAAAAACUGCGAACUACUAUUGAUGAAAUUUAAUGUUUCUAAUGAUAACACCACUCAAGAUACAGUGUUUGGUGUGGGCAAUCAAGACCCUCUUGGCGUACAGUUUUCAGAGAAUCUCUCCAUAAUGCCGGUGGCUGGGCAAAAGCAGCGUCUGCUAACAAGAGCGGGAAAUUUUAGAGCAGAGCAUUUUAUCCUCCUUAUCAAAAUCUGCCAAGGCCAUAUAGCUUUAGGCGCGUGAGGCUGAAAGAGAGAGAGGGAAGAAACGAGAAAUUUUCAUUCAUAGUCCAAGGAAAGGAAUCAUGGCAAAGAACAUGGCCAUGGAUAGAGAGAGUGCGAGAAUGAGAAUAAUUAGAGAAAUACGAAACUUACCAUUGUCAAGGCGCGAACGCCUUAUAAAGAAGGUUUCCUCUUCCAGGGACUGUCCGGGGGCGAAAGAAGAAGGCACUUGGUUUGUACAGGACCUUCACUAGGUCCAGAUAGUGCAGCGUCUGAGAAUAAGAUAGAAGUUUACAUAAGGAAGGGACAGGAAAAAUAAAGGCUGGAAUUAUUUGAGAAAGGAAGCUAAGAGGGUACCUCAUACAAGAGGCUUGGCUUCAUUCUUACACUUGAUCGUCGAAUGAUCUUCCCUUUACAAGCUUCAGCGCGAAUUUUUUACAUAGGUAAGAUGGCAAGGGAAUGUGGAAAUCCGGCUCUUUCUUUGGAUGCGUUUUUCAACGCAUGCUUAAGAGAGGAGAAGGCUUCCUUUAUAGCCGAUAUAGGAAGGAGGUUUUUGGAGGAAAAACAUGGCCGGGCCGCGAGAGGCCAGGGGAUGUCGCGUAGGGUUAAAAAACGCUAAGCGGGGCUCGGCAGGUUUAGGUAAUGGAUGGAAUGAUACCACGGCACUGAUGACGGUGGGCCCUACUGUUUUGAAAAACCUCAGGCGUAGGGUUAUUGGAGGUCAUACAUUGGCGAGACACAUUUGGUAUACCGGUGCAUAUGGACUUGGUGCAUGAGUGAUGUCCAAUGUGAAUAGCUUUCGAAAAAAUGGAGCUACGUGUCGGAGUUUUAUCUUUCAUUUUGCUUGAUUGGGCUGCAAGUAGGGAGGAGAGCGAGGAGAAUCAUUGCUGGGGAGGGAGAAAGGAGGGGACUGAGCAACGAGGGCAGUAGGGGAGCCAAAAUUGGCGUCUAGAGAGUGGAGUCACUGACUGGUGUCUGUUUGGGGCAACAGACUUUAGACACGCUUUUUUUUGGUGGAGAUGGAUGCACGAUAGGUGAAUUACGCGGCGAAAAGAUUUAAAAAGCGAAAAUAAAGACUGAUUAGCGAAAAAACCCUGAACUAAAAACCUAUUUUUGCCUGUGAAAGAAUCAAGGCACGCGGGUCUAAUUCUUAUUCCUUUUUUCUUUUUCUGAUUUUUCUCUUUCUUUCUUUCGAUUUUACAUCCGCCAGUCCUUUUCUUUUUUUUCUUUUUCCAAUUUUUUUCUUUUGAUUUUUCAUUUCGCAGAUCUUUCUUCUUUUUCAUAUUUCCCGACUUUCUCUGGAAUUUCUUUUUUUUAUUUUUCUCUUGCUUUUUUCUGAAUUUUCGUAGUUUCUUUUUUUUUUUAGCGCAGUGUCCAAUACAGGACUAGAUGAAAAAGCCGCAACGGAAAAUAGCAGAAUUGAAGAAAAUAUAUAACAAAUUAUGAUAGCAAUAUAUCAGAACCAGGUGGCUAAGCAUUUUUUCCCUAAAUUGUGCACAUUUGGCGAGAUUAGAUGCUUCUAGUAUCAUGGGAUCUCCUGUCCUUGUUUUUCUUCAGUGUUUCGCUAUACUAGAGUGUGGUAUGUUUUCUGAAGAGGGUUCAAUUUCGGAAAAGCGUUUGGACAUUGGCUGUGAUAUCUUUUGAGGAAGGCACUUUGGGUGGAAAAGGUGGCUGAGGAUAAAAAGGAUGGUUUUACUGAGAUAGACGGAUGGACUACUGGGGAUAGUAGUUGGAAAUGGGUAUUUUAUGUUUGUAAUAGAGGAAAGACCAAACUUGUAGUAUUGGUCAGUAUCAGAGAGGAUACUUAUGGAGGAGGAUAAGAGGAGAUUAGGUACGAGAUAACCGAUACCUUGUUGUAGGGAUGCAUGAGCUUUGAUGGCUGUUGUUCCCAGAAUAGCAAUCUUUGGAGAUUUUCUCUGCAUCCUUUGUUCGGCAUGCAUGUCACAAAUAUGUUCGCUUUGAAGGCCGUGUGCCAUUGUUGAGCAGUUUCAAGAGAAAUGUGUUUCUCGGAUUGUGGGUGAUGUAAAGCUUGAAUAUGUGAGCAAAGCGAACAUUUGAGACGAUAUAAUUUAUAAGUUUGGACCGCAAGUAUGUACGUCGCAGUGUCUAAGGCUUCGUUGAGAGAUAGAAUGAAAAUCUUUGUAGCGAGGUUUGGGCGAAAAUUUUAUAAGCGGGAUAAUAACAUCAAUCCAACGAAUCAAAUUUCAUCUGGUUUUAAAACCUUGAGUACCACAUCUACGAAAGGGAAAGAGUCUUUGGGCUGAACAGUCUGGAAUAUUCUAUUAAGGAAUUUAUGCAGCAACAAACCAAAUAUUUUUGUCUGGCUCUGAUGAUAUUGGACUGUCCUAAAUGAAGCAUAACCUAUCAAGAUUGUCAAUGCAACAUUUUUGUUCGCUGUAAUAAAAUUAGAUUCUCGAGGACGAAAAGUAACUUUGGGAAAAAUAAAGUGAGAUUUUCUUGUGCCAUCAAGCUACCGAGGUUGUCUUAUACUCAGGUUGGGUUUAUAGGGAAAUUUAGAAGCUUUUUGGAUACCAUGUCUGUGUCUGACCUGAAUAUUGUCUGAAUCGAAAAUAGAACAACUCCAAUGUUAAACUGCCUGCUUCAUCAUUCCAAUCCAUUACCUUUAAACCUGCGUAGUGCUCGGGGCUGGUUUUUUUUUAUAAACUGAUGUUUUUUUCUUGUUGAUUUUUGUCGUUUUUUGUCAAGGUGGCGCCGCAGUUUUCUCCAUGCCAAACCCUCCGCUUACUUCGGCCUAUAUAAAAAGGAAGCCUUCCUCCUCUCUUAAAAGCAUGGUGAAAAAAGCAUCCAAAGGAAAGAGCCUUACUCCAUAAAAAAGCAUUGCCUCUGUGCGCCUAUGUAAAAUUCCGCUGAACUUAAAGGAAACAUUUCGACACCAAGUGAAGAAUGAAGCAAGCCUCUUGUUAGAUAUAGCAUCUAGCUCCACAAAUAAUUCCUAAUGAUUUUAUUUUCCUGUCCUUCCUGUAACAAUUAUCUUUUCUCACUGCAUUCUGGAGUGAAGAGUUCUGUACAAACAAUCCUUUCUUAUCCCCCGCCGGGAAGUCCCCCGGAAGGGAAACCUUCUAGCAGUGUGAUGUAAGUUAAUAAUAAAAUCUCUUUUAAUAUUAUAGUCUCGAACUUUCUAUCGCAUGCCAUUUUCUUUGGCCGCCAUGAUUCCUUUCCUUGACUCUCUAAGAAAUUUAAUCGGGUUUUUCUCUGCGAUAAUUAUUCAGGGCUUAAGAAGUGUAAAGAUAUAUGCUUGGGCAGAAUUUGAUAAAGAAAAAAUGCUCUGUAAAUUCUCCAUUGAUAGCAGAUGCAGAGAUAGAAUGGUCUCUGAAAACUGAUCGCCAAGAGGGUUGUGUGGCCGCAACAUGUGUCUUUAAGUGAUGUUAUCCCAGCAUUAGAAAUUAAAAUUUUCAUCAAUAAGUUCGCUGACUUUUAGGAAUGGGCAUCAUCGAAAUUUAAUGAGAUAAAGAGUUUUAGAAAUAUAAAAACUCUGAAAAAAUUUUAUCGUGAUUAGAAGGGAGUAACGGCAAGACUUACUUUAAAAAAGAUUUGGAAACUUAGUAUUUCGUAAAACGGAAGAGUUUUAAAUUUGCCACUUCAUCCUAUUUUUGUUCAUACCUACAAUACUCUUUCAGACAUAUAUUAUUUUCUAGUCCUUUCCUUUUUUACUGGCGAACCUGUCUAAUCAAACAAUCUCAUCAAACAUCCAACCUAUCCAUCCGCCAUUAAAUUAAUAUUAAUAACACGCACAUCGUUUCGCCUUCCAACACGGAACUUUAAUUUAUAAGUUUAAAAGCUUCUCUUAAAAGACCAGUUUCAAAGAUCAAAAAAAGAAAAGAGAAAAAACAACGUGCAUGUCACUUGGGCGUAAUAGGCACUAAUUUACGUGCCACUCUAGAUUUUAGACCGGAAAAAUUUAUAAAAAAUCUUAAAAAAUCAGAAAUAUUCCCACGAGUCUUUUGCUACCCUUGUCCAGAGUAGCCGACAUAUAGUUUCCCCUUUGCAUUUUUCUGUUUGCAUAGUAAACUUAAAAAGUUAAAAAAAAAAAAAAAAAAAUUUCCACGUGAAGCCACUGUAUGCAUAGUUAUCGUGCAUAGUAACUUCACUAGUUUUCGACAGCAACAUUUCCAGACAGAAAAAAUACCAAAAAAUUCAGAAAAAUCUUACGAGUAUUUUGCCACCAUUCUUCAGAAUAGCCGACAUACGGUCUCUCCUGUAAAAAUCUUUCUUUCUUUCAAAUCACUAUUUGCAUAGUAACUUGCAUAGUAAUUUAUUUACGUACGCACUAUUUCUACUUAGUAUCCUACGCUAAUUAAGCUUUUUCUAGCUAUAUCAGAAAAAUUCUCCAAAAAUACCCAAAAAAUUGUUAAAAAUCCAACUUUCUCUUUCUUGCCCUUAUCUUUUUCAACCGGUAUUUUCUAAUACUUACUUUUCAAUAUAUUACAUAAUCUGACCCAACUCUACUAUUUCCGCAUUUCUCUAAAAAACCCAAAAAUAUUUGUAAAAUCCCUUUUUAGGUUUUUUGCUUCUUUCAAAGGUUUGUUUUCCUCAUACCUUAGGGUUUUCUUAAAUAGACAAGGGUUUUCUCCAUAAAUCCUAGGGUUUUUAUUUUAAGGGUUUUUAUAACAACAGUCUUGUAGUUUGUGUUUAACAUGGACCUUUCAUAGACAAAUCCCGUGUUACUUAACUUCUCCUAAACCCUAAACCCUAAAACCUAAACCCUAAACCCUAAACCCUAAACCAGAAAAAUAGUUUCUGUGAAAACUGCUCAACAAUGGCAACACAGCUUCAAAAGCUGAACACUAUUUGUGAUGACUUGAGAACAAAGGAUCAGAAAAACAUUCAAAGAAUUGCUAUUCUGGAACAGCAGAUCAAAGACCUCAAGCAUCCCUCACAACAAGGUAUUGUAUCUCUACCUCAAUCUUCCUCUUAUCCUCCUCCAAAGUAUCCUCCUAUAAUGACAACUACACCAAGUUUGGUCUUUCCUCCUAUUACCAACAUAAAUACCCCGUUUCAAAAUUCACUAAUCCCAGUAGUCCAUCCCUCUAUCUCAGUAAAACCUCUUUUAUCCUCAGCACCUUUUCCACCGCAAAGGCCUUCCCUCAAAAGAUAUCCACAGCCAAUUGCCAAACCUUUCCGAAAAAUUGAACCCUCUUCAGAACCAUUACCACACUCUAGUAUAGGAAACACUGAAGAAAAACAAGGAGAUCCCAUGAUACUAGAAGCAUCUUCUCCCAAAUGUGACAAUUUAGGGAAAAAUGCUUAGCCACCUGGUUCUGAUAUUUUGUACAUAUUUGUAUAUAUUUCCUUCAAUUCUGUAUUUUCAGUUGCGCUUUUUCAUCUAGUCCUUGUAUUGGACACUGCUAAAAAAAAAAAAAAAUAAAAAUUCAGAAAAAAGCAAAGAGAAAAAUGAAAAAAGAAUUUCCAGAGAAAAGUGGAAAUAUGAAAAAGAAGAAAGAAUCUGGAAAUGAAAAAAUCAAAGAAAAAAUUGGAAAAAGAAAAAGAAGAAAAAAGGGAAAAUCAAGAAAAGAAAGAAAAAAUCAGAAAAAGAAAAAAGAAAAAAGAAUUAACCCGCUGUGAUUCUUUCACAGGCAAAAAUAAGGGUUUUUAGUUAGGGCUUUUUCGCUAAUCAGUUUUAUUUUUCAGCUUUUUAAAUCUUUUCGCUAAUCACCUUGUGAUCCAUCUCCACCACCAAAAACAAGGUUCUAAAGUCUGUUCCCAAACAGACACCAUCAGUGACCUUCCAAAAUUUUAGAGCAAAUUUUGGCCCCCAUCAAGCAAAUGAAGAAUCGACACGUGGCCUCCAUUUUUUCGAAGCAUCACAUGGACAUCACUCAUGCACCAAGUCCAUGCACCAGGUCUACCAAAUUGUCUCGCCAAUGAUGACCAUCCAAAACCACUACGCCUGAGGUUUUUUAAAAAUUAGUGGGCCCACGUCAUCAUGCCGCGUCAUCAUUCCAUCCAUUACCUAAACCUGCGUAGCCGCGGUUUUUUUGAAAACCAGGUGCCGCCGCAGUUUUCUCCUCCAAAACCUCCCUUCCUUCGGCUAUAAAAGGAAGCCUUCCUCCUCCUCUUAAAAGCAUGGUGAAAAAAGCAUCCAAAGGAAAGAGCCAUUCUCCACAUUCCCUCUGCCCUAUGUAAAAUUCCGCUGAAGCUUAAAGGAAGAUCAUUUCGACGACAAGUGAAGAAUGAAGCAAGCCUCUUGUUAGAUAUAGCAUCCUAGCUCCACAAAUAAUUCCCUAAUGACCUUUAUUUUCCUGUCCUUCCUGUAAAAUUUAUCUUUUUCUCAACUGCAUUCUGGAGUGAAGAGUCUGUACAAACAAGUCCUUUCUUUCCCCCCGGGAAGUCCCGGAAGGGAAACCUUCUAGCGUUGUGAUGUAAGUUUUAUCUCUUGUUAAUAUUAUAUUUCUCGAACUCUUCUAUCCAUGGCAUUUUCUUUGCCCCAUGAUUCCCUUUCCUUGGACUCUUAAUGAAAAUUUAUGGGUUUUCUCUGGAUAAUUAUUUCAGCUUAAGCAAGUGUAAAGCAUAUAUGCUUGGCAGAUUUGAUAAGAGAAAAAAUGCUCUGUAAAUUUCGCCAUUGAUAGCCAGAAGUGCUUUGCGGCGUUAGAGCGAGGUUCUCUGAAAACUGUACGCCAAGAGGGUCUUGUGCACCAACACUGUGUCUUAAGUGAUGUUAUCCACAUUAGAAAAUUAAAUUUCAUCAUAAGUCCGACUUUUAGGAAAAUUGCAUCAUCGAAAAUUUAAUGAGAUAAAGAGUUUUAGAAAUAUAAAAAACAUCUGAAAAAAUUUUUAUCGUGAUUUCUAGAAGGGAGUACCAGACGGGACCUACUUUAAAAAAGAUUUGGAAACUUAGUUUAUUUUCUAAAACGGAGAUUUUAAAUUUGCACUUCAUCCUAUUUUUGUUCAUACUACAAAUAUCUUUCAAGACAUAUAUUAUUUUCUGUCCGUUCCUUUUUUACUGCGAACUGUCUAUCAAACAAUCUCAUCUAAACAUCCACCUAUCCAUCCCAAUUAAAUUAAUAUUUAAUAACGACCAACAUCGUUUCCGCCUUCAAACACACUUUAAUUUAAGUUUUUAAAAGCUUUCUCUUAAAGAAAAGUUUAAAAAGAUAAAAAAAAAAAAGAGAAAAGACAACGUGCAUGUCACUUUGCGUAAUUAGCACUAAUUACGCCACUUAAAUUUUAGACCGGAAAAAUUUAUAAAAAAUCUUAAAAAAUCAGAAAUAUUCCCACGAGUCUUUUGCUACCCUUGUCCAGAGUAGCCGACAUAUAGUUUCCCCUUUGCAUUUUUCUGUUUGCAUAGUAAACUUAAAAAGUUUAAAAAAAAAAAAAAAAAAAUUUCCACGUGAAGCCACUGUAUGCAUAGUUAUCGUGCAUAGUAACUUCACUAGUUUUCGACAGCAACAUUUCCAGACAGAAAAAAUACCAAAAAAUUCAGAAAAAUCUUACGAGUAUUUUGCCACCAUUCUUCAGAAUAGCCGACAUACGGUCUCUCCCCCCCUCUCUGCAGCAGGCAAGUAGCAGUAGUGCUUGGCCCCGUAAUACAGGGCAAGUAGCAGCAGUUUGCAGCAACCCCCCGCGGUGGCGCGCGUGUUUUGUGUGGAAAACAAUUACAAUCAACUACUUAAAAAGACUAAUAAAAACUAUGUCACGUGGUGCAAAGUGAAUAUGCUAAUGGAUGAAUAUUAUUUACUGUAUUCAAGUGUCGGAGAGGUUUUCCAUCAAUUGAAAAGAUUAAAUGUUUUAAGAAAAGAGCAGGGGAAUUGAUAAGAGAAGAAUAAUUGAUAAAAAGAGAUGAAGCAGACUGACAAAUUUUCUGUUUUCCAAAUAGCCAAUGCAUAUGGCAGACUAUCUCAGUUUGACCAUUUUCACUUCAAUUUGUAUUAUAGCUUUAUUAGUUAAGUCUUGAAAUUGAAAAACUCCAUAUCAACCCCAUGAAAUGCUAAUAAAGAAAAUAGGAUUUUGGAAGUUGAAUCAACACUACAAGCGAAAAUAGUUUCUUGAAUAAAUGAAAAAAAUUAUCAUAUAUAGCAUGUGUCCAAAACAUGGAGUUAUUUAUUUUCCAUCUCUGCUGAUAGUAAUGGGGCUAUUUCUCCACUUAUAUUCCCACCAUAUUUUCAGUACCUUUACAUAAAUUAGUUUCUUAAAGAUACUGCAUGUCUUUGAUCUAGGUAUUUGAAGUUCCUCCUUAUAACAAUAGGAAAGGCUUUCUUGAUGUUAAGUGACAGUGUACAAAAUGUGCAAAGGUUUUACUUUGAAGAGAAAAUGCAAGCCUUUAGCUUUUCUUUGAAUACUCAUACCUUACUCAUGCAAUAACAGCCUUCGAAUUGGACGUCAAAAUAGAUAGAUUGUCCAACAAUUUAUCUGAAAAUAGAGGGGUUAAGAACUUAAGAUCUAGUAGAGGAAAGGCCAUGAAGCUGAAUCUUCAUUAUAUCAAGUCGUCCCAAUAAUUUAUGCAUCUUAAUCUGUUGUAGCUUCUAGUCUUAUAUUGAUUCUCUUGAUAAGCUUUCUCUUAAUGUUGGAUCCCUUUUGAGGAAAAGACUUCAAUUCACUCUGCCAGAUUUGAUAAUGUGCUCAUACAAUAAGGAAAUGAGAAUGACAAAAAUAUGAGAAGAUUAGAAGGUACAAUAGAAUUAGACAAAAGCUGAUCAUUACGAGUUAAAAGCAGGGAUAAAAAAUACAAAAGUCAUUUUCCAAACUCAAUAGUGUAAUACACAAUUUAUUUCUAUUUUUCAACUAUCCACUUCACCCUCCCUUAGAAUCUCUAUAUGUCCCUCCACCUUAUCCUGUUCCGACUUGGCCGCACGCCGCCUGCGGGCUGCUAUUGCUUCGCCCGUGGAGGUUGGGGGCGGUGAGGCCUGGUGGGAUGAGGCUAUCUGUGAUGAGGAAAUGUGAGGGAGGAGAGAGGAGGGAGGAGAGAGGGUUGCAUUGGGAAAGGGAAGGGCUGAUUUGGGGGGGAGAAAAAAAAGGAAAAAAGGUGGGUAGCAGAGAAAUGGGAUGGGUUUAACGGAGCCAUCCAUUAUCUCUCUUCUCCAUCAGAUUUGGUACGGAUCUAAAAGUAAAUCUGAUGGAGGAGAACUUAUGAGUAGUGCAGGUACUAUACUUAUAAGAGUAUAGUAGCUGCACUCUCUCUCUCUCCAUAUAUAUAUCAGUCCGGCUACUAUACUAUCGAUAGUACGAAGCGCUUGAUGCUAUCAAGUUUUCGGCCGUUAGAUCUAUCCCUUUGACCAUUUUCAUCUGUUAGAUCAUACUAUUCAACCAACCACCCACUCAACCCUAGAGAACCAGUAUCAUCAUAACCGCACAUCUCUUCAUCCAAGGGCUGAAAACCUAAUAGUACCAAACGCUUGGUACUAUUAAUAAUAUAGUAACCUAAUUAUAUAUAUACGAAGGGCUCUAUACUCAUAAGAGUAUAGUAGCCCUACUAUAUAUAUAUAUGUAAUAUAUUUAAAAAGAAUCUAAUAUUUAGUCGUUAUAUAGCCCCAAAAUCAACAGUAUUAGAAAGGACCAUUGUUCAAUUUAUAAAAAGUUACUAUCCAAAAUUUUGUAGUAUUUUAUAUAAUAUGUUUUCUAGUGCCAUAUAAUACAUGAUGUAUUUUACAUUUUAUAAAUUAGUUCGAAAAUUUUGUUCUGUUGUGUUCAGUGAAUAAGAUUUACUUAUGAACUUGGUUUAGGUAAUAUGUUUUUGGUUCAUGCACCAAAUUUGUAGGGCAUAUAAUUAGAAUUUAUUUACUAUUUUAAAAUAUUAUAAUAUUUUAUACAUAAUAUAUUAUAGAAUAUUAUAUUUAAAAAAUAAUAUUUACUGUUGUUCUUGCCGUGUCUAUGUCCUAAUCUUUUGAAAUUUCCCGAGUCACCAUGUUCGAGUUGUGUCGUAUCUCGUGUUCUCUGUGUCCGUGUCUGUAUUCAUGUAACAUAAUGUGGCAGUCCUUUAACAACAUGACUGGAAAGUGCUAUUGAUGGGUCAUGCAUCAAAUACCAUGUUACCCAAUUGCGUUGGUGUCUUAUUGUUAACCUCUGCUUGUAUCUCAACAACAGCAUACGAUGGUUUAUGGUGAGUAGCCUAAUGUUCUAAGAGACAUUUUUGUAUUUUCCACUUUUGUACAUAGUGAUGUUAGUAGCAAUCUGGUUCUUUCCAAAUUAAUAUAAGUUUCCAAAUUAAUACGAGUUUAGUCAGCCGAUGGACUAAGCUUAUUUAUCUCUCCGACGGACUAAUGUUCCCAUUAAAAGCUUUAUGUUUCAAACUACUGCGAAUUUAGUCAGAGGUGCCCCAUUCGCAUUUCAUCAUUAGGAUGAUAAAGAGGUUUUGGAGUGUGCUCUAACUACUCGCUAACUUGUUGAGUUUUGACCCUUUUCAUGUUGUACAAGAGCUGCUGAAAAGUGCUGUAACUAGCUUCUUUGUUGUGAUAUGCAGAUAUUUGCUGUUUACAUCAACUUUCUGAAGAAUUAGGAUUACGUUUUGUCUCAUUUUAACUCUGUUUCCUAAAUCUGAUUUCAAGUUUGACAUGAGCUCUCCCGGUAGAUUUGCUGGCAACAAGUGCUGCAGUUACACACUGUUAAGUCCCUGUUUUUAUCUUUUCUUGGGAAUAGAUUGCGUCAUGCAAAUUUGUUGCUACAAUUGUUUCUUCAUUGCAAAAGUAUUCUGGAAAAAGGAAAGGCGGUAUUAAGCCCUACUUAUCCCUCAAUUUCUGAACCCCGGGGGGUCUUUGCUCCUUCUUUGUAGUUUUUAUUUGUAAUGGAAAAUCCAUGUUGAAUUUAUUUCUGUAAAAAAAAAAAAAAGGAUUAAGGUUUAGACAACUAUUGCUUUAUAUUCAGAACUCCAUCUACUGUUUUGAAGAAGCAUACCAGGCCUGUGAUUUUGAGGUUUGUGAUAUUAUUGCAUGGUGUAACGUUGCAAGAGAGAGUUCAUAUUCCCUGACAAAGAAACUCCAUCGCAUGUUUCCUUAGCUUGAAGCUUCUACUACAAAGAGAGCAGGAGAUCCCAGUGAGGAUCCUCAUCGCAUGUAAAUACCAAAAGUUAAGUGACUGAUGUAUUAUCAAGUAUCAAAUUUAGAUGUUCCAAAUGUCUUUGUUGACGAAAAAAUAAAAAAAUAAAAAAAUAAAAUCCUUUAUUGAUCAAAAGGUAAAGAAUUACAAUGGUAGGGACCUCAAGCAUUUUGGCCUGAGUUUUCUGCUGGGAGUUGCUCUUUUAAAACGCAUUAUGUUCGGCUGCUUGCUUUGGACCGAACUUGAUGGAUGAAUUCAAAUGGUCUCUUAGCUGUUACCGAAGAAAUUCAAGAACUCGCGGUUUUAACCUCAGUCUCAAGAAUGGCUGAAACAUCAAGAUGAUAUGCUACCGAAACUAUUGUUACUGAAACUACUACUAAAACUAUCGAAAAACUACUACCAUCGGAAGUUAUUAAAGCUACAUCUACAUACAUGUUGUUGUAUUAAAGACAGUGCCACUUUCUUUGGUCCCCUGCGCCAUAUUUAUAGUCUCCACAAUCCUAAUCAGAAUUCGAGCUUAUUUAGAAACAGAAUCCCGAGAAUUUCGUCAGAAUCCUAAAAUUCCGGAAUGGUUAUCUCCUGCCAAAUUUCAAAUGGCUAAGAUCGUUCAUUGCUCCUUUAAUCCCAUGGCCAAAAUUUAGUGUCCACAGUUUCAACAUGAAAUUGCAAUGUCUGCAACCAUUUUUAGUCCAAAAGGGCACCGUAUUUUUUGUAGGAGUCUAAUUAUUUAUGUAUUUACGUGAUUAGCGUUAUUGCCAAUUAUACUUUAUUUGUACAUGGUCUAGUUUAACACAACCUAUACUAUAAGGUGUUUUUGGUAAUUGUUUUCACUAUAUAUUCAAUAACAAUACUAAGAGAGGGUCUUUACGAUUUUAUCUAAUCUUUCAUAGUAUCAGAACCACAAAGUCUUUAGAAAAAAUCAACAUGAGUCAUGAUCCUUCUUUCUUUCUUGCCACAGUAGCACUGUGUCAUUCUUUCACUAUUUAUUACGACAAUCUCAGUACAACAAUACAUUGCAACCAAUACGGUAUUACAUGCACGGAUAAAUCAUAUUAAACUAGACCAUUAUUUUUUGCAUGAUAUGAGAAAGUACAAUAGGUGAUCUCUCUUUAAUUCACAUUCCUUCCAAUAAAAAUUGGCUGAUAUCUCACAAAGCCUUUAUCUACUGCUCUUUAGCGUGUUGUAUCAAUCUCACAUUCAGUCUUGGGAUACUUAGAUUGCGGGAAAUGAUAGAGUCUAAUCAUUUAUACAUUUAUGUGAUAAGUACUGUUGCUAGUUGUACUUGUACAGGAUCUUGUUUAACAAUAUAAGGUGUUUUUCGUAAUUGUGUUCACUAUAUAUUCAAUGAAAAUUCUAGAAGAGGAUUUUACAGUUUUAUCUAAUCUUUUUUUUAUUUAAAUCAGAAAAUAAUUUAAAACUGAAGAAAAUUCAAAAGAAUCCCAUUUGAGAAAACUUAAAUAUAUUAAACUUCCAAACAUUGAAGAAUAGUGAAAGAUUAAGGUGUUGUUUGGUUGCAAGAAAAAGAGCCCAAAAAAUGGGCCCUUUUUGCAAUUGACCCCCUGAAAAAAAAUUAAUUUUAAAAAUAGCUCCAGUAAAUUUAUAUUUACAAAAAUGGCCCUGUCCUUGCUAUGCAAGCCACGUCAGUGCCACACGAACAGGGCUGGAGCCAGGUGGUUAAGUUGAACACGGUGAAUCGUUCUCCGUGUUUACUGUGUGCCUUACAGCAUAGGACUUAGGACUUGGGGACUUGGACUUGGGUGUGGGUAAUACAUUAACACGGGAAACUGUUCACCGUGUCUAGACACGGUGAACAUUUCCCUGUGUUCAGUAGAGGUACAACACACUUACAAUUAAUUUUGCACAAUAAACCACUGAAAUACAACAUCAACAACACAACAACAAAUUCAAUACAACAACACAAGAAAUUCAAGAUUAAUAAUACAAUAACAAAUCCAACACAAUAAUAAAUCCAACAGAAGAUCAAUAGAACAUCGAUACCAUAUCAUCACAACAGAAUAUCAAAAAUUAAAGCAAGUUUUUCAAUAAUAUAGAAAGUUCGGUGUAAUUUAAAAUUUACAAAAAUAUAAUGUCAUGUUCUUCUCCUAAUCCCUCGACCACGUCUACCUGCACGUCUCCUACCACGACCGCGACCACGAUCAACACUAUGCUCAUCAAAGGGCUCUAUGACCUCCAACUGGUCGAGAUGUUUGAUAGUAGCACCCUCAAUAACUGUCUGAGUGUCCUGCGUCUCGAUCACCCGUUUGAUCUUGUGCUCAAUCAUAGCAGGUGUCGGUAGUAUGUCUGGCCGUGGAGGAGCUGAAGAGGAGGGUUGAUCUAUAUGGAAAGAAUGCAAUUGUCGUCGGUGCCUACGAUAAACAAUAUCGACUGGUCGAGGUGGAUCCUCUGGUACUGGUGCUGGUACUGUAUCUGGAUGAUAAGGUGGCUCCUCUAUCGAUGAAGAUGGCCUCGGUGGACUAUACAAUGGUACAUGGCCCGACGUCGAUGGUCCACCUGUUCUGUUAGCCGUGGAGGUACAGUGUGUGGAAGUGUAGGUAAAGUCUCCAAAACUGCUUCUAUUUGAUCGGCAACUUGUGAUAGGGCGUCUAAUACUCCACCAUAUGGAAUAUCUGGCAGGACACAUCUAAUCGUAUAAUAUGAUCUCUGCAUGAUAUCGACCUGAAAUAAAAACAUCAUCAUAAAGAUUACACUAAACUUUCUUUAUAUAUAAAAAUAAAUAUAAAGAGAUAUUAUAUAUUAAAAUCAUACCAAUACUCUCUCGACGUAAUCAUGUGGCUGAUACGCGAGGGGUGGCCGCUGUACUAGCCUAGAUAUCCACCUCCUGGUGAUCCUCCAAUACCACUGCAUGUAAGCAGUGAUAGCUCCUAUAGGAUCUGGAUUUACCUCAAGGUUCAUCUCUAGUAUAUCCAUCAAUCUAUCAUCCCAAUGCUGAAUAUAUGAAGCAUGAUACGCCGCCCAAUUCUCAUCUGCUCUACCCGUGAAGUGAUGCGAGAUAUGGCAACCACUGCUUCAGGUAUAUGUUGUAACAGACCAAACUGUCGAAGCACACGAGCACACGAUCUGGAAGAUGCAGCUUAAUAAUGUGGAAGCAGAUUAAGGUGGUCCUAGAUCGCCAAACCUGGGACCCCGCUAGACAAAAAGGUGGGAGCGUCUCCAAUGCUCUAUUUGUAUAAGUCCUCCAUAUAAUCUAUUAUGAAAAAUACAUAUGGUUGCUUAUCCAAAUGUUUAAAAUAUAAUGUGCAAUUAUAAUAAGAUUGAGUUACUUUCAUUUACUUGAGACUCUGGCUGUUGAUCAAGCUGAUCAUGAUAAAACUCAAUGUCAGUAGUCAUGACAUUCUCUUGAAAAGCCAGCCUAGUAUUCCACUUUAUUCAUUUAUAUCAUAUUAGUCACGAUUAAAUAGUAUAUAGAAAUAUUAAAAUAAAAAAAUACUUACAUACACCCUAGUGGCAUGUCGACAAGCUCAAGCUGCGGUCCAACUAUCUUAGGGCGGCCAAUGUGCAGGUGGUCCCAUGCCCAUAUCUAUACAAAAAGAUAGUUAGAAAUUACAACAAAAAUCAUGACUUAUAUAAUGCUAGUAAGGCAAUGUACCUGAAGUAAUGUCCUAAAACAACAGCACUCUACGUUCCCCCUCAUGCAAGCAUUUCCUAAUGCCCGACAGAGAUGACCUAGCGCAGCUGCACCCCAUGCCAACUCACCGCAGACGUCAAAAUUCUCUAACAGUGGCAACCAUUUCAAAUGCACUCUAUUCCCGCUUGGAUUUGGCACUACAAUAAGGAUUGAUCUAGCUGUAGGUGCCGCAAUCGCGAUACAUAAUAAAAUCCUACACGUCGCAAUAGGUCCAAAACUGUAGGACGCUCAAUUUGCCAUCGGUUCAUUUUAUGGCCAUGCUCCGUGAAUUGAACAGGAGAAUAACCCCGCAUGAUUGUGAAUGUAGAUCAAUAUUAGUACAUAGUUUAUAAGUAAAUAUGAAAAAAACAUCACCUCCUCUCUAAUCAAAGUGGAUCUAUGGUGUGGCUGCUCAGUCAGUACGGAUGUAUUGAUCGGUCCCGACUCCUCGUAAUCGUCCAUAUGAAAUAGUCAAAUAAAAUUAGUGAGAAACAAAAGGAUGAAACAUAAGUGCAUAAGCAUAAAAUAAAAAGAAAGUUAAGUGUAAUUUUCAUAUAAAAAAACCAAGCGACGACGUCUCUCGGUCCUUUGCUGAUUUUCAAGAUAUGUGCUUUUAUAAUGACCAGGCUGUUUACACAUACUACACUUGCCCCUUCUAUUCCCAGCGCUUUCGUCCAUAACAUUACAGAUACGCGUAGAUUUGGGUCGUUCCUUUUUCCUUCUCCCGCGUGGUGGAAGUAUAGGUGAAUCAUAUGAUUCGAUCCAAUAACGACGAUCGGGAACGGGGUGGAACUGUGGUUUAUAAGUCUUACGAUAGGAUACGGCAGUAUACCAAGGAGAACAUAAACCAUAAUAAUCUAUGUUCAUGUGUGAAGAACUACAACAUGACAAAAUAUGUGAGCAAGGGAUUCCUAUGAGUUGCAAACACAAACAUGAAUAAGUAGAAGCUCUUCCAUUGAUAAUCACUUGGUAUUAAUCGUCCCCGCUAGUAAGUACGUCGAACUCGUGAGCUCCAAAUCGUCGAACUGUAUAUGCUCUAACACAUUUCAUUCGGCUAUUGAUGGUGUUUUUAACAGUCGAUACAAAUUGUAUAGACAUUGCAGCGCCCUCUGCACGAUGUUUUAGGAAAAAUUUUACCACUCGAUGAAACAUUGCCAUCACAAAAGUUGUAAUCGGUAAGGCACGAACUGCACUCAACACCCCAUUUAAACUUUUCGAUCGGUUCGUUCUCAUAAUACUGAAUCGACGACCACCAUCAAAAGCUUUAGCCCAGUAUGUCCUAUCGACAUGAAUAUUGUCAACCCAAAACCAAGUUUCUUCAUCCAUAGCCUUUAAUUCUUUCUUUAAUGCAUAAUAUUCUCAUUCUUCUGAAGAUUCCCAAUUCUCCAAAACAUCUUAAGUAAGUGUUUUGCUUUGAAAUGAAUAUUCAUAUUGGCCUUCAUAUAUCGCAAACACCAUCGAUGAGCAUGACCUUCUGAUGGUGGGAAUACAAGUGCAACGAGAUUCGCUAGCCCUUUAAAAUGAUCUGAAAUGAGUGGAAUAACUCGAGAUCAUGUUAUAUACCUUCUUAGGCAACUUAGAAACCACUCCCAACUUAAGUCAUUCUCCCCCUCACAAAUUACAAACGCUAGCGAAAAUAAACCACUAUUGGCAUUGGCACCUGUGGCAAUUAAUACGUGGCCUUCGUAUUUUCCAUACAAAUAGAUAACAUCGAUACUAAGUAAUGGGCGCAAUACUCCCAACCAUGAAUCGACCGUCCAAAAGCCCAAAAGGCUAAUGAAAAUAUCUUGUAGUGCUCGUCACCCUAAUAAAAUCAAUCUUCGUAAUAGUUUUAGGAUUUGUUGCUUCCGACAUAGAGAAGUAUCAAGGAAGGUCGCAAUAUGAUUGCUCCCAACUACCGUAUAUAAUUUGUAGUGCUUUAUUCUGGGCCCGCCAAGCUUUGCUAUAUGAUAUACUAAUGUGCAUCUCACUCUGAACUCGAGAUUGAAUUUUCAUAGGACUCAUAGUAAGCCUUGCCUUCAGUGUAGGUAGUAUAAAUUGACAUAUAAAAGAGGAUGUACAGUUUCGAUGCGUUGUAUUCAGAAUUGGAAUCAUACAUGUGUGCGGAUGUCUAUAAGGUUUUACUUUAAAAAAUGAACUACUUUUCGGUUGAGAGGCAUGUAAUCUCCAUGGCAAGAAUCGACCACACAUCUCACAAUGUAUCUAGUUGUAUUUGACUUAAUAACUUGGGGCAAUUGCUUAUAUACCCCUGAAAAGUUUCUGACUUUCCAAUUUACCUUUCUUAGAAGGCUAAUAUUGAAAAUACCCUAUUUACGUUCCAACCUAUUUCUAAUAUACCCCUAGAGUUAAAAUCUAUUAAUUAAUUCUGUUAACUCUGUAAAAUUACUAUUUUGCCCUUUCAAAUAUACCCUUCCAUCAUCACUGGCUUUCUUAUUUGCCCCUAAAGUCAGGGGCACAAAAAGUAUUUUAACUUUUGAUCUUUUCCAAUAUACCCCUCUACCGUCACCAACAUUUCUUAUUUGNNNNNNNNNNNNNNNNNNNNNNNNNNNNNNNNNNNNNNNNNNNNNNNNNNNNNNNNNNNNNNNNNNNNNNNNNNNNNNNNNNNNNNNNNNNNNNNNNNNNCUUCAUUGCAAAAGUAUUCUGGAAAAAGGAAAGGCGGUAUUAAGCCCUACUUAUCCCUCAAUUUCUGAACCCCGGGGGGUCUUUGCUCCUUCUUUGUAGUUUUUAUUUGUAAUGGAAAAUCCAUGUUGAAUUUAUUUCUGUAAAAAAAAAAAAAAGGAUUAAGGUUUAGACAACUAUUGCUUUAUAUUCAGAACUCCAUCUACUGUUUUGAAGAAGCAUACCAGGCCUGUGAUUUUGAGGUUUGUGAUAUUAUUGCAUGGUGUAACGUUGCAAGAGAGAGUUCAUAUUCCCUGACAAAGAAACUCCAUCGCAUGUUUCCUUAGCUUGAAGCUUCUACUACAAAGAGAGCAGGAGAUCCCAGUGAGGAUCCUCAUCGCAUGUAAAUACCAAAAGUUAAGUGACUGAUGUAUUAUCAAGUAUCAAAUUUAGAUGUUCCAAAUGUCUUUGUUGACGAAAAAAUAAAAAAAUAAAAAAAUAAAAUCCUUUAUUGAUCAAAAGGUAAAGAAUUACAAUGGUAGGGACCUCAAGCAUUUUGGCCUGAGUUUUCUGCUGGGAGUUGCUCUUUUAAAACGCAUUAUGUUCGGCUGCUUGCUUUGGACCGAACUUGAUGGAUGAAUUCAAAUGGUCUCUUAGCUGUUACCGAAGAAAUUCAAGAACUCGCGGUUUUAACCUCAGUCUCAAGAAUGGCUGAAACAUCAAGAUGAUAUGCUACCGAAACUAUUGUUACUGAAACUACUACUAAAACUAUCGAAAAACUACUACCAUCGGAAGUUAUUAAAGCUACAUCUACAUACAUGUUGUUGUAUUAAAGACAGUGCCACUUUCUUUGGUCCCCUGCGCCAUAUUUAUAGUCUCCACAAUCCUAAUCAGAAUUCGAGCUUAUUUAGAAACAGAAUCCCGAGAAUUUCGUCAGAAUCCUAAAAUUCCGGAAUGGUUAUCUCCUGCCAAAUUUCAAAUGGCUAAGAUCGUUCAUUGCUCCUUUAAUCCCAUGGCCAAAAUUUAGUGUCCACAGUUUCAACAUGAAAUUGCAAUGUCUGCAACCAUUUUUAGUCCAAAAGGGCACCGUAUUUUUUGUAGGAGUCUAAUUAUUUAUGUAUUUACGUGAUUAGCGUUAUUGCCAAUUAUACUUUAUUUGUACAUGGUCUAGUUUAACACAACCUAUACUAUAAGGUGUUUUUGGUAAUUGUUUUCACUAUAUAUUCAAUAACAAUACUAAGAGAGGGUCUUUACGAUUUUAUCUAAUCUUUCAUAGUAUCAGAACCACAAAGUCUUUAGAAAAAAUCAACAUGAGUCAUGAUCCUUCUUUCUUUCUUGCCACAGUAGCACUGUGUCAUUCUUUCACUAUUUAUUACGACAAUCUCAGUACAACAAUACAUUGCAACCAAUACGGUAUUACAUGCACGGAUAAAUCAUAUUAAACUAGACCAUUAUUUUUUGCAUGAUAUGAGAAAGUACAAUAGGUGAUCUCUCUUUAAUUCACAUUCCUUCCAAUAAAAAUUGGCUGAUAUCUCACAAAGCCUUUAUCUACUGCUCUUUAGCGUGUUGUAUCAAUCUCACAUUCAGUCUUGGGAUACUUAGAUUGCGGGAAAUGAUAGAGUCUAAUCAUUUAUACAUUUAUGUGAUAAGUACUGUUGCUAGUUGUACUUGUACAGGAUCUUGUUUAACAAUAUAAGGUGUUUUUCGUAAUUGUGUUCACUAUAUAUUCAAUGAAAAUUCUAGAAGAGGAUUUUACAGUUUUAUCUAAUCUUUUUUUUAUUUAAAUCAGAAAAUAAUUUAAAACUGAAGAAAAUUCAAAAGAAUCCCAUUUGAGAAAACUUAAAUAUAUUAAACUUCCAAACAUUGAAGAAUAGUGAAAGAUUAAGGUGUUGUUUGGUUGCAAGAAAAAGAGCCCAAAAAAUGGGCCCUUUUUGCAAUUGACCCCCUGAAAAAAAAUUAAUUUUAAAAAUAGCUCCAGUAAAUUUAUAUUUACAAAAAUGGCCCUGUCCUUGCUAUGCAAGCCACGUCAGUGCCACACGAACAGGGCUGGAGCCAGGUGGUUAAGUUGAACACGGUGAAUCGUUCUCCGUGUUUACUGUGUGCCUUACAGCAUAGGACUUAGGACUUGGGGACUUGGACUUGGGUGUGGGUAAUACAUUAACACGGGAAACUGUUCACCGUGUCUAGACACGGUGAACAUUUCCCUGUGUUCAGUAGAGGUACAACACACUUACAAUUAAUUUUGCACAAUAAACCACUGAAAUACAACAUCAACAACACAACAACAAAUUCAAUACAACAACACAAGAAAUUCAAGAUUAAUAAUACAAUAACAAAUCCAACACAAUAAUAAAUCCAACAGAAGAUCAAUAGAACAUCGAUACCAUAUCAUCACAACAGAAUAUCAAAAAUUAAAGCAAGUUUUUCAAUAAUAUAGAAAGUUCGGUGUAAUUUAAAAUUUACAAAAAUAUAAUGUCAUGUUCUUCUCCUAAUCCCUCGACCACGUCUACCUGCACGUCUCCUACCACGACCGCGACCACGAUCAACACUAUGCUCAUCAAAGGGCUCUAUGACCUCCAACUGGUCGAGAUGUUUGAUAGUAGCACCCUCAAUAACUGUCUGAGUGUCCUGCGUCUCGAUCACCCGUUUGAUCUUGUGCUCAAUCAUAGCAGGUGUCGGUAGUAUGUCUGGCCGUGGAGGAGCUGAAGAGGAGGGUUGAUCUAUAUGGAAAGAAUGCAAUUGUCGUCGGUGCCUACGAUAAACAAUAUCGACUGGUCGAGGUGGAUCCUCUGGUACUGGUGCUGGUACUGUAUCUGGAUGAUAAGGUGGCUCCUCUAUCGAUGAAGAUGGCCUCGGUGGACUAUACAAUGGUACAUGGCCCGACGUCGAUGGUCCACCUGUUCUGUUAGCCGUGGAGGUACAGUGUGUGGAAGUGUAGGUAAAGUCUCCAAAACUGCUUCUAUUUGAUCGGCAACUUGUGAUAGGGCGUCUAAUACUCCACCAUAUGGAAUAUCUGGCAGGACACAUCUAAUCGUAUAAUAUGAUCUCUGCAUGAUAUCGACCUGAAAUAAAAACAUCAUCAUAAAGAUUACACUAAACUUUCUUUAUAUAUAAAAAUAAAUAUAAAGAGAUAUUAUAUAUUAAAAUCAUACCAAUACUCUCUCGACGUAAUCAUGUGGCUGAUACGCGAGGGGUGGCCGCUGUACUAGCCUAGAUAUCCACCUCCUGGUGAUCCUCCAAUACCACUGCAUGUAAGCAGUGAUAGCUCCUAUAGGAUCUGGAUUUACCUCAAGGUUCAUCUCUAGUAUAUCCAUCAAUCUAUCAUCCCAAUGCUGAAUAUAUGAAGCAUGAUACGCCGCCCAAUUCUCAUCUGCUCUACCCGUGAAGUGAUGCGAGAUAUGGCAACCACUGCUUCAGGUAUAUGUUGUAACAGACCAAACUGUCGAAGCACACGAGCACACGAUCUGGAAGAUGCAGCUUAAUAAUGUGGAAGCAGAUUAAGGUGGUCCUAGAUCGCCAAACCUGGGACCCCGCUAGACAAAAAGGUGGGAGCGUCUCCAAUGCUCUAUUUGUAUAAGUCCUCCAUAUAAUCUAUUAUGAAAAAUACAUAUGGUUGCUUAUCCAAAUGUUUAAAAUAUAAUGUGCAAUUAUAAUAAGAUUGAGUUACUUUCAUUUACUUGAGACUCUGGCUGUUGAUCAAGCUGAUCAUGAUAAAACUCAAUGUCAGUAGUCAUGACAUUCUCUUGAAAAGCCAGCCUAGUAUUCCACUUUAUUCAUUUAUAUCAUAUUAGUCACGAUUAAAUAGUAUAUAGAAAUAUUAAAAUAAAAAAAUACUUACAUACACCCUAGUGGCAUGUCGACAAGCUCAAGCUGCGGUCCAACUAUCUUAGGGCGGCCAAUGUGCAGGUGGUCCCAUGCCCAUAUCUAUACAAAAAGAUAGUUAGAAAUUACAACAAAAAUCAUGACUUAUAUAAUGCUAGUAAGGCAAUGUACCUGAAGUAAUGUCCUAAAACAACAGCACUCUACGUUCCCCCUCAUGCAAGCAUUUCCUAAUGCCCGACAGAGAUGACCUAGCGCAGCUGCACCCCAUGCCAACUCACCGCAGACGUCAAAAUUCUCUAACAGUGGCAACCAUUUCAAAUGCACUCUAUUCCCGCUUGGAUUUGGCACUACAAUAAGGAUUGAUCUAGCUGUAGGUGCCGCAAUCGCGAUACAUAAUAAAAUCCUACACGUCGCAAUAGGUCCAAAACUGUAGGACGCUCAAUUUGCCAUCGGUUCAUUUUAUGGCCAUGCUCCGUGAAUUGAACAGGAGAAUAACCCCGCAUGAUUGUGAAUGUAGAUCAAUAUUAGUACAUAGUUUAUAAGUAAAUAUGAAAAAAACAUCACCUCCUCUCUAAUCAAAGUGGAUCUAUGGUGUGGCUGCUCAGUCAGUACGGAUGUAUUGAUCGGUCCCGACUCCUCGUAAUCGUCCAUAUGAAAUAGUCAAAUAAAAUUAGUGAGAAACAAAAGGAUGAAACAUAAGUGCAUAAGCAUAAAAUAAAAAGAAAGUUAAGUGUAAUUUUCAUAUAAAAAAACCAAGCGACGACGUCUCUCGGUCCUUUGCUGAUUUUCAAGAUAUGUGCUUUUAUAAUGACCAGGCUGUUUACACAUACUACACUUGCCCCUUCUAUUCCCAGCGCUUUCGUCCAUAACAUUACAGAUACGCGUAGAUUUGGGUCGUUCCUUUUUCCUUCUCCCGCGUGGUGGAAGUAUAGGUGAAUCAUAUGAUUCGAUCCAAUAACGACGAUCGGGAACGGGGUGGAACUGUGGUUUAUAAGUCUUACGAUAGGAUACGGCAGUAUACCAAGGAGAACAUAAACCAUAAUAAUCUAUGUUCAUGUGUGAAGAACUACAACAUGACAAAAUAUGUGAGCAAGGGAUUCCUAUGAGUUGCAAACACAAACAUGAAUAAGUAGAAGCUCUUCCAUUGAUAAUCACUUGGUAUUAAUCGUCCCCGCUAGUAAGUACGUCGAACUCGUGAGCUCCAAAUCGUCGAACUGUAUAUGCUCUAACACAUUUCAUUCGGCUAUUGAUGGUGUUUUUAACAGUCGAUACAAAUUGUAUAGACAUUGCAGCGCCCUCUGCACGAUGUUUUAGGAAAAAUUUUACCACUCGAUGAAACAUUGCCAUCACAAAAGUUGUAAUCGGUAAGGCACGAACUGCACUCAACACCCCAUUUAAACUUUUCGAUCGGUUCGUUCUCAUAAUACUGAAUCGACGACCACCAUCAAAAGCUUUAGCCCAGUAUGUCCUAUCGACAUGAAUAUUGUCAACCCAAAACCAAGUUUCUUCAUCCAUAGCCUUUAAUUCUUUCUUUAAUGCAUAAUAUUCUCAUUCUUCUGAAGAUUCCCAAUUCUCCAAAACAUCUUAAGUAAGUGUUUUGCUUUGAAAUGAAUAUUCAUAUUGGCCUUCAUAUAUCGCAAACACCAUCGAUGAGCAUGACCUUCUGAUGGUGGGAAUACAAGUGCAACGAGAUUCGCUAGCCCUUUAAAAUGAUCUGAAAUGAGUGGAAUAACUCGAGAUCAUGUUAUAUACCUUCUUAGGCAACUUAGAAACCACUCCCAACUUAAGUCAUUCUCCCCCUCACAAAUUACAAACGCUAGCGAAAAUAAACCACUAUUGGCAUUGGCACCUGUGGCAAUUAAUACGUGGCCUUCGUAUUUUCCAUACAAAUAGAUAACAUCGAUACUAAGUAAUGGGCGCAAUACUCCCAACCAUGAAUCGACCGUCCAAAAGCCCAAAAGGCUAAUGAAAAUAUCUUGUAGUGCUCGUCACCCUAAUAAAAUCAAUCUUCGUAAUAGUUUUAGGAUUUGUUGCUUCCGACAUAGAGAAGUAUCAAGGAAGGUCGCAAUAUGAUUGCUCCCAACUACCGUAUAUAAUUUGUAGUGCUUUAUUCUGGGCCCGCCAAGCUUUGCUAUAUGAUAUACUAAUGUGCAUCUCACUCUGAACUCGAGAUUGAAUUUUCAUAGGACUCAUAGUAAGCCUUGCCUUCAGUGUAGGUAGUAUAAAUUGACAUAUAAAAGAGGAUGUACAGUUUCGAUGCGUUGUAUUCAGAAUUGGAAUCAUACAUGUGUGCGGAUGUCUAUAAGGUUUUACUUUAAAAAAUGAACUACUUUUCGGUUGAGAGGCAUGUAAUCUCCAUGGCAAGAAUCGACCACACAUCUCACAAUGUAUCUAGUUGUAUUUGACUUAAUAACUUGGGGCAAUUGCUUAUAUACCCCUGAAAAGUUUCUGACUUUCCAAUUUACCUUUCUUAGAAGGCUAAUAUUGAAAAUACCCUAUUUACGUUCCAACCUAUUUCUAAUAUACCCCUAGAGUUAAAAUCUAUUAAUUAAUUCUGUUAACUCUGUAAAAUUACUAUUUUGCCCUUUCAAAUAUACCCUUCCAUCAUCACUGGCUUUCUUAUUUGCCCCUAAAGUCAGGGGCACAAAAAGUAUUUUAACUUUUGAUCUUUUCCAAUAUACCCCUCUACCGUCACCAACAUUUCUUAUUUGCCUUUAAGUUAAGGGCAAAAUUGGCAUUUUAAUUUUUUUUAACUGUGGUAGAUGUUUAACUCAUAUUUAACCCAAGUUAACUUAACAGGAGAUAACUAUAGGGGUAUUUUGUAAUAACGGUGGAACAUAUGAGGGGUAUUUUAGAAAGAAAAAAAAAAGUAGGGGUAAAUCGGAUAUUUUCAAACAUAUGAGGGGUAUAUAGGCAAUUAUCCCUAAUAACUUUAAGAUGCAGAUUAUGUGCAAUGUGCCAAGCUUCCAAAGCAUUCUCCAAGGAUGAUUUGUCAGAAAAUGUUCGAUUAGCCUAUGCCUCAUCACUUGCAGGACCCUGAUCAAUAUUUUGUUCAGUAUAUGGAUCAACAAUGGUUUGAUGAAUUAAUUCAUCACCCAAGAGAAACCGUUGUCGUUGAUCUUCAAAUUUCUCGAAUUCCACCGGAUCCGGUACAUCAUCGUUGUUGACAUUUGAAUUUUCAAUCCAUUCAACACCUUCAUCUCGAAUGGCACAUGCGAGUGCAUUCAAACCACCGUCAUGAUCAUGAUCCAAAGAAUGCAGAACAAAGGAUUCCUCAUCAUCACUAGAAUCAACAUCAAUUCGCCUUUGAUCCUCUUCAUCACUUUCAAUAAUAUACUCCUUAUCACUUCUAAUUACGUCAUCAUUAUCAAUUGUAGUUCUCACUUUCCAAUUGGUCCAUUCAUGAACACUAGAUGAUGGACCUUCACUUUGAUUAUGAUGGAUAGUAAACCUGCAAAGAUUUUUAAGAUUAACUAUUCGCAUUGGUCCAAUUUUCAUAUAACUAAAUCAUAGAAUCACCUACCGCUCAUUUUGACAAACCAACGAAGACAAAUCCAUCAUAGUAGACGGCAAUGGUGCACUAACUGGCAUACAUGAGACUCCAAACUCUCUGUAACACUUACAAGACAAAGUUAUUAAUUUCGCACACCAAACUAAUUGAGGAAUUAUGAAAAAUAUUUAUAAAGAUCAUUACUCUAUACCUUGAUGUACGACCUCGUUCGCGAUUGACGUAAUUCUUUUGAUAAUCACUACUACACAUUUUCGUAUAAUUAACGGUACUUGGACGGUCUUGUGUCGUCAACACAUAUUUCUCCACGAAUAAUUUUAUACAUCCAUGGAACGGAAAAAAAUUCAUCACACCAGAUAGUGCAUUGUCACUUGAUAUGUUAACUAAUUCCUAUUCGUUGGCUCCCAUUGGAGAUUGAACCGUUAUGCAAAGACGGUCUUCCACUCGAUCAUAGUUAGUAACAUUGUAUAUUUCCAUCUCAAAUUUCCAAAAUAUAAUAUCACGUCGGAAAGCAACCAAUUCUUUACGGCCACCAAUAUAUCAUGGUACAUUAUUGUUCACGACUAAAUUUUCGUCCCAAUAGAUAUAGAAAGGAACACAUUCGCCGAAUAUAGAGUUCUAAAGUAAUAUAAUAAAAUGUACAAAAUUAUUACACUUAUGACAUAUUAACAUAGCACAUUUCUAACAUACAACAAAGGAGAGGGUGAGAGAUGGAAUUACCAUUUUGCGAUCACGGUCGGCGCCAACUUCUAUGCCGAUCAAGAGCUCUGGAGGCAAGGGAGUGAUGACAGAGAGAGAGAGAGAUUUGUGAGAGAGACAGAGAGAGUGAUCAGUGAGAGAAAAUUGUGAGAGGGAGAGGGAAGGGGUCAGAGAGAAAGAGAUGGGGGUUUUGUGAGGGGGACACAGUGAGAGGAAGAGGGAGAGGGGUUCUGUAAGGGAGGGGGCACAGUGAAAGGAAGAGACAGGUGGGGGGUUCUAGGGUUAGAGAGAGAAUGAGGGAUGGGGGGUUCUCGGGUGAGAGAGGGCGGUAGCGGCGGCGGCGGCUGGGUGGGCCACAAAAAGAGAAAGAGAGAGAGAGGUAGGGGGUACUAAAUUAGAGAGAGAAUGAGGAUGGGGAAACAGGUCGGGUGAGAGAGGCCGGUGGCAGUGGGGCGGGGUAGGCCACGGAGAGAGAGAGAGGGCGGCGUCGAGGUGGGCUAUAUAGAGAGAGAGCUAGAGAGAGAGAGAGAGAGAUUGAGCGAAAGAGGAGGGUGGGAGCUCGAGCGGGGUAGUAAUAUAAAAAGAACACGGUGAAUGGUUCACCAUGUUUGGACACGAUGAACUAUUCACCGUGUCUAUACACGAUGAACGAUUUAUUGGCCCUUUCGAAGUUUUGGAGCGGGUCAGGUCUAUGGCUUAUAGGAUUGCACUACCGCCGCGACUUGCAGGGAUUCACAACGUUUUCCACAUCUCGGCAUUGAGAAGAUAUGUUUUUGAUGCUUUACACAUGAUUGACUUCACUCUGCUUGAGUUGGGCAAGAACCUAAGGCACAAGGAUAGACCAAUGUGGAUUUUUGCUCGUGAGACAUUGGGUCAUACCGUACGUGAAGGUACGUUAGAGUAAUCACGAGGAGCGUGAAGCGACUUUGGAGCCAGUGAUGGUGAUGCGGUACUCCUACCCCUACUUUUUUUAGAGUUCUUCUUGACGUAUGAGUUUAAAUUUCGAGGACGAAACUUUUUAUAGUAGGGGAGGAUGUAAUGUCCCCAGGGUUUAACUGUUGGAAUGACUACAGUAUCAGCGACUGAUCGAUACAUCUGUAGAGUGUUGGGACGAGUUAGAGUUGUUUUGGCGCGAAAUGAAUUGCGAAAACGGACUCGGCACACUCAAAUAAGCCAAAACUGAAGUUUUGCUAGUUUAGGGUGGCCAUAAGUGGUUUAGGGCGCCCAUAUCCAGAGUACUAUUUUGUAAUGAAUGCUGAAGUCAUUUCGGACCUAGUUUUGGGCGCCCGAAAGUUGAGUUCGAAAAUUCACCUUGUGAAUAUCAAUUGUGCUGUGGCUUGUGGUAGGUGAGAUCCGCCGAAAAAGUUUAAGGUGCACCAGACUGGGGUGGAGUGAGCCCAAAUGCUCGGAGGAGAUUUAGGGCACCCAGAAGUGGUUUAGGGUGCCCGAAUAUAGAGUGUUCAGGAGAGUAACAAGUUAAUGUCCUUUGAUCUUGUGGCUCAUUUUAUCUAACCUAUACCUCUAUAAAAGCAUUUGGACAACCUCUGAGAACACUUUUCUCCUCUCCUUCACGGGGAACUAAGAUUUUUCUUACAACCCCCUUCAAAUUCCUCAAAUUCUAUCUUUUCCAUUGGAGAAUCAAAAUUUCUAUAGGAUUCUAGUAGCAACCUUGGAAGAUUUUGCUCCUGUGAGCCGUUGGUGUACUUAGUUGCUAUGGGGAGUUAACUCCCGGACUUUAGACUUGAGAGGGAGUGUAUGGGACAAAUCUAACCAAGUUUAAUUCAGGUUAGUAGUAUCUAAUUGCUGAAAUUCUUGGGAAAUUGGCGUUUUGAGCUGAAAUUGAGAUUUUUAUGAAUUCUUAGAUCUGAUUCUUGUAGAGACUGGAUUUUUCGUCCUUCUUCACUGGUUUAGAAGUUGUUCCUCACCAGAAUUUCAGAUUCAAAGAUGAGUUUAGCUUAGAUUUUGGAUGAACUGAGCUUGUAAUACAAUUUUUGGAGGUUUUGAUGAAAAUUCUUGGAUUUUUUAAUCCAAAUUUUGGUGAAGGCUUAUUGUUGGACUUGGAUUGCUUCUUCCCUCAUCUUUGGAGGUUUGUGACCUUAUUCCACUGGUUUUACAAGUUGGAAUUCUCAAAUUUGAGCUAUAGCAAGCAAAUACUUAAGUGAAGUUUUCUGGAUCCUAAACUGGACCUUUUUUUCUAGAUCCAGAUUGCAAGAAGAGACCUUUGUGGCUGUUUUGAGAGCUCAAUCUUUGUGAGGGAGUUGAGUUUUAAGUCCACUUCAAUUCUCUUCAUUGCAGGGAUAUGUUCGGUGAAGUUUUCUUGACUUUCAACAUAGAAUUGAGCUAAUUUCCAUAUGGAACUCAGGUAGACUUGGAGUUGGCAGUGAUCAAAUCUGGACUCAAGAUCUGGGCACCCAGAACCUACUGCUGGAGGAUUCAGAAGUGCUGCAGCUUGAGACAAAGUUAGCUAGUUUUUGGCUCUCGAGUCCUUUGUUCCGUGGUUGGAUUAGCACCUCAGGUGGGUUAAUGUCUACCGAGUUAUUCGGAAUUUCUCCUAAGUUUUAUAGAAUUUCAGCAUGCAUAAUUCAGUGUUAAUUAUCAUGUUAGUAACUGAAAUUUGCAGAUUUGCAUGCCGUAGUAUGAAAUCUGAAUUUGGAGCUUAAUGUAAUAAUUUUAGAUGAACUUUUGCAUGAUGAACUGUGAUUUGAUUUAGGAGAAAACUCUCGAAAUCUACACACCUCACUUCUCGAAAAGUUAAUAGAUUUAGUUUUAGGAGCUGUUUUCUCUUUUGUAUUACCGCUAUUAGUACGUUGUGGAUACUUAGACUAAUGUAAGUUGAGAUUAUGCUCGUGUUGAGAUGCUGAGCUUAUUUUUACAGCAGUGUUUAGGCUUUUCAUAUUGUCGAGUACCGUCCGGACUGAUGGUGGACCCAAAUUUUUGCUGCUUGUAUCAAAUUAUGCCGAGAGCAUGCGAGCGAUGGUUCUUCGAUCCGUUUGUGUCACGCCUCGAGACCUGCCACUUUGGUCGGAUUCAGGUGUGCCGACAGACCACCGAAUGGACAGAGUUUUCCUAUCCGCCCAAGGCGUCACAAUCAAUACAAUUCACGCGGUUCCAAACAUGAACAGAAUUCAUACAUAGAUUGCAUAAGAAAGGUACCAUAAACAUAAAUACUAAGCUAUUAUAAGCAUUCGUUCGCAUUCACAUUACAUUUCCAUUUACAUUCUUUUUGCUUUCAAAUACAAUCAACUUUAUUACAAUUUUGUUUCAUUCUUUCCUUUCUAUAUCCCUAAGCUAUGCUGACCUAUGGUACAUCUAUCUCUGGUCACAAGUGGUAGGAUGCUAUCUACCGAACUACGCCCUUUCCUCGCGCCGCUGCACCACUCACGUGUGGACCUGAAACAUAGGGUUGUGAACUAUAAACAUAGUUUCCAAUGGGUACAGCCACCCAAGGGAAGAGCUCGACCCACCAAGUCCAAAGGAGGCAACAUAAGCAAGUUAGUCCAACAUAUAACAUAUAGUUCAACUUUAUGCAAUUAAAUAAACAUCAUGCUUAUGCCUCAACAAAAUGCAAUAAUGAAAUCAAUGCAAGUGGGUAUCCUCUUCUAUUUUCUAUUUCACUAUCCAUAUCAUUUACAAUCCGCUCCUAAGGUUUCUCUUACCUUAGCCAAGCUAUUUCACCCGACUCAGUUUUGUGUCAAUCAUUCACAACUUACCGCCUCAGUGACUUAGCCAUUCGGCGGCAAACUCGCCGCACACGCCAGACAAUGACUAAAGUCGCCGAGCGGUGCAAUCCUUUCCUUGACUUAGCCAUCCGGCGGUGAACUCGCCGCACACGCCAGACAAUGGCUCAAGUCACUGGGUGGCGAAAUCGCCGCACGCACCCCAAGUAUCCAGCCUUCGGCGGUGAACUCGCUGCACACCCCUAAGCUAAUACCAAAAUCCCUUAGAUGUGCACGUCAUUUCCAUUCCAAGUCUCAAGGGUUCAUCAUUUAUCCUAUAUUGUCAACCUUUCUAGGUUCAAGUCAUUCAUGUCCUAGUGGCCAUCCUACCACUACAUUUUCAACCUAUAUUCAAUGACACUAGGUUUAAUGUCCAAUCAUGUUCUUUUCUAUCCUAGUUGUCCACACCUAGGAUUCAUAGUCUUCAUGCCAUCCAGUUCUUGAUUUCUCACUAGUUGAAUCCUCUAAUUUUUCUAGAGUUCAUAGACCUAUGUUCAUUAUUCACACCUCGGCAUACAUAUAUAUACAUCCUAUAUGUUUUCAAAUGCCUAUGUCAUCAUCCAAUGGUAGGUAACAUCAUCUAACAACAUAUGAUUUAUGCAUUCAUAUUUACAACAUAUAACCUACGAUUACUUACAUGCAUCAACAACAAUACCAUACUUUACUAUUUUGACAUGGAAGCGACCCAGUCACUUUGGUGAAGCACAAUUUUCACGCCCCACAUUACCACGUUUCUCUGGGCACGCCAACAGACCCGCCGUACACAUAGAAAUUUUUUGUGUAUACGAAGCGCUAGCUGUACCUGUAAACAAAUCAUAGCUACAACCAGAAGUAUAGAGCUGCUAAAACUGAAAAAUAUAAAUAAAAACAUACUAAACCCACUGUACAUACAAUAUUCACAACACGUCGCUCCUGAGAGUACAACAAAACAUAACAGUAUGUACAAGGUAACAACCCAAAACGACCUCUGAAGGGGAUACUCCUCUAGCAUAGUGACCAAGAAAAGUAGGGAUCUAGCUCGCGACUCCCUUACCACGGUCAGAAUCAACAGCAGUAGCGACGGGCGGCUCUGCAAAAAGGUAGCAACAACUGGGUGUGAGAACUACUGCAAAACAGAGUAGUCCUCAGUGGGUACCGUCACCGACCCCAACGGCCCACCCACUAAGUCUACAGUAAGGUAUACAAAGGAUAGUAAAAUAAGCUGGAAGAAACUCUACAGCUAUAUGCUACUAGACUACCACUAUCCAACCAUGCUCUCUGUAGACAUAGAAAUGCAUCACUAGCUACACACUGACCUAAUCUCAAGGGACUGCCGACUGGCCCGUCCAGCCUGUAUCUAAGCUACACCGCACACCACCCACGGGGGUGGCCGGUCCAAGAACAUUGUCCAAAUAGGACUGCUGCGACAUCAACGCAAGAAAAGCCUUACUCCAGAGCAGCACUCGUGGGAGUGACCCAAUCGAGUAUGCAAGCGUGUCUCUAUUGCGCUCAAUCAGGCUCACACAGGCUAUAGUCAAUGCAAAUGGUUCAAGCUGGUCUAACAACUAAGGCUCACGUGCCCUUGGUACAAUCUGAUAUAAAAUGUAAGAUCUGGGUCCACCAUUUGCCCCGACGGCACCCGACAAUACAGAACAGUCCAAACUCUACUGUAAAACGAGUUCGGCUCCUCAACACGAGCGUAAUCUCACCCUACACUAAUCUAAGUAUCUACAACGCACUAACAGCGGUGAUACAACAAAGAAAUUAGCUCCUAAAGCUAAAUCUGUUAACAUUUCGAAAGUGACGGUGUAGGUUUAAUUCGUUUUCUCCUAAGUCAAAUUUCAAUUCAGCAGAUAUGAUUUAUCUAAAAUUCUUAAAUUAUGCUCCAAAUUCAAAUUUCAUAUAAACAUGCAAAUCCAUGAAUUUGAGCUACUAAACAUGGUGAUCGAACAAGAAAAUACAUGCCGACAUUGCUAUGACUUAGAAAGAAUUCCGACGAUUUCGGUAAAUAUUAACCCACCUCAAAUGCUCGUCCAACACCGGCUAGGAGUCGAUAGGCGAAACCCCGCACUAGCUCGACCUCCAACGAAAAUCCCCCGAGGUGCGCGAGCAAUUCUCCAAAGACAAGGUGAACGAAACUGAGAUCAUUCCACAAAUUCACAAAGAAAAAGGCAAGAGAGCUAGAGAGAGAGGGGAUAGAGAAGCUACCGUUUCUCCAAGCUUCUAACACAAAUGAGAGAGUAAUAGGGGUCGCUUGGGAUUUAGCGCCAACAAAAAUGACCAAAAGACCCCUUACCAACUCAAUUUGCCACCUGGAGUACCGAUACUCAACUUGGGUACCGGUACUCGGCACUCAGCCAGCAAACCCUCACACUAGGUAUCGGUACUAGCCCGAUACAGUACCGGUACUCAAUCCCGGUACCGGUACUCACCAAUAGGUAUCGGUACUCAACACAAAGAUACACAAACCCGAGAGCUCCCCUUCGUGUAAUCCCUCUGGGGUACCGAUACACCUCUCAAAUACCGGCACACAACACUCAAAAUCCUGCUUUUGCUGAUUUUAGUGUCCGAAGUCCAACUCUCACAGCUCCGAGUUCGUUUUCGCGUCUAUUUUCGUGCAAAAGCGAAUCCGGCUCGCCUGACACUCUACAGAAGUGUCGACAAGCCACUGAUGCUGCCGUCAGUCCGACCACUAACCCCAGAGACACUACAACAACCCACCUCACAACGCUUUCGAUUGCUUGUAGACACUUCCAAUCGGACUCCUGCGGUCAAUGUCGCCCGAUUUGGUUCGACCCAAGCCUAAUGGAUGAAAUCCGGUGAUAUCUCCCAAUUGGACGCUGUAACCUCACUGUAAUCCAAAUCAAGGUUGUCCCUUGCGUCGAUUUACACUUCAAUUAGAGAUUUAUGAGAUCAAUUUAGUUCCAAACCUCUUAGGGACAAAAACCCCAAAUCCAAGUCCUAGAUUUCAAUUUCUCCAAAAAUAUUCCAAAUCCAUGGAGAGAUCUUGAUUAAACAAGUAUAAAUCAUCUAGAGGACUCUAGAAUCUCAUUUCAAGGGAUUUAACCAAAAAUCCUAAUCUCUUAACCCAAAAAUGAACCUCGAGUCGAAAGCGCUCCAAGCCACUAAGCGCCCGAGAGCUCGAUUCACCACUCCUCUGAGUUUCCUGAGUUCGAUCUCCAUCAAGAUCUCCAAGCUGGAGAAGAAGAAAAAGAGAGUGAGAGAGAUGAACUCCCCUCUCUCUCUCUCUCUCUCUCUCUUAGUGUACGUGUGUGUUCUGUAGAGAAAAGAUGAAGGGCACCCUUUUAUAUAGGCCCUCACAUAAAAUUACUCAUUUACCUCUCAAAAAUAGCAUUCUCCAUCAAGAUCUCCAAGCUGGAGAAGAAAAAAAAGAGAGUGAGAGAGAUGAACUCCUCUCUCUCUCUCUCUCUCUCUCUCUCUCUCUCUCUUAGUGUACGUGUGUGUUCUGUAGAGAAAAGAUAAAGGGCACCCUUUUAUAUAGGCCCUCACAUAAAAUUACUCAUUUACCCCUCAAAAACAGCAUUCUGCAGCACUGUGUACCGGUACUCGGGUUGGCGUACCGGUACUCAAUUUCCAGUACCUCAAAACCCGAAUGUUGGAUUCUUAAUUUUCUACUGCGUACCGGUACUCGGUUUUCAGUACCGGUACCCAAUACAAACUCACUACCGGUACUCAGGUUUGAUUCCUCAAAAUCCGAAAACUCAUUUUUCUCAUUUUGUAUUGCUUACUAGUACACAGAUUCCAGUAUCGGUACUCAAUACAAAUUCUUUAUUUUGAUAAAUUUUACCUUUCCGAGUCUGUUUUCACAUUCAGUUUGCGCCGAAAACACUCGAAUACUCCCCAAACUUUGCUGGAAAUAUUUUAAUAGCUUUUUAAGCUAGUUUUCCCCAAAACUUCAUAAUUGUAGAAGUUCGGUAUAUUACAGUUUGAGUAUUUGUAUUGAUUACAGCCUGCUCGAGCCUAAUUGAACUCGACAAAGACAUGCUUCUAUACUCGGUAGGGGUCGUGCUCCCCGAGUGCCACUCCAGAGUCUGGCUUUCUUACGUUGAUGUCGCAGCAGCCCCGUUUGGAAAUUUUUACUUGGACCGGCCACCCCCAUGAGUAGUGUGCGGUGUAGCAUGGGCACAGGCUAGACUGGCUAGUUGGCAGUCCCUUGGGAUUGGGUCACUUGUGAUAGUUUGUAGUUAGUGAUGCAUAUAUAUGUCUACUAAGAGCAUGACAUGGGUAGCUGUAAUGUAGUGACAUUUUAACUGUAGAGUUUCUUCCAGCUUAUUUUACUGACUUUUUAUCUAUCAAGUUAUUGUUAGCUUUGCAGACUUAGUGGGUAGGCUGUGGGGUCGGUGACAGUACCCACUAAAGACUACUCUAUUUUAUAGUAGUUCUCACACCCAUUGUUGCCACUUUAUUUUGCACAGCCGUUGGUUGCUGCUGCUUUUACUGAUCGCGGUAAGUGAAUCGCGAGCUAGAUCCCUGUCUACCCCGGUCGUUGAGCUAGAGGAGUACCAUUUUGGAGUCAGUUCAUAUUUAUUUUAGUCAUGUACAUACAGUUGUAUUUUAUUUUACCGGUUAAGAGUUCUGAGAUACUGCACUUUUGGUUUUUGUUGUACACCUUGGAUUACAUGUAUAUACCUUUGACUACGUAUUUUGGUUUAGAAGCUCUGUUACUCUCUAGAAGUUGUCUUAUAUUGUUACAGGUUCUUCUUUUGCUUCAUGUACACAGGGCUACUUGUGUAUGCAGCAGAUCUAUUGGCGAUCCUGGGGAAUCCCAAAACUCGAGGCGUGACAGUAUUUCCUUUCAUACACUAAUUAUAUCACUUUUAUUCUUGUCCCUUUCUUGGUUAAGUAUCUUAUUUAGCCUAGAUGAAAUGAUGCUCUGACAACUUGAUCGACCUAUGAAAUAAGGUGAAUCCUUUUAUUGUGAUUGUAUUUGGAUCAACUUUUAAAUGAUUUGCCUCAAGUUACGUUAAACCUUCCUAUUAUGAUUAACUCCCUAUCGCUUUAGUCUAUCUUUGCAUGAUGGAUAUAUCGUAGUUAGAUUUUAGCUGGUUGAUUUAAGGGAGAUUCAGAAUUCAAUUCUUGAUUCUCUAGACAUUGUAACUAUUAGUAAUCCGUCUAUAUCUUAUCGAGGUUAUAAUAUGUUUGUGGAGAUUAAUUCUAUGUUUGUAUAUGAAAUAAGUGGUUUGAUUAUAUUUUGCGCAUUUUUUUAUAGCAAUUGGCAUGUGAAUGUUGAUAUCAGAAUAUAAAGCUGAAAUAAGCAAUAGUCAUAUCAACUCUCUCGGAGAGUAAUUUAGAUUUUGAGGACAAAAGUUUUGUUAAUUUAGAAUAUGUAUUGCCUCAUUAUUAAAAUUACUUUUUAUCUUGACAAUAAAAUUUCAAGCACAAAAUUUUUAUUAGGGGGGGAAGAUUGUAAUACACCUAACUUAAUAAUUAUAUGUUUAGGUCCCUUUAUUUUGAAAUAUAGACUUUUUGGUAAUUUGAAUUAGUAGAAGGGCUUGGUUACAAUUUGUGCAUAUUAACCUUAAUCAAUUUUUGGUCGUGUCUCUCUCUCUUUUCUCCUACGUGGAGACCCUAGCCACCUUUUAUUUUUUCUCUUUUGAUCUGCUCCAUCUUUUUUUUAAUCUAUUGCUCUCCCAUCAUGCGCCGCACCUGUCACGUGCACCCGCGCGCUCGGACUCUUGUUCUUUGCUCGUCAUCUAACAUUGUUGCUGCUGUUGUCGGCCACCGUCGUGCUUCAUGAUCACUAUCGGCACUCCUUUCGUUCAUCAUCAACGGCAUCUUGAUCACCGUCUUUUUCUUCACCAUCUUUGAAGGGUUCCGUCGAUAGUUUGAUUUUUGGUAUUUGACCAAUCAAUAUUUAGAUUAUUUGGAGGUAAGCGACCGAACACCCGUUAGUUUUUCAUAAAAUAAUUUAGGAAAAUACUUUAAUUGUGUGAAAAUUUUUAUUUUGUAGGUUUCAAAAUUAAGAGUUAAGCGUAUUAUCACACAUUUUUGAAAAAUGAUUUUCAAUUUAGAUUGAUAGGUUCAUUUAGCAAAAGAAUUUGAGAUUUGAUAAUAUGUUCUGUAAAUUAGUGACUGGCAAGUGUUUUAAAUUAUAAAUGUCUCUUGGUAUUCUGCUUUACUAAUGUUGGCGAUGCCUACAUGUAUUCAGUUAUAGAAGCUAGCUUCGUCUCUAUAUUGUGCCUUCGGGUGCCUACGCCUAUUUGCGCCUCUAUUCUGUAUUUGUGCUUUCGAGCGCCUCUGUUAUGUAUAUGCACCUUCGAGUGCCUUUGCUCUGUUUUGCACCUUCAGGUGUCUCUGGAUCUCACCAACGAAUCACACUAUAUAGUUAGUUACCAGAGACUUAAAUUUUUAUUUCAUUUAUUUGCUAGAAGAUAAAUACUUUGUAAAUUUAUAGCUCCUAUUUGAUCUGAAUUUUAAAUUCUGAUAAUCUUUAUUUUCUAAAAUUUUGCAAAUUAAAAACCAGUUGCUUAAAUUAAAUUAUUUAUUUAUUUAUUUGUAUGCUUAAUCCUACUAAUGUGGCGUAUAGUUGUUUACCGAGGUUUCAUGAUUGUUUUGCUGGGCGGGAGUAAGAUCGAGUGAACGCUAGCCAUAGUUUGCCAUUCGAGUUACUUUUUGUUAUUUUUGUCUUUGUGUAGUUAGGUAUAUGUUGGUUAAUGGGUUACCUGAAUUAUCGAGAUUUAUUCAUUUCUGUUUUGUUCUUCUUCGUACUACGUAAUUUAGCAAAUUUUUGUGAUUAUCUUUUUGUUUAUUUCUUUGUUGGGUUUUGUAGCCUUACAUAUUUGUUAUUCUAGCAGGUGUGUACCGUUUGUUUUGCCUCGAGUUUGGGGAGUGACAGAAAAAUAGUUUCAGAGACUAGGUUUAAGGUUCAUAGGUUUGUAGAAACUAAGCAAUAGGAUUAUAAGGUUCAUCUUAGACAUGCGAGAACGUGUGAUAGGGGUAGACUUUUGGCUUUGGAAGGUUAAAGUUCUGAUGAUGUUCUUCCAUUCUUGUGUUCUCUCACCACUCUGUACUUUGGCUUUGAGAAUAUUCGAUUAGAUCCGUCCUUCUUAAUAUUGUAUGUAAUUUUAAUUGAAAUUCCUUAUUUCUGUUUUAGUAAUAUAUUUGACCUCAUAUAUAUCCUUCUUAUUCAUCCAUUUGACCAAUCUUUGUUAUUGGUUUGUUCAUGAGCUACAACUCUCCAGUUAAGACUUUAGUUUUGUUAGUUUUGUCAUUGUUGCUAAUCUUUUUUUUUUACUUUGAUUCUCAAUAUUGAUGUAUAAGCUUAGCAUUUUGACAUUACAUUUCUUUCUUCAAGUUCUUUUGACAUGAAAAAAGAUUAUGAUUAUAAAUUCAGUUUCUAAUAUGUGCUAUUUAUUCUUUGAUUAUCUGAUUGAGAAAUUAUUGUGUGUUCUCACAUGUGUCCCUCCUAUUGCAAAUCUUUUUUCUAUGUGAGAAGGUAUUUCCUUUCAUACACUAGUUAUAUCACUUUUAUUGUUGUCCCUUUCUUGGUUAUGUAUCUUGUUUAGCCUAGAUUAAAUGAUGCUCUGGCAACUUGAUCGACCUAUGAAGUAGGAUGAAUCCUUUUAUUGUAAUUGUAUUUGAAUCAACUUUUAAAUGAUUUGCCUCAAGUUGCAUUAAACCUUCCUAUUGUGAUUAACUCCAUAUAGCUUUCAUCUAUAUUCGCAUGAUGGAUAUAUCGUAGUUAGAUUUUAGCUGGUCGAUUCAAGGGAGAUNUGGCAACUUGAUCGACCUAUGAAGUAGGAUGAAUCCUUUUAUUGUAAUUGUAUUUGAAUCAACUUUUAAAUGAUUUGCCUCAAGUUGCAUUAAACCUUCCUAUUGUGAUUAACUCCAUAUAGCUUUCAUCUAUAUUCGCAUGAUGGAUAUAUCGUAGUUAGAUUUUAGCUGGUCGAUUCAAGGGAGAUUCGAAAUUCAAUUCUUGAUUCUCUAGACAUUGUAACUAUUAGUAAUCUGUCUAUAUCUUAUCGAGGUUACAGUAUGUUCAUAGAGAUUAAAUUCUAUGUUUGUAUAUGAAAUAAGUUGUUCGAUUAUAUUUUGCGUAUUUUUUUAUAGCGAUUGGCAUGUGAAUGUUGAUAUCAGAAUAUAAAGUUGAAAUAAGCAAUAGUCAUAUCAACUCUCUCGGAGAGUAAUUUAGAUUUUGAUGACAAAAGUUUUGUUAAUUUGGAAUAUGUAUUGACUCAUUAUUAAAAUUUCUUUUUAUCUUAACAAGAAAAUUUUGAGGACAAAACUUUUAUUGGGGGGAAGAUUGCAAUACCCCAGAGUUAAUAAUUAUAUGUUUAGGUCCUUUUAUCUUGAAAUUUAAACUUUUUGGUAAUUUAAAUUAGUAGAGGGGCUCAGUUGCAUUUUGUGCAUAUUAACCUUAAUUAAUUUUUUGCCAUGUCUCUCUCUUUUCUUCUACAUGAAGAUCCCAGCUACCUUUUAUUUUUUCUCUCUUUUGAUCUGCUCCAUCUUUUUUUUUUAGUCUUGCAUCUCUCACGCGCGCCCGCGCGCUCGGACUCUCGAUCUUCGCUCGUCCUCUGGCAUUGUUGCUGCCGUCGUCGGCCGCCAUCGUGCCUCAUGAUCACUAUCGGCGCUCUUUUCGUUCACCAUCAACGGCACCUUGAUCACCAUCUUUUCCUUCACCAUCUUUGAAGGGUUCUGUGGAUAGUUUGAUUUUUGGUAUUUGACCAAUCAAUAUUUAGAUUAGUUGGAGGUAAGCGACCCGACACCAGUUAGUUUUUCAUAAAAUAGUUUAGGAAAAUACUUUAAUUGUGUGAAAAUCUUUAUUUUGUAGAUUUUAAAAUUAAAGGUUAAGCGUAUUAUCACACAUUUUUGAAAAAUGAGUUUCAGUUUUGAUUGAUGGAUUCUUUUAACAAAAGAAUUUUGAGAUUUGAUAAUAUGUUCUGUAAAUUAGUGACUGGGUAAGUGUUUUAAAUUAUAAAUGUCUCUUGAUAUUCUGCUUUACUAAUGUUGGCCAUGUCGACAUGUAUUUAGUUAUAGAAGCUAGCUUCGUCUCUAUAUUGUGCCUUCUGGUGUUUGCGCCUAUUUGCGCCUCUGUUCUGUAUUUGUGCUUUCGAGCGCCUCUGUUCUGUAUAUGCACCUUCGGGUUCCUUUGUUCUGUUUUGCACCUUCGGGUGCCUCUGGAUCUCGCCAAUGGAUCACACUAUAUAGUUAGUUACUAGAGACCAAAAUUUUUAUUUCGUUUAUUUGCUGGAAGAUGAAAUAUUUUAUAAAUUUGUAGUUCUUGUUUGAUCUGAAUUUUAAAUUCUGAUUAUCUUUAUUUUCUGAAAUUUUACAAACUAAAAACCAGUUGCUUAAAUUAAAUUAUUUAUUUAUUUAUUUGUAUGCUUAAUCCGACUAAUAUAGUAUAUGGUUGCUUAUCCAGGUUUCGUGAUUGUUUUGCUGGGUGAGGAUAAGAUCGAGUGAAUGCUAGCUGUAGUUUGUCAUUCGAGUUACUUUUGUUACUCUUGUCUUUCUGUUGUUAGGUAUAUGUUGGUUAAUGGGUUACCUGACUUAUUGAGAUUUAUUCUGUUUUGUUUUGUUCUUUUUCGUACCGCAUAAUUUAGCGAAUUUUUGUGAUUAUCUUUUUGUCUUUUUCUUUGUUGGGUUCUGUAGCCUUACAUAUUUGCUAUUCUAACAAGUAUGCGGCAUCUGUUAUGCCUUGCGUUUGUGGCGUGACAUCCAUCUUCCCGAAUCAGAAAUAGAACUAACUUUUCAAUGUUAGUUGUAUGCCUUAGAAGCCUAUCAGGUUGACGCAUUUUAUUUUCUAUGGGACAUUUUUGUACUUAAUCUUUAUUUAUUUAUAUAAUUGGGACUUUUAUUCCAUUCAUAUUUAAUGUGUCCGUGAAUCGUCAUUUGAAUUAAUAAGAUGAUAAUAUGUAUUCUCAAGAGUUGAGAAUUUGAGAUACAUAAUUCUUGGUGAUUAAUUCCUAAAUGCUCUCAAUCGGAGGAUCAUUAUGGGAACGAUGAUUGAUCCAGUAAGAUUGAUGUGUGCCGCUUCCCUUUUGGGAUGAUGAUCUCGAGUCAUCAGUGUGGGGACACUAGAGCGAACAUACAGGUGGUUGUUAGAGAACAAGGAUACUGAGCGUGACCAACUACGAACAGUUACAUGAAUAUCUACUCGUCAGUAAUUAGUUCGAUGUUGCAGUGGUACAACUGAUCCUUAGACCUGGGACACCAUGGCCAUUCAAUGUGAGGUUACUGUAGUUUGACUAUGCAACAAACUCCGAUCCUAGCCAUGGUCCUUAGUAAUAUAUGUUGGCUGUAGUAGAUUCAUAUCAGGAAUGAGUGUGCAUUUAUAGGGGAUCUAUCACUCUCGGUAGAGAGAUAAAUAGUUGUAUGCUAUUUGUAAGGCAAAGCUUAGAAAUCCUCGGCCGGGAUAAUAUGGUGUAUGGAAAGAGGUUUCCAAAAGUAACCAUAAGAGCUUCUGUCCUAUCAAAUUUGUCAUAUAUCAGGUGAUAGGAUUUGACGAGUAUUCCAUAACUUCCACUCGGUUGGGACUAUGCGAUAGAAGGAUUGUAUUGUACAGUAAUUGCACCUAGAGCUUUAGUCCGAUAUUUACUUCUAACUGGAUUGCCACUACAUGCUGUUAGGCGUCACUGGUGGAUUGUGGGAACCAAUAGGAAUAAUUAUAGAUAAUUAAUUAUUCUAUAAGGGUGAAAUCAAAAGAGUUUGAGCCAUCGAAAGGAGUUUCGAUGAUGAUGUAGAUAAGAAUCACAUCAUAUCUUACUAUCAAACAAAAUUGAACCUAUUAGGUCACGCACAUAAGAAAUCGCGCAUAAUCAAUUUUAAGGAGACUUAAAAAAAGUUUAUCGGAUGGUUUAAUUGCAAUUAUAAUAUAGUUAAAUACUAAAACUUACCUAAUUUAUUAGUUAAAGGACUAAUUGUAAUUGUUGUAAAUUAGAGGUAUUUAUAUGUAACAGUUGCAUGGUGUAUUUAAUAAUUGUUAGUAAAUAAUAUGAGGACUUAUGUGUAAAUGUUACACACAAAUCGAAUCAGGAUUAGGAUUCGGUUAAUAUUAUAACCAAUUUGUGGGUUAAUGGACAAUCCAAUCGGACUAGGAUUUCGAUUAGGAUUAGAAUUAGGCUUAGUGUUUUCUCAUUAUAAAUAUACAUAUUAAAAUUAAUUAAUACAAGAGAAAUAGAAAACCCUAGCCAUCAAUCCUUCCUCUUUCCCUUAAAUCUUUCACAAUUAAUCCAUCGGUUUCGAUCUUUAAAGAGUUGCUAGCACAUCUAGAAGAUUGAUUCAUCUUCCUCAAAUCGAUUGAAGAGUUAAUUCGUGAUCGGAUCACGGAUCGAAACAGUCGUCUAAUUCGAUCAAGGGCGUGAUUUCGUGUGGAUGCGAGUAGAGGUUGGGCUCGUGCCCGGCUAAGCGAGGAUGAACAAUUUUUACCAAUGAUUGUCGACUUCGCGGUGAUCUCGACCUGCGCAAGGUGAAAAACUAGAUCCUAUUUGAUUAGAUCAAUUAGAUCAAUUAUUAAGGAUCUAAAGUGAACACGAGGUGAUCUUUGAUUUUAGAAAAUUUUAAUUGUGUUAUUUUCUUCCGCUACAUACACAUGAUUUUCUUACAUUCAAAAUGUAUAAAACUUACCUUAACAUCGUCCAUUUGGAUUUAACUACCUAAUCUUUCAAAAUUUUUACUUAAAAAUUUUUGAAUUAACGAUCCGACCUUCUUAAUCAUUUGACUUAAGCCAAUUAGUGACUAUUUAACUUUAAAAAUUUGAAUAGAUCAUUUAUCUCUUCAUAGUAUUUUUUAUGUAACUUACGUAACAAUAGAUUUAUUAAAAUAAAUAAUUAACUUAAAUUUUGUACCCGAAGAGCUAUUAGAUCACUUCAAUUCAAUCAAACAAAUUGAAAGAUUAGACACUAAAAUCAAAAUUUUCAAAGAUUAUGCAGCGGAAUCAAAAUGGGCUAUGAUUCCAGUAUGUUUUAUACAUUUUUACCCAAACCCCAUACUAUUUAUUAUCUUAUUGUAUCGAAGUACUGCAAAAGAAAAGAAUGAAGGCUGCAUGUGUCAUCUAUAUCUUUACCUCUAUACCUCUAUACAUUAUUUCUCCUAAAGUUACCACAUUGCAAUUUUUUCUUUAUUGUUGAGUGUGGGCUCCAUCCUGAACCAGCUCCGGUACUUUCUCUUCCUCUUUAUUCAGCUGUUACCUUCGUUCAUCAGCAAGAUAAAUCUCAUCCCUUAACAUUAUUUUUUUCAUCAACGUUUCCUUUUUUUUUGUCCAUGUUUUCUAUUUUUUUCGAUUAUCUAUCCAUUGUAACGCGUGGGUUACUACACUAGUAGAAACAUAAUGACCCGAGAGAAUGGUGGCUCUUAGCGUUAGGCCAUGCUUACUUUUUAUUAUUAUGGGAGAAUGAACUUUCACGGUAGUUUUGCAUAUGAGAAUUUGAGUUAGUAAGAAUUAUUUCACAGUUAGAGAGCUUCAAAAUUUGGUUACUUAUUGUUAUUCAUUCUGCAAAAGGAGGCGGCGGAAAAUAACUUUAUUGACAAGCUUUCACAGUACUUUUCACAGUAUUUUUCCAUUUUUAACAGAAACAGCCAGAGGGGAAAGCUGUUCAAGAAGCAGAAACAAACUUGAGCGAGAUGCUGUUGACACAGUGACGCUCAUUUGUAGGCGUUUUGAACCCCUCCCCUUUAAAGACAUGACCCAGGUGCCCCCCGCAAGCCGCACAUGUGAUUUCAGUUCUCAUUCCAUCAGGAUCCGGCUGUACUGACAAAUUCAUUUCAUUAGAACAUGCACAAAAGCGCGGCACAUUAGAUCAUAUAUCCAAAGAAACAGGAAAUGCAAGAAAGAAACCCACUGUCCGCUUUAUCGCUCCAGGUAGUCCCUCAUAGAAUGCUGGCCAGCCACAUCCGGAGUUGAACUUCGUAGUAGAUUUGUAAAGGGGCGUUCCACAACCAGCACAUUCGUAAAUUCCGUCACCAUAGAAUUUAUCAUAUUUCCCAGUCCCUGGGUACCUGAACACAAAUUAUCGCCUCCACGCUCAUUUCGCAAUCAGAGAAGAGUAACGAGACAGAUAAUAUCAAAGACUAUGAGAUGAACGGCAUAUCGAAUGAAUUAGACAAAGUUGAAUGUGAGGAAUCUAACGUAUAAAAACCUAAGCUUCACUUGUCAUGUAUUUUCCACAGGGUAUUUUGGACUAGGGCUAUUUAUCAUACCACCAACGGCCCAAAGUACAUUAGCCGUUCAAAUGCAGGCCUUCCACUCCUUUUACUCCACCUGAUUUGUAAGUAACAGGUACAACCGAUGAUUUAAGUGCCCAUUAGCAUAGGUUGCGCCACCGCAAUAAGGAAUCGGCAUGAUACGAUCCCCAUGCCAAUGGCACGGUUCAAAACUUCCUUUUUUCUAAAUUUGCAAGUAACUAAUCGAUAGACUGCAAAAGAUUUGAUAAAACAUAUACUAUAAGAAAUUCCAAUACGCUAGUAGUGCCAAAGAAAAUAAAUAUUUCAUGCCAAAGUGUGGUAAAAGGUAAUUUAUCAAUGACGCACAUUGACGCAGCAUGGCAUGCACCAUACCGUGCCUAGCAAGCGUUCAAUACAAAUCUCGUACCAUGGCACUUAAAUUCAUAGGUGCAACCACAUAAGCAUAAAAGAGAAUGUGGUGUUAGAUGCUUGAGCAAGUCAAGUGUGCAAGAUCGGUGUGAUUCACGCUGUGUACAAAUGGUAUUAGCCCCCGAAUUACAUAUCAAGUUGGAUCAUUAGCUGAUUGCCCUGUCCUUACUUCCUCAGCAGCAAGUCGCAGGCCCAACCUCUGCAUCAAAGAUUUUCUCACAAAUCAAAAACUCUCUCCAGAGCUCUCAUAUCCUAAAAGCUGCUUCUUGUUUGCCUCUGUUGUCCCUUGAAGCCAUGGAGAUAGAUUUAACAGGAAUCCCAAGCCUUGCACUUGGAGGGCCAACACAGGACAAAUAGCAAGUCAAUGAGAACAAACCUCUUUUCUUCAAAUUUAAUCUUUAUUAAUUUGAUUGCUGGAUGGUUCUAACACAAAAUGUAAGUGGUUUGAAAAUUCUGCUAAAGCCACUCAAAUGACAAUAUAGUGAACUUAUAAAUAUAUUCUAGGAUUAAGUGAGCUUAAAAUCUUCUUCCCUACACCUAUUGAGUUUAAACUACAUAGGACAAUUGGAAAAGUGGACAAGAUGUAUGAAUUCAAUGGAAAGAAACUACAUAGGGCAAUUGGAAAAGUUAUAAAUUCAACUACAUUCACCAUAUACUAGCUAACAGAUAUUGGAAAUUCAAAUUCAAUUCCAAAUUCCAAUCAUUUUCUCCAAAUGCAGAUGUCAGAUCCUAUAGAGUGGAACAAGCAAAUACCAUCAGGAUACUAUGUUCGCAACUCAAAAAUAUCACCUCAAGAAAGAAAAGAGAUCCAUAGGAAAAAGAACAUUCAUAACCAGAUAUCAAAAACACAAAGAAGCAGAAGCUUAAUAGAUGGGAUAUAAGUCAAUCUCUUCCUCCCCUUUUAGCUGAAGAACAAGGACGGAAUUAAUUUAGCAAGAGUACUGCCCUAGACUCAUUGGCAUUCUGGACAAUGCCCAACAACAUCAUACCCACAACAACCCUCUUGAAGACUAUCCCAAGCCUCCCGAGCUUACAACUCCAGAAAUAGAGAACCAUAUAGAAGGAACCUAUACUACUGUAAAAAAGAUGAGUUAUUUUGAACUACAUCUUUCCAAAUAUAUCCCUCUCUUUUCUAUUUCAUCCAUUUGAUCAAAAUAUCAAAUUCUAUCACAGAAAUUUACAUAUCAACUAUAACUUCCAAUCAAAUGCAUAUGUUUACAUAUAUGUCAAAUUUAAUUCCACACAGAACCCUAACAUAACGCGCUUCUAACUUCCUCUGAUUUUCUUAUGUUCACAACUAAACCAUCCAAGGAUUUAAGUGUCGUGACAUAGGUUUGUACUGAGAACUUGCCGGUAUAGUACGGCAUGGUGUGCACCGAGCCAUGCUGUUGUUUGCCGAUGACACAAUACCAGUGUGUCGUCACACUUAGGCAUGAAAAAGAAAAAGAAAUUUCUUUUUGGCCCCAGUAUAUUCUAAUUUCUCUUAUAAUAUCUUUGUCAAAUAUCUUGUACUACUAAUUUCAAGAAAAAAAGAUUUUGAGCUGUGUCACCAUUAUAGGGGUCGUAUUGUGCUAAUAUCUUGUCAGCCUAAGCGUCAAGGGUAUGGACACAAGACACGAUGCGAUUCAGACACGGUGAUUCAGCAGCUCCAAAAAAAUUAGGACACGAAAACAACAAGAACACAGCUAAUAAAAUAUACUCUUUUACUACAACAAUAUAUAUUAAUUAUGUAAAAAAUAUUAAUAUUGAGAAAAUAUUACUAUAUUAUGUAUAAAAAAAUUAACAGAAAGAGGAACCCUAAUGUACAAUAAAUAUAACCCUAAUUCAAAAAGAAAUAUAACCCUAAUGCAAAAAAUAUAUAACCUUAAUUCAGAAAAAUAUUAUAAACCUAAUGCAAAAUAAAAAUAAAUAAAUAAUUAGUUGAAAAGUGAAAACUCUAAAUAAAAAAUAAAAAAUAAAAAAUUUUAAAAUUCUAUUCGAAGUUGUAAGGAGAGGGAUAGGGGGAGAAAGAGUACCUUUGAAAAAUCCCAAACCAUCUAAAAACUCAAGAGAGUGGGAAAAAGAGAGUUUCUGUUAGCGAAUAAAAGAAUAGAGAAAGAAGAAAGGAGGGGUAGGUGAUUUUUUUGGUUUAUGUUUUUAAAUUUCAUAGAAGCUUUUUUUUUCUUUUCUUAAAUCGGUCUUGGUAGAUCCCGCAUGUCGCAACGCCGCGAUGGUCGCGAAGUCGCGAAACGUCCAUUUUCCCUUUUUUACUGGGACGUGCAUCUAAUGCAUCCUUUACUCUUUUUUUUUUUUUCCUUUUCACACAAUGAGCCAUGGAUGUGCGUCGAUCAUGCAUUCCAAGUCGGACGUGAGUCCAACACGGACAUGUGAGAUUUUCCCGUCCGUGAUACCUCGUUGUCAGCACAGUACGACAUAAUGGCCAUCGCUCAUGCUAACGGGCACUUAAAUCGUCAAACCUAUUUGUUUUUCCUUGCUCUCUUACUAAUAUGCAAAUCCUAUAAUUUUUUUCUUAGCUUUUUUCCACCUGUAUGCAUAAGAAUGGUCGGAUAUCAAAAAAAUAAGAAACAUAUAUUUAUUAUAGAUUAAGCUACAGUAAUAUCUUCGUCUUUGACCACAGAUUUAUCUACAAUAAUAACUUUAAUCUCUUUAAUCUAUACAAAGAAUAAAAAUAUAUUUGACAAUAGAUUUUUUUUUACAUAUAAAACAACUUGCAUAGACAUAUUUAAUACAUCGAUUAUAAAUAUUGACCAUAGAUUUCUUCACUUUAUUUAUAUUCCAACUCUCUCUCCUAAUAACCUCUAAUCACGUAUACCCCAGUUUCAACAGAACUCCCCUCUCUCUCCACCGAACCCCAUACUCCUCUCUCACUCACAAUUUCUCGUUCAAUAUUCAUUUUUUUCUUACUUGCUUUUAUAUUCUCUCUAUACUUUAGCAUGACACCGCUGCUGACUUGUUUCAUUUAGCCCUUAUUUUUUUGCAUGAUGCGGCCACUACCUACUUUUGCAUAAUGUCACCACUACCUACUUUUGCAUAAUGCGGCCACCGUCGACAUUUUCAAUCUCAUCUGGGCAAGAUUACAAAUAUAAAAAAUAAAUUACAGAUAAGGUUCAUAUUUACUCUCUACCUCUUACUUCUAAUAGUUCAAUUAAUCCUCUCCCUAACUCCUCUUUUAUUUAUUUCUUCUCUAUAGAACCACUAACUUUGCUGACAACGUGAUCCAUUUAUUCAUGAACUAUCCCCAACCACUAACAUUUCAGCGACAAAAUGGUGCAACAACAUAUCCCUUUUGCGAGAUUCGUUUAUGCGACCAAAAUCCUAAAAAUUCAACUAAGGUUAGAUUGGUGCCAUUAAUAUCUCCCAGCAACAACUUUCCGUCAGAUUUAAACCCUAAGGCUCUGUUUGGCAAUGGAAUUAUGUCACACAGGAUAAAUUUUUUUAUCCUUGGUAUAUCUCAAUAUUCUAGAAUAGAGAGGAAUAACAAUAAUUUUUUGUUUGGAUUUAUAUUAAUUUAUACUAGGGUAUAAGCAAUAUGAUGUUUGGUUAAUUUCUUGAAAGAAGAGAAGAAUAGUGAAAAAAGUUAAAUGAAUUCUUUUAAAUGCCAAUUUUACCUUUAUGAAUGUCUCACAUUCAUAGCAUAUGUUAUAGAAUAUAAAUAUAUUUUCAAUAAUUGUACAAAGUAAUUUAUUAAUUAAUCAACAUGAUUAAGAAAUAAUCUUCAUUAUAUAUACACUAUCAAGUAUUAUUACAGUAAUUAAAUUUAUACUAAUAAUAUAUAUAUUAGUAAACACUAUAUAUAGAAAUCGGAUAGGAGGAUGGAGUAAAGUGGGGGUGCGGGGGUCGAGGCGUCAUAAAUAGAGGGUGCAUGGGUCGAGGCAUCAUAAAAAGUAGGAAAAAAAACUACUUAUUCAUUGCCCCACCCUUGAAUUCAUGAGGGAUGAAUUUUAUUCUACGGGUGGGGGAGAAUAUAAUUAACGGGUUAUUCCAAGAUCAACUAGAAUAACCCGCUUUGACUAGAAUAAAUUAUCCAUGGCAAAUUUUAUUUUGUUUGGAAGAAUAAUAAGGAUAAAAAGUGUUAUUCUUCAUAUAUUCCGUUACCAAACGGAGCCUAAGAAUAUAUCCAAUGGAAAAAAUGUUGUUGCAUGCACGACCUUAUUUAGCUAUUCAAAAAGAUGGCAUCCAUCGCAAAAAUCGUACAAUUGUCUACAACGAUUUUUGUGUAUCUCGCGACACCAAACAUUUGAGAGUUUAACUCCCUUGACCAAUGUAUGAGAUGCGCUAAUUGAAGAUAGCCAUUUGCUUCCACACUUUUCAGUUCAUACUAAAAGGAAUUAUUCCAUCUAUUAAAGGCUAAUAGCAAUUUUAUAAAAAGUUAACUAACUUGUAUAACUGAAAUAAUAAAGAUAAAAAGUCAAAGGCCCUAUUCUUUAUAGACCUAGUGUUGAUGACGUCUCCCUACACUUUUACUAUAAUAUAUAUUGCAUACACCAAACAAACUACUCACCAUCUAUGAAACUAUAUUAUUCCUCAACUCCUUAAACUCAUGGCUGUACUCCGUUUCAUUAGGCCCGUGGGUCCCACGCCCAUUUAACGCUCGGGCCCAUCACUAAUCAACCCUGGCUCGUGGGUCCCACGCUCAUUUAACACUCGGGCCCAUCAUCAAUCAACCCUGGCUCGUGGGUCCCGCUUCCAUCGAGUGGAAUUGGGAAUUAUUCCUCAACUCCUUAAACAUGUGGUCGUGCUCCGUUUCAUUAGAGCCGUGGUUCCCACGCCGAUUUAAUCUCGAGCCCACCAUCAAUCAACGCUUGGCUCAUGGGUCCUGCUUCCAUUGAUUACAGGGUUCCAACCUCCACUCAAUGGAUGUGCUUCGGUUCCUCCCCCACCUCCACUCUAGCUACCGAUUCAUCUCCGCAAGCUCUAUUGUCGUCCCCUCUCUCACCUCGACACUACGUCACCUAGGCUCAUCUUGGGGUCGUUGGCCCAUAUUGAAUCAUUGCUUCCCUAUUGUAAUCGAUGUCCUCCAUUGUAUUGUCGUCACCUCCUAUCUCCGCCUUCUCCCAUAGCUCAGCUUCUCCGAUAUUGUCUAGUCAAUGUACAGUCGCCGCAGUACCCUUUUUUGUAAUGUUGGCUUUUGAUUUUUGUUGUGUACCUUAUUAAUGAGCAUGCUAUCCAUCCUCGAGUUCGGCAGCGCUCUCUCCUUCCCCUCUGCUGUAUCUGCAUCAUAUCACUCCUCUGGACUGGCACUGCCGUCUUUCAUGUUUGCGGUUAUAUAAGGGAUCCCUCCAUCUUUGCUGCCCCACCAGCAUCUGUUUCACUUCCUGCUUCAUCCCGACCCACACUGUUACGCUGCUUCAUAUGCUUGGCUCCACCUACGGCUUCUUUUGCUUUGGUUUGGUCCAACGAUGCUCCUGCUAUAUGUUUCUGCCCACUACUUGUGGUGGACCUUUUUCUUCUACUUUGUUGAUCCUUUUUUGUGACACCCAUUAGUCCCACAUCGGAUGGAAAUGGAGUUGUCAUUGGAUAUCUAAGAGGACUCCGCCCUAGUAAUAAUAAUUGGGCUUAAGCAUUUUGAGCCCGUGGUUUUGGCCCAACUAAUUAUUAUUGCUAGCAAGGUCGGGUCGUUACAUUUGGCAUCAGAGUCGAUUCACCAACCGGAAGUGUAAGAUGAGUCUUGGCUGAACCAGGGUCGAAAUAACAGACUAAGUCAAGGUUGGUGAAUGACAGGCUAAGUCAGGGUCGGUGAAUGACAGGCUAAGUCAUGGUCAGAAUGACAAGGCUAGCGAGACGAGUCUCACAUUGCCUGGUGAUCUUGGGUUGUGUGUGUGCUUAGGGCUGACGAGAACCUCAGGACCUAAACGGAGAGAGUAUGUAACACCCCAUUAGUCCCACAUCAAAUAGAAAUGGAGUUGUCAUUGGAUAUAUAAGAGGACUCCACCCUAGUAAUAAUAAUUGGGCUUAAGCAUUUUAACCCAACGAGUUAUUAUUCCUAGUAGUCGGAUCGUUACACUUUUAUUGCCAGGUGUUGAAAGAGCCUUCGUCAACCUCUUCAACGUUCGUGCUCGUAGAGGGAGGAGUUCCGAUCGUACCUUAUCGUGGUGUUUCCGGUUAAUCCCGCACGAAUAACAGGAAUACGCCUUAGGGCAGUGCUACGCAGGCUUCCGGAUCAGUUAUUUUUGGCUUCCUUAUUCAGCAACUUUUUUUGGAUUUUAGCACUCACUUGUAAGUUGAUUUUAUUAAUUUUUAUCACAAAAUUAGUAAGAUAAUUAAUCAGAAUCAGAUUUUUAGUGCAGUUUUCCUGACAAUCUAAGACAUAUUUCUUCCGAUUAGAUUGUGAUUAAAAAUCUAACAAGUGCUAAUUGGAAGGGGAAAUAGAAAAAUUCCAUACUGUAUAUAAUUUUGUUGACAUCUUAUUUGUAUGAUUGACAUACAAAUUUAAAUAAAUUGGGAUUAGCAUUUUAAUAUCUAAUUGCAUAUAGUUUACUUGCAAAAAAAAUUUCAUAUUUUAUUUGCUUUCUACUGUUAUUUAAAAAAAAUUAUUGCAAUUAAUAUAUAUAUAUAUAUAUAAUAUAUAUAUAUAUAUAUAUAUAUAUAUAUAUAUAUAUAGAGAGAGAGAGAGAGAGAGAGAGAGAGAGAGAGAGAGAGAGUAGGUCUUGUGUGCUAUUAGGAACACGGAGGCCUCCGUGCACCUAAGCCGUUUUCGAUGAUGGAGCUUCCGAAUCGACGAUCGGCUCCGUUAGGCUUGAUCUAGCGUAUUUAAAGUAUCUAGAAAAUAAAUUUUGUAAUUUUUCGAUAUCAUUUACCUAGCGAGCGAAAGGGAUCAAAAUCAACCAUUUUUAAUGGUUGAUGUUUACCGUUUGCAAGUUUAACGGUUUAGAAGCAUCCAAAUCAAAUAAAUUUUGAUAGAAAAUUCUUUAUACUAUCUACAGAAAGAUCAAUAUCUCUGAUUGAAAAUUUUAGUACUAUAUCAACACUUUUUGUGAGAUUUUUAUUUUCAGCCGUUGAUUUUGAACUCUUUCAAUCACUAGGUAAAUGAUAUCGAAAAAUCGCAAAAUUUAUUUUCUAGAUACUUCAAAUACGCUAGAUCAAGUCUAACGGAACCGAUCGUCGAUUCGGAAGCUCCAUCAUUGAAAACGGCUUAGGAGCACGAAGGGCUCCGUGCUCCUAAUAGCAUACAAGAAUCUGUAGACUGUAGGUCUUGUGUGCUAUUAGGAGCACAGAGCCCUUCAUGCUCCUAAGCCGUUUUCGAUGAUGGAGCUUCCGAAUCGACGAUCGGCUCCGUUAGACUUGAUCUAGCGUAUUUGACGUAUCUAGAAAAUAAAUUUUGCGAUUUUUCGAUAUCAUUUAUUCAAAAUCAACAGUUGAAAAUAAAAAUGUCACAAAAAGUGGUGAUAUAGCACUAAAAUUUUCGAUCAGAGACAUUAAUCUUGCUGUAAAUAGUAUAAAGAAUUUUAUAGCAAAAUUUCAUUUGAUUUAAAUACUUCUACACCGUUAAACUUGCAAACGGUAUACAUCAACCAUUAAAAAUGGUUGAUUUUAAACCCUUUCGAUCGCUAGGUAAAUGAUAUCAAAAAAUCACAAAAUUUAUUUUCUAGAUACUUCAAAUAUGCUAGAUCAAGUCUAACGGAGCCGAUCGUCGAUUCGGAAGCUCCAUCAUCGAAAAUGGCUUAGGAGCACGGAAGUCCUAAUAGCACACAAGACUUACUCUAUAUAUUAACAAUUUUUUAAUCAAUUUCUCUACAAAACUCUUUUUUGUUUACAAUGUGAAGGGGUUUUGUUUCCGAAAUCUCUAAUGGUGGAUGUUUAAAAUUUUUUGUAGGAUUCGAGUUUUUUAAUGAAAAUUUUUGUGAAGAAGGGUUUGCUGGGCUCAAAAUAAUUUUCUUUCCAUUGUGAGCAGAAACAUAGGUAUUGGGUCGUCCAUAGUGAAUGACAGACAUAUCAUAUAGCCAUGGUCUUCCUAAAAGAACAUGAGCGACGUCCAUAGGAAGGACAUCGCACCAAAUCUGGUCGAAGUAGGUGGCAAAAUGAUGUGGAACCAAGCAACGCCAUUUUACCAACAUAGUGGUCUUGUCUACCCACGCAACACAAUAAGGGUUAGGGCGAGGCUCUGUUUUCAAGUUUAAACGACCUACAACGGCUUCUGAUAUUACAUUAAUGCAAGUACCACCAUCAAUGAUAACCUUGCAACUCUUGUCUCCACAUUUCGUAUAGGUGUGAAAUACGGAAGUGCUCCUCCAAUCAUUCUCUUUCCUAGGUCGGGUCAAAAUACAACGCAUGACUUGUAAGGUGACGUUUUCUUCAAACUCCUCAUUCGAUUCCAACACCUCUUCAUCACUAAGAAUUUCAUCGGUUGUGUGUGCGACUUCCUAAGUUUUCCAACUCAUCGCUAUCCGGCUGAACAAACAUGUUCCGUUUGGAGCAUUCAUAAGCGUAAUGACCCAUCCGACGACAGUUAUAACACCUACCCUGUAUGUUCCCUUGUUUAGUGCCGUUUAUAGCUAAACCCUUGCCUUUAGAAUCGGAAUUUUGAUGAUUUUGAAAAUUAUUCGCUUUAGUAACAUUUGGAUUUGCGUUAGGCGUAUUGAAUUUUCCAACAAAUCGUCGAGCUAGUGUUUUUAAAUAUUUCUCAUAUAUUAAGGCGAGUUGAAAAGCUUGCUCAACCGUUGCGGCCCUGUGCGGCACAAUUUCGCGCUGUAACUCCUCGCGCAACCCGUGGCAGAAUUGCGAGACAGUCUAUUCCUCUUCUUCUUGAAUAUCGCAACAGACGUUCAUCUCGUCAAACUUGCCCAUAUAAUCAGCAGCUGACAGAGAACCUUGCCACACAGUGUUCAAUUGAUCGUACAAUUGCUCUUUGUAUGUAGAUGGCAAGUACUUCUCUCUCAGUUUAGCCUUCAUCUCUGCCCACAAAGUGAUGAGCUCCUGACCAAUCCACUCGAAGUGUCUUUCAACACCAAUCCAAUAUUGCUUGGCGUCGCCGAUGAGUUUCAUUUUAGCAAAACGAACUCGUCGACUAUCAGACAUUUCAGAUCAGUAGAAGUACGGGUCUAUGUUGACGAGCUAGUCUGUGAAUAAUUUCAUAUCAAGUUUUUCGUCAAAAAUGGGUGCAUCAAUUUUAACCCUUUUUAUGAUGUCAUCUUGAAAAUUAAAAUUUUCGUUUCCUUGGAAAAGAGGAUUGAGUCUCGGGGGCAUUUGUUCAAAGACAUUUCAAACAUUGAUAUCACGUGGUUGUGCAGUGUGUGCAACAGAUCCCUAUUGUUCUACUCCUAUAACAUCAUUGUUUUGUGUUGUGACCCUAUCAGGAUUCGUUUCCAGCCUUCCAGGUUGGUAACACGGUUCCCUAUGUCGUCUAGUUUGGCGUUCAGAACGGCUAAUUGCUAUAAAAUUUGUUCCAUUGUUGCAAGGUCUGAGGACAUCGGUGCAGUUUGAUAAAUCCUACCACUUCUAAGGUUCAGUCAUUAACUUAGUGCUCUGAUACCAAAUCUGAUGUAGGAUGAAUGUAAACAUGAAAUAUUUGUCUUGAAGCCGAGUGGCUCAAGAACCUAUUGUCAUCAAUUCCUUUGAUUACUUCUCCUAUUCCACCUAUUUCUAUUCAGUGUAACUCUCGAGCUGCAAUUGAUUUUUGUAAAAUGAAAUUAGUGAAUUCUAAGGCUAAUAGACAUAUUAAAUUGAGGCAGAAGUCUGUUAGAUGACUAACUUCUCAUGAUGUUAUUUCUUUGAGCUUUAUCAGAACAGAAUCUUGCAGAUUGUUUGACAAAAGGCGCAUAAAGGACUAUUAAGUCCUAGAGUCAUCGAGAGGGAUGGGACUUUGCCAAUAAAGGGCCUUCCUGCAGUGAAAAUCCAAUCUUUGUGAUAGGAGACCCUUUGAAAAAGGUUCAAUGUGGUAAAAACAAGUUGUGUCAGGUUAGCUAAAGAGCAUUUCUACAAUCUAUAUAAAAAAGGAGCUUUAGCUCCAAUCCCAUCCUUAUGGUGAGUAAUACUCCAUGUAGUGGUUGAGAUUGAGCUUGUAGCUCUUAAUUGGAUCUAAGGCGGUAAUUUCUGCGAGAUAUGACUCUACACACAUCUCUAGAGGAAACCACCAAUAUGAGAGUAUCCGUAUAUGACCACGGCUAUGAGAUAUGGGCUAUCUGUAGAAACUCUUAUGUAAAAUCAAGAUAUUGUCUAUGGCCUUCAACGCACCGACCCACGACGGAGAAUUUUAUACUAUGUGUGUGGUAGUUGAAGUUAAGGUCAAUGGAAUGUAGUUCAAGACCUGAUUCACUCCGAUUCCUUUUGAUGAAAACUGCUAACACUAAGUGUAGUUAAGUCUUUUAAAGACACCUCGCCUAUUACAUAAUAUAAACACAUGAUGAUUUAUUUAUUUAUUUAUUUUGUGUUUAAUUUUUAUUUCAAAGAUUUUGAAUUUUGUGAGGGAUUGUUCUUAAAAAAUUCAAUAUCCCCUAAUUUUCAUUAUCAUUUUAUUUAAUUUAUUUUAUUAAUUUUGUUUAUUUAUUAUUAUUAUCUAUUUUAUUUAUAUAUUUAUUUAACGUUGCUUUUCGCGCAAACGUUGCGGCUUCUGCUCCAUAUGUGCCCGCUCCAUGAGAGCACGCACAAGCGCCUUUUGCGCACCGACUACCAACGUUCCAUGUGGAACGUUGGGAGCAAUGUUUUAAUUUCAUCCAGUAUAUGUAUACAAGAUGAACUCUUGGUUUUUCAAUUCUUAUAUGACAGAGUCCCUUUAAAGGAAAAAUUUUUUUUUGGAGAGUUGACUAUUCUAAUAUUUUCUUCUACUUCGUUUGAUCCUUUUAUCGCCAGGUGUUGAAAGAAUCUUCGUCAACCUCUCCCACGUUCGUGCUCGUAGGGGGAGGAGUUCCGGUCGUACCUUAGGGCGGUGUUUCUAGUUAAUCCCUCACAAAAGACAAGAAUACACUAUAGGGCACUACUACGCACGCUUCCAAAUCAAUUAUUUUUGGCUUCCUUUUUUAGCACCUUUUUAUGGAUUUAAGCGCUCACUUGUAAGUUGAUUUUAUUAAUUUUCAUCACAAAAUUAGUUGGAUAAUUAAUCCCAAUUGGAUUUUUAGUGAGGUUUUCCGAACAGCUACUUUGUUCUUCGUCUUCUUUCACAGAGUCAUCAAUUCACAAAAUAUUCAUAACUAUAAAUUUAUUAAAGUAAUCGAUAGCUUAAAUUUUAUAUCCGAAGAGUCAUCAAUCCACUUAAAUCAAAUAAAUUGAAAGGAUGGAUACUAAAAUUAAAAUUUUAAAAGAUUAGAUAGCAGAAUCAAAAUGUUCUAUAGUUCCGGCAAGUUUUAUACAUUUUUACCUACAAAUAUCCCAAGUAAUGAAUUGCACAUAGAAUUACCGUGUGUUUUGCGUUAAAAGAAAAUGAUAAUAAUAGUAAUUAUUAAGCCUGAAAAAAAAAAUGUCGACAAGAAGAAUAGAAAAUAGAGGAAAAGAGCAAGAAGGCAAUUGGCCUUACUCGGUGCCCUUGAGGCGAAGGAUGCGGAACUGCUCGGGCGAGAGGAUGGCUCUCCACUCCUCCUCGGAUUUCUGAACUGAGCCCGGCGGCGACGACGACGACGACGACGACGACGACGAUGACAUGGACACGACCAUCACCCUCCUGCUGCUCGGAGGAGAGAAGCCCCCCACUUUUCUCCCAAGCCCACAAUAAUGGAGAGAGGAGCUGAACUUGGAGGAGGAAGAGGAGGAGGAACGGGCGGCGUUUGUGACGGAUUUGGGGAGGAUUUGGAGGGAAGUGGCACGGAGAGAGUGGGCUGCGACGGGGCUGGCAGCGGGGCGGGGCGCCGCCAUCCUCGACAGUUGGUGGACUGCCAUCCUCUGCCCUUCUUGUUAACUCGCCCGUUCCUCUUCGUUCGUCUAUUUCCCACGGACCGCUCUUAUUCGGAUGCAGCCCCGACUCCCGAAUUGCAUGGUUCAAAAUAACGCCCGUCAUCGCUCGAGCGAGAAGAGCGAUUUUCCCGAUGUGGGCAUAUCCAAUGUAUCUAUCGGCUUUAAUCGGCCUAGAUUUCGAGAAAGUAAUUUUCACAUGGAUUAAUUUUAGUUUCGAUAAUUAAGCUUGAUUAAAAGUUGUAGAGUGUUUAUUUAAGGCUAGCAGAAAAAAUAAUUUUUUUGAAGUUGUUUUAUUAAUCUGCUUUAACAGAAAAAUUUUUCUAUUUGCAAAUAAUAAUUUUUGUAGCUGAAUUUUAUUUUAAAAUUUGAGUUCAAUAUCUGAAUUUGAUUCUAAAAAUUUUAAAUUUUAAAUCAAAAGUGGAAUUUUAAAUUUGAUAUUUAAAUUUAAAUUUUAAAUUUUAAAAUUUAAAGUUUAAUAUGUAGAAUUUAAAAAUUUUAAUUUUAAUUUUAAUAUGCAGAAUUCACAAAUUUUAAAUUUUAAAGUUUAAAUCUAAAAUUAAAUUUUAAGUGGCUAUUUAAGGCCUGUUUGAUCUAACUAUGUGGAAAUAGUGUGGUUGAAAAAAAUACUGUUCGAAAUAGUGAAGGUGCUUUUAAAAAAAACUAUAUAAUAGUGUUGAUGGCCGAAUUUCCUAAUACUUUGACCCUCCUCGGGAAGCGUGUCGAAGUGGAAAUCGGCUACUGAUCGUGACCCUCGAAGUUUGCGCCCACGACGGGUCAAGCGAUUCGACCGAUGAGGGAUCAGAUCGGCCGGGUCCGAAAACCUCCUUAAGUAAAUUCGCUUCGGCAAAAUGAGCCGAAUGAACAGGUGGGGCCUAUAUUUCGGCUGAGAGAUGAACCGAAUAGUCAGGACAAAAACGAGAUCUGGUCGGCCUGAGGAGCCGAAAACGACUUUUCUAUUAAUAAGAAGGGAGUGAUGCCCGGAGGGCAGACAGACUCCGAAGUGUACAAGGGAGUGAUGCCCGGAGGGCAGACAGACUCCAAGGCGUUUACAAUGAAGUGAUGCCCGGAGGGCAGACAGACUUCACAGAGGCUAAGUUACAAGCACUACUCCUAGUAAAAAGCGAGGAAAAAUAAAGGUGGUCUCUUGUGCGCAGGGGCGAAGACCCCUUUUCAGGGUACUACAAGUCUAUUUAUAUAUUUUCCCCUUGUGUUCAGUUAUUGCACGAUCGGCCAUCUUCUCCGGAUUGGAGGACCACGUUCGGCCGAUUGGAACUGCCAUUGGGAACUGCCCAUAACCGCUUACGGUUGUCACGUUUUUCAAACAAACGCAGUUCAUAUCUCCUGGCGCGUUUUCCGUGCUCCCGAUCCAGCGCUAUCCUGAAUAUGAACUCAGUGUGCCAACUGUCUGCGCCGGAUUGGUUCAACAAAUAGUGUUUGGCUAAUUUUGUUAUAAAAAUAUUAGUCACUGUGGAAAGAUGUUUGGUAAAAUUUAGAUAAAUUAUUAUAAACUAAUAUAAAAAAAUAUAAUAAAGAUAGAUUUAAUUAAAUGGUCCCAUUAAUAAUUUUAAAUUAACAGUCCCUAAUUUUUCAUGUUUUAAAAUUAAAUGAAUUGGUAAAUUAAAUUAACACUUUUGUCAAAAUUUCAAGAAUUUCAUAAAUUUAUAAUUUUUAACUGCUUUUUAUCAAACAAAACUAAGACAAUUAAUUCCUGAUAUUUAAUAAACUUAUUAUAUUCAAUAUUAAUUUUUAUUUAACAAAAAAAAUAAUUCAAAUUAAAAAAUUAGAAGUUCAACCGAGUUAAUUGUGAGUAAAAAAUUAAAAAUAUUGGAAACUGUUAGUGCCACAAAAAUUGCGCCACGUGGUAAGCCGGGAUGCACCGCGGAAAUGGCUCCCAAAGCCAAACAUAAAAUGACAUGUGGUGCACCAGGAUUUGAGAAGAAUGCACCCAAAAAUCAAAAAUCGGUUAGAGUUGAUGCAAUUAGCAUUGGCUAAGAGUGACCCGCAAAAAUAGGGAUAUGGUCGAUAGUGAGAAAUAACUGAAUAAGUAACAGAUAAAACUAUAAAUAGUCAAAAGACGCUUGAAAAAGGGUCUUUCCCCCCUAAGAACAAAAAGACCAAUUUAUUUUCGCGCACUUUUCUGCUUUUCUAGAAGUAGCCUACUUGUAAUUUCUCUUUCCCUUGCAUUUCUUGCUUUUCUAGUAGUUCUAAGUUAGUUUCCGUGAAAAUCAAACGCCUUAGCGGCACCUACCUUUCUGUAAACGUUCUUCUUCUUCGGUAAUAUAUAUUCAUAUCAUUCAGCUCAUUUCAGCCAAACCGAAUAUACAGUGUAGCAUUUGAACUCGGCUGAUCAGAUCCUUUAUCGGCCGAAUCGCUUGAUUCUUUUGUAGAUGCAAACUUCGAGGGUCACUAUCAGAAGCCACUCCACUUCUUUACGCCCUUCCCGAAGGAGGGCAUUUGACCGAGUCAACGGUCCAGGAGUUCAAUUCAUUACAAAUACCUUGAGCAGCAUUAAUUACUCGUAUUUAACCUAUGGACCGAUUGUCCUAUGUUCGCAAAUCGUCCGAAAUGGGGCUUUCAAUGCUGUUGUCACCGAGAUUGUAAAGUAGAGUGUAAGAGAGAUAAGAAGGACCUUUUAAUUCAGAAGAUCCUUGACUGCUACUAUCAUCACCGAGUGGGAGAAAGGAUGAGCCGAAGGAAUUACCCAGAGAAGUCCUUCGGCAUCCAGCAGAGAUAUUCAGAAAAUCGACCUAAUUGGCAUCAUCAGAGUAGGCCAAGACCAGAGCCAGAGUUUGAAGGAAUGACCGAGGGUGAUAUAGAAUUCCUCGGUCGAAGGUUGGCUAAUGAACUCAGCAUCUAUCUAUGGCCGAGACCGUGGGAGUGACGAGAAAUCCUGAGAGAACACCUCAGGACCGUCAAGAUACCUGUCACACCCCACGACCCGCCAAUUUGGUCAGAUCCGGGCACAUCGAACAGACGCCGGACGGACAGCACCUCCCCUGUCCGCCCAAGGCUAAACAACAACAAUAUCAUGUACAAGAGUUGCUCAGGAAAAACUCAUUCAAUAUACACGAUACAUGAAAGUGUAAGAAGCACCACAAGUGCGAUACAAUUAAGAGCAAGAAUUACAAGUAACAUACAAGUGAAUAAAGAGAGACGGUUCUAGCUAUUAUAUCACAUUCAAUAUUUACAUACUGAUUUACAUUUUGACUGCAUUCUUUUCAUCUACCAAAAUGAAUACAUAUUCUUCUCAUAAUACCAAAUGGCUCUCCAACUAGCACCCUCACCAAUAUACAACACAUAUCACUCAUGUACACGAGAGUACUCUAAUGCAAAAUGGAAGCCGCUAAGUAAUUAGGGUGCUAUGCCCUUACCGCGAUCAACUGCCGGUACGCUCUCGCUAGGCCCUGCAACAAAGUGGGGUGAGAACUAUAUAAAUAUAGUUUCCAGUGGGUUCGGCCGCCGACUCCGCCGAUCUUCCCAUUAGGUCUAAGCAGGUAUAAACAGAUAGAUAGAUAGAUAUGAAAUUGAAGUGCAACAUAGUAAAGUAAUCUGCAACAUUCUACUAUGCCUUCAAUAAUCCAAUUCAUGAGCUACUAAAUAGUAUGCAAUCUACAACAUGCUACUAUGCCUCAAUAAUCCAAUGCAUGAGCUAUUACAUAGUAUGCAAUCUAAACAUGCUACUAUGUCUCAACAAUAAAAGAAAUGAGGUACUAUAUAGUAAUGUAUUCUACAACAUGCUACUAUGCCUCAAUAAUCCAAAAGGAACGAGCUACUACAUAGUAUACAAUCCACCACAUGAUACUAUGCCUCGAUAAUAAAAUCUCAUGGCUAACCCGAAGGUUACUACCCAAGGCCAACUCGAAGGUUGCUACCCCGACUCACAUCUCAAAUCUCACUAGUAGGGAGACUUUGCGCUACUCCAACCCGAGACCCUUCUACGGGACAACUAUGUCUGCCCCAACGCGACUACUGCUCCGAAGCUCACUACUUGGGUGGACCGACCACGCCAAGGUUACACAGACUAUGUGAGUAUGAUCCAAUCCCCUCACUGGGGAAUACCCUGUCUAAUAGGGUCAUAAUGCCUCUAUUGCACAAACUCAAUGUCCACAACACGACAAUCGAGAAUCUACUAUCCCUAGGUUCAAAUGCCAUAGUGUUCUGCCACACUAGAUUCGAAUGCCACUCAUUAUGUCAUAAUGUUGUAAGUGUCUCACUACACUAAGUCGACAUGCCACUCGUUCUUGUUAUAGUAUCUCUACUACACUAGUUCAAUGUCGCUUGUUUUCAUCAUCACAAGUCCAAGUUCAUCAUCAUUCUUGCCACUAUAGGAUUCAUGUCACAAGACCCAAUCCUCAUGCAAACCUAAGUUCAAGUGUCAAGCCCACAAUGCUACACUACCUAGGAAACAUGCAAGGAAAUGGAAAUGCAACCAUCCACUAAUCCUAUAAUGCACAAUGUCAAUAUAUGAAUAUGAUCAAUAUACAAUUUAGACAAAAAGGAAGCCCGGUUGCUUCGGGAUGGACACCCCCCACCUUUAGUUGAUGCCACGAGUCCACGAAUCCGAUCUCGUGAUUUUUGGAAGCCUACGCCGCGUGCUGCGGCAAUCUGUACCGAAACAGGCCUUUUCGCCAAUAUCUUCGCGUAUCUUCGUCGGAUUGCCGAACCGACUUAGCCAACGCGUUAAAAUACCUAGCAAUUAGGUUUACAUAGGUUCAAUUUAGAUCAAACCCAUAUAUUUACAAAAACCCCAUUUGGUACCCUAAAAUAAAACCAAUGCAAGAAUCCACCAUUAACUCUCUAGAUUCAAGCAAUAAACAUCUACUUAGCACCCUAGGGUUCCAAAAAAUCCAUUUCUAAGCAAAAGAACUUAACCCUAGAGAUCUACCAUUGUUGAGCAUCAAGCUUACCUCAAAAGCUAGCUCCAACUCAAGGAAGAAGAUGAAGAGGAUCAAGGUCCACUCCUUAGCCUUCUUCUCCACCAAUCCCUCUCCUACUUCCACCUUGAAGAGAGAGAGAAAAAGAGCUUAGAGAGAGAGAGGGAGAGUUUAGGGUUUUGGAGUAUGAGGGAGUGAGAGAAGAGAGCUCUAACCCACUCUUAAAUAACCCCACUUACACACAAUUACUGAAAACCCCCUCCACUUGGCAAACUGUGCACAGCCCAAACUGGGCUAUUUUCGAGUACGGGGACCGGUCCUUGGCUUCAGGGACCGGACCCCGUAGGUCCUCUCAGCCCAGUAAUUAAGAACUUUGCCAAAUUUCAGCACUUUUCAGCUUUAGCCCGUUUCUUCUCCGUUUUCGCUCGUUUUUGCUCCGUCAGUCUCCGAUUCCUCUCAAAUCGCACCGAGACUCCUAAAACAUAUUUUCGAGCGCGUUUAAACCAUCUUUCCAUCCACGCUUAUGCCGGAUUUAGUCCACAGUCCAACAUAGCCUUUCGGGUUCCAUUUUCGCGCCCAACGCGCACCGAAAACGCCCAAAUGCUCCCGAACUUCGCCAGAAUCAUUCCAAUGACUUUCCAAACUAACAUACACCGUAACUUCAUAACGAUAAAAGUUCGGUAUGUCACACCCUCCCCUUCUUAAAAAGAUUUUUCGUCCUCGAAACUCAAAUCACUCCCUAAUUCGAGUUAUCGAGCAACAGAGGGUACCAAUGCACUUUCCCACUCCAAAGUGGCCUUACACUCAUCAGAACUGUCCAAAGGCCCACUACGGAGGAUGUGAGACCAUCCUCACACACAUUUGCCAUGCACAACACCAAAAGUGCAUUACGGUUCUGCAAGUCUCGGUAGCAGUGUAAGUCGACGCUCGACGACUCUACACGCUCCAACACCACUCGCUACCGAAUCUUGGGAACACACUUUGAUUCGAUCACCGGCAUUGCUUAGAAGCAAUAUCGUUGGUGACUCGAUCAAUCGCGAGUGCUCCAAUCAUAACUGGGUCUUUGCUCUACUACGAGAUGGCACACUCCGGCACAUCUCCGAUGUCAAUCCUCCAGAGAGCAUUAUCCUCAACCUCGCAUGGCUAUCUAUUAUUCAAGGGUCUCCUAAAGACCACAUUAUUUUCUUUCUCAAACCGCCACGGCUAAUAUCAAUUUGUUCUUGCAACGAAUUCACACGAAUGCUCUGUUCGUGAAUCCAAGCCAAACUCAUCAACAGAGUUAUCGGCCUAACCGCUCACCUCGGUUUCCACAGGUAGAUUACCGGCCACCAACUCUACGUAGGCCUACUGCCUAAACUGUCUCGAUACUCGCAACGUCUCUCGCUCGCAAGCGUAGACCCAAUCAUGAUUGGGUGAAAUUCUCACUUGAAAAUUCGCACACACUUCAACCAGAAGCAACCAAGACCCCAAAUCACUACAAAUCAUCGGGUUGGGCCACCACCACAUCUAUGGUGCAUCAUCGAUCAUACGAUCCAACACGUAGCAUUCCACGGUCCCAGGUCUAAGCUUGAACUAUCGCCCCGACCAAAAUCUCUGCCCUACCGGUAGGGACCGGGCCGCUGUCACUCACAGCUGACUGCCCCUGCCCAAAGGGUCCAGGCUCCACAGUCCACAAAUGGUCCAGGCACGGGUCGUCCUCAAGCAACACCCGCCGUCGUCGUCCUACACGACACACUCUGCCGAGCUAUAUACUACUAGCUCCUAGGCACCUAGUGCGAGCUACCAGCCCUACGAGUGAUCUGUGGCCUGCUUCACACUUAGCAUCGCUGAAGUACUGCUGCAAACUCACUCUCUAGGCUGAAUCCACAUCCGCACUCCACGAGUAUCUACACUCGAGCGUCACAUGCUUCCUAUACUAAAUCCAGCAUCAGGCAACCUUGCCUAUGCACACCGGCCACACAAGCACGACUCACCUACCUCAAUUAGAGAUACUACUAGGCCCACGUGCUCGUACCCGGCAACUAAUUGGCUACUCUCACAACAGUGAUUCUACUUUCAUUAUUCGAUCUACCGGAACAACAUUCGAAAUGCUCGGACUACUAGGGUAUCUACAAGUAUCAUGGCUCAACUCUAGCAAUCUGCUGAUCACAUUGCCUUGAGAGUCGCUUCACCAUUUCCUCUCUACCACAAGUCUCAUCUCCUGUCCAAGAAUCAUCACUAGCAAUUUGCUAGUGCCGUCUAGCUCUCUACCUGCUCCAGCAGGCACUACACUCCCACACGCAAGCAUGCCUGGGUAUCUAUACUUACCCGUCCACCGGUCCCUACUAAACUAAUGCAUAAAUAGUAGCAACUGACCAUGACAAUGCAUGCAAUGCACCAACUUAAUAUCAUGCAGAAGUACAUGCUUGCUUCAAUUAACUCAUACCUGCCAUGACGUCGUCAGCAGCAGCAGGUUCCUCGACUUGAGCGGCAAACACCUAGCCACUCGGAGCCAACCGGGUCACCUCAAGCUGACGAGGUGCCAUAGCACGUCCAACUAAUGCAGCAGUAGGUGAAGCUCCUCCAUAAUGGCCCGGAGUCGUCGGAGCCGAUGCAAUAGACGGGGCAGGCGAGGGUGUAAUAUACCGAAAAUUCGGAAAAUAAAAAUGUCGAACUUUAGUCAAAUUGACCAAAGUGCGAGGAUGGAACACUUCGGAAAGUCCGAAGGUGUUAAAAUGAUCUAAAGUGAGUUGUGGAAGGUUUUCGAGAGCUAAAGGAUCAAAUUCUGCGAAACUGCAGAUUUUCAGCUCUCGGGGACCGGUCCCUGGUGGGAGAGACCGGUCCCCGAACGCGUAUGAAAUGAGACAGCCGAAAAAUCGGCUAGGUCCUGAGAAAGUAGCUCUCGGGAACCGGUCCCUACCCGAGAGACCGGUCCCCCCGAGACCGGUCCCAUCAGAGAGAGACCGGUCGCAUCGCGCGCAGCGGCUCUGGCUGCGUAGAGUGGACGUUCGGGAACCGGUCCCUGCUCGGGGAGACCGGUCCCUGCCUGCGCGAACUGCCCAGUUCGGGCAGUGUAUUAAAGUGAAAGUUGAGGGGUUUUAUUGCAUUUUUGCAACCCAUUGAGCUAUGUUAGAGGGUUAAUGAGAUUUUCUCUCAUUCCCACCCUCUCAAACACUCUCUUCUCUCCCUCUCUCUCUCUAGAAGGCAAAGGAGAAGAAGAAGAAGAAAGAAAGAAAGGAAGGAAAAGAAGGAGAGAAAAGUGAAGAAGAAGAUCAAAGAGCAAAGGAGCUUCAUCUUCUUCCUCUCUAGUGCGAGAAAAGGAAGUUUACAAGGUAAGCUUUGAACCCUAAUGUAGUAAACCCUACAGAAAUGGGUUUUGAAUGACCUAGAAAUGAGUUUUAGUGAAAUGUUUAAAGAGUUUUGAAGCUUUCUUUUGCUUCUAAAGAGAUCAAAACCUAGAUUUGUUAUAGAGGUGAGCUUGGACCACCUCUCAUGGUGAAAUCCAAACUAGGGUUUUGGAAAGCCUAAGAAUGGUUCUAAUGGAUUAUAUAGAGUAUAAUGGAGCUACUUUUGCUUCCCAAUGAGAUCAAACUAGGUUUUGUAUAUGCAUUGGAGCUAGGGCACCCAAAUUGGGCGCUUUUGCUCAUAGGGGUUUCUAAGUGCAAUUGACCCUCUAGAAACCUAAUUGGGGGUAUUUCCGACGCGUUGGUGCGCUCGGAAUAGCAUUUCGAAAAGUGUAUGUAAAGUUAUGGCCAAAUAAGCCUAAUUAGGCUUCUUUAUGCCGCAGGUAAAGAAAGAAACGUCUGAAAAUCCCCGAGAAAAUCGUCGGAGCACCUAAAGAGACCUACAAGGUGGUGUGCUUCUCAACUUAUUGAACUUCCCUCUAUGCCUAAUGUGUCAUUCUUUGAGCAUAUGUUCUAUAUAUUGUUGCACAUGCAUUUAGGUAAAGUAAUGAUGAAAUGUGAUGAUUGCAUGAUUGUGAGUACAACUGCAUAAUGAGAUGGUUUGAGAACCUGAUAAUGUAAAAACCUAUGUGUAUGCAUGAGAGAAAAGUGAGCACCCAAAGUGAGCAAAAGAACCGAGUGGCACAAUGACAUAGAUCGAGUGGCAUUCGAUAAAGCUAAUGUGAAAUGACACUAGAGUUAGUGUGAUGUAAAGAACUAAAGUGAUGUAAAAUGAGAAAGUGACAACGUGUAAAGUCAAAGUAAAAUGGGGCAAUAAGAACAAGAAUUGUAACGAACAGAAAUGCUAGAGUUAGCAAGAGAAAUGAAAAUGUAAAGAAUGUGAUUGCAUGAGUUUGCAACAUAAAGUGAUGUAAAGAACACUAGAGCUAGUGUAAAGUCAAGAUUGAACUUAUAAAUCCUUUGAGUUAAGGAUAUGAUCAUACUUGCUAUGAGUUCCGUGCUCGAGCGGUCGCUUCCCCUGGCGAUGGCGCUCCGGAGUUAUGCAUCCGGGUUGGAGUAAACCGUAAGGACGGUCCUAGCUGGUGAGUUCCUGCGAUGAUGGACUUAAUGUGAAGCAAGUUAAUGUGGAGAACCCCCGGGUUACCUUAAUGAUUAAAAGCAAAGAGUAAAGAACAAAGAGCCAAGAACAAAGUGUAAAGUGCAAAGAACUAAAGAACAUGCAUAACCUGCAUUUAGUAAUGUUGGGCAUAAUUCUUGCUAUUUUUCAGGCAUAUUAGCAUUAUGUAUAGUUUGGUUACUAUUUACAGCCUAUUUCUUCUAUUAUGCUGAGUUAGUCCUAGUAGGAAAGUCGGUGAUAGUUGAGGCCGAACCCACUGGGAGCUUUGUUGUAGUUCUCACCCCACUAUUUCCACAGAGCCGGGACCGAGCGAGCCGGCGAGCGACCGAGGUAAAGGUAUCGCGCCUUAGUCAGAGGCCACCAAAGUUGGGUUACAUUUUGUUAGUAGCUACCCCCAUGUUCAUCUUUUUGUACUUGAUGAUUAGUAAUGUAAAGAAAGAAUGUAAGCUUAUUUUGAGGUAAAUGUGAUGUAAGAAAGAAAUGAUGAAAUGAUAUAAUGAACGUAAGAAUCGAUAAAUUACUAGAUGAAUGCAAUGCAUAUGAUCUAAAAUGAAUCAUAAUUACCUGUGAAUGUUUAGUUUCCUUUUUUCUUUCACUAAUGGCUAUUGCUUACCCUCGUGUAAGCCGUUUGUGUAUGUUUCCGCUGUGCUUUUCUCUAUUGAUGAAAAUGUACAUGUGAUGAGCCUUGGCGGAUAGGGGAAACUCUGUCCCGUUCGCGUCUGUUUGACGUGCUCGGGUCGGGCCAAAUUGGCAUCGGUCCCGGGGCAUGACAGAUAAGUUGGUAUCAGAGCCAAUAGUGAAAGAAUAGGAAUGGACCUAGAGACCCUUAGGAUUGGAAGGCCUUAAGGAUCUAGGAAACGUGAGUGACGUGGAAUCAAAGUUAGCGAAAGCAUGUGAUUGGGUUAAGUUGGGAUGUCUUUAAUGUGAUUAGAGGCUAAGUUUAAUUUUCGUUUAUCCUUUACUUCUAGUGUUGUGCCGGGCGGCCGACGACAUGACGCUUGAGGCAAGGAUGAAUGUGCAUGUUGCUUUCGCCUAAUUGGGUAUGGUCAAGUAAUGUUGGUCAAGUGACUAAUGCGAGUUGCUUCUUUUCAGGAAGCAAUGGCACCUCGACGUCGAUCGCAAAUAAGGUCGAUGCCGGAGGAAGCAAAUGCGAUGCCCGAGCAAUCCGGAGCGAGUGGCGACGGAGAGCUUAGGGAACAAAUGGCCGCGCUCGUCGGAGUAGUGCGGCAACAAGCGGAGUCUGUUCAGCGCCAAGGGGAACAGAUUUAGCGGCUCCAGGAGACCUUGGAGCGCCAGUAGGCGGCGGCGGCCCAGGCGGGCGUCGAGCAUGUCGCGCCCCCUGCGGUAGUGCCGAGCGUGGACGUGGGAGCGGCGGCAGCGGCGGCUGUUCCAGUUACGGUAGUACCGGCCGGGUCGGGAACCUCGAAUCCCGAUAGCGCGGCAGUCGAUGCGGAGCGAGAGCGCACUCUGGCGGCUCUCAUUCAGUUCAAGAAGUUCGACCCACCUACCUUCGAAGGCGGUUUGGUGGAGCCAGCGGUUGUGGAGUCGUGGAUCGACUCGAUGGAGACCCUCUUCGAGGAUUUGAAUACCUUGGAGAAGGAUAAAGUGUACCUCGCCACCCAUUGUCUAGGGAAGGCGGCGACGGUGUGGUGGAAGCGAGUUAAGCGGGAUCGACCUGCCGAUCUCCCGCUCAUGCUUUGGGAAGAGUUCAAGAGAUCAGUGUUCGCGAACUACUUCCCCGACACGGUGAAGCGGAGGUUACAAGAAAAGUUCCGCAAGUUGAGACAGGGCGAUCGUUCGGUGGGAGAGUAUGAGCAAGAAUUUUCCCACAUUAUUGACUGCGUUCCCGAUGUUGUUCGCGAUGAUCGGGACCGGGCGGAUUGGUUCUUGCGAGGACUCCAACCCCGGAUUUAUGAAAAAGUGCAGAUCUUGAAGCUGUCGACCUUUGCGGAGGUCUUCGAUAGAGCUUUGUGGGCGGAGCACGGUAGCGCCCAUGUGCGUGAAGAACGAGAAGCUAUUGCCGAGUCCAAGGACAAGGGCAAGAAGAGGACGGCGGGUGGUGCCGGGGGCCGGCCAAAUGCUAAGAAACCCCCUCGGUAUCCCCGACAGCAGUCGAGGAAUUGGAGACCAUAUCGAUGCGUUAUAUGUGGCGGAAAGCACAAGGUGUCGACUUGCCCGCAGCGAGACGGCAAAUGCUUCAAAUGUGGCCAACCGGGACAUCUUAUCCGGGAGUGCCCGUCGUGGACGUCGUCUGCGCCAACGGCAGCAUCAACACCGUCUACCCCGAGACAGCUUGCGGGUUACCACCGGCGAUGUCGGCUGGACGCGCGUCAGCACCGCGUCAGCCGGAGGGAUCGAGAGCGCCUAGCGGUCGAGUCUUUGCCGCUCAGGUGGAGGAGCAACAACCUGCAGCACCCGACGACGUCGUGGCAGGUAUAAUUGUGAUUAAAGGCACUAGAGCUAGAGCCGUGUUUGACACAGGCGCAUCUCAUUCAUUCAUUAGCACUUCAUUUGCUAAGACUCAUGGCAUAGAGAUGGUGUACAAUGAGGACUACUGGUGGGUGAAUGCCCCAGAACAUUCAUUCAGUGUCCACAACGAGUGUUUGGCGUGUCCAGUGCAAAUAGGCGAUUGGAUUAUGCCGGUUGAUCUGCUAGUGCUAGAUUAGAUGUGGGAAUUUGAUGUUAUCUUGGGGACCAACUGGCUCUCACAAAUACGAUGCAGUGAGAAUUGUGAAAGCAAGGUAUCACUUUUCGUCGAACCUAAUCAACGAAGAUUUAGUCUACCAAGCGUGGCAAAAGUAGGACCUUCAGGGGCACUAUAUCGCUUAAGGGGAAGAAAAAUCAAGAGGAGUGUAAGGCUAUUUGCACCAUGUGGAUUCUGAAAGAGUACCACUUGGGAGAUAUUGAUAUGUUGCGAGUACUCUAUAUUUCCGGGAUCACCCAUGGACUUUGCACCGAAUCGGUGAUGAGUUUGUCAUUGACUUAAUUCCGGCGGAACUACAGUUUCGACUCGCUCUGUACGAAUGCAGCCAGUGGAGUUAAAGAGAGCUAACGAAGGUCAAUUACAGACUCCUAUCAUAAAAGGCUCUGUGAGACCGACGUGUGUCACUGGGGACUCGGCUGAGCUAUUGAAAAAAAGUACGGUACAUGGCCUUCCGACUCUCGUAGAUUUGAGAAUUGAAACAAUAGUAACGAUAACAAGAACAAGUACCUCACUUGCAGGAGAUAUGAUGAUCCUAAUUCGAUCAGUUGCAAAGGUCCAAGGUGUAUUAAGAUCAUCUCCAAUCGGGAUAUCAAUCAAUAAAAAUCAGGCCAAGAGGAUUGCACCAACGCAUACGGCGACCCGUCCGCGUAUAUGGCAUAUGAUUCACUUAUAUUCCGAGUUUGGGCUUACUAAUGCGACCAGCAGGCAUUUAUAGACUUUAUGAAUCAGUCUUUAGGGCCAGUUGUUGGAUGCGAGGUGCGUCGUGUGUUUUAUAGACGACGUAUGGCUACCUUCGACCAAGCGACAGAGUAGCAUGAAAGAGCAUCUGAGAGCUGUGUUCCAAAUAUCAAGACAAAGAAGACUCUAUCAAAAUUGAAGAUAAUGUGACUUUUGGCUAAAGGAGGUCCAUCAGUUCUUUGGUUCUGGGUAUUCUGGCGGACGGAGUUUCGGUAGACCGAAGAAAGUGAAACGAUGAACAUGAUUGGCCUCGCCCAACCGAUUAUCGGAGAUCCGCAGUUUUAUCUUGGACUAGCGGGCUACUACCACUUCAUCGGUUUCGUGAGGUCGCAGCAAACAUAACCACUCCACUAAUCAGGCCACCAUAAGGAUAAAUACGUGUGAUGCCGAGCGAUUGCGAUCGAAGACUUCGGAUUAAAGAACAUUGACGUCGCCCCUGUGUUUGCCUGCCGACUCGGGAGAUCUUUUGUAGUGUACAUGAUCUUCUAGUUGUCUCGGUUUGCUGUAUUAAUGCAAAUGGCGUCUACUUGCAUAUGCCUCGCUGCCAUUAAAGAUUACGACGAAGAACUUAUACCCGAUUCACACUACUCUUGAGUUGCCGCCCAUCGGUUGAAAUUCGAUUCCGCGCCUAAAAAAUGUAACAUAUAUGGUAGCAAUUGGUAGGUAUAUAGCUCCGCGAUCACUAAGAUCUCAGGAGUGACUACAAAAGAUUUAAAUAUGGGCUACAUUACGACGUGGUAUAAGUUCGUAAACGUGACUAUGAUUCACUAUAUAUACCACCUGAUACCACCCAUCGAAAACCAAUGUCUGCCAAGGCCUAAGUAGAAGAAUUCGCGGCAGAACCUAGCGACGGCAAUGACCCCAGCCGCUAUUACAAAAGCGAAUGCAACAUUCAGGAGUGAAGUGGUACUCCCGGAGUGCCGCUACCCUGCCACAUUGGUUGCAACCGACCCUAUUUGAAAAUAUCAAGAUUACAAGCUUCGACCAUUAUCUCCAAAAGUCUCGGGUGAUUUGAACAUGGAUAUGCGAAGACAUCUUGUCGUUGAGUUUUGGCGCAAUUAACGAUUUCGAAAAGAAUAGUUUUGCCUAAAGAUGAUGAUUAAAGGCGAAUCAUGCACAGAACCGCAUCAACUCCCUAUAGUGAUACACUCCGUCACUAAAUAAUGUACACAGCGAUUGAAAAGCACUAUUGUGGCCGCGGAUGAAAAGAGAUAUUGGGGAGUUCGUUGCCAAUUUUAACCGUGCCACAGGCUUUAAAAGCAAGCGCCGAUUCUCGGCGGGAAAGCACAAAGUCUACCAAUACCUCAGUUGGAAAAUGACAAGAUAUGAGCAAUGUACUUUGAUACCGUUUGACCUUGAUCGUCAAUGCGACACGACCGAUAUGGUAAUAAGUGAUCGAAUUUGACAAAAGUCGCACAACUUGUCUGCCGUAUACCGACCUGACGGGUCGGGAGACAGCUAGUCGCAAGUUUUACUCGAACAGAAGUUGUGAGACUUCAUGGGUCCAUGUUGAUCGGUUCGGAUACGAAGACUACGCCCUAGGUUCACACCCAGUCUUUUUAACGAGUUUGCAAGACGGCGCUAGGCACUAGCGCUCGACUUCAGUACAGAGACGUUUCUAUCCUCAGCAGUGUAUUAGACCAUACAGACGCGAAACAAUAACAACAUCCUUGAGAUUUACACUUCGGCGUUUUGUGCUAGAUUACACAGGAGAGGCUAUGACUUCUUGCAUAUUUCGAGUUCCUACAAUAAAUACUACCAAGAAGUAUAACGCGAUGGCUCCUUUCUGAGGCACUAUAUAGUUCGACUAAGUGUCGUCCGUCUAUCCAUUUGAGCGACGGGGCCGAGAGAACGACUCUUUGGCCCUUGUGUGCGGAGGCGAAAGACGAAAGUCCGCUUGCCGUCAACGUGCGAUGCGCAAUCUCCUUGCAAAACGAUUAUGCCGACAAGAGCCAAAAAGAUUUAAGUUCGCGUUGGGUACGUGUAUUCUUAAUAUGUCUCGAUAUCGGAGGAGUUAAACGAUUCCGGGGUCCGUGGAGUCGAAGCCUCCGUUAAUGUUGCGACCGUUUGAAGAUAAUUGGAGGUGUUGGGUGCGGAUGCGUAUAACUUCGCACACACCUGAGACUGCAAGGAAGAGUCAGCAAUGUUUUCAUGUCGAAUCUUCGAGAAGUAUACAUGCCAAACUGCAACACAUGAUUGAAUAACGAGCCGUGAUACUGAAGACAUUCCCUAUGAGAGCAGCCCGGUUUCCUCGAUCGAUCCGAAUAAAAAUUAAGAAUCGCAUCCAAAUCUUAUGUAAAAGUCAAUGGACAACCACCGCGCGCGAGAACCCUGGUGACUCGAGGAGUCAAUGUCAAAGAGUACCCGCAUUGUUAAAUGACGAUAAGGUUGCGUAAUUUCGACGACGAUAAUAUUUAAGGGGUUGGAAAAUAGUAAUCAUAUCCCGCGAAAAUUCGGUAAAAUAAAAAUGUGAACUUUAGUCAAUGACAACAGUGCGAAGACGGGAACACUGGUUCGAAAAAAUCCGAAGGUGUUAAAAUGAUCUAAAGUGAGUUGUGGAAGGUUUUCGAGAGCUAAAGGAUCAAAUUCUGCGAAACUGCAGAUUUUCAGCUCUCGGGGACCGGUCCCUGGUGGGAGAGACCGGUCCCCGAACGCGUAUGAAAUGAGACAGCCGAAAAAUCGGCUAAGUCCUGAGAAAGUAGCUCUCGGGAACCGGUCCCUACCCGAGCGACCGGUCCCCCGGAGACCGGUCCCAUCAGAGAGAGACCGGUCGCAUCACGCGCAGCGGCUCUGGCUGCGCAGGGUGGACGUUCGGGAACCGGUCCCUGCUCGGGGAGACCGGUCCCUGCCUGCGCGAACUGCCCAGUUCGGGCAGUGUAUUAAAGUGAAAGUUGAGGGGUUUUAUUGCAUUUUUGCAACCCAUUGAGCUAUGUUAGAGGGUUAAUGAGAUUUUCUCUCAUUCCCACCCUCUCAAACACUCUCUUCUCUCCCUCUCUCUCUCUAGAAGGCAAAGGAGAAGAAGAAGAAAGAAAGAAAGGAAGGAAAAGAAGGAGAGGAAAGUGAAGAAGAAGAUCAAAGAGCAAAGGAGCUUCAUCUUCUUCCUCUCUAGUGCGAGAAAAGGAAGUUUACAAGGUAAGCUUUGAACCCUAAUGUAGUAAAAUCCUAAAAUGGGUUUGAAUGACCUAGAAAUGAGUUUUAGUGAGAUGUUUAAAGAGUUUUGAAGCUUUCUUUUGCUUCUAAAGAGAUCAAAACCUAGAUUUGUUAUAGAGGUGAGCUUGGACCACCUCUCAUGGUGAAAUCCAAACUAGGAUUUUGGAAAGCCUAAGAAUGGUUCUAAUGGAUUAUAUAGAGUAUAAUGGAGCUACUUUUGCUUCCCAAUGAGAUCAAACCCUAGGUUUUGUAUAUGCAUUGGAGCUAGGGCACCCAAAUUGGGGCUUUUGCUCAUAGGGGUUUCUAAGUGCAAUUAACCCUCUAGAAACCUAAUUGGGGGUAUUUUCGACGCGUUGGUGCGCUCGGAAUAGCAUUUCGAAAAGUGUAUGUAAAGUUAUGGCCAAAUAAGCCUAAUUUGGCUUCGUUAUGCCGCAGGUAAAGAAAAAAACGUCUGAAAAUCCCGAGAAAAUCGUCGGAGCACCUAAAGAGACCUACAAGGUGGGUGGUGCUUCUCAAACGUAUUGAACUUCCCUCUAUGCCUAAUGUGUCAUUCUUUGAGCAUAUGUUCUAUAUAUUGUUGCAUGCAUUUUAGGGUAAAGUAAUGAUGAAAUGUGAUGAUUGCAUGAUUGUGAGUACAACUUGCAUAAUGAGAUGGUUGAGAACCUGAUAAUGUAAAAACCCUAUGUGUAUGCAUGAGAGAAAAGUGAGCACCCAAAGUGAGCAAAAGAACCGAGUGGCACAAUGACAUAGAUCGAGUGGCAUUCGAUAAAGCUAAUGUGAAAUGACACUAGAGUUAGUGUGAUGUAAAGAACUAAAGUGAUGUAAAGAAUGAAGAAAGUGACAACGUGUAAGGUCAAAGUAAAAUGGGGCAAUAAGAACAAGAAUUGUAACGAACAAGAAUGCUAGAGUUAGCAAGAGAAAUGAAAAUGUAAAGAAUGUGAUUGCAUGAGUUUGCAACAUAAAGUGAUGUAAAGAACACUAGAGCUAGUGUAAAGUCAAGAUUGAACUUAUAAAUCUUUUGAGUUAAGGAUAUGAUCAUACUUGCUAUGAGUUCUGUGCUCGAGGGCGGUCGCUUCCCCUCGGGCGAUGCGCUCCGGAGUUAUACAUCCGGGUUGGAGUAAACCCGUAAGGACGGUCCUAGCUGGUGAGUUCCUGCGAUGAUGGACUUAAUGUGAAGCAAGUUAAUGUGGCGAAACCCCCGGGUUAGCCUUAAUGAUUAAAGAGCAAAGAGUAAAGAACAAAGAGCCAAGAACAAAGUGUAAAGUGCAAAGAACUAAAGAACAUGCAUAACCUGCAUUUAUGUAAUGUUGAGCAUAAUUCUUGCUAUUUGUUCAGGCAUAUUAGCAUUAUGUAUAGUUUGGUUACUAUUUACAGCCUAUUUCUUCUAUUAUGCCUGAGUUAGUCCUAGUGGGAAAGUCGGUGAUGUUGAGGCCGAACCCACUGGGAACUUUGUUGUAGUUCUCACCCCACUAUUUCCACAGAGCCGGGACCGAGCGAGCCGGCGAGCGACCGAGGUAAAGGUAUCGCGCCUUAGUCAGAGGCCACCAAUGUUGGGUUACAUUUUGUUAGUAGCUACCCCAUGUUCAUCUUUUGUACUUGAUGAUUAGUAAUGUAAAGAAAAGAAUGUAAAGCUUAUUUUGAGGGAAAUGUGAUGUAAGAAAGAAAUGAUGAAAUGAUGUAAUGAACGUAAGAAUUCGAUAAAUUACUAGAUGAAUGCAAUGCAUAUGAUCUAAAAUGAAUCAUAUUACCUGUGAAUGUUUAGUUUCCUUUUUCUUUCACUAAUGGCUAUUGCUUACCCUCGUGUAAGCCGUUUGUGUAUGUUUCCGCUGGUGCUUUUCUCUAUUGAUGAAAAUGUACAUGUGAUGAGCCUUGGGCGGAUAGGGGAAACUCUGUCCGUUCGGCGUCUGUUUGACGUGCUCGGGUCGGGCCAAAUUGGCAUCGGUCCCGGGGCGUGACACCGCUAGUGCAUUUCUUGUUUGAAUUUGUACAUGUGAUGAGCCUUGGGCGGAUAGGGGAAACUCUGUCCGUUCGGCGUCUGUUUUACGUGCUCGGGUCGGGCCAAAUUGGCAUCGGUCCCGGGGCGUGACAGAGGUCCUCCCUGGACAGUGGCGAUUGAUGUGCCCCGCCUGACCAUAUGUGAAGCAUCUCCCCUCCUUCUGCUUGCAACGGUUCGGGUCAUGGUUACCGCCGCAACUGACGCACUGCUGAGUCCCACGACUCUAGGAUAGCGCUCACGGGUACUUCGGAGGCUUAUUCGACCUCGACUGACCUCCCGAAUCAUCUGGGGCUCGCUUUUUACCCCCGUCCCUCUCGAACGCCUCUUGCUUCUCAUGGAUGUGGGCAUUGCCAUGCCCCCCCCAAAACGCUCGAUCGAGCACCUCCGCGAAUGUAGUAAGCUUUAGGAUGUGAACCGCCCUAUAGAUGUUCGACCAGAGCACUUGCUCGAACCAAUCGGCUCGAUCCCUGUCGUUUCGCACCACGUCGGGGACGCAGUCAAUAAUGUGUGAGAACUCCUGCUCGUAUUCUCCAACCGAGCGGUUUCCUUGCUUUAACUUUCGGAACUUAUCUUGGAGCUUCUUCUUCUCACUAUCGGGAAAAUAGUUGGUACACAUCAAGCUCCGAAAUUCCUCCCACAUCAACGGCGGAAGAUCGAAAGACCGAUCCCGCUUGAUCCACUUCCACCACACCUUCGCCACCCGCUCUAAGCAAUGUGUGGCGAGGUGGACUUUAUCCUUCUCUAGUGUAUAGAGAUCUUCGAAAAGAGUCUCCAUCGAGUCCACCCACGACUCGACCAUCCAAGGCUCAACCUUCUCCCCAUUGAACAUCGGGGGACUAAACCUUCGAAACAUCAUAAGAGUCGCAAGCCCGUGCGCUCUCUCUCCGCUUCCAACGCAACACCUUCGGGAUCAGAGGUUCCCGAACUAGUAGCUACCAUUGCUGGCGCGGUUGCGCCAUAACCAGCACGGCCGCCAUAGCCACGCCCUCCGUCACGACAGGCGCAACAACAAGAGGCGCAAGUCGCUCAACAUCCGCUUGAGCCGACGACUGUUGCACCACCAACUCUCGCAGCCUCGCAAUCUGGUCCUCCUGGCGCUGCAUCGCGCCGACCAUCGAAGCAAUCUGCGCUGGCAAUUCCCGCACUUCUUUAGAUCCCGACUGCUCGGGCACCUCGGGAGGUGGUGCCGAAGCGAAUCUAGUCACGGGGCGUCUCUUUGGUGCCAUAAGCUCCUAAAACGUAACAACUUGGUUAAUCUUCUUAACCCAUUAACUCUCACAAUUACGAGACAACGCGACUCAACAUUGCAAAUUAGGCGGAAGCACACAAGUGUACUUGUUCUAAACUCUUAGCGUCAUGUUGUCGACCGCCAAACACAAUCACUUCAAGUCAAGAAUGCAUACCACUUAAAUCCGUCUCUAUCACCACUAGAGACAUAUUAUCAACAACUUCGACCCAAUCGAAUCAACUCCCGCCACAACGCAUAGGUUCACGUCACUCACGCACCUAUGUCCUUAAGGUUUACCGUCCUAGGGUCUCCUAGGUCAAUCCUAGACUCUCUCUUUACUUGCUCUGAUACCAUUUUAUCUGUCACGUCCCGCGACCCACCAAUUUGGUCGGAUCCGGGCACGUUGAACAAACGCCGGACGGAUAGCACCUCCCCUGUCCGCCCAAGGCUAAACAACAAUAAUAUCAUGUACAAGAGUUGCCCAGGAAAAACUCAUUCAACAUACAUGAUACAUGCAAGUGUAAGAAGCACCACAAGUGCGAUACAAUUAAGAGCAAGAAUCACAAGUAACAUACAAGUGAAUAAAGAGAGACAGUUCUAGCUAUUACAUCACAUUCAACAUUUACAUACUGAUUUACAUUUUGACUGCAUUCUUUUCAUCUACCAAAAUGAAUACAUAUUCUUCUCAUAAUACCAAAUGGCUCUCCAACUAGCACCAUCACCAAUAUACAACACAUAUCACUCAUGUACACGAGGUUACUCUAAUGUAAAAUGGAAGCCGCUAGCUAAUUAGGGCGCUAUGCCCUUAUCGCGAUCAACUGCCUGUACGCUCUCGCUAGGCUAUGCAACAAAGUGGGGUGAGAACUAUAUAAAUAUAGUUUCCAGUGGGUUCGGCCGCCGACUCCGCCGAUCUUCUCACUAGGUCUAAGCAGGUAUAAGCAGAUAGAUAGAUAGAUAGAUAUGAAAUUGAAGUGCAACAUAGUAAAGUAAUCUGCAACAUUCUACUAUGCCUUCAAUAAUCCAAUGCAUGAGCUACUACAUAGUAUGCAAUCUACAACAUGCUACUAUGCCUCAAUAAUCCAAUGCAUGAGCUACUACAUAGUAUGCAAUCUACACAUACUACUAUGCCUCAACAAUAAAAGAAAUGAGCUACUACAUAGUAAUGUAUUCUACAACAUGCUACUAUGCCUCAAUAAUCCAAAAGUAAUGAGCUACUACAUAGUAUACAAUCUACCACAUGAUACUAUGCCUCGAUAAUAAAAUCUCAUGGCUAACCCGAAGGUUACUGCCCAAGACCAACCCGAAGGUUGCUACCCCGACUCACAUCUCAAAUCUUGCUAGUGGAGAGACUCUGAGCUACUCCCACCCGAAACCCGUCUGCGGGACAACUACGUUUGCCCGAACGCGACUACUACUCCGGAGCUCACUACUUGUGUGGAGCGGCCACGCCAAGAUUACACAGAUUAUGUUAGUAUAAUCCAAUCCCCUCACUGGGGAAUACCUUGUCCAAUAGGGUCAUAGUGCCUCUACUGCACAAACUCAAUGUCCACAACACGACAAUCGGAAAUCUACUAUCCCUAGGUUCAAAUGCCAUAGUGUUCUGCUACACUAGAUUCAAAUGCCACUCAUUAUGUCAUAAUGUUGUAAGUGUCUCACUACACUAAGGGCGUGUUUGGUUCACUUCGUUUUCACCCUAGAAUCGGAAUCGAAAUGGGUGAAUCUGUUUGUAGGUGUUUGGUACGGGGGAGUCCUAUUCCGAUUUCGAUUUCUAAGUGGAAUGGAAAUCCCCUAAUCACCUCAUUUUUCAAUCCGGCUCGGACGGAAUGGAUAUUUAUUCGAAUUAAAUUUAUUUUUUCAACUUUUUUAAUUAAAAUAUGAGUUAAAAUUUAAAAAUUAAAUAUAUAAUUUUAAAUUUUAAUUUGAACUUAAAUUAAAAAUUAAAAUUUAAUCAAGUAUUUCGAAUCUAACUUAUGAAUUUGAAUUUAAAUUAAAUUUUAAUUUAUAUAAAGUUUUAUUCAAAUUUUAUUUCAAAUUUAAAUUAAAUUUAUGGAUUCAAAUUAAAAUUUAAAUUGUAAUUUUAGUUUGAAUUUGAAUAAAUCAAAAUUUAGUUUCAUAUUUUGAAUUAUCCACUCAACUUCAAAGUUUAAUUUUUUUAAAAAAAUAUAGAUUUAAAAUUUUGACAUUAUUUCAAAAUUUUGAUAUAAAUUUUUAAUAUUUAAUUUUUAAUUUGAAUUUAAAUUAAUAUAUUAUAAAGAUAAUAUUAAUAUAUUAAUUUGAUUACGUUUUUUAUAUCUAUCUGAACCAAACACUGACAAUGGGAAUGAUUUAUUCCGAUUCCGAUUCAGGUGAUGAACCAAACAGAAUUAGAUAAUGAGUCAUUCUGAUUCCAAUUCUAACUUAUUUUGAUUCCGAUUUCGAUUCCGAUCCAACUUCGAACCAAACACGCCCUAAGUCGACAUGCCACUUGUUCAUGUUAAGUGUCUCUGCUACACUAGUUCAAUGUCGCUUGUUUUCAUCAUCACGAGUCCAAGUUCAUCAUCAUUCUUGCUACUACAGGAUUCUUGACACAAGACCCAAUCCUCAUGCAAACCUAAGUUCAAGUGUCAAGCCCACAAUGCUACACUACCUAGGAAACAUGCAAGAAAAUGGAAAUGCAACCAUCCACUAAUCCUAUAAUGCACUAUGUCAAUAUAUGAAUAUGAUCAAUAUACAAUUUAGACAUAAAAGGAAGUCCAGUUGCUUCAGGAUGGACACCCCCCACCUUUAGUUGAUGCCACGAGUCCACGAAUCCGAUCUCUCGAUUUUUGGAAGCCUACGCCGCGUGCUGCGGCAAUCUGUACCGAAACAGGCCUUUUCGCCAAUAUCUUCGCGUAUCUUCGUCGGAUUGCCAAACCGACUUCGCCAACGCGUUAAAAUAUCUAGCAAUUAGGUUUACAUAGGUUCAAUUUAGAUCAAACCCAUACAUUUACAAAAACCUCAUUUGGAACCCUAACAUAGAACCAAUGCAAGAAUCCACCAUUAACUCUCUAGAUUCAAGCAAUAAACAUCUACUUAGCACCCUAGAGUUCCAAAAAAUCCAUUUCUAGAGCAAGAAAACUUAACCCUAGAGAUCUACCAUUGUUGAGCAUCAAGCUUACCUCAAAUACUAGCUCCAACUCAAGGAAGAAGAUGAAGAGGAUGAAGGUCCACUCCUUAGCCUUCUUCUCAACCAAUCCCUCUCCUACUUCCACCUUGAAGAGAGAGAAAGAGAGCUUAGAGAGAGAGAGGGAGAGUUUAGGGUUUUGGAGUGUGAGGGAGUGAGAGGAGAGAGCUCUAACCUACUCUCAAAUAACCCCACUUGCACACAAUUGUUGAAAACCCCCUCCACUUGGCAAACUGUGCACAGCCCAAACUGGGCUAUUUUCGGGUACGGGGACCGGUCCUUGGCUUGAGAAACCGGACCCCAUAGGUCCUCUCAGUCCAGUAAUUAAGGACUUAGUCAAAUUUCAGCACUUUUCAGCUUUAGUCCGUUUCUUCUCCAUUUUCGCUCGUUUUUGCUCUGUGAGUCUCCGAUUCAUCUCAAAUCGCACCGAGACUCCUAAAACAUGUUUUCGAGCGCGUUUAAACCAUCUUUCCAUUCACGCUUAUGCCGGAUUUAGUCCACGGUCCAAUAUAGCCUUUGGGUUCUGUUUUCGCGCCCAACGCGCACCGAAAACGCCCGAAUGCUCCCGAACUUCGUCAGAAUCAUUCCAAUGGCUUUCCAAACUAACAUACAACGUAACUUCGUAACUAUAGAAGUUCGGUACGUCACAAUACCAGCAAAUGUGCCAAUUGAUCAAUGGCACACAGCAAGAGCAUCGGCCAAAUGGUAUGGACCAAUGUUGACGAAAACUCAGUAGCGUUAGCAACAGAGAAUGCAAGCUGAGGCGAGACACCAUUGGGAAGAGGCAAUAGGGAUGAGUUCGAAUAUAUGGAAAUGGCCUGAAAUACAGCCAUCCUUUCGACCUAUGAAAAAUGAUCAUAAGGCGGGUGGCUAAACACCCGUACUGUGGCUAAAGUCCAAGAUUGAGCGAUUGGCUCUAGUUGAGCCGACUAAGAAGGUGACUCGAAAGGCAUUGCAGGAGAAAAUCGCCUUUUUGGAGAUGAUUAUCAAACGAGAUAGGUGGCCUCCUAAAGAAAGAGAGGUUCCGCCAGAGAGUGACUCCUCGGCCGAAGUAGCCAAAGAAUCGGAAGAGAAGAAGCAAAAAGUUCAAGAAAGAUUGGCCAAAGAAAGCUCAGGUGAUGUGAAUAUAGUGUAUGCUCUACUAUAUUCAUUCAGACCAGAAUCCACAUAAUUCGAGAAGCAAGUAUAUGCAGGGGAGGAGCUGUCAGUGGCUCAACUCCAACUUGAAGAUGUGAAAGUGGCCGAUGCAGUGGUAUUUGAGAAGCCAUCGGCCUUGCAAACAAGAUUUGUUAGGCCUUUAUUCAUAAAGUCCUUAAAAGAACGAUGGCCUAUGGGUCGAGUUAUGAUCGACGGUGGGGCAAUGGUCAAUGUCAUGCCUACGUCAUUUUUUUAAGAAACUGGGCAAAGGUGAAAACGAACUCAAGCCCACCGACAUGACUAUGACCGAUUUCACUGGGAACGGUCAACAGGCAAUGUGUACUCACGACCGAGCUCACGGUCUGAUCCAAGACCCUUCGGAUAGCCUUUUUUGUAGUGGAUGUAGAUAGCCACUACAAUUUAUUGCUUGGGCGUGACUGGAUUCAAGCAAACAAGUGCGUACUAUCCACCCUACAUGGCAAGCUGUUUCAAUGGGUCGGGGACAGUGUUGAGAAAAUUAUGGCAGAGGGAUGGCCUCAAAUGAUAGAUAUUAACGUAGAAUAUGUCGGCCAUAUCAACUGGGCCGACACCGACCCGGAUCAAAUCUCGUUCAUGAGAGUCACUGAAGAGGAAGUGCAAUUAGUGCUCCUGAAUGAUGCAGAGGCGUUGGUGGCUGCGGAAGAGCCACCAGACUGGUUGAAAUGGAACGUCAAAGGCCGGGAACCAAGGCUCUAGACGAGCUUCGGCAAGAUAAGCCAACCAAAAAAGCCGGCUACUUCAUCGAAUUGGCCGAGUUGGCCUAUAAAAAAUUAUAUAUUAGAUAGACCAAAUUGGCCAAGGAAGGAUCAUGCAUUGAAUCGGCCAGGUUGGCCGACAAAAAAAUUACUUGAUGAAACUCCAAGUUCAAGAGCUGAUUUAGAUAAAAAUGAUAUGACAGAGGUUGUGAUAAGACCAGAUCAAACUUGCGUUGAAAUUCUUGAGAGGGUCAAGACGGAUCAUUGGAUCACUUAUCAAAGGGCAAUGAAUUUUAUUUUUCACGAUUUGAUCGGUAAAAUGUUGGAGGUAUACAUCGAUGAUAUCGUUGUAAAAUUCAAAUCACAAAUCGAUCAUUGGGCUGAUCUAGAACUUGUUUUUGAGCGCAUGAGAAAAUACAACUUAAAAAUGAAUCCCUUGAAAUGUGCUUUUGGAGUAUCAGCGGGGAAUUUUCUUAAGUUUAUAGCAUAUAAAAAAUGGAUUGAGAUAGCUAAAACAAGGCAAAGGCAAUUAUGGAAUUAUCACCGCCUAAAUAUAAAAGGGAACUACAGAGGUUAUUAGGAAAGAUUAAUUACCUGGUACGUUUUAUAUCAAACUUAGCCGGUAGGAUAGGAAUAUUCACUUCAUUGCUUCGGCUUAAAAAUCAAAAGGAGCUUAUUUGGACAGAGGAGCAUCAUAAAGCAUUCGAAAGUAUUAAAAGAUAUUUAGCGAGUCCUCUAGUCCUCGUCCUUCCUCGGCAGAGCUAGCCGAUGAAGUUAUAUAUAUUAGCAGCAGAAGAAAAUCUAGGGUGUUUAUUGGCUGAGGAAAACAGUGAAAAGAAAGAACAUGCUAUUUACUAUCUUAGACAAUGUUUGCUAGAUGCCGAAAAACAUUAUUCGGCAAUAGAAAAUUUGUGUUUAGCAUUAUAUUACAUAUAUACUAAGUUAAGAUAGUACAUUUUACUAGUAGAAGCGUUAGUUGUUUGUAAGACCAACCUUGUGAAGUACAUGUUAUCAAAACCAGUGUUAAGAGGAAGAAUCGGACGAUAAAUGUUAGCUUUGUCCGAAUUUUCUCUUAAUUAUAAUCCAGCGAAGGCGAUUAAAGGACAAGCAAUAGCUGGCUUCUUAGCCAGCCAACCAUACAUUGAAAUUGACGAGUCGAUGCAAAAUUCGGUCAAGUGCCAGUUUUAGACAAUCUACUUUGACGGGUCUAGAACAACCAAAUCAGCAAGAGUUGGAGUAGUCAUAUGAUCUCUUGAAGGUCACACUUACUAGUUUGCCUUCAAGUUAGAUUCAGUUGGUCUAACAAUCAAGCCGAAUAUGAGGCCUUAAUAAUUGGUCUUGAGAUUUUAUAAGAGUUAGGGGCACGUUCAGUGAAAGUUAUCGGUGACUUGCAAUUAGCGAUAAGGCAUGUAAACGGAGAAUACCGAUGCGAGAACCAAAAUUUGCAAAAUUAUUUGACCAAAACGAUAGAGUUACUUAGCAGUUUCGAAGAAGUAGAAUUCGUGCAUUUAUCAAGGGAAAUAAAUGAGCAAGCUAAUAACUUAGCUUAAUCGACUUCAAGAUACAGGGAGCCGAAAAGAAAUCAAGUCAAAAUAGAAAGGAGAUUAUUACCAUCGGUUUACAUGCAAGAGCCGAUGAUGAUCGCUCCAAUAGAGGUACAAGAGGAUUGGAGAAAGCCUUUAAUAGAGUUCUUUAGUAAUCCGAAUAAACAGGUCAAUUAUCAUUUAUGAAAAAGGGCACUCAGCUAUUAUCUAUUGAAUAUGCAACUUUAUAAGAAAAUAGCCGAGGAGGUGUUGCUGAGAUGCCUAGGGUCUGAGGAAGCCUUACUAGUUAUGGGCGAAGUCCGUGAAGGCUUAUAUGGAGCACACUUAACAGGAAAAAAACUAAGGUGGACUAUUCGGUACUUAGGUUAUUAUUGGCCAACUAUGCAUGUAGAUUGCAUAAAAUAUGCUAAAGGGUGCAAGGUGUGCCAAUUCCACAACUCCAUACAGAGAGUUCCAGCUUCAGAAAUGCAUGCAAUUAUCAUACCUUGGCCUUUUCGAGGGUGAGCUAUGGAUUUAAUUGGAGAAAUUCAACCGAACUCUUCAGCUAGAUAUAAAUUCCUGAUAAAGGCUGUAGAUUACUUUACCAAGUGGAUAGAGGCGAAACCCAUAAGAUUGAUCACUCAGAAAGACAUAAUAGAUUUUGUAGAAAACUCUAUUAGUCAUCGACUCGGAAUUUCCGAAAUAAUUAGAACCUACCAAGGAACGAUGUUCACAGGAGAACAGUUUUUGCGGUUCAUAGAGUCGAGAAAAAUUAAGUUGCUUCAUUCGUCACCUUAUUAUGCUCAGACCAAUGGACAGGCCGAGACAGUAAACAAAGUUAUUAUAAACCUUAUAAAAUGGCACAGUGGGAAACAUCCAAGAAAGUGGAGCGAAAAGUUCUUAGAAGUAUUAUGGGUAUACCGAACUACUGUCAAAACAGUGAUAGAGCUUACACCAUUUCGACUGGUCUAUAGUCAUAAAGCUAUAGUACAUGCCGAAAUUAUAGUUCCUUUUUUAAGAGUAGAAGGACAAAAAGAGCUGACGGCAAAAGAAUAUGAGACGUUAAUUAGUGAGAAGUUAGAUGAAAUAGAUGAAAUUCAGCUGCUAGCGCUUGACCAUUUAUAAGCUUAUCAAAGCCAAGUAAGCAAUGCGUACAAUAGAAGAAUUAAGGAUAAUUUUUUUUCUAUUGGAGAUUUGGUCUUAAGAUUAAUACUCUCAAUCGGUCAAAAGGACCGAGUAUAUGAAAAAUGGUCCCAAAAUUAGGAAGGACCAUUCCGGAUACAUAAUGUUGCAUGAGGCAACGUAUAUUUCCUAAAAACAUUAGACGGGUCAGAAAAUGACAAGCCAAUCAAUGAAAAAUAUUUAAGAAAGUACUAUCCAUCUAUGUGAAAAAUUGAAUGAAAAGUCAAAGAUAAAUAUACAGAAAUGUUAAAAUAUAUUACAGCCGAUUUGAGAAUGAAAAACCAAGGAAAAUUAAGAUAAUAAGCCUUUAAGUUGACUCCAUUCGGUUUUCAGAUUAAAUUGAGCAAGAUCGGCUGCUCGCUUUCUUCGCUUCAUCAUAGGGUGGAGUUUGCAUAAUUGGGAGAGUUGGUUGUGUAACACCACCACUUCGUCUUUUUUGGCCUGUAGUUGAGCCUGCACAAUGGCACGCUACUCGAAUGUCUGGGCUAGGGCUGUUUCGACUGCAGCAAGUUCUUCUUUAAGAUUGAUAAUGCAUUGUCGAAGAGUCAAUUCUUGGUCUUUUAGAGAAAUAUCUUACUUGUUCAGAUCAGUGAUUGGAGCUGCUACUUUAGAAACUUUCAUCUUUGAAAUGACCAACCCGUGAAAAAUAAUAAUCUAAAGCCAAAUACUUGGUAGAAAGUGUCUGUUGCCAAGUCAAGAAAGAAGAGAGUCAAGAAGAUAAAGUCUCUGCAAAACAUUUACUUGUAGAAGAGAGAUAAGGUUGGUCUAGGAGAUCUAAGAGGAGUGCCCCGAACCGAUCAAAUUGCUCCAAGUUUCGGGCCAGAGUCGGAAGACCGCUACUAUACAAUCUUAAACAUUCCUCAAAUUUCUGUUGGGUCUCAACUGAAGUAGUGGUGGGAAGAACUUUCUCCUUAUAAGAUGUUGGGCUUGAAGCGGCGAAAUUUUGAAGAGAAAUGGCCAAUAGAUUUGUCGAUUCGGAUGCUAGCAUAGGAGCCAAAGUAGAAGCUUCGGCUAGAAGUUCGACAGGAAAGUCUACACCCAUUUCUUCAGUUAUACUAAUCUCCUCUCUUUUCUUCCUAUUUUCCUCGUCUUUUCUUUCUUGCUCUUUUCUCUAUUCUUUUUCUUCUUUCCUUUUGCAUUCUUCUUCUUUUCUUUUUUGCUCUUUUUCUCUUGCUCUUCGCUCUUUUUUUCUUUUCUUUUCUGAAAUUUUUCUUUUUUAUUUCUUUCUUCCUCUUUUCUUUGUUGAUUUUUUUUUUUCUUCUUCUUCGCUUUUCUUCUCUUUUUUCAAUUUUCUUCUUAUUUUUUGCUCGUUCUCUCUUCCUCCUACUUCUUGUCAAGAUGAGCCACCCGAUGGGCUUGCCUUCUAGCAGCAGAAAUUGCUUUCCCCAGUGCCGAAGCAAACCAAGAAUGCGAGAUUUUUCCUAUAGAAGCUUCUUUCGGCUGUUUGAUUGAAGGCGAUAAUGUGGAUGAUCCAAUUGAGGAAUAAGAAGAAGAAGAAGAAUCAAUUAAGAUAGUCUGAGAAUUUACCUUGGUCGAUGUCUGAUUAAGGGCUGAACAAAAGCUUAUUCCUCUGCUGAAGUUACAGCCGAGGGAACUUUUAUGGAAGGUAGAUCCUCAGUUGGAGCAGAGAAAGGUUAGGAAUGAAUUUUUAUUGCGAAAGUCUUACGCUGUUUCAGUUGCGGCUAUCGACUUAGAGAGUGUAGCUAUCGGCCGCUUCUCUGUACGUUGGGACGAUGGGUUAGGGACAGUUGUCGGCUGGAAAAGCAUGUAUUAGUGAGUUCAGCCAAGUACGUAUUCAAAAGAAAAUAUAUUGAAAAAUAAAAUUUACCUUGGAAGUGUGGAGAAAAUCUGCUGGAUCAUAGUCUGAGUGUUCCUCAGAAUCUUCCUGUCUUUGGGAAUUAGGAGAGAUUUCUGUUCCUAUAAAAGUUACUGAAAAAAUAAUUAAAUUAGAUUAAGGGCAAAGAAGAGAAAGAGAUACAAAUCGAUUAUAAAAUAAUGUACCUUCUGCAUGACGAAUUUUGCGAAGAACAAGAGACGUCAUUUGGAAAAAGACUUGUUCAUAAAAAACAUCCCAAGCUUUUGUGAAGUGAAAGUCCAUUGCCCAUAAGUGAUUCGGCCUAAAGCUUAUGAGCUUGAAGAAACGUUGGAGAUGAUUCCCUAUGGCUGAGAGCCGAUCAGCCUUGACUGCACUUUUCGUAAGAGGACGGUUGUUGGUGGUAUUAGCCGUGAAAAAUUUAGCCAGGACUGGAAUUGCCUGAACGAACCCGAAUUGACGCGCCACAUACUGAGGAGAAUACACUUCAAUGCUGGGCGUCAACUUGGAACAGGUUUUCAAUCCAAUGUGCAAGUCUCGAGAAGCCAGUAAGGAAUACUAGACAUCGGAGUACUCACUGGUGAGACAAAUGGCCAGUUGGCCCUUGAUGGCUUCAUACCGAGUGAGAAGCCAGGAUGGACCAGUAACACAUUCUCCAAAAGAGGCCCACGUGAUGAAACGACGUUGGCUCAGUUCAUAGAAAACUUUAAAAUAUGCGGUGAAGUCAACCGGUUGGCCCGAAGACAUAGGCUAUGGACAGUUGAGGGCUAAACCAUAGGUGUCAAAGUGAGGAGCCGAGUCCAAAUCUAAAGGGGAUUGGUAUAAAAAAGGAAAGUAAAUUUGCAAACACAUUUGUAAAAACCACAAAACACCGCAAUCGGAACUAAUUACUAAGCCAUUCCCCGACUAUAGUGGUUUGAUGGAUUCAAAAAAUUUUCAAUGUACAAAAGUAAGAAAAUAUGUGCCUAAUGCUAAUUUCUCAUCGUUGGCCAAAGCAACGGCGAUCAGGACAAAAUCUUGAUUAAUUUUCUAUGAGCGGGCAGAAAAAGUUAUGGCAAAGCCAAUGAAGAAGAAAAGUAGUGUGCUCCUUCUUAGUAACUGGACUAGGGGAAUGACCUACGAACCGGCGAAUAAAUUUGGUAUAGGCAAGGUCCGCCUUUGGGUCAAAAUAUAUAGGCCUUAAAAUCAUCCACUCCAUAAGGGUUGUAGCCCAUCGAAAGGGUAACGCCGUGAGGACGAAUACCAAUUAUUGCUGCCACAUCCAAAAGAGUCGGUGUUGAAGGGUGCUGAUCUGAAAGGAAAAGUGUUGGAAACAGAGGACCAGAAGCACAAAGUCGCAGCUAGAAGAAGGUUGUCGGCCUGGAGAGAAGUUCUCGAAAGUUGGAUGGCUUCGUAAAUUCCAACAUUAUGCCAGAGAUCAGAAUAAGAUUCUUCGACUCACUCUAGCCACGCCAAGUAAGCGUCUAAAACGCUAGGCCAAGUUCGAAGACUUUUUCCUGAUGACUUCGAGGCAUACCAAGAAUGCAGAUGAAUGGCAUCAGCCAUUAAGGGAAGAGCAUUGGUCGAGAAAGGAAAAUUCUCAAGAGCAGGGGUCUCUACAAAAAAAAGCUGAGCACAAGUCGAGAAGGAUCCGAUUCGACAUAUGGCUUGAAGAGGCUAUAUUCAAGAAAAGGAGAUGAAAAAAGAGGAGGAAUCGGCACCAUAAAAAAAAAAAGAGGCGUGAGGAAGAGGAAUCUCAGAUUGAGGGACAGUUGUAAAGAUGAAGAGGUGUGAAAGAAGAAAUCUCAGAUGAAAAAGCAAGAGAAAGAGGAGAGGAAAACGAAGUGCAAAAGUAGCAAAGGAGCUGCCGGAUGAAAUUUUAAAAAAUAGUCUUAAUGGUGAAAAGGUGGUGGCCAUAAAUGACCUAAUUAAUGUCUCAAAAGGGACAAAAAGAACGUGGCAAAUCGUGACCGUCAAAAGUGAAAGGACGGCUGGGAGAAGUAAACGGUAUAAGGCGAUUUAAAAUGUUGACCUUGGAAUCCGAGCCCUUGGAGGAGAUUAUGCCAGCCACCGAACUGAUCAUUCGGAAGCUAUCGAGGGGGUAAUUGUUGGUGAAAAACAAAUCACGCCACAUGGUAAACCGGGAUACACCGCAAGCAUGGCCUUUGAAGCCAAGGACGAGUAACAUAUGGUGCGCCAGGAACAAAGAAGGAUUCACAGCAAAUCGUAAAGUAGUUAAAGGGUUAUGCGGUUAAGAUCGGCUAGUCAUGGCCCACGAAAUCAGGGAUGUGGUCGAUCAUGGGAAUAACUGAAUAAUAAUAGACAUAUUAUAAAUAGAUAUGAGACAUCUGACAAAGGGGUUUUUUUUCCUAUGAACGAGAAGACCAAUUUCUAUUCUCCCCUGCAUCUUUUCUUACUUUCUAGGAGUAGUCUACCUGUAAUCUUUUUUACUUUUCCUGCAUUUACUGCAUUUCCUAAGAGUAGUCCGUAGUUUAGAUUUUUCUCUGGGAUCAUACACUAUAGUGGCGCGCGUUCUUUUCUAUAAACAUUUCUCAAAUUUUGAGUAAUAUAAAAGCUUUUCGGCUCUUCAGCCGAACGGAAAGUACAGUGUUGUUCCCUUGACUCGGCUGAUCCAGUCGAACCGAACUUACUGCGCGAAACUUAACUCGGCUGAUCUGAUCCCUCAUCAGUCGAAUCGCUUGAUCUAAUAGUGGGCGCAAGUUUCGAGGGUCAUCAUUCGUAGCCAUUCUGCCUCCUCGCACACUUCCCGAAAAAGGGUUUUGACCGAGCCAGCGGUCAAAGAAAUUGGCUCGCGACACAUACAAAGUCAACAAAUAUACAAAUUCCAUGCAAAAAAUUAGGGAGGGAGGGCACAAAAAGUAAAUAGUGCAUAGGUGUUAAGAAGCUAUUGCAUAAAACUAAAGAAGGGAGCAUAACUUCUUGAAAAUUGUAGGAACUUAAAAACCAGAAGCUAAUAAUUAUAGUGUGAAAGGGAGGACACCAAAAAAAACAUCCAAAAAAAAAAGAGAGGAGGCAUAACACAAUAGCAAACCUUGCUAUAAAGACUUGGAGGAAAAGCUAGCAGUGGGAAAGCGAAACCUUACAGGCACUUAAGGCAGAAGGACAAAACAUUAAUUUUCGGACAUUUAAUAUACCUAUACAUAAUGGAAUAGUAUAAGAAAAAGUAGAAACAUAGAUUAUCUCUAAGCAGGCAAUAAAAAUAGAGCAAUAUUUAGGGCCUUACGAAAUAGUAGAAUCGUAGAAUCCUAGAGAGAAAAUAAAUGUACGAGUGAGAUGAGUAAUAUUUUAAAUAAGGAAUAUACCUUUGUGAGUAGGCAAUAAAAAUAAUGAAAAAUGUAGGGACCCAUAAAAGACACAACCAUUAGAAAGGUGUAGAGGAAGUUAAUACAUCAGUGAGAUGAGUAAUUAUUGAAAUGAAGAAUAUACCUUUUAGGUUAAGAGAGAUGACACUACUGUGCUAUAUCAAACAGUGAGCAGUAUUUAUAACCCCUGAAGCUGCCUUUAUGGAAAUGAUCAUCACAAAGCAAAGAGGAGAAGAAGAAAAAAGAAAGAGGAAAAUAAGUGGACUAUAAGUAAUGCUUAAUGAUUAUAGGCAAUCUCAUCACUAGCAAGUGGCCCAUAUGGGAAAAUCAUUCAAGAUCUUUGAUAGUAUAGUGCAAAUACUUUGCAGCAUCCAUACAAAUAUAAUAAUCAUUCAAUAAAUCAUUCAAUAAAAUCUAAAAAAAAUCUCAACAAAAUCAGGUGAUUCAUUUCAUUAUAAUAAUCACAAAAACCUUUAAAAAGUCUGUAAAAUAUCUUAAGAGAUCUAAAAAAGUCUGUGAAUAUCCACCGAAAAUAGGGUAGUUUUAGGGUGUUGCAACUAGUGGAUCCAUCCAUCCGUCGGUCGAAUCGGGUAGUAUGGAAAUUGGGAGAGGGGCGUUGGAGAAGGGAGACAUGGGAAAAGGUCAGGACAAUCACACCUCUAUUAUAGAUUAUCUUUGUAGGUAGUAGGGGCUAGGACACAGAGAGGAGCGAGAAUCACACCUGUAAUAUAGGUUGCCUUCGAAAGCAGAGGGCGCAAUGAGUUCACCAUGAUGUUCAAUCCGACUAUGGUCAUUAGAUUAACCGUCGUGAAGAGAGAAGGGGGAGGGGCCAAGAGAGCGUGGGAACGAGAGAGUAGAGAGGGAGAAGGACAAAUAAAGAAGAGAGAGACGAGUUGGUGUCAGAGAGGUGCAUAAUGAGAGAGAGAGAGAGAGAGAGAGAGAGAGAGAGAGAGAGAGUAAGUAUAGAGCUAGGGAGGGAGAGUCCUGUAUAGGAGGAAAGAGAGAGAAAUAGAGAGACGGCAGAGAGACAUAUAGGAAGGAGAGAGAGAGAGUAUUUUGUCAAGGAGGCAUAAGUAUGGAUAGUUGAUUAGCAAUUUCAUCCAACACUAAAAAGAAAAGAAAAAGAAAGACAAAUAACUUCACACUUUCCCCUAAAGUUUCCAUCCUUGUAGUGCCUAUUCCAAAAAGAGUGUUGUCACUCGUAAUAUAGAAUAGUUGAUUAGCAAUUUUAUCAAACACUGAAAAGAAAGAAGAAGAAAGAAAUAAUUUCACGCUUUCUCCUAAAAUUUCCGUCCUUCAAAGAAAGUAAUGCCACUCAAAUUGUAGAAUAGCUGAUUAGCAAUUUUCUCAAACACUAAACAGAAAAGAAGAAAGACAAAUAACUCCAUGCUCUCUCCUAAAAUUUCCGUCCUUGGUAGUGUCAAUUCCAGCCGCCAAUUGUCGCCACACGGCACAUCAUUUAUACAUUUUCUGUCCCCGCCAACAAGUAGUGAGCUACAGGUUGAAUUAUUCUUGGCUCAUGUUACACAUCUUUAUGGUCUAUUACAGGGAAUUGAAAUUUAUUUUCCCCUACAGGAUAAGCUAGCUCCACUGGCAACUGAAAUCCAUCAAAACAUUUACGUAUGUGUUCCAAUUAGACAGAAUUAUGAGAACUCAUCUGUAUGAAAGGACAAGCUGUUAGCAGCAGAAGCUUGGAAAUUGAGAAUUUCUGGUACUGGAGAAUGAUGAGCUCGAUAUUUAAUCCUCCCACUCAUUCUGAAAGACCUUUGCCAUGGAUGCUCAAAAGUAAUGAUAACAUGCUGCAUGAAAGGAAAAGAACAGACAAAAGAGAAAGCAAUUAGAACACAUUUCAAUUAUCUAACAAAUGAAAAUAGUGUUCUUUUUUUCCUUUGCUUGUGUCUGGAAAAAGAAGUUGCAUCGAGCAAAUGUAGAUGCAGAUUACAUGAAGAAGUUGAAUGAUGUGAGGCAUGGCAUUUGCUCUAUUGCUCUGGACUACUCACUGCCAUAAAUAGUAAACAAUUAGAGAUACUGAACUUGAUAAGACGAACUUGAAUGUGAAGGGAUACAGUAAUACAAGCAUUUACCGUUUCAACAGAUAAAGGGUGUGUUAGAGAAGGAGCAACACAUGCUGAGCUUGGCUCUUUUGGCGAGCCAGGAUGAUGAAAUGCUUCUGACAUUCGCAACACAAUUUUCUCAUCCUUUACCCUCUCAACAACUUGGGAAGCUUUGCUGCUUGUUUGAAGAAUACCAUUACUUCCGAUGGGUCCUGACUAGUUAAGAAUUUAUAAGAAGAGAGGUAAAUCACUAAGAGAUCUAAGAAUAACAAAAGUUUUAUAUUCACAUGACGCAAGGUUGAAUCUACAUGACUUAAGUCUUUGAUGUGCACAACAAUGAUUGUUAUAUCAUCCGUCCGACUUUCGUGCUCUAACCAAUUCUUAUAAGACUCCGAAACAACUGCUGAGCAUGCGUCCCGAGGAUCUUCAAAUUUAGACACCUGAAGUAAAGGGAAAAAUCCUUUAGGAAAAGCAAGACUUAGAAAAAUAAAUCAUUACUUCAAACCUGACAUAUACAGAAUGUUGAAUUUUGAAUAUCAAAAUCGAAAUUAAACGGACAAUAAACUUCCUGUACUUAUGGAUUGAAGCCAUAAAUAGCUGCAGGUCACACUGCUGAAUUAUAGUUACUGUAUUUUGUGCCACGAUUAGUUGACCUACAGCUAUUCGGAAAAGAUUGUGAAGAUCUCCAAGAAGUGAGGGUGCCGAGCCCAGUACUUUAAAAGAGUCAAAAAAAAAGUGUAUCUAGUCAUGAAAGAAACUCAACACCACUCAAUAACAGUUUGAACAACAUCCAUCUCAAAAUGUGCAACCAUCCAUCUCAACACAUGCAGCUCAUGUUGUCAACAAUAUAGCCUAACUAACCCUAAUCGUAAACUAUAAACAAGUACUAGUACUACGAUCCCUUUACACAAGUAGAAUCUAUGAAAGCACAGGCACUUCAAAUAAUUGCUAAGUCCACACGUGUCAGUGAUGGGGUGGACACAUUCUUGCUCCAGUUCUUCUUUGGUGCGCCUCUAUCAACUCUGGAGUCAUCUAGCAUGGACUGGAAUGUAUCUAUUUAGGAUUUGGUAGGUUCCUUGGGACAUGUAUUCCCAUGGAUCAAGGCCUCAUUUGGUGCUGCUUCUAUUUCUUUUUCUUUUUGAAAUCCAAAUUCUAUGCGAUUAAAUGGGCCAACAAAUGGCAGAUCGUUUGCAAUCAAUAUACCUAGGGAUUCUGUUCAGCGACAAAAAAAAAAAAGAAAAAAAAAAAGAAAAUGGCAACAAAAAAAUAAAACCAAGUAGCAACAUUUUUGCGCCUAUUUAAGAUUUUUAAGAUGCCAUUCUGCAUACAAAAGCAUCCAACAUAAUGUUCCAAAAGGCGGUACGCGGUAUCCAUGCGAUUACCUACCGCAAAACGCAUAUGCGGUAUGCGGACACAUACAUGGAUGCAUUGCGGUCCAUGUAAAUAUUAAUAAAACAUUUAUAGGUAUUAAAAAUAAAUAUAAAUGCUUCCAAACAAGGCUAAAUAACUAAGGUAAAAUUCAGAAUUCACAAAUUAAAAUAAUUAAUUUCAAAUAAAUGACCUCAUAUGCACACGUAUUCACAAAACUAACAAUUAGUAAUCUACUUUUAACUAUUAAAUAGAGAAAUAAAUACAAUUUUGAUGCAAAAUCAUAAAAGAUGUCAAACAAAAAUCAAUCAAAAGCGGUAUGCCAAACUUUUAUGAAAAAUAAUAAUUUUUUCAAUAAACUAGCAUUCACAUCAUUUGAGAGUCCAAAACUUGAAAAAAAAAAAAUUUCUAGUAUAAUAACAUCUAACAACUACAAAAUUAUUUACCAAUAAUUAUAAAUAAAUAUUAGAGAGAUUAGGAAUAAUACGACUAAAAUGAGAAGAGAGAUAGUUAGAUUAUAUUUAUAUAAAGAUAAUUAUAUUUUUAUGCAUUAUUAUUAAUUAAAAUUGAAUGAAAGUAGUCAUAUGUAUAUGUAUUAUUAUUAAUCAAAUAAUCCCAUUCAACAUUGUAUUUCAAUCCUACUUUUAAAAUAAAAAUAAAUGAGUAAGAAAAGAAAAACUUUACCCCAUAUGGGCAACAUGUGUAGUCCGACCGCAUACCUCACCACAUAUUACAUAUGUGGUGCCGUUUAUAGUCUGAACCGCACAAGCGACUGCAUGAACCGCUUAUUGGAACAUUGAAGAUACCAAGGAUGGAGAAGUCCAGCUGGAUAUGGACAACCUCAUAAAUAAUUCUCAAGUUUCUCAAGGAAUAUCAUUUCAAUUUUUGAAAUUUGGGACUAUAAAUAGCAACUACUAGUUCAGAAUUGGACUUAAAAUCUCAACUCGUGAACUUCAAUAUGUGUCAGACAUAUUUGUAUAGCACCAUGAAAAACCAUGAAGAUAGUUAAAUACUUAUGUCAUCUCAGAAAUUGAAGUGGCUUGGUGAUGCAGAAAGUAGCCCUAAAAUAGCUCUUCCAACUAAUAUUAAGCAAAACUGCAAAGUAAUUCAAUAUGGUACAUAUUGCCAGCUGUUGUAUGUCAAAAUCCAUUCAGCUAUAUAUGUUCCCUUAAAAACUUUCUCAAGAAUUUUUCUUUUCUUUUCAUUUUUAUUUUUUAAAGAGAUUUCCAUUAGGCAUCAAUUCAAUUUAGUGUGAGGGUGAUACAUAAAUAGAGGGAGGUAAGAAAGAAGAUUCCCUAAAUCAGGACAAGUAGAUGAAAAUAUUCAGGGAAGAUGAAAAUAACAGGCCCCAAAACCUACACAGAACAAAGGAAAAUAUUAUUAAUGUGCUUUCCUAACCUACAAGUGAAAAUCAAACAACAAAUGGGGAUGAUUGUAGGCAGUCGCCAACCUAAGCAUACAAACAACAAUGUACCAAACUCAAGACAAGAAGUGCAGAUCAGUCGAGUUUAGCAAAAGAAAAACAAACAUGAAGAAAGAGUAGACAACAGCAGUCUCUGCUUCCUGCACCUCCAGCAACCAGCCCUAAGAGCUCCAGACCAUCAACCAAAUCCGCAAGUCAAAACCCUGCUUCCACUCCAUCGGACGUCAACUUUGAUAGAUACGAACAAGACAUACCAUUUCGAUAGCAGGUAGCGAUAAGAACUAAAGAACCAGGAACCAACAUUUUGGAGUAGAACUAGAAAGCUGGACAAAAGCUACAGUAAAACAAGAGAUUGUGACUCAAAGAAAAUGAAAGAUAAAAAAUACUUAGGUUAGGUUGAUACCAUGGAUUUAAGUACCGUGGCACAGGAUUGUGCCGGAAACUUGCGUGCCGGGCUGUGCCGACGCGUACCGGUCACAAAAAAUAUAUAUGUGCCGACACAUAAUAGCAUGAGAUAUUUAUUUGCUUUAGCAACAAAAUAUUCUAACGAUUUAUUAUGUAUCUUUAUCAAAUAUUUUGAACUUUAUUGAGAAAAUUACUUACUAAUUUGAAGAAUAGAGAGUUUUGAGCUCUGCCAUUAGCACGGGGGCUGUAUCGUGCCGAUAUCUUGUUGGCACGAUACGACACAGUAGAUACGGCCCGUACUGAUGGGCAUUUAAAUCCUUGGUUGAUAUAAUGGUAAAACUAUGGGUUGGACCAACAAUCGGCCGGUAGAAACGAAAGGCACAUGAUAGCGAAGAAGAAACAUAAAGCCACCGGCCAGUGGAAAUGAAUGGUACAUGAAAGCAGAGAAGAAAACACAAUGUCACCUGGAGAGGAGAACGAGCAGAACAAACGAGGAUCAAAGGAUUAACUUUUCUAAUGUCCAAUGUCAGGAUAUGCAAGACCAAUAAAAUUAGGAAGAAGAAGGCAUAAACACUAUUAACAAAGUCAAGGUGUCUCUUUCAAUCAUAAUAAAGACCCUAACAGCACUGGGUUUGUUGUAGAAAAUAUACUUGCAAAUAAUUUUUUUUUAAGGCACGUUAUGGUGGCAACAAGUUUAUCAAAUACUAUUAGAUUACAAUGUACACAAAGAAGUACAUUGCAAGUAACAAAUGCCCAACAAUAAGGCAGAGAAAACAAGGAAGACAUUGAUUGCUUCCUUUAGUUCAUACCGAAACUUCCAAUCCAUUAAGUGUAUUGCUCAAAUAUAUAUUUGCAAUAUGACAAGCUACAGAUUAGUAGUUAUAACAUACAGUAAAGUAGGGGCAAGUUUUACAAACACCAGACGCUUGCAGCCUUGGCUAAAGAGGAAAACAUGGGACCAAUUUCAACGCCAGCUCCAUUUUUAGCCCUCCAUAAUUUUGUCUUCAUAACAUUUUCCUACUCAUUUGCAAUACUACUACAUGCUAUGAAGCACAGAUAUUUCAAAUUUCAUGCCGUACCCGUAUCGGACACGUAUUGGAUACCGAUACGUGCCCGAUACGUGUCCAAUACGGCAAUGAAGUAUCCGGCAUAUUUAAAAAAUAAAAAAAAUAUCGGAUGCACCUCGGAUACGGGAGGGAUACAGGGGGAUACAAGGGGAUAUUGCCAGAUUCUUUUUUGGUCUAAAAUGAUCAGGCGCAAAUUUUUUGAAAAGCCCACAUCCAAACCCAUCGGAAAUAAGAAAAAGAGAGAGAAAAAUGUCAAUCUUUGUUUGUCAUUUCUUCUAUCUUUUUGCUCUUGAAUGGUUGAAGGCUCUCUCUCGUCUAUUUUCACACAGUAUUAAGUUAUGAUUCAGUCUUUUACCACUUCUCUUUCACUUUUUUUAAUGUAAUUUGUCAAUCUAGCACUAAUCAACAAAGGCCAUAUAGAAUGAUUUUUUUUUCUUCUAUUAAAUUGUUAGCAUAUUUUCUUUUAUUACUGUUGUAUAUAAUAGAACAUAAUAAAACAGACAUAUAUGUUGAAUGGCUAAUUAUUUAGUUUGUGUGACUAAAUAUCUAUUGGUAUCAUUUGAUCAAGUUGGAUGAUAGUUGGUUGAUACCUUUUGAAUAUUAUUUCAUUGAUUAUCUUUUUUUAUGAACAGAUGUAGAACAAUUACACAAGUUGAUGUAUAUCAGAAUAUAUUCCUUCACAUAAUCCAGAAUUUCAGAUAUCAUGAUUGUUCUCAAUAUACCAUUACAUAUAAUAAACAUAUAUUUAAAUAUAUUUAAAAUAAUAUUUUAUUCAAGUAUACCCCAUGUAUCGUAUCCUAGAAGUUUUAGGAAUUGCCGUAUCGUGUCGUAUCCGUAUCUGUAUCUGUGCAACAUAGACUAUAUGUAAUUUCAUUGCAAUUUUUGAGAACAAAUUUCUCAAUGUUCCAAAACUAAUUAUAUUUCACUGAAGAAGUUUUUGUUGUACAAAUCAUGAACCAGGCUUAGUAAACAUUUGACAUUCCUAAGAUUAAGGAAGAUACCAAAAUUGCAAGAUUAGACUGCUAACUUUUUAAUAAACCAAGAAGUUUAUAGUGUUUUCCGGCAAUCAACAGGUUCCACGCAGUUGUAACCAAAACCACUUGAAUUUAGCCUUUAAUCUAGGUUAUUGGACGAAGAUGACUAGCUAGUAAUAGGUUAGCCAUAUAAGGGUAAAGACGCAAGAUUCAAACAAACACAAUUUAUGGAUAAAAUAGUUACAAAAGAAGUCUAGGAGUGAUUUAAUUGUUGCCUUUUGUAGUGGCCUCAAAAGUGUUCUUAUUUCUACUACUGAAACAUGACUACUAGUCCCUUAGUGUCAGUGAUAAGUCCACUUUUUAAGUACAAAAAUAGCAGCAAACCAUGUUACACAAAUGCAAAUACAUGAAAGGGUUUCGACAUAAUACGGAUGAGGCGAUAUGGUAAUUUCUAAAAAUCUUAGUAUGUAGUGUACGGGGGAUAUCGGAGUGCGAUAAUCUUAAAUUCAUAUACAUUCAUAAUGGAGUAUAUCAAAAUAGUUUGGACAAUUAGAUAACAUAGAGCAAUAAAUGCACAAGCUUGUGCAAAGAUAAAGUAUUUGAUUUUGUUAAUGAAGAAUGAUGACUAAGCUAACCAAACAAUAAUUUUGAGUUUCAAUCAUGAACUAAUGAUGCAAGUGUCAUCUCAAUGCGUAAGUAAGGUAACUAAUCAUUACAUUUUUAAAAAAAUUUAAGUCAAUUAAGAAUGAGUCCAAUCUGCGUUAGUACCAAAAGGAGCACUCCAUGCCCUUCCUGCCUGCCUCCCUUAUCUAGGCAUUUUCCUAAAUUCUUGAGAUAUCAAAUACUCCUACAAGCAUCUGACAUGUACUGGGAACAUAUCGCUAUUCAAUGCAUACAGACACAGUGAAAAUGAAGCAUCCAAGUAUCAAAAGUAGCAACUAUAAAACUAAUAAGAGUUAACAAGUCCUUGGAGAGUGUGGAAGGCUUUGCAAUUGUGACACCCCGAGGAUUUGAAAUUGUCUUGUUUAUGAGGUAUAGUACGACUAAACCUCCAAAACCUGACUAUAGCAUUUUGGGCGAUGGGUAAUCCCAAGAGAUUAAGAGGGUUGAGCGAGUCUAGGGUUAGAAUAGUUUUAGAAUGGGUAACCUCCGUGGGAAGCAGGGUGUCACAGUUGGCAUCAGAGCCAAUCACCAGCCGAAAGCGUGAGAUAAGUAUCAGCUAAGCUAGGCUCAUACAGCAGGCAAAGUGCAGCUCUCCAACUGACGACCGUUAUAAGUAGAGUGCGGCUCCCCACAAUGUCGAUUAAGGCUAGCAUCAUGAGUCUUUCAUCGUCUAGUACUUGUAAGUAUGCUCAAGCCUGACAAGAACAUCAAGGCUUAAGGGAGGGUGGGGGGCUUAGUUCUAUAUAUAAGAUAUAGUAGGGUAAGUUUCUUAAACCCGGCAAUACCAUUUUAGGCAGUGGUUAAGCCCGAGAGGUUAAGAGGGUUGAGCGAGCCUAGGGCUAGAUUAGUUCUAGAAUGCAUAAACCCCCUAGAAAGUAGAGUGUCACAGCAAUAAUAGAUAAGAUGAAAAAAUGAUAAGAUAAGAGGAGGCAGCAAGAAAAGAUCAGCAGGGUUGAAAAAUGGACUGCAAAGAAAACAGCAUAGAGGAAAACUUCACAGAGACCUGAUGAGAAAGGACCAGUUGAUAUACAGCAUAACAGGAAGAAAGGAUUUCUCAUCUCAUUGGAAUUUGGAAUGUGCAAAGAAGAAAAAAAAAAUCCCUCUGACUUUUUUAGGCCAUUCUCUUUAUAAGGGGAUUACUUUUACUCCUGAAAAGAUUUUUAGAGUUAAAGACUUGUUUUCAAAGGUUCGAUAUCAUAUAUAUCUUGACCCAAAAAAUGUUCCAAGGAAAUUAUAAAGUUGGGCAUUAGCCAUGUAUACUGACAACUGAAAAAAUUGGUGGCAAAAAUAAAUUUCCAACAAGAUAAAAGUAAGUCAAAUUUUGUAUUGUCUCUCCUUGAACUGAACAAACUUUGGCUUCCUAACUAUGGGUCUGAUCCAAAUCGAGAACAUAUAUGAACCAGGUGAGUCUUGAUCAAUUGAUGGUAAAUUGGUGAUUUCUUUAUUAACGUAUUGAGUUUAGUUACCAAAAAAAGGGCUUUAAGAUGGGCAGUUUCAGAGCCAACUUAAGAACCUGUGUCAGACAAAACUUAGCCUAGCUUAAUUUUAAUAAAUGAUCUGAUUACCAUAUAUAUUCAACUAUGAUGUGGACAGCAACAAUGAGUAAAAAAAAAAAAAAAAAAAAAAAAAACGAUCGAACCCCUAAUUGACAGAAGAAAGGAAGUUCUAAAUGAAUAUCUACAUCAUCUCUAAACCACUCUUGCCACUAAUAUAGAAGGUGUUAACUGAGUUAGUCACAUUGUUAGCUCUACUUUUUCAACUCAUUGCAAAUUCACUAACCAUCUUAUCUGGAAAAUAUUUUAUAGUCAAAUUAAUGAUUAAGUAAAGAAAAUGGAGUUAAUGUAAUUGACACCCAAAAUUUUCUCUAACAGGAAAGAUAAAUAUAGAAAAACGACAACCUGUGUAAGUUCAAAUUCAAGUUCCAAAGGAAAAAAACUUGUAAGCUUAUGCAAAGUGAAAAUUGCAAAACAUACCAUGUCAACCACAGCUUGACUAGAAAGGAAUUCGAAAACCCCAUCACUUGCAAUGACAAAGAAGAGAUGGUGCGACGCAAUCUUCAGCACCUUCACCUCAGGCUCUGCAAUAACGCCGAUACUCUCGGCCGUUGAGUCUCCCACGCUCCUCGUGAACGCAGUCCCCGGGUACAUCCCAUUCGGGACCCACAGCCUCGGUGGGUCCCCGUCAUCGUUCUCCUCAUUCCCCCAGUGUUGUAUGUUAGGGUCCUUAACCCCCUCCACCUGGUCCACACUCAAAACCCGAGCCCCACACUGCUUCACCCUCUCAUACUCGUCCUUCCUGAACGGCGUCUGGUCGCAAGACAGAUCCUCGGCCACCACGGCGGAGCCAUUCCAGACGCCUGCAACAGCCCGGGAGUCACCCACAUUGGCCACAUAGAGCGUGUCGCCGCUGACGAGCACGGUGAUGGCUGUGGUGCCGCUCAUCGUGUCGUCGAUGCUGCUAUCGUGGAGCUCGGUGUUGGUGGCGAGGAAGGUCGAGGCGUAGGCCUCCGCGGGGGAAUCCAGCAGGCGGGUGUCGGCAGACAGGAUGUCGACGAGGCGGUCGCGGACGAAGGCGGCGCACUGGGCGCCGAACUGGCCGUGGCCGUCGAAGACGCCGAAGAAGUGGAGGUUGGGGUUGUCCUGCAGGCGAGUGCGGAUGCAGAGGCAGUCCUGGUUCUCGCGGUCGGGGGAUUCGGGGUAGUGGCCGCGCUGGCUGAGGGAGGAGUAGACGAGGCGGAAGUGGUGGGAGGGGACGGCGGCGGAGCCCAGCGGGGCGCCUAAGAGGACCUGCCGGCGCUGGCCGAGAAGGCUGCCGUCGUUGUGGAGAACAACGCCGCAAGGGGCGACGUCUGCUGCGCCGCCGCCGCCUCCCUCGCUUCCGGCAGCCGAAGAGUCGCCGCAACACCAGCAGCAGCAGCAGCAGCAGCAGUAGUCGUCCGCGCCGCAGCACUUGCCGUGGACGCAGCCCAUGAUCACAGAUAGGGUUCCCACGAGAGGAACCUGAAGAAGAAGAAGAAGAAGAAGAAGAAGAGGGUGAAAGGGGGGGGUGUCAAAGGAAAUAAACAACAAGUGGAAGCAAUCAUUAGCCCAUCAAGAAAUCCCUAGAAUCUGCUGACGAAACAGAGAGAGAAUAGUGCGCCAAAAGGGUCAAAAAAAGGAAAGUGAGGAAGGGAUGGGCGAAAAUAGGCUCUCUUCAAUGGAGGGGUUGGGCUGGCUUAUGCCUUCUCCCCUACAGAGGGUUUGUGCCUUUGCCCACUACCUAGGAAAAGGAUUAAAUAACCCCAUGAGAGAGAGUGAGGGAAAUGCUCAUCUCCUGAAAUCCCUACUUCAAGAAACCAAUGGCUGAACUAAUUAAUAAUCAGACAGAGAAAUGGGAACGAGACGGGCAAGACUAGCUCAUUCAUUUUAUGCUUAUUAUUAUUAUUAUUAUUAUUAUUAUAAAAUAAAACCAGAAGAGAACUCCCGAGUGUUAGGGUUGGGGGACAGUCGCAGCAGCAGCUUGGCGUUUGCUCAUCAGUCGCCAUCAUUAUUGACGGAUGUGGAACCAGAAAUCAACACGAAAUCUUUCACCCUUUUCGGGCAAAUAAAGAAAAGAUUAAAAGAAAAUGGGACUACGCGAGCGCGAAUAUAGAUUUUUUUUUUUUUUCCUUUGUUUUUUUUUUUCCUUCUUUCUCCUGGAGAUUCGGUGAGUGGGGAUGACGGGUGUCACGCGUGACCGUGGGAAGCUAGAAACCAGAAUGGGCAAAAUAGCAUAAAUUAUGCCAUGCACCUUGUUCUAUCCACCGAAAUUUUUUAACAGUUAAAUUUUUUAAAAAAUAGAAAUAACUGUAGAAAAUAUCUUUUAAAUUCUGGUGCUCUUGCAGAUAGACUCUGAGCUUUAAUUUUGAUAACUAGAUUUUUUCCUUAAAAGUAUAUUACUAAAUACCGAACUGAGUCUGAUCUUUCUGCCUGAAAAACUCUGUAGUCUAACCUCGUCUGAAGGAAGGAUUUUGAUCUUCGUUACCAUUCCGAAGUGGAUGAUUUAGAUCCUCUUGAGUGGAUGUUAAGUGGGCAUCUCAUCUAUCUAGUCGGGACUCUGAGCGGAUCAAAGAGAGUGAGAAACUAUUUUCUCUUCUAGCAGCAAUAAUUAAAUAUCCUAGUUGAUUGUCCCUAGCACAAGUUGCAAAAGGCUUGAUGGUUGAUACCCGAGGUCCCAAAUUUGAAUCCUAGUUGAUUCACAUUUCCAGCUAAGUUUAUUUCUAAACAAAAUAAAACGAAACGGGAUGAAAGAAUAGGAUAAACCAUUCUUUAAUUUUUAGAGUUAAUUGCAUACAGGUCUCUGCAAACAUGAUGAAUUACAAAUAUAUUCCUGCAAAGUUCAACUUUCAUAAAUUAUCCCUACAAAAGCCCUAAUGUAUUCAAAUAUGUCCCUCUGGUUAGCAUCCGUUAGAGAACUGUUUAGUUUUUAACAGUAGAUUCGUGAAAUGACUUUUUUUUCCCUCACAAAUAUGUCUCUUCAAAACUUCAGCUGGUAUACAUUUGCAUAAAUGCCCUCACAAAUCUCCAUUUUCCUCUUUCUUUUUUUUCAGGCUGCAGGAGCGGACAGCGGCAGCGGCAGCGGCAGCGGCGGCGGCGGCGACGGCACGGAGCUUGUUGGAGUUGCGGCCGACGAGGACAAGGUUGAGGCCCGCAAUGACGAGGUGAAGGGCGAAGGUGCGGCCAAUUCGAAGAAAGAGGAGGAAAAUGAAAAGGAAGAAGUAGGAGGAGAAAAGGAGGAGGAGGAGGAGGAGGAGGAGAAGAAGAAGAGGAAGAGGAAGAGGAAGAGGAAGAAGAAGAAGAUGAAAAGGAAGAGGAAGAGGAAGAAGAAGAAGGAUAAAAUUGUCAAUUUUCCUUAUUAAUUAAACAUGGUUAAGUAUUUUAAUUAUGGUUAAUUAAAUUUUUUUAACGGAACUUAACGGCAGGGACAUAUCUGAAUACAUUAGGAUUUUUGUAGGGAUAACUUAUGAAAAUUGAACUUUGCAGGAAUAUAUCUGCAAUUCACCAUAUUUGCAGGGACAUGUAUGCAAUUAACCCUAAUUUUUAUUACUUUUUUCAUUCCUUCGAAUAGAAAAAAUAAAUUCUCUUUCUUUUGUGUUGUGAACCUUUGUAGGAUAAAAUGCAAAAAAUACAACAAAUAUAGUUGUUUAGUAAGGCUUAGUUUGAUAUUGAAGUCUAUCUAACGCUACUAGAUAAAAUAGAGUUGAGGAAAAAGCAUAUAGGAAUAUGCUUCUACGUUCUCUGGUCGGAUCGUUGAAAAUAUAUCGUUACCGACUCAUCGCGAUAUGCGGAACGUAAUAUUACGUACGAAAACAAACAGGGUAUUUUUUCAACGUACUUUCUCACCGCACGUAACGUAAUCUCCCGGCAAUCCCAAACGAAGCCUAACUUCGCUUGAGAAGAAUAAUAUAUGAAAAAAUCUCGUAAAGUUUAAAAAUUUUAUUAUCAAAAUUAAAAGUUCAGAAGGUUUACUUGCAAAAGUGCUUAAGCUUUGAAUUUGUUUGUACAUUUAUUCCAAAAUUUUAAACUAUGAGUCAUUAGAUGAAAUCUACAAUUUAAAUUAUAAAAUUUAUAAUUUUUUUUGGCUUUUCUUCAUGUGACCAAGAAUAAACUUUGGAAAGACAUAAUAAAUUCACAUGAUAUAAAAUUUUGUUACCGGUAGGUGAGGGCUUAGAUUACCUUUCCCGACUACUCCACAAUAUUUCUAUACAUUCUAAUAAGAGCAGCAUUAUUAAUACACUGUAAAGUGAGAUGUAUAUUUUACAUUAUUUUUAUUCAAGAGUCAUUUUUUUUGCUUGUCACAUUUUUUUUUUUACUGAAAAUCAUUUGGAUUAUUGCGAAGCCCAAUCAAAAAAUGGUAAAGUUGGUAAAAUUCAGAUUAAAUCUGAUUGUUUUUACCUAUAAUAUAUUCAAAAUUUUCUUUCUCGUCAAAAGAUUUGUGCACUUAAGUUAUAAAAUUUGAACGCUACUCUCCAUUAGUUUAACAAUAUACCUGUCUAUAUCUUUGAUAUUUGAGAUUAUUUGAUGUUCAGGUACUGAAUUUCCAUUUGGAAAUUAGCCGAUAAGAUACACACACGUACCCUACCUUUUUCUUCAAGCAGGAUCUAAAUUUAAAGCCCACCAUCAAAUGGUCGAGAAUACCUACUAACAAAUUACUGUAGUGUAGUGUCUUAGUGACACAUUUUCAGAAAUUAUUAUUUAAAUAUGAGAGCCUUUAGAUAUAUUAAUCACAUAUAUCGUACACAAUUUUAAAUUUAAUAUUAUUAUUUUUUUUUUUUAUUAAAUAUUAAAUGUCGUGUGUAAAGACAAUAAUUUUACAAAGGCUAGAGAUCUUAGAAAUAAACCGCCAAACACAAUUAAAAAAUUCUAGAUGGUACAAACAAAAAAUUACGUUGUUUUACAUGUAAGCUGAUUGUGUUACAUUUUUUUUUUUUUAUGAGAGAAAGAUAAGUAUGCUACCCGCUUUGCUUAUUUCUUUUAAAAAUAAACUUAGCUAGAAAUAUAAAGUAAAUAGACUUCGAACUUAAACCUGGGGUACCAACCAUCAAUUUCUUUACCACUUGCGCUAGGACGGUCAGUUUUUGUGUUACAAAUCUUGUCAAAUAAUCUAUAUUUAUUAUUUAGGUAACUUACCCGGCUAGAUCAAGAACUUUUCCUAGAACUCUACUGUGUUCCUCAACAUUUUAGAUUUAAUAUUUGAGAUUCUAAUUUUUUUUGGCAAUGUUUUAUUUUAGUUCCAAAACUAGCAAAAAUAUUUUAUUUUUUAAAGAUAGAUAGCACGCUACCCGCUUCGUUUUCUUCAUUUAGAAAUAAACUUAGCUGGAAAUGUGAAUCAACCAGGAUUCGAACUUGAGUCUCGGGUACCAACCACCAAGCCCUUUGCCACUUGCUUUAGGAACGGUCGGUAGCAAAAAUAUUUUAUUGUUCUCCUUAUGGUGAAAUGAACAAUAUUGCUUCCACUAGUGCGCUUUAUGUUCUUAUAUUACGGCUCUGGUAGAUCUUUAGUCCCACAAAUACUUUUAGGUUAAAAGUCAUGUUUAAUACGGUAAAAAAAUUUAUCACCUAAUUAAUAUUAAGGUAGAAAUAUUUGAUUACUUUUAGGUUAAAAGUCAUGUUUAAUACAGUAAAAAAAAUUAUCACCUAAUUAAUAAUAAGGUAGAAAUAUUUGAUUACUUUUAGGGUGCGUUUGGUUCGCAUUAUGAAAGAUUACUAGGAAUAAAAGAUAUCCGAGAAUCUUAUUCCUAUUCAUCAUAUUACUAAGAAUGUGGAAUUCCCGCGUUUGGUUCGCACGGUAAUAUUAAUUAGCCAUGUUAUUUAAUAUUGCAAAAAAUAUGCAAUUAAUUAAUUUAUUUAUUUAAUUAAUUUUAGAUAAUGUUACCAAAAGUUUCAACAUCUUUUUAGAAAAAAGGAAGAGAGAGUAUAAGUUAGAGAGAGAGCAUAAUUGAAAAAAUAGAAAGAAAAAUAUAGUCGAAAUUAGAGAGAGUGAGAGUUGAAAUUUUAGAAAGAGAGAGAGAGAGAGAAAGCUUAGUUUAGAGAGAGAAAAAAAAUUGAAUUUAGAGAGAAAAAUAAGUUUAGAGAGAGAUAUAAGGUUAGAAUGUAAAGAAAAAUAAUAUCAAUUAGCCGCGGGUAGGAAGAAAUAAAGAGAUUAGACAUAUUAUGAUUACCUGAAUCCAUUAAUAUGAGGAUACCCACCUUCCUUCAAGGGAAUGAGAUUAGUACUUUGGGGUGAAUCAUAUUUCCAAGUGAAUCCAAUAUUACUAAUUAGAUUACUUAGUGCGUUUAGUCAAACACCGUCAUAUUUUUUUAUUCCCAUUGGAUUACUAGGAAUCUUUAAAAAAUAGCGCGAACCAAACGCACCCUUAGGUUAAAAGUCAUGUUUAAUACAGUAAAAAAAAUUAUCACCUAAUUAAUAAUAAGGUAGAAAUAUUUGAUUACUUUUAGGUUAAAAGUCAUGUUUAAUACAGUAAAAAAAAUUAUCACCUAAUUAAUAAUAAGGUAGAAAUAUUUGAUUACUUUUAGGUUAAAAGUCAUGUUUAAUACAGUAAAAAAAAUUAUCACCUAAUUAAUAAUAAGGUAGAAAUAUUUGAUGAGAAAGAAUCGGUAAAUACAUAGUAUUAAAUACACAUGCACGGAGUGGAGGUGACAGUUCAAGCUUCAAUACUAAAUAGAUAAAAAACAAAUAGAAUCUCAAUUAAACAAUGAGUAAUUUUGAAACAGCUAUCCAACCUAUUAAAAUUUUAAUUUUACUAUUCAAUCUUUCAAUUUGUCUGAUUUUAGUCAGUCAACGAUAUUUUAAUUUCAAAUUUUAAGCUAAUUAUUUAGUUUAAAAAAUUAAUAAUUGCAAGAAUUGUAUGAAAUAUAUUAAUUAAAUCUGAAAGGAGAAACAAUGUAUUUAAAUUUUAAAGCCAAAUUGUCGUUGAUUAACUGAAAUCAAAUGAAUUAAGCAGUUGGAUAGUAAAAUUAAAAUUUUUAAAGGUUGGCUAGCCAUUUCAAAAUAGUCUAUGGUUCAGAUAAGUUUUAUAUAUUUUUAUCUAGUACACAUACAUAACAACUAAAAUAAAAAUCUUUCAAGAGUUUAAAAUCUCUAACAUUAAAAUAAAAAAUUUGAAGAUCAAAAUAAAAUAUAGUUGAAAGCUAAGAGACAGGUAGUGUAUUUUUACUCUCUAGAUUCCGGCAAUAUUUUAAAAAUAGAUUACAUAGCGACUCGAAAAUAUUACUGGAUAAAAAGGAUCACUUGUUGAACUAGUAAGACAACCAUUAGUUGAAAAAACCAGUGACAUCAACAUAUUUAAUAGUAUAUUUAAGUAUAAAAUAUUAAUUUUUAGAUCAAAUUAAAGUAGAUAUAAGUUUUCAAGCAUUGUUUUUUAUAAAACUAACACAUGCUAAUAAAAAAUAAAAUCAAUUAAGUUAAUUUUAUGUGGCAAAAUAUUAAUAUAAUUUGAUAAAAAAAGCUAGUUGAUCUAAUUAAAAUUGGAUUAAUUUAUCUGUUCCAUAGUUUUUUUUUUAGAAAAAGAUAGCGUGCUACAUGCUUCUUUUAUUUUAUUUAAAAAUAAAUUUAACUGAAAAUAUGAAUCAACUUGCAUUCGAAUUUGGAUUCUCGAAUAUCAACUAUCAAGUCAUUUAUCACUUGCGCUAAACACGGUCAGUGUUCCAUAGUUGAACAAUUGGUUCAAAUAGUUUAAAGCAAAAUUUUAAUUUAUUUAGUUCAAAUAAUUAAACCGGAUGGCUUCAUAGAUUAAAUUGCGGUCGAAUCGAGAUUUAAGCUGAUUUUUAAGUCAUUGAAUUUUUUAACCUUUAUGUUCCAAAAAAUGUGUCAGUUCUAGACUGACGUGGCCGACAAUCGCGAGGGGAUAAUUUCUACGCAAAAUGGAGUUUGGACGUGCUUGCGGGAUUUUUCUUUUUUUUUUGGCGUUUUCUUAUGGGAAACAUACCCUAUCUGUCCGGAAAAAGCGACGCGUGUCUGCAGGGGACGGCUAUGAGACAUUCUUUUCUUUUGGAAAGAUACUUUAGCUGUCCUGUCUCUCAUUUGUUUCAUUAUAAUAAUAAUAUUAUCUAUAAUCUAUAACAUCUAUUAAUCUCUGUGGGAUUCAAGCUCUCUCCUUAUUUUAAGAAAGAGAUGAGACCCACCUCCUCUCAAAUUAUUUACAAUAAUAAUUUAUUUGAUGACCUUAUUUUUUUAUUUUUUUAUUUUAAUUUCCACUUCAAUUCACACGAGACGUCCCUCCGCUUUUUUUUUUUUUUUUUUGGUGUCCGUCCCUCGAUCUCCUCCUCUUUUAGUUUUUUUUUUUUUUUUUGCUCUGGCGCUGACUCAUCGUGAAUCCUUUCGCCUCCUCUUCUCUUCUCAUUUUUUUCACCCUCUCCCUCUCUAACCUGCAACCAUGACGUCGGCGUCGCCGCCUCCUCCUCAACCGCGUCCAUGUCGCUCACCUUCCACGGCGCCGGCCUCCGCCUCGACCGCGUGCACGUCUGUCAAUGACGCCCCUUGCCGCCAUCAACCUCCACCUUUGCCUCCGUCGCCGCCUCUGUCAGCUACCACGGCCAGCCGCCAUGCCAAUGACGCACCCAAAGACGCGCGGUGGGUGUCGUGAUCUAAAAACUUUUUUUUUUUUCCUUUUUAAACUUUUUCAUAAAUAAAAUUAGAAAUUAGAAGCCUCCAAGAGCUUAUGUUCUCAUCUUCAGGUCUUACUCACUAUUAUUACCCCAGCACUCAUCUACUGGUCAUCAUCAACAAACCAUACUUGGAUUCUUAAGGUAAUAUUAUUUUAAACAAAAGUUAUUGGGUUUUUCUUUUUUUAAAAUUUUUUUCUUUGAAUUGACUAAAGUGUUAAUUUUUUUUCUCUAUUUGUUUCAUUUUUGUGAUAUAAGAGGAGAGAAAAAUGUAGAUACAAAAUUUAGAAGAAUAAUGUUCUCACUAGAGAACAAAAAUUAGUUGAAGAUUGCAACAACUUUACAUACAACAUCGUGGGCGUCUUGCUAGCACCGGCAAUGGUACUAUCACCAUCACCAUUAUCCAUGAGAUGGAAUUAUACAAUGAGGUAAUAGGGAACUUACUGAGUUUUUUUUCUCCUUUUUUUUAUCCUUUUUUGGGGAACAUAGAGAAAUAAGUUUGUAAAAGAAUGGAGUUUAUUAUUUUAUUUAAACUAGAUUUUAUAGAAAAGGUUGAGUGAUUACUGCUUCUAUAUUUGUGAGGAGUGUGCACUUUUAGUUGUUUUUAUUAUUACUUUUGCUUUUUUCUUUUUUUAAAAUUUAUUUUUUCUUUAUUUCUGGCUAAAUUCUUACAAGUUUAUGAGUUAGUUUUUUUUUUUUACUUUUUAUUUUUGCUUCAUUGUUAGGUAAAACUUUAUGAGUUGCAUUAAAAGGUUAGUUUAAUCAAACUUAAACUAUCCGCUUCUUUUUUUUUUUGAAAAAAAACUCUUUAUGGUAGUUUUGAUGCAAUUUAUUUUAUCUUCCUCUCAAAGUUUGUAAUAGAAGGAAAUAGAAACAAAAGAAGUGACAUUUUUAUUUUUAUCCAGUAUAGGUGGGUCCAAAACGACCCGCAAUUCUGUGCGACAGCAAACCACGUUUCUGGUUGUGUGUCAAAGUUUCGUUCUUGCAGUAGCAAUUGAAUAGUAAUAUUGAACGCACGAGUUAGAGAAAAUUUGCAGUGGUUUAAGGACUGUGUCUUUCCUGUAAGAAAAGGACUUUCCCUUUUUAACAAGUUAUUGUAACUCACGAAAUAGAUUUAGUUGCCCCUGGUUUUUCUUUGUAGUAGCAACAAAUUACUAUAUAACUGUUAUAGAUAGCACGAGGCUCAAAACUUUUAUAGAUAAUCCAUGGUGACCAUUGCAAAGUGUUUUGUAUAGUGUCUUUUUCCUUGGAUAAAUUGUAGUGUUGGUUCCUGUACUUUUUGUCAAGUUUUGAUUUAGUCCUCGAAAUAAAUAGUCAUUCGGUAGUGCCUUCUUUUCUUCUUUUUUUUUAACACUUGCCUUGCACGUGUUCGUUGGCUCUUCAUCCCUCUCUUAUUUUUGCAAAUUACUUCUUCUUAUCUACUCCAAUCUUUUUUUGAUUUUAUUUUUAUGCAUUAUUGAAUAUAUAUGAAGAAGAAGCAACAUCAUAAUAUACUUCUUAUACUUUAUGUUUUUCUCUUCAAUUUACUAUUGUAAGCUUUUGAUUACUUAUGAGGCUGUGAUGAUUCUGUCUUCCACUCUUUGCCUCUUAAUAUAAUGUAUAAUGUCUUGAUAAGAAUUCAUAGUUUGCUUCUCUAUAGGAAACUACUUACAGUUAUUCUUUUUGCUUGAACCAAACGUUAUAUCUUUUUUGAAAUAUUUUGGCAUAUUUGAUAAAAAUAGCUAACAAUGCUCAUAAGUGUUUGAUGGAUGUGUGCAUUUAAUUUGUAUUUACUGAACGAAUGAUAGAUGAUUCUUUUUUGCAUAUCCAAAAAUAGAUAGUAAUAAGUAUAAGAAUUUUAGAGCUUUCUGUUCAAAUAGCAUAAUCAUGUCACAACCUUAGUUUUAGAUGAGUUUAACAUGCUCAUUUAACCCUCCGAUUUGUAAUCAAAACAAACAGAAAAAGAAACAGAGCAUUUGCUAUCUUAGAAUGGAAAGGUACUUAAUAAUAUUUCUUAUUUCGUUUUGUAAUUUUUUACUUCGUAUUCGCUUUCUAGAUACUACUGCCACUCUUCUAGCAUUUGAUCUAUAUUAAUUUGUUUUUGUUUGCGCAUUCAUUUUAGGUUGAUGAGAUAUGUCGUUUUAUGUAAUUUUUAUAGAAUUUUUUUUUAUCAUUCGACAUGCUAGAAAGGCAAAGAUCAGCUACUCAGAGAAGAUAUUUAGGUAGGCAAUGAUGACGGAUUGAAUCAUCGCUAUGCAUUCAAAUUAAAGGUUGAUGAGAUAGCAUCCCAUGAAGUUUCAUAACGUCCAUUUCUUCUCUUCAUUUUUUUUUUUCGAAUUCAUAGUAGAAGAUUUAAAUGACAUAGGAAUAUGGAUGUCUACAUGGCAACCAUUACAGCCAUUUACCUUUACAGUAGCUUGAUUUUCAACUAAAGAGAAGGGAUUGGAAACUAUUUGAUGUCAACUAAUAUUAAUUCAGAUGAUUAACUGAGCCUUUGUUUGCCCAAUUAUUUCUAAAUUUUUUAUAAUUUUUGAUUCUACAGAAUUGUUUUCUCCCUUGGUAGCUUCUUCAAGAAUUUGAAAAUAUUAUAUUUUCAGUUGGCUAAUGCCUUCAUCAUUCAUUUUUUAAUUUUUUAGUUCUUUUUCUUUAUACUAUUUUAAUAUAAUUUACUAGGCAAUUGAAUACUUAAAUAGAGAAUUACUUGCUAAAGUUUUCUUUUGGAAGCAAAUAAUGAGAAAAGGAAUUGGUUUCUUACGACAGAAUAAUCCCAAAAGAACUUGAAGUGGUAUUUUUUUUAUUCUUUUUUCUGUUGUUUAUUUUAAAUCAUCUAUACUUACAACUAAGUAUAUACUAAUUGGUUUGUAACUUAGGUUGCUAGAUAUGGGGGACAAAAAAGACUUGCUAAUCUUGGAUGUGAAAGCGCUCAUUGGGUUAAUGGUGACCUUUUGAUUCUUGAUGGUAACCGGUAACGUAUUUAUCUUUCCUAUUAACUAUGUGUUUGUUUAUUUUAUUAUGGGGCGUAUUUUAAGAUAAAGCUACAUUGAAUUUUGUAGUUCAUCAAAUAGGGACCUUUUAUUUCUUUUGUUUGCUGGCACCUAAUUUUUAUUUCGUCGAAUUCUGCCACCAGUUGAAAUUUUGUAUCUAUAUGCGUUAAAGAGGCAAAGGAUGAGAGAAACUAUGUAAGGUUAUUGAGUUAUGUUUUUUAUUUAUUUGUUUGUAUCAUAUUAUUAAUAUUUUGUCACCAUGUAAUUUGAAAAAUUUCUUUACAAGAUCUGUGCGUAUAAAGUCACCGAGAGAAUAUCUUAAUUUUGCCAGUUGGAAAUUUACUUAUAUAAAUUCUGUACAAAUGAAUUUUUAUUUGACAACAAAAAGUUUUUUUUCCCUCUUUUGUUACUGUUGUUCUUUUUCGAAAAGUGAAUUUACAAAAUAAUAAAGUAACAUAAAAAUACAUCUCUAUGAGUCCUCAAUUGUAUUAAAAACUUGAGGUAUAAAAACCAUCGAUAAAGUCAAUUAUGCAUUAAUAUGUAACUUCUUCCUUUUACUUUUUUUUAAUUAUUUUAUUUGCGGCUUUCGUGUUGCAUAUAUAAAUAUUCUAUUUCAGUUUAUUGAAUUGAUAUUUACUUUUUAAAUUGCAAUAUGUAUAUGUAUAUAAAUUACUACAAAGUUGUUUAUUUAUGUAAUAGCUUAAAAAGCAAACGGCACACUUAUAUUAUAUUUUUAUCCUCACUUGAUAUUAAAGAAAAUUUAAAAUUUUUUUAUUUCAACAAUAUCUACCCGCCGCAACGCGCGGGUCGCUUCACUAGUUAUUAUUAUUUUAUUAUAAUAAGGGAAGCUGGGAAAGUGUAUGAAGAUCCCUUCCACUAGUAGAUGAUUCUUAAAUAGGCCACUCAAACGUUUUUUUUAGCAAACUUAAACAUGUUUCUAUUUAGUUCAGAACGUUUUACUUUAUCAUCCUGAAGUUAAAAAAUUUAUAGCUAACUAUAUUAUAAUUUUACAUUUAACUAUAUUAUAAUUAUAUUUUUAUUUAAUUUCAAGUAUCCAUCAUUAAAUAGAAGAGUAGCAAAGUUGGAUUUUUUAAAAAAAACUAUAAAAUCGUAUAAUGUAACAUCUCACUAUUCUACAAUCUACACUUUACAGCCUUCUAUUUAGUUGGGGACGUUUUUUACUUUAUCAUCCUAAGGUUAAAAACUUUACAUUUAACUAUAUUAUAAUUUUGUUUUUAUUUAAUUUCAACUAUCCAUCAUUAAAUAGAAUAACAAAGUGAAUUUUCUUUUAAAAAAACUAUAUAAUCACAUCUCAUUAUUCUAUAAUCUACACUUUACUGCUUUCUAUUUAGUUCAGGACGUUUUUACUUUAUCAUCCUAAGGUUAAAAAACUUUACAUUUAACUAUAUUAUAAUUAUGUGCUUAUUUAUUUAAAAACUUUAUCACUAUUCUACAAUCUACACUUUACUGCCUCCUAUUUAGUUCUAGACAUUUUACAUUAUCAUCCUAAGGUUAAAAACAUUACAUUUAACUAUAUUAUAAUUUUACAUUUAACUGUAUUAUAAUUAUAUUUUUAUUUAAUUUUAAGUAUCUAUCAUUAAAUAGAAUAGCACAGUGAGAUUUUUUUUAAAAAAAAAAACUAUAAAAUCAUAUAAUGUAACAGCUCACUAUUUUACAAUCUACACUUUACUGCCUAUGAUUUACAAAAAUUACACCUUAUUGUCCAACUAGUGAAAUACCCGCGCGAUGCUGUGGAUAUAAAAAUAUUUUUAUAAUAAAUUUUAUUUUUUUUAAUAUGUUUAUAUAGUUUUAUAAGUCUAAUUAUUAAUUAAAUAAAAGUUAUAAAAAACUAAUUUAAUCGUUAAAUCUAUUUAAAUAAAAGUCAUUAAAAUCGGUAUAUGCGCAAAGCAAAUUUAUACAAUAAUUUAUUUUAUAAAUACUUAUAUGAAAAUAAUUUGAGAUAAAUCUAUCAAAAUAAUUUUAAAAAAUCAAUAAAUAGAAGAAAAAUAAAAUUGUAAAAGAAAUUGUUUAAUAACAUUAAUUAUAUAUACACAGAAAUAUACUAUAUUUCUAAAAUUUUACUUCUCAAAUUUAAAUAUUGUAUUUUUUUAUACAAUGAUAUUUUACGUGAUUUAAAUUGCAUCUAUUAGGUUAGAUUUUAUUACGCAAUUUAUUAUGCGUAUUAUUAAUAAAAUUAAUUAACUAUAUUAUAUAUUAUGAAUUAUUAAUAAAAUUAAUUAAUUAAUUUCAUAGAGAUUAGAGAUUUAAAAUUUUAAAAUUUGAAAUUUAAAAUUUGAAAAUAAAUAUUAGAAAUUAAAUUUAAAUUUUAAAAUAUUAAAUAUAAAAUUUAAAAAUUUGAAAGUAUCAAAAUUUUAAAUUUUGAUAUAUAUAUAUAUAUAUAUAUAUAUAUAUAGAGAGAGAGAGAGAGAGAGAGAGAGAGAGUAAAGGGGGGUUUGGGGGGACACGUGUCACCCCUUGGUCCCCCCAAACCCUCCUUUAAUGUAGAGAAAAGAAAUAGAUUUUUAACAAUAAGUACUCAUAGUUUAAAAAAUAAAAAGAAAACAACAAAAUAAUUAAGUGCAAUAUUUUGAACGAUGUUAUGGCCAAAUUACCCCCAAGUUUGAGUCGCGACAGCUACAUCUCCAUAUGAUUCAAACCUGAAUUCUCAAAUUUGAAUCAUAUGGAGUUGCAAGGCUUUGGGAGAACCUAUGUCCAUGGUGUUGUUCAGCAGCUUGUCCAGUGUCGGACUAGGGCUGCAACAGCGGAAGCGAGUUUGAGUGCUCCCUUGCCGACUAUUGGUGAUGUCGGAGAUCCUGCAGUGUUGUUCCUUCUGCCACAGCGACGUCUCCUAUUGUGACUUCCCUGGCACUAUGGAGGUUGCGGCGACUACCCUUUCCCUAUCCACUUCCCACAUGUCUGCCAUUGACUCUGCGAUGCUCGAGGUGAAGAAGCGCGAUCUCAAGCAAGCCUCACCAAUUUUGAGAGCACCGUUUGUGGAAGCUUGGGUCCACGAUAUGGAGAAGCUCUUUGUAAACAUUUUUAUCUUUGAGUAGAAGGUCCAAUUGGUUAUCCAUUUCCUCAGUGGAGCAACGUACCGUUGGUGGAGGUAUAUCAGGGCAGAUCAUUCCACCAACUCCUUCUAUCAUGUGCCAAGUUCUAGAUCCUACUCUUCAACAUCUUUUUUUUUUUUUUUAUUUUGGAGAGUGUGAUGCAACAACUUGAGAAGGAUUUUGAUAUCAUUCAUCAUGGGGCAAAGACGGUGUUGGAGUAUAAGUGGGACUUCUCUCACCUCGUGUAUUUUACGUCGUUCAAUUAUCCAGGAUGAGAGGCAAGUUCUAGAAUAGGCUCUGGCCUAGAUCUUUCGAUUUGUCUAGUUAUAGAAUCUCCAGAUUUACAAGGAAGUGAUGGACUAGAUGCUCCUAGUUGAGAGAGGAGCCACCCUUGAUCGAGAAAAGAGAGGCGGCUAGUAAAAGGAAAGGAAAAAAGAGACCUUUCCACCAGACUCAAGCCGGGCCAUCUUGUUCUACAAGACUACCGAGACAUCCCCGAUCGCACUUCGGUUCUAGGGCUCUCGACCUCACAACCAGUAGCAGGGGUAUGUGAUUUGUGGUAGGCCCCAUUGGCCAUCUGUCACGCCCCGGGACCCAGCGAAAGUCCGCCCAGUGUGUGUCCAGACCUGCCAUAUGCCUACAACAUAUAAAGCGUCUACAACAAUAUGAUAAAUAAAAGAGAGAAAGUAAAAACAUCUAGUAGGAUAUCAGAGCAUAAUUACCACUAAUUUCUAAUGACAAGUAGAAGUAAAUAAAACUGAACAACUAGAGUAAACCAUCAAGUAGUACAUACAUCCUAAGAUCUACUAAAAUAAAACUAGAUACAAAAGUGGUGGUCUCUGUACAUAGGGUACAAAAAGUCUCUCUCCCAAUAAAAUAAAAAGAGAGAUUACCACCUAGUACAAUCACCAAUCUGUCUAGCUAGAGGCAACUCUCUUGCCGCGGUCCCUAGCCUCUCCCGGCGUGGAAGGCUCUGUAAAUAAAAACAACAACAUAAUGAGAAUGAGAACUAUUAGUCAAUAGUUCCCAGUGGGUAACCCGUCGACAUCAGCGAAAUACAUCACUAGGUCAUGGAGGCAUAAGUAGUAUAUUUAAACGUGUACUGAAAUAAACAAUAUGUACUUUGAGCAAUUAAUAAAAUUUACUAAACUAAUAUGCCUCUACUUAGCAUGAAGUUUCAUAUGUAUAGUGCUAUUAUAACAUGAAUGAGCAUGUACGACUAGUAUGCACUAACUAGUAUGAUGUCCACAUUUCACUUUCAUUUAUCAUUAUUCCAAUCCACUAGGACCUACACAAGUGUAGUCCGGUUUGCGCCAUACCUAAUGGUCCCGUGGUAAUCAACAUUUCCACUCUAGGAAUGAGCCUCCCCCGCGGCAUCCCAUUUCGGCGCCCAAUCCCGCACAGGUGAUCUUGUGUCGCGUUGGCUAUCUCCGGAGUGUCGGCUUGUCGGGAGCAACCCUCACAAGCAUGUGCGAAUGAGCACAAUGACAAGUAAGCAUGAUCAUCCCUCCCAAGUCCACUGUCAUCAUAUCUAAAAUAUGGUAUAAAUACUAAUGACCCAACGGUCUAUCUCUAUGUCAUCAUGUAAAGGUUUAACCAUUUACUAAGUUAAGUGUCACUAUAUGACAUUAAUGUUUACUAUGUCAAGCUUAAGUUCUAUAUCCAAGAGCAUGUACAAUUUGUCAUUUUCACUAAAUGAAACAUAAUUCCAACCAUAGAUAAAGAGUGUCAUUCACAUACAAGUUUACUAUAUACUUGUCUCUCUACUACAUAGAAGUUAUAAAGCAUGAUGCAUAAUAUAUGCAUUUUAAGUAUUCAAAAAUUUAUUUAUACUCUAUCUAGUAUGAAUAUGCAUGAUUUUCCAUUUUACAAUAAAAGCAAUGACAUAGAAGGAGUUAACCCAUUUCGGUGAGGUCAAACCCACCGAAUACCCCUUGAAUCUUCUUCGUUUGCGCGAACGAGGACGCCCACUAGACUCCUAGCUCCCUAACAAAAAUUCUAAGAGGGUUAGGGGUUUCGAACGAACACCCCACAAGAUCCACAAAAUUCAACCCAUAAAUAGGUAGAAAAUUACCUUAUAUGGUAAAGAACUCUUCCAAACUCCAAAAGAGAGCUAGAACACUUCCAACCUAAAGGAAGGCAUAAGAACCAUCAAUUAAGCCCCUAAGACUCUACCAAGAAAAACUCCAAAAGAAACUCUAAUUUCCAAAACUAGGUUUUCAUCUCCAAAAAUCCAACAAAAUAUGAUCUAAAGAAGAGAUCAAAGCUACCAACCUCUCUUUAAGCUCCAAACCAAGCUAGAAAGGUGCUAGGGUUGGAGUUCUUUCCUCAAACAAGCUCAAAUCCUUCUCUCCAAGGCUGCUCCAUGGACCAAGAAGCAACACCCAUGAAGAAGAAACAAAAAGAGGAGAUCAAUCCACCAAAAAUCAUGGAAAAAGAGAAGAAAAAUCAAUGGGGGAAAGGGAGGAGCUCCUUACCUCUCUUCUCUGGUUUCCAGCACAGAAAACCCUUCAUGAGGGUGUGGGGAUAUAUAUAGUGUUGCUACAAUCCCAAAAAGACCCCUCAAAAACUUGCAGUCUGCAACUGCACCGCGUACCGGUACGCGGGCUGGAGUACCGGUACCCCGUGACCGAAUGCGCAAAUCCGAGUCUCUGUCAAGCAGACAGAUUGCAAGGUACCGGUACCCGCGCAAUGCAGUACUGAUACCAAGCACCAAUACCGAUACUCGAGCAAUGCAGUACCGAUACUCAGCCUCGCAGAGCCUAAACCCAAGAGCAGCCCUCUCAAUUACGCGACGGGAUUCCGGUAUCUCCCUCUGGUACCGGUAGCCAGCACCCCAAAAUCUGUAGUUUAGAGGUUUUGGUGCUAAGUACUCAUCCUUGCUCCUCACGACGCGAGUAAUGGGUCGGAACACAGUCAACGACCCACAAACACUCCAGCAAAAGUACUAAAUACUAUUCGAACACCAAAACUUUACAAUUUGCUAAAAUUCAGUAUGCUAAUUCAAGAGUUGAAGGAACGAUUGAUGACCGCUCCGAUCUUGACCUUGCCAGUUGCUGGAGCAAGGUAUGUGAUUUAUGGUGAUGCUUCCUUUAAUGAAUUGGGAUGUGUUUUGAUGCAGGAUGGAAAAGUGAUCGCGUAUACUUCUUGCCAGUUGAAGGAGUAUGAAAGGAAUUAUCCUACACAUGACUUGGAGUUGGCGGCCGUAGUCUUUGCAUUAAAGCUAUGGCGUCACUACCUAUAUGGCAAGCGGUGUGAAGUACACGGAUCACAAGAGCUUAAAGUAUUGUUUCACUCAGAAGGAGUUGAACUUGAGACAGCGCAGAUGGUUGGAGCUGCUAAAGCAUUAUGAUUUGACGAUUCUCUACUGCCCGGGUAAGGCUAACGUGGUGGCGGAUGCUCUAAGCCGGAAGUCGACGGAAAACUUGGCGAUGCUUGUAGCCAUACAACCACUGUUAAUUGAAGAGAUGAAACGGUUAGAGUUGGUGGUGGUGGCUCCCGAUACACCCUUGAAAUUGUUGGCUUUAGUGGUGCAACCUACCUUAUUGGAAAGAAUAAAGAAAAAGCAAGCUCAUAAUGUGGAAUUGCAAAAGAUUCGGGCUAAAAUGGUCGAUGGUUGCACCAGUGAUUUUCUUGUGGAUGAUCAAGGGUUGUUGCGUUUCCGCGAUCGGAUUUGUGUACCGGCGAAAUCGGGAAUUAAAGAGGACAUUCUUCUUGAAGCUCACCGUGCACCCUAUGCUCAACAUCCGGGAGGCACCAAGAUGUACAAGAACUUGAAGUUAUUGUAUGGUAGCCCGGAAUGAAAACGGACGUUAGCGAGUUUGUAGCUCGAUGUUUAACUUGUCAACGAGUGAAAGCUGAGCACCGAUUACCCGUGGAAAAACUUCAGAGUUUAUCUAUUACCGUGUGAAAAUGAUAGGAGAUCACCAUGAAUUUCGUUGUUGGAUUGCCUCGCUCUCAAGCAGGGCAUGAUGCUAUUUGGGUGAUCAUGGGUAGGUUGACAAAAUCAGCUCAUUUCAUUCAUAUUCACACGACUUGGUUAGGAGAAAGACUUGCACAGGUAUAUCUUGAUGAGAUCAUGCGACUUCAUGGAGUGCCCGCAUCGAUAAUAUCUAAUCGAGAUCCCCGAUUUGUAUCUCACUUUUGGAGAAGUCUGCAAUAUGCAUUCGGCACUCAAUUGAAUUUCAGCACUGCUUUCCACCCUCAGAGUGAUGGGCAAUCUGAGCGCACUAUUCAAACUUUAGAGAAUAUGCUUCGAACGUGCGUGAUAAACUUCCAGGGAGGAUGGUCACAGCACUUACCCAUGACAGAGUUUGCUUAUAACAAUAGUUAUCAAGCAAGUAUCAAGAUGGCACCGUUCGAAGCACUUUAUGGACGGAAAUGCAGAUUGCUUCUUCAUUGGAGUGAAGUUGGCAAAAGAUUGGCAUUAGACCCUGAUGUGCUACAGGAAGUAGAGGAUAAAGUUCGCCUUGCUCGAGAGCGUUUGUUGACGGCUCAAAGUAGGCAAAAGAGUUAUGCUGAUAAACGUCGACGAUAUUUGGAAUUCCAAAUUGGAGACCAUGUCUUCUUGAAAGUCUCGCCGAUUAAGGGGAUUAGAAGAUUUGGCAUUCAGGGUAAGUUGAGCUUCCGGUUUAUUGGACCUUAUGAGAUCUUGGAGCGUGUAGGCCCGAUAGCGUAUCGGCUUGCAUUACCACCGAACCUAUCGGGAGUGCACAAUGUAUUUCAUGUUUCGGUACUUCGGAAGUACAUCUUCGAUCCGGCUCACGUUUUGGAUGUUACACCAUUGGAGCUAAGGGACGAUUUGAGCUUUGAAGAGUAACAUGUGAGGAUCUUGGCUCGCGAGUUGAAAAAGCUUCGCAAUCGUGAUAUCCCUUAUGUGAAGGUUCUUUGGAGCAACCACGAUCAAUGCGAGGCCACAUGGGAGUUGGAGAGCGCACUGCAGGAGCGGUAUCCCCAUCUUUUUUAGAUGGAGUCUUGAGGUAAUUUGCUUUCUAAUUUCGCAGACGAAGACCUCGAGAUCAUCUCUUGAGGGCCGAAUCCAAUCGGAUCGUUUCCUUUUUGAUCCACGCUUGACAAAAGUCAGAUUCGGCCUACGUAGCAGAGAACAUCGCAAGGCAAAUGAACCAUAUCGCGCCUUGUGUCCAGCAGCAUUUUCUCUGCCGACACAAUGCUGGUCAUUCUUAUCCCUCCGUCUCUUUUCAUAGACGGAAUACUUCUUAUGAAACCAAAAAGAGAUUUUCAAAAUGACCCAAACAGAGUUUUUUCAUCCCAAGUAAUGUUAACUAGGUACGGAACCCGCGCGAUGCAGCGGGAUGACAAUACAACAGUAAAUUAUUAUAACUAUUAAUAUCAUUUUUUUUCUAUUAUGCAUUAGUAUUUUUAAAUAUUAAUAUUUUGAACCUAUAAGGGUUUUGAUUAAUAGGUUUGAUGUGGUAAGAAGAUAAAAUUCCAAGAGAUAUAUAUAUAUAUAUAAUUGAUCAACAAAGAGGGAGAGAGGGGUCCACUACCCUCUCUCCCUCAGGCUCCCUCAGCCGGUCCACCAUGAGGUACCCGCCCUGCGGACCACGUGUAGGAUUGCGGAGAUGGCAGCAUUAGCAUUCCCAAAAUAAAAAUUUAGAUUCCAUUUAAAAUUCAUUUUAAAAUUUGAAUUCAAAAAAGAACUAAAGUUCUAUUUUUGGUCUCCAAAGAAUAAAAAAUUUAAAAAUUAAUUAAAAUGAAAGCAGUAUUUGAGAAAUACUUUCUCAACAAUGUCCUGUUUACGAUCUUACUUAACAAUAUCUGCUAGGAUGUCUUUGCAAAUUGGAUGGCCCUUCCGGCAAUUAUUGCAUAAAUAUUAACAAUAUAAGUUAAUAUAAGACAGAUUAUUUUGACAAUAAUAAAAAAAUAAAUAUGAAUCCAUAUAUAUUAAUUCCUAGAUAAUUAAUAAACCCAAGGUAGCACAAAAACGACAUCUAACACAGUAUAUACAUAAUAACAAAAGCAAUAGGGAGGAAGAUACUAAGAUAGCAAAAUCAAAAAAGGGCGAAAAGUAAAUACAACAUUGGUUAAUCUGAUAGAUUGUAAAAAACAAACAUGAAAAGGCAAGUACAUAAUUAAAUAGUAAAGCAGAAGAACACAUAAGCUAACGCCAAAAACCUCACAAAGUUUAUCCCUCUUACAAUAACCCAAUUUGAUUUUACUGCUUACAGAAUCCAAAAAGUCCCUAUUCUUUUGCAUCAUAGUCUAUUCUUAGCAGCUAAGAGCCCUGUCGCAAGAGCAGCAAGAACCCACUGGCUACCGUAUUAGAUACUAACACAGUAACAGUAGCCAGAGACCUGCAUACGCUGCAGCAGUUCUCCUAAAAGUAAAGCCAAAAUACUAUGCAACUGCAAGCAAUUUUUCGAGGGACAAACCCAAAACCUGUGAUGACCGGCAAAGAGAAGUAACAACGCCUAGUCUUCAUAAGAAUUCCCUAUAUAUAUAUAUAUAUAUAUAUAUAUAUAUAUAUAAUUAGCAUCAAGAACCUCAUCUUUCUUCAUCCUCUGAUUCAGAAUGCUCAAGACAACUGUGAUAAAAAAUAAUGUAUAUUAUUAUUUUUUAUCGGCCAAAAAAAAAGAACUUGUAAAAUGCUAGAAUUGAUACAUGCUAAAUUUCAAAAUAUUAUUACCUAAAAGCUCUUUUUCGCUUUAAAUGUGGAAUCUCAGAUACGCUUCUACUUAAUCACAACAUGCAAAUCUUCUCCUCCCUUUCCAAAACUUUAUUAAGAGUAAAUGGCUGCCGCGGUUGUCUUAGACCAUCCAAGUUGCCUUGUCAUAAAACUCUUAUGGUAUUUGAAAGAAUUCUAAGAAAAUGAGAGGGACUCGGAUUUAUGCCACCCCUAAUUAGUCAUGCAGCCUACAAAAUUAGUAUUAAAGUUCAAGGAAAAACCAUUUCAUCAUCAUUGUCUCUUAUACCUUAACAAUUAAGGCCAACUACAUAGAACUCCUAAUUUAUGUAGGAGUUUCAAUCGACAUUGAUGCAUGAGUGCAGCAUUUCAUCAAAAAAGUGAUGAAUAGAUUCAAAUCACUAAAUCCAGAAAACCUAUAAUUUUGUUCGUCCUGAAAUGAAUAAAAAUUCGGAAAACAUGUUCGAUUUUGUAAUUUUAUCAAACAGUCAUAGGCUUUUCACAUUGUGACUAUUCAUAAGGAAAAAUGUUGCACAAAACUGCUUUGGAUUCCCAAAAGAAAGCACCCAACUUAAGUUAAUACCAAUAACAGGUGCUCCUAUUGUCACCAAAAAUGUCAGAUUAAAAGAAAGUUCAUAAUAACAGGAAUAUAAAAAGAGAGGAAUUAAUCCAAUUCAUAGGGUAUGUAGAUUCUUUUUAAUAUAUAUAACUACAAAUAUGUAGAAGCAAGUUGUUGCAUCGAAAAAUUGAUGGUACUGAAGAUGAAAACUGCUUUGAAAUCUAGCUUUAUAUAAUCCAAUCUCCCUAUGGUAUGAAAAUCACGCAAAAUCAAUAGAAAUAAAAAAAAGAAUAAGAAAUAUAUAAGGCUCAAAUUUAAUCAGCAAUCAACACUAAAAAUGCUCCGACUUCAAGUCCAUAUUUCAAGAAAACAGGGCCAACUGGUUGCCUACAGGAUAGGCCAUCCAAAGGUUGGGCACUAAUUAUCACAUCUCCACACGACCACCCUUAUGGAAACAAAGAAGAUGCUGAAAAUGUUCCAGCCAAAAAUGCUCCAAGUUCAAAGCUAUCAAAACUGGCAUACAUAAUUCAGUAGUAAGGCAGAAGAACACAUAAGCUUAUGCUAUUAUUCUUAGCAUCAUAGUCUAUUCUUAGCAGCAAAGAGCCCUCCCGCAGGAGCAGUAGGAAGGAUAGUUUUACAACAGAUAAGCAAAAUUCAAAAAUGAGAAGACCUUAGACAGGACACUUAGGAAAAAAAUGUCCAACUGAGAAGAACCAUAGACAAAAAUUGGAGUAAAUUACUAAGCUGGGUGUAUUAAGCAUCUACGUUCGAAAACUGCGAAGAGAUAACAAAAGUUAUACUUUUUAAUAUAGAUAUCAAAUCAACAUCAUCAGCUUAUAUAUUACAUAAAAUCAUAUUAGAGCAAGAGAAAAGCGGCAGGGAGGAGAAUAAUGAGAUACGAAAUCGAAGAAGGUCCAAAACCGAAUAGAACACCGAGUAAUUUCACAGAGACUUUAAAAAACAAACCAAAAUGACAGGUACAUUAAAGAACAAAUUCACAAAGGUAAGUACAUAAUUAAGUAGUACAGGAUUUUUUUCCCACCAACACACAGUAGGUUUUUUUCAAACAAACCCAAAACCUACGAGUACUUCCUAAGCAAAGCAACGCGAAACAGCUACAAACCCUAUAACACGACGUAGUUGCAUAGUAUGUUGGUUUCGGAAAAAAAACUCCUGUAGUUUUGAUAUAGCCGCGGAUUACUUUGUAUAAUCACAUAAAUCUUCGCGAUUUUUUGGCUUUUACCUUAAGCAGCACUAUUCCUAAAUUGACGCAACGCUAGUUUUUUAUUACUAAACAAAACAUUUCGCCUAUGGAUACCUUUUACAAUCAAAUAUAAAGUAGAGAAGGAAAAUAUAUUAAUAAACAGUCCAAAGCAAAAGUCUAAGGAGAUAAUUCAAGAUUUUGUUGAACAGUAGCAGCAUGUUGUUUGUGUAAUGUUUUUCUGAAUAAGAUAACCACACUUUUUGCAGCAAAAUAUAAUAGAAGAUUCAUUUGACUCUUUGUCGAAAGAUAAAACACUAUCUAUAUUUCCACCGACUCAUAAUGAAGCAACCAAUGUUGUAUGAAAUUUUUGCAACUGCACAUGACAUUUCUACCAUGGCCAAAUAUAUUAGAUAUCUUUUUUAAAAAAAACUUAGAUCUGGCUAUACCAUAUAUUUGGUCACGGUAGGAAAAUAUGUGGAGUAACAAAAAAAAAUCCAUACUUUCAACAAUAGACUAUGCAACAAUAUCCUCAAUAUAGUCGAGAGUUGUGCAUAUUGUGCAUACAAUGUUUCUCUGAAUAAGUUACCUCUAGUUUUUGUAGCAAAAUAUAUGAGAAGAUUCAUUUGACUCUUUGUCAUAAUUUAGCCUCACCAUAUACUUUGGCACAAUAAGAAAACAUAGGUCGAAAGAUAAAACAACAUCUACACUUCCACUGACUCACAAUGCAGCAACCUAUAUUGUAUGGAAUUUUUGUAACUACACACGACAUUUCAACUGUCGCCAAAUAUAUGAGAUAUUUUUUUUAAAAAAAACUUAGAUCUGGUUAUACCAUAUAUUUAGUCACAAUCGAACAAUAUGAGUAACAAAAAAAAAAAUCCAUAGUUUCAACAAUAGACCAUGCAACAACAUUCUCAAUAUAGUCUAGAACUGAUUUAAUAUGUUUACAUAAAUUACUACCACAUAUGAAGUUUCAAUCAUUCCCUAAGCCAAUCAAUCACCUAUUGUCGUAAUCUAUAAAUUUUAACAUACAUGUUGUGCAUGUAAUGUUUCCCUGAAUAAGAAAACUCUAGUUUUUGCAGCAAAAUAUAUGAGAAGAUUCAUUUGACUCUGUCAUAAUUUAGCCUCACCAUAUACUUUGGCACAAUAAGAAAAUAUAAGUCGAAAGACAAAACAACAUCUACACGUCCAACGUCUCACAAUGUAGGAACCUAUAUUGUAUGGAAUGUUUCCAAAUACACGGGCCGUUUCUACUGUAGCCAAAUAUAUCUAUACUUCCAAUGCAGGAGCCUAAAUUGUAUCGAUUUUUUGUAACUGCACAUGACAUUUCUACUGUGGCAAAAUAUUUGAGAUAUCUUUUUUUUUUUAACUAAAUUAGAUUUGCCUAUACCAAAUAUUUCGUCACAGUAGGAAAAUAUGUGGAGUAACAAAAAAAAAAAAAAAAUCCAUACUUUCAACAGUAAACUAUGCAACAACGUUCUCAAUAUAGUCCAGAGUUGAUUUAAUAUGUUUGCAUAAACUACUACGACAUAGGAAAUUUCAAUCAUUCCCUAAACCAAUUAAACACCUAUUGUCAUAAUCUAUAAGUUUUAGUAUACAUGUUGCGCAUGCAAUGUUUCCCUGAAUAAAAUAAUUCUAGUUUUGCAGCAAAAUAUAUGAGAAGAUUCAUUUGAUUCAUUGUCAUAAUUUAGUCUCGGCAUACACUUUGCCACAAAAAGAAAAUAAAACUCGAAAGACAAAACAUCUAUACUUCCAACAUCUCACAAUGUAGGAACCUAUAUUGUAUGGGAUUUUUGUUAAUACACACAACAUCUAAGCAGCAGGAAACUAAAGUCUAAGGGCAUAAUUCAAGAUUGUGUUGCAAGUCUAUCAACAGUACUUUUGUAUUAGGUAUUUCAAAGUAAAUCUAAGUUUUUCCAAAGAAACACCACGUCAUGUUAUACUAUAAAACAAAUCAAAGAACGAAGAACAUGUUAUGCCAUAUUAUAAAACUGGAACCUAAAAAUAAAGAGAAUAUAAUCUUAGACAAAGCAAAAAAUAUAAUAAUAAAAGUCCCCGAUCGUCAAGUAAAGAAGCUGAGAAGAUUCUUGAACACAAAGACUGCUCAACGAAUGUAACAAAGACCAAAUAAAUCUCCCAAGUUCAGAACUAAUCAGACCUAAACUCAGAGCCUCACGAAUCCAACCAAUAGAAAAGUACUACAACCAAACAUUACCAAGACUUGAAGAAAAACUGACUAUCCAACUAAGAGAAAAGUACCACAGGCAAGCAUUAGCAAGAUUUGCAUAAAAACUGACUAUUACAUCCACAAUAGACAAAAGGCAUCCUACUGUCUACUUAUGUUUCAUUUUCUGCAGUAAUUAGCGUGAUAUGUACUUUCUAAGACCUUAUAUAGGAGACUUAGAAAAAAAAAAAAAACAGAACCAAACAUACAUCUAGCAACAAAAUAAUAAGGAAUUCUUUCUACACAUUGGCUGCCAAAGAGCGGCCCAAUUUGCAAACAAAUCGUAAUACUAAAAUUUAAGUUUGUUUUUAAAUUUUGUCUAAGUACACAGUACACGACUUUGCAAGGAUCCGACAAUGAAAAUAACGAAGGCCAAUAAAAUUUCCCAAAUUAACUUUCAAAGACUGCUAAAUGGAUGCUUCAAUUACAUAUAAAUGUAAUUUUUAAGAUGUCACACAGAAUUCACGAACAAUGAACAAAAUUCACAAAAAUAUCCAUAAUAAAAUUGCCGCUCAAUCCACCAAAGGCAUUAUUAACCUUCAAUUUCGAUGUAUAUUAAUCUAGCAUAUCUUUACAACAGAUAAGCAAAAUUCACAAAUGAGAAAGUUUAAUAAAAUAAACAAUAAGUUCAGAUAAUUUUUCCUAUAAAAGCAUGCACUAUAUUAUGCCACAAUAUGCAGUGAAGAAGUUUAAGCCCAAAAAAUUGGUGGGGAAAAAAACUAUCACUCUCUGUAAUAAAAAACACACGCAGCCACCAUCAUUUUUUUAAUAUAAAUAAACGAUAAGCUCAAAUAAUUGUCUAAAGAAGCAGCCACCAUCUUCCCCCCCUCGCACUACCGAACUGUUUGUAUGCAAUGGUUGCCCAACGGCCAUCAAAUUUGCAAUGGACCAACGAAUUGCUUGCAUGCAAUAGUUGCCGAAGGGCCAUUUGUAAGGACUGAGAUUUUUACAGUGCAACUAAACUCUCUGUUGAUGAUGUUUAUGUGUGUAAUUUAAUUACAUAAGCACUCGUCAAGUUUCAGGAGAAAAUGAGCUAAAAUGGAGAAGUUACGCGAUUAUUAGUUUUCACUUAAGUGAAUAGUAACUCCGGUUUUUCGGAGAAUCCACGGAGUAGAGUUGGCUUUCGGCGCGUAUCGGACUCCGUUCAUAGCGAUCCAAUAGCUCGUUUUGAACGGUUCAGCUAUUCUGGAACCAAUGUCACUGACGGAUUUCAGAUUUGAUGCACGGUUUUCGAGAAAAAGGAGUUUUAUCGAAAAGAGGGUUUCCGCUCUUUGCUUUUCUGUGCAUUUUAAANAGAACAAAAAUUAGAGAAAAAAAUAUACAGGCUCAGAUUUGCUACGCAAUGAAGGCUAAAAAUGGUCCGACUCCAACAUGCAGGAAAAGAACGCAGGCGAAAAAAUAAGCAGUCAUUACAUAUAGUUCUAAUUCAUAUUUAAAGAAACAGCACCGACCAGAGUUCUAAUCUAUAUUUCAAAUAAAUAGCGCCAACUGGUUACCUACAUUAUGGACCAUUCAAAGGUUGCACACUACUCAUAUUUACCAAGCAAUGAAGGCUAAAAAUGAUCCAACUUCAACACGUAGGAAUAAGUUUAGAACAAAAAAAAAUAGUUUUCAAAAAAAAAAGGGCAGAAAAAUGCAAAAAAAGAAUCAAGAGAGUCUCACAUGACGGAGUGGAACAUGAGAGCAUCCAAGAAUAGAAGAUUAUGCAGCUCAGAAACUUGCACUGAUAAAUACCCCAAUCCACCAUCUCAAGAAUGGAAGGGAAAACAAAAGCGCCUCUGGACAUAUAGCGGCAACAGGGGCGGAGGAUGUUAGGGCUCCAACAGCAACAGAAGGAAGAGGUGGCCGCAAGCUCGGGGAGAGGGAGAGGGAGUGAGAGGAAAGCCCGAAACCGCAGUUAGAGAAAGCCCAAACCGCAGGCGAGGAACAAUAGGAAAGCAAAAUUCAGAAAUGAGAAAGUUUAAUAAAAUAAACGAUAAGAACCAUAGUCAAAAGAUAGAGUAAAUCACUAAGCCAGGUCUAUUAAGUAUAGAAAUGCAUACAAUCCACCUGGUAUAGCUUUACAAUAGGAAAGCAGAAUUCAGAAAUGAGAAAGUUUAAUAAAAUAAACGAUAAGAACCACCUGAAUAGAACCAAAAAUACAUAUAGCCACAAAACAAUAAAGAGAUUAUGGCAAAACUUAGAAAAAGAUAGAGCAAAUCACUAAGCUAGUUCUCUUAAGUAUAGGAAUAUAUCCAAUCUACGUGAAUAGAGCCAAACAUACAUAUAGCAACAAAACAAUAAAGAGAAUAUGCCAAAAAUUAGAUAAAGCUGAUUCAAAAUCUGAUCUGGAUCUACAUUGGGAAACGGGGGAGAAAGUAUUAGAAAAAGUUGAUUAAAAAUACGAUCUGGAUCGACAUCUGAAAACGGGACAGGAAGUUUUUUGUGAUCUAGCUACACAGUCUGAUGUUCAUCAUUUGAUUCAAAAUACCACAUGUUAUGUAAUACUUAAUAAUUAGUAUUACAGAAUGAAACUGAAGCUUCCCAAAGACAAUAAUGUAAGCUUGUUUUUAAAUUUUUUUAUUUGUGUACGGUUUUUUACCAUGUCAUUGAUUUCUUUUUUAUUUUUUUUAACUUAACAGAAAAUAUGCCUCAAGAAAGUUUGAGAUUAAUUAUUCACAGAUCCUCAAUAAAUGGACAAUGAAUAAAUGGUCUCUUAAAUUUACAAAUUUUUCACUUUUUUAUUUUACAUAUCAAUUUUGGUCUCUAAAAUUUACAAAAUUUUCACUUUAGUCUCCAGAUAUAAAAAUUCAAAAUUUUAAAUUUAAAUCCAGAAUUAUUCUUAAAAUUUAAAUUUUGAACUAAUUAGUAAUUAGAAUUUUUGAAUCUAAAUGUUGAUUUUAAACUUAAAUUUUUAAAAUUUAGCUUUCAAACUUAAAUUUUGUAAAUUUUGAUUUCAAAUUUAAUUUUUUUUAGUUUGAUUUUGAUAUUUGAAUUUACAUUUAAAAUUAAAAUUUUAAUUUACUGUUGCUCGAAGGGUCGAAAUCAAAGAGGCGAAAGGGCCGAAAUCAGUAAAUAUGGUUAAAUCAUAGUUUGGCCUUAUUUGCUUUAGAAUAAUGUCUAUUAAUUCAAUAAUCUUAAAAAGUGAAAAUAGCCAAAUUACAAUAAAACAAUUGUAUAGUUUUAUUACAAAACUAUCCAAUCUAUACCAGCUGAGAAGAAAGUCAUGGCUUGUGAAUCAAAGCAUGCAAAAAACAUCAUACUGUUAAGAAGUCAUGUAUAACAAUUCUUACAUCUUGAUGAUUGAAAGAUUAAAACUAUACUACCAAGCAAUUAAGAGGUAGAAAACAGCAUAGCAAGCUCAGCAAUGAAAAGCAAACACUUUGAGAAAAAAGACCACAUAACUUCACCAAAAUCUACCAGUGAAAAAAAGAAAAGCAAAAGUCAAUUUGCACUUUCAAACUAAAAGCAUAAUAUUUGCUCUCUUCAAUGUUCCACUUAUUUCGGACGCUCUUUUAGUUUCAAAAUAAGCUUCAAUAGACAAUCUUUGAGCUUCGCUUUUUAGAAAACUAACCCCUUUUUUGUGGUGGGUAAAGUAACAAAAUAUAAUAUAAAUAGUAAUACUAAUAAGAAUAAUGUACAAUUAACCAAAGCAAGUGUGAUGAAUGAACGAAAUAUCUAAAGGCAAUUAUUUUUGUCAAACAAACGAAAAGCAGACAAAAAAUAAUAAUAGCGCAAAUGAUAGAGACUCAGAUAUACUUUUGCUUAAUCAUAACGAUAUAUAACCGCAAAUCCUCUCCUCUCUUCCCAAAAUAUUUUUAAGAGUAAAUGGCUGCAACGGUUGCCUUAGGCCAUCCAAGCUGCCUUGCCAUAAAAUUCUUAGAUUAUAUGUAAAAAUUCUAAGAAAAUGAGAGGGGAUUCGAAUUUGUAUCAACCUAAAUAAGUAAGGGAGCCUCCAAAAUCAACAUUGUUCAAGGAAGAAUCAUUUUUAUCAUCAUUGCCUCUUAUACCUUAACAAUCAAAACCAAAUAUACAUGAUGCGUAAUUGAUCCAUGAGUGUCAAUUGGCAUUGAUACAUAAGAGUCAAUCGGCAGUUCAUCGAAAAAGAUGAUGAACGGGUCCAAAUCACUCAAUCAAGAAAACUUAUAAUUUUGGUUCAUCCUAAAAAUAUCAAACAAUAAAGAUUGGUUAAUAUUGGAUAAAGAUUGAGAAAACAUAAACAAUUUUGUAUUUUCAAAACAAUAAAAAAAAUUUCACAUUGUGGCUAUUCACAGUAAGUGUUCGAUUUUAGUAACGGAAAUGCAUGUAGUUUCUCUUAGUUGUGAUAGACUUAGUUUCAUUGUUAAAAUCGUAACUUUUUUUUUUCGUGUAACUUUUUUGAUGUUUAGAAAUCCAAACUUAGUUUUUUUUUGUUUCAACAAUUCGAUUUUAGUACAGGAAUCCGAUAAGUACAUGUAUUCUACAGAUUAGUUUUGAGAUUCCAUUUUUUCAAAUCUUUUAAGAUAAAAGUAAAUACGCUUUCACAUUUUCUGGUGGGUGUGAAUACAUUUUAAUCAAUUUACUCUAUUACGGUUUGUGUACACAAUGACUGAACAAAAUGAUACAACAUAAGUGUGCUUUUUAUUAGAUUUCACCUCUUGAUACUCAAAAAGGGGGGAAGUUGUAGAAUUGCUUUUGCAUUGAUGAAAGAAAUUGUAUUUACAUUUAUUUGCAAAUUCCUGUUCUGUACUCUUUGUGCUAACAUUCUCUAGGUCUGUUACUUUUCAUUUAAGAGUUGGAGAUGUUAAAUGUCCACAAAUGUAGUUAGCAUCAAAAACCCUUUCUCUAUUAGCAUUGUAAUCAGUCUCUGGUUGUUUUCCGCAUAUUGUCUUCUAUGUAGUAACUUGAUAACAAAUUCCUAUGCAGAACAAAAAUUAGAGAAAAAAAUAUACAGGCUCAGAUUUGCUACGCAAUGAAGGCUAAAAAUGGUCCGACUCCAACAUGCAGGAAAAGAACGCAGGCGAAAAAAUAAGCAGUCAUCACAUAUAGUUCUAAUUCAUAUUUAAAGAAACAGCACCGACCAGAGUUCUAAUCUAUAUUUCAAAUAAAUAGCGCCAACUGGUUACCUACAUUAUAGGCCAUUCAAAGGUUGCACACUACUCAUAUUUACCAAGCAAUGAAGGCUAAAAAUGAUCCAACUUCAACACGUAGGAAUAAGUUUAGAACAAAAAAAAACAAUUUUCCAAAAAAAAAAAGGGCAGAAAAAUGCAAAAAAAGAAUCAAGAGAGUCUCACAUGACGGAGUGGAACCUGAGAGCAUCCAAGAAUAGAAGAUUAUGCAGCUCAGAAACUUGCACUGAUAAAUACCCCAAUCCACCAUCACAAGAAUGGAAGGGAAAACAAAAGCGCCUCUGGACAUCUAGCGGCAACAGGGACGGAGGAUGGUAGGGCUCCAACAGCAACAGAAGGGAGAGGUGGCCGCAAGCUCGGGGAGAGGGAGAGGGAGUGAGAGGAAAGCCCGAAACCGCAGUUAGAGAAAGCCCAAACCGCAGGCGAGGAGCGAGACCCACAACCUCUGCCCAAGUUGAAGAAGAAACCAAACAUCUGGAAGAAGAAAAGAGAAACAACAUAGUGGGGCAGCAUCAGAGGAGAAUGAGAGAGAGUGCAGAAGAAAGGGGACUCCCACCUUGAUAUAGUGAUCAGCAUCAGUGAAGAAGGGCCGAAAUCAAAGAGGCGAAAGCGCACUCCCACCUUGAUAUGGUGAUCGCCUCUUCCGAGUGGGUGUCGCCUCAAUUGAUCUGAAUCAUUCCUCCCUCAUCCUUCGCCUCAAGCUAGAUCCCUCUAGGGUUUCUUCUACCUUCACCUCGAGCUCUUCAUCCGAUCGGAGCUUAGAAGAGCAUUUAGGGUUUGGGUAGUUGUGGAAAUUUUGGAAGGAGGAAGGAGAUUUUGGUGCCCUUUUGCCGGGCGGUGGUGAAGAGGGCAAAGAUAGAGGGGGCUGACAGGAGAAGAAAAGAGGAAUGGUAUAAAGAGAAGGAGAGAAGGAAGGAGGACAGAGGGAAGAAAAGUUCUGGGAGGAAAGAGGAGGGAAAAAAAGAAGAAGAGGGAAUGGUUGGGAUAUGGAAAAAAGAGGAUGUCAUGGGGUAUGGGUAGAGGAAUGGGUGGGAGGUGGAAAUGGUAUGGGCAUAGGUACCCACAGUACUUGCUGUUGCACGUUGCCAAUUCAUCAAAAAUAAAUUUAAAUAAGAAUUUUUUGUAAAUUUAAAUACACAAAUAAGAGAAAAUUUUGGUUUAAAUAAAAAAAAUUUUCUAAAAUUUUUUUAAAAAUGAAGUAUAUUAAAUUUAAUUUAUUUAUCUAUAUGCACUUCAUGACACUAAAAAAAAAGGUGUUAGAGAAGGAAAAAAGAAAAAAAAAAGCAAAGCAAGCUCGCGUCCGCGCCGGCUCGCAUCGCGUCCGUACCGGCUCGCAUCCGGGCCAGCUCGCGCCCGCUCCGGCUCGCGUUCCCCUGCUCACGCCCGCGCGCGCCCGCGCCCGCUUGCCCCCACCCGCUAGCACCCGCAAAGCGCGGGCGGGUGCGAGCUCGCGCAGGCGGUUAAAAUUGAUGGCCGGUUAAAUAAAAAAAAUUUUGGUUUAAAAUUUAAAUUUAAAUUUAAAAUUUAAAAUUUUAUUUUUUGUACUACCUCAUUGUGAGAAUCAAAUAAUUCCAUCAAUUGCCGAACAGCAUAACAUCAAACCAAGUCGAUAAUAGAAUGCUGGCGUUUAAUACUUUUGAUGAGCUUCAUGAUAUUGACAAAGAAAUUGUAGAAUGCGGGCCUUUAAUACUGUUGAUGAGUUUCAUGAUAUUGACAAAGAAAUUGUUCGGCAGUUGAUGGAAUUAUUUGAUUCUCACCCACAAAUUUAAAUUAAGCCAAAUAAGCGACAUUCAAAACAAAAAUUUUAAAUUUAAAUUUUAUUUAUUUUUUUGUAUGCGGUCCACGGCGGAUCGCGCCCCUGCACCCGCGCCCAUUCCCGCUCGCCCGUGCCACCCGCACACGCACCCGCUCGCCCGCCGGCGCCCGUGCACAAAUUUAAAUUAAAUUUAUUUUAAUUUUAAAUUUUUUUUUUGUAUGUGGCCCAAAACAUUCGGGUCCGCAUCCGCGCCGGCUCGCGCCCCUGCGCCCGCGUUAAUUUUUUUUUUUUUUUUGUAUGUGGCCCAAAACACUCGGGCCCGCAUCCGCGCCAGCUCGCGCCCCUGCGCCCGUACCCACUCCUGCUCGCCCGCGCCUGCUUGCGCAACCGCACAUGCCCGCUCGCCCGCUCGCGCCCGCGCACAAAUUUAAAUUUUAAAUUAAAUUUUUUUUUUUCUGUAUGCAUCCCAGGACACAAAAAAAAAGUGUUAGAAAAUAAAAAAAGGAAAAUUUUAAUUUAAUUUUAAUUUAAUUUAAAUUUGAAAUUCAAAAAAAAAAUUUUAAAUUUAAUUUUUUUUUUUUUUUUUUUGUAUGCGGUCCACAACACUCAGGCUCGCAUCUACGGCGGAUCGCACCCCUGCGCCCGCGUCCAUUCCCGCUCGCCCGUGCCCGCUCGCACCCGCACACGCACCCGCUCGCCUCCGGCGCCCGCGCACAAAUUUAAAUUAUAAAUUUAAAUUAAAUUUAUUUUAAUUUUAUUUUUAUAUUUUUUUGUAGGUGGCCCAAAACACUCAGGUCCGCAUCCGCGCCGGCUCGCGCCUCUGUACCCGCGUUAAAUUUAAAUUUUUUUUUUUUUAUGUGGCCCAAAACACUCGGGCCCGCAUCCGCGCCGGCUCGCGCCCCUGCGCCCGCACCCACUCCUGCUUGCCCGCGACCACUCGCGCAACCGCACAUGCCCGCUCGCCCGCUCACGCCCACGCACAAAUUUAAAUUUUAAAUUUAAAUUAAAUUUAAAAUUUAAAAUUUUUUUUCUAUAUGCAUCCCAGGACACAAAAAAAAGUAUUAGAAAAUGAAAAAAAGGAAAAUUUAAAUUUAAUUUAAAUUUUAAAUUUUAAAUUUUUUUUUUUCUGUAUGCAUCCCAGGACACAAAAAAAAAAAAAAAAAAGUGCUAGAAAAGGAAAAAAAAGGGCAAAAAAGAAAGCAAGAAAGAGAGAGAGGAGUGGGUCACAGGAAAAAAAAAGAAAAAAAGAAAAAGAAAAAAAACCCCAAAAUAAAGCCGCGCGCAGGCUCGCAUCCGAGCCGGCUCGGGGGCGCGCCGGCUCGCCCGUGCGCCGGCGCCCGCUCACGCUCAACGCCCGCUCAGGCUCGCGCGCGCCCGCGCACGCACGCCUGCACGCCCGCUCGCCCGCCAGCGCCCUCGCCCUCGCCCUCGCCCUCGCCCUCGCCCUCGCCCGCCCGCGCCGCUCGCGCCCACCCCCGCCCGUCGGCGCCCGCUCGCCCGCCCUCCCCCGCUCGCGCAGAUUGCGGAGGGCCCUGCCGUACCCCUUUAGGAUUCCCUCGCGCCAGCCCGCGCCGGCUCGCGCCCUCGCGCCCGCGCCACCCCGCGCCGGCUCGCGCCCGCCCCCGCUCGCGGAAAACGCGGAGGAGGCUGCCGUACCCCUUUUAGGAUCCCCGAUUCAAAAGGUUAUAUAGAUUCUAGGGUUAAAUGCAUACAGGUCCCUGCAAACAUAGUCAAUUGCGGAAAUAUCCCUGCAAAACGGAAACUCCAUAAGUUAUCCCUGCAAAAGUCUAAAGUUAUGCAGAUAUGUCCCUGCCGUUAAGGACUGUUAGAAAAUUUUCGUUAACCACGGUUAAAGUACUUAACCAUGGUUAAUUAUAAGGUAAAUUUACGAUCCUACCCUUCUUCUUCUUCCUCAUCUUCUUCUUCCCUCUUCUUCAUCGCCGACGAGGGCGGCGGCGGCAGCGACGGCGGCGACGACGGCGGCGACGGCGAACCCUCUCUCUUUCUUUUCCUCCUUCUUCCUCUCCCUCUUCCCUUUUCUCCCUUCUUCUUCCUCUCCCUCUUCCUCUUCCCUCUUCUUUAUCGCCGGCGAGGGAGAAGAUGCGACGGCGGCGGCGAACCCUCUCCCUCUCCCUCUUCUUCUUCCUCCCCCUCUUUCUUUUCCUCUUCCUCUUCCUCUUCCCUCUUCUUCGUCGCCGGCGAGGGAGGAGAUGCGGCGGCGAACCCUUUCUCUCUUCAUCUUUCUCUUCCCUCUUCCUCUCUUUCUUCCUCUUCCCUUUUUUUCUUCCUCUCAUUCUUUCUCUUCCCUCUUCUUUGUCCCCGGCGAGCUCGACCCGCGCCGUCGCCGCCAUCCGUUCCGGCAGCCCGAAGAGGAAGAAGAAGAGAAAGAGAGGGGGAAGAUACUUUUGGAGGGAUAUAUUUGUGAGGGCAAAAUGGUCAUUUCACAUGAAAACUGUUAAAAAAUAAACAGUUCUCUAACAGAUGUUAAUCAGAGGGAUCUGCAUAACUUUAGACUUUUGCAGGGAUAACUUAUGAAGUUUCCGUUUUGCAGGGAUAUUUCCGCAAUUGACUAUGUUUGCAGGGACCUGUAUGCAUUUAACCCUAGAUUCUAAUACCACUGAGGAAAAAAAUAAAUAAAAGACUGAAAUAAAAUUCCAUAGUAUUUUUUUCCACAGUAAUCGGAAGGCCUACCCAAACAAACUCCCCACAAGUUAUACCACCUACAAUUUUAUUAGGCAUUAUUUCUCUGCAAGCACAAGUAUAAUUUCUCCCAUUAGAUAUAUCACCUACAAUUAGGCAAUAUCUCUGCAAGCACAACUAUAAUUUCUCGGCAAGCACCAUAGAACACUCUUAUUUUCUCAACAAGCACCAUGGAUUAACCAUACCAGCCAGCAUUUCGUGAAGUAUCACUUAUUAACAUAAAAAUAAGAAAAUAUGCAGAAAAUCCAAAAUUGGCAACAAAUAUAGCUCCUCCAUUUGAACCGGUGAUAUCGACACAAUGAGGGAAACAAAACAAAAAACUGAGGGAAACAAAACAAAAAACUAUCACAAAACCUAAUGAAUAACCAGAAACAAAAUAGAUCACAGAGCUGGCAAAGGCGCUUUUGAUUGACUACCAAAUAUUAUCAGUUUAGCAGAGAAAAGGAAUCCUACUUUGGGAUUCAUAGCGGCCUGUGCAGCAUUAGAGGCAUACGAGGAUGAGAAACCUGACUUGGGAAUCGGGACAGUUAGGGUUUGUUUUCGUUGUGAUAAUUAAUUCCUUAAUUAAAUUGCUAAAAACAUCCUCAACAAAGAAGUAUUAUGACUCCACUUAACAAAGAAAGGCAGUGAGUGAGUUUUCCUUUCCGAGUAGGCAAGUCAUCGAUCGGUUCACUGUUUAGGCGGCUGCACACUUCACCAUAUUGGCUAUCUUACAUGAUAUCAGGCAGUUAGAGAUCAAAUUUCCUUCUCUGGUUGAGAAGAUGGACUAAGGUACAAUGAAAGUGAAAGAAAUCUGCAAUAGAUCAAAUACUAUUUCGAAAGGAAGUGGCACAACACGCCCUAAGCAAGGAGAAUCGAUAGCUCUAAAAGAAGUUAGCAAAGAUACUGCAGGGCAUAGAAUGAAUAUAAAACUGCACGUGGCUAAUGAAUAAAAAAAUAUUUCAUUUUCCCUCGCAUAUCUAAAAUAAUGUUCUAGAAUGCAGUCUAUGUAACCGCACAUGCGGCCGAAUAUACGGUGAAGACGGUGAAUCGCACCACAUAUUGUCUAGGCCACCAAUAUGCGGUGGUCCGCAUAUUGUUUACAAGCCCAUAUAAUUUGUUUUUAAAUAACGGGUUGGGUUUUAGCCAUAUUCAAAUGUCGCAUCAUUGAGAUCCAACCUAAGGCAUUUAAAGGAGGCAAAAAAAGAAGAAAUUUUGGUUAUUCAUUAACAACAAUUAUACAUCUAAAUGUUGGCGUAUACUUUUUAUUUGGUAUAUUUGUUUGUGUAGAUAUUAAAUUAUGUAGAUUUCUCAGAUAACUAAGAAUUGUUAAUGACAGUUUAAGGAAAAAAAAAAAAAAAAACUAUUACUCAUCAUGCAUUUUAGCUAAUUUUUAGUGCAUUAAUUUAUUUCUAACUUUUAACAGACAUGAUUAUAUACUUUUGUAAUGAUAUGUACCUUUUUUAGUACUUUUAAUAGCUAUACAUAUGCAUAAUUAUAUGUUUUUUGUAAUUAAUUUGCAAGUAAUUUGCAGGUUUCCAAGCGCUCUCAAGGGUUCCUCAUCUGCAAGCCGAGAACCCAAUGAAACAUAGAACUAGUUGAAAUAAAACAAGUUUCAGUGGCCCGUGCAUUCGAUAGUAGAAGAAUUCCACCAUCAAAUUCCAAGUCCUGAGGAGAGCCAAAGAAAGGAUAGUGCUAACCAUUAUAAAAGGAGGGUUAAAUCUGUUUUAUGACGCUAAAAUACAGGAUACCUAAAGUAAACUGAUGCAAAGAGAAUGCAAAUUGUUAGAGUGACGCAUAAUUUCAAACUGAGGACACAUUAGAAAUUCUUGUUUCGCAAGAGAACUUAUGCAUGCAUGUUGAGCAAUAUAUAUAUUCUUCGGAAUGAAUUAUUCCUGUGGAACCAGUGAUCAACUUUUUGAAAAAUGCAGGAAUAAUGAAUUUUCUUUCGUCCGCCUUUCUCUCAUAUGCUGACAACGCCUUUCUCUCAUAUAGACAGCAAAGUAUCAUGAAUAACAAUUUGUACCUCUGAGUGUUGAUGUAGUAAAUCGUCUUGCAUUAUGGGCCUGGAGCAUUCAACGAUCAAGAGAAUUUGCCGAUUUUACUUUGCUGAGGACAUAUAACAUCUUCCUGACAAAAGUAAAGCCUCAUUGGAGAGAUUGUGACUUGAAAGUAGUGGCCAUGGUAAUAAUUUAUCAAAAGGAGUCAUCAUCACUAUCUUCAUAAUCAGCAUCUUCAUCGCACUCAGAACCAGACUCAUCUUCUUCCCUGGGCUGUAACAGAGUUUUCAUGUCAAACACCGGUUCUGCUUCUACUUCCUCAAUCCCAAUAGAAUCGUACUGCAUCCGCUCUUCAAACUUUGCAUCACUGCAAUUAAGCAUCCAUCCAAGAGAGCACUUCAGGCCCUUCUUGACUAUCAUCUGAUUCCUGGGUCGUAUUGUGGACUCCAGACCGUACGUAAAGAAAGCAGGGAAAUCGACCAGUUCCUCUAAAUCCCUAUCCAUCUCACUAUGGAAAUACUCGAAGCUCAUCUUCAUAAUAUCCAGAUUCAAAGCAAGCAACUGCGGACACCCGAUAACCAUCUUACUCACCUGCUUCAACAAAAACCCACAGCUUUUCAAGAACUCAACAUGCUUCAAUAUGGCGGAGCGGCUGAGACUAACAGCCUGAGGCAUCUUCUCGAUCACCCUCCCGAAUUCAUCACGAUCCACGAGAACGCUCGAUUCGAACAAGCUCUGCUGUGCGGCAAGCUUAGCCCUCAGCUCCAUUCCUAAUAUAUCCGGAUACUGCGCCACCACAGAAGCUAAAGACUCCUCUUUUAUGCCAAACUCGACGAGAGCCCCCACAUUGGGCUUCACUUGAUCUUCCAAGCUGAACCCUAGAAUGUGCGGCCUUUUCUCGAUCAAUCUCGCGACGGCGAGCGUCGGCAAACCGAUGCCCUCAAGGUGCUCGACGAAAGGCUUGAUCACCCUCCCCACCCGCAUACCCAGAACUUCCGGAUAGCGGGUGAGAACGCCGCCCAACUCUCUCCGCGCCACUCCGAUCCCUAUUAAAUAAGCCACUGACGUGCUCAUAGUACCCUCCAAUUUGAACCCCAGAAGCUCGGGAUAGCGCUCGAGCACGCGGGGGACGUGGGCGGGCUUGAUGUCCAUCCCUUGCAGGUACUUGACGACGGGGGCGAGGUCGACGACGACGCUGGCGUGGAGAACCUGCGGGUAGCGGCGGAGGAAGUCGGUGAGGGCGGAGCGGCGCACGCCGAUCUUGCCGAGGUAGUCGAGGACGGGGACCAUGUUCUUCUUGACGCUGCAGCCGAGGACGAGGGGGUAGGCGUUGAUGUCGGCGACGGAGAGGCCGAGGGAGCGGAGGAAGUCGACGCGCUCGCGCAUGACGUCGACGGUGGCGGGGAGCUCGAGGCCGUCGAGCUCGUCGGGGACGACGCCGAGGGAGCGGAGGAAGUCGUACACCUGGGCGCGGGUGGCGGCGCGGGCGGCCUUCAUCUCGGCGAGGCUGGGCCGGGCGUAGAGGGAGGACGCCCGAGGGGGGUUGCUCUUGGCCUGUUCCGAUUUGCGCCGCGGCGGAGGAGGGUGGCGGGCCGGAGCAGAUGGUGCCGACGCGGCGGCGGAGAUUGUUCUGCAGUAUAGGAUUUUGAGGGGUGCUUGGUGGUGGUGGUGGUGGUGCGGGGUGAGGCGGGGGAAGCAGGGGAUGGGGGGUUUGGGGUGGGAGGAGAAGAGGAGGGCCUUCAUUGCUGUGUUGUGUGAUAAGCCGCUGGCUCGCACAAUUCUUUCUCUCUUUUGUGGAAUUGAUAAGUGAAGCGAUGAGGCAAUGGGGAUGAUAAAGAGCUAACGAAGGGGAGAAGACGGCGGGCCUCAGCAUUCACCUCUCUCGGCCGGGGGCAGCAGGCUGCGCGGACAGUAAACGAUCGAUUAGAUAUUUGGAGAGCCAGCGAAUUUGCUAAAAGAGGCCGUGGUUUUAUCAAUUUUCUCAGAACCUCCUAACCCAUUAUCCAACCGGGGUUUCACGAUUGAGUUUUUUUUUUUUUUUUUGGGAAAACUUCAAAAAAACCCCACGUGGUUUCGUUGUUUCUCACUUUGCCCCCCUGUGGUUUAAAAUGUAUCAAAUUGUCUCCAUGUGAUUUCGUUUUUAUCUUUUCGGUAGCUUUUUCGUUAAUAUUUCAUUAAAUUAUAUACAAAAAACUUCAGAUACCCAUCUAGAUUUAUCAAAUAUUUACUUUAGUACCCUUUAAUUUUAACUUUAUCACUGAUUUAAGAAAAAAAAUAAUGAAAUUGAUAAGAAAAAGAGAAAAAAGAAACCACGGGGGGGCAAAUUGAUACAUUUUAAGGAAAAGUCUACCUGUACUCCUAUAGAAAGGUGUAUAUCCUACAACUAUCAGAUCCAAUGGCUGAUAUUAAUCCACUAGCACAGUAGCUUCUAACCUCACACCUUUUUUACUUCUUGCUAAGUACUAAUUUAAACCCUACUACACUUCUCUCUUCCGCACAGUCUCUCGCUAUCUCUGUUUCUCGCUCUCUCUCGCUUCCUCGCUUCUCUCGCUCCCUCGCCUCUCGUCAUCUCGCGCUUUCCCCUUUCUCUUCUCUCACUCUCGCUCGCAGGGCACUCCACUCCAUCGGGCAGAAGUUGGCAGCGCUCGUUCACACAUCUCGUGUCCGAAGCCGUCUCGAAGGUGUCUCUGCCUCGCCUUUCUCCAUUGGUAGGAGGUCGCCUCUCAACUGCUCCUGUCACAUCCAGUACCUGUGACGCAUUCCUUCAGUCGUGAGCGUCCGAAAUUGGGAACGAAUUUCGGAGCUAAUUCGGCCACAACCGAAACAGAUGAUUCAACUCAAACAGAGCAUUUUUUAAAAUUUCUAUAAUCUUUUAUUUUCAAUUUUUAAUUUAAUACAAAAUGUAUAUUUUGGGGUUUAAGGUGCAGCUACGGAUUGUCUUUGCGUGCUCCCGAUUUCGUCACGAAUAGGUGAUUAAUUUAUUUUAGACACCGUGGUAUAUUUGCUGGUAUAUUAUAUUUUAUGUUGCAUUUUUAAGAAUAAAGAAUUUAUAGAUUAGGAUUUAGGGUUUAGGUUUACAAUGUUCUAUUAUGCCAGCUGAUAGGAGUGUCACAAUCCAUUGAUUGUGAAUUCUAUUAUGCAAGCUUGUGGUUAGAAUGUUCUAUUAGGCCAGCUGAUAGGAUAUUCACAAUCCAUGUGACAGUGAGCAGUUCUAAUAGGGUUUAGGGUUUAGAUGUUCCUUUUUUAUGGUUCCGAACAUGUAUGAGUUGCAUCGUACCCUCUUAUGGCAUAAUAUAACAUCCUAGGGCAUAAUAGAACACUCCUAUCAGGCUGGCAGAUUAUGAACACUUUGACUAAAUAAUAGAAUAGAUGUAAAGGUAAUAGAACACUCUUAUAAGUUUAUAGUUGUGAACACUGUUUUAGAAUUUAGAAACAUUUCUUCCUUUUAGUCCAGAGGAAUAUCCAUUUUGGUAGGGCUGCCAGCAGAGGGGAAACCAAUAGAAUGGCAGAGCAAGAGUGUAAAAGUCGAGCACCGUUGAUAAAUAUUUUGAUGGUGACUAUCGCAUGCCGAUAGGUCGAAAUUAAGACAUAUUUUGUACAGUAUUAUAUAAAUUUAGUCAACGCGUAUUUUCUUGCGAACUGAAGUUGCGGUGAGUUUGAUGCCUUCACUAUUAUAUUAGUUGUUAUCUAUUUUGUUUUCUGUUUCUAUGUUAUCUUGUUUUCUGAACAUGCUUUCUUGUUCCGCAUCUAUACGUCACUAUUAUAUUAAUCCAGUAACAGCUAUUUUGUGAGGAGUGGCAUUUGGAUCCGCAUCUAUACGUCACUUUCUAGAUGAAAUAAAUACACAAACCUGCAACACUUGUAGAUAUGUACUAUUCCGUUACAUAGUAAUUGCGUUGGCAUUUGCUAUCGAUUGAUUGAAGGACGGCGUUUUAAGAGUUGGAACUCUUUGUGGAGCCACAGCGGGGCACAGGACGUCGGCACAGCUGGCUGUAUUAUUUUAUUAUUCUCAGUAGACAGAGUGUUUUAGUUAUUUAUUAACGCAACAGUAACAUCUACUAUUUACUCGUUUGAAUAAUUAACCAUUUUUUUUUGUCUUGGAAAGGCGAAAUGGUUUGCGUUCUAUUUUGAGCAAUCCUUCAAAUCCCUGUCGGCGCUCCUGACAUCAUAUUUCAUAAGGAAUGUCAACAACAGGGUUCCAUCGAAGUUGAUUUAUGGCAUGUACACAUGCCUUUUUGCCGAAAAGAAUCGUAGAGAAACGGCCUCCCCGAUCUAUCAUUCUGUACGAUAAUGACCCUCCCUCCUUCUGCUCCAUAUGGUCAGUGCGAUCUUAAAGGAACCAUGUUGUCUGACAUAUACUUCUAUGAUUGAGUGCAUAGUCGCAAAAGAUGAUGUCUGAAUGUUAUAGGAUUUCUGCAAUUGUUACUGGUACUGUAACGUGUGUUUUAUAUAUUAUUGUGCAAUGUGAAUGGUACUGGGCAAUUGUAUAUAUAUGAUUGUGAAUGUACAAUUGUGCACAUUGUGAGUGGUCGUUCAUAAGAUUUUCAUAUAUGAUGUGAUGUGCAAUUGUGAAUUUAUGACUGGUAAUCUUGUAUUUUGCUUAAUCAUAUUCUUGAUUUAUUUUGUGUAAUGUUGAGUUGUUGAUAAGAGUCUAGUUAAUUUAUCCUAUUGAUGUAAUGUGUCAAUACCGGAUGUCAUUUUCUCCGUUUUAUCAUAGAUGGAGAUUACUCAAAUUUUAUUAUGUUUGCAAAAUAAUUUAUGAGAGUAUUCGUAUCGGAGAUAGACAUUCGAAAAGUGCAAUGGCACCUGUUGAGAUUGAUGAUGUCCCUGUGCCGGUUAGGAGGUGCAGGUAAGUAUUGAGUGUCGUCGCAACUACAAUACAAGCAACGAAAGGGUCAGAUUCACCUUCUGUUAGCGCUCAAGUCCUUCUUAAAUCACUUAUGGGUGUAUCUUUAGCCCUAUAGAUGUUCCCAGAAGUGGUAUAAACUGUCUAUUUUAAGCUAUAACAGCACAGUAAAGGGUACCAUAUAGAAAUGGUAAUAAAGAUGUGGCUGGUAUUUGGUGUGCUCUUAGUCUUACAGAUGUUCCGGUGUGAUAUAACUAUUCUAUUUUAAGCUAUAACCGCACAACCCAAAGCUACCAUAUAGAAGUAGAUAGAUGAGAAGUGGCAGGUAUAUGGGUGUACUUUUUAGCCCUACAGAUGUUCCGAUGGUGGUAUACACUGUUCUAGCUUUUUAAGCUAUAACAGCACAAGCAAAGGAGACCAUAUAGAAAUUGGACAUAUAAAUGUGGCAAGUAUUUGGGUGUGCUCUUUAGCCCUACAGAUGUUUCGGGGUGUGUAUAAACUGUUUCAUUUUAAGUUAUAACCGCACAACCCAAGGCUACCAUAUAGAAGCAGAUGAUAGAAGUGACGGGUAUUGAGUAUACUAUUUAGCCCUACAGAUGUUCCGAGGAGUGGUAUAUACUGUUCUAUUUUAAGCUAUAACAGCAAAAGUAAAGGGUAUCAUAUAGAAGUGGACAUAUAGAUGUGGCAGGUAUUUGGGUGUGUCUUUUAGCCCUGCAGAUGUUCGGGGUGUGGUAUAACUAUUUUAUUUUAAGUUAUAACCGCACACCCAAGGCUACCAUAAUAGAAGUAGAUAGAUAAAAGUGCAGGUAUAUGGGUGUACUCUUAGCCUACAGAUAUUCCGACGAGUGGUAUAACUGUUCUAUUUUAAACUAUAACAGCACAAGUAAAGCGGACCAUAUAAAUUGGACAUAUAAUGUGGGCGGAUAUUUGGGUGUGCUCUUACCCCUAUAGAUGUUCCAGGGUGUGGUAUAAUGUUCCAUUUUAAGCUAUAACCGCACAACCAAGACUACCAUAAUAGAAGUAGAUAGAAGAAGUGGCAGAUAUAUGGGUGUAAUCUUUAGCCCUACAGAUGUUCCAGGAGUGGUAUAACUGUUCUAUUUUAAGUUAUAACAGCACAAGUAAAAGGUACCAUAUAGAAGUGGACAUAUAGAUAUGGCAGGUAUUUGGGUGCGCUCUUUAGCCCUACAGAUGUUCCGGAGUGUGGUAUAACUAUUUCAUUUUAAGCUAUAACCGCACACCCAGGCUACCAUAUAGAGUAGAUAGAGAUAAGUGACAGUAUAUGGGUGUACUCUUUACGCUACAGAUGUUCCGAGGAGUGGUAUAACUGUUUAUUUUAAACAUAACAGCACAAGUAAAGCGGACCAUAUAGAAUUGGACAUAUAGAUGUGGCAGGUUUUAGAUGUGCUCUUUACCCUACAGAUGUUCGGGGUGUUGUAUAAUUGUUCCAUUUUAAGCUAUAACCGCACAACCCAAGGGCUACCAUAUAGAAGUAGAUAGAUAGAAGUGGCAGGUAUAUGUGGGUGUACUAUUUAGCCUACAAGAUGUUCCGAGGAGUGGUAUAACUGUUCUAUUUUAAGUUAUAACAGCACAAGUAAAAGGUACCAUAUAGAAGUGGACAAAUAGAUGUGGCAGGUAUUUGGGUGUGCUUUUAGCCCUACAGAUAUUUCAGGGUGGGUAUAACUAUUCAUUUUAAGCUAUAACCGCACAACCCAAGGCUACCAUAAGAAAUAGAUAGAUAGAAGUGGCAGGUAUAUGGGUGUACUCUUUAGCCAUACAGAUGUUCCGGGGUGUUGUUAUAACUGUUCCAUUUUAAGUUAUAACCGCACAACCCAAGGUACUAUAUAAGAAGUAAUAGAUAGAAUUGCAGGUAUAUGGGUGUACUCUUUAGCCCUAAAACACGAUGUUCCGAGGUGUGGUAUAACUGUUCUAUUUUAAGCUAUAACAGCACAAGUAAAGGGUACCCUAUAGAAUUGGACAUAUAGAUGUGGCAGGUAUUUGGGUGUGCUCUUUAGCCCUACAGAUGUUCCGGGGUGUGGUAUAACUGUUUCAUUUUAAGUUAUGACCGCACAACCUAAGGCUACCAUAUGGAAAUAGAUAGAUAGAAAUGGCAGGUAUAUGGGUGCUCUUUAGCCCUACAGACGUUCCCAGAAGUGGUAUAACUGUUCUAUUUUAAGCUAUAACAGCACAAGUAAAGGGUACCGUAUAGAAGUGGACAUUUAGAUGUGGCAGAUAUUUGGGUGUGCUCUUUAGCCCUACAGAUGUUCCGGAGUGUGGUAUAACUGUUCCAUUUUAAGCUAUAACCACACAAUCCAAGGCUGCCAUAUAGAAGUAGAUAGAUAGAAGUGGCAGGUAUAUGGGUGUACUCUUUAGCCCUACAGAUGUUCCGAGGAGUGAUAUAACUAUUCUAUUUUAAGCUAUAACAGCACAAGUAAAGGGUAUCAUAUAGAAGUGGACAUAUAGAUGUGGCAGGUAUUUGGGUGUGCUCUUUAGCCCUAUAGAUAUUCCGGGGUGUGGUAUAACUGUUCCACUUUAUGCUGUAACCGCACAACUCAAGACUACCAUAUAGAAGUAGAUAGAUAGAAGUGGCAGGUAUAUGGGUGUACUCUUUAGCCCUACAGAUGUUCCGAGGUGUGGUAUAACUGUUCUAUUUUAAGCUAUAACAGCACAAGUAAAGAGUACCAUAUAAAAGUAGACAUAUAGAUGUGGCAGGUAUUUGGGUGUGCUCUUUAAUCCUACAGAUGUUCCGGGGAGUGGUAUAACUGUUCUAUUUUAAGUUAUAAUAGCACAAGUAAAGGGUACCAUAUAGAAGUGGACAUAUAGAUAUGACAGGUAUUUGUGUGUGCUUUUUAGCCUUAUAGAUGUUCUAGGGAGUGGUAUAGAUGUCUAUGGGUCUGCUCUUUUGCCCUACAAAUGUUCCGGAGAGUGGUAUAACAGUUCUAUUUUAAACUAUAACCGCACAUUACAUAUAGAAGUGGAUUAACAUUAGAACAAAAUUUUUUUUUUCGCCAUAAGUUGUAAUAUGAUAUUACAAUAAAACGUAGAAUUUAAAGCAACAAAACCAUAUUGCAUCAGGACCAUUGAUAUAAUAUAAAAUCUAUCACAAAAUACUACAACAUGUUAUAUUUGUACAACACAACGACUAACAUAACAAUACUAUUUUUUUAUUAUUACAGCCUGCAUGAUACAGGGUGGUCAUGUACCCUUACCACACAAGUUAUAGCAGGAUGACCACAUUAUCCCACUUACUAUCCCAUACAUGACAAAAAUGGUCAAUUUCCGUCUUUUUCUUUUUGCUGCAGCUGCGGCUUCUUCCCGCAACUUAUUAUUGCUUUCUAGUAAACCAUUAACCAUUGAGAUACUCCGGCUCGUAAAUUGUGGGUCGUACCACCCAAAAUAAUUACAAGUGUUACUCUCUUGCAUCUGAAAGAUAAGACAAAUUACACAUAAAAUAAUGUCCAUAUAUGAAUCAACAGGUUUAUAGUAACUAGCUUUACCCUAUAUCUUGGACAGCCAUAAAAUCUCCGACCCGGAUUGUUUUGUGUCCAAGAGGUCUUAAUCGUACAUGGCAAUCCACAAUGGCAGAGCGGUGUGGAUUGGUUGCUUCGACUGCUCGAAGUUGUAAAGCUUGAAUCCAUCUAACUUGUAAUAUUAUAAAAAUAAGAAAUGCAUACAAACUGACGCAAUAUUACGACAGAUAGUUAGUACAAAUAUUGAUUAUAAAUCUGGCACAUACCGUAAAAUAAUUUAAAAACUUUAAAUGCCAGAGUUAUAUGUACAUAACAUCAAUAGCGGAGCUUAUUAUCUAAUAUAUACUAUUGUAGGUGGAGAAUCAACAAAAUUAUCAUCACUAUCACAACUAAUAUAUGUCCUAAUCAGUCGAGGUUCACUAUGCACAGUUCUCUUCGUUCGAAAUAUUACACUGUUCUUUGGAGGUGGAUCAACAAAAUUGUCGUCGCUGUCACCGGUAUCAGAGAUUGUAGUUACAGUGAUCCGGAAGAGAUUGUUGAUUUUCUCGAAACCGACCGUUCACGUGAUCGUAAAUUGAUUGACAUCUGAUGUGACGCAAAGCACAUUUUCGGCCGCGUUAGCUCUAUAAUUAAACUUGGAGUGGCGAUUUUGCUGUUAUUCAUGGACUUUGCAAAGCUGCGGCCGACCUACAACUUUGUAGGAUCAAUUACAACAAUGUUAGGCACUUAGGGCGAUGUAAACGCGAGCGAGAAACGCGAGCGCGAUGCUGGGGGUCAUGGCGCUCGUGUUCGGCGAGCGUAGCUCGUCUAAUAAGGUAUACGCAGCGAGGGCCGAAACCAUUCAGCUCGGCGUAGUUUGGCUCGUGUUUUAUAUAUAACGAGCCGACCAGAGCGCGGAGCUUUGAGCUUCGACGGAGCACGAAACAGUCGGACAUCAAGGCUCGUAGUUUUUGUGCCAUGACGAGAGGCAUGGCGAUUAAUUAACAUAUGCUAACCUUCAGACCAUCGCGCGGGAAGGUCAUCGUUUUGUGACUCGCUUCAGGCACAGCCUGCAAUAUUCUAUUUCUGUGUUCGCAUAAUGCUUAUAAGAUUAAAAACAGGGCAUCAAAGGGAGUCCAAAUUGAUAAGAGUCAGUGCCGCAAUUUAGUGGUGCCUUGACCGAUAUAUUUAACAGUCGGCUAAUAGCGCUCCCCUCUUUCUUUCUUCAUGGCCAUCUCAAAAAUAUUAAAUGGCGGGGGCAAAUAUAAUAGGCACUCGCAAACUAAACAAAAUCUUCAAGUAAACAUUCCGCCAGCCGCGUGCUAAGAGUCAUAGUAUAAGUACUGAGAGUUGGUAAUACUAAAUUAGAAUCACAUCGUGAGCAGAGGAACUAUUUGUCAAAGAUUUAGCACAUCAUACAAAUUCUACUAUGCCCUAAAAAAUAUAUCUUAUCAGCUAUUAACAGUAUAGACUCAUUCAUAUACGAGCAUCCAAAUGCAGUGAUUGAAUGUAAUCCAAAUAAUUCAUCAAGCAAUGUCAACAAAUACAAAAUAAUAUACUCUAAAAGAAAUGUAAGGCAUCUCAUACGGCUGUUAUAGUAUGCGUCAGGCAGUGUACGAAUCGUUGAGUUCGGACGGUAAACCACCUGUCGGUUCAAUUUUGGCCGCAUUCUACGAUUGUCGGCCUCCGUACUUUGGCCCGCGUCCAAUUUGAUGGCGCAGAAAUGCCGGGCAUUCGGCGAUGCUUCUUUCUCCUUCCUCUCGUAUCUCAGGAGCCUGUAUUUCUAGCACAGGCACAAACUGCCUCUCCGCUCCCAAUAUGCUCGCGGCCCUGGCCCUCGCUGCUCAUUCUCCGGCGCCGCUGCUAACCCGCCGCCUGCCCAGCUCGAGCUUACUUCUCUCUCUGCUCCGCUCCGCUGUCGCCACCUCGGCGUCACGCGCUCUCUCUCUUGAUAGGGCUCGGGACAGCUGGACAUGCGCUCGCUCGCCGCCCUGCUCUCGUUCAGCGCUGGGCCGGGCGUGUGCGGGCGCCUACUCCUAACGUCUCUUUAGGCUCGCUGGGCGCCAACAAAGCAGCGAGACAAAAGAGGGAAAAGCGUGAGANNNNNNNNNNNNNNNNNNNNNNNNNUUUGAACCACGCUUCACUCGUAAUUAUUUACACUUUGUACGCAAAGCACAUUUUCGGCCCGUACUUAAUUAACUUGGAGUGCGAUUUUCUGUAUCUAGCUUUGAAACUCGUACCUACAAUAUUUAGGCAUCAAUUACACAAUGUUACACUUAGGAGGUUAACGAGCCGAACUACGAGCGAGCUGGGUCGCUCGUGUUCGGCGAGCGUGCUCGUUAAAGUAUCAGAGCCGAAACAUUCAGCUCGUGUUUGCUCGUUUUAAUUACGAGCGAAGACGAGUUGGCUCACGAGCCGAAACAUUCAGCUCGUGUUUUUCCAUGACGAGAGCAUGCGAUUAUUACAUAUGUACCUUGCCAUCGGUCAUUUUUG
Molecule: long non-coding RNA, 357482 nt
Filed under: Ananas comosus (pineapple)
Lineage: Eukaryota; Viridiplantae; Streptophyta; Magnoliopsida; Poales; Bromeliaceae
Description: long non-coding RNA (ACOM_LNC007263)
Source: RNAcentral